AUUCAAACAGUAGAAACAUUUCAUUCUCAGGAUUAAGCAAGUGCUCAUCCACACAAAGCAAACAGACUUAAUUCAAUGCGAAACCCCAGGAUUACAACAAGAAAUCCAUGCUUAAACUCAGGGAAUGAAACAGUAGAAACAUUUCAUUCUCAGGAUUAAGCAAGUGCUCAUCCACACAUAGCAAACAGACUUAAUUCAUGCUUAAACUCAGGAUUACAACAAGAAAUCCAUGCUUAAACUCAGGGAUUCAAACAGUAGAAACAAUUCAUUCUCAGGAUUAAGCAAGUGCUCAUCAACACAUAGCAAACAGACUUAAUUCCAUGCAAAACCUCAGGAUUACAACAAGAAAUCCAUGCUUAAACUCAGGGAUUCAAACAGUAGAAACAUUUCAUUCUCAGGAUUAAGCAAGUACUCAUCCACACAUAACAAACAGACUUAAUUCCAUGCAAAACCUCAGGAUUACAACAAGCAAUCCAAACCUCAGGGAUUGAAACAGUAGAAACAUUUCGUUUUCAGGAUUAAACAAGUACUCAUCCAGACCUAGCAAACAGACUUAAUUCCUACUCUUGGGAGGCAACAGAAUCACGCGGGGCUCCAUUCUCAUCACAAACAGCCCCGGGCACCAACGCUAGCAUACUUCUCUGGNNNNNNNNNNAGAUUUGUGAGAGGCCGCCUACGCAAGAUUUGACGGUAUGCUAGCCCCCGUAGGCCGCCGGCCACAGUCGUAGACGUGCGAAGAGCAAUCCGCGUAGAGGGAAGUGUUCAUAUACUUCUCCAUCACAAAAAAUUAUGAAAAAUUACCAUCAGUCCUAUAGCACAUGUGCCCACGUUGUGUAAAAAACUCAUGAUUUUAUCGCGCUCCAAGUAUUUAAUAAUAUUCACGCUGCAUCGUUACCGCAGAACGUCUACUACCGUUUCAUUGCCGUCUGUGAGGGGGGGCCACAACCCGGAGAUGCGUGCCGCCUCUUCGGACAUGCCACAACACCACCCGCAUGUAUGAGGGGCCGGUACGACCCUUCGGUGGCAUUGCUACCCCCCAGGGCCCCCGUCCCGCCUAACCCUGUAGCGUUUGACCACGGGAUCUAGCCCUUUGACUUUGCACGGACGGGGAUUUGACCAGUGGACCUCUCCACCCGGUUGUGUUAGGUCGGCCCAGAGGAACACUUUCGAGCAACAUCCGGGCCAAACCCACAGCUACAUCCACUCCGUGUAGACCCGACGCGUCCGUUUCCCCCCUCCAGGUGCCGGCGGCGGCGACGUCCGUGAGGGGGGGGGCACGCACCGGAGACGCGUGCUGGGCGUUUGCAACCGCCUCAACACUUCCAGAUUUGUGAGAGGCCGCCUACGGAAGAUUUGACGGUAUGCUAGCCCCCGGAGGCCGCCGGCCACAGUCGUAGACGUGCGAAGAGCAAUCCGCAUAGAGGGAAGUGUUCAGAUACUUCUCCAUCACAAAAAAUUAUGAAAAAUUACCAUCUGUCCUAUAGCACAUGUGCCCAUGUUGUGUAAAAAAACUCAUUAUUUUAUCGCGCUCCAAGUAUUUAAUAAUAUUCACGCUGCAUCGUUACCGCAGAACGUCUACUAUCGUUUCAUUGCCGUCCGUGAGGGGGGCCACAACCCGGAGAUGCGUGCCGCCUCUUCGGACAUGCCACAACACCACCCCGCAUGUAUGAGGGCCCGGUACGAUGCUCCGUUGGCAUUGCUACCCCCUCAGGGCCCCCGUCCCGCCUAACCCUGUAGCGUUUGACCAUGGGAUCUAGCCCUUUGACUUUGCACGGACGGGCUUUGACCAGUCGACCUCUCCACCUGGUUGUGUUAGGUCGGCCCAGAUGGACACCGGGAAGCAACAUCCGGGCCAGGCCCACAGCUACAUCCACUNNNNNNNNNNUUCAUUCUCAGGAUUAAGCAAGUACUCAUCCACACAUAACAAACAGACUUAAUUCCAUGCAAAACCUCAGGAUUACAACAAGCAAUCCAAACCUCAGGGAUUGAAACAGUAGAAACAUUUCGUUUUCAGGAUUAAACAAGUACUCAUCCAGACCUAGCAAACAGACUUAAUUCCUACUCUUGGGAGGCAACAGAAUCACGCGGGGCUCCAUUCUCAUCACAAACAGCCCCGGGCACCAACGCUAGCAUACUUCUCUGGCACUCCUCGGUGUUGCUGUACUCAUCAAGGAAGUUAUCCAUGCCUAUGUGCAAGGCCCUGCCCAUUUCAUGCCACAAGAAAAGGGCCAUCGAGAUUGGUGGCCUAGCCUGCUUGAGCUCCUCCGGCAACUUAUCCCCCACCUUCAAGCCCAUGUCAAGAUGGCGCUUGACAUAGGCAGCAUCACGGCGCUGGAAGACGAUUCGGCUGACUAGACGUGCGGCCAGACACCUCCGCCUGAAAAGAAGUUCGUCGCGCAGCUCCCUGUGUAUCUGGAAAAGAUCUUCUAACUCAUCGAGCCCUGACCGGUGCUGCUCCUUCAACUCCUUGAUCUUGUUCCUCUCCUCAUCCGUCAUCGGCACAGGGCGGCGCAUCUUCUUCCCUGCAACGGUACCAAAGUCAAAGACCACAGGAUGGUGAAACUGCUACCCCUCCAAGGGUACUCGCAUAUUAAUUUUAUGAAUUUUAUUUAGGGGUUUGAGGGUGGGGAUUGGACCUGGAUUGACGAGGUUCUCAGUAGCGGUGUUGGGCGCAGGGCGGGCGAGUGGCUUGUCCUUUUCCGGGGGCGGCAAGCACGAGUCCAUCUCCUUCCCUGCUAGAAGCCGAACAUAGCAAUUAUUACAGGGACGAAGGGGCAAAAGUAAACCCUAACUUUUUGACGGUGGCAGGGGUCAAGAUUCAACCAGUCUUGGCGAGGAAAGCAGGAGCAACGGCGGCCGGAAGGAUGGCAUCAUCCUUCCCCUUCUCCAGCUCCGGCAGGAACGCGCCACUCUCCUUCCCUGCGAGAAGCCGAACAGAGCAGUUACAGAGAUGAGGGUAAACCAUAGCUUUUUGACGGUGGCGGGGGUGAGGAUUCGACCUGGCUUGGCGAGGACAGCAGGAGCAAUAGCGGGCGGGAGGAUGGCAGCAUCCUUCCCCUUCUCCAGCUCCGGCAGGAACGCGCCCCUCUCCUUCCCUGCGAGAAGCCGAACAGAGCAGUUAGAAAUGAGGAACCCUAGCUUUUUUGGCGGCGGCGGCGGCGGCGGCUGCGAGGAUGGAGGGGGUACGGGUGAACGAGGCUAACCUGGAUCGGUGGUCACCGCCGCCGCGGCGGCGGCGGCGGCGGGCGGUGCUCUGGUGCAGGUGGCCAUGACGUCAACGGCGAGGAGGCAGAGAAGGGAGGGACUGGUUGGUGCGAAUGCGAUGCGUGUGUGGUGCUGGAUGCGGCCAGCCGAUCACGGACGACGUUAUAUGCGCUCUCUAGACGGGCCGAGUUGGGCUGGGACGCUGGGUGCUCUAACUCUUCUUUUUUUUUAUCUCAGGGUGCUCAAGAAGGAUUUGUCCUAUCUUCCCUCUCGUUAGGGUUCAUCGUCCUCUCGGCGGCACACCGUCGUUGAGAUUUUCUACUCCCUUGUCAAGGAUCUAGCUAGUGACUACUCGGGAUGAAUCAAGGCGGUCUCUGUACCACUACCCGGCCUUGGUAGGUACCUGGUUUGGAGCCUUCGGAAGGAGAGGGUUUCUGUUUCCGAUAUUGGUCGAGAGUGGCGAUGCCAUGGCGUCCCAAGGAGAUGGAUCCUCUUCGUGGGCGAAGGGGAAGGGUAAGAUGGAGGAGCUGAUGAAAGAGCUAGGCCUUGGAGAGGAUGACUUAGAUGACGUCAUGUUUGAGAAAGAAGCUUUCGGCAACAAUUCCAGAAAAAAGGAAUAGGUAUUUUAGCUAGGUCAUAUGGAGGAUCUGCGAUGCAUGAUAAUCAUUACGAUGCAUAUGGACAGGGACUUUAGCACCUAUUGGUUUUUCAAAAACAUGCGUACUGCAUAGGAUCCCGCACGCCGUGUGAAGAUUUGAACCCUAGAGCCGAUUAUGUCUAUAGGUGGGCGAGUUCAUUGAUGUUGAGCCAUCAUCGUUUGAUUUCCAAGGCAACUUCUACGGGUCAGAAUCAUACUUGAUGUCCACAAGCUGCUCAACAAAGCUACUUCUAAUCAAAGGAGGACAAAGGGAAAUCUUCGCGGUGAAGUACGAGCGCCUUCCGAAUUGGUUUCAGGUUUGCGGCAUGAUGGGCCAUUAGUUCAAGGAACAUGGAGAUGGCAUUGCCUCAGCUCUCAUUUUCAAAAACCUUCGUGCAUCGAUAACUACUUGCUGGGGUACAAGGACACGCGUCAAGGGGGCAAGAUGCAUCAGUUGUGAUGAUGUGUUCGGUGGUGCAAGCGUUCGAGAUUUUGUUUCCGAAGACAAAGCGAAGAACCAAGAUGCUGAGAUGAAGGACACUGACCCUUGCCAGAAGCGCUCUUUAGAUGAUACUAUUGAUCCGAAGUCCCCUGCUACCCUAGGAACUAAACUUUUCAGGUGGGGCGGCAAUGGUGGCACUAUUGCUUUACUGGCGCCUCCGGGGAGUGGGAUGCCUCCCAACCCACCGCCAAAACAUGAUCCAAAGAGGCCCAAGACGAUGCACGCAAAAAUGAGAGAAGCAAUUCAUGAGGUGGGAAGAUGUUGGAUGUGGUUGUAAAGGACAAUGAUGUGUGAUUGACGGCCUCCCCGAUGAAGGACCGCCGGACGCAAUGAGUCUUCUCUAUUGGAACUGUCGGGGUAUCGACAACCCCCCACUAGUAGAAAAAGGGCCUAAUGUUCAGCUCAUUAGUCCCGAUUUGUAAAUGAACCGACACUAAUGUGACCAUUAGUGCGGGUUCCAAUGGCUAGGCGGGCGGCGCUCAUUAGUCCCGGUUCGUGGCGAACCUCUAGUACCGGUUCAUGCCACAAACCAGGACAAAAGAGGUAGUGGCAGGCUGGUGUCAGGCUGGGGCCCCACCAACACCUUUAGUCCUGGUUCGUGGCACGAACCGGGACUAGAGCCCACCUCGUCCCGGUUGGUAUAACCAACCGGGAUUAAAGAUCAUCCUAUAUAAACCCUUCGUCGAGCUCGAGCUCUCUGUACUUCCCCUUUCCUCUCCUCUCUGUUUUCUUCCUCUCCUCUCGAGCUCAUCCUCCAUUUUUGCCAAAAUUUGUCAAAAUUUAAAGGCACCCCAUCCAUCCAAGUGAUCACAAAGGUGAGCAACUUUGCCCUUUCAUCUCUCAUUGCUAGAUUAGCUAUUGCAAUGCUCUAUAAGUAUAGUGAUUUGUGGGUUUUAGUUUGGGAGGAAUUAUAUGUGGUAGUAUAUUUGAUUUUAUAUGCAAUUUGAGCUCAAAAUAACUCUUAGUUUGCAUAUGAAGGUGUGGUUUACUUAGUGCCUUCCCGUCUUCGUCCUAACCACCGUCGAUCGUCUGCACCGUCCCAUCGCCGGCACCACCUUGUGGUGAACCUCUUGUUCUUAUCUUUUUUAUAUAAAAAAUCAUGUUUGUGUGAUUUAGAUAUAUAGUUACUUGUAUAAUUUUCUUACCCGUACGUUGUUUGUUAUACAUAGUGCCAUGGUUUUGAUAUCCGUCCCCGUCGGCCCUCGUCCGGUUUAUGAUUCGGAUGUGGUGUAUUCUCUUUUAUAACUAUUUGUUGAAUUUCGUGUUUAUGACAAAUUAUGCCCAUCAAGUUGACAUAUAUAUUUUUAUCUAGGAGGUAUGUGAACCGAAAAUUCCAACCGACCCUAUUGUCGAGAGGUUAAAUUUAGUUGAAAAGGCAAAUGAGUAUUUGAAAGAAAAAUUGAAAAGAAUUGAGGAGGAGAAGAUGGAAUUGGAGUUGCAUGUUGUCGAUGUCGUCGAUGAUCACAAGAUCAAGAUGGAGAAAAUGCGCUUGAAGAUUAGAAAGAUUAGAAAAUAUGCCAUUGAUAGUGAGGCUUGGUAUCAUUAUGUUGUUGGAUCAAUUGUUACCUUAGUUGCGAUCUUGAUCGCAUUUGUUGUUGCAUUUAAAUGCUUUAGCUACAGAGUUUUUAUGUUGUUUUAUGAGAAUAAGUGUGUAUGAACUUGUAUUAAUUUGGUCUUUUCGGUGUUGUGUAAUGAUGAUAAGCCGGCAAUGGAUGUACGAUGACCGAUGCUCUCCCAGUUCGUUAAUGGCGUGCGUACUUUUCUGCUUGCGGCUGAGGCAAACAAGCGAGCGGAUGGUUUUAUGUCUUGUCCAUGUGUUGGCUGUAAGAAUGAUCACAAUUACUCUAACUCAAGAACCAUUCACUAGCACCUGUUUGAGUCCGGUUUCAUGCCCCACUAUAAUGUUUGGACCAAGCACGGAGAAAGAGGGGUUAUGAUGGAAGACGAUGAAGAAGAAAAGGACGACGACAUCUAUCCUGGCCAUGGGUUCCCUGAAUACGGUGGUACAACUAUGGGGGAAGAAGCUGAGCCGGCAAUGCGGGAAGAAGCUGAAGAAGAGGCAUCAGAUGAGCCCGCUGAUGAUCUAGGUCGGGCCAUUGCCGAUACAAAGAGAAACUGCACAAGUGAAAAGGAGAGGCUGAAGUUGCAGCGCAUGUUAGAGGAUCACAAGAAAUUAUUGUACCAAAUUGUGAAGAUGACAAGAAAAAGCUGGGCACCACACUGGAAUUGCUACAAUGAAAGGCAGAGAAUGGUGCAUCUGACAAGGGAUUUCGAAACUUGCUGAUAAUGUUAAAGAAGAUGCUUCCAAAGGACAAUGAAUUGCCCGAGAGUACGUACGAAGCAAAGAAGGUUAUCUGCCCUCUAGGAUUAGAGGUGCAGAAGAUACAUGCAUGCCCUAAUGACUGCAUCCUCAACCGCGGUGAGUACGAGUAUUUGAACAUGUGCCCGGUAUGCGGUGCAAUGCGCUAUAAGAUCAACCGCAAUGACCCUGGUGAUGUCGGGGGCGAGCGCCCCAGGAAGAAGAUUCCUGCCAAGGUGAUGUGGUAUGCUCCUAUAAUACCACGGUUGAAAUGUUUAUUCCAAAACAAAGAGCAUGCCAAGUUGAUGUGAUGGCACGAAGAAGACCGUAAGAAAGACGGGAAGUUGAGAGUACCCGCUGACGGGUCGUAGUGGAGAAAAAUCGAGAGGAAGUGGGGGGGACUUUGCAGGUGACGCAAGGAACGUAUGGUUUGGUCUAAGCGCAGAUGGCAUUAAUCCUUUUGGGGAGCAGAGCAGCAAUCAUAGCACCUUGCCUGUGACUCUAUGUAUGUAUAACCUUCCUCCUUGGUUGUGCAUGAAGCGGAAGUUCAUUAUGAUGCCAGUGCUCAUCCAAGGCCCUAAGCAACCUGGCAACGACAUUGAUGUGUACCUAAGUCCAUUAGUUGAAGAACUCUUACAGCUGUGGAAUGGAAAAAGUGUACGUGUGUGGGAUGAGCUCGAUCAGGACAAAUUUGACCUACAUGUGUUGCUGUUUGUGACCAUCAAUGAUUGGACUGCUCUCAGUAACCUUUCAGGACAGACAAACAAGGGAUACCGCGCAUGCACGCAUUGUUUGGAUGAUACCGACAAUAUAUAUUUGGAUAAUUGUAAGAAGAAUGUGUACCUGUGACAUCAUCGAUUUCUUCUGAGCAGGCAUCUCGUAAGAAAUAAAGGCAAGCAUUUCAAAGGUUAGGCGGAUCAUCGGACGAAGCCUCGCCACCGUACUGGUGAUGAUGUACAUGAUAUGGUCAAGGAUUUGAAGGUAAUCUUUGAAAAGGGUCCUGGCGGACAAUCUGUUCCGAAUGAUGCUGACGGACGCGCACCAUGCGGAAGAAGAAAUCUAUAUUUUGGGACCUACCCUAUUGGAAAGACCUAGAGGUCCGCUCUGCAAUCGACGUGAUGCACAUGACGAAGAAUCUUUGCGUGACCCUUCUUGGCUUCUUGGGCGUGUAUGGGAAGACAAAAGAUACACCGGAGGCACGGGAGGACCAGCAAUGUAUGCACGGAAAAGACGGCAUACACCAGGGUCAUGCCAGCUACGCUCUUACCAAAGAAGAGAAGGGAAUCUUCUUUGAAUGCCUGCUCACUAUGAAGGUCACGUUUGGCUUCUCGUUGAAUAUAAAGGGAAUAAUAAAUAUGGCAAAGAAAAAGUUCCAAAACCUAAAGUCUCAUGACUGCACGUGAUUAUGACGCAACUGCUUCCGGUUGCAUUGAGGGGGCUUCUACCGGAAAACGUUCAAUUGGCCAUUGUGAAGCUAUGUGCAUUCCUCAAUGCAAUCUCUCGGAAGGUAAUCGAUCCAGAAAUCAUACCAAGGUUAGAGAAUGAUUUGGUGCAAUGUCUUGUCAGUUUCAAGUUGGUGUUCCCACCAUCAUUCUUCAACAUCAUGACGCACGUCCUGGUUCACCUAUGCGAAGAGAUUAACAUUCUGGGUCCUGUAUUUCUACAUAAUAUGUUCCCCUUUGAGAGGUUCAUGGGAGUCUUAAAGAAAUAUGUUCAUAACUGUGCUAGGCCAGAAGGAAGCAUCUCCAAGGGCCAUGAAAAUGAGGAGGUCAUUGAGUUUUGUAUUGACUUUAUUCCUGACCUUAAGUCGAUUGGUGUUCCUGAAUCGCGACAUAAGGGCAGAUUGGGUGGAAAUGGCACGCUAGGACCGAAACAAAUAAUAUGUAUGGACGGGCAUUCUCUCACUCAAGCACACUACACAGUUCUACAAAAUUCCGCCUUGGUGGCUCCGUAUAUGGCGGAACACAAGAAUAUUCUACGCUCCAAACACCCGGAGCAGUCUGACGACUGGAUUACACGUGAACAAACGGGGACUUUCGGCAGUUGGUUGGAGACACGUGCCAUGCAUGACGACGCUAUUGAAGAUGACAUGUACUUGCUGUCCCAGUUACCGUCUUCGAAUAUAAUGACUUUCAAAGGGUACGAGAUAAAUGGGAAUACAUUUUACAUGAUCAACCAAGAUAAGAAGAGCACCAACCAAAACAGUGGUGUCCGCUUUGAUGCAGCAACCAAGAGGGGAAAGGACACAUAUUUGUUGGGGAACGCAGUAAUUUCAAAAAACUUCCUACGAUCAUGCAAGAUCUAUCUAGGUGAUGCAUAGCAACGAGGGGGAGAGUGUGUCCACGUACCCUCGAAGACCGAAAGUGGAAGCGUUAUGUAACGCAGUUGAUGUAGUCGAACGUCUUCGCGAUCCAACCGAUCAAGUACCGAACGCACGACACCUCCGCGAUCUGCACACGUUCAGCUCAGUGACGUCCCUCUAACUCUAGAUCCAGCUGAGGCCGAGGGAGAGUUUCAUCAGCACGACGGCGUGGUGACGGUGAUGAUGAAGUUACCGACGCAGGGCUUCGCCUAAGCACUACGACGAUAUGACCGAGGUGGAAAACUGUGGAGGGGGGCACCGCACACGGCUAAAGAUCAACUUGUGUGUCAAAGGGGUCCCCCUCCCCUGUAUAUAAAGGAGGAGAGGAGGGGGCCGGCCGGCCACAAGUGGCGCGUCCAAGGGGGGGAGUCCUACUCCAAGAAGGAGUAGUUUCCCCCCUUUCCUAGUCCAACUAGGAGGAGAAGGAAGGAGGGGAAGGAGAGAAGGAAAGGGGGCCGCCCCCCUAGUCCAAUUCGGUUUGGGCUAGGGGGCGCGUGCCUCACCUUGGCCUGCCUCCUCUGUUCCACCACUUGGCCCAUGAGGCCCAUUAACCCUCGGGGGGUUCCGGUAACCCCUCGGUACUCCGGUUUUAUCCGAAACUUCUUCGGAAAAUUUCCGGUGUCCGAAUAUAGCCGUCGAAUAUAUCAAUCUUUAUGUCUCGACCAUUUCGAGACUCCUCGUCAUGUCCGUGAUCUCAUCCGGGACUCCAAACAACCUUCGGUACAUCAAAUCACAUAAACUCAUAAUACCAAUCGUCAUCGAACGUUAAGCGUGCGGACCCUACGGGUUCGAGAACUAUGUAGACAUGAGUGAGAGACGUCUCCGGUUGAUAACCAACAGCGGAACUUGGAUGCUCAUAUUGGUUCCUACAUAUUCUACGAAGAUUUUUAUCGGUCAAACCGCAUAACAACAUACGUUGUUCCCUUUGUCAUCGGUAUGUUACUUGCCCGAGAUUCGAUCGUCGGUAUCAUCAUACCUAGUUCAAUCUCGUUACCGGCAAGUAUCUUUACUCGUUCUGUAAUACUUCGUCCCACAACUAACUCAUUAGUCACAAUGCUUGCAAGGCUUAUAGUGAUGAGUAUUACCGAGAGGGCCCAGAGAUACCUCUCCGGAACACGGAGUGACAAAUCCUAAUCUCGAUAUAUGCCAACCCAACAAACACCUUCGGAGACACCUGUAGUGCACCUUUAUAAUCACCCAUUUACGUUGUGACGUUUGGUAGCACACAAAGUGUUCCUCCAGUAUUCGGGAGUUGCAUAAUCUCAUAGUCUGAGGAACUUGUAUAAGUCAUGAAGAAAGCAGUAGCAAUGAAACUGAAACGAUAAAAAUGCUAAGCUAACGGAUGGGUCAUGUCCAUCACAUCAUUCUCCUAAUGAUGUGAUCCCGUUCAUCAAAUGACAACACAUGUCUAUGGUUAGGAAACAUAACCAUCUUUGAUUAACGAGCUAGUCAAGUAGAGGCAUACUAGGGACUAUAUGUUUUGUCUAUGUAUUCACACAUGUACUAAGUUUCCGGUUAAUACAAUUCUAGCAUGAAUAAUAAACAUUUAUCAUGAAUUAAGGAAAUAUAUAAUAACUUUAUUAUUGCCUCUAGGGCAUAUUUCCUUCAGUCUCCCACUUGCACUAGAGUCAAUAAUCUGGAUUACAUAGUAAUGAUUCUAACACCCAUGGAGCUUUGGUGCUGAUCAUGUUUUGCUCGUGGAAGAGGUUUAGUCAACGGGUCUGCAACAUUCAGAUCCGUAUGUAUCUUGCAAAUCUUUAUGUCCCCCUCCGACACUUGAUGACAGAUGGAAUUGAAGCGUCUCUUGAUGUGCUUGGUUCUCUUGUGAAAUCUGGAUUCCUUUGCCAAGGCAAUUGCACCAGUAUUGUCACAAAAGAUUUUCAUUGGACCCGAUCGGAUAUGAACUCCUUCAUUUGUUGCUUCCGAUGCAACAAUGUACUCUGCUUCACACGUAGAUCCCGACACGACGCUCUGCUUGGAACUGCACCAACUGACAACUCCUCCAUUCAAUAAAAAUACGUAUCCAGUUUGCGACUUAGAGUCAUCCAGAUCAGUGUCAAAGCUUGCAUCGACAUAACCAUUUACGACGGGCUCUUUUUCACCUCCAUAAACGAGAAACAUAUCCUUAGUCCUUUUCAGGUAUUUCAGGAUGUUCUUGACCGCUGUCCAGUGCUCCACUUCGGGAUUACUUUGGUACCUCCCUGCUAUGCUUAUAGCAAGGCACACAUCAGGUUUGGUACACAACAUUGCAUACAUGAUAGAUCCUAUGGCUGAAGCAUAGGGAAUGACUUUCAUUUUCUCUCUAUCUUCUGCAGUGGUCGGGCAUUGAGUCUGACUCAACUUCACACCUUGUAACACAGGGAAGAACCCUUUCUUUGACUGGUCCAUUUUGAACUUCUUCAAAACUUUAUCAAGGUAUGUGCUUUGUGAAAGUCCAAUCAAGCGUCUUGAUCUAUCUCUAUAGAUCUUGAUGCCCAAUAUGUAAGCAGCUUCACCGAGGUCUUUCAUAGAAAAACUGUUAUUCAGGUAUCCCUUUAUGCUAUCCAGAAAUUCUAUAUCAUUUCCAAUCAACAAUAUGUCAUCCACAUAUAAUAUCAGAAAUGCUACAGAGCUCCCACUCACUUUCUUGUAAAUACAAGCUUCUCCAAAAGUCUAUAUAAAACCAUAUGCUUUGAUCACACUAUCAAAGCGUUUAUUUCAACUCCGAGAGGCUUACACCAGUCCAUAAAUGGAUCGCUGGAGCUUGCACACUUUUGUUAACACCUUUUGGAUCGACAAAACCUUCUAGUUGCAUCAUAUAGAACUCUUCUUCCAGAAAUCCAUUCAGGAAUACAGUUUUGACAUCCAUUUGCCGAAUUUCAUAAUCAUAAAAUGCAGCAAUUGCUAACAUGAUUCGGACAGACUUAAGCAUCGCUACGGGUGAGAAAGUCUCAUCGUAGUCAACUCCUUGAACUUGUCAAAAACCUUUCGCAACAAGUCAAGCUUUGUAAACAGUAACAUUACCGUCUGUGUCGGUCUUCUUCUUAAAGAUCCAUUUAUUUUCUAUAGCUUGCCGAUCAUCGGGCAAGUCCACCAAAGUCCACACUUUAUUCUCAUACAUGGAUCCCAUCUCAGAUUUCAUGGCCUCAAGCCAUUUUGCAGAAUCUAGGCUCAUCAUUGCUUCCUCAUAGUUCGUAGGUUCAUCACGGUCUAGGAACAUGACUUCUAGAACAGGAUUACCAUACCACUCUGGUGCAGAUCUUACUCUGGAAGACCUACGAGGUUCGGUAGUAACUUGAUCUGAAGCUUCAUGAUCAUCAUCAUUAGAUUCCUCACUAAUUGGUGUAGGAAUCAUGGGAACUGAUUUUUGUGAUGAACUACUUUCCAAUAAGGGAGAAGGUACAAUUAUCUCAUCAAGUUCUACUUUCCUCCUACUCACUUCUUUCGAGAGAAACUCCUUCUCUAGAAAGGAUCCAUUCUUAGCAACAAAGAUUUUUGUCACGACCGGUUUUCCAAUAAAAAUAUUUAUUGAGAGACCGAUCCCUUUUACGGACCAGUAAAGAAGAAUUUCUUCUCACUGGUAGACAAUAUCUUGGUCACAGAAGAAAAAUACCAGGAGUACUGAAUAUAAUACAAGGUUGAGCGGAGACUGCUCAACAAUUUAUUACAGGUACGCCAAUAAAGCAUAAUGGCGGAUAGGGUGGCAUAACUACUAACUCACGGUGGUGGAAAUAUCACAGCGGAGUGGGUGACAAGACUCCUGAAACUAACAACUCUUCGAGCGUCGGAGUGAGGCUCGAGGAGACUUAUUGCGGGUGGACGUCUGAGCGACAUCUGAGCGACAAAAGUAAAUAACAAGAGUGCCACAGUCGGACGUCUGAGCGACAUCACAUAAAGGGCUUAUAUCAAAAGUAAAUAACAAGAGUGCCACAGUCGGACGUCUGAGCGACAUCACAUAAAGGGCUUAUAUUUCAUAAUUUCAUAUCUCAGUAGCUCAACAAUUUAAAUCAUAUCAAGAGAAUAAUCAGGUAUGAGAUAAACAACAGGGUUAGUCCAUUCACAGGAAUAACGUUCAACCAAGUUUACCGCUCAAGCUUAUUCACCAGGGAAAAAUACCACGAGUACUGACAUAGAUAUGGAUUUACUGACCAUGGUCCUUGACCAUAGACACGAUGACUCGGAAGGAUUUGACUCUGCAGAGUUUGUACUUCAACCACAGCCAACGGAUUUCAGUAGUCACGGGGACUAGUUCCGUUUACGGUGUUUUGGAGGAAACACAUCUAACCAGUACACACCCAUUCAACAUUCCGAAGCCAGGAAUCACCCUCGGCAACGUUCAAGAAAAACUUUGAGACGGGGAGGCUACAACCUCGCGUAGCAUGGGAUCAAAUUUAUAUACGCGCGCUCUAAGGGGUGCCCCCUCUCGGUCCCAACCGGAAACACCAAUGCCCCCUGACCGGAUGACUGGCUUUAAUCCAGGGCCAUGGAACCCUUAUCCCGGCCCCUCUAUUUGGUGUGUACACGGAAAGAGGUUAACAACUUACUAAACCGUAUUCUUGGCAGAAAACAUGUGGCAGCACGGAAGGGGGAAGAACGAUAACGUGACUCCGUCCACGUUAACGUCGGAAUUUAUCGGAUGACGUAAGGCUGGCAUGCUACAACAGUACCACCUUACUGCCCUUCAUGUCACCACAUGACUAGGCUAUCUCUCAUCAGAGAUCACAGUAACUUCGGAACACACGGUAGUUGCCUUACAUGCAACGAGAUACUCACCGAUGCUCUUAUGCCAUGCACAAUCAUUCAAGCAAACAUGCAAAACACCCAUCAUAUCAAAGGUUCAAACAUGCUUGCCUGGUUCGGAGAAGUCGGAGUCUAGCUCGGUGAAGUUCGCGGCUCUGUCACCUCUUCCGGAACCUACGGUAUAGCGAAAACGUAUACUAACGUGAAAAUCAUCGCGUGCAUAAAAGUUGUCCCAAAUUUUUUCCAAAUAAAUACUAUAAAAAACUAGACAAAAAUAUAAGACUGUCAGAAAAAGAAUCAAUCAAAAAUCAUCUUUUAUUAAAAAGUUAUAAGGGUUUUAGUCCAGGGACUAAUCUGUGAUGAAACAGAAAAGAACCAGGGGCUUAACUGAGAAAACAGAAAACGGUUCGGAAAGAAACGCGCCAGCCCAAAGGGAAAACGUAUUCUGCCCGAAGGCGCCAACUGAAAACGGUUCGCGGGUGAGAGAAGAGAGGNNNNNNNNNNNNNNNNNNNNNNNNNNNNNNNNNNNNNNNNNNNNNNNNNNNNNNNNNNNNNNNNNNNNNNNNNNNNNNNNNNNNNNNNNNNNNNNNNNNNNNNNNNNNNNNNNNNNNNNNNNNNNNNNNNNNNNNNNNNNNNNNNNNNNNNNNNNNNNNNNNNNNNNNNNNNNNNNNNNNNNNNNNNNNNNNNNNNNNNNNNNNNNNNNNNNNNNNNNNNNNNNNNNNNNNNNNNNNNNNNNNNNNNNNNNNNNNNNNNNNNNNNNNNNNNNNNNNNNNNNNNNNNNNNNNNNNNNNNNNNNNNNNNNNNNNNNNNNNNNNNNNNNNNNNNNNNNNNNNNNNNNNNNNNNNCGGCGGACGGCGGCUCGGGCGAUGGUGGAGAACUCCGGUGGGUGCUGCAAACUCCGAAUUGAAGCGCGGGUCAGGAGAGUGGAUGCAUAAGGAAGCUACUGGCAAGAGCUGAGAGGUAGAGGUGCACGCACGGGAGCGAAUCGAGCUGGAUCCCGUGGCGGGUCGCGGCGGCCGGAGUUGGGGAAGAAGGCUCCCUCGGGGCUCUUCCAGUGGCUAGGCGUGGUGUUGGAGGUGUGUAGAGGCGGUGUGGGUUCGAGUUUGAGCUCGGGGCCUCUAUUUAUAGGCGAUCCGAGGGGGUGGCCGUGAACGGGAAAUCUCCGGCGAGCGAUUACGGCGAGGCAGUGGUUGGGCAGGGGGUUUAGGUGGCCAGGCAGCAUCAGUGAGAGUUACUGGUCCCGUUCCACUGCUAAACUUGGUCGGGCUUGGCGUAAUGGCGUCGGUCCUCGACGGGGCGGCCGUACGGGCACGGCGGCGGCAGAGAGCGCGCUCCGCGCCUAGCGGUUCACGACGAGGGUGGCAGCGCGCACGGGGGAGUGGAUGGCCACGCGGCGGCCUCCGGUGGCUUGGGCGGCGCUGGGCGGCGCCGGCCACGCUGCGCUCCUCUCUGGCGGCCGCAAAGCCGCCGCUGCCGUCGCUCACGGGGUGGCGCACCUCCUCCUGCUCGUCGCCGACGCCCGCAACCUUCCAGGCGCUCGUGCGGCGCAGGGACAAGAGGGAGGGGGCGGGGAGCAAGGCGCCACAGCGACACUGGCGAGAUUGACAACGAACACUGAAGAAAACGACAGUAGUUUCAGACACUGUAUCACUGAAUUAACUGAACAUGACAUUGACAGUGCUCUGCAGGUGUUCGACGAAAUGAUUUGGCAAGAAGAAAUUUUUUUCUGGAGCUGGGACUUGGUGAGGUGACCUCUCAAUGCACCCAGAGGCUGCCUGAUUUUUCUCAGAUUUUUAGGAGAAGAAUUCAAAUGAAUUUCAUCAAAUUUGGCAAAUCUGGUCCAAACUUGCAGCAAGUAUAGUUUGAAAUAUUUGAACUGAAGACCAGUGGAUCUUCAUGGAUCCUGGUUGAGGGCUCAAGGGACUAGCUAGGGAAAUUGGUUUGGAGGCAAAAUUCAAAGCAGAAAGAGUAGCUCCUUUGUAAACCUCCAAGGAUCAAGAUAGAAGGCAGAAAUUGUUUUUGAUGAGAAUUAAAUGGAAAAGAAAUUAUGGGGAGGUUCAAACUGCUGUAUUUGAAGAGUAACUUGACACAAAGAUGGGGAAAUGCUUAUGGGAGUGGGUUUCCACUUAUGUCAUGGCAAGAGGGAUUUUUGGAAAGGGGAAAAGCAUUACUCAAAAUACCAUAGGGCCAUUUAAAAGAUUUUCAAAAGAAAUUUUUCCCAGUGAAAAGUAUUUUGGUUUUGAGUCCAAAUAAAAAGGGAAAGCCUCCAAGACCAAGAACCAAGUCUUGGGUGAAUCCAAAACAAAACACUUGCCAUAAAAAAAUAUUUUGAGAGGGAGAGUUCUUCAGAAGAAAAAUUUUAAAUAACCUCCCUCAAUUUAAAUAAAAGUUUGAAAAAGCCAAAUGAAAUUUUGGGUGUGACAACACCUACCCCCUUAGGAAAAAAUCUCGUCCUCGAGAUUUCAGCUGAUCCUCAAAUAGAUAUGGAUACUCUGCCUGAAGAAAAUCUUCUCUUUCCCAGGGAGCUUCAUCCUUUGUGUGAUUGCUCCACUGGACCUUGAAGAAUUUAGUUGUUUUCUGACGGGUCCUCCGUUUAGACUCUUCCAAUAUCUUUACUGGCCGUUCUCUGUAGGUGAGGUCUGGUUGCACAUCAAUGAUUUCGUGAGAUACAUGCUUUUCCGGGUUGUUCACACAUUUCCUCAACUGUGAGACGUGAAACACAUCAUGGACGUCUGACAGCUCCUUGGGUAGGUGUAGCUGGUAGGCUACCGUGCCUCUUCGUGCAACUAUACAGAAUGGUCCAAUGAAUCUCGGGGCUAGCUUCCCCUUAAUUUUGAACCGUUGCAGGCCCCUCAUAGGAGACACUCGUAGGUAUACGAAAUCACCGGGUUCAAAGCUGACCUCACGAUGUUUUUGAUCGUAAUAGCUCUUUUGUUGGCUUUGAGCUGUCUUGAGUCUGUCCCUGAUCUGUUUAACUUUCUCCUCGGCCUCCUUGAGCAUGUCUGGGCCGAAGAUACGACUGUCACCUGUCUCUGACCAAUUUAGUGGGGUACGACACCUCCGUCCGUAUAAUGCUUCAAAGGGUGCCAUUUGUAAGCUGGCUUGGUAACUGUUGUUGUAAGCAAACUCGGCAUAUGGCAAACUUUCUUCCCAACUGGAUCCAUAGGUGAGCACACAGGCUCUCAGCAUGUCCUCUAGGAUUUGGUUCACGCGUUCCGUUUGUCCAUCAGUCUGAGGGUGGUACGCUGUACUGAAUGCUAGUUGCAUGCCCAGAGCUUGUUGUAGGUGAUCCCAAAAUUUAGAGACAAAUUGGGUGCCUCGGUCGGAUAUUAGUCUUUGGGACUCCAUGCAAACAAACUAUACGGGAGAGAUAAAGCUUGGCAAGUCUUUGAGUGGAGUAGGUCGUGUUCACGGGAAUGAAAUGUGCUACCUUGGUUAGCCUAUCUGUGAUGACCCAUAUGGCGUCAUUUCCGCGUUGUGAGCGAGGUAGUCCGACGAUGAAGUCCAUUCCAAUUUCAUCCCAUUUCCACUCCGGUAUCCUGUUUGGCUGGAGUAGCCCUGCUGGCUUUUGAUGCUCGGCUUUUAUGCGUUGGCAAGAAUCGCAACAAGCAAUGAGUGCGGCUAUAUCCCUUUUCAUACCGUGCCACCAAAAUCUUUCCUGAAUGUCUUUGUACAUUUUGGUUCCUCCAGGGUGGAUCGAGUAUGGAGCGGUGUGGCUUUCGGUUAGGAUUUGUUGCUUGAGUUCCUCAAUGUUAGGUACGCAAAGUCUGUCCCCGUACCAUAAUAUUCCUUCACUGUCUGUGACGAACUCUGAAGCCUUGCCAAGGCUCAUUUUCCUCUUUAUUCCUUCGAUGCUGGGGUGCCCUUGCUGAGCCUUCUUAAUUUGUUCCACUAGGGUGGGAUGUAUCUCCAGAUUCGAUACGGUGCCCUCAGUGACUAACACCAUGUUGAGUCUAGCGAACUCCUGCUGAAACUCAGGCCUCAAGUUUUGUGGACCGUCGUUGCCCGGGCUAGGGUUCCGACUAAGGGCAUCAGCCACUACAUUUGCUUUCCCUGGAUGGUAGUGAAUGCCGACAUCAUAGUCCUUGACCAAUUCCAACCAGCGUCGUUGGCGUAAAUUUAGCUCUGGUUGUGUGAAAAUAUAUUUAAGGCUCUUAUGGACCGUAUAUAUUUCACAACGAUUUCCCAACAGAAAGUGCCUCCAUUCCUUGAGUGCAUGGAUGACCGCUGCUAGCUCCAAGUCAUGAGUUGGAUAAUUUUCCUCAUGUUUUCGCAGUUGCCUGGAGGCAUACGCGACCACUUUGCCAUCUUGCAUCAGUACACAUCCGAGGCCCUUCCGGGAUGCGUCACAAUACACUUCAAAACUCUUGUGUAUGUCUGGCACAGUUAAGACCGGUGCGGUUGUUAGUUUCUUCUUGAGUUCUUGGAAGCUUUUCUUGCAUGCUUCCGUCCAUACAAAUUUCUUGUCUUUCUUGAGCAACUGUGUCAUUGGUUUUGCCACAGUGGAGAAUCCUUCAAUAAAUCUUCUGUAAUAUCCGGCCAUUCCAAGGAAACUCCGCACAUCUGUCACGUUGGCUGGUGGCUUCCAGUCAAGUAUGGCUUUGACCUUUUCUGGGUCUACGGCCAGCCUUCUUGGGUUAAUAUAUGGCCUAGGAAACCAACUUGCCUUAGCCAAAAUUCACACUUGCUAAAUUUGGCGUAUAAUUGAUGUUUCCUUAAUUCUCCCAAAACAAAUCUGAGAUGCUCAGCAUGCUCUUCUGGUGUCCUUGAGUAUACCAGAAUAUCGUCAAUGAACACCACAACAAAUUUGUCCAUGAAUUUCAUAAACACUUUGUUCAUGAGGUGGACGAAAUAUGCGGGGGCGUUCGUCAGUCCAAACGACAUUACUGUGAACUCAUAUAAUCCGUAUCUGGAGGUAAAUGCUGUCUUAGGGAUAUCUUCUGUCCGUACUUUCAAUUGAUGGUAUCCCGAUCUCAAAUCAAUUUUUGAGAACACCUUGGCUUGUGCGAGCUGGUCAAACAAAUCAUUUAUCCGUGGCAUCGGAUAUUUGUUUUUGAUGGUGACCAUAUUGAGAGCUCGAUAGUCUAUACACAGUCUCAGUGUCCCAUCCUUUUUCUUGGCGAAUAAUACUGGCGAACUCCAAGGUGAGGAGCUGGCUCGAAUAAAACCUUUGCCCAGUAAUUCCUUUAUCUGCUUCUUCAAUUCUACCAAUUCUGAGGGUGCCAUUCUAUAAGGUUUCUUGUAGAUGGGAGCGGUGCCAGGUGCUAGUUCAAUGCUGAACUCUAUCUCCCGGUCUGGUGGCAUGCCUGGUAGUUCUUCAGGGAAUACGUCGGGAAAUUCGCACACCACUGGAACUUUUCUCAAUUCUGAAAUGUCCACGUUGUUCAGCUUUGGUUGCCGUGACCGUGGCCUUUCUUGAGCUGUAACCUUUAUUGUCUUGCCGUGAUGAUGAGUGAGGAUCACAGUCCGAUUGAAACAGUCAAUAAAUCCUUUGUUGGUGGUUAACCAGUCCAUCCCUAAAAUGACAUCCAGUCCUUUAUUUUCCAACACGAUAAGAUUAGCUUGAAACUGUAGUCCUUCAAACUCAAUGAUCACUCCUUGGCAGUAACUCUGAGCGAUCUGCUUAUUUCCGGGGGACUUGAUGAUCAUAGAUUUUUCCAAGGGAAGUAUCGGAAAACCAUGUUGCAAAACAAAAUUCUUCGAAACGAACGAAUGGGAAGCUCCAGAAUCAAACAAAACCGUGGCAGGUACUGUGUUGAUAGGGAACGUACCGAGCACGAUGUCUGGGGCAUUCUGCGCUUCUUCCCUGGUCACAUGGUUCAGGUGACCCUUCCUGUGAUUGUUGUUGGGAUUGAAAUUGUUGCGCUUGGGGACUGGAUUAUUCCCACCAUUGUUCGGCUUGGGGGCCGAGUUCCUUGGUUUUGGGCACUGUUUAGCAUAGUGCCCUUCUUCACCACAAGCAUAGCAUGUGACCCCUGGACGGUACGUGAAGUCCUUGUCCCUGGAAUGAAACUGUCUGGUUGGCCUUAGAUCAGUAGUCGUGGAUUUCCUUGCUUCAGUCCUCUGAACCUCCGUCUUGCUUCGGUUGUUGCAAGCAAGAGUCGUCUUAUCCCUCUUUCGCUUGCGGAUAUCCUCCAGACUACGGCGCUCAUUCUCCAAGGUAAUGGCCUUGUCAACCAGAGUUUUAAAAUCCAGGAAAGUGUGCACAACCAGUUGGCAUCUUAAUGCUGGCGCCAGGCCGUCCAAAAACUUUUCCAUCCUUUUGUUCUCAGUCAUAUGCUCAUCGUAGGCAUAACGAGACAGCUGGGUAAACCGACCGUUGUAUUCUGUCACUGACAUGCCUCUCUGCUUGAGGUCAUCAAAUUCUCUUUUCUUGAUUUUUAUGAUGCUCCUGGGGAUGUGUGCCCCACGAAAGCCUUCCUUGAACUCUUCCCAGGUGAUGUUGUGUUCACUGGGAUGCAUGUGUAGGAAGUUUUCCCACCAUGCUGCAGCUGCUCCAGUAAGGUAGUGGGGUGCAUAAAGCACCUUCUCAUGAUCUGAACACUGAGCAAUAAUCAACUUCCUUUCGAUGUCACGAAGCCAAUCAUCGGCUUCAAGUGGCCUAUCAGUGUGAGCAAACGUUGGAGGGCGUGUCUUCUGCAGUUCAGACAACUUGGAGUGUGGUUGAUAUGGCUCACGGUGGUUCCCCAUAUUGAUGACGUGAUUCAUCAUUUCUUGGUGUUGCUGUUGGCUUUGCUCGAAAAGGCGGCAUACUUGAGAUAGGGCUGCUUCGCUGUCCUGUUGACUAGACUGUCCCUGAGUGAAGUUGUUGCUGGUCUGUGUUCCAUAAACUUCUUCUGGUUGAUUGGGCAUGGAACGAGUCCACGGACGAGACAUUUUCCACUCUGGGGUAUUAUUUUGCAAAACUCAUGAGAAGAACUAUGUGGCACAAGGAAAAUCUUGCAAAAGCGAAAAUUUAAAAGACUUCAUUUUUUUUAAGAAAACAUAAACGAUUUCGCACGGAGAAGAACUGCUUAGCACAUAUCUUACAUGCGAAAAGCAAACACACGAUACAACACUCAGGAUGUGCAUACACAUUCCUGACAUGUUAUUAGACUAGCACACCCCUCCGGAAUGCAGCGAACACAACUACUACAAACUAACGUACAGAUAAAACAUACCAUACAUGCAGACACAACGCGCGGCUACUCGGCGCACUCAGUCGGAGAUGGUGACGAUGUCCUUCCCCUUGCCGAGGGUAAGACCCAGCGGUGCAGGGGACUCAACCUCCACCUCCUCCCUAGUAGGCUCCAGACGCGUAGCACUGCGCUGAGCUGAUGGUGCGGGAGCGACAGGCGGCAGUGCGGGUGUGGCAGGCGGUGCAGCUCUGACUGGAGUAGGAGCGAUGACCCGGUCGAACUCCUCAGUGGUAGGCAGACGGCGAGCAGUGGCCAAAAUGGCCGGUGCAUAAGAUGCUGAGGACGAGACGAAAGUCAGAGGCGGUGCCAUGUGGAGAAGCUCCUUCCUGCAGGCAGGACCGCCCCGAACUAAGUCCAUGCGGGCAGCCACAAGAUCGUCCACGAGGUUGUCGAAAGAUUCCUCCAGAGCCUUGAGAUACUCCACAACCAUCUCGAUGGCUUCAUCUCGCUCUCCCCUAUGGCAGGCGAAUGCAUAGUGACAAGUAUAUGGCACAUGGCAUGGGAGGUAGCGGUAGCGACGAGUCUUCAUCAUAGGAAGAAUGUCCCGAAGGCGAGCUAUCGCCUCACGGGCAGCCAUUUGCAUGGCAUGCCUCUCCGUAGGCAUGGCCCUUCCCACAAAACGGAAGUGGCGAGACGUAGAACGUCCCCCCUUGAAUUGCACCACGGCCUGGUGCAUAGACACGUCGUCGCUGAGCUUGUGCUGGUAAAGCGUGAACUCCGGACGAGUCGCUGGCCCGAUCGCGAGCUUGGUGAUGGAGACGAGGAGUUUGACAAACCCGUCGGGCACGUUAGUGAACACCCGAGUCUCGCAGUUGCUGCCAGCCAUCUACAAAAGUAGGCAAAAUUCUGAGUAGUCAUGUCAUAAAUUUAUGAUGACCAACAGAAAAAUAGCUACAUUUGCAAAAAUGCUGAAGAAACGCUUAAAACGCUAAUAACCGAUUAGCGAUCGCACCUAGUGGCUUCCUACAGUCAGCCUGGCUCUGAUACCAAGCUUGUCAUGACCGGUUUUCCAAUAAAAAUAUUUAUUGAGAGACCGAUCCCUUUUACGGACCAGUAAAGAAGAAUUUCUUCUCACUGGUAGACAAUAUCUUGGUCACAGAAGAAAAAUACCAGGAGUACUGAAUAUAAUACAAGGUUGAGCGGAGACUGCUCAACAAUUUAUUACAGGCACGCCAAUAAAGCAUAAUGCCGGAUAGGGUGGCAUAACUACUAACUCACGGUGGUGGAAAUAUCACAGCGGAGUGGGUGACAAGACUCCUGAAACUAACAACUCUUCGAGCGUCGGAGUGAGGCUCGAGGAGACUUAUUGCGGGUGGCGGAAGCGUAUAUGAUACAAGUAACCAAUAUCCAGGAUCGCACGGGACUGACUGGGAUUCCUCUAGGCGUCGGACUCACUAUCAAACUCUUCAUCCAUGAGAUCGCCUUCGUCAACAUCUGGCCAAAUCAACAAGCCAGGUGAGUACUAUGAAAGUACUCGCAAGACAGUUCGGACAUAAGAUAUAACAAAUGUAAACAUGAUGCAUACGAAAUGAUUAGCAAAUGCACUCAGACAUAGGGAUAACAUUGUAUGGGAAAUAAAAGAGAAGUCGGGCGGUAGUCCUCCUGAAAUCCCAAAGUAAAAUACUGAGGGCCAAACGAGUGUCUGAAUGACUCCUCGAGAGGGAACAAAAGAAUUAACAAUGCCGUAGUCGGGCGUCAAGGCGACACCACAUAAAGGGCUUAUAAUAGAACAUAAAUGACAGUGCGUGCCACAGUCAGACGUCUGAGCGACAUCACAUAAAGGGCUUAUAUCAAAAGUAAACAACAUCAGUGCCACAGUCGGACGUCUGAGCGACAUCACAUAAAGGGCUUAUAUCAAAACUAAAUAACAAGAGUGCCAUAGUCGGACGUCUGAGCGACAUCACAUAAAGGGCUUAUAUCAAAAGUAAAUAACAAGAGUGCCACAGUCGGACGUCUGAGCGACAUCACAUAAAGGGCUUAUAUUUCAUAAUUUCAUAUCUCAGCAGCUCAAGAAUUUAAAUCAUAUGAAGAGAAUAAUCAGGUAUGAGAUAAACAACAGGGUUAGUCCAUUCACAGGAAUAACGUUCAACCAAGUUUACCGCUCAAGCUUAUUCACCGGGGAAAAAUACCACGAGUACUGACAUAGAUAUGGAUUUACUGACCAUGGUCCUUGACCAUAGACACGAUGACUCGGAAGGAUUUGACUCUGCAGAGUUUGUACUUCAACCACAGCCGACGGAUUUCAGUAGUCACGGGGACUAGUUCUGUUUAUGGUGUUUUGGAGGAAACACAUCUAACCAGUACACACCCAUUCAACAUUCCGAAGCCAGGAAUCACCCUCGACAAUGUUCAAGAAAAACUUUGAGACGGGGAGGCUACAACCUCGCGUAGCAUGGGAUCAAAUUUAUAUACGCGCGCUCUAAGGGGUGCCCCCCUCUCGGUCCCAACCGGAAACACCCAUGGCCCCUGACCGGAUGACUGGCUUUAAUCCAGGGCCAUGGAACCCUCAUCCCGGCCCCUCUAUUUGGUGUGUACACGGAAAGAGGUUAACAACUUACUAAACCGUAUUCUUGGCAGAAAACAUGUGGCAGCACGGAAGGGGGAAGAACGAUAACGUGACUCCGUCCAUGUUAACGUCGGAAUUUAUCGGAUGACGUAAGGCUGGCAUGCUACAACAGUACCACCUUACUGCCCUUCAUGUCACCACAUGACUAGGCUAUCUCUCAUCAGAGAUCACAGUAACUUCGGAACACACGGUAGUUGCCUUACAUGCAACGAGAUACUCACCGAUGCUCUUAUGCCAUGCACAAUCAUUCAAGCAAACAUGCAAAACACCCAUCAUAUCAAAGGUUCAAACAUGCUUGCCUGGUUCGGAGAAGUCGGAGUCUAGCUCGGCGAAGUUCGCGGCUCCGUCACCUCUUCCGGAACCUACGGUAUAGCGAAAACGUAUACUAACGUGAAAAUCAUCGCGUGCAUAAAAGUUGUGCCAAAUUUUUUCCAAAUAAAUACUAUAAAAAACUAGACAAAAAUAUAAGACUGUCAGAAAAAGAAUCAAUCAAAAAUCAUCUUUUAUUAAAAAGUUAUAAGGGUUUUAGUCCAGGGACUAAUCUGUGAUGAAACAGAAAAGAACCAGGGGCUUAACUGAGAAAACAGAAAAUGGUUCGGAAAGAAACGCGCCAGCCCAAGGGAAAACGUAUUCUGCCCGAAGGCACCAACUGAAAACGGUUCGCGGGUGAGAGAAGAGAGGCUGACCGGGGGGGGGGGUCCACACGUCAGGUUUGAAAACCUCGCCGACGCCCGAAGGCUGCGGUGGUCGCCGGCGUUGAACCACGGCGAGGCAGGGAGAUCGGAGUGUACCAAGAGGUUCAGUGCGUCCUUCCGCGUCGGUGGGUGGUGGACUUGACCGACGGAGAGCACCACGUCGACGGCGACACUUUCUCCGGCGGACGGCGGCUCGGGCGAUGGUGGAGAACUCCGGUGGGUGCUGCAAACUCCGAAUUGAAGCGCGGGUCAGGAGAGUGGAUGCAUAAGGAAGCUACUGGCAAGAGCUGAGAGGUAGAGGUGCACGCACGGGAGCGAAUCGAGCUGGAUCCCGUGGCGGGUCGCGGCGGCCGGAGUUGGGGAAGAAGGCUCCCUCGGGGCUCUUCCAGUGGCUAGGCGUGGUGUUGGAGGUGUGUAGAGGUGGUGUGGGUCGAGUUUGAGCUCGGGGCCUCUAUUUAUAGGCGAUCCGAGGGGGUGGCCGUGAACGGGAAAUCUCCGGCGAGCGAUUACGGUGAGGCAGUGGUUGGGCAGGGGGUUUAGGUGGCCAGGCAGCAUCAGUGAGAGUUACUGGUCCCGUUCCACUACUAAACUUGGCCGGGCUUGGCGUAAUGGCGUCGGUCCUCGACGGGGCGGCCGUACGGGCACAGCGGCGGCAGAGAGCGUGCUCCGCGCCUAGCGGUUCACGACGAGGGUGGCAGCGCGCACGGGGGAGUGGAUGGCCACGCGGCGGCCUCCGGUGGCUUGGGCCGCGCUGGGCGGCGCCGGCCACGCUGCGCCCCUCUCUGGCGGCCGCAAAGCCGCCGCUGCCGUCGCUCACGGGGUGGCGCACCUCCUCCUGCUCGUCGCCGACGCCCACAACCUUCCAGGCGCUCGUGCGGCGCAGGGACAAGAGGGAGGGGACGGGGAACAAGGCGCCACAGCGACACUGGCGAGAUUGACAACGAACACUGAAGAAAACGACAGUAGUUUCAGACACUGUAUCACUGAAUUAACUGAACAUGACAUUGAUAGUGCUCUGCAGGUGUUCGACGAAAUGAUUUGGCAAGAAGAAUUUUUUUUCUGGAGCUGGGACUUGGUGAGGUGACCUCUCAAUGCACCCAGAGGCUGCCUGAUUUUUCUCAGAUUUUUAGGAGAAGAAUUCAAAUGAAUUUCAUCAAAUUUGGCAAAUCUGGUCCAAACUUGCAGCAAGUAUAGUUUGAAAUAGUUGAACUGAAGACUAGUGGAUCUUCAUGGAUCCUGGUUGAGGGCUCAAGGGACUAGCUAGGGAAAUUGGUUUGGAGGCAAUACUCAAAGCAGAAAGAGUAGCGCCUUUGUAAACCUCCAAGGAUCAAGAUAGAAGGCAGAAAUUGUUUUUGAUGAGAAUUAAAUGGAAAAGAAAUUAUGCGGAGGUUCAAACUGCUGGAUUUGAAGAGUAACUUGACACAAAGAUGGGGAAAGGCUUAUGGGAGUGGGUUUCCACUUAUGUCAUGGCAAGAGGGAUUUUUGGAAAGGGGAAAGGAUUACUCAAAAUACCAUAGGGCCAUUUAAAAGAUUUUCAAAAGAAAUUUUUCCCAGUGAAAAGUAUUUUGGUUUUGAGUCCAAAUAGAAAGGGAAAGCCUCCAAGACCAAGAACCAAGUCUUGGGUGAAUCCAAAACAAAACACUUGCCAUAAAAAAAAUAUUUUGAGAGGGAGAGUUCUUCAGAAGAAAAUUUUUAAAUAACCUCCCUCAAUUUAAAUAAAAGUUUGAAAAAGCCAAAUAAAAUUUUGGGUGUCACAAUUUUGCCUUCGGAUCUGUGAUAGAAGCUGUACCCAACAGCUUCCUUUGGGUAUCCUAUGAAGACGCACUUCUCCGGUUUGGGUUCGAGCUUAUCAGGUUGAAGCUUUUUCACAUAAGCAUCGCAACCCCAAACUUUAAGAAACGACAACUUUGGUUUCUUGCCAAACCACAGUUCAUAAGGUGUCAUCUCAACGGAUUUUGAUGGUGCACUAUUUAAAGUGAAUGCAGCCGUCUCUAAAGCAUAACCCCAAAACGAUAGCGAUAAAUCAGUAAGAGACAUUAUAGAUCGCACCAUAUCCAAUAAUGUACGAUUACGACGUUCGGACACACCAUUUUGCUGUGGUGUUCCAGGUGGCGUUAGUUGUGAAUCUAUCCCAUGUUCUUUCAAAUGAAGAACAAACUCGUAACUCAAAUAUUCUCCUCCACGAUCAGAUCGUAGAAACUUUAUUUUCUUGUGACGAUGAUUUUCCACUUCACUCUGAAUUUCUUGAAAUUUUCAAAUGUUUCAGACUUAUGUUUCAUCAAGUAGAUAUAACCAUAUCUGCUCAAAUCAUCUGUGAAGGUAAAAAAAUAACGAUACCCGCCACGAGCUUCAAUAGUCAUUGGACUGCAUACAUCAGUAUGUAUUAUUUCCAAUAAGUCAGUAGCUCGUUCCAUUGUUCCGGAGAACGGAGUUUUAGUCAUAUUGCCCAUAAGGCACGGUUCGCAAGCACCAAGUGAUUCAUAAUCAAGAAAUUCCAAAAGUCCAUCAGCAUGGAGUUUCUUCAUGCGCUUUACACCGAUAUGACCCAAACGGCAGUGCCACAAAUAAGUUGCACUAUCAUUAUCAACUUUGCAUCUUUUGGCUUCAAUAUUAUGAAUAUGUGUAUCAUCACUAUCGAGAUUCAACAAAAAUAGACCACUCAUCAAGGGUGCACGACCAUAAAAGAUAUUACUCAUAUAAAUAGAACAACCAUUAUUCUCUGAUUUAAAUGAAUAACCGUCUCGCAUCAAACAAGAUCCAAAUAUAAUGUUCAUGCUCAACGCUGGCACCAAAUAACAAUUAUUCAGGUCUAAAACUAAUCCCGAUGGUAGAUGUAGAGGUAGCGUGCCGACGACGAUCACAUCGACCUAACCAUUUCCCACACGCAUCAUCACCUUGUCCUUAGCCAAUCUUCUUUUAAUCCGUAGCCCCUGUUUUGAGUUGCAAAUAUGAGCAACAGAACCAGUAUCAAAUACCCAGGCUCUACUACAAGCAUUAGGAAGGUACACAUCAAUAACAUGUAUAUCAAAUAUACCUUUCACUUUGCCAUCCUUCUUAUCCGCCAAAUACUUGGGGCAGUUCCGCUUCCAGUGACCAGUCCCUUUGAAGUAGAAGCACUCAGUUUCAGGCUUAGGUCUAGACUUGGGUUUCUUCUCUUGAGCAGCAACCUUUUUGCCAUUCUUCUUGAAGUUCCCCUUCUUCCCUUUACCCUUUUUCUUGAAACUAGUGGUCUUGUUGACCAUCAACACUUGAUGCUCCUUUUUUAUUUCUACCUCCGCAGCCUUUAGCAUUGCAAAGAGCACGGUAAUAGUCUUGUUCAUUCCUUGCAUAUUAUAGUUCAUCACGAAGCCUUUAUAGCUUGGUGGCAGUGAUUGAAGAAAUCUGUCAAUGACACUAUCAUCAGGAAGAUUAACUCCCAUCUGAGUCAAGUGGUUAUGGUACCCAGACAUUCUGAGUAUGUGUUCACUGACAGAACUAUUCUCCUCCAUUUUGCAGCUGUAGAACUUGUUGGAGACUUCAUAUCUCUCAACUCAGGCAUUUGCUUGAAAUAUUAACUUCAACUCUUGGAACUUCUCAUAUGCUCCAUGACGUUCAAAAUGUCUUUGAAGUCUCGAUUCUAAGCCGUAAAGCAUGGCACACUGAACUAUCGAGUAGUCAUCAACACGCGUCUGCCAGGCUUUCACAAUGUCUACAGUUGCGGGCGCGGGUGGUACACCUAAUGGUGCUUCCAGGACGUAAUUCUUCUGUGCAGCAAUGAGGAUAAUCCUCAAGUUAUGGACCUAGUCCGUGUAGUUUCUGCCAUCAUCUUUCAACUUAGCUUUCUCUAGGAACGUAUUAAAAUUCAAAGGAACGGUAGCACGGGCCAUUGAUCUACAAUAACAUAGACAUGCAAAAUAACUAUCAGGACUAAGUUCAUGAUAAAUUAAAGUUCAAUUAAUCGUAUUACUCAAGAACUCCCACUUAGAUAGACAUCCCUCUAGUCAUCUAAAUGAUCACGUGAUCCAAAUCAACUAAACCAUGUCCGAUCAUCACGUGAGAUGGAAUAGUUUUCAAUGGUGAACAUCACUAUGUUGAUCAUAUCUACCAUAUGAUUCACGUUCGACCUUUCAGUCUCAGUGUUCCGAGGCCAUAUCUGCAUAUGCUAGGCUCGUCAAGUUUAACCCCGAAUAUUCUGCGUGUGCAAAACUGGCUUGCACCUGUUGUAUGUGAACAUAGAGCUUAUCACACCCGAUCAUCAUGUGGUGUCUCGACACGACGAACUAUAGCAACGGUGCGUACUCAGGGAGAACACUUAUACCUUGAAAUUUAGUAAGGGGUCAUCUUAUAAUGCUACCACUGAACUAAGCAAAAUAAGAUGCAUAAAAGAUAAACACCACAUGCAAUCAAAAUAUGUGACAUGAUAUGGCCAUCAUCAUCUUGUGCUCAUGAUCUCCAUCACCGAAGCAUGGUCAUGAUCUCCAUCGUCACCGGCGCAACACCUUGAUCUCCAUCGUACCAUCAUUGUCAUCUCGCCAACUAUUGUUACUACGACGAUCGCUACCGCUUAGUGAUAAAGUAAAACAAUUACAUGGCGAUUGCAUUGCAUACAAUAAAGCGACAACCAUAUGGCUCCUGCCAGUUGCCGAUAACUUUGUUACAAAACAUGAUCAUCUCAUACAAAAAUUUAUAUCACAUCAAGCCUUGACCAUAUCACAUCACAGCAAGCCCUGCAAAAAUAAGUUAGACGUCCUCUACUUUGUUGCUGCAAGUUUUACGUGGCUGCUAUGGGCUUCUAGCAAGAACCGUUCUUACCUACGCAUCAAAACCACAACGAUUUUUCGUCAAGUGUGCUGUUUUAACCUUCAACAAGGACCGGGCGUAGACACACUUGAUUCAACUAAAGUUGGAGAAAUAGACACCAGCCAGCCACCUAUGUGCAUAAGCACGUCGGUAGAACCAGUGUCAUGAAUGCGGUCAUGUAAUGUCGGUCUGGGCCGCUUCAUCCAACAAUACCGCCGAAUCAAAGUAUGACUAUUAUCGCCCACAACUCUUUGUGUUCUACUCGUGCAUAUAACAUCUACGCAUAGACCUGGCUCUGAUACCACUGUUGGGGAACGCAGUAAUCUCAGAAAAAUUCCUACGAUCACGCAAUAUCUAUCUAGGUGAUGCAUGAUACGUCUCCAACGUAUCUACUUUUCCAAACACUUUUGCCCUUGUUUUGGACUCUAACUUGCAUGAUUUGAAUGAAACUAAUCCGGACUGACGCUGUUUUCAGCAGAAUUGCCAUGGUGUUAUCUUUGUGCAGAAACAAAAGUUCUCGGAAUGACCUGGAAAUCCACGGAGAUUAUUUUUGGAAAAUAAGAAAAAUACUGGCGAAAGAAUCAAGGCUAGGGGGCCCAAACCCUGUCCACGAGGGUGGGGGGCGCGCCCCCUGUCUUGUGGGCCCCCUGGAUCUCCACCGACCUCAACUCCAACUCUAUAUAUUCCGUUUGGCAGAGAAAAAAUUAGAGAGAAAGUUUCAUCACGUUUUAUGAUACGGAGCCGCCGCCAAGCCCUAAUCUCUCUCGGGUGGGCUGAUCUGGAGUCCGUUUGGGGCUCCGGAGAGGGGGAUUCAUCGCCUUCAUCAUCAUCAACCAUCCUCCAUCACCAAUUUCUUGAUGCUCACCGCCGUGCGUGAGUAAUUCCAUCGUAGGCUUGCUGGAGGGUGAUGGGUUGGAUGAGAUUUAUCAUUUAAUCGAGUUAGUUUUGUUAGGGUUCGAUCCCUAGUAUCCACUAUGUUCUGAGAUUGAUGUUGCUAUGACUUUGCUAUGCUUAAUGAUUGUCACUAGGGCCCGAGUGCCAUGAUUUCAGAUCUGAACCUAUUAUAUUUUCAUGAAUAUAUGUGAGUUCUUGAUCCUAUCUUGCAAGUCUAUAGUCGCCUAUUAUGUGUUAUGAUCCGACAACCCCGAAGUGACAAUAAUCGGGAUACUUCUCGGUGAUGACCGUAGUUUGAGGAGUUCAUGUAUUCACUAAGUGCUAAUGCUUUGGUCCGGUUCUCUAUUAAAAGGAGGCCUUAAUAUCCCUUAGUUUCCAUUAGGACCCCGCUGCCACGGGAGGGUAGGAGAAAAGAUGUCAUGCAAGUUCUUUUCCAUAAGCACGUAUGACUAUAUUCGAAAUACAUGCCUACAUUACAUUGAUGAACUGGAGCUAGUUCUGUGUCACCCUAGGUUAUAACUAUUACAUGAGGAAUCGCAUCCGACAUAAUUAUCCAUCACUGAUCCAAUGCCUACGAGCUUUUCACAUAUUGUUCUUUGCUUAUUUACUUUACCGUUACUACUGUUACAAUUACUACAAAACUGCUAUCGUUACUUUUGCCACUGUUACCAUUACUAUCAUAUUACUUUGCUACUAAAUACUUUGCCGCAGAUACUAAGUUAUCUAGGUGUGGUUGAACUGACAACUCAACUACUAAUACUUGAGAAUAUUCUUUGGCUCCCCUUGUGUCGAAUCAAUAAAUUUGGGUUGAAUACUCUACCCUUGAAAACGGUGGCGAUCCCCUACACUUGUGGGUUAUCAAGACUAAUUUCUGGCGCCGUUGCCGGGGAGCAUAGCUCUAUUCUUUGAGUCACUUGGGAUUUAUAUCUGCUGGUCACUAUGAAGAACUUGAAGACGAUAAAACUAAAAUUUAUCCCUCAACUACGCGGUUAGGUAAGGAACUGCCAUCUAGCUCUGCUCUAGAUUCCCCUUCUGUUUUGAGUAAACUUGCGACACCUAAACCUGCUUCUGCUAUUAAUUCUGAUAUGUCGCAUGUUAUUGAUGAUGCCACUUCUGCUAUGCAUGAUACUUGUGAUGAAACUACUUCUUUGCUUGAUACUACUGUGCCACUUGGUGAAUUUCUUGAUGAACAACUUGCUAGGGCUAGAGAGAAUGAAAUUAUUGAAAAUGAAAUUAUUGAAAAUGAAAUUAUUGAAAAUAGUGAUGAUGAAGGUUCCCCCCUAAGUAUGAAUUGCCUGUUGUUCCUAAGGGUUAUGUUAUGCAUGAAGAAACUGCUAGAGAUCUUCUUGCUUGCAAUGACAGAUCUGAUCUUAAGAAGUUAUUAGCUAAACUUAAACAGAAAACUCUGAAUGCUAGAAUGAAAUAUGACCCUGCUUUUGCUACUUCACCUAUCUUUGUUACUGAUAAGGAUUAUGAAUUCUCUGUUGAUCCUGAGAUAAUUACUUUGGUUGAAUCUGAUCCUUUUUAUGGCUAUGAAUCUGAAACUGUUGUGGCACAUCUUACUAAGUUAAAUGAUAUAGCUACCAUGUUCACUAAUGAUGAGAAAUCUCGCUACUAUUAUAUCACUAGUAGAAAACAGGGCUUUCGUUCGGGCGGGACUUAGUCCCGGUUCAGUCAAGAACCGGGACCCAUGGGGGCAUUCAUCCCGGUUCGUUAGCCCAGGGGGCCGGCCGGGGCCUCGUGGGCAUUGGUCCCGGUUCCUGGGGAACCAUUUGUCCCGGUUCUAGGCACGAACCGGGACCAAUGGGCCUCGACCCUGGCCCACAACCAUUGGUCCCGGUUCGUGGCUAGAACCGGGACAGAAGGUGGAGCUUUAGUCCUGGUUGCAGCCACGAACCGGGACAAAUGAGUUGCCUAUAUAUACCCCAUCGCCACGGCAAAGCACUCCACAGCCGGCGAGAGGAGGGCAUUUGGGUGCUCUCUAGCUCACCUCCUUGCACAUGAGGUGUUCGAUGAAAUGUCUGAGCCACACUAGUUAAUCUUUCUCCUCUCGAAACUCGACCUCCGAGCUCCAUUUUCCCCGAGAUUUGUCUAGGUUUAGCGGUCCGUCACGUCCCGUCCCCGUCUUCACCGCCGUCGAUCGCCCGCGCCGAUCUCGUCGCCGGCACCACCGUGGUGAGCCUCUUGUUCUUAUCUUCUUUCUGAAAGAAAAAAAAAUUCUUACUUCAGAUAGAUACUUGUCUAAUUUUCUUACUUUUAUUAUUCCUUGUUAUUAUAUAGUGCGAUGGUUUUGGUAUCCGCCCCCGUCGGCCCUCGUGCUGUCUAUGAUUCGGAUGUGGUAUAUAUAUUAUCUUUUGAUAACUAUUUGGUUCAUUUAUUGUUUAUGACAAUUAUGCCGACCAACGUGACAUAGAUUUUAUUUAUCUAGGAGGUGGUUGAACCGGAAAUUCCAACCGACCCUAUUGUCGAGAGGUUAAAUUUAGUUUAAGGAGAAAACAAUUACUUGAAGGAAAAAAUAAAAAAGAGGAGGAGAAGAUGAUAUUGGAGUUGCAUGUUGCGGAUGUCGUCGAUGAUCACAAGAUCAAGAUGGAUGCAAUGCGGUUGAAGAUUAGAAAGAUUAGAAAAUAUGCCAUUCAUACCAAGGCUUGGUAUCAUUAUGCGGUUGGAUCAGUUGUUACCUUGGUUGCGAUUAUGAUCGCAUUUGUUGUUGCAUUGAAAUGUUUUACAUAAUUUCAAUGUAUGGUUUAAUUAGAUGCUCUGGAGAGCUAUAUGUUGUUCAAUGAGAAAUAUGUAUGUACUUUGGUUUUAAUGUGAUGAUGAACUUCUAUUAAUUUGGUCACUUAUCUAUUCAUGAGUUCAUUUCAAAUGCUUUUCAAUUUCAUGGUCUUAUGGCUCAAAAUAAUCAGUAAAUGCAUGAAAAAUAACAAAUGAAGUCAGAAAGGGUUGGAAAUUGAUGAUGUGGCUUUGAAUGGUGCAUUUUGAACACAGAAAAACUAUGGAGUUCCAAUAAGUUCAAAAAAAUGAAAUCCGUUUGUAACAGACGAGUUUCCGUAUGAAACCCUGAUAACAAAAAUGAAAUCCCCUUUGUAACAGACGAGUUUCCGUAUGAAAUCCCUUUGUUUCAGAGUUCAUAAAUAACUUUUUUGUUACAAACUUUAAUAGCAAAAAGAAUAUUCAUAAAAUAAAAUAAAUAAGUAAUUUGAAACAAAAUAAUAUAAACUUUUAAAAAAUAUAAGUAGAAACAAAAUAAAAUAAAAUAAAAUAAACUUUAAUAACAUAAAUAAAUUUUAUGAAACUAAAAUUAUCAAAGUAAUUUCUGUUCAAAAUGAUCAAAAGCAAAAAUAAUUUUCAUAAAGNNNNNNNNNNNNNNNNNNNNNNNNNNNNNNNNNNNNNNNNNNNNNNNNNNNNNNNNNNNNNNNNNNNNNNNNNNNNNNNNNNNNNNNNNNNNNNNNNNNNNNNNNNNNNNNNNNNNNNNNNNNNNNNNNNNNNNNNNNNNNNNNNNNNNNNNNNNNNNNNNNNNNNNNNNNNNNNNNNNNNNNNNNNNNNNNNNNNNNNNNNNNNNNNNNNNNNNNNNNNNNNNNNNNNNNNNNNNNNNNNNNNNNNNNNNNNNNNNNNNNNNNNNNNNNNNNNNNNNNNNNNNNNNNNNNNNNNNNNNNNNNNNNNNNNNNNNNNNNNNNNNNNNNNNNNNNNNNNNNNNNNNGAAUAAAUAAUUAAUUAUAAACAAAAUAAAAUAAAAUAAAUAAGUAUUUUGUUGUAAGUAGAAAUAAAACAAAAUAAAUAAAGCAAAAAAGAAAACAAAAAAGUGGGAAAAAAUGCCACCUACUAGGCCACCACGGCCUGAAUACGACUAGAAACCCAUCCAUGGGCCAGGAUUCAGGCCUGCAGCAGGCCCAGUAGGCCCACAGGCACAUAGUGACAGAUUAGGCCCGAAAGCCUGCAGUUGAGAGGAGCUCGAGAGGGUGGCCGCGUCAGCGCUUAUAAACCACUCUCGAGCUCUCUCAACUAGCGAGGUGGGACUAAACUUUUGGCCGCGAGGCGGGCAGCACAAGGCCUUUGGUCCCGGUUGGUGGCACCAUCCGGGACUAAAGAGGUGCAUUGGUACCGGUUCUUGGCACCAACCGGUACCAAUGCCCCCCCUUUAGUCCCGGUUGGUGCCACCAACCGAGACCAAAGGCCUCUGCUUCCCGCCCUUUGGGCUGCUGAAAAGAGACCUUUGGUCCCGGUUGGUGGCACAAACCGGGACUAAAGGUGGCAUUGGUCCCGCACGAACCGGUACCAAUGCCCUGGAUAUAUAAGCAAAAACGUAGUAGUUUCGACCAAAUUCCUCACUUCUUCUCCCCCGACGCCCCCUGCUCCUCCUCGCCGUCGCCGCCCGACGCCCCUGCUUCACGUUGCCGUCGCCGCCGCCACCGACGCCGUCAGGCUACUCGACGUCGCUGUCGCCGCCGCCACCGACGCCGUUAGGCUACUCCACGUCGCCGCCGCCGCUUUCGCCCUCUGCCCCUACGCCCCUGCUCCUCCGAGUCGCCGUCGCCGCCCUCUGUCGUCGCCGUCGCCCCUGGUCUACCGUGCCCCGCCGCCCCCUGUGAGCACCAGCCUGCUCCCGCGCCCCUCCCCUGUCCCGCGCCCCUGCGCCCCGCCCGCCGGCGCCGGCCCGUCCGCCGUGCCCCUCCGCCCCUGCGCGGUGCACGGGGUGGAUGUUUUUAUUGAUGUUUUUAGAUGUUUUUUUAGAUGUUUUUAGAUGCUAUUCUUAGAUGUUUGUACAUGUUUUUUAGAUUAUCUUAGUUUAUGUUUAGUUUAGUUUAGAUUAGGAAAAUUUCAGAUGUGUAGUAAUAUUUAUUUAGAUGUGUAGUUAAUUUAGAUGUUGUAAUUUGUUCAUAAAAAUUGUGCACUUUUGUAUAGAAACUUUAUUUUUGUUCAUAUGUACGAAAAUGUAGAGUGAAAAGUGAGGGGGGACGUCGGACAUUACAUGAGGCGGGGAGUCGUCGGACAUGACAUGAGGGGGGACGUCAGAAAAAAUAAGAAGAGGAAGAAGAAGAAAAAAAAGAGGAGAAGAAGAAGGAAUAGAGGAGUGGAAUUCCACUCCUCUAUUCCUUCUUCUUCUCCUCUUUUUUUCUUCUUCUUUUUUAUCGGGAAUGAGGGUGUCGAGGAUCGCCGAGCUGUCGAGGGUCAGGAACUAGGGCGGAGGGUCGAGGGUCACCGAGGGGUCGAGGGUCGUCGAGGGUUCGAGGGGCGAGGGUCGUCGAGGGGUCGAGGGUUGAGGAACGCCGAGGGGUUUUGUUGAAUCCUUUGACACUAGCUAGACAAACGUGAAGCGUUGCCGAGACCACCCCAAACCUGGGAGAAGCUAGGUCUACGUUUGCCACUAAUAUAUCCACCUGCUUCAUGUUUAGAAAAGUGUAUAUAUGUAUGUAUGUUCUCUGUGUAUAUAUGUUCAUAUAUGCAAAAGUUAGAUUUUUAGAAAAGUGAGCACCCCCUCUCGACCAUGAUAACUUAUACCACGGGAGCACCCCCCCGGCCCUCUCGCUCGACCAAAACUCUCGAGGACACCCAAACCCUAGAAAAAAACGAUGUCGGUCUCGUACCCCCUCCCGCCGCGCCCCUACACGACAAACUCUCACGAGGCCACCCAAAUUUACCAAGUUAAAAGAGUGUUGUCGUCGAGGCCACCCCAAACCCUUGAAGCAUUGUCGAGGCCACUCCAAACCCUUGAAGCGUUGCGGAGGCCACCCCGGCCCAAACCCUAGAGAAGCAAGUCGAGGCCACUAAUUAAUAUGAUUCCUUAUUGUGAUUAGCUAGCUAGUUCUACAUUUGCCACUAAUAUAUCCAUCUGUCAUGUUUGAAUAAUAAUUGCCAUGUUGUAAAUAUUUGCAGAAACUAUGGAUCCUCGAGACGAAGCAACAUAAGCAUUGUUGGGGGACAUAAUCGCAAAAGGAAGUGAUGCUGUCUUGUCGUAUCUCAACGACACCGAUGGUCUGGAAGGACAGGGUGAAGAAGAAGACUGAUUAGGAUGGCUCCGGUGACCCAAUGCCGGUACAAGAAGGAGACCGUGAUGACGGCUCCGGUGACCCAAUGCCGGUACAAGAAGGAGACCGUGAUGACGGCUCCGGUGACCGAACCGAUUCCGGCCAGGUAUAUAUAUUAGUUAAGCCUGUGCUGACUAGCUAAUUGAUGCAUUCAUUGUUUUCGUAUGUACAUAUAUUAAUUAACUCUCGUCUUUCUUCUUUUUUCUCGCCCUCCGGAUCGAGCACAACUUUGGUAAGGAGACGAGGCCCGAAGAAAACAUUGCGCUCGGAUGAAAGGUUUGAGAUCACAGCAAUCACGCGCGAUGGCAAGCCGAUUGAACCCAUCCGGACAAGGGAUGCAUUUCGUGCUCAGUGCGGGGUUCUUGUUAGGGACAAGAUCCCGAUCAGUAUCCAGCAAUGGUUAAAGCCUAAGAAGGAAGACGACCCUGAGGUGUCUUAUGUCUCCGAUAUGCAGAAAGAAGAUCUUUGGACAACACUGAAGGCAAAUUUCACCCUACCGCCAGAGGAGGAUCCAGAGAAGCCAGUUAAAGUGCAAUUGAUCAAGUCUCAUGCUCUUAAGAAGAUGGCAGAACUAUUCAGGAGGUGGAAGAAUGAGCCGAAAACAGAGUUUAUUGACCAAGAAAAGACACCAGAAUUCAAAGGAAAGUGUAAGAAGAUCGGAGAUCACUGGCCCGCAUUUGUGGCCCACAAGACAUCGGAAAAGAGUAAGAAGAUGUCAGCGACAAACAAGAAAAAUGCUGCGAAGAAGAAGCAUCACCAUCGCACGGGGUCAGGUGGCUACCUCAAAGCCCGACCUUUGUGGGACAAGGCUGAGAAUGACCUGAUUGCUAAAGGGGUCGAACCAGAGACAUUGAUCUGGCCGGACCGUUGCCGGACUUGGUUCUUCGGGGAAGCUUCAGCACUAUAUUAACGCAGUGCAGCAAGGGACGUUCAUUCCAGACAGAGAGAAGGACGAGCUCACAAUGGCCCUCGGGAAUCCUGAGCACCCUGGACGGACAUGAGGCACGCCAGGCUCCGUCCCGUGGAAGGCUGGGUUUCCAGACGCAGGGGGUUACAAAAGCCAGGAGGGGAGGAAGAAAGUGGAGCAUAGCCAACUGCAGGCGCUGCACGCAAGGGUACUAGGGCUAGAGGAACGAGAAGCAAAUCACAGCAAACGACCUGCCGAAGCUUCCCAUGAAGCUACCCCGCCAUCUCAGCGGAGAAGCAGCGUGGCUUCCACCGAGCAGCUUCAGCUGGAGCCUGUCUUCACGGCUCCUGCUAGCUACCCCGUGGAUGCUAUCACAGAGUCUCAACAUUGCCACCUUAUGGCGCAAUGGAUGAAUUUGAAAGUCAAGGCGGCUGUUGGCUCUGUUUUACCUACUGAACCUGGCGCAACCUACCACUACCGGUCGAUUCCAGAAGGAUAUGCUAGGGUGAUGGUGGAUGAAAUAACGGACGGAUUUGAGGACCUCUAGCUUGACCACCCUACGGGUGAAGGGGAGAUUCGGCUGGGUUCGGCUCUGAAGACUCCAUGCCUAUGGCAGAAGGAGUUCAUCAACCUUCCAAACUGGACGCCUCCGCCUCCUCUUCCUCCUCCAGCGAGUCAGGGCACUCCGCCUCCUCCUCCGCCUCCUCCUCUGCCUCCUCCUCCGGCGAGUGUCAGGGCACUCAGCCUCCUUCUCCGGCGCGUGGCGGCACUCCACCUCCUUCUCCGCCUGUGCCGGCGCGCCCGAUCAGCCAGCCUCCUCCUUCUCCGCCUCGUCAACAAGGGCGGAAGAGACCCGCCGUCGCUCUGGAUGCUCUGGCGCGUCGUCCUUCUCCUCCGCCUCGUAAGAAAGGAAACACAGCCGCAACCGCUCCGUCUGCUCCUUCGUCUAGCAGUACAGCCAGAGGCGGGAGGCAAUACAGAUUUGGUCCUUCUCUGAAGACUCCAGAGAAGUUACCAUACGAGAGGAGCCUGGAGGAAAACACGAAGAUCGUGCGAGCCAAAGUGAAGAACUUCUUUGAAGGGGUGAAAGCACAGAAACAUCCACCUCCGGAGGAGAAGAUAGAUCCGGUGAAAGUGAAGCGUACUCUGGCUGCCCUGAGGAAACCACCAAAGUCUCCGCCGAAAGGCAACUAUGAGUGCAUCCUUGAAAAGUCAUUUUUCCAAGCGGAGCGGUCGGGAAGUACUGUCAGUGAUCAAAGGUUAGCAGAACGACGAGCUGGGAAAAAAAUUGCCCAGCUCGGCGAACAAGCGAACCAAUCGCUCCCCCCGCUCCAGGUGUCUAGCGAUAUCGUCGCUAAUGAUCCGGGCGGGAUGGUGCCCGGUUAUAACAAUCCAAGAGAUUACCUGCCCGACGAUGUACAUUAUGAUUUCUUGGAGGUGGAUGAACACAGUUACGUGUACGGGAAGCCUCUCGUCAAAGAUGAAACAUCUCUAACAACGAUGAUGCGAAGAUUCCAUGAUUGGUACAUGAAAACCUGCAGAGAGUCUAAGGGGAGGAAUAUUUUGACGCUGAGUGUUAGAGAGGAGCAUGACCUCGUUGGAAUUGAACUGUUGAAUGUUCCAUUUGAGGAGUUCUUCGCGUUUUUCAAUCUAAAGGCCCUCGAUAAAUUAAUGGUCACUUGCUACUGCCUGUAAGUAGUACUACUUCUGUCAUUAAUUAAGUCUCUAUAUAUAGGUCAGCUCUUUCAUUGCAUGUAUUUUUAAUUAUCCUCACUAUAUUAUGCAGAUUGAAGAUCGCCGAAUUGAAGAAAAGACAAGUCGGUGAUAUUGGGUUCAUUAACACAAAUCUCAUAGAUGCAUAUAUGGUUAAAUCUCAUGCCAGAGAUACCGAGGCCAAGCUACUACAAUCAUUUGUAUUAAAUCAAAACAAAGCUAUAAUACUCUUCCCUUACGAAGUCAAGUGAGUGUUACUGUCUUGUGCAUCCCUUAUUAGCCGAGGUUAUAGUAAUGUAAUUGGUGAGUUAUGCAUGCUUGCACAGGUACCACUAUAUUCUCCUAGAGAUUAAGCUUGAGCAGGGACUAGUAACCGUCUUAGACUCGAGACGAAAAGAUCCCACGGAGUAUGCGGACUUGACUGAAAUUCUAGAGAAGUAAGUUAAACCGGUCAUUAUCGCACCAUAUCGGCAACUUUGUGCAUUUCGUGAUAUCAAGUAAUUGUUUUCUUUGUCUGGCAGGGUUUGGAAAAAAUUCACCUCAAAAACUCCGGGACUGCCGAAGAAGCUGCAAUUUAGAUACCCGAAAGUAAGUACUAUAGUAGCAUGUUCCACGCAUCUCCUAGUGAUUCAAGCGCUAGUUUCAUCAAUACCAUUUAGCAUGCUUGCUAAUUAUCAGUUUGAUUGACCUCUAUUCCUUGUAAAGUGGUUGUGGCAGGAACAAGGGAAUGAUUACUGUGGAUACUACAUUUGUGAGUCCAUCCGCCACACGACCUAUGAGCGGGGCCACACUGACAAACAAUAUGAAGUGCGUAAAUAAUAAUAUUCACAAUUUUAUUUUAUUACCAUCAUUUGUGUUCAGUUUCAUCUAUUCAUAUAUAUGUAUUGACCCCCUUCUUCAAAUUAGAUAUUUCGGAUGCGGGAUGAACUCCUACCAGCAGAUUGUAUGCGAGCAAUUCAAGAGGAAAUGGCGGCAUUCUUUCUUGACCACGUGAUCGCUAAAGACGGAGAAUACCAUGUGGAACCUGAGUUCGUUUGGAAUUAGGAGAUUAUAUUGUAAGAGAUAAUUAUAUUGUAUAUAUGUAGCCGGUAGCGUCGGAUAGAUAUACGAGAACUUGUUGUUUGACCAAUCUCUUAGAGAAGGAGAGGUGGUCGAUAUCACUUCUCUCUGUAUGCAUAUGUUCAUGACGAUCUUCUGUUUCCUUCAUUUGCUUACUAGCUAGCUAGCGUGUCUAGUCCUCUCUAUAGGUAUAGUACGUAGCGUCGACCAAGCACGGAGAUAACAGAGGACACUUCUCUCUAUUAAUUAGCUAGCUAACACAAACACCUAAACUAACCCCCCAAAAACCCCAAAACCCCCCCUUUCAAAAAAAAACAAAAACCCCAGCCACGGAAAUGCUGACGCGUGGAUGCCUAUUGGUCCCGGUUGGUGUCACCAACCGGGACCAAACGCCCCCCCUGCCUGGGCUGGUCGCAGCGGCCACGUGGAUGACCAUCUGUCCCGGUUCAUGUAAGAAGCGGAACUAAAGGCCAAGGGCAUUAGUAACGACCUUUUAGUCCUGGUUCAAAAACCGGGACAGAAGGCCCUCACGAACCGGGACAAUAGGCCCUUUUUCUACUAGUGUAUCCUUAAGAUAUUUCCGUUCUCAUUAAAGGGUGAUGCUAAAACUUGGUUUAAUUCUCUUGAUCCUAGUUGUGUGCGUAGUCCCCAGGAUAUGAUUUAUUACUUCUCUGCUAAAUAUUUCCCUGCUCAUAAGAAACAAGCUGCCUUGCGGGAAAUAUAUAAUUUUUGUGCAAAUUGAAGAAGAGAGUCUCCCACAGGCUUGGGGGAGGCUUCUCCGAUUACUUAAUGCUUUGCCGGAUCAUCCUCUCAAGAAAAAUGAAAUACUUGAUAUCUUUUAUAAUGGACUAACCGAUGCUUCCAAGGACUACUCGGAUAGUUGUGCUGGUUGUGUUUUCAGAGAAAGAAUAGUCGACCAGGCUGAAGUGCUAUUAAAUAAUAUGUUGACUAAUGAAAAUAAUUGGACUCUUCCUGAGCUAAUUCCUGAGCCAAUUGAGCCUAUCCCUAAACCUAUUGCGAAGAAGAGAGGUGUUCUAUUUCUCAGUCCUGAAGAUAUGCAAGAGGCAAAGAAAUCAAUGAAAGAAAAGGGUAUUAAAGCUGAAGAUGUUAAGAAUUUACCUCCUAUUGAAGAAAUACAUGGUCUUAAUAUACCGCAUGUUGAAGAAACACAUUGUCUUGAUUACCCGACACAGGUAGUAAAGUUAAAUUCUCUCUAUAGAUAUGAUAAAGUUGAAAUCCCGUCUAUUAAAUUUCCUAGCCAAUGUUUAGAUGAAUUUGAUGACUUUAUGGCUAGGCAAGAAAGUUUUAAUGCUUAUGUUAGUAGAGAAUUAAAGAGUAAUGCUUACAUGAUUGGACACUUGAGUGAUUAUAUGGCUAGAGUUAAAGGUGAACUCAAACUCAUUAGCAAAUAUGCUUCUAUGGUUAACACUCAAGCAGAACAAGUACUUAAGGCUCAAAGUGAUUUGCUUGAUGAAUUAAAUAAUAAACAUGAUUUUGCCGUUAGAGUGGCUACUAGAACUGGUAAAAUGACUCAGGAACCUUUGUAUCCUGAAGGCCACCCUAAGAGAACUGAGCAAGAUUCUCAGAGAAAUAAUGUAGAUGCACCUAGUCCUUCUAAAAAGAAGAAAAAGAAAAAUGAUAAGACUUUGCAUGCUUCUAGUGAACCUAUUAUAGACACACCUGAGAAUCCUAAUGAUAUUUCUAUUUCUGACGCUGAAACACAAUCAGGUGAUGAACAUGAACCUAGUGAUAAUGUUAAUGAUAAUGUUCAUGUUGAUGCUCAACCUAGCAAUAAUAAUGAUGUAGAGAAUGAACCUGCUGUUGAUCUUGAUAACCCACAAUCAAAGAAUCAACGUUACGAUAAGAGAGAUUUCGUUGCUAGAAAGCACGGUAAAGAAAGAGAACCAUGGGUACAGAAACCCAUGCCUUUUCCUCCUGAACCAUCCAAGAAGAAGGAUGAUGAGGAUUUUGAGCGUUUUGCUGAAAUGAUUAGACCUAUCUUCUUGCGUAUGCGCUUAACUGAUAUGCUUAAAGUAAAUCCUUAUGCCAAAUAUAUGAAGGAUAUCAUUACAAAUAAAAGAAAGAUACCAGAAGCUGAAAUUUCCACCAUGCUUGCUAAUUACACUUUUAAAGGUGGAAUACCAAAGAAACUAGGAGAUCCAGGAAUACCAACUAUACCAUGCUCCAUUAAAAGAAAUUAUGUUAAAACUACUUUAUGUGAUCUUGGAGCCGGUGUUAGUGUUAUGCCUCUCUUUCUAUCGUAGACUUGAAUUGAAUAAGUUGACACCUACUGAAAGAUCUUUGCAAAUGGCUGACAAAUCAACUGCUAUACCUGUCAGUAUUUGUGAGGAUGUGCCUGUUGUGGUUGCAAAUGUCACUAUCUUAACGGACUUUGUUAUUCUUGAUAUUCCCGAGGACGAUAGUAUGUCUAUUAUCCUUGGUAGACCCUUUUUGAAUACUGCAGGGGCUGUAAUUGAUUGCAACAAAAGGCAAUGUCACUUUUCAUGUUAAUGGAAAUGAGCAUACGGUACACUUUCCGAGGAAACAACCUCAAGUUCAUAGCAUCAAUUCUAUUGGAAAAAUUCCAACUAUUACUAUUGGAGGUUUUGAAUUUCCUCUUCCUACUGUCAAGAAGAAAUAUGAUAUUCUUAUUAUUGGGGAUGUUCAUAUCCCCGUUAAGGUAACCUAGUGUUAUCCGAAAUUUCUCUGGUUCCAUGUUAUUCGGAAUGAGUUUGUUAACAAGACUUGAUCAACCUUGUUAGUGGAUUCCUUUUGAUGAUCAUGAGAUGGAUGAAAUUAGAAGGCACAACCUUCUGUACCCUCUUUUUUACUUUCUGUUAUUUAGAAUAAAUUAAGCAAAAAUAGUAUUAUGUGUCUAUUUUCUGAAUUAUCCAUACAAUAAAAAAUACCCCGAAGAUAAAAGUUCCCCAAAUGCCCUGCCAAUUUAGUAUGAUUUUUUCUAGAAUAUUUGAGAAUAUCUGGCACUGAGAACACAACAGGGGGAGCUGGCACCUGGCCACGAGGGACCAGGGCGUGCCCACCCUAACAGGGCGCGACCCCUGCCUCGUGGGCCCACGGUGGCCCCCCUCCACUUAUUCCUGCACCCACACACUCCAUCUUCCUCCCAAAAAAAUCACCAUCCAGCUCAAGCACGAGUUCUAGCUCAUUUUGCUGCGAUUUUCGAUCUCCUUGCUCAAAGCUCUAUUCACAAAACUGCUUUGGGAGAUUGUUCCUUGAAAAUGAUGAGGAGAUUAUUGAGGGGCUCUUCUAGCCAAAGCUCCAACGAUAAACAAGCUAAGGAGAAAGAAAAAGCCAAGUAUAAUCUUCCUCGCAUAGCGGAAGUAAGGCCGUUUGAGUGGCCUUGUGAUAAUUUCUUGAGAGUAGCCGGGAUUUAUGAAGACUUUUAUUCUUUGGCUGAAAAUGCGGGCCUCACCGACUUCCUCCACGACCAGAUCGAACAGUAUCUCUUACUUACCAAUACUUUCAUGCAAAACUUUUACUAUUAUCCUAAGAAUUCACCUCCUUCAGUAUCUUUUCAUUUAUAUGAUGAGGCUAAGGAAAUGUCAUUACGUAAUUUUUGCGCGGUUUGUAGAAUACCCUUUGAGGGAGCUUAGAUGAACCACAUCGUAAAGAUGUGGAAGGUUUUAGUGACACUAUUACUGUAGGGGAAUCGAGGAAGGGUUCCGAUGCGAGAAUCACUAGCAUACAUUUUCCUGUUUUACGCUACUUUGCCAUAUUUGCUAGUCGAUGCUUAAUUGGUCAUGGAAAUAGUGGAAACUUCAGUGUUCCUGAUAUUAUUAUGUUACUCCAUGCCUUAUUAGGUGAUAACACUUUUAGUAUGGGUGCCGUUAUUGCUAAACGGUUAAGCCUAAAUCAUACAAAGGGCCCCAUCUUUGGAGGUAUCUAUGCUGCACGCCUUGCUAGACAUUUUGAGAUACCUAUUAGGCAUUAUGAGAAAGAGGAGACACUACUGCCUCUUACCUUUUUAGAUUACAGGAGCAUGGUAGCGCAUGAGUUUAUUGUUGACAAUGAUGAUAAGAUGCUUCUGUAUAACCUGAGAUUUAAUAAGAAACACAAUGAGAUUAUUACCCUGCCUGCGCCUUAUUUGUUUGAUUUAACUGCAGGUCAUUACCUCGUCUUGCCGUCGACCGUGUACGCGCACCGAGGCCAGACAUCGGCUCCAGAGCCUGAGCCGGAACCACCACUGGAUCCUUAUCAUCCAUCAUCUUAUCAGUGGGAUCCGGAGGCAGCUCGCCAACAUGCCGCAACUCAGGAGGCAUUGGCUGCUGCAUCUCAGUAUGACCCCAGUUAUAACUUUGGAUAUCGGCCAGGCUAUCCUUGGCAUUAGACCAACUUAGGCCAAAAGCCUAAGCUUGGGGGAGUACGUAUUUCUCACCGACUUUACAUUCAUGUUCACACACUUAUUCUAGUUGUCGGUGCUCAUACCUUUUCAUUGUACUAUCCAUGCUAGUUUAAUUUCUGUUUCUAGCUUUCUUCUUGUGUGUUGGAUAAACCUUAAGAAAACAAAACAUUAGUUAGUUUAAUUCCAUGCUUGUAGUAGAAAUUAAAUGAAAACCCAAAAAAGAUUUCUCGUUCUUUUACUUGUUGGGAGCUUUUCCGUGUAAAUAGUUUUAUUUCUUUUCUUUCUUUUGGGGGUCGAGAGGAGAAGACCAUAAUGAAAAUAUUUAGUGGCUCUAAUAUGCAUGAUUGUUGAUUUAACCAAGAGCCCAUAUUACUUUGUCUUAUCCCUUGAAUUGAAUGCUUGCAGAUUCCAGAUUAGUCCAAUGCACGUGCACUAUUAUUAUUAUACACACCGUUCGGUCGUGCAAGUGAAAGGCGAUAAUGACGAUAUAUGAUGGACUGAUUGAGAUGAGAGAAGCUGGUAUGAACUCGACCUCUCUUGUUUUUGUAAAUAUGAUGAGUUCAUCGUUCCUAAUUCAGCCUAUUAUGAAUAAACAUGUUUGCAAUGACAAUUAGAGAUUAUAGUUGCUUAUGCCAUGCUUAAUUAGCUAGGAGCUUAUAAUGGUUUACCUUGCGUGCCAACAUGCUAUUAAAAUGGUUGUGAUAUGGUAUGAUAGGGUGGUAUCCUCCUUUGAAUGAAUUGAGUGACUCGACUUGGCACAUGUUCACGCAUGUAGUUGAAAUGAAAUCAACAUAGCCUUCACGAUAUUUAUGUUCAUGGUGGAUUAUAUCCUACUCAUGCUUGCACUCAGUGUUGAUUAAUUUUAAUGCAUGUUCAUGACUGCUGUCGCUCUCUCAGUUGGUCGCUUCCCAGUCUUUUACUAGCCUUCAUCUGUACUAAGCAGGAAUACUGCUUGUGCAUCCAAACUCCAUAAACCCCAAAGUUAUUCCAUAUGAGUCCACCAUACCUUCCUAUAUGCGGUAUCUACCUGCCGUUCGAAGUAAAUUUGUAUGUGACAAACUCCAAACCUUCAAAUGAAAUUCUGUUUUGUAUGCUCGAGCAGCUCAUGUAUCAACUAGGGCUCUCUGUAUCUUCCAUGCUAGGCAGGUUAUUCUCAGGAGGAGUGGACUCCGCUCCUCAUUCACGAGAAAAUGGCUAGUAACCGGGAUGCCCAGUCCCAUGCUUUAAGCAAAUCAAAUCAAAAUAAUUGCAAACAAAACUCCCCUGGGACUCUUAUUAGUUGGAGGCACCCGUUGUUUCGGACAAGCCAUGGAUUGAUGUUUGUUGGUGGAGGGGGAGUAUAAACUUUACCAUUCUAUUGGGGAACCGCCUAUAAUGUGUGUAGCAUGGAAGAUAUCGAGAUCUCAUAGUUGUUGUGUUGACAGUGAAAGUAUAUCCGCUCAAAAUAUUAUUUAUCUCUAUUUUAAAACCAAGCUCUGGCACCUCUACAAAUCCCUGCUUCCCUCUACGAAGGGCCUAUCUAUUUACUUUUAUGUUGAGUCAUCACCUUCUUAUUAAAAAGCACCCGCUGGAGAGCACCGCUGUCAUUUGCAUGCAGUACUAUUAGUUUAUAUUGGGUAUGACUUGACUGGAUCUCUUUUACCAUGAAUUACAAUGUUUAGUCAGUCCUUGAUCUUUAAAGGUGCUCUGCAUUUAUGUUUUGCAGUCUCAGAAAGGGCUAGCGAGAUACCAUCUUGUCAUAUCAUAUUAUGAUUGUUUUGAGAAAGUGUUGUCAUCCGAGUUUUAUUAUUAUUGCUCGCUAGUUGAUUAUGCCAUUGAUAUGAGUAAACAUGAGACCUAAGUGUUAUUGUGAAUAUGGUUAGUUAAUAAUCUUUGCUGAAAACUUGAAUUCUGGCUUUACAUAUUUACAACAACAAGAGCAAACAGAGUUUGUAAAAGUUUUUCUUUAUCACUUUCAGUCUGUCAACUGAAUUGCUUGAGGACAAGCAAAGGUUUAAGCUUGGGGGAGUUGAUACGUCUCCAACGUAUCUACUUUUCCAAACACCUUUGCCCUUGUUUUGGACUCUAACUUGCAUGAUUUGAAUGAAAGUAAUCCGGACUGACGCUGUUUUCAGCAGAAUUGCCAUGGUGUUAUCUUUGUGCAGAAACAAAAGUUCUCGGAAUGACCUGGAAAUCCACGGAGAUUAUUUUUGGAAAAUAAGAAAAAUACUGGCGCAAGAAUCAAGGCCAGGGGCCCCACACCCUGUCCACGAGGGUGGGGAGCGCACCCCCUCCCCCUGGGCAAGCCCCCCUGUCUCGUGGGCCCCCUGGAGCUCCACCGACCUCAACUCCAACUCUAUAUAUUCCGUUUGGUGGAGAAAAAAAAUCAGAGAGAAAGUUUCAUCGCAUUUUACGAUACGGAGCCGCCGCCAAGCCCUAAUCUCUCUCGGGAGGGCUGAUCUGGAGUCCGUUUGGGUCUCCGGAGAGGGGGAUUCGUCGCCGUCAUCAUCAUCAACCAUCCUCCAUCACCAAUUUCACGAUGCUCACCGCCGUGCAUGAGUAAUUCCAUCAUAGGCUUGCUGGACGGUGAUGGGUUGGAUGAGAUUUAUCAUGUAAUCGAGUUAAUUUUGUUAGGGUUUGAUCCCUAGUAUCCACUAUGUUCUGAGAUUGAUGUUGCUAUGACUUUGCUAUGCUUAAUGCUUGUCACUAGGGCCCGAGUGCCAUGAUUUCAGAUCUGAACCUAUUAUGUUUUCAUGAAUAUAUGUGAGUUCUUGAUCCUAUAUUGCAAGUCUAUAGUCGCCUAUUAUGUGUUAUGAUACGACAACCCCGAAGUGACAAUAAUCGGGAUACUUCUCGGUGAUGACCAUAGUUUGAGGAGUUCAUGUAUUCACUAAGUGCUAAUGCUUUGGUCCGGUUCUUUAUUAAAAGGAGGCCUUAAUAUCCCUUAGUUUCCAUUAGGACCCCGCUGCUACGGGAGGGUAGGACAAAAGAUGUCAUGCAAGUUCUUUUCCAUAAGCAUGUAUGACUAUAUUCGGAAUACAUGCCUACAUUACAUUGAUGAACUGGAGCUAGUUCUGUGUCACCCUAGGUUAUAAGUAUUACAUGAGGAAUCGCAUCCGACAUAAUUAUCCAUCACUGAUCCAAUGCCUACGAGCUUUUCACAUAUUGUUCUUUGCUUAUUUACUUUACCGUUACUACUGUUACAAUCACCACAAAACUGCUAUCGUUACUUUUGCCACUAUUACCAUUACUAUCAUAUUACUUUGCUACUAAAUACUUUGCUGCAGAUACUAAGUUAUCCAGGUGUGGUUGAAUUGACAACUCAACUGCUAAUACUUGAGAAUAUUCUUUGGAUCCCCUUGUGUCGAAUCAAUAAAUUUGGGUUGAAUACUCUACCCUCAAAAACUGUUGCGAUCCCCUACACUUGUGGGUUAUCAAUGCAUAGCAACGAGGGGGAGAGUGUGUCCACGUACCCUCGUAGACCGAAAGCGGACGCGUUAUGUAACGUGGUUGAUGUAGUCGAACGUCUUCGCGAUCCAACCGAUCAAGUACCAAACGCACGGCACCUCCGCGAUCUGCACACGUUCAGCUCGGUGACGUCCCUCGAACUCUAGAUCCAGCUGAGGCCGAGGGAGAGUUUCGUCAGCACGACGGCGUGGUGACGGUGAUGAUGAAGUUACCGACGCAGGGCUUCGCCUAAGCACUACAACGAUAUGACCGAGGUGGAAAACUGUGGAGGGGGGCACCGCACACGGCUAAAGAUCAACUUGUGUGUCUAUGGGGUGCCCCCCUCCCCCGUAUAUAAAGGAGGAGAGGAGGGGGCCGGCCAGCCACAAGUGGUGCGCCCAAGGGGGGGAGUCCUACUCCAAGUAGGAGUAGGUUCCCCCCUUUCCUAGUCCAACUAGGAGGAGAAGGAAGGAGGGGAAGGAGAGAAGGAAAGGGGGGCCGCCCCCUAGUCCAAUUCGGUUUGGGCUAGGGGGGGGGCGUGCCUCACCUUGGCCUGCCUCCUCUCUUCCACCACUUGGCCCAUGAGGUCCAUUAACCCCCCCGGGGGGUUCCGGUAACCCCUCGGUACUCCGGUUUUAUCCGAAACUUCUACGGAACAUUUCCGGUGUCUGAGUAUAGCCGUCCAAUAUAUCAAUCUUUAUGUCUCGACCAUUUCGAGACUCCUCGUCAUGUCCGUGAUCUCAUCCGGGACUCCAAACAACCUUCGGUACAUCAAAACACAUAAACUCAUAAUACCAAUCGUCAUCAAACGUUAAGCGUGCGGACCCUACGGGUUCGAGAACUAUGUAGACAUGACCGAGACACGUCUCCGAUCAAUAACCAAUAGCGGAACCUGGAUGCUCAUAUUGGUUCCUACAUAUUUGAUGUCUACCACGCAACCUUCUCCUUGUAGACGUUGUUGGGCCUCCAAGUGUAGAGGUUUGUAGGACAGUAGCAAAUUUCCCUCAAGUGGAUGACCUAAGGUUUAUCAAUCCAUGGGAGGCGUAGGAUGAAGAUGGUCUCUCUCAAGCAACCCUGCAACCAAAUAACAAAGAGUCUCUUGUGUCCCCAACACACCCAAUACAAUGGUAAAUUGUAUAGGUGCACUAGUUCAGCGAAGAGAUGGUGAUACAAGUGCAAUAUGGAUGAUAGAUAUGAGUUUUUGUAAUAUGAAAAUAUAAAAACAGCAAGGUAACUAAUGAUAAAAGUGAGCGUAAACGGUAUUGCAAUGAUAGGAAACAAGGCCUAGGGUUCAUACUUUCACUAGUGCAAGUUCUCUCAGCAAUAAUAACGUAACUGGAUCAUAUAACUAUCCCUCAACAUACAAGAAAGAGUCACUCCAAAGUCACUAAUAGCAGAGAACAAACGAAGAGAUUAUUGUAGGGUACGAAACCACCUCAAAGUUAUCCUUUCUGAUCGAUCUAUUCAAGAGUUCGUACUAGAAUAACACCUUAAGACACAAAUCAACCAAAACCCUAAUGUCACCUAGAUACUCCAAUGUCACCUCAAGUAUCCGUGGGUAUGAUUAUACGAUAUGCAUCACACAAUGUCAGAUUCAUCUAUUCAACCAACACAAAGUACUUCAAAGAGUGCCCCAAAGUUUCUACCGGAGAGUCAAGAUGAAAACGUGUGCCAACCCCUAUGCAUAAGUUCAUUGAACCCGCAAGUGGAUCACCAAAACAUACAUCAAGUAGAUCACGUGAAUAUCCCAUUGUCACCAUAGAUAAGCAUGGCAAGACAUACAUGAAGUGUUCUCAAAUCCUUAAAGACUCAAUCCGAUAAGAUAACUUCAAAGGGAAAACUCAAUCCAUUACAAGAGAGUAGAGGGGGAGAAACAUCAUAAGAUCCAACUAUAAUAGCAAAGCUCGCGAUACAUGAAGAUCGUGUCACCUCAAGAACACGAGAGAGAGAGAGAGAGAUCAAACACAUAGCUACUGGUACAUAACCUCAGCCCCGAGGGUGAACUACUCCCUCCUCGUCAUGGAGAGCGCCUGGAUGAUGAAGAUGGCCACCGGUGACGGAUUCCCCCUCCGACAUGGUGCCGGAACGGGCUCCCGAGAGGUUUUUGGUGGCUACAGAGGCUUGCAGCGGCAGAACUCCCGAUCUAUUGUGCUCCUCGAUGUUUUUAGGGUAUAUGGAGAUAUAUAUAUAUAUAUAUAUAUAGGCAAAAGAAGUAGGUCAGGGGAGCCACGAGGGGCCCACGAGGGUGGGGGGCGCGCCCAGGGGGGUAGGGCACGCCUCCCUGCCUCGUGGCUUCCUUGUUGCUUCCCUUAUGUGUACUCCAAGUCUCCUGGAUUGCUUCCGUUCCAAAAAUAACUCUCCUAAAGGUUUCAUUCCGUUUGGACUCCGUUUGAUAUUCCUUUUCUUCGAAACACUGAAAUAGGCAAGAAAACAACAAUUUGGGCUGGGCCUCCGGUUAAUAGGUUAGUCCCAAAAAUAAUAUAAAAGUGCUUAGUAAACAUCCAAAACAGAUAAUAUAAUAGCAUGAAUACUUCAUAAAUUAUAGAUACGUUGGAGACAUAUCAGCAUCCCCAAGCUUAAUUCCUGCUCGUCCUCGAGUAGGUAAAUGAUACAAGAAAGAAUUUAUGAAGUGUGAAUGCUAGCAGGUGCAUAAGUUUGAUCAAUGAUAAUUUCAAUCACCUUUUCUAGCAUCAUUAUAUGUCAUAACAGUAGCUCAUCUCAUAAAACUUCUCAUCAACAAGUGACAUGCUAUUCAAAUGUUAAAACGUAGACCAUAAACUUUCUUGAAAACUAGAAAACUAUGUUCUCAGUCAUCAAACAAUUGCAAUUCAUCUUAUUUUCAGGAAGGGUCUAUGUAAGAGCUUUGAUUUAGCAAAUCCCACAUACUCAACUAUCAUAUAGUCUUCAAUGAUUGCUACCACUCAAAGCAUAUUUUUAGAACAAAUAGCAUCCAUCGAACACAGAAAAAGAUAGGGGCUUAAUGUUUCGCCUCCCAACUUACUUAUCAUAUAGAUAAUUGUCAACAAUAAUAAUUCAUGAUCAAAUAUAUAUAUAUUUUUUUGACUGGGAUGAUCAAAUAUAUUUGAAUGGCCAUAUAUGCUUAGAUCUUUCCCCAUCACAUGAUGCUUGCCAACUAAAGAGUAGGUUGGAAUGAGAAGUAAUACUACUGACUCUUGCAUAAAAGUAAAAGAUAGGCCCUUCGCAGAGGGAAGCAGGGAUUUGCAGAGGUGCCAGAGCUCGAUUCUGAAAUAGAGAUAAAUAAUUUUGAGAGGUAUGCUUUCAUUGUCAACAUAACAACCAAGAGUUCCCAGUUUCUUCCAUACUAGAUACAUUAUAGGCGGUUCCCAAACAGAAUGGUAAAUUUUUUACUCCCCCUCCACCAACAAUCAUCAAUCCAUGGCUUGCCCGAAACAACGGGUGCCUCCAACUAACAACAAUCCUGGGGGAGUUUUGUUUGCGAUUAUUUUGAUUUGAUUUUUUGAUCUUUGGAUCAUAGGACUGGGCAUCCCAAUUACCAGCCAUUUUUCUCGUGAAUGACGAGCGGAGUCCACUCAUCGUGAGAAUAACCCACCUAGCAUGGAAGAUACUGACAGCUCCUAGUCACUACAUGAGCGAUUCGGGCAUACAAAAUAAAUUAUUAUUUGAAGGUUUAGAGUUUGGCACAUGCAAAUUUACUUGGAACGGCGGGUAAAUACCGCAUAUAGGUAGGUAUGGUGGACACUCAUGGAAGAAACUUGGUUCGAGGGAUUUGGAUGCACAAGCAGUAUUCCCGCUUAGUACAGAUAUUUUGGCUAGCAAAGGAUUCUAAAUAGCAAGCACCACAUGUUGGAGGAUCUAUAACAAUAUAAAUUCUAUACAAAAAUACCCAAGCAUAACUCAUUACGUUGUCUUCCUUGUCCAAUUUCAACUAAUUUGCUCAGGUUUGAAAAUAAUUAAUGGGGCUCACAAUCAUGGAAGAUGUCUAAGAUAGUAUAUUUAUAUGUGAAAUCUCUCUUCCUUCAAUAUUCUUUCAUGAAUUGUUCAAGUGACCAAUACAAUGUUUGCUAACCAUCAAUAAAUUUACCACCUCUACUUCUUAUAUGUGAAGACAUUACUCCCCAUGGGAUAAGUAUAUGAAACAUAUAUAAUUUCGGAUUUAUGAUAUUCAAAUCAUUCAACCAUUUACUCAUAGGAUAUAAGUGAAGCACACGACUAAAUGACAAACUACUCCAAAAAGAUAUAAGUGAAGAUCAAUGAGUAGUUAAAUAGCUAUGUGAAGACUCUCUCUCAUUUAAGAAUUUCAGAUCUUGGUAUUUCAUUCAAACAGCAAGCAAAACAAAAUAAAAUAAAAUGACGCUCCAAGCAAAACACAUAUCAUGUGGUGAAUAAAUAUAUAGCUCCAAGUAAAGUUACCGAUGAACGAAGACGAAAGAGGGGAUGCCUUCCGGGGCAUCCCCAAGCUUAGGCUCUUGGUUGUCCUUGAAUAUUACCUUGGGGUGCCUUGGGAAUCCCCAAGCUUAGGCUCUUGCCACUCCUUAUUCCAUAGUCCAUCGAAUCUUUACCCAAAACUUGAAAACUUCACAACACAAAACUCAACAGAAAACUCGUAAGCUCCGUUAGUAUAAGAAAAUAAAUCACCACUUAGGUACUGUUAUGAACUCAUUCUAAAUUCACAUUGGUGUAAUAUCUACUGUAUUCCAAUUUCUCUAUGGUUCAUACCCUCCGAUACUACUCAUAGAUUCAUCAAAAUAAGCAAACAACACAUAGAAAACAGAAUCUGUCAAAAACAGAACAGUCUGUAGUAAUCUGUAUCAAACGUAUACUUAUGUAAAUCCAAAAAUUCUACCAAAUUAGGAAGUCCUAAGAAAUUUGUGUACCAAUCCAGAGCAAAAAUAAUCAUAUCAAAAGCACGUUUAUGUGAAUUAUCAAAACUAAUUUACUGGGUGCAAAAGUUUUUGAUUUUCAGCAGGAUCAACACAACUAUCACCGCAAGCUAUCCUAAAGGUCUUACUUGGCACUUUAUUGUAACAAAAGCUAUAAAACAUGAUUAAUACAGUAGCAUAAUCAUGUGAACACACAAAAAUAGUAAAGGUAAAUAUUGGGUUGUCUCCCAACAAGCGCUUUUCUUUAAUGCCUUUUAGCUAGGCAUGAUGAUUUCAAUGAUGCUCACAUAAAAGAUAAGAAUUGAAACAUAAAGAGAGCAUCAUGAAGAAUAUGACUAGCACAUUUAAGCCUAACCCACUUCCUAUGCAUAGGGAUUUUGUGAGCAAACAACUUAUGGGAAAAAUAAUCAACUAGCAUAGGAAGGCAAAACAAGCAUAGCUUCAAGAUUUUCAACUCAUAGAGAGGAAACUUGAUAUUAUUGCAAUUCCUACAAGCAUAUGUUCCUCCCUCAUAAUAAUUUUCAGUAGCAUCAUGAAUGAAUUCAACAAUAUAACCAGCACCUAAAGCAUUCUUUUCAUGAUCUUCUUGCAUAGAAAUUUUACUACUCUCAACAUAAGCAAAAUUCUUGUCGUUAGGAAUAGUGGGAGUAUCAUAAGAGACUCGAAUACUAUAAAUUGUUUCCACAUUAAAAGAGUAAUGUUCAGAAAAAUGGUAAUCAUAAUCAUGACAAGUUUUAUAAAUAUAAUCAUCACUACUUUUUAUAGCAUAAGUUUCAUCACAAUAAUCAUCAUAAGUAGCAACUUUGUUCUCAUCAUAAUCAAUUGAAACCUCUUCCAAAAUAGUGGAUUCAUCACUAAGUAAAGUCAUGACCUCUCCAAAACCACUUUAUAAAUAUUAUAAGAUUCAACACCCUCCAAAAUAGUGGGAUCAUUACUUCCUAAAGUUGACACUCUUCCAAACCCAGUUUCAUCAAUAUAACCAUCAUAAAUAGGAGGCAUGCUAUCAUCAUAAUAAAUUUGCUCAUCAAAACUUGGGAGGCUAAAAAUAUCAUCUUCAUUAAAUGUAGCAUCCCCAAGCUUGGGACAAACAUUAAUUGCAGCAAAUAUAUUCUCAAACAUGUCAUUCUCAUCAAACAUAGCAUCCCCAAGCUUGGGCCUUUUCAUAUCAUAAGCAUAAUCACUCUCAUCAUUAAUAGUAUGGAUAACACCAAUAGUAUAGCAAUUAUCAUCAUUACGAUGAGUAAUAGGAGCAACAUCAUUUGGGAGGGAUACCUUUCUACCUUUGCUUCUCCAUCUUUUCUUUUUCUUCUUCACAUCAUGUGUGGGUUUAACCCUCUAUUUUGAGCUCCUUAUUGAUGAGAUUGGUUGAAUAGAAAGCUCCUCCUCGUUACCUGAUUCAUCAUAAGAAAUAAUAGGAGGAUAUUGGGAAGUCUCUUCCCUUUAAUUAGUAUUCUCUUCAUCUUCUAUUUGUUUUCUUUUCUUUAUGUAAUUGGCAAUAUAAGGAUUUUCAAUGCAAUUCACCGUACAAUACAUAUAAAUUUCCUCUAGAUCAAGAUCAGGGAAUUUCUCAAGGUUAUAUUCUGGAAUAUGCUUAGUUGCACGUUUCAUUUCUUCAUAACCCAAAAGCAAACUAAGUUCAUUAUGAUGUGCAAGGGAAAUCAAGUCAUCACAAUUUUUGGACAUGAUUCAAUCAAGAAACAAUUUGCAUCAGAGAUUUAAAUGACCAUGUUCAUUGCAAAGUUCACAAGUACGGUAAAGAUAUUUUAAAUUUUCAGCACUCACAUCUAGCCUUUCUUGCAACCAUUUAGUUUCUAAAUACUUAUGCCUCUUGCAAAAUCUGUUUUCUCUAUUUGGUGUGUACGUGCAAACUCUAUGUACUCCACAAAAAUUGACAUGCUUAUAAGAGACAUUUUCAUCAUGACUAGUGCAAUCAUCAUUAGUACUAUGGAUAUUCAAAGAGUUCAUACUAACAACAUUGCAAUCAUGCUCAUCAUUCAAAGAUUUAGUACCAAACAUUUUAUAGACUACCUCUUCAAGCACUUGAGCACAAUUUUCCUUUCCAUCAUUUUCACGAAAGAUAUUAAAAAGACGAAGUGUAUGAGUCAAACUCAAUUCCAUUUUUUGUAGUUUUUUAUAUAUACUAAACUAGUGAUAAAACAAGAAACAAAAAGAUUCGAUUGCAAGAUCUAAAGAUAUACCUUCAAGCACUCACCUCCCCGGCAACGACACUAGAAAAGAGCUUGGUGUCUACUACGCAACCUUCUCCUUGUAGACGUUGUUGGGCCUCCAAGUGCAGAGGUUUGUAGGACUGUAGCAAAUUUCCCUCAAGUGGAUGACCUAAGGUUUAUCAAUCCGUGGGAGGCGUAGGAUGAAGAUGGUCUCUCUCAAGCAACCCUGCAACCAAAUAACAAAGAGUCUCUUGUGUCCCCAACACACCCAAUACAAUGGUAAAUUGUAUAGGUGCACUAGUUCGGCGAAGAGAUGGUGAUACAAGUGCAAUAUGGAUGAUAGAUAUGAGUUUUUGUAAUAUGAAAAUAUAAAAACAGCAAGGUAACUAAUGAUAAAAGUGAGCGUAAACGGUAUUGCAAUGGUAGGAAACAAGGCCUAGGGUUCAUACUUUCACUAGUGCAAGUUCUCUCAACAAUAAUAACAUAACUAGAUCAUAUAACUAUCCCUCAACAUGCAACAAAGAGUCACUCCAAAGUCACUAAUAGCGGAGAACAAACGAAGAGAUUAUUGUAGGGUACGAAACCACCUCAAAGUUAUCCUUUCUGACCGAUCUAUUCAAGAGUUCGUACUAGAAUAACACCUUAAGACACAAAUCAACCAAAACCAUAAUGUCACCUAGAUACUCCAAUGUCACCUCAAGUAUCCGUGGGUAUGAUUAUACGAUAUGCAUCACACAAUCUCAGAUUCAUCUAUUCAACCAACACAAAGUGCUUCAAAGAGUGCCCCAAAGUUUCUACCGGAGAGUCAAGACGAAAACGUGUGCCAACCCCUAUGCAUAAGUUCAUUGAACCCGCAAGUUGAUCACCAAAACAUACAUCAAGUAGAUCACGUGAAUAUCCCAUUGUCACCACAGAUAAGCACGGCAAGACAUACAUCAAGUGUUCUCAAAUCCUUAAAGACUCAAUCCGAUAAGAUAACUUCAAAGGGAAAACUCAAUCCAUUACAAGAGAGUAGAGGGGAAGAAACAUCAUAAGAUCCAACUAUAAUAGCAAAGCUUGCGAUACAUCAAGAUCGUAUCACGUCAAGAACACGAGAGAGAGAGAGAGAGAUCAAACACAUAGCUACUGGUACAUACCCUCAGCCCCGAGGGUGAACUACUCCCUCCUCAUCAUGGAGAGUGCCGGGAUGAUGAAGAUGGCCACCGGUGAUGGAUUCCCCCUCCGGCAGGGUGCCGGAACGGGCACCCGAGAGGUUUUUGGUGGCUACAGAGGCUUGCGGCGGCGGAACUCCUGAUCUAUUGUGCUCCUCGAUGUUUUUAGGGUAUAUGGACAUAUAUAGGCGAAAGAAGUCAGUCAGGGGAGCCACGAGGGGCCCACGAGGGUGGGGGCGUGCCCAGGGGGGUAGGGCGCGCCUCCCUGCCUCUUGCUUCCUUGUUGGUUCCCUUACGUGUACUCCAUGUCUCCUGGAUUGCUUCCGUUCCAAAAAUAACUCUCCCGAAGGUUUCAUUCCGUUUGGACUCCGUUUGAUAUUCCUUUUUUUCGAAACACUGAAAUAGGCAAGAAAACAGCAAUUUGGGAUGGGCCUCCGGUUAAUUGGUUAGUCCCAAAAAUAAUAUAGAAGUGCUUAGUAAAGCCCGUAAACAUCCAAAACAGAUAAUAUAAUAGCAUGAAUACUUCAUAAAUUAUAGAUACGUUGGAGACGUAUUAAUAUUCUACGAAGAUCUUUAUCGGUCAAACCGCAUAACAACAUACGUUGUUCCCUUUGUCAUCGGUAUGUUACUUGCCCGAGAUUCGAUCGUCGGUAUCAUCAUACCUAGUUCAAUCUCGUUACCGGCAAGUCUCUUUACUUGUUCUGUAAUACUUCAUCCCGCAACUAACUCAUUAGUCACAAUGCUUGCAAGGCUUAUAGUGAUGAUUAUUACCGAGAGGGCCCAGAGAUACCUCCCCCAAACACGGAGUGACAAAUCCCAAUCUCGGUCUAUGCCAACUCAACAAACACCUUCAGAGACACUUGUAGUGCACCUUUAUAAUCACCCAUUUACGUUGUGAUGUUUGGUAGCACACAAAGUGUUCCUCCGGUAUUCGGGAGUUUCAUAAUCUUAUAGUCUGAGGAACUUGUAUAAGUCAUGAAGAAAGCAGUAGCAAUGAAACUGAAACGAUCAAAAUGCUAAGCUAACGGAUGGGUCAUGUCCAUCACAUCAUUCUCCUAAUGAUGUGAUCCCGUUCAUCAAAUGACAACACAUGUCUAUGGUUAGGAAACAUAACCAUCUUUGAUUAACGAGCUAGUCAAGUAGAGGCGUACUAGGGACUAUAUGUUUUGUCUAUGUAUUCACACAUGUACUAAGUUUCCGGUUGAUACAAUUCUAGCAUGAACAAUAAACAUUUAUCAUAAAUUAAGGAAAUAAAUAAUAACUUUAUUAUUGCCUCUAGGGCAUAUUUCCUUCAAUAUUAUGGUUACAUAGAGGAGAUAUGGGAACUUGACUAUGGACGUGGUUUGAAAGUCCCUUUGUUUCGGUGCAAAUGGGUCAAUCUAACACGAGGCGAGGUAACAGAAGACCCGUAGUACGGAAUGACAACAGUGGAUCUCAACAAUCUUGCGUACGCAGAUGAACCAGUCCUCCUAACCAAUGAUGUGGCAUAGGUUUUCUAUGUGAAGGACAUGUCUACCAAGCCGAGAAAAAGAAAAGAUAAGGAAGUGAAUACAUCAUACGAUGAGACAAAGCGCCACAUAGUCCUUUUAGGGAAAAGAAACAUCAUGGCAGUGGAUGACAAGACAGACAUGUCAGAAGAUUAUGAAAAGUUUCAUGAAAUUGCUCCCUUCGCGGUGAAUAUUGACCCGAGCAUCCAGUUAAAUGAUGAAGAUUGUCCAUGGUUACGGUGCAAAGGGACACACACGAAGAAAAAAUUUCACAGCCAAAGAUCCCACUCUAGGAUGUGACCGGCUUCAUUGUCAUCACUUUAUUCUCUAGUGAGUUUCCAGACUUAUAUAUCUGAAAGGUCCCACUUUGGACAAACUGUAUGGAAUCUUUGUAAUUAGGGUGCUUAUGUGUUUUGGCAUUUAAAAUGUUUACUUUUGUGCUUCAGACAAGUGUCAUCAAUUUUCAACCCUUUCUGACUUCAUUUGCUAUUUUUCAGCUCAUUUACUGGUUUUUUUGAGCUAAAGGACCCUGAAAUUGAAAUGCACUACAAAUGAACUCUGAAAAGGUUGAAAGUUGGCAUGGUAUCAUCAUUUCACCCACAUAGCAUGUGCUAGAAAGUUGAGAGGGUUACGGCAAAAACUGGAUCCACUUCGUGUACAAAAUGGACAAUCUCUUUCGAAGUAUCAGGGUUUCGGACGAAAACUCAUCUAUUACAAAGGCAUUUCAUUUGUUUUAACUUAUUUCAACUCCAGCCUUUUUGUGCGUUCAGUAUGCACCAUUGAAAGCCACAUCAUCAAUUUUCAACCCUUUCUGACUUCAUUUGCUAUUUUUCAUGCAUUUUACUGAUUUUUUUGAGCUAAAGGACCCUGAAAUUGAAAAGCACUACAAAUGAACUCUGAAAAGGUUGAAAGUUGGCAUGGUUUCAUAAUUUCACCCACAUAGCAUGUGCUAAAAAGUUGAGAGGGUUACGGCAAAAACUGGAUCCACUUCGUGUACAAAAUGGACAAUCUCUUUCGAAGUAUCAGGGUUUCAGACGAAAACUCAUCUGUUACAAAGCCAUUUCAUUUUUUAAAACUUAUUUCAACUCCAGACUUUUUGUGCAUUCUGUAUGCACCAUUGAAAGCCACGUCAUCAGUUUUCAACCCUUUCUGGCUUCAUUUCAUAUUUUCCAUGCAUUUGCUGAUUUUUUGAGCUAAAGGACCUUGAAAUUGAAAUGCACUACAAAUGAACUCUGAAAAGGUUGAAAGUUGGCAUGGUAUCAUCAUUUCACCCACAUAGCAUGUGCUAAAAAGUUGAGAGGGUUACGGCAAAAACUGGAUCGUGUACAAAAUGGACAAUCUUUUUCGAAGUAUCUGGGUUUCAGACGAAAACUCAUCUGUUACAAAGGCAUUUCAUUUUUUACACUUAUUUCAACUCUAGACUUUUUGUGUGUUCAAUAUGCACCAUUGAAAGCCACAUAAUCAAUAUUCAGCCCUUUCUGACUUCAUUUGUUAUUUUUCAUGCAUUUACUGAUUUUUUGAGCUAAAGGACACUGAAAUUGAAAAGCACUACAAAUGAACUCUGAAAAGGUUGAAAGUUGGCAUGGUAUCAUCAUUUCACCCACAUAGCAUGUGCUAAAAAGUUGAGAGGGUUACGACAAAAACUGGAUCCACUUCGUGUACAAAAUAGACAAUCUCUGUUACAAAGUUGAGAGGGUUACGACAAAAACUCAUCUGUUACAAAGGCAUUUCAUUUUUUUAAAUAACCUAAGUAUUACCAAAUUGAAUAUAAUGAUAAAACACACUAAUAUUAAACAUAAUAUAAAAGAAUCACUAAAAAAAUCUAUUUUCAAGGUAAAGCUAUUCACAAACUAGUGAUUCACACAAAAUUCAAAUAAUUCAAAUUUAAACUAUUCAAAUUUGAAAACUACUCGCACUAACAGAAAGUUUAUAUUUUUUUACCUAAAGCAAAAAUAUUCACAAAUAAAUUCUAAAUAAAGCAAAAAAUAACUCAGAAAUAAAAGAAAAUGAAUAACGCAGAAAACAAAAAAAUGAAAAAAAAACCCGCCUACUAGGCCACAACAGCCUGCAUACGACUAGAAAUCCAACAUGUAGUUGGGCCAGGAUACAUGCCCGCAAGGCCCAGUAGGCCCACAGGGCAGCACAACAAAGUUAGGCCCACAAGCCUGCUUUGGAGAGGAGCUCGAAGGAGCAGCCGUGGCUGGGUUUAUAAACCAGUGUGGCUGCCCUUCGCUCGGAGAGGUGGGACUAAACUUCUGCACCGCGCACACGGGAACCGCAGGCCUUUAGUUGCGGUUGGAGCCACCAACCGGGACUAAAGGCCUGUGCUUCCCGCCGCUUGGCCUGGCCAAAUUUGACCUUUAGUCCCGGUGGUGGCUCCAACCGGGACUAAAGGCCCCUCCUAUAUAUACAACACUUAUGAAAUUUUCAGUUUCUUCUUCUCUUCUCCAUCUCCUCUGCUUCGAUCGACAUCGUCGCCGCACCUUGUCGCCGCCCCCGUCGCGCGCCGUCCCCAUCGCCGCCCUGUCCCCGUCGCCGUCCCUGUCGCCGCCCCGGCCCGUCGCCGCCCCUGUCGCCUCGCCUCGCCGGUCGUCACCCGCUGCGAGCCCCAGUCGCCAUGGCCGCGCCCAUCGAACCCACACACACGCGCGCGCGCACACACACACAAGUUAUAUGAAUUAUUUUCUGUUUUUCUGUUUUUUAGUUUUUUAUACUUUUAGAUGAAUGUAUAUAUAAAUGUUAGAUGAAUUAGAUAUAUAUAAAUCUUAGAUGGAAUUUUUAGAUGAAUGUUAAAUGAAUUAGAUAUAUAUAAAUGUUAGAUGAAUUAGAUCUAUAUAAAUGUUAGAUGAAUUAGAUAUAUAUAAAUGUUAGAUGGAAUUUUNNNNNNNNNNNNNNNNNNNNNNNNNNNNNNNNNNNNNNNNNNNNNNNNNNNNNNNNNNNNNNNNNNNNNNNNNNNNNNNNNNNNNNNNNNNNNNNNNNNNNNNNNNNNNNNNNNNNNNNNNNNNNNNNNNNNNNNNNNNNNNNNNNNNNNNNNNNNNNNNNNNNNNNNNNNNNNNNNNNNNNNNNNNNNNNNNNNNNNNNNNNNNNNNNNNNNNNNNNNNNNNNNNNNNNNNNNNNNNNNNNNNNNNNNNNNNNNNNNNNNNNNNNNNNNNNNNNNNNNNNNNNNNNNNNNNNNNNNNNNNNNNNNNNNNNNNNNNNNNNNNNNNNNNNNNNNNNNNNNNNNNNNNNNNNNNNNNNNNNNNNNNNNNNNNNNNNNNNNNNNNNNNNNNNNNNNNNNNNNNNNNNNNNNNNNNNNNNNNNNNNNNNNNNNNNNNNNNNNNNNNNNNNNNNNNNNNNNNNNNNNNNNNNNNNNNNNNNNNNNNNNNNNNNNNNNNNNNNNUAUGUCAAAGUUUGAAUUUUGACAUAUGCAACAAUAUUUGAUCAUAUGUCAAAGUUUGUCUUUUGACAUAGAUUUAUCAAGAAUGCCCCCAUUAUGGAUGUGCACAAGUUGAUCCAUUUUUUUUUCUGAUCUCAUAUAUAUAUGUAUAUAUUUUUUUUUCUAUAUGUCACGUUGUCUGCCAAAGUAUUGAAGAAAUCCAUGGCUUCAUCAUUAGCCAAAAGUAACAGGCAUAUGAUGCUACGAAGCUCUACAAAGUUGUUUUGGAAUGGAGUUCCGGAUAGAAUAAUUCAUUUUUUUGUAUGAAUUUCAGCAAAGACCUUCCAAAUAGCAAUAUUCAGAAGGCUUUAGCCGAACUUCGUACCAAAAAGCUAAUUAUCCUAUCCGGGACUCCGUUCCAAAACAAUUUUGUAGAUCUUCGUACCAUUAUGCGCCUGUUACUUCCGGCUAAUAAUGAAGUCAUGGUUUUCUUGAAUCCUUUGACACUAGACAACGUGACAUAUAAAAGGGUAGAUGAGAUCAGGAAAAAUAUGGACCAUUUUUUGUGCAUCCAGAAUGGCGCCAUUUUGUUAAAUCCCUUAAAGGUUAAGAGAAUCCAUUAUAAUUUUGAAUCCUGUUCCUAGUCAAACAUUAGAAAAAUGUUACAUAUUUGCAUAGAAUUUGUCCUCGAGGUCAACGAUGCCCGGCCCGCAUCCUCGUCGUCGACUCGUUGGCGAUGACGUCCUGCUUCAGAGGCACCAUGUACGGGACUGGGCUCCGCUGGGCUGGCACUGGGAGGUGCUACCUUCAGGGGCGCGUGUCUUGGUAAGGAACCCGGGUCCUGUCGUCGACCUGGAGCUUCUUUGGUGGUGGGCGCGUGGGCCACAUUCGGUGCGGAGGCUGGCGUCCCCCGUGGAGGUGGUACGUCACCAUGUCAGGGUGGAGGACGAGCACGUUCAUUGCUACAUGGUUGCGUUGGACGUCAGGUUCUCCAAUACCUGGCAAGUUCUUCAGGUAUCUCACUGGAGCUAUGAUCCUGUGGUGGUUCCUUCUCUUUGGGUGUCCACCGCGAGUCAACUAGAUUAUUCGAUAGUAUUCGAUCUGCAUUAGCUAGUGAUGUAUUCGAGACGAUAUAUUUGAGAUUAUAUUAUUCGAUAAUAUUCGAGAUGAUGUAUUUGAGAUUAUAUUAUUCGAUCAUAUUCGAGACGAUGUAUUUGAGAUUAUAUUCGAUGAUGCAUAUUAAUUAUCUCGAUUUCGAUAUGCAUAUUAUGUACUAUGAUUCAGUUUUUCCUUAUUGAUUGCAUGCAUGCAUUCUAAUUUGAAUACUAAAUUGUUUUAUAUUUCUUUUGUAUUAGUUAAAUAAAAGCUAUGGACAAUACCGGCAGAGAAGGAGAGGAGGCCCUGUUCAACAUCAUACGCUCAUCCCCUCGCCCAGAUGAGUUUGAAGAAGAUGACGGCUCGCAAUAUCUGAACCCUACCGUUGAGGGCAUGAUAUUUGAUGAAGACGAACGAAUAGAUGAAGUCGACAACUAUGAUGAUGAAGAAAAUGUUGUUCUUGAAAUAACAAAGACCGCCGAGGUAUAGUUAUAUAAGCAGGCAUCUUGUAACGCCCCAAGACCGACGCUCCAGACGCCUUCCAUGUUCUUUGUGAUCAUUGUGUGUAUUUAUUUGUUGGUUGCAUUUCAUCAUGGCAUCAUCCGCAUUGCAUCGGCACCUCGUUGCCGUCAUUGUUUUUAAAGCUUGCAUCCGCUCGUAGUUGCCGCUCCUCGCUUCCCUCCGUUGCGUUCGUUGACCCUUUCGAGACCAACCGUGUUUUCGGUUCCCUCUUGUCAAACCACCUAACCCCUCCUUGCACAGUGCAUCGUCCCUCUUGCGCGCAUCCGAAACUCCCCCGAACCCGACUCAGCCUGUCGUUACCAGUGGAUCCGGAUCAUCCUCAAACAUCUAUAAAAUAUCUCCGUUUUCUUUUUUGGACUCCCUAUCUAUUUAUUUCUCGACCGUCCGAUUAAAAUCGGAGGGACCAAAUACCCCUACCUAAAAAUCCAUCUGCUAUAAAUAGUCCUAACCCUAGACCAAUCCCUAAAACCUAGGCUUCUUGUUCCAUUGCGCCGCCACCCGCUCAAUCCCCAUCGGGAUCACCCACAGCCAACCACCAUCCUCUCGUGCCUCCCUCGUUUUCCUCGACGCCGUCGCCACCCCGAUCCUCUUCCUUGGUAUCCAUCCCCAACCCAGCCACCUCGCCCGAGCCUCCUUCCAGGGCAGCCGAGGACCUCCCCGAUAUCGCUGUACCUCGCCGCUCUUGCUCAAGGUCACGCCGCCGAUCCCCGUGCCCUCUCUCUUUUCUUUUCUCUCUCUAACCUCUAGGCAUAUCUCUUCAUCCUCCUCCCAGGAAGAAAGCCAUGGCGCCCGAGGCCUCCCCUGGCUUGUCUCAUCGGAGCCCUUCCAGCAGCUGCUCCAGGCCGUCGCCCUCGUCCCUCCUCGUCCUCCAGCAGCUCCUCCCUGUGCGCCUCCUCUGGUUCCCGAGGCCGAGCCGCCCCGUGCCCGCAAACCUCGCGCGAGCUGGCAAGCUCUUCUGCCUGAGCCGGCGACCAACCCGCAGGCCGCGCCCUCCGGCGACCCCGCCGUCGGCAACAACAUCCAGGACCGGCCUCGUCCCGCUCCUCUCCUCCCCUAUCUCUCUCCCUUCCCUAACGCUCUCUCUCACAUCUCUCUCUCUGUACUUGCCACAGCAAGGAACCGCCGAGCUCGCCAAGCCCUGGCGCCAGAGACCUCCUCUGCGCCCCGUUGACCUGCGGCUCCACCGCCCCGUCGAGUUCCCGAAGCCAGCGCCGCCUCGCCAGCGCCGCUCGCCUCCACCGUUGUCCUCUGCAUCGCAGCCGUGCAGGACCGCGUCGACCUCCCCUGCUCGCCCGCCUCAUCCCUGCAUUGACCCGCGCCUCUGCCUUGACCGCUCGUCCCCCUGCUUCGCACGCUGGGCCGUGUCCCCUUCGCCAGACCGAGAGGCCCAGCGCCAAGCGAGCCGCCCUGCUUCCUCGUCGGCCCAGAUCCACCGGCCCACCUCUCCGCUUCCCCUUCGGCCAGUUUUGGCCCGAUGUGAGCAGCUUCCCCAGCCCAGUUCAGUUCUGUUUCGGCCCAUGUAUUUUUUUCCUGCGCUGCGAAUUUGUCUAUUUAUCCCAGGAUUUACAGUUUUACAGAAAAACCCUCAAACAUCAUGCAUAUAAUAACUCUUUAACAGUGCAUCAUAUGUUAAAACUUUAUAUAUGAAAAAUGCUCAGAAUUUUAUCUAGUUUCAUAAUAUGCUGCUUGCAUCCAUGUUUAAAAUGUUUAAAUUGCUGUUUGAUUAAAUUUUCUCAAAUGCCAUGUUAAAAUGAUUUAUUUCAUAACUAAAUAACCGUAGCUCGGAUUUUAAUAAGUUAUAUAUGUAAAUGGGGUAGAAAAAUGCAUAGAUUAACUUGGUGCACUUUAUUUUGCUGUUUAACCACAUUAAAAUUGUGUUUAUGGAAGAACAGUACCAAUUCCAAAAUAUGCAUAUGAGGAUUUUUCGGAAUUGUUGUUUGUUGUUCCGGCCUCAUUUAAACUUGCCUAAAUAGUUAGUUUACUUAUGCUUCACCUCUUGCCAUGUUAAGCAACAUUUAAUAUUGUUGGGUACAUGACCGAGAGAACUAAACAAUUGAUCUGGUGUUUCGUCAAUAUGCAACUCGUUGCAUAUUGAGCUCCACUUAACUUGUAGUUUUGUUUAUGCACUUUGCCAUGUCAUGCAUAUUUAAACCGGACAUGCAUCAUACUUGAUUGUGCAUCAUGCCAUGUUUAAGAUUGUGUGUUUACCGUGUUGUUUGCUUCUUUCCGGGUUGCUUCUCUUGCUAGCUUCGGUUUCGUUCCGGAGUUGUGAGGAUCCGUUCGACUACGUCUGUUUGUCUUCUUCAUGGACUCGUUCUUCUUCCUAGCGGGAUCUCAGGCAAGAUGACCAUACCCUCGAAAUCACUUCUAUCUUUGCUUGCUAGUUGUUCGCUCUAUUGCUAUGCCGCGCUACCUACCACUUGCUAUAUCAUGCCUCCCAUAUUGCCAUGUCAAGCCUCUAAUCCACUCUUCCUAGCAAACCGUUGUUUGGCUAUGUUACCGCUUUUGCUCAGCCCCUCUUAUAGCGUUGUUAGUUGCAGGUGAAGUUGAAGAUUGCUCCAUGUGGGAACAUGAUUAUGUUAGGAUAUCACAAUAUCUUUUAUUUAAUUAAUGCAUCUAUAUACUUGGUAAAGGGUGGAAGGCUCGGCCUUAUGCCUGGUGUUUUUUUCCACUCUUGCCGCCCUAGUUUCCGUCAUACCGGUGUUAGGUUCCUUGAUUUUGCGUUCCUUACGCGGUUGGGUGAUUUAUGGGACCCCCUUGACAGUUCGCUUUGAAUAAAACUCCUCCAGCAAGGCCCACCUUGGUUUUACUAUUUGCUACCACCUAUCCCCUUUUCCCUUGGGUUCUGCAGACUCAAGGGUCAUCUUUAUUUUAGACCCCCCGGGCCAGUGCUCCUUCGAGUAUUGGUCCGAACCGAGCUGCCUGCGGGGCCACCUUGGGGAAACUUGAGGGCUGGUUUUACUCGUAGCUAGUCUCAUCCGGUGUUGCCCUGAGAACGAGAUAUGUGCAGCUCCUAUCGGGAUUUGUCGGCACAUCGGGCGACUUUGCUGGUCUUGUUUUACCAUUGUCCAAAUGUCUUGUAAACCGGGAUUCCGAGACUGAUCGGGUCUUCCCGGGAGAAGGAAUAUCCUUCGUUGACCGUGAGAGCUUAUAAUGGGCUAAGUUGGGACACCCCUGCAGGGUAUUAUCUUUCGAAAGCCGUGCCCGCGGUUAUGUGGCAGAGGGGAAUUUGUUAAUGUCCGGUUGUAGAGAACUUGACACUUGACUUAAUUAAAACGCAUCAACCGCGUGUGUAGCCGUGAUGGUCUCUUGUCGGUGGAGUCCGGGAAGUGAACACGGCUUUUGGGUUAUGUUUGACGUAAGUAGGAGUUCAGGAUCACUUCUUGAUCAUUACUGGUUAACGACCGUUCCGUUGCUCCUCUUCUCGCUCUUAUUUGCGUAUGUUAGCCACCAUAUAUGCUUAGUGCUUGCUGCAGCUCCACCUCACUACCCCCUUUCCUACCCAUAAGCUUAAAUAGUCUUGAUCUCACGGGUGUGAGAUUGCUGAGUCCUCGUGACUCACAGAUACUUCCAAAACAGUUGCAGGUGCCGAUGAUACCAGUACAGGUGACGCAACUGAGCUCAAGUGGGAGAUUGAUGAAGAUCUUGUUUGUUGUGUUGUUUCUGUUCUUGUUGAUCAGUAGUGGAGCCCAGUUGGGACGAUCGGGGAUCUAGCUUUUGGGGUUGUCUUCUUUUCUUUUGGUUCCGUAGUCGGACCUAUGUGUGUACUCUGAUUGAUGUAUGAAUUCAUUUAUGUAUUGUGUGAAGUGGCGAUUGUAAGACAACUCUUUAUCCCAUUCUUGUUCAUUACAUGGGAUUGUGUGAAGAUGACCCUUCUUGCGACAAAACCACAAUGCGGUUAUGCCUCUAAGUCGUGCCUCGACACGUGGGAGAUAUAGCCGCAUCAUGGGCGUUACAAGUUGGUAUCAGAGCCAUCCCCGACUUAGGAGCCCCCUGCUUGAUCGAAUCGCUGGCGUUGUUGAGUCUAGAACAAAAAUGUUUUGAGUCUUAGGAUUAUAUAUAUAUCGGAGAGUAGGAUUCUUUUUACUCCUCAGUCCCUUCGUCGCUCUGGUGAGGUCUCCUGACGUAGAAGUUUUGACUCUUCUUUCCUCAAAUUUCACUAAAAAAAAUUUAGGAUCACGCGGGUAUCUUGGAAUCGUUCCGAUGGCUUUGUGACGAGAACAUUGUUCUUGGUGCCUCCUGACAUUUAGGGGUUGUGGCAGUGUCCCGGGGAGUUGAGCUCCGAGGUGUUUUCGUCACAAUUUUAUCGUUGCAGUUCUGGAAUACCUGAGUUUCGCCGACAUCGAAAAUCUCUUUUAUGCAGUUGUUGGUGAGAUCACCUUGACGCCACCCAGUACUGGGGCGGGAGUUUGGGAGUAUUGCCAUAACUCGUAUAACGGAUGCUUUUCGAAGGUUGAGGUAAAUGAUUUCCGAAGGUUUCUUGGUUAUGUGUUGAAGGAUGGAUACAGCUGGAUCUAGGUAUUGUUAGUUUGGGUGAUAUAUUUUGUGUCCCAUGUAUCCCCAACACCAGAUUGCAUAACCAGAAAGUUUCGGGAGUUUAUAAGUGGGAAUUCAAGUAGCUCCUAGGAUAUCUUUCCGACAGAUGCAUGAUAUGAGAUUGGGGUUCGACGUCUAGUGGUCCGCCUUUCCACGGUUGGUUUAAAGUGGUCUCGUAGUGUCUUAAAGAGUCCUUGGCUAUGCCGACUCGGGGACGCUUCGUAUGUCAUGUGCACUGCCUUGUACAUGAUGGUGCUGUAAGAUCGAGCCCGUGUGGGCCCCACCACGAAAACUUCGGACGAAAUCUCUAUCAUAUGUUUGUUCCGGCUUAUUCCGCAAGCCAAAUCCUUUGUUUUGUUUUAAGUUGUGGUAUUCGAGUUGCUUCGAAGUCAAUUCUUGAAUCCAUACCUUUCCUAAACGGUGUUCUCAUAUUGCUAUGUGAAUACUAAUCCUUCUUGAUCAUCGAGGUCGUCAUGUUAAUUCUUUUCCAACCGGCGUGCUUCUCUUCAAGUGGAUCCGAUCAUUCCAACAUUCGCAAGAUCAAUUCUAAGCUUUUUCUCAAUGGUGUUUAUUCCAUAUGCCCCAAGUUGCCUUUGUUUUUCCCGCCCUCCCACCCUUUUCUUUAAGGACACAGAUUUCUCAAUCAAGUAUCCAUCUUAUAGAUAGGAAGUCUCUCCAUUCUUUUCCGUAAAUGUUCUUAUCCGGUGAUUCUCAGGAAGAUACUAACGGAGCCUUAACUUCAUCAUUAUUCGUUCUCUUUCUUCUCCGGUGGUUUCAAUUCAAGUUUGCGGUGUUGAUCAUAUUCAUUUCCUUGUUUCAAAUGCUUUAUCAUGCCGAUGCAGCUCGUAAUCAUUCAGCUCUCACUAUUCAUUUGUCCCGAAGUGUUGAACAUAUCUCAGAAGAUUCGUGCUUUCUUGUCCUAAUCCGUUCUAACUAUUUUGAGGUUGUUACCUCAUUCAAGCCAUUUAAUUCUACCGGCGCAAUCUUUCUUUUAAAUCAUUCCAACGUUGUAUCUUUUGAGUGGGCCCUAACCCACAGGUCUUUUCCCAGGAUCUUACCCGACUCUUCUAAUUUCCCCAGAGCUAUUCCCAAAUUCUUUUCGAAUUUUGGAUGGAAGAAUGAAGUAUCAUCAGUCAUAUGUCUUUCUCCAAGAUCUUUCAAAUUCUUUUCAUUUUUGGUUCAACCUUUCUAAUUUUCAUUCUGGAGUGCCUCAACAAUUCAUGGUGGUGUUUAUUGUCAUCAUUCUCAACAUUUGAAGACCGAAGAAGAGUUUCUCUUCAAUCUUAUCCGUUCUCUCAAAGAUGCGAAGCUCAAGUGUGUUGCUAUCCUCUCAUAAUUGUUUGCGGUUGUGAGAAUUCUUUUCACCCACCCGGAGCAUUUCAGAAGUCUUUUCAGUUUGAUUCUCCGGAGCCCACAAUCUCAGAAUUAUUCAUUCAAGCUUUCAGCCCUCGUUCUCCAAAUCAUACCGGUGCAUCAUUCAAGUAUUAUCUAGUUAGCUCGGGAUCUCUGCGUUCACUUGUAUCUAAAUUCUCUCAAGUAUCUUCGUUCAUUUUCUAAUUCUUCCCGAUGAAUUGCGCUUUUGCUACUUUCAUUUCCAAUUCUUAUGGUUGUUCAUUCAAGAGUUCUCUUCCUUGGUUAUCAUAUAAAUUUAUUCGUUGUUUCAAUCCUACUGGUGAUUCGUUGAAGACUUUUCUCAAGUUUGCGCUAUAUCUAUCUUAAUCAUUUCUACGAGAAUAAGUAGUAUGCCAAAUCCGUUGCUUGUCAUCAAUCUAAAUUGGUGAAGGAUACGCAUAAUGUAAUUCUUAUUCUUGUUUCCUCCAAGUGAUUAAUUCCUUCUUCCGGAGUUCGUUCAUGAUAUCAAAUUCUCGGUUCCAAGUUGUUCAUCUUUUCUUUCCGGAGCUCCAAGUUAUUUCAAUUAUAUCAUUUCAAAGCUUCAUCUAAUCAUUGCAAGGUUUCUCCCAGAGUUCUUUUCAACUUUCCCUUUCGUUUGAUCAUUCUUUUAUUAUCAUAGUUCUUCAUGGAGGAUCAACAUGGUGCUUCAUCAAGGAUUCUUUUCAUUCUUCAAUUGUUCUUCAAGAUUUCUCUCGGAGUAAAGAUCCGUCAAGCAAUACUCAAAAAUAAACAUGGUUCUCAACACAUGUUUGUCUUGAGGAGUUCAAGCAUUCUUCAUCUCGCAUUCCGAAGUGCAAUUCAUUUUACCUUAUCAUUUGAGGUGGUGUUAUGUCAUUCUUGACAGUUUGAGUUCGCGUUUCAGGAUUCACAUGUUGUCAAGAAUGAGAAAUUUUAAAUCCACCAAUCUCUUCGUUGGAUUUAUCUUGUGUCAUGUUUCACCUAAAGCUUUCCCUAAGGAUUUUUGCUAUUUAUGGUGCUCAUAAAUGACCCAAGUUCUUCAUUUAUCCUCCCGGCGAAAUAAGUUUCUCGUCUCCUUGUUCAUAUCAAUCCAAUCUAUUGUUUUUCCGUUAGUGGCAGAAUUUCACCUCAAGUUUUUGAGAUGUUUUCCUUAAGCCCACAACAAGCUUGUUCUUUUCGUUGUUGAUUUUUCCAACAACUCCAUUCAAUCCUACUUCGUAAGGAUGCUCUUUAAAAUUCAUUUAUGGUAGGAGAUGUUGGUUUCAUUCUUCGUUCUAUUCACUACAACUAUCUAACUAUCAUGCUUUGUUUCCGGAGGCUUUGUGAUGUUGCUCUCUUCGACCAAUCAUCUUGUUUUGUCAAGAUCAUGUAAUUUUUCCUUUCUUAUCCGUUUAGCCGGAGUGUCGUGUUUUCAUUCGAGUUCUCUCAUCUUAUCAAGUUUUGCCUCCCUUCUCAACCGGAGUGCUAUCUGAAAUAUUUCUGACCCAUUGUGCCAUUCUUUCAAUAGUUCCGGAGGCAGUGUGCUGUUGAUUUCUUUAAGUAUCCUCUCAUCUUGUAAAGUUCAUGUUCAAUUCCUUCCAUUUACAGUCGGAGUGCUGUCCAAAUUAUAUCAUUCUUAUUCCUUCUUUAUCUUGUUUUAACCAGAGUGUUGUGUCUAUCAUUCCUCUUCUAACCGGAGUCUCAUCCAAGUGCUUUCUUUUUGCCAAGUUCAUAUUCUACCCCUUCCAUUUUCCAACCGGAGCAUUAUCGUAAUUGAUCAUUAUCGUUCCUUGUACAUCUCAUUUCAACCGGAGUGCUUGCAUGUACUUCUCGUCCAUUGUUCUCGUCAUUCAUAGCUUUGCAAACUCCAAAGUUCACAUGGUGUUCCUUGUUUCUCUUUUCUACCGGAGUCUUCUCAAUUUUGUUCAACUCUGUCGUUUUCUUGUUUCAAGUUUUCAACCUCUCAAGGUUCUUUGGUUUCACUCGUUCAUCAAAGAAGCAACUUUGUUUUACCUCUUCCCUUUUCGUUUUCUCUCCGGUGAAAUCCUAGAUCUCGGGACGAGAUCCUCUUGUAGUGGUGGAGUGUUGUAACGCCCCAAGACCGACGCUCCAGACGCCUUCCAUGUUCUUUGUGAUCGUUGUGUGUAUUUAUUUGUUGGUUGCAUUUCAUCAUGGCAUCAUCCGCAUUGCAUCGGCACCUCGUUGCCGUCAUUGUUUUUAAAGCUUGCAUCCGCUCGUAGUUGCCGCUCCUCGCUUCCCUCCGUUGCGUUCGUUGACCCUUUCGAGACCAACCGUGUUUUCGGUUCCCUCUUGUCAAACCACCUAACCCCUCCUUGCAUAGUGCAUCGACCCUCUUGCGCGCAUCCGAAACUCCCCCGAACCCGACUCAGACUGUCGUUACCAGUGGAUCAGGAUCAUCCUCAAACAUCUAUAAAAUAUCUCCGUUUUCUUUUUUGGACUCCCUAUCUAUUUAUUUCUCGACCGUCCGAUUAAAAUCGGAGGGACCAAAUACCCCUACCUAAAAAUCCAUCUGCUAUAAAUAGUCCUAACCCUAGACCAAUCCCUAAAACCUAGGCUUCUUGUUCCAUCGCGCCGCCACCCGCUCAAUCCCCAUCGGGAUCACCCACAGCCAACCACCAUCCUCUCGUGCCUCCCUCGUUUUCCUCGGCGCCGUCGCCACCCCGAUCCUCUUCCUUGGGAUCCAUCCCCGACCCAGCCACCUCGCCCGAGCCUCCUUCCAGGGCAGCCGAGGACCUCCCCGACCCCGCUGUACCUCGCCGCUCUUGCUCAAGGUCACGCCGGCGAUCCCCGUGCCCUCUCUCUUUUCUUUUCUCUCUCUAACCUCUCGGCAUCUCUCUUCAUCCUCCUCCCAGGAACAAAGCCAUGGCGCCCGAGGCCUCCCCUGGCUUGUCUCAUCGGAGCCCUUCCAGCAGCUGCUCCAGGCCGUCGCCCUCGUCCCUCCUCGUCCUCCAGCAGCUCCUCCCUGUGCGCCUCCUCUGGUUCCCGAGGCCGAGCCGCCCCGUGCCCGCAACCGUCGCGCGAGCUGGCAAGCUCUUCUGCCUGAGCCGGCGACCAACCCGCAGGCCGCGCCCUCCGGCGACCCCGCCGUCGGCAACAACAUCCAGGACCGGCCUCGUCCCGCUCCUCUCCUCCCCUAUCUCUCUCCCUUCCCUAACGCUCUCUCUCACAUCUCUCUCUCUCUGUACUUGCCACAGCAAGGAACCGCCGAGCUCGCCAAGCCCUGCCGCCAGAGACCUCCUCUGCGCCCCGUUGACCUGCGGCUCCACCGCCCCGUCGAGUUCCCGAAGCCAGCGCCGCCUCGCCAGCGCCGCUCGCCUCCACCGUUGUCCUCUGCAUCGCAGCCGUGCAGGACCGCGUCGACCUCCCCUGCUCGCCCGCCUCAUCCCUGCAUUGACCCGCGCCUCUGCCUCGACCGCUCGUCCCCCUGCUUUGCACGCUGGGCCGUGUCCCCUUCGCCAGACCGAGAGGCCCAGCGCCAAGCGAGCCGCCCUGCUUCCUCGUCGGCCCAGAUCCACCGGCCCACCGCUCUGCUUCCCCUUCGGCCAGUUUUGGCCCGAUGUGAGCAGCUUCCCCAGCCCAGUUCAGUUCUGUUUCGGCCCAUGUAUUUUUUUCCUGCGCUGCGAAUUUGUCUAUUUAUCCCAGGAUUUACAGUUUUACAGAAAAACCCUCAAACAUCAUGCAUAUAAUAACUCUUUAACAGUGCAUCAUAUGUUAAAACUUUAUAUAUGAAAAAUGCUCAGAAUUUUAUCUAGUUUCAUAAUAUGCUGCUUGCAUCCAUGUUUAAAAUGUUUAAAUUGCUGUUUGAUUAAAUUUUCUCAAAUGCCAUGUUAAAAUGAUUUAUUUCAUAACUAAAUAACCAUAGCUCGGAUUUUAAUAAAUUAUAUAUGUAAAUGGGGUAGAAAAAUGCAUAGAUUAACUUGGUGCACUUUAUUUUGCUGUUUAACCACAUUAAAAUUGUGUUUAUGGCAGAACAGUACCAAUUCCAAAAUAUGCAUAUGAGGAUUUUUCGGAAUUGUUGUUUGUUGUUCCGGCCUCAUUUAAACUUGCCUAAAUAGUUAGUUUACUUAUGCUUCACCUCUUGCCAUGUUAAGCAACAUUUAAUAUUGUGGGGUACAUAACCGAGAGAACUAAACAAUUGAUGUGGUGUUUCGUCAAUAUGCACCUCGUUGCAUAUUGAGCUCCACUUAACUUGUAGUUUUGUUUAUGCACUUUGCCAUGCCAUGCAUAUUUAAACCGGACAUGCAUCAUACUUGAUUGUGCAUCAUGCCAUGUUUAUGAUUGUGUGUUUACCGUGUUGUUUGCUUCUUUCCGGGUUGCUUCUCUCGCUAGCUUCGGUUUCGUUCCGGAGUUGUGAGGAUCCGUUCGACUACGUCUGUUUGUCUUCUUCAUGGACUCGUUCUUCUUCCUAGCGGGAUCUCAGGCAAGAUGACCAUACCCUCGAAAUCACUUCUAUCUUUGCUUGCUAGUUGUUCGCUCUAUUGCUAUGCCGCGCUACCUACCACUUGCUAUAUCAUGCCUCCCAUAUUGCCAUGUCAAGCCUCUAAUCCACUCUUCCUAGCAAACCGUUGUUUGGCUAUGUUACCGCUUUUGCUCAGCCCCUCUUAUAGCGUUGUUAGUUGCAGGUGAAGUUGAAGAUUGCUCCAUGUGGGAACAUGAUUAUGUUGGGAUAUCACAUUAUCUUUUAUUUAAUUAAUGCAUCUAUAUACUUGGUAAAGGGUGGAAGGCUCGGCCUUAUGCCUGGUGUUUUGUUCCAUUCUUGCCGCCCUAGUUUCCGUCAUACCGGUGUUAGGUUCCUUGAUUUUGCGUUCCUUACAUGGUUGGGUGAUUUAUGGGACCCCCUUGACAGUUCGCUUUGAAUAAAACUCCUCCAGCAAGGCCCAACCUUGGUUUUACUAUUUGCUACCACCUAUCCCCUUUUCCCUUGGGUUCUGCAGACUCAAGGGUCAUCUUUAUUUUAGACCCCCCGGGCCAGUGCUCCUUCGAGUAUUGGUCCGAACCGAGCUGCCUGCGGGGCCACCUUGGGGAAACUUGAGGGCUGGUUUUACUCGUAGCUAGUCUCAUCCGGUGUUGCCCUGAGAACGAGAUAUGUGCAGCUCCUAUCGGGAUUUGUCGGCACAUCGGGCGACUUUGCUGGUCUUGUUUUACCAUUGUCCAAAUGUCUUGUAAACCGGGAUUCCGAGACUGAUCGGGUCUUCCCGGGAGAAGGAAUAUCCUUCGUUGACCGCGAGAGCUUAUAAUGGGCUAAGUUGGGACACCCCUGCAGGGUAUUAUCUUUCGAAAGCCAUGCCCGCGGUUAUGUGGCAGAUGGGAAUUUGUUAAUGUCCGGUUGUAGAGAACUUGACACUUGACUUAAUUAAAACGCAUCAACCGCGUGUGUAGCCGUGAUGGUCUCUUUUCGGCGGAGUCCGGGAAGUGAACACGGCUUUUGGGUUAUGUUUGACGUAAGUAGGAGUUCAGGAUCACUUCUUGAUCAUUACUGGUUGACGACCGUUCCGUUGCUCCUCUUCUCGCUCUUAUUUGCGUAAGUUAGCCACCAUAUAUGCUUAGUGCUUGCUGCAGCUCCACCUCACUACCCCCUUUCCUACCCAUAAGCUUAAAUAGUCUUGAUCUUGCGGGUGUGAGAUUGUUGAGUCCUCGUGACUCACAGAUACUUCCAAAACAAUUGCAGGUGCCGAUGAUACCAGUAUAGGUGACACAACUGAGCUCAAGUGGGAGAUUGAUGAAGAUCUUGUUUGUUGUGUUGUUUCUGUUCUUGUUGAUCAGUAGUGGAGCCCAGUUGGGACGAUCGGGGAUCUAGCUUUUGGGGUUGUCUUCUUUUCUUUUGGUUCCGUAGUUGGACCUAUGUGUGUACUCUGAUUGAUUUAUGAAUUCAUUUAUGUAUUGUGUGAAGUGGCGAUUGUAAGACAACUCUUUAUCCCAUUCUUGUUCAUUACAUGGGAUUGUGUGAAGAUGACCCUUCUUGCGACAAAACCACAAUGCGGUUAUGCCUCUAAGUCGUGCCUCGACACGUGGGAGAUAUAGCCGCAUCGUGGGCGUUACAAGUUGGUAUCAGAGCCAUCCCCGACUUAGGAGCCCCCCUGCUUGAUCGAAUCGCUGGCGUUGUUGUGUCUAGAACAAAAAUGUUUUGAGUCUUAGGAUUAUAGAUAUAUAUCGGAGAGUAGGAUUCUUUUUACUCCUCAGUCCCUUCGUCGCUCUGGUGAGGUCUCCUGACGUAGAAGUUUUGACUCUUCUUUCCUCAAAUUUCACUAAAAAAAAUUUAGGAUCACGCGGGUAUCCUGGAAUCGUUCUGAUGGCUUUGUGACGAGAACAUUGUUCUUGGUGCCUCCUGACAUUUAGAGGUUGUGGCAGUGUCCUGGGGAGUUGAGCUCCGAGGUGUUGUCGUCACAAUUUUAUCGUUGCAAUUCUGGAAUACCUGAGUUUCGCCGACAUCGAAAAUCUCUUUUAUGCAGUUGUUGGUGAGAUCACCUCGACGCCACCCAGGCGGAAGUUCGGGAGUAUUGCCAUAACUCGUAUAACGGAUGCUUUUCGAAGGUUGAGGUAAAUGAUUUCUGAAGGUUUCUUGGUUAUGUGUUGAAGGACGGAUACAGCUGGAUCUAGGUAUUGUUAGUUUGGGUGAUAUAUUUUGUGUCCCCUGUAUCCCCAACACCAGAUUGCAUAACCAGAAAGUUUCGGGAGUUUAUAAGUGGGAAUUCAAGUAGCUCCUAGGAUAUCUUUCCGACAGAUGCAUGAUAUGAGAUUGGGGUUCGACGUCUAGUGGUCCGCCUUUCCACGGUUGGUUUAAAGUGGUCUCGUAGUGUCUUAAAGAGUCCUUGGCUAUGCCGACUCGGGGACGCUUCGUAUGUCAUGUGCACUGCCUUGUACAUGAUGGUGCUGUAUGAUCGAGCCCGUGUGGGCCCCACCACGAAAACUUCGGACGAAAUCUCUAUCAUAUGUUUGUUCCGGCUUAUUCCGCAAGCCAAAUCCUUUGUUUUGUUUUAAGUUGUGGUAUUCAAGUUGCUUCGAAGUCAAAUGUUCAAUCCAUACCUUUCCUAAACGGUGUUCUCAUAUUGCUAUGUGAAUACUAAUCCUUCUUGAUCAUCGAGGUCGUCAUGUUAAUUCUUUUCCAACCGGUGUGCUUCUCUUCAAGUGGAUCCGAUCAUUCCAACAUUCGCAAGAUCAAUUCUAAGCUUUUUCUCAAUGGUGUUUAUUCCAUAUGCCCCAAGUUGCCUUUGUUUUUCCCGCCCUCCCACCCUUUUCUUUAAGGACUCAGAUUUCUCAAUCAAGUAUCCAUCUUAUAGAUAGGAAGUCUCUCCAUUCUUUUCCGUAAAUGUUCUUAUCCGGUGAUUCUCAGGAAGAGACUAACGGAGCCUUAACUUCAUCAUUAUUCGUUCUAUUUCUUCUCCGUUGGUUUCAAUUCAAGCUUGCGGUGUUGAUCAUAUUCAUUUCCUUGUUUCAAAUGCUUUCUCAUGCCGAUGCAGCUCGUAAUCAUUCAGCUCUCACUAUUCAUUUGUCCCGAAGUGUUGAACAUAUCUCAGAAGAUUCGUGCUUUCUUGUCCUAAUCCGUUCUAACUAUUUUGAGGUUGUUACCUCAUUCAAGCCAUUUAAUUCUACCGACGCAAUCUUUCUUUUAAAUCAUUCCAACGUUGUUUCUUUUGAGUGGGCCCUAACCCACAGGUCUUUUCCCAGGAUAUUACCUGACUCUUCUAAUUUCCCUGGAGCUAUUCCCAAAUUCUUUUCAAAUUUUGGAUGGAAGAAUGAAGUAUCAUCAGUCAUAUGUCUUUCUCCAAGAUCUUUCAAAUUCUUUUCAUUUUUGGUUCAACCUUUCUAAUUUUCAUUCCGGAGUGCCUCAACAAUUCAUGGUGGUGUUUCUUGUCAUCAUUCUCAACAUUUGAAGACCGAAGAAGAGUUUCUCUUCUAUCUUAUCCGUUCUCUCAAAGAUGCGAAGUUCAAGUGUGUUGCUAUCCUCUCAUAAUUGUUUGCGGUUGUGAGAAUUCUUUUCACCCACCCGGAGCAUUUCAGAAGUCUUUUCAGUUUGAUUCUCUGGAGCCCACCAUCUCAGAAUUAUUCAUUCAAGCUUUCAGCUCUCGUUCUCCAAAUCAUACCGGUGCAUCAUUCAAGUAUUAUCUAAUCAGCUCGGGAUCUCUGUGUUCACUUGUAUCUAAAUUCUCUCAAGUAUCUUCGUUCAUUUUCUAAUUCUUCCCGAUGAAUUGCGCUUUUGCUCCUUUCAUUUCCAAUUCUUACGGUUGUUCGUUCAAGAGUUCUCUUCCUUGGUUAUCAUAUAAAUUUAUUCGUUGUUUCAAUCCUACCGGUGAUUCAUUGAAGACUUUUCUCAAGUUUGCGCUAUAUCUAUCUUAAUCCUUUCUACAAGAAUAAGUAGUAUGGCAAAUCCGUUGCUUGUCAUCAAUCUAAAUUGGUGAAGGAUACGCGUAAUGUAAUUCUUAUUCUUGUUUCCUCCAAGUGAUUGAUUCCUUCUUCCGGAUUUCGUUCAUGAUAUCAAAUUCUCGGUUCCAAGUUGUUCAUCUUUUCUUUCCGGAGCUCCAAGUUAUUUCAAUUAUAACAUUUCAAAGCUUCAUCUAAUCAUUGCAAGGCUUCUCCCGGAGUUCUUUUCAACUUUCCCUUUCGUUUGAUCAUUCUUUUAUUAUCGUAGUUCUUCAUGGAGGAUCAACAUGGUGCUUCGUCAAGGAUUCUUUUCAUUCUUCAAUUGUUCUUCAAGAUUUCUCUCGGAGUCAAGAUCCGUCAAGCUAUACUCAAAAAUAAACAUGGUGCUCAACACAUGUUUGUCUUGAGGAGUUCAAGCAUUCUUCAUCUCGCAUUCCGAAGUGCAAUUCGUUUUACCUUAUCAUUUGAGGUGGUGUUAUGUCAUUCUUAACAGUUUGAGUUCGCGUUUCAGGAUUCACAUGUUGUCAAGAAUGAGAUAUUUUAAAUCUACCAAUCUCUUCGUUGGAUUUAUCUUGUGUCAUGUGCACCUAAAGCUUUCCCUAAGGAUUUUUUCUAUUUAUGGUGCUCAUAAAUGACCCAAGUUCUUCAUUUAUCCUCCCGGCGAAAUAAGUUUCUCGUCUCCUUGUUCAUAUCAAUCCAAUCUAUUGUUUUUCCGUUAGUGGCAGAAUUUCACCUCAAGUUUUUGAGAUGUUUUCCUUAAGCCCACAACAAGCUUGUUCUUUUCGUUGUUGAUUUUUCCAACAACUCUGUUCAAUCCUACUUCGUAAGGAUGCUCUUUAAAAUUCAUUUAUGGUAGGAGAUGUUGGUUUCAUUCUUCGUUCUAUUCACUACAACUAUCUAACUAUCAUGCUUUGUUUCCGGAGGCUUUGUGAUGUUGCUCUCUUCGACCAAUCAUCUUGUUUUGUCAAGAUCAUGUAAUUUUUCCUUUCUUAUCCGUUUAGCCAGAGUGUCGUGUUUUCGUUCGAGUUCUCUCAUCUUAUCAAGUUUUGCCUCCCUUCUCAACUGGAGUGCUAUCUGAAAUCUUUCUGACCCAUUGUGCCAUUCUUUCAAUAGUUCCGGAGGCAGUGUGCUGUUGAUUUCUUUAAGUAUCCUCUCAUCUUGUAAAGUUCAUGUUCAAUUCCUUCCAUUUACAAUCGGAGUGCUGUCCAAAUUAUAUCAUUCUUAUUCCUUCUUUAUCUUGUUUUAACGCGAGUGUUGUGGCUAUCAUUCCUCUUCUAACCGGAGUCUCAUCCAAGUGCUUUCUUUUUGCCAAGUUCAUAUUCUACCCCUUCCAUUUUCCAACCGGAGCGUUAUCGUAAUUGAUCAUUAUCGUUCCUUGUACAUCUCGUUUCAACCGGAGUGCUUGCAUGUACUUCUCGUCCAUUGUUCUCGUCAUUCAUAGCUUUGCAAACUCCAAAGUUCACAUGGUGUUCCUUGUUUCUCUUUUCUACCGGAGUCUUCUCAAUUUUGUUCAACUCUGUCGUUUUCUUCUUUCAAGUUUUCAUACUCUCAAGGUUCUUUGGUUUCACUCGUUUGUCAAAGAAGCAACUUUGUUUUACCUCUUCCCUUUUCGUUUUCUCUCCGGUGCAAUCCUAGAUCUCGGGACGAGAUCCUCUUGUAGUGGUGGAGUGUUGUAACGCCCCAAGACCGACGCUCCAGACGCCUUCCAUGUUCUUUGUGAUCAUUGUGUGUAUUUAUUUGUUGGUUGCAUUUCAUCAUGGCAUCAUCCGCAUUGCAUCGGCACCUCGUUGCCGUCAUUGUUUUUAAAGCUUGCAUCCGCUCGUAGUUGCCGCUCCUCGCUUCCCUCCGUUGCGUUCAUUGACCCUUUCGAGACCAACCGUGUUUUCGGUUCCCUCUUGUCAAACCACCUAACCCCUCCUUGCACAGUGCAUCGACCCUCUUGCGCGCAUCCGAAACUCCCCCGAACCCGACUCAGCCUGUCGUUACCAGUGGAUCCGGAUCAUCCUCAAACAUCUAUAAAAUAUCUCCUUUUUCUUUUUUGGACUCCCUAUCUAUUUAUUUCUCGACCGUCCGAUUAAAAUCGGAGGGACCAAAUACCCCUACCUAAAAAUCCAUCUGCUAUAAAUAGUCCUAACCCUAGACCAAUCCCUAAAACCUAGGCUUCUUGUUCCAUCGCGCCGCCACCCGCUCAAUCCCCAUCGGGAUCACCCACAGCCAACCACCAUCCUCUCGUGCCUCCCUCGUUUUCCUCGGCGCCGUCGCCACCCCGAUCCUCUUCCUUGGGAUCCAUCCCCGACCCAGCCACCUCGCCCGAGCCUCCUUCCAGGGCAGCUGAGGACCUCCCCGACCCCGCUGUACCUCGCCGAUCUUGCUCAAGGCCACGCUGCCGAUCCCCGUGCCCUCUCUCUUUUCUUUUCUCUGUCUAACCUCUCGGCAUCUCUCUUCAUCCUCCUCCGAGGAACAAAGCCAUGGCGCCCGAGGCCUCCCCUGGCUCGUCUCGUCGGAGCCCUUCAAGCAGCUGCUCCAGGCCGUCGCCCUCGUCCCUCCUCGUCCUCUAGCAGCUCCUCCCUGUGCGCCUCCUCUGGUUCCCGAGGUCGAGCCGCCCCGUGCCCGCAACCCUCGCGCGAGCUGGCAAGCUCUUCUGCCUGAGCCGGCGACCAACCCGCAGGCCACGCCCUCCGGUGACCCCGCCGUCGGCAACAACAUCCAGGACCGGCCUCGUCCCGCUCCUCUCCUUCCCUAUCUCUCUCCCUUCCCUAACGCUCUCGCUCACAUCUCUCUCUCUGUACUUGCCACAGCAAGGAACCGCCGAGCUCGCCAAGCCCUACCGCCAGAGAACUCCUCUGCGCCCCGUUGACCUGCGGCUCCACCGCCCCGUCGAGUUCCCGGAGCCACCGCCGCCUCGCCAGCGCCGCUCGCCUCCACCGUCGUCCUCUGCAUCGCAGCCAUGCAGGACCGUGUCGACCUCCCCUGCUCGCUUGCCUCAUCCCUGCGUUGACCCGCGCCUCUGCCUCGACCGCUCGUCCCCCUGCUUCGCACGCUAGGCCGUGUCACCUUCGCCAGACCGAGAGGCCCAGCGCCAAGCGAGCCGCCCUACUUCCUCGUCGGCCCAGAUCCACCGGCCCACCUCUCCGCUUCCCCUUCGGCCAGUUUUGGCCCGAUGUGAGCAGCUUCCCCAGCCCAGUUCAGUUCUGUUUCGGCCCAUGUAUUUUUUUCCUGCGCUACGAAUUUGUCUAUUUAUCCCAGGAUUUACAGUUUUACAGAAAAACCCUCAAACAUCAUGCAUAUAAUAACUCUUUAACAGUGCAUCAUAUGUUAAAACUUUAUAUAUGAAAAAUGCUCAGAAUUUUAUCUAGUUUCAUAAUAUGCUGCUUGCAUCCAUGUUUAAAAUGUUUAAAUUGCUGUUUGAUUAAAUUUUCUCAAAUGCCAUGUUAAAAUGAUUUAUUUCAUAACUAAAUAACCGUAGCUCGGAUUUUAAUAAAUUAUAUAUGUAAAUGGGGUAGAAAAAUGCAUAGAUUAACUUGGUGCAGUUUAUUUUGCUGUUUAACAACAUUAAAAUUGUGUUUAUGGCAGAACAGUACCAAUUCCAAAAUAUGCAUAUGAGGAUUUUUCGGAAUUGUUGUUUGUUGUUCCGGCCUCAUUUAAACUUGCCUAAAUAGUUAGUUUACUUAUGCUUCACCUCUUGCCAUGUUAAGCAACAUUUAAUAUUGUGGGGUACAUAACCGAGAGAACUAAACAAUUGAUGUGGUGUUUCGUCAAUAUGCAACUCGUUGCAUAUUGAGCUCCACUUAACUUGUAGUUUUGUUUGUGCACUUUGCCAUGCCAUGCAUAUUUAAACCGGACAUGCAUCAUACUUGAUUGUGCAUCAUGCCAUGAUUAUGAUUGUGUGUUUAUCGUGUUGUUUGCUUCUUUCCGGGUUGCUUCUCUCGCUAGCUUCGGUUUCGUUCCGGAGUUGUGAGGAUCCGUUCGACUACGUCCGUUUGUCUUCUUCAUGGGCUCGUUCUUCUUCCUAGUGGGAUCUCAGGCAAGAUGACCAUACCCUCGAAAUCACUUCUAUCUUUGCUUGCUAGUUGUUCGCUCUAUUGCUAUGCCGCGCUACCUACCACUUGCUAUAUCAUGCCUCCCAUAUUGCCAUGUCAAGCCUCUAAUCCACUCUUCCUAGCAAACCGUUGUUUGGCUAUGUUACCACUUUUGCUCAGCCCCUCUUAUAGCGUUGUUAGUUGCAGGUGAAGUUGAAGAUUGCUCCAUGUGGGAACAUGAUUAUGUUGGGAUAUCACAAUAUCUUUUAUUUAAUUAAUGCAUCUAUAUACUUGGUAAAGGGUGGAAGGCUCGGCCUUAUGCCUGGUGUUUUGUUCCAUUCUUGCCGCCCUAGUUUCCGUCAUACCGGUGUUAGGUUCCUUGAUUUUGCGUUCCUUACGCGGUUGGGUGAUUUAUGGGACCCCCUUGACAGUUCGCUUUGAAUAAAACUCCUCCAGCAAGGCCCAACCUUGGUUUUACUAUUUGCUACCACCUAUCCCCUUUUCCCUUGGGUUCUGCAGACUCAAGGGUCAUCUUUAUUUUAGACCCCCCCGGGCCAGUGCUCCUUCGAGUAUUGGUCCGAACCGAGCUGCCUGCGGGGCCACCUUGGGGAAACUUGAGGGCUGGUUUUACUCGUAGCUAGUCUCAUCCGGUGUUGCCCUGAGAACGAGAUAUGUGCAGCUCCUAUCGGGAUUUGUCGGCACAUCGGGCGACUUUGCUGGUCUUGUUUUACCAUUGUCCAAAUGUCUUGUAAACCGGGAUUCCGAGACUGAUCGGGUCUUCCCGGGAGAAGGAAUAUCCUUCGUUGACCGUGAGAGCUUAUAAUGGGCUAAGUUGGGACACCCCUGCAGGGUAUUAUCUUUCGAAAGCCGUGCCCGCGGUUAUGUGGCAGACGGGAAUUUGUUAAUGUCCGGUUGUAGAGAACUUGAAACUUGACUUAAUUAAAAUGCAUCAACCGCGUGUGUAGCCGUGAUGGUCUCUUUUCGGCGGAGUCCGGGAAGUGAACACGGCUUUUGGGUUAUGUUUGACGUAAGUAGGAGUUCAGGAUCACUACUUGAUCAUUACUGGUUGACGACCGUUCCGUUGCUCCUCUUCUCGCUCUUAUUUGCGUAUGUUAGCCACCAUAUAUGCUUAGUGCUUGCUGCAGCUCCACCUCACUACCCCCUUUCCUACCCAUAAGCUUAAAUAGUCUUGAUCUCGCGGGUGUGAGAUUGCUGGGUCCUCGUGACUCACAGAUACUUCCAAAACAGUUGCAGGUGCCGAUGAUACCAGUAUAGGUGACACAACUGAGCUCAAGUGGGAGCUCGAUGAAGAUCUUGUUCGUUGUGUUGUUUCUGUUCUUGUUGAUCAGUAGUGGAGCCCAAUUGGGACGAUCGGGGAUCUAGCUUUUGGGGUUGUCUUCUUUUCUUUUGGUUCCGUAGUCGGACCUAUGUGUGUACUCUGAUUGAUGUAUGAAUUCAUUUAUGUAUUGUGUGAAGGGGCGAUUGUAAGACAACUCUUUAUCCCAUUCUUGUUCAUUACAUGGGAUUGUGUGAAGAUGACCCUUCUUGCGACAAAACCACAAUGCGGUUAUGCCUCUAAGUCGUGCCUCGACACGUGGGAGAUAUAGCCGCAUCGUGGGCGUUACACAUCUGGUGAUCAUCACAUGUUUUAAUUAUUUGUAUAUAUGUUAAAGAAUUGAUCUUUCUUCUUUCAGCCCACCGGAUCGAGCAAAUCUUCUAUAGGCAGCAGGACAGUUCGAGGCCUGGCCAAAAAGUUGAAGGAUGGCAUAUAGUACAACAUCGAUGCCAUCAAACCUAAAGGCGAACCGCGCGAACCUAAGAAGAAUGCGGGAAAGUUUAUUUGUUAAUACGGAGUUCUUGUGAAGGACCAAAUCCUGAUCUCCAUUCAAGAAUGGAAAAAGCCAGCAAAGGAACGUCCAGAUCUUACUUUUGUCGACCAAAGAGUAAAAGAUCAGCUUUGGGAAUCUCUCAUGUCACAUUUCACCCUACCAGAUCAUUUCACAGAUGCAGAUGUGGAGAAAGUCAAGAACGCUGCUCUUAGGAAGAUGGCAGUAGCAUUCAACAACCACAAGAAAAGUAUAUGGGCCAAGUACGUCGAAGGAGGAAAGAAGACUCCAGAAUUCAAGGGAACACUGGAGAAGGCAAGAGAUCAUUAGGACGCUUUCGUGAAAUUCAAGGAAUCGGAAUUAGCUCAGGAACGGUCGAGCAUAAACAAGAUCAAUGCCGCGAAAAAGGAGUGGUACCAUAAGCUGGGUCCAGGUGGCUACGAGGUGGCCCGGCCUAAGUGGGAUCACGCUGAGCAACAAAUGAUGGAUGCAGGGGUCAUUCCAGUUACAUUGAGCUAGCCCCCCAGGUCCAGGACUUGGUUCUAUGCGCAUGGGGGGACGUUGGACCCAAUGACAGGCAAGGUUUUGGAGCGGGCAAGUCUUAAAGGAGCCGACCUCAAUAUACUUUUUGCAAUAGAAGAGGCUCGAACGGGGGUGUUCAUGCCCAACAGAGAGAACGAUGAGCUUAUGCACGCCCUGGGAAAUCUUGAACACAUGGGAAGAACACGAGGCAAAGGCGUUGUUCCGUGGUUUGAGGGGUUUGCGGACUGGAACACCGACUACAGAAGUCGUGCAAGAAAGAAGAUGCAGGAGGAGAAGAAGAGGAAGCUGGAGGAGGAGCAGAAGAAGCAGGAAGCAGACCGCCUUCGCAUCGUAGAAUCAAAGCACGCGGAUUUGGAACUCGCUUUCCAGCGGUAGCAGCAGCAGAUCGACUCACUUAGCCAGGAAAGGGCAUCUUAGCAGCGGCAGCAGCUAGCGGAUCCAGCAUUGGAUAGCAUCGUCCCAUCCAUGCCGAGAAGCAGCGUGGGUUCUGCCCCGGGCGAUGAGGCACUGCUAGAUAGAUACCCUGUGGUUGACAUCAUGGAUAACACUAACUGUGAGAUACACUUUAAAACGAAGAACAUAUCCAUGAAGGUGGCGGACGGCAUUGCUUAUACAAAUCCCCCUAAAGCUACCUUCCAUUGCAAUCUGAUUCCAGCUGGCUAUGCUCGUGUCGCAGUUGAUGAAGUGGUGGCACAAUAUUUGGGGCUGGAGCUUGACAUUCCUGGAGGUGAUGACGAGCGCACACUGGGAGAUGCCAUACAUCGUAUCAUUCUAUGGAGAAAGGAUUGCAUCGUCUUUCCAAGGCCACCGACACCGCGUCAGCCGGCUCCUCCUCCAAGUUCGCCAUCACAUCAGCAGAUUCUCGCUCCUCCAAGUCAGCCACCGCCUCACCAGAGUCCUGCUCCUCCAAGUCCGCCAACGCGUCAGGCCACUCCUCCUCCUCCAAGUCCGGCACCGCAUCAGCCCACUCCUCCUCCUCCAAGCCGGCACCGCGUCAGCCCAGUCCUCCUCCUCCAUGUCCGGCACCCCGUCAGCCGUCUCUGCUGCCUCAGCGGGCUCCGCCGCAUAAGCAACAACGGAAGAGAGGCGCCGCAGCUACGGCGUCUAGCGGUACAACAGGAGGCAAGAGAUACCAAUUUGGUCCAAGCCUCAAGCCUCUUCCAAAGAGGCCUUACGACCUGACUGAGGAGGAAAACAAAGUCAAAGUGCAAGCCCAACUGAGGGCCCAUUUUGGACCGAAACCGCCACCGCCGCCAAAGGAGAAAGUACCUGAGCAUGUCGUUGACCACUUUAUUCGUAUGGCUGAACCACCAGCUCCCAAGCAUAGGGACUCAGACUAUGAGCGCCAAAUCAAGAAGUCAUAUCAAGCACAAAAAAAUGAGUCGAGAUCGAGCUCCAGCCAAGCAACCGCCAAAAAAGCGGGAGAACUGUUCCCCAGCUGGGAGAACAGGCGGUGCAAUCGAUCCCCCCGCUCAUUGUACCAACACAUGUGAGUACCGGCGCCGAUCAGCUCAUAAAAACCGACGAUCGUAGAAGGCAGGCUGAAGAGAUCGGAUGCACUAUAGAACAACCCCUAGGCAUCGAGGCCAUGGAAAAGUUACAGAGGAGCAACUAAAACGGAAAUAUGCCCGCAGCCAACCUCUGGUGAAGCCUGAGGAGGUCAAGCUUCUAUCAACGAGAAUGUAUCAAUUGCAUGAAUGGUACAUGAAAGAAGCCAAGACUACCGAUCGAGAGUCCCUCAUGGUGAGAGUCGGGCCAGAGCAUUACUACCAUGAAAAUGCUCUGUAUGUUGAGUUUACAGAACUGUUUCAGUUAUUCAAUCAAGACACACUCGACAAAUCUACCGUCAGUUGCUAUUGUCUGUAAGUGAUUUCUUUCUGUAAUUUCAUUAAGUCUCUAGCUAGCUGUAGUGCUCAUUGAUUAUUACCUGUAAUUAUCCUCACUAUUCUUUUUUGUGGUAUUAUGUAGAAUGAAGAUGUAUGAAAUGAAAAAAGCUGGACGCUAUGGCAUUGGGUUCAUUGACCCAAAUACCAUUAAUCAAGAGACAUGGACGUGUCCAUGGGAACGAAAAGACAUAGAGAAAAGCUUGCUAGAGUUCUUGGUGCGCCUAAAUACCUGUCCAGAAAUACUACUUCCUUACAACUUCGGGUGAGUCACACUGUCCUAUACACAAAUUCUGUUUUUCCUUAAUAGCUAGAUGUUAAUUAAGUGCAUAGAGGGUUUAGGGUAGUUGAUGAGUUAUGCACAUGCCCGCUUAAUUAUACAUGCAAAUAUGUGCACAUGCAGUUUCCACUGGAUCUUGUUAAUCAUUGAAGUUGACGAGGGAAAAGUUCAACUACUAGACUCACUACUUAAAAACAUUAAUGACUACACAAUCGUGAGGGGGAUGGUCGACACGUAAUUUCAAUCAUUAUUGAACUAUAUGUUAGCCUCUUUAGUUUGUCAUUUCCUGAUACCAACUAAUUAAUUAAUAACUCCUUUAUUCAUUUUCUUUGCCGGCGAGCAGGGCUUGGGAAAAGUACAUCAAACAGGUUGAUGGCCCAUGGAAAAAAGAGCUGAAAUGGAUUCGACCCAAGGUAAUUAAUUAAGUAGCCAGUACUAGCUAGCUACCAUCUCUUUAAUUCUAGUUUCAAUACCAUUAUCAUGCUUGAUUAAUUAUUAUCUGAUUGAAUUCUUUUCUCGUAAAGGCCCUGAAGCAGGAGCCGGGGACUGAUUUAUAUGUGCAUACUACAUUUGCGAGAACAUUCGCAUGAUGACGUCCGAAAGGACUAGAACUGAUAGAGACCAAUGGGUACGUUUGCUGGAACACUAUUCACAAUUUUUACAUCAUUAUCUAAUAUAUAUACACACAACUAAUACAUGCAUAUUGAUCUCUUUCUUUAAAGAUGAAGGACAUGCGGGAUACACUACAAAAAAAGACACAUCCGUGACAUUUUGGGCCGAACAAUUUUUUUUUCUGUCAUACAUAUGACACUUCUAUGACGAUAAUUGUGACAAAACCCAGUAUCAUCAUAGAUGUGGUGGGCUCCUACUUCUAUGACAAAAAAUCAUGACAGAAAAUUGGCUUUUUGUCCUGGGCUGGCCGGAGACUCAGCUGCCUGACAUUCUUUGGGCCGUCCAUGACGGAAAAAACCGUGGUAGAAGCGAGGGCGAGGAAAAUUUCGGCGAGUUCCCGGUUACGGUGGGAGGUCGGGGGCCGAGUGAUGCGCGUUUCUCUCGUACACGUACGCGCGUGUGUGCGAGGCGUUGGCUCUAACUGAACCCGAGCAAGGCGUUGGGCUCUAACUGAACCCGAGCAAUUGCACUGCAGGCUACGCGUUACUGAACCCGAGCGAUCGAUCGAUGGCUGCUAACUGAACCCGAUCGAGCGAUUCCUCCGCUACUGCUGCUAACUGAAGCCGAUGGAUGCUGCCUCUCUGGAUGAACAGUGAGCGUUGCGGCGGGGGGGGGUGGAUGAACAGUGAGCGGUGGCGUUGCCUCUGGAUGAACAGGACCCCGUGGUGUGGAGGGCUGGAUGAACAGGACGACCCCGUGGAGGGCUGGAUGAACAGUAGACGGUGGAGGGGUGCCCGUGGAGGGGUGGUUGAACAGUAGCCGGUGGAGUAGCGCGCGGUGGAGGUUGGAUAAACAGGAGCCCGUGGAGGCUGGAGGAGGUCGACGGUAGCCCGUGGAGGCUGGAGGAGGUCGACGGUGGAGAUGAACAGUAUCCCUUGGAGUCCCGUUUUGCAGUACGCCACACCCCUCCCGAUGAACAGGACCCCCGUUUCGACCGUAGCGCUCCAACACAAGUCCGUUUCGUCCGUUUUGCGGUACGCCACACCUCUCCCGAUCAACAGGACCCCCGUUUCGACCAUAGUGCUCCAACACAAGUCCGUUUCGUCCGUUUUGCGGUACGCCACACCCCUCCCGAUCAACAGGACCCCCGUUUCGACCAUAGGAGGUCUGUUUCCUCCAUUUUGCGGUACACCAGACCCCUCCCGAUGAACAGGAUCCUGUUUCGAACGUGGCCGGUCGAACACAAGGCCGUUUCCUCCGUUCUGCGGUACGCCAGGCCUCGUUUCCAUCGCUUAUUCCGUCCAAGCCCUCCCGAUGAACAUGACGACGCAUUCCGUUCCGACCCAGCCGGUUGGCUCCCACGCGUUCCGUUGCCUCCCGAUGAACACGACGCAUUCCGUUGCCUCCCCAUGAACAUGACGCAUUCCGUUGCCUCCCCAUGAACACGACGACGACGCUAUUUCUCCAUUCCGCCCCAGCCAUGUACACGAGCCCUGGCCGUACGUAUGCGCGAGUAGGCAUUCGAGACCCCGCCCGUAUGUACACCUACGUGGCCGUAUUUCUUUCUUGCACACUGGCCGUUGUACGUACGUGUACAUGCUACGUGCGCGCCUCUAUAUCGACACGUGCACGCCUCUACAUCCACCAGUAUAUAUGUACGUACACGUUCGCGACCAGAAUGACAACGCUACGUACGCUUCGACCAGGUGGGUCCCGACUGUCAGGCAAUUCCUUGCGUGCGAAGAUGUAGCUGGUGGGUCCCAGCAGUCAGGGGGCGAAUCAUUUUUUUUUGCCCGGACGCACUUCCUUGCGUGCGAAGAUGUAGCUGGUGGGUCCCAGCAGUCAGGCGGAAACAUUUUUUUCGCGAAAUACGGUGGCCCAUCCGGUGGGUCCCCGCUGUCAGGUGGAGGAAUAAUAAUUUUGCGCGUAAUAAGGAGGCACUUCCUUGCUGCGGCCGUGGACCCAGCUGUCAGCCUCUCCACGUACAGUCCACGUCCGAUGGAAGCCGUUCCUUGACCACGUUGACCACCCUGCGCCGAGAGCACCAGGGCGGUGGACGACGGCGAGGCCUAGGAACAGGACGACGCGGAGACAGGGAAGACGCGAUAGUGGAUGCCCACGCGUAGAGGAGUACGAGGGUUCACUGCUUCGCUGCGGUGUGAGGCUGCCGUCGCCGCAGAAUAACAGGGGGUGUGGGUGAGUAGAGGGAUGGCCUGGCCAGCGGUGGGAGUAGUAGGGGGCAGUGAGGCCUCCGCCGCAUCGCAGCCGGCCACGGGAGGCAGGAGCACGAGGCACGACCGGCGCUGGUUUGGGCGGCUGGAGCAAGAAGACUAGAGGUUGAAGAAGCACUACGGCCGUUGGAUGGACAUCGUACGGUCACUGGAGCUCGAAUCGUGCAUAUUGACUAAGUUGACAAAGCCCUCCGUCCCCGUCAACAUAGUAGGCCCACAAGUCAGCCUGCCACUAUACUGGGUCCCAGCUAACAGGGGGAGUAUUCAUUUUUUUUGUGCGUAAUAAGGAGGCACUUCCUUGCGUGCGAAGAUAUAGCUGGUGGGUCCGAGCUGUCAGUGGCGGUAAUGUUUUUUUGUGAAAUACAGAGCUCCUUUCGGUGGGUCCCUGAUGUCAGGUGGAUGAAUCAUUAUUUUGCGCGUAAUAAGGAGGCAUUUCCUUGCGUGCAGCCGUGGACCCAGCUGUCGGCCUCUCCACGUACAGUCCACUUCAGAUGCAUGUCGGUCAUUGACCACGUUGACCAGGCCGCAACGGGAGCACCAGGGCGGUGGAUGACGGCGAGGCCUAGGAAGGGAAUGACACGGAGGCAGGGAAGACUCGGCAGUUGUUUCCCACGCGGAGGGGAGUACGAUUGUACGAGGGUUUACUGGUUCAUCUGCCAUCGCUGGAGAAUAACAGCAGGUGUGGGUGAGUAGAGGGAUGGCUAGGCCAGCGAUGGGAGUACGGUGGGGCGGUGAGGCCUGCGCGGCAGCACAGCCGGCCGCGGGGAGGAGGGAGCAGGCAGUCCAGCCGGCGCUUGUUUGAGCGGCUGGAGCAGGAAGAGCAGAGAUUGAAGAAGCACGACGGCCGUUGGAUAGACAUCCAACAGUCACUGCUUGUGCGUCAACCUUUUUUUAGGAAAGCCUCAAAUCUGUGGAAAACAGCAUACAGCCCAUCUGCCAUUAUUUCUAAUAAUUUACAGCCCAUUUGCUAAUUCUUAAAGGUUUUUAGCCCAUAUUCUUUUUGUUAGCAUUACAGCCCAUAUUGUGGCCACGGUUAAAAAAUUAUACGAAAUUUUGCAUAUUUCAGUGCGGUCCGAACUGUUUUUAAUCCCGAAAUUUCGACUCACAUUCAAACUGAUUUUAAAAAUAAAUGUAUAUCAAUAUAAAAUCCAACAAAUUCUCCACGCACAAAAAUUAAUGUAAUUUAAAAUCUCGAAAUGAAAAAAAGAUAUUUGAAACUAAUUGCCGGUUUGAUGUGUUUUAAAAAUGUACAGCCCAUUUCUCAUUACUGAUGGGCCAUUUUCUCGGCCAACCGAAUGAAAGCUCUCCUCGUCUUGAAAGAUUUGCAGCCCAAUAGGCCUGACAAAGCGACUUACUUGGCAAAUCACAAAAAAACUGGCCUGUGGCCGUGCACCCAGCUGUUAGCCUCUCCACAUAUAGUACUCUUCCGAUGGAAUGUCGUUGACCACAUUGACCACGCCGUGACGAGAGCACCAAGGCGGUGGACGACGACGAGGCCUAGGAAGGGGACGACGCGAAGCCGGGGAAGACGCGGCAAUGGAUGCCCACGCGGAGAGUAGUACGAGGGUUCACUGGUUUGGCUGUGGUGUGAGGCUGCAGUGGCCGCAGGGCCUGGCUAGGGGUGGGAGUAGUAGGGGGCGAUGAGGCCUCAACGGCAGCACAGCCGGCCACUGGAGGCAGGAGUAGGCGGUCUACCCGGCGCUGGUUUCGGCGGCUGGUGCAAGAAGAGCAGCGAUUGAAGAAGCAUCAGGACCGUUCGAUUCAAAUCCAACGGUUACUGCUGCUAGAAUCGUUUGUUGACUAAGUUGACAAGCCCUGCGUACGCGUCAACUUAGUAGGCCCACAGGUCAGCCUCCCAACCGGUGCGCCCCAAAUGUCAGUGGGAGGAAUCUUUUUUUCGCGUAAUAAGGAGGCAGUUGAUUGCGUGCGGCCAGGCCAGCGGAGGGAGUAGGGUGGGCCGGGGAAGCCUGCGCGGCAUCACAGCGGGCCACAAGAGGAGGGAGCAGGCAGUCCCGCCGGCGCUAGUUUAGGCGGCUGAAGCAGGAAGAUCAGAGAUUGAAGAAGCACGUCGGCCGUUGGAUGGACAUCCAACAGUCACUGCUGCUAGAAUCGUGUGUUCACUCACAAAGCCUUGCGUAAACAAGUCAGCCUCGAAAUCUGUGGCGUGUACAGCCCAUUUGCUAUUAUUUUUAUAAUUUUUACUCAUUUUCUAAUUAAUAUGGAAUUUAUUGCAGCCCGUUUUCCAUUUUUAGAAUUGCUGGCCAUUUUCUGGUCAGUACCAGGGUUAAAAAAAUUAACUAAAUAUGUGGGAAAUUUUGAAAAUUCGCAAUUUUUUGCUGGGAACGAAAUAUUCUUAAUCCAAAAAUUAAUAGCCAUACUAAAACAAAUUUAAAAAUAAAUUAGUACUAUGUCAUGUUAAAUCCAAUGAAAUACGUAUAAGAUAUAAGUGAAGAAUAAAAACAAAAAAAGAAACUAAUAUCCCAUUUGCUAUAAUUUUUUUGGAAUUUUCAACCCCUUUUGAUAUUACUUUUAACAGACAUUGGCCAUACUCUUUGGCCAGGCCGGAAUGCAUCGCUCCUCGUCUUGAAAGAUUUGCAGCGCAGUAAUUCGGAGAAAACAAAUAGGCCUAGCUUGGGUAUUCUUCAAAAAGAAAUACUGGGCUACCUAUUUUCCCAAAUAACUGGUGCAUGAGCAUUUAGCUUUAUUUAUUUAUUUACUUAUUUAAGUUUAGGGGACCAUGAGCAUGUACGUGGGCCGGAUUCAUGUGAGAGCCUCCCUUCCAGUUAAUUAUGGGCUUCUCUAUUGGGCCUUCAUCAGUGGGCUGCAUGUUAUCAACAAGUGGAAAAUGUGUUCCGUAUGAAAAAUAGUAUGCGCUACGUACGGUACGGGGCACUAAAGGAUCGAACCGUGCAACGACUUCCAAAACAUUGUGUUUGUCGUUCUAACAACACAUUUAUUCAACCAACAGACGAAAUAUACUACUGAUUGUACAUUGAAAACAACAGCAGCAACCAGGGCUGGGGGUGCAACAGAAGCAGUAAGCAGGCCAGAAGAGUGAAGACGCAGCUCUCUCUUCCAAACCAAACAUCAUCCAUGAUUACAAAAGGGCUACCAAAAAAGAACAAGUGUAUGCAUCAAACUAAAUAAAGAUCCUACUACACCAAGUGUACGCAUCUAACUAACUGGCUCAGUUAGACGUUACUAUUUAUUAAGCUGUGGAGAUUGGCUGACGGCUUGAACCAGAUGGGUGCCUAACGGGGGAAACUCCAGCCAGCAGGUCCAAGUCUGAUACUUGCGACCCUCUCUCCUACUUUGGGCUGCAGAGCGUGGCGGCACAUAUCAGGGUAUGGUGCAUGCAGAGACGCAUGGUACGCUGUGUACACACAGUUUUGCCUGAUGAACGAAACAGUGCUGCCAUCAUGAUCCUUGCCGUCGGUUAUCUCCUAGUUAAUCGGAUAAUUCAGUCCGACAAACAGAGAGCGUGUACCAAGGCUACUUACCAGCCUCCAGUCAAAAAUUCCUGAAGGCCCAGAGAAGCUGGGAUCCUGCUCAAAGACCUUGCAGUGACUGUGAUUGUAUUCCACGAAACAACACGUCCGGUACGUGCGAACGAUCAUCAAUCGUUCGCCGUCGUCUGAUCGAGCCAGGAACCACCUGCAACUGCCAUGCCGCUUUUCUUUGAAAGGUUCUGGGAUUAGGAAGGGUAGGAACACCAGGCGGCCUACACCAUCAUAUCAAGUUGGAGUCAAAUAAAAAAGGGCUCUUGAUUUAGUCAAUCUUAAGAACAGCAUGUUAUGAGCAUGAAUAUUUUUUCAGUAAAUGUUGACAGUAAUAUAAGCAAGCCAUCAUGAUAUCAUAGGAAAGUAACAUACUGCUGUAACAGUCGUUUGUAGCGAUGACUGUAGUAGGCCAGCAAUACGUCCAGCCAUAGAAGGAGUCGACAGCGUAAAUGAAGCCCUUGUGUUCAAUGGCAUCAGAGAACCAUGGAGGAUGUAUGAUCCUGCGAUGGACGUGCAGAUUUAUCCACUUACCGCAGUGACCUGUCAGAUAGGCGAGACCGCGUUUGAAGAACGCAAUUAGCCUGAAGUCUUUAUAAUUCGCAGAUCUUGUGGGCACUUGGUAGAUUACAACCUUGAGCAAAUCAAACUUGGUAUCAUGUUGGCUACUGUAAGAUUCCGAGUAUUCUGGGCCGCGGUGCCAAAGCAGUGCAGUGUUAAUCGAAGGAAGGGGGAUGAAUCGCCGGGUGUAGACCUCCACGAGCAUCCAGCUGCCGUGACCGUCGACGAGCACCAUCCAAGACGUGUUCAUGCCGACCCAGUACAUACCGUUAAUGUAGUUGAGGCUGACGGGGAUCGGAUCGCUGUCAAGGGGGUUGAUGCUCGCCACCCUACGAUCGUUAUGCUGCGUGACACGCCGUUUCUGAAGAUCAGGCGGCAUCAGCAAGCAAGGAGCUGGCUUAAAAAGCUCCGGCCUGAGGGCUUUGAGUAAAUGGUACAUCCCCGACGAGCACGCGGUGAGCGGCAUGGUACUGAGAUUGUCCACACGCGAAACAAUGAGCUUGAUUACCUCUGUGGGGAGCGAAUUCCAGCCACUCUUUCGGCGGACGCUGCUCGGUUCUGCCAUUGUUAGUGCUUGGGUUUCGGACGAGGGGGGGAGGCGCCUUAGCGGGGAUGGAAGAUUGGACGAGAUUAUGUGCGGACAAAGAUGGAGAAGUGAAUAUGUGAUGCGGGAAGUGGACAGGUGAUGAUGACUACAGCACGCCGCUUGACUUACGAGACACAUACCAGCAGCAUAGGGUCAUAUCGAUGGCAGACAACUUGCUUGAGUGAUCACAGUACUGGUACUCCCUACAGUACCUACUACAGUACUAUGCCCUAACUUGCUUGAGUAGAGUAGUAGAGUAGGACUCUGCUCUACUACUAGCACCGGAGGAGUAGUAUAUUCUAAUCUAAAAUAGUUACAAACUUCAAUGCCCGAGCAUGGAACGACUAUGAAACAUGCUCAAAGACCGUGUCUAUGUGGUGUUUGGAAUUAUAUGCAAAAAAAUAGCAAGAUUCCCGUGCAUUGCACGGCACACCAUCAUCACCAACUCGGUUUUUUCUCUACUCCUACUCCUAUAAAAGACUCAGUUGGUGAUGAUGGAGGCGAGGAGGCGUGUUCAGCCGGGCGUGCAGCGGACGGCGCAGUACUAUUCGAUUUGUUAUAAAAAACAAAGAAGAGUAGUAGAGAUAGAGACUUAGGGAGGAGCACGAGGUUGUGCGAAAUAAGGAUGAACGAGGCAAGGCCUUAUCUGUAAAUGUGGAGAGAGGUGCGGGUAUCUUUUAUAAAAUUGUCAUAGUUGGCUUUCUAUCCGUCAGAUAUAGAUCGGACAGUCUAUAUUACAAGAUGGCAGGCAUACCAUCAUCACCAACUCGGUUUUCUAUAAGAGUAGAUAUAGAUAUAGAUAGAUAGAGACUAGGGAGUACUAGUAAGGACACCAUCUACUGCUUCGUGUGCUACUCCUGCGCUCCAUUCGGCGGCUGCAACGUCCCCUACAGCCACUCCCUCCUGCGCUCCAUUCCGCGGGCGCUCUUGACAUUUUGGGAGCGCACUCUCGCGACUGCUGGCAGCCACGACUUCACCGACGACGACUUCUUCCCCGACCUCGGCAACCUCUUCCUCAACGACAUGGGCGACAACCUCAACGCCAACGGUGCUGCUCCCGUUGCACCGUAUGUGUUUCUGUCCUUCCUGUUCGAAAUCGUGGUAGAAUUCAUGUUUCUACUCUGUAUCCUACUACUAUGCUAGUCCACACGAUUAGUUUCAUCUCUGUUAUAGCCGUCAUGAUUUAUUUUGUGCUUAUUCGGAUUAAAUCUCGUAGUAACUUGCUCAUAUAUUCAACUGGCGCAACGUCCCCUACAGCCACUCCCGUUUCAUGGACGGCCUGGUCGAUGCCUCCAAGGAGCCCUUCGUCUACUGCUAUGAGUUCCCGAUGUCGUUUUGGGGCUCGCCAGCGGACAUGGUGCAUCACCUCACGGAUGCGUGCAGCGGUCACAACUGGCCCUUGGCGGAGAACAUCAAGUACGAGACGUGCUACCCGUUCACCAUGCCGGAGUCGCUGGAGGAUCACCGCCGCCUGCUAGUCUCGGAGGAGGACGGCAGCGUCUUCCUCUUGAUCGUGGGCACCGGCGAGGCCCGCGCAGGCCGCCGCCCCGUCUCUGUAGUGUGCAUCAGGGGCGACGCCGCUGAUGCUGACACUGACACGAGGCCGAUGUACGGGUGCGUGCUCACUAUUACUACCCCUCCGGGUCACGUGGGCGGCGAGACCGGCCUCAUCAGAUGGACUUGGACUCUGCGGAGUUGGAAAUUUCCCGCCGAUGUGGACUUGGAAAACCCAUGGCAUCCUUUACCCGCCUACGCGGUGCACGGGGACUCCAAGGAGGUUCACCUGGACAUACGCAUUAUCAAGUUAAAUGUUGAUCAUUAGUCUUCGCUCAAUGUAAUCCGCUGUCUAAGCAUGUGGAGACUUCCAUGCAGGAUCUUGCUCUAUUGGAGUAUCGCGCAUGAAUAAAAGUGUAUCCGUUUAUGGUUUAGUCUAGAAUCUUCCAUGUAUGAAUUUUUACUACAGUACUGGUGAAAGACUUACGAUGAACCAUUUCUUACAUCUCCUCUGCCCCCUUGCAAGUCAUCCUGAUUUAAUCCCUACGUCUAGGUGUAUAAGGGCAUGGUUAAUAUUACUUAAUAGUAUAGCCAACUGUUGACUAUAAGAAAGUGCCAUGUCAUCUGUAGCCAACAUGUAUAACAAUCGAUACUCAAAAACUAAUUCUUAAAGAUCAUUUCUUGCAAAGCACAAUAAGUGUUAUUUCUUCACAAGUUUUGCAUGCAGGUUGAACAGUUGAACGCUUUUGUUUGCAAAAGAUACCUUUUUAUCUAUUUCACCCGGAUGCUUGUGAGCUCUAGAGAUGAAAUAAUAUCCGAAGAAACCUAUCGAUACCCGUUACACAUGAGAUGACCCCCACAUCCUUUGUCAAAAUAAACAACUCCCCGAUCAAUGCAUUUCACUCUUCGGUGCAACGCACGGGCACCUUACUACUAUAGAUUAGUACGACCAAAAAUUGAACUAACAUUAUAUAUAGUACGAUAAAUGCUGAUGCAUGUCACCUAAAAUUAUAUCAUUCAAAAGUAUGUUCAAAUACGAAUCCAACGAUAUAGUUUUUGUUGACAUGCACUAAUAUUUUGUCAGUUAAAUCUUCAGUCAAAUUCAAUGGGGGACUAAUAAACCACGACCGAUGUAGUACAAGUGUAGAGGGCGGCGCUGCACGGGAGUCUCACCUCUCACCCCGCUCGUGGCGCGGCAGUAAAGCCAUCAUAUCACAAAACCCAACCACUCCCAGUGGCCUGGUAAAAUAAACGGACAAGCAACCAUCACAUCCCUCCGUCUUUUUUGCAUUUCAUCUCUCUGCAUUUACUUUCUUCGGUUCAUCUCGCACACUCGAUCCCUAGCUACUACUCCUAGGGCCAGUUCUUUUGGCGGCUUCCCCAGCUUUUCCCAUAAGACUAGUCACAGUGGAGAGUAACAAUAAAGUGCCUCACUCAUUUAUUUGGGCUUCUAAACUACUACUCCGUCCUGGUUUAUUCCUCACCAUUGUAAUUUGUGCUAAAUUUUGACCAAAGAUUUAACUGAUAAAAUGUUACUCCCUCCGUCUAUGUGUGUAAGUCAUCUUACGAAAACCAUAUAAUCCCAAAACACUUAGGCAUGGUGCAUUAACUUCUACCUCGUUUCUUGUUUCUUGACAUAUCAACCAAUAAGAGAUAAAGAGUGUGCAUGCUUUUAAUGACUUGAGAUAUCAAACAUGACAUGCAGUGGUUAGUUCAUUGCAUGCAAUACUAUUAGUUAGCAAAUAAACAUUAACGUUUCUCGUUUUCCCCUCCUCCUUGGUCACGGUGCACAGCCGAAGAUGACUUACUCACCUAGACAGAGGGAAGUAGUGCAUGUGACAUGCACUAACAUUUCAUUAGUUAAAUUUAUGAUCAAAAUUUGACACAGAUUACAAUGGGGACCAAUAAACCAGGACGGAGGUAGUAGUUAUGGGAUUACUAAUCUAGAAGCCUAAAAGAACUCUCCCCUGGUACUCCUACUAGUAGUAGCACUCAAGUUGGAAUUCCAAUUUCACGGCACAACUUAUUAGGCAAAAAAAUUGAUACAGGGUGUAGGAAGCGGUUUGGGAACUUGCAUGCCUUUCCAACUAGUGAGAUACUCCGUACAAAGUACGACAGAGAAAUAACCACAGAGAAGGAAGCUGAAAGUAAACAAUCAAACGAGCAUUUUUGAAUUUGUUUUGCAUUGAAUCGUUUCACAAGCUUGACUAGUGUUGUUUUUCUACUUUUACAAAAACCACAUCGUAAUGUUAAAACGUGCAUUUGCACGUACAUAAGUAAUAGUAGUACUCCCUCCGUCUAGGUGUAUAAGUCUUCCCUCCUUCUUGGUCACGGUGCACAACCAAAGAUAAUUAUUGACCUGGACGGAGGGAGUAGCACAGUCUGCAAGCAUAUAUCGAGAGAGACUUGUAGUGCGAUAGUAUAUAGUAAAGUUUGUGCUAUAUGCACGUACUUGCAAAAUGCGUACGAAUACACAAGGUUUCCAAACUUUCCCUUUUACAUACUUAAUUAAGGACGCAAAAAAAUCCUGAACGUUCGGGAUUUAUCAUUUGCGUCCCAAAACUAAUGAGAUCGCCUUACGAAACAAAAAAGAUACUCCUCCUAAAAGCCACGACGCUCGCAGGAGCGCUUGUGGCGCGCCACGAGUGCCCUGGUGCGCGGCCGUUUCCCAGCGCGCCGACACAACGCCUCUUCCUCAGCCUCGCAACUCGCGAGGUGCUGAUUGGCGGCUUGCCGGCGGGCUAGCGCGAUCUGACCGGUGUGGUGAUCCGGCGCCAACAGGUACUCCUCCUCGCUGGAAGCGUGCACCCAGUCCACGUACCGCCAAGCGUAGAUGAGGCGCUUGGGCCCAACUGCACUCAGGGCAUCGGCACGGGCGUCCUCCGCCACCCUCACGGCCCUCGCACGAGUCUUCUGCCAAAGAGCCAAUUGCCUGACUCUCUCGGACGCGACAUAGGGCUCCCAGGCAGCUUGUUCUGCGGUGCGCUUCUCUUCCUCGGCCUUCUUCUCCGCCUCUAUUUUGGCCCGCUCUGCUGGAGGCAAAGCCUCCCACAAGGCGACAUCCAUUUCUUUCCAAAGCUCCUCAUGGCUGGGGGGCUCGGCGGGCGGCGCGGCGUUCUCCUCUUAGCGGGGAGCCGACGCGUCCUCCGACGCGCGUGCUGGCGAGAUUGGGAACGCCGACGCGUCCACCUCGACGCGUUGCGGCGAGGAGCGGAACACCGACGCGUCCUCCUCGACUAGUGGUGGCGAGGAACGGAACAACGACGCAUCGCAUCACGGCGAGGAGCGGAACACCGAUGCGUCCUCCUCGACUAGUGGUGGCGAGGAACAGAACGGCGACGCGUCACGUAGCGGCGAGGAGCGAAACACCAACGCGUCCUCCUCGACUAGUGGCGGCGAGGAACGGAACGGCGAGGCGUGACCGUCCGCGCGGUGCAGCGAGGGGCUCCUAGGGCUUGGGAGGGGCGAUGCCAUGGUGGUCAACGUGAGAGGGAGGGGAGGAGAUAGCGAUGAACGUGAACGUGAGGGGGAGGAGAUAGCGAUGUGGUGGGAGGCGCAGUAUUUAUAGCGAGCAAUGGCACGCCUACGUAAGAUAUGGACUGAGCUGCACUGACUUAAAUGCAGGUCGAGUUGCAUCACUGACAUGUGGGCAGACCCCUGUUGGGCCCAUAUGUCAGUGACCCAAUGCACCUGCAGUUAAGAAACAGCUACGUGGGCAUAUUUGUUGGAGUAAAUUACCGGGGAGGGAAGGGGUGGAAAUAUUGCUGGUCACAACGGAUUGGACGAGCGUGGGGGGAGGAGAGUCAUGCAUGCAGAUUUUUUCACACGGGGUGGAGUGGUGGGACCGCCGGAGGGAGAAGGAGAGUUUGGCAGGCAUAUUGUUUCCACACAUGGAGAGGAAAAGAUUUGGAGACGAGCGGGCUUCCUGCAGGUAUGGGGAACGGUGCAUAAUAAGGGGGUGUUUGGUUCUAGGGACUUUUUUGUGUUGGGACUAAAAAAAGUCCCUAGCAAACCAAACAGGGGGAGACUUUUUUGGAACUUUUUGCUAAAAGUCCUUAGAAGCACCUCCUUGAGAGUCUUUUUCAAAAAGUCCCAGGGACUAGAAAAAGUCCUAGGACUAGAGAACCAAACACCACCUAAGUCAUCUUGCAUGCCGGGCUAGGUAUAGUCUCAAGUCAUUAAAAACAUACACGCCCGACACAUGUUCAUAUUUCAAGGUGCACUAAAUUAUUGCAUGCGAUGAUUAAGGCUGGCCAUAAUGGUGGUAUCUUAGCUGGUAUCAUGCACACGGGAAUAGCAAACAUGCUGAUGUGGCAAAGAAUUAAAGAAGAGAGGGGGAUAGAGUAACUAGUGUUCAUGCAUGCAUUGGUAAACACAUUUUUUGUGAAGAUAGACAACAUUAGUUCAGUACUUUUGCAGACUUCAAAAACUAUUCCACCGCCUCUACUAUCUUGCUAAGAGUAGGUGAAAUUUUUGAAUCGAGCCCUUUAAACUAGAAGGGAGGUAGUGGUACUCUAAUAGCUAACCUUGUUGUGAUGACAAGAUAGGACAUGGCACGCACCUGGACGGAGGAACUAGUCUGCAUUGUGCAUUUAAGUUUUGUCUGAAGUCAAUGUACCUCUACUUUCACCGGACUUAUAAAAAAAUGUAUCAACAUUCACAAUGUCAAAUCAAUAUUUGUACACUCAUUAUAAAACGUAGUUCUUAUACUCAUUAUAAUCAGUAUUGUAGAUAUUGAUAUUUUUAGUAUAAAUUUGGUCAAACACUUUGCAAACGGUUGACGGGAGUAAAAAGGACCAGAGGGAGUAUCAUGCAUGCGGAGUAGGCAAAAAAAUUGCUCAUUUAUAGCCGGUCGAAGUCUCAAAGGGCGCGACCGCGCGAGGGAGGCGAAGGUCGUGGGAGGCGCGACGGUUGACGGAAUUAAGUGAAGUUACAUCCACGCACCGGCAUGGCGUGCGAACAGGCAGAAGCUAUACCGUCAGGCCUACGAUAUGGGUCUAGUAGACAUGACAUCUAGUGGGUCCCGCAUAGUUCUCGAGAACUUUUUGGGGGCUUACAGCCGUUUAUCCACCGGGCAAGCCAGCAACCCCACGCCGUUCGCACGCCCUACUCGUCCCCGUCUUCUACCUUUCAACAGUUCGCUCCCAGUCGUCUCGUCCUUUCACAUUAGUUCGCUCCCAGUUUUUUUUUGCGGGGUACAACAAUUCAACUUCUCCUAAACCUCGUCCAAAAUCCAUGGCCUCCCAAAUCUCCAUGGUCGCCGCUGAGUACCAGGUUAGAGCCAUCACCGACGAUCAGUUCAUCGUCAUCUACACACGUGGAUCCGCGACGGUGAAAGCAUGGCUUGCUCGCUUCCUACGCAUGUUCAAUAGUUCAACGGAUGAGUGGGUCGCUGGGCUAGAUGUUGAGUACACCACAAUCCUGGGACGAGAGAAGGAUCUAAAGGACGAAGAGAGGAAGAAGCCCGCCGUGAUCCAGGUUUGUGUACAUAACGUUUGCUUGGUCUACCACAUAUGCCAUGCUGACGUUGAGUGCUAGGAUUUUAAGAACUUCCUCAAGGACAAAAGAGUGAAAUUCGUUACUGUAGACUUUAAGAACGACAGGGAUGUCCUGCGUCGGAUAGGUCUCGUUGUAGGCCAGCCCUUUGAUCUCCAGAAGGCAAGCCUGGUGUCCUCCUCUCAACCUUCAAUGUUGACCCUGGCAGCAGCCAUGAUUGAUCCUUCGUACUCUAAACUGAAGAAACCUCAUCAGGAGUUUCAUCAUGCAUGGGAGUCAAAGACAUUAGAUGAAGAUCACAUCCUGUACGCAGCAAUGGAUGCCUACCUUGUUUAAAUAUCUACAAGGGUUGGAUGAAGAAGCAGAGCCCAGUGUCCGGUUCAAGCAAAGAAGCGUCGGCGAAGAGGAAGAGGGACGAGGACGAAGUCAAGGUCGUGGACUCGGACUCCGAGUAGGUGGCAGUGCCGUCGCUCAUGCUGGUUCUACUGCAGUGUCAAGCGGACUAGUUGCUUAGUUUAUUUUCAAGGGUGUGUUGUGCUGAGGCCCCAGCAGAACUAUGUUUAUGUUCUUUCUCGUUAUUUGAACUCUUUAGUACGUACAGUAGUACUAGUACUAUGUCUUACUACGUUCUUCUUGUAGUUGGUACUACUGCUCGUAUCUUCGUGUUCCUACUGUACUUAAUACGUUCGUACUUGUAGUAUAAUUUGGGUCAGUCGAUUUGUGAAAGAAGUUCGAUAGAGCGAAUGAAGAAGACGACAAAAGAGGUGGAAGAAGCCCUUCUAGCCAUCCAUGUUGCAUCAAACGGCUCACAAGAGUCGACUGGCCCAAAUUGCUCCUUCAGAUUGCAGGAUCCACGUGGCAUUCAAGGUCUCGAAGGUAGAUUCCACGUCCGCACCCGGUUUGCGGGCUCGACACGCGCGCGAUCGGCUUCCGCCACGACAGACACCAUGCGGGCCUCCUCCGCGUGGGUGGAGACGACAAUGACACACUAGUUCCUCCUCGCUGGCGUGCUGGAGCACACGCUCGUCCUCCUCUUCGUACGCUGCGUGCAUAGACGCGGCUCCACCAACUGAUCGCGUGCUUGGCAGCGCGGCGGCAUCGCGAGGAGGGACUGCAGACGACGUGAACGGGCGAGCCUUCGGCUUCAUGGCACAGGGAUGGCGGCGACACGGCGGUGAUGGGCGAGAAAUUGUUGGCCGGAGCAGGCGGGCUCCGGCAUGCGCAACGGCGGCGGCAUAUUGAUGAGUGCGCGUGUGGGAGCUUACUUUAGUUUUAUAUAAGGUUGGUCAAACUUAAAAGAAAACCGUACUAGUACACGUAAACAUUAGACUUAGGCAGCGCUUUUAUUAGUUAGUACCACAGCCACGAUACGGAAUCCUGUGCAAGCGCGUGAACCGCGGCCGUGCGGUCGAUCGAACGGUGCAUCACCGUGUCAUGCUCGAAGGACAUCCACCGAACCGUUUUGUGUGUGUGAAAACAAUCCUCGAAUAUUACUCAACUUUUUUUCCUGGGAAAGUUCUUGACGCUGCAAUAUUUCCAUAUAUUUGAAUUUAGCUCUAGUUCGUGUUUAUUUGGCUUUGGACGUUUUAGGUGCGCCCUAGUUUUUUUAAUACUGAUUUUGUGUGUGUGACUGAGAGAGAACGUGUGUAUGUGUCCAUAUGUGUGUUGUGGCGGAAGGGCAAUGUGGAGACGGUGUGCGUGUGAUACAGACAUAGAGAGGUGUGAAUGUGCAAAUGAUCAUGCAUGAGUGAGACAUAGACAGAUGCCGAUACGUUGUGUAUACAUGAGAGAACGGUCUUCUAGUUUACUUGUGUUUGUGUGUGUGAGAGAGAGAGACAGAGAGAGAGAGAGGAGCAUCCGUAACACAACAACCAUCUCUCUCGAUUCGUCCGUCCCUCGCACGAUCGCAUGCAACACAUGCAUCAACGCGCACAUUUUGACACCCUCACCCGGCCCCUACCCACCUCAAGGCCCGCACAAUCUCUUCGUGAAUACCCAUUUCUCUCCUUAGGUUUGUUUUCUCUCAAUAUCUGACACACACACACACACACACGGCACAACACACACACCCUCCCCCGAGCACACAAUUCAUCCCCAUCCAAGGUUAUACGGCGACCACUCUCGCUUGUGCUUCUUUGCACCCCCACAUGCACAACACCUCAAUCUUCAAAGAGGGCAUCGAGCAGAUCGAAGACGGCGACCACACCGCGCUAGACAAUGCGGGGCCAUUUGGACGCAGGGUGAUGUGACGACGGCUGACUGACUCCUCCCCCCACCCUCUCUCUCUCGCACAAAAUUACCAAUCCCUCUCUCCCCCGCACAAAAUUGUCAAUCCCUCAACCCACGAGAUCCUUCCCCUCUCAUCCAUGUUUUUCCAGCUCUCUCAUCAAACAUGUUGUCUCUUCUCCUUCCACGUAUACAGAAUCCGGAUGCACACGCAUCUCACGUAUAUUACAUGUCUCCAUCUUUCUCACAGACCUAACUUCUUCCUCUCUCUAUCUCUCUCUCUGUCUCAUUAGGUUUGUCUCCUACUCUCUCGUCCACAUACAUACAAUCUUUCCCGCCCUAUCUGCUCCAUCUUCAAAAGCUCUCUCUGCACGUUUCAUUCACACAUUGGGAUAUGUCAAAAUGUUGCUUCUAUAAUGGCUGAUGUAGAGUUAUGGUUGUUUUUGUUGCAUCCUACAAAGUAAUAACUAUGAAAUGCAUUUAGAUUCUCAUUUGACUGGGAUUAUGUGAGUUGAGCAUGUUGUGAAGUACUAUAGACCUCGUAUACAUCUUGGGAUUCGACAAUGAUUGUAACUAUUGAAUUGUAUACACCAUUACAUUCGAAGUCAAUAGCCUAAUAUAUUUAUUUCACAAUUUCAACAAAUGAUUAGUUCAAUACAAACUAAGAAAACAAAUGUGUACUCCCUCCGUUUUUAUUUAAGUCCGGGUAUUAGCAUUGGUCAAAGUCAAGUUUUGUAAACUCUCAGAAAGCUUAUAACAAAAAAUAUUAACAUAUACAAUAACAAAUAAAUACCAUUAGAUUCAUUAUUGAAUGUACUUUCACAUCGUACAUAUUUGUUAUGGUAAAUGUUUAUAUUUCUAUAAACUUGGUCAAACUUUAGGAAGUUUGACUUCGGUCAAACCUAAUAUGCAGAGUUUACUACUACUAGUCGCUAGUUGCUUAGCCGAAUCACCCAACACGCCACACGGGGAGUCCAGUGUCACAAAAUUUUGAGGUCGGCGGGAAAAUCUCCCGUGACCCUGUUUCGAGCAGUGGGAAGUUACCAUCAUAGACUUCGGAACAGGCCUACGGAUGACGCUUGGUAGGGGGCUGUUUUCGUAACUUCAGGUUCACCCUACCCAGCCAACCCCACCCCGGCACCCAGAGUAGUACACCUGAAUACUCCCCAUUUUCUAUCCCCACCGCAAAAUAGACUUCUCCAUGGCACUGCAGCCUUCGUGCUCCUCCCCUUUACAUCGGCGCACUCGUCCACCGCAGCGCAUCUACCUCAUUGACGACCUCGUACGCCGCACUAGAGCCGGUCCACCGUCGUUGUCGUACACGGAGCCUCUUCCCCGGCAUCGUCUUCCACGGUCUCGGAUCUGCUUCCCGGAAGCCGACGCCAAGCGCAGAAGUACCACCGUCGUGGACAAUGAACUGACUCCCGUUGCCGACCAUGACUCAUAGAGGCCGCCGCGACCAUCGUUCUCCUCCUCGAUUGGUAAUGUGUGUAUUGAAUCACUUAGCAGUACAUGUGCAGUUCCAAUUUUGUUCAUACCUACCCUUCAAAUUUCCUGGGUGCUAUUGUUCCCGUAAAAGUAAUUGGUUAUAGCCUCCAUUGUCCAACAGAAUAUCAGCUUGUAAUUGUGUGUCGCUCCUGUAUUGCGCUUUGCUUGGGUAGGUUUUUCAUCUGCAACCAGUAGUGUGGCAAAUGAUGGAAAGUUUUUUAGAACUAGCAAGAUGCCCAUGCGUUGCACGCAUCAAGAUGCAUUAGUAUGAGUAGUUUAUCUUGUGGGAGAAAAGGAUGAACAAGGGAAGGCCUUAUUUGCAAAUCUGGAGAGGGGUAUGGGUAUAUUUUUGCAAAAUUCCCAUUUGUUUCCUUCCUAUCUGUCAGAUAUAAAUCGGACGGCCUAUAUUGCAAGAAAAAAAGUAUAGAGAAAAAAAGUAGACAGUAGAGAAGUAGAGAUAAAUAUUAAAUAUAAAAUAAAUAUAAUAGUAGAGAAGAGAGUAGAGAUAGCAGAGACGUCGGGAAAGGAUCGUGCGCGGGGGAAAAAGCGGCCGGGUGUGCGCUAGUUUUGGCGCGUGGCGUCCGGUGCGCUUUAUAAAAUUCAAUGCCCUCCCACCGCUAUGUGCCUUGCCACCACUCUCUCCCCGCUCUGUGCCUCGCCACCGCUCUCUCCCCGCUCUUUCUCGCCUCGCCGCCGCCGCGCCACCAUGCUGCCGCGUCACCGGGAAACUUGGGGAUACUGCGGCGUCCGCGCGUGCCCCUCCGGCGGCUUCUCCGCCGAGAUCCGAUUCCGCGGGAUGCGCCUCGGCCUCGGCAAUUUCGACACCGCCAACGAGGCUGCCCGCGUGUAUGACGCGGCGGUGUGGUGCCUCCGGUGGCCUCAUAGAACAUUGAACUUCCCCAACGUGCCGACACGGGAGCGGGCGCAGGAGCUCGCGCCUCUGCCGUGGCUUAGCACCGAUGAGGAUCGUCACGACAACCGGAGGCGGGAGCACCGUCUCGGCAUCGCCGAGAUGGACGAGGAAGCCAUGGUGCUGUGGCGCCAACUCUUCCCGCAGGACAUCACCAAUGAGCGCGAGGUCUAGGCGCAAAGGAGGGCGGAGAGGGAUAAGAGGAGGGCGGAGCGAGCCACCUAUCGCGAGGUCAAGCGUAGGCGAAAAGCGGACGCUCAAUUCAACAUGAUGCUAGGAGCAGCGUCGCCUUGGGAAUCCGACGACGAUCGGUAUCUUCACGCCUACAGCCAGACGUCGGAGGAGGACAUCACCGAGGAGGAGUCGGACGACGAGGAGUAGUUGAAUUAUCUUUUUUUAUCUAUCUAUGCUGAGAACUAUCCUCUACUCUCUAGCCUCUACUUCUCGAUCUCAGCACUGUACACGCUGUUUUAAAGCGCCGCGCGUUGCGAUUCUGUUGGAGAUGCUCUAACAUGGCAGACGAGUGCUUUAAUGUUGCCCACAAGAUGCGCGAGUAUUACUAGUAGUAUAUUUGUCUUGCCAUGUUGAGAUUUUAAAACCACGAGUGCGAACAUGCAGAGGAGCAAUGAAGACCAAACACGAGAUAUUCGGGACAUCUUCAAGGGGCAUGGCAAGUUAAAGGGGAGCUGCACCGAACCUGUAAAACGAGCUUUGGUAAGUAACACCCUUUCAGUUACUUUCGUUUAGCCUCGUGUUCUUCGAUGUGUAUAUGUUGUAGUUUCUAUUUCUCUUAAGCGUGGUGUUCUUCGAUGUGUAAUAAGAAGAGUCUUAAUCGUCCUAAUGCUUUCGUUUUUAGCUUGAUGUAGGAAGUGGGUGUUCUCACCUUGUAGUCUGUUUUUAUAUUAUUUUUUUCCUUUUGAAUUCACUUCUCCGAGUUCUGUUUAUUUGGCUUCUACUAAAUGGAUCUAGGUUGCUCUGAGUAUUGAUCUAAAAAAUAAGUAACUUCAUGUCAGGAUGCAGUUCCUGCGAGGAGGGAAGUAUGGUCAACCUCGAGAUCAUGUUUCCAAAAUGAGGCUGGAUUACACACAAGGUGCCAGUUUCCUAAUGAUGCUGGAUUAGACACAAGGUGCAAAUUCCCAGAUGAUGCUGGAUUACACACAAGCCAGGUGGAGUCGUCAGCUGUUCGUGUCCUCGUGGCAUUAGUAAAGGCUGAAAGAAAGCGUGCAGCAGCCCUUGAGAAUGUAGCUGAGUUCCUGAAGAAGUGAAAAGAGCAAUCAGAUGCUCUCUUCACCCAAGCCAAAGAAGAGAUGGAAGAAGCCAGAAAUAAGCUAGCAGAGGCAGAGCAGGCUAGGUCUCCUGCUAUUUAAAACUGUUGUCAAUACAAAAUUUCCUUCAUAAUAGGUAGGUUCAAAUGUUUAUCCAGUCAGCAUGCCUGUUGUGAUGUUCAUGCAUCUACUGAUGUGGCACAAAAUGUGUUUUUUCGGGUCAUGUAAUAACAACAAUUACUUUCCAAACAAUAACAGACGAAGCAUUGGACAUGGUAUAGUUCACACGCAAGCCCGACAUUCCAAGUUCAACUUCCACAUCAAACUCAUGUUCACAGAUAUCUGCACAUUCAUACAUAAUGUCCACAACCAUGAUUCACUUCAAAGCCAAAAAAAUGUGAGGAGAGUUAUAAAUAAAGAAAAACCUCUACUAGUUCCUGCUACCAGUGCGAGCACAACAAGUCAAGACCAUGCGUAAAUUAAUUAUAUUUUAGUCAUUUUUUGUGUUCUAAAAUGCCUGCCGGCUCGCGGAAGGACGUGUUGCCGGCACACGCGCGAAUUCAAUGAAGGCAGGCGGGGCAGUCUUAAGCUGGUUGCAUGCGGCAAGGAGGCAUGCUCAGCCGGGCCUGCAGCGAGUGCGGCCCUCUUGGCCGGCGCGCCGGUUCAAUGCUUGUGCUAUCAGUGCGGUGGGGGCCGGUGGUCCGGCCGGCGGCCCGUGCGGUGUUCUGUAUGGGAAGAAUCAGAGACGAGGAAGAAGAAGGGUUAGGAGACGUAGGAUCUUCAUCCAACCGCCUGAAAUGGUCGAGAGACAGCUGGGAGUUGCAUUCUUAAUGCGCUCUGGUUCAUCAUGUGUGGGCACUGCGCAACCAACAUUUUAUUAUCCAAAAUCUGCUUGCUCUUCUUUACCAUGUUCCUCUUCUGUUCUUCUUUAAUAUGUACUCUCUCCGUUCCUAAAUACAAGUCUUUGUAUAGAUUCCACCAUGGACUACAUAUGGAGCAAAAUGAGUGAAUCUACACUCUAGAAUGUAUCUGAUACAUCUGUAUGUGAUCCAUAGUGGAAACCUCUACCAAGACUUAUAUUUUGGAAUGAAGGGAGUAUGAUAGUAGUACAAUAUGUUCCUUGUACUGAAGAUGAGCAGGGACAUUUGCAGUGUAGAGGUCUAUAAGGUCGGUUGUGAUGGACACUUUGAGCCUCUUUGAUUCGUAGGAUUUUGUAAACAUAGGAAUAGGAUUUGUAGUGACCUGCCCACUUGAAUCCUAUAAGAAUAGCAAGGAAAUGCGGGGAGUUGUGUCGCCUUUGAGAGUUACACUGAUAUUAACAGUAACGCACCUUCACUUGAAGAGAACUCGUAUCUGAAGCCUUUCUAGCCGUACUGGCAGUACUAGCACAUAUAUUCCAGCAAGUUCCACUUUGCUGAUUUUACUCUGAUGCUUACGGAUUUCCCCGUUAUAUCUACACUAUGAUCUAUGUAGCUGCUUUGUGUCGCACUAGCAGCAGUGCACUCUUGAAGCUAAACACUGCAAUGACUUACAAAAUUGGCACCAAGGCAUUGAGUGCCAUUCUGGAUGCAAUGAAACUCAUACGCUCCCCACCUGUUGAUUCUUGUUCAGAAUAUGAUCCUAAUGACUAUUCUAAGCUCGAGGAGUCAAAGGCAGAUGGCCUGUCCUGUUCACCCAUCAAGGUGCCUGUUCUAAUUUGGCAAGGUUUUAUUGAUUGCGGGUAUCUUACAUAUGUUGUCUUGCAUUUCUUCUACUUUUUUGCACCGCCAUCUGCUUAGUUUACUCAUCAUAUAUGUCGAGAUGCCAUGCCCAUCCAUUAUCAAUACAUAUUCCAUCUGUCAUCAUACCAUCUUUUUCCACUCAAAUGCUGUUCUUGUGCAUCAGACAUCAAAAAGGAAGAGGGUGAUUGCCGAACCUGAAGUCCUUGAAAAACGUGGUGGUGCCGGAGAAAUCAGACAACACCCCACUUAUAUUGGCUGUACAACCAGUGACACAAAACGUAGGACCGACUCCAGCAGACUGUACCCAUACUUCACUGGCCACACCACUAGCCCCACCACACAGGACCUACACUCCAGCAAAAGGUAUACCGAUUUCAUUUGCCAUAGCACCAGCCGUACCACAGAAAAAUCCCACUCCAGCAAAAAGUACAGCAAGUCCACCGGCCGAAGACCUAUCCCAACUGUAGAGACGGCCAAUUCCUGCAGAUUGGAACCCCAUUCCAUUUAUUCCCAGUUUAAAAGACAAUGCUUUCAAUGUUGUUAGGGACUACGUGCAUAUAUUCACAUCAUGGGAAGAUUAUAGUGAAGACAAACACCAUUUUCACAUCUUCCUGUCCAACUUACGUGUAAGUGCUAUUAUUCAUGGUUAUUAUUUUCCUGUUUUCUGCUGAUUGAAGACAUCAAUGAUUUACAUUACAUUGUUGUAACUAGGCGAGGGUCAAUCUGGAUAGUCAUGACGAGCAAAGCUUGCUUGUGCUUUUCAAGGAAGCAUUGCAGCAGUAUUGGUGUUACAUGAGGAAAUCACACUUUGAUGGCAAGUCUAUAAACAAAUUUCCGGUGAAGUCUGCUGUGCUAAAUUUAGAAGACAUUGAAUGGAAAAACCUUGUUAUGCACUGGUCUCGUUCCCAGGAUGAGGUACUGUCUAUGAAAUCACAUGACAAUUUGAACUUCUACUUGUCCGCAUGUGCCUUACAGAUCUUUUUUGCAGGAAAUCUACUCGAAGAAGAAUUCCGGUUUGAAAAGAACGACAGGAUAUCACAAAUAUGCCGCCCGCUGCUUUGCUCUUGUUAGUACAUGUUGUCCUGUAUCACUGUACUUGCAUACAUACCUGGUUCAUUAUGUGACAGGAGUAUGCAUGAUAGCUUGCUUAUCAAUUGUUCGCUCCAAAUUAUCUGAUCUGUAUGAAUGGUUGCAUUAGUGUAGAAUAUAUCCAAUGCCAAUGAAUUUUUUUAGCUCUGCAUUGUUCUUGUAAGUACAUGCUGUCCUUUAUCAGUGUACUUAUAUUGACAGGUAGUUGUUCAUGUACCAUCACUCUGCAGCUUAUUUUCCUUUGCCCUCCAUUUUCUACACAUCAGAUCUAUAUUUACUCUUACCAUAAGGUUGGUACUGAAGAAGUUUAGCUGUGCAUUGCUCUUGGCUAUGCCUUUUGCCUGUAUCGCUGCACAUACAUUUAUAGCUACUUGGUUAUGUAGCAUCACUCUUCAACUUAUCUUAAAUAUUCUCCAUUUUUUCGUAUAUUAUCACAUCUAUAUUUACUCUUAACAAAAUGUAGAAUAAAGGCAAUGCUUAUGAAGAAGAUUCUAUGGUAAACUUCUUGAAUUGCCCCCCCCCAUCAGCAUGGACAAGGGCUUUAUAGAGCCUGUCUUCACCAGUAAUGUAAGUUUGUCCUUCUCAAGCCUUCAAACUUUGUUGUGUAUAUUUGGUUAGGCAUGACUGCAACAGCUGUUUAUUUUUGGUGUUUGCAUCAAAUUGCAUGUUUAAAGUUUAUUAUGUAGUUCAUAAACAAAAGUUUGUCCUUCUCAAUUUAAGUUUUCAGUUGUACAACCAAGUUCCUUCUUCAUACCAUGUAAAUUAAACUAUACAGAGCAAGUGAUCUUCUUUUGCACUGCAUGUAUGCUUCUGUUCUUCAUCCGUAAUCCAGUGGUGUGGUGAACCUACCCACUACAACACAAUGUCAUAUUCUGCAAUGUCUUAACUAUGAACAAUGUCAUAUCAUUCUACUAUUAUUGAAACCGUCUCUUUAUUUGCAAUUCUGAAAUGGGAUAAAUUGACAGCACACUAACCAUUGAUACUUAUGAGUUCUUGAUCUGUAAUCCAGUGGUGUCAUGAAGCUGCCAACUCCUUCACAAUGUCAUUUCCUGCCAUGUCUUGACCUGAACAAUACCAUAUUGUGUUAAUGCAAUUUUAAACUGUGUCACUUUAUUCAUCAGUAAGAAAUGUGAUGAAUUGUCAGCACUGAUACUUUUAUGUGCAAAACCUGUCAUCUGUCUACUUGUUUAUCUUUCAGAGUGAGGAAGAUAUAAGUGUUGAACAAGCGCAGUCUCAUCAUCUUGCUCAGCUGCUUGCGCUGCAGCUCGCCAGCAGGGCUAACCUUUCUUGAACUCUAUUGAAGUGCUGUCGGUUUUGUAUAUUAUUUUGUCGGCGUGUUUAUUUGCACUGGUGGCGAUCUUUGAUGCCCAGUGUAUGUAAUCUGUUGUCUGCUUGUGCUUUAUUAUCAUAGUGGCGAACAUUGAUGCCCAGUGGAUGUAAUAUGCCGUAAUUUCUUUAUUGUAGAGUCUAGGUUUUUUCUUAUUCACGAUGCUGCAGUUAUUUUACUAUAUAUAUAUCCUGUCUUCGCAGUAAACCGGCCAAACCGUAAAAUUACGGUACAUAAUCAGGCCGUCAUGCAAUCACGAUGUAGGAUGGGCCUGAGACGUGCCGAACAGCUCACGGGCCGGCAGCAGCCCGAAAUGGACCGCGGCCCAUGAUUGUGCGAACCAAAUCACGGGCUUUUAACAGGACAAAAUUGUCUCGGUACUUGUUUGGCCCAAUCAGAUAUCGGCUGCGAGCAAGCCGGAUGCAAACCGGGCCGUAGUUAGGCCCAACUAUAUGACGGGCUUUUAACAGGCCGAAAUUAAUAUAGGGCCGAAAUGUUAAACGGGCCCUUAACAGGCCGAAACUAAUAUCAGGCGGAAUUACUAAAUGGGCCUUUAGCAAGUGGGCCCAAAAGCAUAGCGUCCAGUUGACAGGCCGAAUCUGAUAUGGGCCAUAAUUGAGCCCAAAGCCUCUUAAAGGGCCGGACCUGAUCUGGGCCGUAAUUUGGCCCAGAACAUGGUAGGCUUUUAACGGGCCGGAUCUCAUAUGGGCCAUUAUUAGGCCCGGAACGUGGCAGGCCAUUAAUGGACCGGAUCAAAUAUGGACCGGCAUUUGGCCCAAAACAUGGCAGCCAGUUAAUGGGCCGGCCUACAAGGGUCCUCAAAAUCUUGUGGGCCUACAGCUGGGCCGGCCCAUUAAUGUCGGUGAAAUCUCGUGGGCCUUUAGCUGGGCCGGCCCAUUAUGAUCCGCAAGAAUCUUGUGGGCCUUUACCUGGGUCAGCCCAUUAUGGCACACAAAAAUCUUGGGGGCCUUUACCUGGGUCAGCCCAUUAUGGCCCGCAAAUUCUUGUGGGCCUUUAGCUGGGUCAGCCCAUUAUGGUCCGCAAAAUCUCGUGGGCCUUUAGCUGGGCCGGCCCAUUAUGGUCCGCAAAAUCUUGUGGGCCUUUAGUUGGGCCGGCCCAUUUAAACUUGAUGGGCCGGUCCACGUGUCAACAUAUCAUAGGCGCGUCUCGCCCAUUGGAUGAGUGACACCUGUGCCAACGCGGACCUGACACGUGUCUCCUCCAGCCAAUGAUGAUUUUACAUGUAGAAAAUCCCCAUUGGUCGGGGCUGUUAACGGGUUAUCGGAUCCAAAACCCGACCCAAUAGCUUAACGGCGUUCCGUUACGGUGGAUGCCACGUGUCGGUCACCCUUGACGAAAGCACUUCUGUGACGCGCGAUUUAUCGUCAUGGAAGUGGACACUUCCGUGAUGAUAAUUUUGGUAAUGUCAUGGAACACUUCUACGACAGCACAGGUAUGACUAUCUUGAUUCUGUCAUAAAAUCGUCAUGGAUGUACAUGCAUGACAAAAAACACGACCUACUGUGACAAACACGUAUCAUCACGGAAGUGUAUUUUUUGUAGUGAUAAGCUCCUACCAUCGGCUCGCGUACGAGCAAUCCAAGAGGAAAUAGCUGGAUUUUUGCUCGAUCAGGUCAUAGACCCCAAAGGAGAAUACUACUAAAAGCUGUAAUGCCUCCAUAUGUAAUGAUCAGCAGAUUGUAGGAGAAAUUGUAUAUACCAAAUUGUAUAUAUAUAUACAUGUGUAUGUGUGAAUGGUCGUGCGAGACAUUCGAUGAUAUAUAUAUAUAUAUGAUCGGUUCUACGAGAAAUUCUAUUUAUAUAUAUGCAUUCGAUGAUAUAUAUAUAUAUAUAUAUAUAUAUAUAAAGAAUUAAAUGGAAAACACAAAACUAAAACGAAAAAUAAACCAUAAACCCAAAACCCCUAAACCUUUUAGUCCCGAUUGGUGUAACCAACCGGGACUAAAAGCUCCUAGCCCCCCAACGUGUGCUCGUGCCACAUGGUGGGCCUUUGGUCCCGGUUCAUGUUGAACCAGGACUAAAGGGGGGGCUAUAGUCCCCACCCUUUAGUGCCGGUUCUAGAACCGGCACUAAAGGGCCUACGAACCGGGACUAUAGCUCAGUUUUGCACUAGUGCCCAACAGUUCAAGAGCUACGCGAACUGACAUUAAAGUUUGCCCCUAAACUGGUUUGUAUAGUCGAAACUCAUAUUAGUAUAGACCGAGCUGAAAAAUUAGCAAAUGCUUUAGGUUUUUAUUGUGCUUAUGCUAUUGAUGCCACUGGUAGAAGUGGUGGCUUGGCUGUGUUUUGGAACAAAUAAAUAAAGAUAGAAGUUUUGGGUUACUCAAAGUACCGUAUUGAUGCUAAAGUUAGUGAUUUUGGUGGAUACCCAUGGAGACUUUUAUGUUUCUAUGGUGAAGCACAAACACAUCUUCGACAAGAAACUUGGGAUACAAUGAAGGGCAUGGUUACUUUGAAUGAUCUUCCCUGUGUUUGAUUAGGAUAUUUCAACAAAGUCUUGAGGUACGAUGAACAUGACGGUAUUGGCCAAAGGAUUUUGAGAUGUCAUUGAUGUAUGCGGCCUGAUUGAUUUAUGAUGCUAGGGGAGGAAGUGGACCUUCCAGAAAAAGCUGGCAGGGGGAUCAUUACACGGGUUUGACUUGAUAGGGUGUUUGCAUCAGCCAAUUGGUGUUCACUAUUUCCUUUGGCGAUGGUGGAACAUGCUACGAUUGCGACUUUAGAUCACUAACCGAUCCUUUUGAAACUAGACUCCACCGCAAGAAACAAAAAAGCUGGGAAGUGAAGGAAAUAUGCCCUAGAGGCAAUAAUAAAGUUGUUAUUUUAUAUUUCCUUAUUCAUGAUAAAUGUUUAUUAUUCAUGCUAGAAUUGUAUUGAUCGGAAACCUAAAUACAUGUGUGAAUACAUAGACAAACACUAUAUCCCUGGUGAGCCUCUACUUGACUAGCUCGUUGACCAAAGAUGGUUAAGGUUUCCUGACCAUGGACAUGAGUUGUCAUUUGAUAACGGGAUCACAUCAUUAGGAGAAUGAUGUGAUGGAAAAGACCCAUCUCUUAGCUUAGCAUAAUGAUCAUUCAGUUUUAUUGCUAUUGCUUUCUUGAUGUCAAAUACAUAUUCCUUCGACUAUGAGAUUAUGUAACUCCCAAAUACCGGAGGUAUGCCUUGUGUGCUAUCAAACAUCACAAGAUAACUGGGUGAUUAUAAAGAUGCUCUACAGGUAUCUCCGAAGGUGUUUGUUGAGUUGGCAUAGAUCAAGAUUAGGAUUUGUCACUCCGAGUUUCGGAGAGGUAUCUCUAGGCCCUUUCGGUAAUACACAUCAUAAGAAGCCUUGCAAGCAAAGUGACUAAUGAGUUAGUUGCAAGAUGAUGUAUUACAUAACGAGUAAAUAGACUUGCUGGUAAUGAGAUUGAACUAGGUAUGAAGAUACCGACGAUCGAAUCUCGGGCAAGUAACAUACCGAUGGACAAAGGGAACUACAUAUGUUGUCAUAACGGUUUGACCAAUAAAGAUCUUCGUAGAAUAUGUAGGAUCCAAUAUGAGUAUCUAGGUUCCGCUAUUGGUUAUUGACUGGAGAGGUGUCUCAGUCAUGUCUACAUAGUUCUCGAACCCGUAGGGUCCGCACGCUUAAUGUUCGAUGACGAUAUUUUAUUAUAUGAGUUAUGUGAUUUUGUGAACGAAUGUUGUUCAGAAUCCCGGAUGAGAUCACAGACAUGAUGAGCAGUCUCGAAAUGGUCGAGAGGUAAAUAUUUAUAUAUAGGACGAUGGUAUUCGGACACCGGAAGUGUUCCAGACGGUAUCGGGUACUUAUCGGGUCACCGGAAGGUGUUUCGGGUGCACCCGGCAAUCCUAUGGGCCAUAUGGGCCUUGUGAAGGAACACACUAGCCCACAAGGGGCUGGUGCGCCCUAUACGACCACAGGAGGAGGAGAAGGAAAGGAGGGAAGGGAAAGGGAAGUGUGGAUUAGGAUUCCCACUUCCUUCCCUCACCCCCUCUUUCCUUCCCCUUCAUGCAUACAUGGAAAGGGGGGCGCAGGGCAAAGCAGCACCCCUAGGGGCAGCGGCCAACCCUAGGGCACGCCCUGGCUGCCUCCCCUCCCCUCCCACCUAUAUAUAUGUGGGUAGGGGGCGCCUCACAAACACACAACAUCAAUAGUUAGCAGUGUGCGGUGCCCCCUCCACAGUUUACACCCCGAUCAUAGUUUUGCGGUGCUUAGGCGAAGCCCUGCGGGAAUCACUUCACCAUCACCAUCACCAUGCCGUUGUGCUGACAGAACUCAUCUACUACCUCGACACCUUGCUGGAUCAAGAAGGCGAGGGACAUCACUGAUAACCCACAAGUAUAGGGGAUCUCAACAGUUUUCGAGGGUAAAGUAUUCAACCCAAAUUUAUAGAUUCAACACAAGGGGAGCCAAAGAAUAUUUGAAGGUAUUACCAGCUGAGUUGUCAAUUCAACCACACCUGGAGAUUAAUUAUCUGGAGCAAAGUGAUUAGUAGCACAGUAAUAUGAUAGUUUUGAUGAUAGAAGCAGUAGCAACGGUAACGGUAACAGCGAUAACAGUGAUUUUGUAGCAGUAACGAUAGUAGUAGUAACAGUAGUAACUUAGCAAGAACAAUAUAAGAUAAAUUUGUAGGCAUUGGAUUGGUGACUCAUUAGAUGAUAUUCAUCAUGAGACAGUUAUAACCUAGGGCGAUACGGCACUAGCUCCAGUUCAUAAAUAUAAUGUAGGCAUGUAUUCCGUAAAUAGUCAUACGUGCUUAUGGAAAGAACUUGCAUGACAUCUUUUGUCCUACCAUCCUGUGGCAGCGGGGUCCUAUUGGAAACUAAGGGAUAUUAAGGCCUCCUUUUAAUACAGAACCGGAACAAAGCAUUAACACACGGUGAAUACAUGAACUCCCCAAACUACGGUCAUCACCGGGAGUUGUCCCGACUGUUGUCACUCCGGGGUUGCCGGAUCAUAACAUGUAGUAGGUGAGUAUAACUUGCAAGAUCGGAACUAGAACAUGGAUAUAAUGGUGAUAACAUAAACGGUUCAGAUCUGAAAUCAUGGCACCCGGGCCCAAAGUGACAAGCAUUAAGCAUGGCAAAGUCAUAGCAACAUCAAUCUCAGAACGUAGUGGAUACUAGGGAUCAGGCCCUAACAAAACUAACUUGAUUACAUGAUGAAUCUCAUCCAACUCCUCACCAACCAGCGAGCCUACAAAGGAAUUACUCACUCCCGGUGGGGAGCACCAUGGAAUUGGCGAUGGAGAUGUGUUGGCGAUGACGAAGAUCGAAAAUCCCCGUCUUCGGAGCCCCAAACGGACUCUAGAUCUGGCCUCCCGAUGAAGAAUAGGAGACGGCGGCGGCUCCGUCUCGUGAAACUCGAUAAUUCUUUUUCCCUGUUUUUUUCUAGAAUAAUGUGAUUUUAUAGCGUCGGUUUCAGGGUCAGCGGGGCCACCAGGUGGGGACAACCCACCUGGGCGCGCCUGGGGGUGGGGGGGCAGGCGCGCCCUGGUGGGGUGUGCCCACCCAGGUGCCCCCCUCAGGUAUCUCUUGGCUCCAGAAAUUCUCUUUAUUGAUAUAAAAAAUCCUCGCAAAGUUUCGUUCCAUUCUGAGAACUUUUAUUUCUGCACAAAAACUACACCAUGGUAGUUCUGCUGACAACAACGUUAAUCCGGGGUUAGUUUCAUUCAAAUCAUGCAAAUUAGAGUCCAAAACAAGAGGAAAAGCGUUAGGAAAAGUAGAUACGUUGGAGACGUAUCAACUCCCCCAAGCUUAAACCUUUGCUUGUCCUCAAGCAAUUCAGUCGAUAAACUGAAAGUGCAAAAGAAAAACUUUUAGAACUCUUUUGCUCUUGUUCAAUAAAUAAGCUUAAACAGCACCCAGGCUUUCAGCAAAGAUUAUAACUAACCAUGUCGACAAUAACUCUUAAAAAUUAUAUUAACUCAUAUCAAUGACAUAAUCAACUAGAGAGCAAUAAUAAGAUAUCUCAAAUAGCAACACGUUGUCAAAACAACCAUGAUAUAAUAUGACAAUAGUGGUAUCUCGCUAGCCCUUUCUGAGACCGCAAAACAUAAAUGCAGAGCACCCCCAAAGUUCAAGCAGCAACUAAACAUUGUAAUUCAUGGUAGAAAAGAUCCAGUCACACACAAUGCAUCAGCAUGACAGCAGUGCUCUCAGGUUCUGGCGCUUAUUUGAGAAGGUGAUGAUAUUCCCUUCGCAGAGGGAAGCAGUGAUUUGCAGAGGUGCCAGAGCUCAAGUUUUUAAAACAGAGGUAAAUGAAAUUUUGAGACAUGCACCCUUCUCAUUUACUUCACGACCAUCAGUUAUCAAUAUCUUCCAUGCUAAACACGCUAGUAGCGGUUCCCAAGCAGAAAUGUAAAGGUUAUGACUCCAUUGGGAGUUUUUGUUUGAUUAUUUGUAAGCUCUUUUCUUUUUGCAGUUUGGGACUGGGCAUCCCUAUUACCGCCCUUUUCUCGUGCGAUGGCGAGUGAAUAAACACUCGACCUGAGAAUAACCCGCUUAACAUGGAAGAUACCGACUACCUCCUGUCGUUCCAUGAACAAUCCAGGCACACAAAAAAGGAUUUUUAUUUGAAGUUUUUAGAGAUGGCACAUGCAAAUUUAAUUAGGAUGGCAGGGUAAUACCGCAUAUAGGUAGGUAUGGUGGACUCAUCUGGAAUAUCUUGGGUUUCAGGUUUUUGAUGUACAAGCAGAGUCCCCACUUAGUACAGGCAAAGGCUAGCAAAUAGGUUGAGAAGCGGCCAACUAGGGAGCAACAACGGUCAUGAACAUGCAUUAUGCAUAAGUAACAUUGGAUACUAGCAUUAGUAGGAUAUGAACACCAUGAACAUAAAUUCAUAGAUUCUAUGUUGGUUUUGAUUCAACUACAUGCAUGAACAUGUGCCAAGUCAAGCCACUCGAACAUUCAGAGGAGGAUACCAUAUCAUCAUACUACAUCACAAUCAUUUUAACGCAAUGUUGAUAUCUAAGAUAAAUCAUUAUUCACUCCUAGCUACUUAUGCAUGGCAUGAGAAACUAUAAUCUCUAAUUGUCAUUGCAAACCUGUUUGAUCAUAAUAGGCUGAAUCAUGGAUACUAGGUUAAACAUAUUUACAAAAACAGAACAAGUCGAGUUCAUACCCGUUUCUCUCUGCCACGGCCAGUUCAUCUAAUAUCGUCAUUAUUGCCUUUCACUUGCACGACUGAACAAUUUGAAAAUAAUAAUAGUGCAAGAGUGCCGUGGACUAAGCUGGAAUCUGCAAACAUUUUAUUCAAAACGAGAAGACAAGGUAAUAUGGACUCUUUAUUAGAUCAUCAAUAAUGCAAAUGAGAGCUACUCAACAUUUCAUCGUGGUCUUUUCCUCAGUAUGACUCAAUAAAAGAAAAAGAAAUUCAGAGAAACACACUGAAAUAUUUUUGGAGUUUUUGGUUUUUUGAAAGCAAGCAAACGAAAAGGGAAAACCAAAAACGAGAAAAACUAUUGCGUGGGAAAGCUCCCAACAAGUAAAUGAAGAAUAAGGAAAUCUUUUUGCGUUUUGUUUUUAGUAGUACAACAAUUUAAACUUUGAAGAAAAUUCAAAAAGAGGCAAGAACAUAUUUUUGGAUUUUCUCAAAGUUUUUUUCAAACACACAAGAAGAAAGCGAGAAAAAUUAUUUAAACAUGGAUGUGCUACCUCUUGAGCUUGCGUUGGUUUUCCCUUGAAGAGGAAAGGGUGAUGCAGCAAAGUAGCGUAAGUAUUUCCCUCAGUUUGUGAGAACCAAGGUAUCAAUCCAGUAGGAGGUUACAUGCAAGUCGCCUUGUUCCUGCACAAACAAAUAAGAACCUUGCAACCAACACGAUAAAGGGGUUGUCAAUCCCUUCACGGCCACUUGCAAAAGUGAGAUCUGAUAGAGAUAAUAAGAUAAAUAUUUUUGGUAUUUUUGUUGUAUAGAUUGAAAAGUAAAGAUUGCAAAAUAGUAAACGAGAUGCAAUGCAAAUAAAAGAGAUAUAAUAUGAUGGAAAAGAGACCCAAGGGCCAUAGGUUUCACUAGUGGCUUCUCUCAAGAUAGCAUAUCUUACGGUGGGUGAACUAAUUACUGUCGAGCAAUUGAUAGAAAAGCGCAUAGUUAUGAUAAUAUCUAGGCAUGAUCAUGCAUAUAGGCAUCACGUCCGUGACAAGUAGAUCGAAACGAUUCUGCAUCUACUACUAUUACUCCCCACAUCGACCGCUAUCCAGCAUGCAUCUAGAGUAUUAAGUUCAUAAGAACAGAGUAACGCAUUAAGCAAGAUGACAUGAUGUAGAGGGAUAAACUCAAGCAAUAUGAUAUAAACCCCAUCUUUUUAUCCUCGAUGGCAACAAUACAAUACAUGCCUUGUGCCCCUGCUGUCACUGGGAAAGGACACCGCAAGAUUGAACCCAAAGCUAAGCACUUCUCCCAUUGCAAGAAAGAUCAAUCUAGUAGGCCAAACCAAACAGAUAAUCCGAAGAGACUUGCAAAGAUAUCAAAUCAUACAUAUAAGAAUUCAGAGAAGAAUCAAAUAUUGUUCAUAGAUAAUCUUGAUCAUAAACCCACAAUUCAUCGGAUCUCGACAAACACACCGCAAAAAGUAUUACAUCGAAUAGAUCUCCAAGAAGAUCGAGGAGAACUUUGUAUUGAGAAUCAAAGAGAGAGAAGAAGCCAUCUAGCUAAUAACUAUGGACCUGAAGGUCUGUGGUAAACUACUCACACAUCAUCGGAGAGGCUAUGGUGUUGAUGUAGAAGCCCUCCGUGAUCGACUCCCCCUCCGGCGGAUCGCCGGAAAAGGCCCCAAGAUGGGAUCUCACGGGUACAGAAGGUUGCGGCGGUGGAAAUAGGGUUUCGUGGUGCUCCUGGAUGUUUUCGGGAUAUAUGAGUAUAUAUAGGCGAAAUAAGUAGGUCGGUGGAGCCACGAGGGGCCCAUGAGGGUGGGGGGCGUGCCUACCCCCUGGGCACGCCCUCCUACCUCGUGGCCGCCUCGUUGCUUCCUUGACGUCCACUCCAAGUCUCCUAGAUUGCGUUUGUUCCAAAAACGAUUCUCCCGAAGGUUUCAUUCCGUUUGGACUCCGUUUGACAUUCCUUUUGUGCGAAACACUGAAAUAGGCAAAAAGACUGCAAUUUGCACUGGGCCUCCGGUUAAUAGGUUAGUCCCAAAAAUAAUAUAAAAGUGCAUAAUAAAGCCCAUUAAACAUCCAAAACAGAUAAUAUAAUAGCAUGGAACAAUCAAAAAUUAUAGAUACAUUGGAGACGUAUCAAGCAUCCCCAAGCUUAAUUCCUGCUCGUCCUCGAGUAGGUAAGUGAUAAAAAUAGAAUUUUUGAUGUGGAAUGCUACCUAACAUAAUUUUCAAUGUAAUUCUCUUUAUUGUGGCAUGAAUGUUCAGAUUCAAGAUUCAAGAUAAAAGUUUAAUAUUGACAUAAAAAUAGUAAUACUUCAAGCAUGCUAACCAAGCAGUUUAUGUCUUAUCAAAAUAACAUAGCCAAAGAAAGCUUAUCCCUACAAAAUCAUAUAGUUUGGCCAUGCUUCAUUUUCGUCACACAAAAUUCUCCCAUCAUGCACAACCCCGGUUUCAGCCAAGCAAUUGGUUCAUACUUUUUAACACGCUUCAGCCUUUUCAACCCUCAUGCAAUACAUGAGCGUAAGCCAUGGACAUAGCACUACGGGUGGAGUAGAGUAUGAUGAUAGGGAUUAUGUGAGAAAACAAAAAAGGAAAAAGUCUCACAUUAACGCGGCUAAUCAACAGGCUAUGGAGAUGCCCAUCAAUUGAUGUCAAUACGAGGAGUAGGGAUUUCCAUGCAACGGAUGCACUAGAGCUAUAAAUGUAUGAAAGCUCAUAAAAAAGUAACUAAGUGGGUGUGCAUCCAACUUUCCUGCUCACGAAGACCUAGGGCAUUUUGAGGAAGCCCAUCAUUGGAAUAUACAAGCCAAGUUCUAUAAUGAAAAAUUCCCACUAGUAUAUGAAAGUGACAAAAUAAGAAACUCUCUAUCAUGAAGAUCAUGGUGCUAUUUUGAAGCACAAGUGUGGAAAAAGGAUAGUAACAUUGUCCCUUCUCUCUUUUUCUCUCAUUUUUUUUAUUUGGGCUUCUUUGGCCUUUUUUCGUCCGGAGUCUCAUCCCGACUUGUGGGGGAAUCAUAGUCUCCAUCAUCCUUUCCUCACAUGGGACAAUGCUCUAAUAAUGGAAAUCAUCACACUUCUAUUUAUUUACAACUAAAGAAUUACAACUCAAUACUUAGGACAAAAUAUGACUCUAUGUGAAUGCCUCCGGCGGUGUACCGGGACAUGCAAUGAAUCAAGAGCGACAUGUAUGAAAGAAUUAUAAAGGUGGCUUUACAACAAAUACGAUGUCAACUACAUGAUCAUGUAAAGCAAUAUGAUAAUGAUGGAGUGUGUCAUAAUAAACGGAACGAUGGAAAGUUGCAUGGCAAUAUAUCUCGGAAUGGCUAUGGAAAUGCCAUAAUAGGUAGGUAUAUAUGGUGGCUGUUUUGAGGAAGAUAUAAGGAGGUUUAUGUGUGAUAGAGCGUAUCGUAUCACGGGGUUUGGAUGCACCGGCGAAGUUUGCAACAACUCUCAAGGUGAGAAAGGGCAAUGCACGGUACCGUAGAGGCUAGCAAAUUGCAGAAGGGUAAGACUGCGUAUAAUCCAUGGACUCACAUUAGUCACAAAGAACUCAUAUACUUAUUGCAAAAGUUUAUUAGCCCUCGAAGCAAAGUACUACUACGCAUGCUGCUAGGGGAAGGGUUGGUAGGAGUUAACCAUCGUGCGAUCCCGACCUCCACUCAUAAGGAAGGCAAUCAAAGAACACCCCAUGCUUCAAAUUUGUCACACAACGUUCACCAUACGUGCAUGCUACGGGACUUGCCAAAUUUAACACAAGUAUUUCUCAAUUUCAUAAUUACCCAACUAGCAUGACUCUAACAUUACCACCUUUAUAUAUCAAAACAAUUAUAAAGUAUCAAAUUUAUCAUAGUGUUUAAUGCACUCCAUAUGAAAGUUUUUAUUUUACCCAACUUGGAUGCCCAUCAUAUUAGGACUAAUUUUAUAACCAAAGAAAAUUACCAUGCUGUUCUAAAAGACUGUCAAAAUAAUAUAAGUGAAGCAUGAGAGAUCAAUAAUUUCUACCAAAUAAAAACACCACCGUGCUCUAAAAAGGUAUAAGUGAAGCACUAGAGCAAAAUUAUCUAGCUCAAAAGAUAUAAGUGAAGCACAUAGAGUAUUCUAAUAAAUUCUGAUUCAUGUGUGUCUCUCCAAAAGGUGUGUACAUCAAGGAUGAUUGUGGUAAACUAGAAAGCAAAGACUAAAUCAUACAAGACGCUCCAAGAAAAACACAGAUCAUGUGGUGAAUAAAAAUAUAGCCUCAAGUAAAGUUACCGAUAGACGAAGACGAAAGAGGGGAUGCCUUCCAGGGCAUCCCCAAGCUUAGGCUCUUAGUUGUCCUUGAAUUUUCCUUGGGGUGCCUUGGGCAUCCCCAAGCUUAGGCUCUUGCCACUCCUUAUUCCAAAAUCCAUCAAAUCUUUACCCAAAACUUGAAAACUUCACAACACAAAACUCAACAGAAAAUCUCAUCAGCUCCGUUAGUGCUAGAAAACAAACCACCACUUUAAGGUACUGUAAUGAACUCAUUCUUUAUUUAUGUUGGUGUUAAACCUACUGUAUUCCAACUUCUCUAUGGUUUAUACCCCCCGAUACUAACCAUAGAUUCAUCAAAAUAAGCAAACAACACACAAAAAACAGAAUCUGUCAAAAACAGAACAGUCUGUAGCAAUCUGUAACUCUCGAAUACUUCUAGAACCCCAAAAAUUCUACCAAAUUAGGAAGUCCUAGUUAAUUUGUUGAUUAAUCUUCUGCAAAAAUAAUCAACUGAAAAGCACAUUUCUGUGAUUUAUGAAAACUAAUCUUGUGCGCGCAAAAUUUUUUGUUUUUUAGCAAGAUCAAAUUAACUAUCAACGUAGGUUAUCCUAAAGGUUUUACUUGGCACAAACACUAAUUAAAACACAAAACCACAUCUAACCAGAGGCUAGAUGAAUUAUUUAUUACUAAACAAGAACAAAGAGUAAAGAACAAAAAUAAAAUUGGGUUGCCUCCCAACAAGCUAUCGUUUAAUGCCCCUAGCUAGGCAUAAAAACAAGAAUAGAUCUAGGUAUUACCAUCUUUGGUAUUCAAUUCAUAAGUGGCUUUCAUAAUAGAUUCAUAAGGUAAUUUAAUUUUCUUCCUAGGAAAGUGCUCCAUGCCUUUCCUUAAUGGAAAUUGGAAUCUAAUAUUUCCUUCUUUCAUAUCAAUAAUUGCACCAAUCGUUCUAAGGAAAGGUCUACCAAGAAUAAUAGGACAUGAAGGAUUACAAUCUAUAUCAAGGACAAUGAAAUCUACGGGCACAUAAUUCCUAUUUGCCACAAUAAGAACAUCAUCAAUCCUUCCCAUAGGUUUCUUAAUGGUGGAAUCCGCAAGAUGCAAAUUUAAAGAACAAUCAUCAAAUUCAUGGAAACCUAGCAUAUCACGCAAAGUUUUAGGAAUCAUGGAAACACUAGCACCCAAAUCACACAAAGCAUAGCAUUCAUGAUUUUUAAUCUUAAUUUUAAUAGUAGGUUCCCACUCGUCAUAAAGUUUUCUAAGGAUAGAAAUUUCUAAUUCAAGUUUUUCUUCAUAAGAUUGCAUUAAAGCAUCAACGAUAUGUUUGGUAAAAGCUUUAUUUUGACUAUAAGCAUGAGGAGAAUUUAACACGGAUUGCAACAAGGAAAUACAAUCUAUCAAAGAGCAAUUAUCAUAAUUAAAUUCCUUGAAAUCCAAAAUAGUGGGUUCAUUGCUAUGUAAAGUUUUGACCUCUUCAAUCCCACUUUUACCAAUUUUUGCAUCAAGAUCUAAAAACUCCGAAUCAUUGGGACGCCUUUUAGCUAAAGUUGACUCAUCUCCAGUCCCAUCUUUACCAAGAUUCAUAUUGGAAAAAAAAGGAUUUAAUAGGAGACACAUAAAUCACUUUCAGAUCUUCAUCCUUAUUAUCAUGAAAACUAGAAGACAGGGUCGUACCAUAGAAAACGGGGGCCCUGUUCAACAUCCAAAAUUACGCCAAUGAUAUAACCAUUGGCAAUCAGGAAAACAAAAAUUUAUACUCAAGAAGCUAGCCAUUCUAAAAACUCAAAAUUGGUACAUUAUUCAGCAUAAACAUGCAUCCUUCUAGAAGUACUUGGACAGAAUCUACAAUUGGUUUUUCAUAAGCAACCUUCUCCAAAAUGCCACUUCAUUAUUUUGCUAAAAUCUUAUCAAGGGCACAUGUUUUAGGUCGAAUGAUUAGUAUAUGAUAUGUCAGAAAUACUAGAACAUAUGAACAAAAGGGAAUGAAACAAACUUUGGUUUAUUUGGGAAGAAGAUCAUGGUGCGGCCAACGGCAAUGCUUCUGGAGUUCUUGUAGUCUGGUUAAAGCUCUAGUCGGGCAGCCUAGGUGGAAGCAGCAACAGAAUCUAAGAAACAGGGGAGACAUGAGAAAUCGAAGAAGAAAACACGUGAUAAAAAGAUGUUGGAUUGAGGGUGGAGCGUACCUAUAAAUUCGGUUUAUUUCGGAGAAACCUUGAAGGAAUUAAGCUAUGAGCCCUGCGAUGGAGCAAGGGAUUUGCAUGGGUCGCUGGAAGUGAAAGAGAAUAUAGAGAAAGAGAAUAGGAAGGAGGAGAGGCGUGCGUGAGAUGGAGUGCUGGGAGUUAUUACGGUGCAUGUUCCCAAGGAAUACUAGCAUUAACUAAGAAGCAUAUUUGCAUAAAGUGUUCAGAAAAAAUAGUAUAGAGAAAAAUGGGGCCCCUGGUCAGUUGGGGGCCCUGUGCAGUCGAACAUGCUGCACAUGUGUCCGGUACGGGCCUGCUAGAAGUACACGCUUUCACAAAGCAAUCCUUUUUAGCACGCAUCCUAGCGGUUCUUUCUUUGCACUCAUCAAUGGAAAUUCUCAUGGCUUUGAGAGACUCAUUGAUAUCAUGCUUAGGUGGAAUAGAUCUAAGUUUCAAAGAAUCAACUUCAAGAGAAAUUUUAUCCACGUUCCUAGCCAACUCAUCAAUCUUAGGCAAUUUUUCUUCAAGCAAAGCAUUGAAAUUCUUUUGCGAAAUCAUAAAUUCUUUAACACUAGUCUCAAAAUAAGAGGGCAUCUUAUUGAAAUUUCCAUAAGAAUUGUUGUAGGAAUUACCAUAAUUAUUAGAGGAAUUACUAGGGAACGGCCUAGAAUAAAAGUUUCCUCUAUACGCGUUGUUACCAAAAUUGUUCCAACCAACAAAAUUCACAUCCAUAGAUUCAUCAUUAUUCUCAAUCAAAGUGGAUAAGGGCAUAGCGUUAGGAUCAGAAGAAACACUCUUAUUAGCAAACAAUUUCAUAAGUUCAUCCAUCUUUCCACUCAAAACAUAAAUAUCUUCAAUUGCAUGAACCUUUUUACUAGUAGAUCUUUCGGUGUGCCAUUGAGAAUAAUUAACCAUAAUAUUAUCUAGGAGUUUAGUAGCUUCUCCUAAAGUGAUUUCCAUAAAAGUGCCUCCCGCUGCCGAAUCUAAAAGAUUUCUAGAAGCAAAAUUCAAUCCGGCAUAAAAUUUUUGUAUAAUCAUCCAUAAAUUCAAACCAUGUGUAGGGCAAUUACGUAUCAUUAGUUUCAUCCUCUCCCAAGCUUGUGCAACAUGCUCAUGAUCAAGUUGCUUAAAAUUCAUAAUAUCGUUUCUAAGAGAGAUGAUCUUAGCGGGAGGAAAAUACUUAGAGAUAAAAGCAUCUUUGCACUUAUUCCAUGAAUCAAUACUAUUUUUAGGCAAAGAAGAUAACCAAGUUUUAGCACAAUGUCUAAGAGAAAAUGGAAAUAACUUCAAUUUAACAAUAUCAUUAUCCACAUCUCUCUUCUUUUGCAUAUCGCACAAGUCAACAAAGUUGUUUAGAAGUGUAACGACAUCUUCACUAAGAAGGCCAGAGAAUUGAUCUUUCAUGACAAGAUUCAAUAAAGUAGCAUUAAUUUCGCAAGAUUCAGCAUUGGUAAUAGGAGCAAUUGGAGUGCUAAGAAAAUCAUUGUUGUUGGUAUUGGAAAAAACACACAAUUUAGUAUUGUCUUGAGCUAUAGCGACAAACAAUCCAACACACAAGCACACAAGAAGCAAGCAAAAAGAGACGAAUGGAAAAAGGGCGAAUAAAAUGGCAAGGGUGAAGUGGGGGAGAGGAAAACGAGAGGCAAAUGGCAAAUAAUGUAAUGCGAGGGAUAAGAGUUUGUGAUGGGUACUUGGUAUGUCUUAACUUGUGCAUAGAUCUUUCCGGGAAUGAUGCCAGAAAUCGGCGAGUUGUCGAGAGAUCAAAUCUUGACUUGACUUGGUGUAACCCUCCCCGGCAACGGCGCCAGAAAUCCUUCUUGCUACCUCUUGAGCAUGCGUUGGUUUUCCCUUGAAGAGGAAAGGGUGAUGCAGCAAAGUAGCAUAAGUAUUUUCCUCAGUUUUUGACAACCAAGGUAUCAAUCCAGUAGGAGGUUACACGCAAGUCGCCUUGUACCUGCACAAACAAAUAAGAACCUUGCAACCAACGCGAUAAAGGGGUUGUCAAUCCCUUCACGGCCACUUGCAAAAGUGAGAUCUGAUAGAGAUAAUAAGAUAAAUAUUUUUGGUAUUUUUGUUGUAUAGAUUCAAAAGUAAAGAUUGCAAAAUAGUAAACGAGAUGCAAUGUAAAUAAAAGAGAUAUAAUAUUAUGGAAAAGAGCCCCGGGGGCCAUAGGUUUCACUAGUGGCUUCCAUCAAGAUAGCAUAUCUUACGGUGGGUGAACAAAUUACUGUCGAGCAAUUGAUAGAAAAGCGCAUAGUUAUGAGAAUAUCUAGGCAUGAUCAUGUAUAUAGGCAUCACGUCCGUGACAAGUAGAUCGAAACAAUUCUGCAUCUACUACUAUUACUCCACACAUCGACCGCUAUCCAGCAUGCAUCUAGAGUAUUAAGUUCAUAAGAACAGAUUAACGCAUUAAGCAAGAUGACAUGAUGUAGAGGGAUAAACUCAAGCAAUAUGAUAUAAACCCCAUCUUUUUAUCCUCGAUGGCAACAAUACAAUACGUGCCUUGCUGCCCCUGCUGUCACUGGGAAAGGACACCGCAAGAUUGAACCCAAAGCUAAGCACUUCUCCCAUUGCAAGAAAGAUCAAUCUAGUAGUCCAAACCAAACUGAUAAUUCGAAGAGACUUGCAAAGAUAUCAAAUCAUACAUAUAAGAAUUCAGAGAAGAAUCAAAUAUUGUUCAUAGAUAAUCUUGAUCAUAAACCCACAAUUCAUCAGAUCUCGACAAACACACCGCAAAAAGUAUUACAUCGAAUGGAUAUCCAAGAAGAUCGAGGAGAACUUUGUAUUGAGAAUCAAAGAGAGAGAGAAGAAGCCAUCUAGCUAAUAACUAUGGACCCGAAGGUCUGUGGUAAACUACUCACACAUCAUCGGAGAGGGUAUGGUGUUGAUGUAGAAGCCCUCCGUGAUCGAUUCCCCCUCCGACGAAGCGCCGGAAAAGGCCCCAAGAUGGGAUCUCACGGGUACAGAAGGUUGUGGCGGUGGAAAUAGGGUUUCGUGGUGCUCCUGGAUGUUUUCAGGGUAUAUGAGUAUAUAUAGGCGAAAGAAGUAGGUCGGUGGAGCCACGAGGGGCCCACGAGGGUGGGGGCGCGCCUACCCCCUGGGCACGCCCUCCUAGCUUGUGGCCGCCUUGUUGCUUCCUUGACAUCCACUCCAAAUCUCCUAGAUUGCGUUUGUUCCAAAAAUGAUUCUCUCGAAGGUUUCAUUCCAUUUGGACUCUGUUUGAUAUUCCUUUUCUGCGAAACACUGAAAUAGGCAAAAAUAGCAAUUUGCACAUGGCCUCCAGUUAAUAGGUUAGUCCCAAAAAUAAUAUAAAAUUGCAUAAUAAAGCCCAUUAAACAUCCAAAACAGAUAAUAUUAUAGCAUGGAACAAUCAAAAAUUAUAGAUACAUUGGAGACGUAUCAGGAUGAUAAAUGAAAAAGUGUGGACACCGACAACUGGAAUGAAAUGUGUGAACAUGACUGUAAUGUCGGUGGGAAUACGUACUCCCCCAAGCUUAGGCUUUUGGCCUAACUUGGUAAUCACCAGUCGUAGAAGCCAUGAGGUCCAAUGUUGAAGUGCUAGGGAGCAGGAACCAUAGGGUCCCACUGUUGAGGCUCCUCCUAUGCCAUAGCCUGGUUGUUCCGGUAAGCGACAAUGUCCUCAGGCAUAAUCAUGUAUCCGCCCCUGGCAACAUGAUCAUACAAAGCAGGUGCAGGCAAGGGAAUAAUAUAAUGAGUUUUAUCACUGAAAACUAAGUUAUAAGGCAUAUCAAUAUCAGGGUAAUCAGCAACAAUAAACUGGUGGUCCUUCAUAGCUGCUCUAUCUAGGUAAGCUUUGGGCAAAGGAUGAUCAUGUUGGCGUAUCUGCACAUUGAAGUGAGUCACCAAGCGAGUAGCGUAAAUGCCCCCAUGUAUCUUACCCUUGAAUCUGUUAAGGUGAAGGCGACGUGCCACAAUAGAUCCCAAGCUAUAGGUGUUGUCUCCAUAAUGUGCGCGACGCAAAAUAGCAAAGUCUGGGGCGCUAAGUGCACCCACCUUCUCUCUCGCUAGCAGGCACUUUGCAAUAAAUAUGGUAAAAUAAUGCACGGCAGGAAACUGCAAGCUAACGAUAGUGGUGCCCGAUACUCCUCUCUCAUCCCCCACUGUUAGAGUACGGUAAAAACCUUCAAACUCUAAGGGCUUAGGCUCUACCAAAUCCCCAUCAGAAGGAAGCAUGCAUAUAUCACAAAAUUCAGUAAGUGGGAUCUGGCGGGUUUCAGAAUAUAAAUUAAACUGGACCUCGGGGGGAUUAUUCCUAGAAUGAAAUUGAAAGUUUUGCACAAAGGAGUUUGUGAGGAGAUGAUACUGUUCACAUUCAGCUGCGAUGAAGUCGGUGAGGCCGGCAUUAGCAGCAUAUUGGUUGAACUCUUGGAGGAUUCCGACCCCUUCCAUGAACGCAUUGUGCGGCCACUCGCACGGCCGUAGCUCCGCCAACCUCGGGGUAUGGAGAUCAUUGUCAGAUGACUGCCAAAUAACCCCCUUGGAGUUCUUCUUGGAAGCAAACUUCCUAAAGAAACUCAUCCUUUUCCUAUGAACAAAAUUCUGAAAUUUUUAGUCCACAAAAUUUUUCUCAACAAAACUUCACAAAAAUGAUAGCAACUACUCAUAGGGAUGUAUAGAGGCCAUAGCAAGCAUUCAAACUACUUAGAACUCUAAGAAUUCAACAUGCAAGCUCAUCUACAACAGCAUCAAGAGUAGCUAAUUAUUCUAAAUAUUAACCACUAAAACAAAAACUAAUUGGACACAUGGAGGAGUCACAUACCAAGCAACAAAUCCCUGAAACAGUUUUGGAAACGGAGCUUCGAGCAAAGAGAUUGAAAUCCGCGGUUUCGGGAGCAAGAACACGAGAGAGAGUGUGAUAGUGAUUUUUUUGGUGAAUGGAGUGAUGUGGGAAGAAGAAGUAAGUGAGGGGGCCCACGUGGGGACCACAACCCACCAGGGCACGCAUGGGGGUCCUGGCGCGCCAGGUGGGGACUCCAGGGUCAGCGGGGCCACCAGGUGGGGACAACCCACCUGGGCGCGCUUGGGGGCAGGCGCGCCCUGGUGGACCAUGCCCACCUAGGUGCCCCCCUCAGGUAUCUCUUGGCUGCAAAAAUUCUCUUUAUUGAUAUAAAAAAUCCUCGCAAAGUUUCGUUCCAUUCCGAGAACUUUUAUUUCUGCACAAAAACAACACCAUGGUAGUUCUGCUGAAAACAACGUCAGUCCGGGGUUAGUUUCAUUUAAAUCAUGCAAAUUAGAGUCCAAAACAAGAGGAAAAGCAUUAUGAAAAGUAGAUAAGUUGUAGACGUAUCAGUCACCGAGUUGAACGUGUGCAGAACUCGGAGGUGUCAUACGUUCGGUGCUUGAUCGGUUGGAUCUAGAAGAAGUUCGACUAUAUCAACCGCAUUGUCAAAACGCUUCCGCUUUCGGUCUACGAGAGUACGUAGACACACUCUCCCCCUCGUUGCUAUGCAUCUCCUUGGAUAGAUCUUUGCGUGAGCGUAGAAAUUUUUUGUUUUCCAUGCUGCAUUUCCCAACAGUGGCAUCCGAGCCAGGUCUAUGCGUAGAUGAUAUGCAUGAGUAGAACACAAAGAGUUGUGGGCGGUGAUAGUCAUACUGCUUACCACCAACGUCUUAUUUUGAUUUGGCGGUAUUGUGGGAUGAAGCGGCCCAGACCAACCUUACAUGUCCACACACAUGAGACUGGUUCCAUAGACAUGCAACUAGUUUUGCAUAAAGGUGGCUGGCGGGUGUCUGUUUCUCCUACUUUAGUUGAAUCGAAUUUGACUGCGGCCGGUCCUUGAAGAAGGUUAAAAUAGCAAAAUUCACGAAACACCGUUGUGGUUUUGAUGCGUAGGUAAGAACGGUUCUUGCUAGAAGCCCGUAGCAGCCACAUAAAACUUGCAACAACAAAGUAGAUGGCGUCUAACUUGUUUUUGCAGGGCAUGUUGUGAUGUGAUAUGGUCAAGACAUGAUGUGAUAAACGUUAUUGUAUGAGAUGAUGAUGUUUUGUAAGAUAUCUGACAACCGGCAGGAGCCUUAUGGUUGUAUCUUUAUUGUAUGAAAUGCAAACGCCAUUUUAUCACUAUGCGUUAGCUAUAGUUGUAGAAGCAAUAGUUGGCUAGACGACCACGACGCUACGAUGGAGAUCAAGGUGUCGAGUCGGUGACGAUGGAGAUCAUGACGAUGCUUUGGAGAUGGAGAUCAAAAGCACAAGAUGAAGAUGGCCAUAUCAUGUCACAUAUUUUGAUUGCAUGUGAUGUUUAUCUUUUAUGCAUCUUAUUUUGCUUAGUACGGCGGUAGCAUUAUAAGAUGAUCCCUUAACUAAAAUUUCAAGGUAUAAGUGUUCUCCCCGAGUAUGCACCGUUGCAACAGUUCGUCGUGUUGAGACACGACGUGAUGAUCGAGUGUGAUAGACUCUACGUUCACAUACAAUGGGUGCAAGACAGUUUUGCACAUGGGGAAUACUCGGGUUAAACUUGACGAUCCUGGCAUGUACAGACAUGGCCUCGGAACACUAGAGACCGAAAGGUCGAACGUGAAUCAUAUAGUAGAUAUGAUCAACAUAGAGAUGUUCACCAUUGAUGACUACUCCAUCUCACAUGAUGAUCGGAUAUGGUUUAGUUGAUUUGGACCACAUAUCAUUUAGAUGACUUGAGGGAUGUCUCUCUAAGUGGGAGUUCUUAAGUAAUUUGAUUAAUUGAACUUAAUUUAUCAUGAACUUAGUCCUGGUAGUUUUUGCAUAUCUAUGUUGUAGAUCAAUGGCCCGUGCUACCGUUCCCUUGAAUUUUAAUGCGUUCCUAGAGAAAGCUAAGUAGAAAGAUGAUGAUAGCAACUACACGGACUGGGUCUGUAACUUGACGAUUAUCCUCAUUGCUGCACAGAAGAAUUAUGUCCUUGAUGCACCGCUAGGUGAAAGGCCUGCUGCAGGAGCAGAUGCUGAUGUUAUGAACGUCUGGCAAGCUCGAUCUGAUGACUACUCAAUAGUUCAGUGUGCCAUGCUUUAUGGUUUAGAAUCGGGACUUCAAAGACGUUUUGAACGUCAUGGACCAUAUGAGAUGUUCCAGGAGUUGAAGUUAAUAUUUCAAGCAAAUGCCCGAGUUGAGAGAUAUGAAGUCUCCAACAAGUUCUAUAGCUGCAAGAUGGAGGAGAACAGUUAUGUGGGUGAACACAUACUCAAAAUGUCUGGGUAUCAUAAUCACUUGACUCAGCUAGGAGUUAAUCUUCCAGAUGAUAGUGUUAUUAACAGAGUUCUUCAAUCACUGCUACCAAGCUACAAGGGCUUCGUGAUGAACUAUAAUAUGCAAGGGAUGGACAAGACAAUUCCCAAGCUCUUCGCAAUGCUCAAAGCUGCGGAGGUAGAAAUCAAGAAGGAGCAUCAAGUGUUGACGGUUAACAAGACCACUAGUUUCAAGAAAAAGGGCAAGGGAAAGAAGGGGAACUUGAAGAAGAAUGGAAAGCAAGUUGCCACUCCCAGGAAGAGGCCCAAAUCUGGACCCAAGCCUGAAACUGAGUGCUUCUACUGCAAAGGGACUGGUCACUUGAAGUGGAACAGCCCCAAGUAUUUGGCGGAUAAGAAGGAUGGGAAAGUGAACAAAGGUAUAUUUUAUAUACAUGUUAUUGAUGUGUACCUUACUAAUGCUCGUAGUAGCGCCUGGGUAUUUGAUACUGGUUCGGUUGCUCAUAUUUGUAACUCGAAAUAGGGGCUACGGAUUAAACGAAGAUUGGCUAAGGACGAGGUGAUGCGCGUCGGGAAUGGUUCCAAGGUCGAUGUGAUCGCUGUCGGCACGCUACCUCUACAUCUACCUUUGGGAUUAGUUUUAGACCUGAAUAAUUGUUAUUUGGUGCGAGCGUUGAGCAUGAACAUUAUAUCUAGAUCUUGUUUAGUUCGAGACAGUUAUUCAUUUAAAUCAGAGAAUAAUGGUUGUUAUAUUUAUAUGAGUAAUAUCUUUUAUGGUGUGACAGCCUGAUUUUUUGCCCUUUCUUUUUCUUUUGUUUCUCCGAGGUUUUUGCCUGAGUUUUCUUUUUUCGUGGCUUUGUGGUAUGGAAACUGAAGAAGAUGCCCUCUUCUUUGUUUCCAGAGUGGCUUGUCAUUCCCAAAUCCUUCCCUAGACCCUGUCAUUUUCAUCCUAGACCAAAUCCCAAUAUUCUUUUUAUUGGGAAUAUUCUUUUUCUAUUAAAGGAAUAACUCAACUUGCCCUAGGUUGUGAAGCAGCCUAUAUUUCCCUCACUCCUAAAAUUCCCAAAUAAUUCUCAUAAAUUUUAUGGGUCAUAUCUUGAUCAAAUACGGCAAAACUUUUCAUUGCCAUGUUCAAAAAUAAUCCUCAAAUAAUUCAUUUCCUAUUCUAUCCUAAAUGGCACAUUGUGAAGCAAGUGCCAUUUUCCUUCCCCCAAUUGACCUAAAACUCCUUGGACAUAUUUUCAUGUCCAUAUCAUUGCCAGAUGCCAAAAUGCAACCUCAUUUGCCUAGUCAUUAUUUAAUUAUGAUUUUCCAAAGUUUCUGUCCAGAAAGAAGCUUUGUGAAGGAGGUACAAGAUAGGCAUAUCCGAAUGAGUUGCCAUUUUGCAUGAUCCUUCAUAUCAUCAUAUCAUAGCACUCCACCAAAGUUGAGCUCAUGUAAUGCCUCCAUGUGAGCACAGCUUCAAAUCUUUGUUUCUGACCAAAAUUUCAGUUUGUGAAGCAAGUAUAUUUUAUCUUGCUCCAUUAUGGCUGCCAAUUUUUCUAGGCCUUCUAGUAUCCAUAUAACUUAUCUCCACCCAUUUUGGCCAUAGUUCAUCAAGCCAUUAUUCCUCUAAAAAAAUUGCAAGUUUCUGUCCAGAGAGGAUGUUUGUGAAGGAAGUACCAUUUUGGCUUGGCCAAUGGGUAUGAGACUUUUUGAGCAUCUUCAUAGGACCAAAUAACUCUGCCUUGCCCAAUUUGAGCUCAAUUUGACACUCCAUGUGAGUGCACCUUCCUGAUCAAGUUUCUGGACCAGAUUAUGCAGUUGCAAAGCAAGUGCAUUAAAUCUUGGUCCAUUUCUUGCCAAACUCUCUAGGAUUGUAUUUCUCCCUUAGUAAAUCAUCUCAGGAAACUCCAUUGACCUCAAUCACUUCUCUGUUGAUCACCAGUGCACGGCCAAGUUUACUGCAGUAAACUUCAGACGAUGACUACCAUUUAACCACUACAAAUUUAACCAAGUUACCACCGUAGUUGAAACCGCCCCAGGAAGGACUAAGAGCAUCUCUAGCAGACCCCGUAUCCCACCGACCCGCAAAACACGUUUGUAGUUCGUGAAAAAACGGCUUUGCGGGCCGGCACGGACGGCCGCAGAUGCAGACCCCGUAUAACGGACCCGUAAAAAGGAAUAUUCGUGUAUAUUCUUUCCCGUGUCUUCUUCUUCCUCUCGCCUGUGUUCAUAGUCAGCUCCCAUCGUCCAUGGUAGUUGCCGAAUCGAUCCAGGAGGAAGCUCCUCCGUUGCCGGAUGGAUCCAGGUGCUAGCUAGCUAUUCCAUGACCGGCUGGAUCGAGGAGCUUGCUAGCUACUCCCUCAACGUUCAUGGCCGGAUGGAUCGAGGACCUUGCUAGCUAGCUAGCUAGCUUGCUCGUUCGUGGCCGGAUGGAUCAGGAGCUUGCUAGCUAGCUCGUUUGUGGCCGGGUAGCAGUAAACGACGAGUUUCCAGCGAGAUUCCGGCGAGUUUCGUGGCGGCAGCGGUAAACGACGAGUUCUCGGCGAGAUUCCGGCGAGUUCCGUGGCGGAAGGUCACCGGAGCACGUGUGCGCACGGCGGAAUUUCCUUGUCGCGUAGCAUUGACCAGUUUGCAGUUCCCCUUAUAUUUUGCCUCCAAAUCUGCAAAAUUAAGGGUCGUGGGGAUGGAUUCCCAGGGGCCUGCAAAAAUUUUAUGGGUUUGACCGCUUUUGCGGGUUCUAUUCGGGAUGUUUUUUGACACCACGAAACUGCAAACACGGAUUUUUGUGGGUUUGACCGCUUUUGCGGGGUCUGCUAGAGAUGCUCUAACCCCUAGACAUCAUUUGCCAACUGUUUGCCUCCCACGCAUGCUAGUACUGGUGGUGACCACCGUUUUGGCAUGCCAUGAGCGUGUCCAGAACGUCGCUUUGCUCGGGCCCCUCCUCUGCUCGUCGUCUUAGCACGCGUAAGCAUGUCCCUUGGCUUCAUCUCGUCGUCGCCGUUCCUCUGGACCCCUCUCCCCCUCCGGCAGCUUCCUCACCGACGCUCGCCGCCGCGUGCCCACGGGCGAACAGUGGCCAUUUGGCUCUGUUCGUCGCCGUCUUCUUAUUCCCCGUGCUCCGUGGGCUCCCUCUGCCCUGUGGGCUCCUCCCUGUGUCUCCCUGUCGCCUUCCCCCGAGCUCGAACACGCGCACACGCGUCCGCGGCGCCGGCAGCGCGACACUCCCGCCCCCGUCUAUAAAUAGCUAGCCCCGGCCUCGUCCGAGCACACCAUAGCCUCCCUCUCCUCUUGGCCGUCACCAGAGCCCUACACCACCACUCCAGAUCGACCCCGCGCCUCCACCCCUCUUCCCCGCGACCCUAACGCCGAGUCCAGCUUCACCAUGGCCGCCGUCCACUAUGGCCAGUGCCUCGCCCAACCCCAAGCUCCUCGGUGGCCGUGUCCUGUCUGGAUGGAUCCGCCUCGUCACGCUGAUCACUCCGGUAGGUGGCACGGCGCGGGAGGUGGCCGGAGCUGCCCGCAGUCGCCGUCGAGCGUCGGCUUUGCCUCGGCCAGGCGCGGGCGCGAGCGAGGAGAGGAAGGAGAUGACGCCCCUCCCUGCCAGCUGGCCGCGGGCCCCGCGCGUCAGCCCCUCAGCCGUUGACCCGGCCAGCCCACGUGGAUAAGUGACGGGCCCCACUCUCGUGGGACCCGCACGUCAGCGUUGACCAGCCCCGGCCCUGCCUUGCCACAUCAGAUAAGUGGAGACGCAUUUGGGGUGUGCGUUUUCAUCUUCAGAAAGCAUAUUUCUGAAAAUCUGUUUCUGUCUUAUCCACUCAGGGACUUGUUUCUGAUGAUAUUUUUACAGAAAAGUCCCUGAUCUUCUACACCUCAUAACUCCGCAACCGUAACUCCGUUUGAGGUGAAUCCAAAGCCCACUUCUUCGUUUUGUCGAGCCUGUUCUGUUGUACACACUUUCAUCAUGUGUUAAUAUUCUAGAAAUGACCUUUUUACCCUUGCACGUAAACAGCCCCUCCGGGAGAGGGCUGUUUCCGGCGAAUCUUUUCGCGGCUUCACUGCACUUCUCCCCAGUGCCUUCUUCAUCCCCAGGCAAGCCACAAUACCCACUUGCAUGAUAGUAAUGCAGUAGCCAUGGUUUUCAACUUGAAUCUUUAUUAAAUGUUUGCUUUUUGAAAAGAUGGUUAUCGUUGUUCCGGUGAUGCUUAAAGUUGCAUGUUCACUUUCGUGCUAUGUAGUCUUGUACUCUGUUAUCAUGUCCUACCUGCUAGUAUUCCUUUCAUAUGCUUAUGCUUGCUAGUAGUACAUGUUGAUGUUAGUGAUGGUUUUCGGUGCAUGACUAUCGUCUGUUCUGAGUGUCGUCGUAUGCAUGUUCCAUUGCAUUGAAUUGGUUAAAUGCUUGCAUGGUAGCAUUGUUGAUAUGUUCUUGCAUGAUAUUUAUUGUUGAUGCUAGUGGUCAUGCUAGGUUUCUAUGAGUAGUGUUGUACUUGUGAUAUUCAUGCACGUCAUUAAGCCAUGCUCAGUUGGAUAUGAUUCAUUGUUGAUAUGGUCGAUAGUUUUGUUAUACCCUCAUGCUUAUGUUGGUAUCAUGCUCAUGCAUUGUAAUUGCAUCAUGUUAUUAUAUCAUGGCUCAGCAUAUUUGCAUUCAAGUUUAACCGGAUUAAAUUGAACUUGAACAACUGUUGGCUGAGUCAUGGUGCCACCAUAUCGAGCUGACCAGUGCAACCACGCUUACCUUUAUGGGAGGGUCCUAACUGGGUCUAUUGUUGUGGCUCUCGCCGGUGCCUCCAAUGAGGGAAGGUUAUGCACGGGCGCUACCUUGGCCAGGUAGGACGGCAUAAGCCUUGUGAGCCCGAGUUUGGUUAUGUGCACAUGUCCCCGUUUGGGACCGUUUUGCCACUAUGGUGGCCGUUUUGCCACGACGGUGGUCGUUGGAGUCUGGGGUAGACACAGGGCCACCCAUGACUUAGCCCAGAGGGGAGUUAGUCGGAGUGGCCGGGAGAGUGUCAUGGCAGUAGGACAGUUUUGUCGGAACGCCGUUGGUCCACCCGAAUGGGAGCGAGAGGCCAUGGGUUCCGUGGUGUGGGUACAGUGUGCUAACCUCUACAGAGUGUGUGUUAAAUCUAUCGAUAGCCGUGCCCAUGGAUAAGGGUCCAGUUCGUGUCGGUCACACUAUUGGUCAACAGUAAUAAUAAUAAUGUGCUUACUAACAACCCCGGUUCGAUGAUGAGAUAAGUUGGUUAUGUGAUCCGUGAAUGAUCACCGUUUGGUUACGAGGUAACCCGUUGAACCAAGAGUGGUUCCGUUUGUGAUCCGUGAAUGAUCACCGUUUGGUUACGAGGUAACCCGUUGAACCAAGAGUGGUUCCAUUUGUGAUCCGUGAAUGAUCACCGUUUGGUUACGGGUAACCCGUUGAACCAAAAGUGGUUCCGUUUGUGAUCCGUGAGUGAUCACCGUGGUAUCAAGGAUACCGAGUUGUUGGAUAUUCGUGAUGUUGUGCGAGAAUCGUGGGUAAAGAUCAAGCUCCUUGUGGUCAUUUAAUGAUUACUACGGUAUUGUUUAUACCAAGCUUGAUUUGAUCCAGAGAUGAUCGUGUGAUGUCCGAGGUUGGUAAGUGAUGCAUGUGUUGGUUACGAGGUAACCCGAGCAGAAUAAGUGGUGCAUAUAGUGUCAUCAUGUUGUAUGCUAGUAUCGUCAGAUUCAUAUGUUCAUGCCAUGCUCAUAUUGUGCUAGUUGUAUCAUGUUCAUGUUGUUCAUGCCAUGUUAUUCUAAUGAUACCAUGUUAAUUCCUGAUUAACUUGUAAUUGCCAUGCUGUUGUUUGUCUUGAAUGCUUCUGGAUUAUUGUGAGCUUGCAAGUACAUUCAAUGUACUGACCUGGCGUGUCAUGCCAGUUUGCAGGUCCUUCCAGAUUUGAUUGCUUGUUUGCCGUGGAGUCCUUGUUUGCGAGCUAGGAUAAGCGUUCCAGCCAGAGUCCCUGCGGAGUGGAGUCCACCACUGUCGUCAUUGUUCUGUCGCUAGAGUUCUUCCGCUGCAUCGUGUUGUUCUGUUGCUUGCAUGGAGCAACAGUGGCAGGCGUAGUGUCGCCGUGCCGAUGUAACCCCUUGUACCCAAAUAGAUUGUAAUAAAGAGGUGGUUUGUUCUAUGCUAAGCAGUGUCGUAUUCCAGAAGACUUCAUCUCCAUCUCUGGGCUGGAAUACGGGGCGUUCCGGUUUUCUCUGAGUCGGGGUGCCACAUAUGGUCAUGCACCCUUGAAGAGUGGUCUAUUUUUGUUGAAUCUCGAUUGUGGUGAUACACAUAUUCAUAAUAUUGAUGCCAAAAGAUGCAAAGAUGAUAAGGAUAGUGCAACAUAUUUGUGGUACUAUCGUUUAGGUCAUAUUGGUGUAAAGCGCAUGAAGAAACUCCAUGCAGAUGGGCUUUUGGAAUCACUUGAUUAUGAAUCAUUUGAUACUUGCGAACCAUGCCUCAUGGGCAAGAUGACUAAAACUCCAUUCUUCGGAACAAUGGAGCGAGCCAAUGACUUAUUGGAAAUAAUACAUACCGAUGUAUGCGGUCUGAUGAGUGUUGAGGCACGCGGCGGGUAUCGUUAUUUUCUGACCUUCACAGAUGAUUUGAGCAGAUAUGGGUAUAUCUACUUAAUGAAACACAAGUCUGAAACGUUUGAAAAUUUCAAAGAAUUUCAGAGUGAAGUGGAGAAUCAUCGUAACAAGAAAAUAAAGUUUGUAUGAUCUGAUCGCGGGGGCAAAUAUUUGAGUUACGAGUUUGGCCUUCAUUUAAAACAAUGUGGAAUAGUUUCACAACUCAUGCCACCUGGAACACCAUAGCGUAAUGGUGUGUCCGAACGUCGUAGCCGUACUUUAUUAGAUAUGGUGCGAUCUAUGAUGUCUCUUACCGAUUUACCACUAUCAAUAUGGGGUUAUGCAUUAGAGACAGUUGCAUUCACGUUAAAUAGGGCACCGUCUAAAUCCGCUGAGACGACACCGUAUGAACUGUGGUUUGGCAAGAAACCUAGCUGUCGUUUCUUAAAGUUUGGGGUUGCGACACUUAUGUCAAAAGGCUUUAGCCUGCUAAGCUCGAACCCAAAUCGGAGAAGUGUGUCUUCAUAUGAUACCUAAGGAAACAAUUGGGUACACCUUCUACCACAAAUCUGAAGGCAAGAUAUUUGUUGCCAAGAAUGGAAACUUUCUAGAGAAGGAGGUUCUCUCAAAAGAAGUGAGUGGGAGGAAAGUAGAACUUGAUGAGGUACUUGUACCUUCUCUUGAAUUGGAAAGGAGCUCAUGACAGAAAACCGUUCCUGUGAUGCCUACACCAACUAGAGAAGAAGCUAAUGAUGAUGAUCAUGAAACUUUAGAUCAAGUUACUACUGAACCUCGUAGAUCAACCAGAGCACGAUCCGCACCAGAGUGGUACGGUAAUCCUAUUCUGAAAGUCAUGUUACUAGACCAUGGCGAACCUCCGAACUAUGAAGAAGCUAUGAUGAGCCCAGAUUCCGACAGAUGGCUUGAGGCCAUGAAAUCUGAGAUAGGAUCCAUGUAUGACAACAAAGUGUGGAUUUUGGUGGAUUUUCCCGAUGAUCGACAAGCCAUAGAAAAUAAAUGGAUCUUCAAGAAGAAGAUUGACGCUGAUGGUAAUGUUACUAUCUACAAAGCUCAACUUGUCGCAAAAGGUUUUCGACAAGUUCAAGGGGUUGACUACGAUGAGACUUUCUCACCCGUAGUGAUGCUUAACUCUGUCCGAAUCAUGUUAGCAAUUGCCACAUUUUAUGAUUAUGAAAUCUGGCAAAUGGACGUCAAAACGGCAUUCCUUAAUGUAUUUCUUAAAGAAGAGUUGUAUAUGAUGCAACCAGAAGGUUUUGUCGAUCCUAAAGGUGCUAACAAAGUGUGCAAGCUCCAGCGAUCCAUGUAUGGACUGGUGCAAGCAUCUCAGAGUUGGAAUAUACGCUUUGAUGAGAUGAUCAAAGCAUAUGGUUUUAUACCGACUUACGGUGAAGCCUGUAUUUACAAGAAAGUGAGUGGGAGCUCUAUAGCAUUUCUGAUAUUAUAUGUGGAUGACAUAUUAUUGAUUGGAAAUGAUAUAGAAUUUCUGGAUAGCAUAAAAGGUUUCUUGAAUAAGAAUUUUUCAAUGAAAGACCUCGGUGAAGCUACUUAUAUAUUGGGCAUCAAGAUCUAUAGGGAUAGAUUGAGACGCUUAAUAGGACUUUCACAAAGCACAUACCUUGACAAGAUUUUGGAGAAGUUCAAAAUGGAUCAGUCAAAGAGAGGGUUCUUGCCUAUGUUGUGAGGUGUGAAGUUGAGUAAGACUCAAAGCUCGACCACGGCAGAAGAUAGAAAGAGAAUGAAAGUCAUUCUUCCCUAUGCCUCAGCCAUAGGUUCUAUAAAGUAUGCCAUGCUGUGUACCAGACCUAUUGUGUACCUUGCCAUGAAUUUGGCAAGGGGGUACAAUAGUGAUCCAGGAGUAGAUCACUGAGCAGCGGUCAAAAUUAUCCUUAGUUGCCUAAGAGGACAAAGGAAAUGUUUCUCGGUUAUGGAGGUGAUAAAGAGUUCAUCAUAAAGGGUUACGUCAAUGCAAGCUUUGACACCAAUCCGGAUGACUUUGAGUCUCAAUCUGGAUACAUAUUGAAAGUGGGAGCAAUUAGCUAGAGUAGCUCUAUGUAGAACAUUGUAGACAUAGAAAUUUGCGAAAUACAUACGGGUCUGAAUGUGGCAGACCCGUUCACUAAAUCUCUCUCACAAGCAAAACGUGAUCACACCUUAGUACUCUUUGGGUGUUAAUCACAUGGAGACGUGAACUAGAUUAUUGACUCUAGUAAACCCUUUGGUUGUUGGUCACAUGACGAUGUGAACUAUGGGUGUUAAUCACAUGACGAUGUGAAAUAUGGGUGUUAAUCACAUGGCGAUGUGAACUAGAUUAUUGACUCUAGUGCAAGUGGGAGACUGAAGGAAAUAUGACCUAGCGGCAAUAAUAAAGUUGUUAUUUUAUAUUUCCUUAUUCAUGAUAAAUGUUUAUUAUUCAUGACAGGUUUGUAUUGAUCGGAAACCUAAAUACAUGUGUGAAUACAUAGACAAACACUAUGUCCCUAGUGAGCCUCUACUUGACUAGCUCGUUGAUCAAAGAUGGUUCAGGUUUCCUGACCAUGGACAUGAGUUGUAAUUUGAUAACGGGAUCACAUCAUUAGGAGAAUGAUGUGAUGGACAAGACCCAUCUGUUAGCUUAGCACAAUGAUCGUUCAGUUUUAUUGCUAUUGCUUUCUUGAUCUCAAAUACAUAUUCCUUCGACUAUGAGAUUAUGUAACUCCCAGAUACCGGAGGAAUGCCUUGUGUGCUAUCAAACGUCACAACAUAACUUGGUGAUUAUAAAGAUGCUCUACAGGUAUCUCUGAAGGUGUUUGUUGAGUUGGCAUAGAUCGAGAUUAGGAUUUUUCACUCCAAGUUUCCGAGAGGUAUCUCUAGGCCCUCUCGGUAGUACACAUCAUAAGAAGCCUUGCAAGCAAAGUGACUAAUGAGUUAGUUGCAAGAUGAUGUAUUGCGGAACGAGUAAAGAGACUUUCCGGUAACGAGAUUCAACUAGGUAUGAAUAUACCGACGAUCGAAUCUCGGGCAAGUAACACAUCGAUGGACAAAGGGAAUUACGUAUGUUGUCAUAACGGUUUGACCGAUAAAGAUCUUCGUAGAAUAUGUAGGAGCCAAUAUGAGUAUCUAGGUUCCGCUAUUGGUUAUUGACCGGAGAGGUGUCUCGGUUAUGUCUACAUAGUUCUCUAACCCGUAGGGUCCGCACGCUUAACGUUGGAUGAUGAUAUUGCAUUAUAUGAGUUAUGUGAUUUGGCGACCGAAUGUUGUUCGGAGUCCCAGAUGAGAUCACGGACAUGACGAGGAGUCUCGAAAUGGUCGAGAGGUAAAGAUGAUAUAUAGGACGAUGGUAUUCGGACACCAGAAUUGUUCCAGAGGGUAUCGGGUACUUAUCGGGUCACCGAAAGGUGUUUUGGGUGCCCCCGGCAAUCCUAUGGGCCAUAUGGGCCUUGUGAAGGAACACACCAGCCCACAAGGGGCUGGUGCGCCCUAUAGGGACAUAGGAGGAGGAGAAGGAAAGGGGGAAGGGAAAGGGAAGUGUGCAUUAGGAUUCCCACUUCCUUCCCUCACCCCCUCUUUCCUUCCCUUCAUGCAUACAUGGAAAGGGGGGCGCAAGGCAAGGCAGGGCCCCUAGGGGACGGCGGCCAACCUUAGGGCACGCCCUGGCUGCCUCCGCUCCCCUCCCACCUAUAUGUAUGUGGGAAGGGGGCGCCUCACAAACACACAACAUCAAUUGUUAGCCAUGUGCGGCGUCCCCCUCCACAGUUUACACCCCGGUCAUAGUUUUGCGGUGCUUAGGCGAAGCCCUGCGAGAAUCACUUCACCAUCACCGUCACCAUGCUGUCGUGCUGAUGGAACUCAUCUACUACCUCGACACCUUGCUGGAUCAAGAAGGCGAGGGAUGUCACCGAGCUGAACGUGUGCAGAACUCGAAGGUGCCGUACGUUCAGUGCUUGAUCGGUCGGAUCUAGAAGAAGUUCGACUACAUCAACCGCGUUGUCAAAACGCUUCCGCUUUCGGUCUACGAGGGUACGUAGACACACUCUCCCCCUCGUUGCUAUGCAUCUCCUUGGAUAGAUCUUUGCGUGAGCAUAGAAAUUUUUUGUUUUCCAUGCUACGUUUCCCAACAGGAAGCUCCUCGGAUAUGAGGUCAUGUGGGAUUCUCAUGCAUAAUUAAAACAUGUCGUCCGUUCUGCAUGGGAUCCCAACAGUCACAAUCCGACGGUGAGUGUUGUUGGCGCCAAGUUAGCAGCCCUUGCUAACAUUUUGGGAGAGUGGAGCAAAUCCACGUUUGGUGGUGUGUGUGUGUCACAUCCCUAUCUUCUGGCAUUGGACUAGGCUAGCUUUAUUUGUGCAUCCUGUUUAAUUUUGAAAGAACCUUGAAAUGGGGAUUGCCUAAAAUAGUUCUAGUAAAUCCAAAUGGCUUUAAAAAAUGUUCAUCAUUUUUUGAAAAUGCUGGAAAUAGUAACCAGAGGUGAUGCACAUUUUUCCAUUACAUAUUUGGGCCCUGAAUUAAAUCAUACUCUAUUUGCAUUUGGGCAUUUAAAUGCUAUAAAAUAUUUUAAAUGUUCAAAUAAUCAUAAACUAAAAUGUUUACUGUUGGAUAUAUUCCAAAUAGUAGCCAUGAGUAGUUUCAUGGUUUUGGAAGUGUCUAGGUAUUUUGUGAAAAGCCCUAAAGACUACAGAAUAAUAGAAAACAGAAACUAAAAUAGGGAAAAAAACAGAGAGAGAAGAAAACUUACCUGGCGCUUACCUGUCCAGCUUGGCGGCCCAGCACUGUUGGCCCAGCCCAGCAGCCCUCCCCCUGUCGUCUUGCUCCUGCCAGGAGGACAGACAGGUGCAUGGCGAGCGCGCCGACAACGCCUUGCCACCUCCUACUUCGGCCGUGCAGCCUCGAGCCCCCUAGGCGUGCCACGGAGACGCCCGGAAGCCCCUGGUCCUUCUCCCUCACUCUCUGCUCUCUCCCUCGCUCUCUAGCCUCCUCCCCGAGCUCACCCGAGAGCGCUCCGCCNNNNNNNNNNNNNNNNNNNNNNNNNNNNNNNNNNNNNNNNNNNNNNNNNNNNNNNNNNNNNNNNNNNNNNNNNNNNNNNNNNNNNNNNNNNNNNNNNNNNNNNNNNNNNNNNNNNNNNNNNNNNNNNNNNNNNNNNNNNNNNNNNNNNNNNNNNNNNNNNNNNNNNNNNNNNNNNNNNNNNNNNNNNNNNNNNNNNNNNNNNNNNNNNNNNNNNNNNNNNNNNNNNNNNNNNNNNNNNNNNNNNNNNNNNNNNNNNNNNNNNNNNNNNNNNNNNCUCCGUCUUCCUCCAAGUCGUCGAACACAAGUCGGGGCACGCCCGAACGCCCUCACCACCCUCGUCUUCAACCUCGGAACGCCGAGAUCCGCCGCGCUGCCCCGCUCGCUUCAAUGCCUCCCCGACCUCGCUCCUGCGCCUGUUGACAUCACUGUGAGCUCCGCCGUCUAUUCCCCCUUUCGCCGUUGCGUUUUGCUCGUCGUACCGUCGUUCUGCCGACGCCCGUAGGUCGCUGCCGCACUUGCUCAUCGCCGGCAGUCUUCGGUGACCAUUUGGUCACACCUGGGUGCCCAGUAGUCUCGAUAGGACCCGCGGGCCACUGCUGGCAUCCUAACCCGGCCGCUCACCCGCUCCAGAGCCAUCGCCGCCGCCUCUGCCGACCACCCCAGCACCUCCCACCACAACCAGACGGAGCGCCGCAGUGCCAGCUUUCCAACGCACCUAGCCGCGUGACCUCCCGAUGCCGGAGCUAGCCAGACGGCCAACGCCGCCGUGCUCCCAUCAUCGCCGGCGCUAACCCGCCGACGUGGCCAGAUUAGUCGCCGGCUAAACCCACUGUUGGUACUAAUUAACCCCCCCCCACUCUCACUGACAUGUGGGCCCCAGUGCCUAAAUUAAGUACUUAACUUCUCUGUUAGAUAAGGUCUAACCCCAGUGGGCCCACGCGUCAGCAUUGACCAUGCUGACGUGGCCCUUGACUGGGCUCACCCGUCUGUGACCCUAGGCAGCACUUGCUCACUGACCGGCGAGCCCCACGCAUCAGGUUUGACCUGGACCGGGUCUGUUGACCUGCUGAGGUUAGCAUGACGCAAUGUUGAUGCAGUAAUUGAUUUUCUGGAUUUAAAAUAAUUCAGGAAAUUCCAGAAAAUGCCCAAAACUUCAAAAAUUCGUAGUAAUUCAACCAUAACUCCAAAUGAAAUAAUUUAUAUAUGAAAAACGAUCAUAAAAAUCCAAUCUAUCCAUCAGUACCAUUUUAAUGCAUGUUAGAACAACUUAUAGCUGCUGUUUAGGACAAGUCAUAUAAAUGGCAUUUGAAUAUCCACAUAUGGAGUUUGAAUUUGAAUCUUGGAUUCAAACCAACUUCAUUUAACCUGUUGCUAGUUGCAUUAGCUCAAAUCACAGCAUGUUGACAUGUCAUGAUAAUGCAUCAUAUUGUGCAUUGCAUUGAUUGUGUUCUUCCUUGUUUGCUGGUAUUUGUUCCCUCUCGAUAGAUGUGUUCCGGCGAUGAGUUCGAUGACACCGAUGAAGAACUAUACUAUCUUCAGAAGUGUCAGGUGUCGGUGUCAAAACCGGCGGAUCUCGGGUAGGGGGUCCCGAACUGUGCGUCUAAGGCUAAUGGUAACAGGAGGCGGGGGAUACAAUGUUUACCCAGGUUUGGGCCCUCUCGAUGGAGGUAAUACCCUACUUCCUGCUUGGUUGAUCUUGAUGAUAUGAGUAUUACAAGAGUUGAUCUACCACGAGAUCGUAGAGGCUAAACCCUAGAAGCUAGCCUAUGGUUGUGUUUGUCAUUGUCCUACGGACUAAACCCUGCGGUUUAUAUAGACACCGGAGGGGGCUAGGGUUACACAGAUUCAGUUACAGAGAAAGGAAUCUUCAUAUCUGAAUCGCCAAGCUUGCCAUCCACGCAAAGGAGAGUCCCAUCCGGACAUGGGCUUCGAAGUCUUCCAACUUGCAUCUUCAUAAUCCAACAGUCCGGCAUAUGCACAUAGUCCGGCUGUCCGAGGACCAAUUAAUCCAGGACUCCCUUAGUAGCCCCUGAACCAGGCUUCACUGACAACGAGUCCGACGCACAGAUUGUCUUCGGCAUUGCAAGGCGGGUUCCUCCUCCGAUUACUCCAAAAUAGAUCUUGAACAUAAGAAUCGUGUCUAGCUCUGCAAAACAAAUUCCACAUACCACGGUAGAGAGUAUAAUAUCCCACGAGUCCAAUCUGCUGACAACUCAUAGCGUGACAUCACGCCACGGCCCGGUCUUUAUUCGAACAGUUUUUAUCCUGCCCCUCCGUAUUUCGAGGCGCAGUUUCAUUGACACGUCUUGUCGAAGCAGAGAUCGUGUCCCCUUAUCACAGGAUUCUCAUCAAUGCAGGUAUGGGUAACCUAACCGUGCCAUCAGCACGGCGCUUGGGAAACAAGCAAGUUUUAGGGCGAGCAGGGAGGCGCACGAUUUUUUACUGCCUUUAUAAAGGGAUAAGGAUUCCCCUCUUUCACCCACACCCUCUUCUUCCUCUGCUCAUUCACUCUCGAGCUCCAAUGCCCAAGCACCCAUCUCUUCCGCCCAAAAAGCAUUCCAAUCAUGUCUGGAUCCGGAGCGCAAGGCAAGUGGAUGGCCUCCUCCGUCAAGGAGAAGGAUAUCAAGAAACUCCGGGAGGCCGGAUACCUGGCCAAGAAGAUCGCACACCGUCUCCCAGAGGCGGGACAAAUUGUCCCUACUCUGGAACCCCACGAGAGGGUUGUAUUCCUCCCUCACUUCGUCCGCGGGCUAGGGUUUCCCCUCCAUCCAUUUGUUCGCGGCCUUAUGUAUUAUUACGGGAUAGUCUUCCAUGACCUAUCCCCCAAUUCCUUCCUCAACAUCUCGACAUUCAUCGUCGUGUGCGAGGCCUUCCUUUGCAUCCCGCCACACUUCGGGCUGUGGCUAAAGAUUUUCAAUGUGAAGCCAAAGGUGGUCGGCGGCGAACACGCCGAGUGCGGAGGAGCCAUGGUGAGCAAGAUGCCCAACGUCAAAUGGCCAUCAGGUAAAUUCAACGAGUCCAUCAAAGGUUGGCAACAACAGUGGUUCUAUAUUACCGAGCCACGCGACGCCAAAUGGGCCGCCGCAACCCGAGUUCCGAUCCGGAGCCCCACUGCAGCUCAUGUCCUGGCCCGAAAAGGGCCUAGACUGGCCUUCGUCCGACGGGCUGACGACGCUCCAGGCGCGUAUUAAGAGCAUGGAGGACAAGAAUAUCAAACUUUUCAAUGUGGUCCAGGUGAUGCUAGUUCGCCGGAUCCUUCCCUGCCAACGCCGGACUAGCAAUCUAUGGGAGUUUGAUCCGGCCAAGCUCCAAACCUUGCUGAAGUUCUUCGGCACAACGCACGAAGACAUCUGGAAGGUGCUAUUCAAGCCCGGCAAGUCGUGGCCGGACACCGCUGAGGAUCGCGGGUACAAAUUAUCCCUCCCCGCAAGCUCAGUGAGUCUUUAUAUGUUUUCAAGGUGUAUCCUCUAUUUGCAUACCUUGGGGAAAGCACCUAAUAUUUCCCCGACGAUUCUCCUAGGGCUAGACGAAGAAGGUAGAGCAGAUCUACUAUCCGGCUCCGCUGCCUGAGGAACAAGCCGGCCCACUACUGAUGAAGAUGCUGGUCCCGGCGCCAUAUAAGGCGCCGAAGAAGAAGGCCGAGAAGGAGGCCAAGGAGACCAGGGGCGGGCUCCGUCGCAAGGGUACUUCGGAUGUGGUGUUCGAAAAAACCGAAGCCCCCUCCUCCGCCGAAAAAGACGAGGAGGAGGAAGAAGAGGAAAGCGAGUCCCCCCCCCCCCCGCAAGGGGGAGAAAGAAGAGGAUGGCCUCCACACAUUUGGAGGCCAAAACGUCUAAGAAGGGGAAAGCCUCCCUUCCAGACGAACCCACGGCAGCCACCGAUAGCAGCCCGGAGUGGGAACCCAGGGUCAAGCCCCUGGCCAAAUCAUGAGUACAAAGCAAAUCCGGACAUCUUUAUAUAUCCAGUCUCACUUUUGCAUAGCAUUAAUGUAUCGAGUCACAUAUUCUGCAGUCCGGCCGGGUCCGACAUCGAGCGAACUUCGUCAGAAGAUUCGUUGGACCCGGAUGCGAUGAACAAUGAGACCCUCCCGACGGCCUCUUCCCCCAAUGGCAUGGACAACACUGAGGUGUCGUCCCAAAGGGACCCAGGCCAAGGCGAAGCUCGGGAGACCGUCGAGGCGGCGCCAGAGGGCCAAACCCCGUCGACCGGACACAUGGGGGAGUAGACCCCCAUGGAUGCUGAAGGCGGGGGCCGUCCUGAAUUCGGCCCCCGGUGAGAGACAACUCCAGAGACCAAUACGGCUCCGAAAUCAGGCCAGCGACCUUCUUCAACAGGAGGCGGUGCGCCUAUUCCACCGGCGACCUCCGUCCACCCGGAGGUGCCGGAUACUUUAUUGGCGGCGCUGCAAAGCGCUUCCAUCGUUGAAGAGCAUCGUACCCUUAUGGGUGCGGUUAUUAAGAAGGUUCAGUCCGCCAAAAGCGGGCUGGCCGAAGCCUGCACCAGCCUUCUAACAGGCUUUGAGGUAAGUUAUGAAGUUAAAAGAAUGUCAUAAUAUAGAUAGUAGCCCCUGAUGCACUGUUCGGUGUUUCAAAAAGAAAGCCGGACAGAGGAUCAAAUAUAUUUUGCAGGAGACUAAUUAGGAAAUACCUAUGUGAAUGAUCAAGCAUCGUUAUUGACUGCAAGCACUCAUACUGCGGAGGUCUCCGGACUGAGGCAGAGACUGGAGCGGGCCGAAAAGGAACUCGGCCAAGUAAAAAAGCAAUUGACGAUAACCAAGGUAUGGGAUAACUUUGCUUGUAUUUAAAUACAAGUGAAUAGUUAUUUUGACUAAAAAAUGUCGUGUUAUGUAAUAGGAGCGACGACUGAAGUCGAGGUUCUGAACAAGGCGGUAGCCGAGGCCGAGAAAAGGGCGGCCAAGGAGCAAGCCACUCGUGAAAACCACGAGGCCCGGGUCAUUGAAGUUCAACAAGAGCUCCAAGAAGCCAUAGGGAAGUGUGACGGUGUCCUGGACUAGGGGGUACUCACCAUGUUGUCUCCUGAUCUGUUAGAUUGGGCCGAGGACCCCCAUGGCCGUAUACUCAUGGGCCAGUUCGGACAACUGCCGCAUACAAGGAAGAUUCCACAAGACUUGGUGAUCAAGACAAGGACUCCUCCCCACCGGCGUAUUCGGCUAGGACUCUUGUUAUCCUAGGCCUCUGGUGCGUUAUAUAAACCGAGGCUAGGCUAGUCAAUAGAUAUAUACAACAAUCAUAGUCAUCAUAGGCUAGCUCCUAGGGUUUAGCCUCUAUGAUCUCGUGGUAGAUCUACUCUUGUAAUACUCAUAUCAUCAAGAUCAAUCAAGAAGGAAGUAGGGUAUUACCUCCAUCGAGAGGGCCCGAACCUGGGUAAAACAUCAUGUCCCCUGUCUCCUGUUACCACCAUCCUUAGACGCAUAGUUCGGGACCCCCUACCCGAGAUCCGCCGGUUUUGACACCGACAAAGUGCGAUACCUUGGAGCAGAGUAUAAAGGAUGAAGAGUCCAAACUCACCAAGGCUCGCCAAUCCGCACACGAUGCCCGGGCUGAAGCCCAAGGCGCCCUCCAGGAAAUCCAGGAGGCCCGAAAGAUCGCCGCGGGUAAGGCCUUUAUUAUGCAGAGCAAAUACACAAAGGAAAGAUUUCGUUUACUGACCUGGAUUCGGAGUUCUCCAGGGGUGUUUGCGGAUCUGCCGCGCAGCGUGUCUGACGCCGCAAAGUUCUACCGAGACGAAGGGGGGAGUUCUGCGGAGAAGCUGUUCUGGUCGCAAUAUCUUGCGCCAGAAUACCCAGUACCCUUUACCGAUCAGCUGAAGCAGCUGGUCGAGCUGCAUAGGGCGGCCGAACUAGCCCUCAAGGAUUUAAUUAUCCGGCUAUGGCCUGCCGAACCAUUCCCAGCUGCUACUUCGGACUCGUGAAGCGGCUUGUCAGUGCCUACCCUCGGCUUGACGCCAUCAAGCGGUCGGUCUGCAUCGAAGGUGCGCGAAUGGCUUUUGCCGGCGCCAAGGUGCAUUGGGAGAAGAUGGAUGCUGUGAAGCUGAUGACCGCCCGAAGGGAAAGAGCACUGCAAGCCCGAGCUGUAUUAUGACAGUGUCCUGGAGGGAUCCCGCCUAGUGGCGGAGCGUUGUUCCAAGGAUAUUAUAUUCCCAUGAAUGUAUGCAUGUUAUCCUAUGCUGUAAUAUGAAACAAGGUCGUUAUGUAAAAUAAUGCUUGUUAUUUGAACUAUUACCUCCUGUGCGGCCGUUUUUAAAUUAAUUCUGAGAGUUGGCCAGUCGUCGGCUUCUGCCCCCACGUAGAAAUUACGCGGGUGUUCGGGAUAAAUCUAAACACUCUUUACACCAGAGUUUUGGUCCUUAAAGGAGGUGUUUAGCGCGACAAACCAGGCAAUCGGACUAUAAGGCUUUAUCACCCUCACUUAGCCAUAGGAGUUUGACAGAAGGAAGUAGGCGUAGCCCCUAGUGUUCGGAAGACCGAACUUGGGGUAUUGUAAAACGCCUGAUCGGAUAAAAACCGAUCCGUCGCACGAUGCAUUAGUUAUCGCAUGAUGCAGAAGAAAUCGCUAAAGAUUUUGUGACCUCUCGAACAGUUGACCAACUCUCGCUGCAUCAUGACAGUCAGUUUUUGGCUUUCUCUACUGCGGUGCUCGUCUGGAAGAACCGGGACACAAUUGCAGUAGUUCUCCCUUUACUACCCUAGCCGAUACAGUGGAACGUAAGAUAGCAAGCACAGGAGCCGGGCAACCCAACUGUUGACCAAAGACAUGAUUCGGAGCCAAUGCAUAUAAUGUUAUAAGUUUGGGGUGCCGAACUGCACUGUAAAAGUGUUCGGACUUUCUUGCCGUGUUAUGGGGUACAAUGGAGCCCCUGGCGAAUUAAGGCGUACCAGAAUGUACGGAUGCGAUUUAUAAUUAAUAAAUAAAUAGACAAGGAAAACAUUAUGUAAUGAGCGGACGCUGCCAAUUAUUUUUCAUUGUAAUUUAAUUAAUACGUCAAGGCGUAUGUGUACAAGUAGUGCCAUAAGCAAAUAAAGCUAUUUAGCAUGCCAUGACCAAGAGCGAGCUGCGUGCGGGUAUUUUAAAACAGGUAUGACGAUCGUUAGCAGAGACCACCUGGGUAUUCCCGUGUACGUCCGAGCCCCUAGCUUUCUUGGCGUAUCCGUCCCGCUACGGGUCCAAUGAGCAAGUUUAUCAGAAAAGGCCUCGCGAAGAGAAAAAACCUGAAAGAAAGAGAAAAAGUGAAGGUAUGCGGAUCCAAGAGUGGUUGAGCCGCAUUGUGGACCGUAGUCUAGCUGUGCCUCCGUCCAUGCCCAUGGUAUUUUAAGUGCGUAGUUGUGUAUGCGCGGCACGAAUUUUACCGCAUUGUUGGGGCUGGGACGAAGGCCGGGUUGCUAGCUGAGCUCUGGACGAGCCGGAUGGUCCUAUUGCAGAGUAUCGCGGACCCGCUUAACGGUGUCCGGGGGCUUUAUUGCCGAAUUGAGGUUUUGCCUAAUAAGGCUAUUUUGUACUUCUGCUGCAAGGGCCGCGGUGUGCUCCUCAGUACGGAGGGAGCACUCCGUGUUUCCAUUGACUGUUAUAACACCGUGAGGUCCGGGCAUCUUGAGCUUAAGGUAGGCAUAGUGCGACACCGCAUUGAAACGAGCAAAUGCGGUUCGUCCGAGCAGUGUGUGAUAACCACUGCGGAAGGGGACGAUAUCGAAGAGUAGUUCUUCGCUUCGGAAAUUAUCCGGGGAUCCGAAGCCCACUUCCAGUGUGAUUGAGCCCGUACAGCAGCCUCUACACCUGGUAUGACACCUUUAAAGGUGGUUUUGGUGGGCUUGAUCCUUGAGGGAUCAAUACCCAUUUUGCGCACUGUAUCCUGAUAAAGCAGGUUCAGGCUGCUACCACCGUCCAUGAGGACGCGUGUGAGGUGGAAUCCGUCAAUGAUAGGGUCAAGCACCAGUGCGGUUGAACCGCCGUGACGGAUACUGGUCGGAUGGUCCCUUCGAUCGAAGGUGAUCGAACAGGAGGACCACGGGUUGUAUUUUGGGGUGACUGGCUCCAUCGCGUAGACGUCCCUUAGUGCGCGCUUCUGCUCCCUUUUGGGGAUAUGGGUAGCAUAUAUCAUAUUCACCGUUUUCACUUGGGGAGGAAACUUCCUCUGUCCCCCUGUGUUCGGUGGCUGGGGUUCCUCGUCGUCGUCGAUUUGCAAUCCCUUUUCUCCGUUUUCGGUAUGUAACUUGCCGGCCUAUUUAAAGACCCAACAUUCUCUGUUGGUAUGAUUGGCUGGCUUAUCGGCGGUGCCGUGGAUUUGGCACGGAUGAUCGAGUAUGCGGUCCAGGCUGGAAGGGCCCGAAUUGUUUCUAUUAAAUGGCUAUUUCCACUGCCCGGACUUGGAGCGACUGAAUCCGACAUUGACGGCCGUGUCUUCAGAGUUUUCGCCAUUGUUUUGAUGCUUGUGUCUACUGCGUCGGGGCUUGCCGUUACUGUCUCUGGCUUCGGAAGUGCCAGGCUUACUUGAGGUGUUGUUGCUACGAGCUAGCCAGCUAUCCUCGCUCGCGCAAAAGUGGGUCAUGAGCGUCGUGAGGGCUGCCUUGGACUUCGGCUUUUCUUGGCCGAGGUGUCAGGCGAGCCACUCGUCACGGAUGUUGUGCUUAAAGGCUGCUAGGGCUUCAGUGUCCGGACAGUCGAUGAUUUGGUUCUUUUUAGUUAAGAACCGAGUCCAGAAUUUCGUGGCAGACUCUCUGGGCUGUUGUAUUAUAUGACUUAAGUCAUCGGCAUCCGUAGGUCGGACAUAAGUGCCCUGGAAGUUGUCAAGGAAUGCAUCUUCCAGGUUCUCCCAACUGCCAAUGGAGUUUUCUGGCAGACUAUUCAACCAGUGCCUAGCUGGUCCCUUGACUUUUAACGGGAGAUACUUGAUGGCAUGGAGAUCAUCGCCGCGGGCCAUAUGUAUAUGGAGGAGAAAGUCCUCGAUCCAUACCGCGGGAUCUGUUGUUCCAUCAUAUGAUUCAAUAUUUACGGGUUUGAACCCCUCUGGGAAUUCAUGUUCCAUUACUUCAUCAGUGAAGCAUAGGGGGUGUGCGGCGCCUCUGUGUCGGGCUACGUCGCGACGCAGCUCAAAUGGAGCCAGUCUGCGGUAUUCGGCCCGGACAGGUGUGUAUUUGUCAUAUCUGGCGUCGUGGCCGUCGUUGCGCGUUGGGGCGCACCCCCGCGAUCCAUAGAUCGAUCUGGUCUGGCCUGCUCUGUUCUCCAAGUUGUACCGCGGGUCAUGUGUGUUUCCCCGAGAUGUUGUGUUUCUGUUAGUUCGGCGACGUGGUGCCAGCUGGUGUUCGGGCUGAAUUGCCGCUUUAUCUUGACCACGCGGUGGUCUGUCAGCCGCAUUAUGCGCUGGUAGUGCUGGCUCCAACGCCUCAUCAACGAAUUGAGGUAGUAAUUUGCGCUUCGGGUAACUUUUGGUUGGCGUUCGAGUCCGUAUUCCUCGGCUGCCAGGACUUCGGUCCAUCUGUGAGUGAGCAGAUUUUGAUCAGCUCAAAGCUGCUGCUGCUUCUUCUUCAGGCUUUUUGCAGUGGCUAUAAGCUGGCGCUUAAAAUGCUCCUGCUCGACGGGAUCCUCUGGCAUAAUAAAUUCUUCGUCGCCGAGGCUCACCUCAUCCUUGGAGAGAGGCAUGUAGUUGCUGUCCUCCGAGUCGUCGUUCACGGCCUGUUCAUCGGGGCUGGCUCACCCAUCUUCCCAUCCAGCCUGUUCGAAACUUGGCUUGGCGGGGUCUUCGUUGUCUUCGGCGUCGUCCGGAGUGCUAUUCUCUCUUGUGCCGAUAUCGCUAUUUUUACCAUGGCGUGAUUUAGAGCGGCACUGCUGACGUCGGCGCUUAGAUUGCUUCUCGGGAAGUUUAUCCUCAACUGGAUCUUUUAUGUCAUCGCCAUUGUCUUCUUUGGGUGUAUCCACCAUGUAUAUAUCGUAUGAGGAGGUGGCUGUCUAGCGCCCUGUGGGCGGUGGUUCCUGUUCUUCUCCGGCAUCGUCGUCCAUACCGUCGAUGUCUUCGGAGUUGAAAUCAAGCAUGUCGGUCAAAUCGUCGACAGUGGCUAUCAAGUGGGUGGUGGGUGGUAAAGAAGUUCUUCGUCGUCCGCUUCCCACUCAAGCCGGACAUAGUUCGACCAAGCAUCUUCUCACAAGGAGAGAGACUUUAAUGAGUUUAACACAUCACCUAAGGGUGAGUGUUGGAAGAUGUCCGCGGAGCUGAACUCUAAGAUCGGCGCUCGGUCAGAUUCGAUGGGUGCGGAUACACGCGGUUCAGAGCCUAUGGCCGGAGAUGAGUCCGGGGUUCCAAUGGCACAGGCCUCGUUGGAGGUCAGAUCUGUGUUCGGCUCUAGCGCUGCUAAGUCCGCGGCUUCCGUGACGAGGUUGAGCCUCCUAUCCUCGGAUGGCGCGCUCUGCUGGAUCUAGGGCCAGUGCGAUUACAGGCGCAAUCUCCUGCACACAGUCUGAUGACAGAUUUAGGUCGUGUUCAUCGUGGCGGCAGGGUGCGGCUAUCAUGGGUUCGAAUCCGUCAAAGAUCAAGUCUCCGCGGAUGUCGGCGGUAUAGUUCAAGCUUCCAAACCUGACCUGAUGGCCAGGGGCGUAGCUGUCGAUCUGCUCGAGAUGGCCAAGUGAGUUGGCCCGCAGUGCGAAGCCGCCGACUACGAAGAUCUGUCCGGGAAGAAAAACUUCACCCUGGACAGCGCUGUUGUAGAUGAUUGAAGGAGCCAUCAAGCCUUAUGGUGACGACACAGUGGGACUCUCAAUGAAAGCACCAAUGUCGGUGUUAAAACCGGCGGAUCUCGGGUAGGGGGUCCCGAACUGUGCGUCUAAGGCUAAUGGUAACAGGAGGCGGGGGACACAAUGUUUACCCAGGUUCGGGCCCUCUCGAUGGAGGUAAUACCCUACUUCCUGCUUGAUUGAUCUUGAUGAUAUGAGUAUUACAAGAGUUGAUCUACCACGAGAUCGUAGAGGCUAAACCCUAGAGGCUAGCCUAUGGUUGUGUUUGUUGUUGUCCUACGGACUAAACCCUCCGGUUUAUAUAGACACCGGAGGGGGCUAGGGUUACACAUAGUCGGUUACAGAGAAAGGAAUCUUCAUAUCCGAAUCGCCAAGCUUCCCUUCCACGCAAAGGAGAGUCCCAUCCGGACAUGGGCUUCGAAGUCUUCCAUCUUGCAUCUUCAUAAUCCAAUAGUCCGGCAUAUGCAUAUAGUCCGGUUGUCCGAGGACCCCUUAACCUAGGACUCCCUCACCAGGCAAGCAAAACCCCCUUGCUCAUUCCGAUACAAUCCCACUCUCUUGCUCUUGCUCUCUUUUACUGCAUUAGGGCAACAACGAUUCAACUGUUACAUGAUGCGGUAGUUGAACCCCUUUCCUCUGCAUGACCUGUCAUUGCCACAGUAAAUAGAUGAAACCCACUAGCAUGAGUAGGAGUUGUUUGAGCCCUGAUGUGCCUACUCAUUCAUGCUUGUUUGACAUGCCUGCUAUUGCUUAGAGUUGAGUCAGGUCUGAUUCAUCGGGGAUGAAUUGGAGGUGUGUGAACAUGUCCUACUGUGUGUGAGCUAAGUGCGUGAACAUGAUUUGGUAAAGGUAGUGGUGAGAGGCCAUGUAGGAGUACAUGGUGGGUUGUCUCGUUGAAGCUGUCCUCAGGAACUGAGUUCUGUGUUUGUGAUCCAUGAACAGCUACUACCACGCAUUGGGCUCCUUAAUUGACCCUCUUGACUUAUUAAUCAAUCUGAUCUCUAUCCAGGAGUUGCAACUAGUUUCUGGUGUUUGUAGGUGGUGCUAGUAGUCUAUCAAGUGGCACCCGGUACAGGUGGGCUUGGGACAGACUAGGCACACGUGGCACGGUGUACCAAGUGGCACCUGGAUGGUGGGCUUGGGAACCCUGCUCACAUCGUUUGGGGCCGUGAGCGACACCCCGGCCGGAUCUCCUUGCGGAUGGAACCCGAAUAGGCGAUAAACCUGGACUAGAGACUUGUGUGGUUAGUCAGGUCGUGGCCGACACCCUCGCCAGGCUUCCGCUUGAAGGUUGCCGAGAUAUAUGACAUGUACAUGGCGGUAAGUGGCAAGAGUGUGUGUGAAGAGUACACCCCUGCAGGAUUAAUAUGAUCUAUUCGAAUAGCCGCGUCCGCGGUAAAGGACCUCUGGGUUGCCUAUACAGUUCAUAGACAAGUGAAAGUGGAUACUUGCUACGUCUUGAGCUUGCGUUGGUUUUCCAUGAAGAGGAAAGGGUGAUGCAGCACAGUAGCGUAAGUAUUUCCCUCAGUUUUUGAGAACCAAGGUAUCAAUCCAGUAGGAAGCUCCUAGAAAGUCCCACGCACCUACACAAACAAACAAAGAACUCGCAACCAACGCAAUAAAGGGGUUGUCAAUCCCUUCACGGCCACUUGCGAAAGUGAGAUCUAAUAGAGAUAAUAUGAUAAGAUAAAUAUAUUUUUGGUAUUUUAUAAUAUUGAUGCAAAAAGUAAAGAUGCAAAUAAAAGUAGAUUGAAAGCAAAUAUAAUAAAAGAUAGACCCGGGGGCCAUAGGUUUCACUAGAGGCUUCUCUCAAGAUAGCAUAAGUAUUACGGUGGGUGAACAAAUUACUGUCGAGCAAUUGAUAGAAAAGCGAAUAAUUAUGAGAUUAUCUAGGCAUGAUCAUGUAUAUAGGCAUCACGUCUGCAACAAGUAGACCGACUCCUGCCUGCAUCUACUACUAUUACUCCACACAUCGACCGACUCCUGCCUGCAUCUAGAGUAUUAAGUUCAUAAAGAACAGAGUAACGCAUUAAGCAAGAUGACAUGAUGUAGAGGGAUAAACUCAUGCAAUAUGAUAUAAACCCCAUAUUUUUAUCCUCGAUGGCAACAAUACAAUACGUGCCUUGCAACCCUUUCUGUCACUGGGUAAGGAGACCGCAAGAUUGAACCAAAGCUAAGAAAAUCUCCCAUGGCAAGAAAGAUCAAUCUAGUAGGCCACCCCAAACUGAUAAUUCGAGAGACUUGCAAAGAUAACCAAUCAUACAUAAAAGAAUUCAGAAGAGAUUCAAAUAUUUCUCAUAGAUAAACUUGAUCAUAAACCCACAAUUCAUCGGAUCUCGACAAACACACCGCAAAAAGAGUUUACAUCGAAUAGAUCUCCACGAGAGAGGGGGAGAACAUUGUAUUGAGAUCCAAAAAGAGAGAAGAAGCCAUCUAGCUAAUAACUAUGGACCCGAAGGUCUGUGGUAAACUACUCACAACUCAUCGGAGGGGCUAUGGUGUUGAUGUAGAAGCCCUCCGUGAUCGAUUCCCCCUCCGGCGGAUCACCGACGAAGGCUCCAAGAUGGGAUCUCGCGGAUAUAGAAGGUUACGGCAGUGGAAAUUGUGUUUCGGUGGCUCCCUGGAUAGUUUCGGGGUACGUAGGUAUAUAUAGGAGGAAGAAGUAGGUCGGUGGCUGAUAACCCACAAGUGUAGGGGGUCGCAACAGCUUUCGAGGGUAAAGUACUCAACCCAAAUUUAUUGAUUCGACACAAAGGGAGCCAGAGAAUAUUCUUGAGUAUUAGCAGUUGAGUUGUCAGUUCAACCACACCUGGAUAACUUAGUAUCUGCAGCGAAGUAUUUAGUAGCAAAGUAAUACGGAAAUAGAAGUAACAAUAGCAAAAGUAAUAUUUUUGGGUUUUGUAAUGUUUGUAACAGUAGCAACGGAAAAGUAAAUAAGCGGAGAACAAUAUGUGAAAAGCUCGUAGGCAAUGGAUCAGUGAUGGAUAAUUAUAUCCGAUGCGAUUCCUCAUGUAAUAGCUAUAACCUAGGGUGACACAGAACUAGCUCCAGUUCAUCAAUGUAAUGUAGGCAUGUAUUCCGUAAAUAGUCAUACGUGCUUAUGGAAAAGAACUUGCAUGACAUAUUUUGUCCUACCCUCCCGUGGCAGCGGGGUCCUAGCGGAAACUAAGGGAUAUUAAGGCCUCCUUUUAAUAGAGAACCGGAACAAAGCAUUAGCACUUAGUGAAUACAUGAACUCCUCAAACUACGGUCAUCACUGAGAAGUAUCCCGGUUAUUGUCACUUCGGGGUUGUCGGGUCAUAACACAUAAUAGGUGACUAUAGACUUGCAAGAUAGGAUCAAGAACUCACAUAUAUUCAUGAAAACAUAAUAGGUUCAGAUCUGAAAUCAUGGCACUCGGGCCCUAGUGACAAGCAUUAAGCAUAGCAAAGUCAUAGCAACAUCAAUCUCAGAACAUAGUGGAUACUAGGGAUCAAACCCUAACAAAAGUAACUUGAUUACAUGAUAAAUCUCAUCCAACCCAUCACCGUCCAGCAAGCCUACGAUGGAAUUACUCACGCACGGCGGUGAGCAUCAUGAAAUUGGUGAUGGAGGAUGGUUGAUGAUGACGAUGGCGACGAAUCUCCCUCUCCGGAGCCCCGAACGGACUCCAGAUCAGCCCUCCCGAGAGAGAUUAGGGCUUGGCGGCGGCUCCGUAUCGUAAAACGUGAUGAAACUUUCUCUCUGAUUUUUUUCUCCGCGAAACGGAAUAUAUAGCGUUGGAGUUGAGGUCGGUGGAGCUCCAGGGGGCCCAGGAGACAGGGGGCGCGCCCAGGGGGAGAGGGCGCGCCCCCCACCCUCCUGGACAGGCUGUGGGUCCCCUGACCUUGAUUCUUUCGCCAGUAUUUUUUAUAUUUUCCAAAAAGUGCCUCCGUGGAUUUUCAGGUCAUUCCGAGAACUUUUGUUUUCUACACAUGAAACAACAUCAUGGUAAUUCUGCUGAAAACAGCGUCAGUCCGGGUUAGUUCCAUUCAAAUCAUGCAAAUUAGAGUCGAAAACAAGGGUAAAAGUGUUUGGAAAAGUAGAUACAUUGGAGACGUAUCAACUCCCCCAAGCUUAAACCAUUGCUUGUCCUUAAGCAAUUCAGUUGAUAAACUGAAAGUGAUAAAGAAAAACUUUUACAAACUCUAUUUGCUCUUGUUGUUGUAAAUAUAUCAAGCCAGCAUUCAAGUUUCAGCAAAUAUUAUGAACUAACCAUACUCACAAUAACACCUAGGUCUCACAAUUACUCAUAUCAAUGGCAUAAUCAGCUAGCGAGCCAUAAUAAUAAAACUCAGAUGACAACACUUUCUCAAAAUAAUCACAACAUGAUAUAACAAAAUGGUAUUUGGCUAGCCCUUUCUGAGACCGCAAAACAUAAAUGCAGAGCACCUUUAAAGAUCAAGGACUGACUAAACAUUGUACUUCAUGGUAAAAGAGAUCCAGUCAAGUCAUACCCAAUAUAAACCAAUAAUAAUGAAUGCAAAUGACAGUGUGCUCUCCAGCAGGUGCUUUUAAUAAGAAGGUGAUGACUCAACAUAAAAGUAAAUAGAUAGGCCCUUCGCAGAGGGAAGCAGGGAUUUGUAGAGGUGCCAGAGCUCGAUUUUUUAAAAUAGAGACUGAAUAACAUUUUGAGCGGCAUACUUUCACUGUCAACGCAACAACUAUGAGAUGGCUGUAUCUUCCAUACUACAUGCAUUAUAGGCAGUUCCCAAACAGAAUGGUAAAGGUUUAUACUCCCCCAACCACCAACAAGCAUCAAUCCAUGGCUUGCUCGAAAUAACGAGUGCCUCCAACUAACAACAGCCCUGGGGGAGUUUUGUUUAAUUAUUUUGAUUUGCUUUUGAUCUUUUGGAUCUUGGAACUGGGCAUCCCGGUUACCGGCCCUUUCUCGUGAAUGAGGAGCGGAGUCCACUCCUCUUGAGAAUAACCCACCUAGCAUGGAAGAUAUAGGCAGCCCUAGUUGAAACAUGAGCUGCUCGAGCAUACAAAACAGAAUUUCAUUUGAAGGUUUGGAGUUUGGCACAUACAAAUUUACUUGGAACGGCAAGUAAAUACCGCAUAUAGGAAGGUAUGGUGGACUCACAUGGAACAACUUUGGGGUUUAAGGAGUUUGGAUGCACAAGCAGUAUUCCCGCUUAGUACAGGUGAAGGCUAGAAAAAGACUGGGAAGCGACCAACUGAGAGAGCGACAACAGUCAUGAACAUGCAUUAAAAUUAAUUUACAUCGAGUAUAAGCAUGAGUAGGAUAUAAUCCACCAUGUACAUAAAUAUCAUGAAGGCUAUGUUGAUUUGUUUUCAACUACAUGCGUGAACAUGUGCCAAGUCGAGUCACUCACUUCAUUCAAAGGAGGAUACCAUCCCAUCAUACCACAUCACAAUCAUUCUAAUAGCAUGUUGGCACGCAAGGUAAACCAUUAUAACUCAUAGCUAAUCAAGCAUGGCACAAGCAACUAUAAUCUCUAAAUGGCAUUGCAAAUAUGUUUACUUCAUAAUAAGCUGAAAUAGGAAUGAUGAACUCAUCAUAUUUACAAAAACAAGAGAGGUCGAGUUCAUACCAGCUUUUCUCAUCCCAAUCAGUCCAUCAUAUAUCGUCAUUAUUGCCUUUCACUUGCACGACCGAACGAUGUAUAUAAUAAUAAUAGUGCACGUGCAUUGGACUAAGCUGGAAUCUGCAAGCAUUCAACUCAAGAGAUAAGACAAGGUAAUAUGGGCUCUAAGUUAAAUAAACAAUCAUGCAUAUGAGAGCCGCUAAACAUUUUCAAUAUGGUCUUCUCGACCCCCAAAGAAAAGAAAAGAAAAGAAAACUAUUUACACGGGAAAGCUCCCAACAAGUAAAAAGAAGAACGAGAAAUCUUUUUGGGUUUUCAUUUUAAUUCUACUACAAGCAUGGAAAUUAAACUAACUAAUUUUUUUGGUUUUUCUUAAGGUUUAUCAAACUCACAAGAAGAAAACUAGAAAAAGAAAAUUAAACUAGCAUGGAUAAUACAAUGAAAGAGUAUGAGCACCGACGACUAGUGUGUGAAUAUGAAUGUAAAGUCGGUGAGAAAUACGUACUCCCCCAAGCUUAGGCUUUUGGCCUAAGUUGGUUUAAUACCAAGGACCGUGGCUACUCUCCCCGGUGUAAUGAAGAGUGUCAUCGUAUUGCCACUAACUGGCGAUCUCCUCUGGAUCCCACUGAUAACAGGAUGGACGAUAAGGGUCCAGCGGGGGUUCCGGCUCAGGCUCUGGAGUGGAUGCUUGGCCUUGAUGAGCAUACACCGCUUCCGGUGAACAAGAAAAUUAUCUGCAAUCAAAUCAAACAACAGAGGCGCAGGCAAAAUAAUAGUCUCAUUAUGUUUCUUAUUAAAUCUAAGGUUAUACAAGAGCAUCUUUUCUUCGUUUUCAACAAUAAACGCGUGUGCUACCAUGCUCUUGUAAUCUAUAAUGUAAGGAGGCAAUUUUGUCUCCUCUUUCUCAUGGUGCCUAAUGGGUAUCUGAAAAUGUCUAGCCAGACGUGAAGCAUAGAUACCUCCAAAUAUGGGGCCUUUUGUACGAUUCAGGCUUAGCCGUUUAGCAAUUAUGGCACCCAUACUAAAACUAUUGUCUCCAAACAAAGCAUGUUGCAAAAUGAUAAUAUCAGGAACACUAAGGUUUCCGCUAUUUCCACGACCAAUUAAGCAUCUACUAGCAAAUAUGGCAAAGUAGCGUAAAACAGGGAAGUGUAUGCUAGAGAUUUUCGCCUCGGAACCCUUCUUUGGCUCCUCUACAGCUAUAGUGUUAACAAAGCCAUCCACAUCUUUACAAUGGGGUUCCUCUAAUUCUCCCUCACAGGGUAUCCUACAUACCGCGCAAAAACCACGUAAAGACAUUUCUCUGAAUUCAUCAUAUAUUAAUGAAAUGAUACUGAAGGCAGUGAAUUCUUAGGAUAAUAAUAAAAAUUUGCACGAAAGUAUUGGUGAGUAAGAGAUACUGAUCGAUCCGGUCGUGGAGGAAAUUGGUGAGGCCUGCAUUCUCAAUCAAAGAAUAAAAAUCUUCAUGAAUUCCAGCUUCUUUCAAGAAAUCAUCGCAUGGCCAUUCACACGGCCGUACUUCCGCUAAGCGAGGAAGAUUAUACUUGGCUUUUUCCUUCUCUUUAGCCUGUUUUUCUCGAGACCCUUGGCUAGAUGAGCCCCUCAGAAGUUUCCUUAACAUUUUCUGAAAAUUUCUGAAAUUUUAGUAACUUCGAAAUAAAAGUGAAUAAAAUUAAACAAGAUUGGUAGCAACUACUCCUACAAGUGCCUAGAGCCUAUAUCAUGCAUUAGAAUUACUUGGGACCUCAUAAAUUUGACAUGCAAGCUCAAGAACAUGGUCACCUAUGCAGCAAAAAUUUGCAAUGAAUAAAGCACUAGAACAAAAACUAAUUGGACCAAUGGAGGAGUCACAUACCAAGCAACAAUCUCCCAAAGCAGUUUUGUGAAUGGAGCUUUGAGCAAGGAGAUCGAAAAUUGCAGCAAAAUGAGCUAGAACUCGUGCUUGAGCUGGAUGGGGAUUUUUUUGGGAGGAAGAUGGAGUGUGUGGGUGCUGGCAUAAGUGGAGGGGGGCCACCAGGGGCCCACGAGACAGGGGGCGCGCCCAGGGGGGAAGGGCGCGCCCUCCUCUCUCGUGGCAUGGUGCUUGCCCCUCCUGCAGUGAUUUCAGUGCCUAGAAUCCUCAAAUAUUCCAAAAAAAAUCAUACUAAAUUGGCAGGGCAUUUGGAGCACUUUUAUUUUCGGGAUAUUUUUUAUUGCAUGGAUAAUUCAGAAAACAGACAAAUAAUACUAUUUUUGCUUUAUUUAUUCAAAAUAACAGAAAGUAAAAAGAGGGUACAGAAGGUUGUGCCUUCUAGUUUCAUCCAUCUCAUGGUCAUCAAAAUGAAUCCACUAACAAGGUUGAUCAAGUCUUGUUAACAAACUCAUUCCGAAUAACACGGAACCGGAGAAAUUUCGAAUGACACUAGGUUACCUCAACGGGGAUAUGAAAAUCCCCAAUAAUAAGAAUAUCAUACUUUUUCUUGACAGUAGGGAGAGGAAAUUCAAAUCCUCCAAAAAUGAUAGUUGGAACUUUUCCAAUGGAAUUAAUGCUAUGAACUUGAGAUUGUUUCCUCGGAAAGUGUACCGUAUGCUCAUUACCAUUAACAUGAAAAGUGACAUUGCCCUUGUUGCAAUCAAUAACAGCCCCUGCAGUAUUCAAAAAGGGUCUACCAAGGAUAAUCGACAUACUAUCGUCCUCGGGAAUAUCAAGAAUAACAAAGUCCGUUAAGAUAGUGACAUUUGCAACUACAACAGGCACAUCCUCACAAAUACCAACAGGUAUAGCAGUUGAUUUAUUAGCCAUUUGCAAAGAUAUUUCAGUAGGUGUCAACUUAUUCAAUUCAAGUCUACGAUAUAAAGAGAGAGGCAUAACACUAACACCGGCUCCAAGAUCACAUAAAGCAGUUUUAACAUAAUUUCUUUUAAUGGAGCAUGGUAUAGUUGGUACCCCUGGAUCUCCAAGUUUCUUUGGUAUUCCACCCUUAAAAGUGUAAUUAGCAAGCAUGGUGGAAAUUUCAGCUUCCGGUAUCUUUCUUUUAUUUGUGAUGAUAUCCUUCAUAUACUUAGCAUAAGGAUUUACUUUAAGCAUAUCAGUUAAGCUCAUACGUAAGAAGAUAGGUCUAAUCAUUUCAGCAAAGCGCUCAAAAUCCUCAUCAUCCUUUGAUUUGGAUGGUUUAGGAGGAAAGGGCAUGGGUUUCUGAACCCAUGGUUCUCUUUCUUUACCGUGUUUCCUAGCAACGAAGUCUCUCUUAUCAUAACGUUGAUUCUUUGAUUGUGGGUUAUCAAGAUCAACAGCAGGUUCAAUCUCUACAUCAUUAUUAUUGCUAGGUUGAGCAUCAACAUGAACAUUAUCAUUUACAUUAUCACUAGGUUCAUGUUCAUCACCUGAUUGUGUUUCAGCAUCAGAAAUAGAAAUAUCAUUGAGAUUCUCAGGUGUGUCUACAGUAGGUUCACUAGAAGCAUGCAAAGUCCUAUCGUUUUUCUUUUUCUUCUUUUUGGAAGAACUAGGUGCAUCUAAAAUGUUUCUCUGAGAAUCUUGCUCGAUUCUCUUAGGGUGGCCUUCAGGAUACAAAGGUUCCUUAGUCAUUCUACCAGUUCUAGUAGCCACUCUAACAGUAAAGUCAUUUUUAUUAUUUAAUUCAUCAAGCAAAUCAUUUUGAGCUUUAAGUACUUGCUCCGCGUGGGUAGCAACCAUAGAAGCAUAUUUGCUAAUGAGUUUGAGUUCACCUUUAACUCUAGCCAUAUUAUCGUCCACGCGUCCUAUCUCGAAAGCAUUAUUCUUUAACUCUCUACAACAUAAGCAUUAAAACUUUCUUCUCUAGCCAUAAAGUCAUCAAAUUCAUCUCGGCAUGGGCUAUGAAGUUUAGUAGAGGGGAUUUCAACUUUAUCAUAUCUAUUGAGAGAAUUUACCUUUACUACCUGUGUCGGGUUAUCAAGACAAUGUGGUUCUUCAUCAGGCGGUAUAUUAAGACCAUGUAUUUCUUCAAUAGGUGGUAAAUUCUUAACAUCUUCAGCUUUAAUACCUUUUUCUUUCAUUGAUUUCUUUGCCUCUUGCGUAACCUCGGGACUGAGAAAUAAAACACCUCUCUUCUUCGGAGUGGGUUUAGGGAUAGGUUCAGAAGUUGGCUCAAUUGGUUCAGGAAUUGCCUCAGGAAUUGGCUCAGGAAGAGUCCAGUUAUUUUCAUUAGUCAACAUAUUAAUCAAUAAUAAUUCAGCUUCGUCGACUGUUCUUUCCCUGAAAACACAACCAGCACAACUAUCCAAGUGGUCCUUGGAAGCAUCGGUUAGUCCAUUAUAAAAGAUAUCAAGUAUUUCAUUCUUCUUGAGAGGAUGAUCAGGCAAAGCAUUAAGUAAUCGGAGAAGCCUCCCCCAAGCUUGUGGGAGACUCUCUUCUUUGAUUUGCACAAAAUUAUAUAUUUCCCGCAAGGCAGCUUGUUUCUUAUGAGCAGGGAAAUAUUUAGCAGAGAAGUAAUAGAUCAUAUCCUGGGGACUACGCACACAACCAGGAGCAAGAGAGUUGUACCAAGUCUUAGCAUCACCCUUUAAUGAGAAUGGAAAUAUCUUAAGGAUAUAAUAAUAGCGAGAUUUAUCAUCAUGAGUAAACAGGGUAGCUAUAUCAUUCAACUUGGUAAGAUGUGCCACAAUAGUUUCAGAUUCAAGGCCAUAAAAAGGAUCAGAUUCAACCAAAGUAAUAAUUUCAGGAUCAACAGAGAAUUCAUAAUCCUUAUCAGUAACACAGAUAGGUGAAGUAGCAAAAAUAGGGUCAGGUUUCAUUCUAGCAUUAAGAGACUGAUGCUUCCAUUUAGCUAAUAAUUUCUUUAGAUCAUAUCUAUCAUUGCAAGCAAGAAUAGCUCUAGCAGCUUCCUCAUUCAUAACAUAACCCUCAGGAACAACAGGCAAUUCAUAAUCAUUGGGAGAACUUUCAUCAUCACUAUCAUCAAUAAUAGCAUCUUCAAUAAUUUCAUUCUCUCUAGCCCUAGCAAGUUGUUCAUCAAGAAAUUCACCUAAUGGCACAGUAGUAUCACGCAAAGAAGUAGUUUCAUCAUAAGUAUCGUGCAUAGCAGAAGUGGCAUCAUCAAUAACAUGCGACAUAUCAGAAUUAAUAACAGUAGCGGGUUUAGGUGUCGCAAGCUUACUCAAAACAGAAGGAGAAUCUAGUGCAGAGCUAGAUGGCAGUUCCUUACCUCCCCUCGUAGUUGAGGGAUAAAUUUUUGUUUUGUUGUCUUUCAAGUUCUUCAUAGUGAUCAACAGAUAUAAAUCCCAAGUGACUCAAAGAAUAGAGCUAUGCUCCCCGGCAACGGCGCCAGAAAUUAGUCUUGAUAACCCACAAGUGUAGGGGAUCGCAACAGCUUUCGAGGGUAAAGUACUCUACCCAAAUUUAUUGAUUCGACACAAGGGGAGCCAGAAAAUAUUCUUGAGUAUUAGCAGUUGAGUUGUCAGUUCAACCACACCUGGAUAACUUAGUAUCUGCAGCAAAGUAUUUAGUAGCAAAGUAAUAUGGAAAUAAAAGUAACAAUAGCAAAAGUAAUAUUUUUGGGUUUUGUAAUGUUUGUAACAGUAGCAACGGAAAAGUAAAUAAGCGGAGAACAAUAUGUGAAAAGCUCGUAGGUAAUGGAUCAGUGAUGGAUAAUUAUGUCGGAUGCGAUUCCUCAUGUAAUAGCUAUAACCUAGGGUGACACAGAACUAGCUCCAGUUCAUCAAUGUAAUAUAGGCAUGUAUUCCGUAAAUAGUCAUACGUGCUUAUGGAAAAGAACUUGCAUGCCAUCUUUUGUCCUACCCUCCCGUGGCAGCGGGGCCCUAGCGGAAACUAAGGGAUAUUAAGGCCUCCUUUUAAUAGAGAACCGGAACAAAGCAUUAGCACUUAGUGAAUACAUGAACUCCUCAAACUACGGUCAUCACUGAGAAGUAUCCCGAUUAUUGUCAUUUCGGGGUUGUCGGAUCAUAACACAUAAUAGGUGACUAUAGACUUGCAAGAUAGGAUCAAGAACUCACAUAUAUUCAUGAAAACAUAAUAGGUUCAGAUCUGAGAUCAUGGCACUCGGGCCCUAGUGACAAGCAUUAAGCAUAGCAAAGUCAUAGCAACAUCAAUCUCAGAACAUAGUGGAUACUAGGGAUCAAACCCUAACAAAAGUAACUUGAUUACAUGAUAAAUCUCAUCCAACCCAUCACCGUCCAGCAAGCCUAUGAUGGAAUUACUCACGCACGGCGGUGAGCAUCAUGAAAUUGGUGAUGGAGGAUGGUUGAUGAUGACGAUGGCGACGAAUCCCCCUCUCCGGAGCCCCGAACGGACUCUAGAUCAGCCCUCCUGAGAGAGAUCAGGUCUUGGCGGCGGCUCUGUAUCAUAAACGCGAUGAAACUUUCUCUCCUGAUUUUUUCCUCCUCGAAAGGGAAUAUAUAGCGUUGGAGUUGAGGUCGGUGGAGCGUCGGGAGGCCCACGAGACAGGGGGGCACGCCCAGGGGGGAAGGGCGCGCCCCCCACCCUCGUGGAUAGGGUGUGGGCCCCCUGGUCCUGAUUCUUUCGCCAGUAUUUUUUAUAUUUUCCAAAAAGUGCCUCCGUGGAUUUUCAGGACAUUCCGAGAACUUUUGUUUUCUACACAUGAAACAACAUCAUAGUAAUUCUGCUGAAAACAGCGUCAGUCCGGGUUAUAUCCAUUCAAAUCAUGCAAAUUAGAGUCCAAAACAAGGGCAAAAGUGUUUGGAAAAGUAGAUACGUUGGAGACGUAUCAGUGGCCGCCCGUGGGGCCUAGGAGACAGGGGGCGCGCCCUCCACCCUCCUGGCCGAGGGCGCGCCCUCCACCCUCCUGGCCGGCUCGGCUGCUUCUUGACUUGCACUCCAAGUCCUCUGGAUCACGUUCGUUCCAAAAAUCACGCUCCUGAAGGUUUUAUUCCGUUUGGACUCCGCUUGAUAUUCCUUUUCUUCGAAAUACUGAAAUAGGCAAAAAAACAGAAAUACGGGCUGGGCCUCCAGUUAGUAGGUUAGUCCCAAAAAUGAUAUAAAUGUAUAAAAUAAAGCCCAUAAGCAUCCAAAAGGGGUAAUAUAAUAGCAUGGAACAAUCAAAAAUUAUAGAUACGUUGGAGACGUAUCAAUACUCUAAAAUACGCAAGAUAAGCGUGAGUGCUAUGGAUGGCGUUCUCAUAGGGAGACGGAAGCGGAUCCAUAGUGGUGUAUUGAUAUGGUGAAUAUGUGGACUCAUGUGCGCCACCUCAGAGAGUUACUUGCAGUCGUAGUUCAGGAUAGCCGCCGAGUCAAAGCUGGCUUGCUGCAGUUAAAGCCCACCAUCCCUUUGUUGAUAAUGAUGCAUAUAUAGCUAGUUCUGAUGUAAGCACUACAAAAAAAUACACUUCCGUGAUGAUACGUGUUUGUCACUGUAGGCCGCGUUUUUUGUCAUGCAUGUACAUCCAUGACGAUUUUAUGACAGAAUCAUGAUAGUCAUACAUGUGCUGUCGUAGAAGUGUUCCAUGACAUUACCAAAAUUAUCAUCACGGAAGUGUCCACUUCUAUGACGAUAAAUCGCGCAUCACAGAAGUGCUUUCGUCAAGGGUGACUGACAUGUGGCAUCCACCGUAACGGAACGCCGUUAAGCUAUCGGCUCGGGUUUUGGAUCCGAUAACCCGUUAACAGCCCUGACCAAUGGGAAAUUUCCACGUGUAAAAUUCUUAUUGGCCGGACGAAACACGUGUCAGCUCGUCAGUGGGUCAGAUAGGCGCCUAUGAUAUGUCGACACGUGCCACGGCCCACCACUGGCCCAUUUAGCUUACAAAGCCGGCCCGUUUGUCUUGGUCAAAAGUUAACGGGCUGGCCCAUGAAAAGCCUGUUACCGGUCUCUUCGCAAAUAGCCCAUUUUAUGGCCCGGUAACUCACGGCCCGUUAGGCCCUAAAGGAAAUCGGCCCAACAACGUCAUCGAAUAUAACACCAGCCCAUUUCACUUUCGGCACAUGUAUGGCCCACGACGUCUUUCGGCCCAUAUGAGGCCUUCGUAUCUUUAGGCCCUUUAGAGGCCCACGGUGACUCUAGCCCAUAAUGAACAGUAAUUUUCUUUGUACCCGUUAACGGCUCGUGAUUCACAUGGGCCGUUUCUAGCCCGUGUUAGCUUUCGGCCUAUUGACGGCCCAUAUGUUCUUGGGCUCCUUUCCGGCCCUCGAUGUAGGAGAUAUGCCCUAGAGGCAAUAAUAAAUGAUAUUAUUUAUCUCCGAGUUCAUAAUUAUGUUUAUGUUCCAUGCUAUAACUGCAAUGAUUCUCGAGUCUGCAAUAUCCACGAGGCUCGGAGGAAGACUCAAAUGCACAUGUGGAAUAAUAAACGGUAAGAAGUAUUCCUAGUCUGGCCUCUAAGACUAGCUCAAGUGUUGUAUGAUGAUUCUGUUUUCCUGGUCAUGGGCAUGUCUAUGCCAGCAACUUUGAGGGCACAAUGUUAAGAGAACAUUUGUGUUCAAUCGACCCGGAUUGAUGUUAUGCUAUGAGAUUCAUUCGUCACAAGUUUAUUGGUACAUAACACAGAGAUGGUUAACGUUUGCAUGAUUCCUUAGACCAUGAGAGUAUCGAGUUUCUUCAUGCUUGCUUCAUGAACUUUGGGGUUUGUUAAACGUCAUCCGUAAAUGGGUGGCUAUUACGGCGGCUUACGGGUUCAUGGAAAAGUGUGUCAAGUAACUUGAUAGCUCAAGAUUGGGAUUUGCUCCUCCGACGAUGGAGAGAUAUCUCUGGGCCCUCUCGGUGUUACGGUAUCCAUCAUCGUCUGGCCAGACACUUUGUGAUUUGAUCACGGGGAUGCCGGAACACGAUAACGAGAAAAGAGAACAAUACCGGUAACGAGGUAACUAGCAUAGUGGACAAGUUGUUGAUCCACGGGAAUGCCAACAUGUCUCACCUCGGGUAUUUGUAACAUAUCGCGAAGCAACAGGAAUAGCACACGGCAACUGGAGGUUCACUCGAAUAUUUAUUCGUGUGGGUAUAGGGGUCAAUAUGGGUGUCCACGGCUCCGAUGUUGAUCAUUGAUCGGAAGGGGUUCCGGGUCAUGUCUAUACUUCACCGAACCUAUAGGGUCACACGCUUAAGGGUCAUCUAUCUGUUGAAUACUAGACAGGGAGUCUGAGAGAAAAUCACCAAAAAAGUUUCGGACACCGAAAAGUUUCGGACAGCGGAAUCGUACCGCAGAGAGAGGUCAUCGGAUAAGUUUCGAUGAUACCGAAAAGUUGUUUCGGGAUACACCAUUAAGUCAAAUUGGUUUCGGCACAUGCCUGAUAAUUCUUGGAGGAUGCCAGAAUCAUUCUGGAAGCUUUUUGGAAUUUUCUGAGAUAAAAACCGGAAAUGUUCCGGAGCUGCCGGAGCCACUUCAGAUGCGUUUCGCAGAUGAAAAUCACUAAAACCGGAAUUGUUUUGGAACGCGUUGAAAAUCAUUUUAGUGGGUACUGGAAAUGUUCUUAGCCCACAUAAAUAUUUUCAGUUCGAUCAGACGCUGAAAAAUGUCGUCGUGAAUAGUGAAAAUCAGCUUUAUGGUUACUUUAUGGAAAGCCACCUUUUGGGGCUUUGCUCCAAAAGAUCUUGGGGAUGACAUGGAUGGAUAGGAGCCAUUUUUUGGGCCCCUCAUGGGGGUGUGGCCGGCCACAUGGGGUAUCCCCCCUAGGGGACCCUCUUGUUCCUUGGUUUCACUCCUAGGUCCUUGUGGAAGGACUUCAUUCAUGUGCAUUUUGGGUUUUUUGUGAAACUACCCUACCCCCUUGGGAUUUCCUAUAAACAGAGGUGGAGGGGCAGCCCUCCACACUCAUCCCUUGCUCUCAUACACAUGCCAUGCAUUAUCUGGCUUCUUCUCUCCCUCCCACGAAAGUUUCGUAGAGCCGUAAGGCUGUCUGGGUUCCGGCAGGAACUAGUUCUGGACGGCGAAGCCCUGCCGGAUAGAUGACACCGUAUGUGUGCAACUCUGUAGAGAGAUCGUAGUUUCGGUCUUAGUUCGUGAGUGCCUCCCGAAGGGCUGUCCGUGUGACCGUCCGAGUUUCGAAGGUCCUCCCGAAGGGCUGUCCGAGUGACCGUUCGAGUUUCGAAGGUCCUCCCGAAGGGCUGUCCGCGACACCGUCCGGGGGGGCUGUUCGACCGCCUCCCGGAGGGCUGUCUGAGGAGCAGAUGAGGGUAUACAUCCUCGCGGUUGGGAGGUUGUAAAUCCUAGCUGCGGGGAUCUGCACCGCCGAUCGUCAUCGACUCUACUUCCCGCUGCGCUACGAGUCGGUAACGAAAAAGAUCAAACCAUGUAUGCAGUCUCCAUAGUGGUCCUAGGCUGGUGCGUAGGUCGGAAAUUUUUUGUUUUCUGUCGCAUUCCCCUUGAGAGAAUACAUGGAGAUGUAUGGGUAUUGCAUAAUAUAAUUAGGUAGUAGAUGAGAUCUAUUGCUGAAAAUUAUUUAUGCGGGUGACAGAUGAAAUCUGUUACCGAGGUUCUUGUUGCUUCCCUAGAAUUUGCGUUUGCUCAACCUAGAGACAGCAUGGUGGAAUUUGACAAAGUUCUGGCAAUCCGUGAUCCUGAUUGAUCAUGGAAGUGCUAUCAGUUCUUUGGGUUCUGCCGUAGUCAAAAGAAAGAUGAAAUUCGCAGAUCAAAGGGCAUUGCAGAUAUGAUCUGCACGGGGGUCAUGCGUAUGACGAAGUUUAGUAUGGGGCUCGAGAUUUAAUUAUCCCGUGUUUCAUACACCUCGAGAUGUUAAUCUAGCAACUUGAAUAAUCAUACUUGAUGAUAAAACGUUGGUCGCUGCGGUUUAAGUCAAAACCUUAGAAGCCACGUAAAAUAAAUUUUGCAUAAACCGAUUAGAGGCGUCUAACUUGGUUUUGCAGGAUGUGCAUAUGAUGUGGUAUAGCAGUGCUCAUACUAAUUCGAUUAUGUAUGAGAUGACUAUAUGAUGUAAUUUGAUUAACAUGACCUGCGUGUCAUGAUUCGGCAUGAUGGUUGGAGCCAUAUGAUUGCACUUUAAUGACCUGCGUGUCAACCUUGUUGUAAUGCAUUAUUUUGUUAGCUAUAGAGAUAGCAAUAUUAUCUGGUGCAUCGACAAGGUGGUGGCAAUCUUCGCGAAGGUGAACACCGACGCGAAUGCCGAAGACGAAGAAAUGAAAGACUUCUCCGUCAGAAAGGGCUAUACCAUAUCAUGCUAUUAUGAAUUGCCUGAGAUGUUUAUCCCUUAUGAUGCACCCUUCUUGAUUGUGCGGUAGUCGCUUUUAUUAGGGUGAUCUCUCACUUAAAAUACCAAGUAGUUAGUGUUCUCCCAAGUGUAGCACCGUCACGGCACCUAUCUUUUCGGGGUGCGCCGUGUCACACGGGUACGAACGAUUAGAGAAGUGUGAGGCGGGUGAGUUGAGACCUCGCAGCGAGAUCACUUGGUUGUCUUGACGUUCAGGCAUGACCGUCAUGAGCUCGGAACUCACGCAUCGAAAGAUGAACAAGAGUCACAUAGAGAUGUGAUUGGCAAGUUGGCCUACCGGUUGAGAUUUUUUGUCAUCAGUGGUGUUACACCAAUGGCGAACAAUUGAAAUGUGGGUCUUGUAUCACUCACAAUCAAUUUUGAGAGAUAUUGAUUUGAGUGGGAGCGCACUGUUGAAUUAACAUGUUUAAUUCUUAGUGCAAUUAAUUAUGAACAUUGUCUAAGUGUUAUAUGAAAAAUAGUUGUAGAAUAAUGGCUCGCGUUUCCACCUUCCCUGUUAAAAUUGAAUAGCUGUUAAAUAUCUGGUUAAAACUUUACGAUUGGUACCGUAAUAUGAGGAUUGUCCUCAAAAGUGCAGAGAAGGACUUUGUCCUAUCGCAUGCUUUCCGUAUCCUCCCGCUAAUGCUAUGGAUCAUGUGACUCUCGUCCUUUGAUCCAAAAGCUAGAAUUCUGUUACGGUCAAGUGGAAUAUGUUUGCUUCCAUGAAACCCAAACUUCGAAAGUUGGGAUAGUUAUAUGAUAUUCAUGGAACUGAAAAUUAUUUUCAGAUACAAACAAAGCAAUGUUUGUUUGCAAGUAUUAGUAAAAGUGUUUACUAUGCAUUUGACUGUUGGGAAAGGGAUCCAGAAGAACGCCUGUCAUAUAAUGAAAGGUGAAUAAAACAACAACUUAAAGAGAAAGGAAGUGUCCAAAGGGUGUUAGUAUGACUUACACGCCUAGGAAGUCCGGGGCUAAUGCCACUCUUAAGUUGGGUGCUUCUUCUGAGAGUAGGAGAAAUACUAAAAGUUAAACUGCUAGAAGUAUAAAGGCAAAAGGAAAGAAGACUGGAAUAUCCAGCUCAUGUAUGAAUGGCAUACAAGUUUUUGAUGUAUAGAAGGCUGGUCAAAGAUAUAGUUCUUGCGAAUUAUGGUUAAACAUGUUAAUCACUAAUUCUUGGGUAUUGUGAGUUCAUCACAAAAAUGCCCGCUCGAUUGCAUUCUGUUGCAACUCGAUGUAAGAACUACUAUGGCCUGAAAGACUAACUAGAAAUGAGGUUAAGGUAUACACAGGGAACAUAGUAAAUGUUACUAUACCUUCCAUCGGCGUAUUGCCGUCUGUAUUUAUUUUCAUAAUUCAUUUAGAGUUUUACAAACUCUAUCCCAUUGCAUAAGGCAUCUUGCAAGAAGGUUGUUCAUAAGGGAACUUUUUAUGUUCGAUGUUAUGAAUAACACAAGGGCCAUACUUUCAUUAUGAAUGAGAUGUAUGUUAUGAAUAUUGAUAAUAAUACGAUACCUCUGGGUUUACUUUCAUAAUUCAUUUUAGAGUUUCAUACACUCUAGCCCAUUGCACAAUGUUUGUUGCAAAAGAGUUGUUCAUAAAAACAACAAUUGUUGUUAAGUAUUAUGAAUAACAUAAGGGCCAUACUUCCAUCAUCGAUGGGACGUAUGUUAUGAAUAUUGAGGGUAAUAUGAUACAUCCAUAACACUGACGCUAAAUGUCGCAAGACUAAAAGAAUACCACACAAGUGUGGCACUACAUUUGGUCACAUUGGAGAAACCCGCAUGGAAAAUUCCAUUAUGAUGGAUUCUGAAGUCUUUUUGAUUUUGAAUCAUCUGACACUUACAACUUUCCUCCGAAAAGUGAAGUGACUAAAAUACCGUUCACAGGCCAUAAGGAACGAACAACAAACUUAUUAGUGAUCAUACAUUUGAUGUGUGUAGUCCGAUAAGUGUUGUUAGUGGUGGAUUUAUUUAUCUUCAGAAAUGACUCAAGUAGAUAUAUGGAUAUUUACUUGAUGAGACAUAAGUCUGGAUCUUUUGAAAUCAUUCGAAAGGUUCUCAAAAAUGAAGUAGAAGUUAUUGUAACAAGAAAAUUAUGUUUCUGCAAUUUGAUUGCACAAAGGAAUAUUUGAGUUACAUGUUUAGCAAAUGUCUGAUGAGUUGUGAAAGGGGUUUCAUAAACUUGCACCUCCUGGAACACCACUGCAAGUGGAAAGUCCAUGGAGAUGUAAGCAAACCAUUUAUGACAUGGUAAGGUCAAAGAUGACAUAAAUAAAUUUGCCAUUAUCCCUUUUAAAGUGAUGCUUUAGAGACUGUGGCUUUUACACUGAAAAGAGCUACAUCGGGUCUGUUGAAAUGAAGCCAUGGUAUGGUACGCCCAACCAUGUUAUAUCUUUUCUUAACAUUUGGAAUAUGGGGCUUGUGUAAAAGGUUACAAACCUAUUCCAAAUCAGACAAGUGCUACUUUGUCGGUUAUACCAAAAUGUUGGGUAUUCCUCCCUCACUAUACCGAGGCAAAUAGUUUUGCCGCGAAACGGUGUGCUUUUAAAGAGAAUGGUUCUUUCUAAAAGGUGAGUGGGAGAAUAGUGCAACUCGACGAGAUAAACAGUAUCUUCAUCAGAUCAAAGGAAAGAGACCUUGGAAGAAAUUCCAGAGUUUCCUACUGCGACUGAUACAGAAGUCUCUACAAUAAAAUGUAUGAACUUCGGUCGAACUUGCAGCUGAACCACGUAGGCAAGGCUCGUGCAAACCUCUCAGGUGCGCAAACGAGAUAUUGUUGUUAGACAACAUUAUACCUACGAUACACAAGGAAGCGUUGAUGGGCCCUGACUCCGGAAUUGGCUAAAUGCCAAUACAACCCGAGUUAGUUUCCAUAUAAGUGAUUCAAGAUUAAAACCUUGAUACACCUUUCGGAAGACUUAGAGUCUAACGAAUAUUUAUGGAACUUAAAACUGAUACGGAUAGAAUGUUUUACCCAUAAAGCUCGACUUGUUGAAAUAAUACGAUGAGGUUGUUUUCAUCGUAGCGAUGCUUAAAGUCGGUUCGGGUUGAACUAGCAAUUAAUACAUAUUUCAAUCAUGAGAUAUGAAACAUGGAUGAUAAAAGGAUUUCCAUCUGAUGGAAAUGAAAGCUAGGACUUGUAUAUGAUACAGUGCAAAGUAAUUUGUCGAUCCAGAGGAUGCUAGUAGGUAUGCAAACUUCAGAGUUCCAGCAAUGGACAGAAGAGAGCAAAAUGGAGUUGGAAUCUUCGUGUUUUGAUGAAAUGGUCAAAGGGGUUUUGACUUCAUCAAUGGGUAACGAAGAUGCUUGUAAUUCAAGAAAGUAAGUGGGAGCGUAAUAAUAUUUCUAAAAACCUUAUGUGCUUGGCACAUUGGUAAUUGGAAAUAAAUUUCUUGACACAAAUUAGGACUUCAUUUGAAAAUAGUUUUUCGAUGAAGUACUUAGGCUAAAUAGCCUCAAUAUUAGGCAUGAUGAUCUAUGGAGAUAGAUUUACCUAAUGGGGCUAAGCAAUGAAUACAUAUUGACAAGAUGCUAAAACCUUUUAGCAUUUAAAACGCCAAGGAGUGAUUCUUGCCAAAGUCACAUGGAAAGAGUUUUUGCAAGACUCGGUGUCCCAAAACACUGAUGAGUAAAAUACAUGAUGCAGAUUCCACACACUUUUGUGUUUGGAUUAAUCAUGUAUUCCAUGGUAUGUAAAACAACCAGAUAUGUCCGAUACUCCCAAGGUGUUGCGAGUAUGGAUACCAAAGUGAUCAAAUUACUGAUCAUGGGACAACAGUGAAAGAUGUCACAGAGUACUAGAGUAAGUACUGAUGACAUGGUUUUCUCGCAAGCAGAGAUCAUGAAGAGUUCGUUGUAAAAUGUUACAUCGAUAGAGUCUUCAUCUUUUCUCCAUGCGAUUUUCGUUUUAAAUUAAGGGUUUUGUGUAACACACAAUGUGGUGGCACAAUUAGUUGGAAUUUGUUCAAACUAGUUACUGUGGCGAAUUCCAUAACAAGGGCUAAGUAUGUUGACGCUUUAGAAGCGACAAAGAAGAUGUUGAAUCAUAUAGUUCAUUCAUGAACUUAGUAUAGUUCCAAAUGGCUUUUGACAAUGGGACACUACUGCGGGUAGUUGCUCCAUAACUCAGUCUGAGGAAUCCAGGUUCGACCUGUGAUUCACAUACAUACAAAGCCAAGUCCACACAAAAUAUGAAUUUUGUGAAAACGUGAAAACGCGAGGACAUGCAAAGAUACACACGGAACUGACGUCGUCAGAUCCGUUGGACAUCAGGCUAUACCACAAGCGAAGCAUAUUUACACCGGUGUGCCACAGGUGUGAAGUGCAUUAGCAUAAGCUAGAUUAUUGACUCUAGUGCAAGUGGGAGUCUGUAGGAGAUAUGCCCUAGAGGCAAUAAUAAAUGAUAUUAUUUAUCUCCGAGUUCAUAAUUAUGUUUAUGUUCCAUGCUAUAACUGCAAUGAUUCUCGAGUCUGCAAUAUCCACGAGGCUCGGAGGAAGACUCAAAUGCACGUGUGGAAUAAUAAACGGUAAGAAGUAUUCCUAGUCUGGCCUCUAAGACUAGCUCAAGUGUUGCAUGAUGAUUCUGUUUUCCUGGUCAUGGGCAUGUCUAUGCCAGCAACUUUGAGGGCACAAUGUUAAGAGAACAUUUAUGUUGAAUCUACCCGGAUUGAUGUUAUGUUAUGAGAUUCAUUCGUCACAAGUUUAUUGGUACAUAACACAGAGAUGGUUAACUUUUGCAUGAUUCCUUAGACCAUGAGAGUAUCGAGUUUCUUCAUGCUUGCUUCAUGAACUUUGGGGUUUGUUAAACGUCAUCCGUAAAUGGGUGGCUAUUACGGCGGCUUACGGGUUCAUGGAAAAGUGUGUCAAGUAACUUGAUAGCUCAAGAUUGGGAUUUGCUCCUCCGACGAUCGAGAGAUAUCUCUGGGCCCUCUCGGUGUUACGGUAUCCAUCAUCGUCUGGCCAGACACUUUGUGAUUUGAUCACGGGGAUGCCGGAACACGAUAACGAGAAAAGAGAACAAUACCGGUAACGAGGUAACUAGCAUAGUGGACAAGUUGUUGAUCCACGGGAAUGCCAACAUGUCUCACCUCGGGUAUUUGUAACAUAUCGCGAAGCAACAGGAAUAGCACACGGCAACUGGAGGUUCACUCGAAUAUAUUUAUUCGUGUGGGUAUAGGGGUCAAUAUGGGUGUCCACGGCUCCGAUGUUGAUCAUUGAUCGAAAGGGGUUCCGGGUCAUGUCUAUACUUCACCGAACCUAUAGGGUCACACGCUUAAGGGUCAUCUAUCUGUUGAAUACUAGACAGGGAGUCUGAGAGAAAAUCACCGAAAAAGUUUCGGACACCGAAAAGUUUCGGACAGCGGAAUCGUACCGCAGAGAGAGGUCAUCGGAUAAGUUUCGAUGAUACCGAAAAGUUGUUUCGGGAUACACCAUUAAGUCAAAUUGGUUUCGGCACAUGCCUGAUAAUUCUUGGAGGAUGCCAGAAUCAUUCUGGAAGCUUUUUGGAAUUUUCUGAGAUAAAAACCGGAAAUGUUCCGGAGCUGCCGGAGCCACUUCAGAUGCGUUUCGCAGAUGAAAAUCACUAAAACCGGAAUUGUUUCGGAACGCGUUGAAAAUCAUUUAAGUGGGUACUGGAAAUGUUCUUAGCCCACAUAAAUAUUUUCAGUUCGAUCAGACGCUGAAAAAUGUCGUCGUGAAUAGUGAAAAUCAGCUUUAUGGUUACUUUAUGGAAAGCCACCUUUUGGGGCUUUGCUCCAAAAGAUCUUGGGGAUGACAUGGAUGGAUAGGAGCCAUUUUUUGGGCCCCUCAUGGGGGUGUGGCCGGCCACAUGGGGUAUCCCCCCUAGGGGACCCUCUUGUUCCUUGCUUUCACUCCUAGGUCCUUGUGGAAGGACUUCAUUCAUGUGCAUUUUGGGUUUUUUGUGGAACUACCCUACCCCCUUGGAAUUUCCUAUAAAUAGAGGUGGAGGGGCAGCCCUCCACACUCAUCCCUUGCUCUCAUACACAUGCCAUGCAUUAUCUGGCUUCUUCUCUCCCUCCCACGAAAAGAGUUUCGUAGAGCCGUAAGGCUGUCUGGGUUCCGGCAGGAACUAGUUCUGGACGGCGAAGCCCUGCCGGAUAGAUGACACCGUAUGUGUGCAACUCUGUAGAGAGAUCGUAGUUUCGGUCUUAGUUCGUGAGUGCCUCCCGAAGGGCUGUCCGUGUGACCGUCCGAGUUUCGAAGGUCCUCCCGAAGGGCUGUCCGAGUGACCGUUCGAGUUUCGAAGGUCCUCCCGAAGGGCUGUCCGCGACACCGUCCGGGGGGGCUGUUCGACCGCCUCCCGGAGGGCUGUCUGAGGAGCAGAUGAGGGUAUACAUCCUCGCGGUUGGGAGGUUGUAAAUCCUAGCUGCGGGGAUCUGCACCGCCGAUCGUCAUCGACUCUACUUCCCGCUGCGCUACGAGUCGGUAAUGAAAAAGAUCAAACCAUGUAUGCAGUCUCCAUAGUGGUCCUGGGCUCGUGCGUAGGUUGGAAAUUUUUUGUUUUCUGUCGCGUUUCCCUUCACUCGAUUACUUCCGGCCCAUUACUGGCCUGUUCCCCUAAUGGGCCAAAUUCGGCCCAUGGCAAGAGUCGGCCCGUUUCUGGCCUCUUAACCCGUUGCGCCAUUUCCAGCCCGUCCUAUAUUCUGGCCGAUUAACGACCCGUUAUGCCUGUGACAGAAUUAAGCCUUUGCUGUCCUCCGGCCUGUUAACGGCCCGUUACCGUGCUGGGCCGAUACCAAUUACGCCCGUUUACGGCCCAUGUAGACCCAUUUAUCCGAUAGCCCGAGGCCCACGAUUCUAUGGCCCUGUUGGAGGCCCAUUUAUCGACGGCCCGUAGGAGACCCAUGGAUCCUACGGCCCGUAUAUGGCCCAUGGUUGUUGCGGCCACUAGCAAACCAGGGAAAAAGAAGACUAGGAAAUAAAUAAGGCCGAAACUAACUCUAGGCUAUUUAAGGCGAUUGCACAGAUUACAUCCACUCGGCAUCAAAGAUCGCCACCAGUGCAAAUAUAGGGAACACCCUACACUAUACAAAAAUGGCUUGCUGUUUUCUUCAGCCGGUGGCUGCACGUUAAGAAUAAAUUUUGUAUCGCACCAAAACAAAUUACAACUAUAUAACAAAAGGAAGGUUGGCAUAAAACUUAACAGUCUAGCAGAUAAAUGCACCACCAGAAGUUCAGAAGCUCAGUUCAUUUGAUCUGACUGUUAUGUUUUCAUGCUGUAUUGUCCGAUGGAGCACCAUAACCCUCGCCUUCAUUUCUCCUAGGCUCCUGAACAACAUAGCAAAUGUCUGAUAGUCUGGUUUCAAAACCAUGCAUAUCUUUACGACAUCGAACAAUGUCUCUCCUUGUUUCACAAAGGGUCUUUGUUAGGGAAUGGACUUGUGUCUGGAGCGCAGAUACAACAUUGCUUUGAGCUUGCAUAUCUUGAUCAUGAGCCAGUUUGGACGAGAUUGCCUUAACAACCAAGCCAGUAUUACGCAGGAACGUGCUUUUGGCACUGUUAGUGGACAGGUACUGACCCACUGCAGCAAGAGCUGACAUUGCGGUUAUAGUUAUCUCGCCACCUUUAGAAGGUGGCGGUUCCACCAUUUUUCCAUAGCUUGCUGAAAAGUUGAGUUUUUACAUUAGUAGUACCAGAACAGAAGAUAUUAAGGAGGCAGCAAAACCAAACAAAAUAGCUUUGGUCUAUAUACAGAACUUAUUCUGGUGAACCCAUGUAAAAUAUUAGUUGUAUUUUAUUGCAAAGUACAUAAUAAAACCAGGUUCAAAACAUAUGACCAUGUACCAUCGCUAAUGUAUUGUCUAUUUCUUCACAUUGUAUUGAGGGCUAAGGAUAAAGAGACGAAGUUUAUAAUACGGUAAGCAUAGUAUGACAUCAUUCAUAUCACAAAACAAAUGAGAACAGACAAACAGGCAAUUGUAACGUUGUGUGGGCAAGUCCAGCACGGAACUAGAUUAGGGGUCAAGAUCAAAGGAACAUCACUCCUCUCUUUUAAACCUUGUAAGGUGCAAUGAUACGCUAAGACAAUUGUGUAUAAAAUUGAAAAGAGUAAUAGACAUUGGCUGCAAACCAUGUAGUUCAAGGCACAAGUCAGAGUAUGUAGUAGUUAAAAGGCAUGAGGAUUAAGGACUUACAACAGCGGCUUUGACUGGUGUAGUCAUGCUCUUCUUCUUGCUGGUGUGACAGUCCUUGAAGAUUUCCACAACAUUUGGUUCAAGUACUUUUUGGUCCUUGCAGGCUUUCCUCUGCAUUUGGAACAAGUCAAUAUAGAUCUGAUAAUAUGGUACAGCGAAAAGAGUGAAACAGCAGCUAAUUACAAGAGCCUCGCAGUGUGCAAUAUAGCUACGAGAUCCUGUCGUCUGUUGGAAUUUCACUUUUGUACGGUUGGCCUUGUUCUUUGAACAGUUCACCUACAAGAAGAUAGAUUUGUGUGGCCCAUGUGUAAAUAGGACUUCAACAUGUGAUCUGAUCACAUAUAUAUAAUGUACCUGAUACUUCGGAUCAGACCAGUGUUUAACGAGGCCCCUCCAGUCUUCAUCCGAUAUAUUUUCGACUGGAGAUGUUUGGGAAAGUUCACUGUUAGCCUUGCCUUCAAAGUGAUUUUUCCUCAAGUUAUACCGAUACUGUCGCAGAGCAGACUUGAAAACAUGGGUGCAAGCUUGUCUGGUUGCAUCAUCUUGGCUAUCCAACUUGAACCUCAUCUGUUGAAAAUUACGGGAGUCUCAUUAUAGCAACCUAGAAAGUAUGGGACAGAGCAAGACGAUAUUACUAGUUUUGAUACAUAACCAUACUUACAGAUAAAUGGUCGAGGAAGGUGUUGAACUGGGUUUCGUCUUUGUCAUUCCUGUACUGAAUCCAUGUUGGGAGGAUACGUACAUGACACCUAACGGCAACCGCUGCCUCUGAUACUAACUUGGCUGACUCUGUAGCAUCACGUGGCCUUUUUAAACCUGCCUCAAAACGGAUCUCCAUUCUUCCUCCUCUAGAUUUAGUUAACCUAUCGAGCAUUAUCCUUGAUGUUUGUUUCCUCUUGCACCUAGGUGCUAGUCCAACAACGAACAUAGGAAGUGUUAGUGUACAUCAAACUAUGAGACUACAUAUAAAGAAGCAUGCAACUGUAACUUGACUCCAGCAACUACCUUCUUGCUGUUGAAGCUCACAAGGUUCAUCUGAUCUUGCCAACUCGUCUUGUGUCAAGAGUGCUUGGGAAGUAGUGUCAGGUGGCAAGGGAGCUUGGGAACGUGCUGCUAGCUCAGUUGACGCACGAGUAACUCGUGCAGCUGGUAGUACUGUGGUAGGUGUUGCAAGAACUAGGGCUGUCUCUGCUUGUUUGGUGGCAGCUAUUUGUUUCUGUUUGGCAUUUUUUGCAGCUCCUGUAGCAUGGGAUGCCCUGUUUGUAGAAUUUUCCGCUGGACUUUGACCUUCUAUUGCACCAUCAGUACCAGCAGAAUCUGCGGGAUUCAUCCGCUUCUCAUUCCCUGCCAUUAUGUGUUUCUUCCUCUUUCUCUGUGCCAUGUUAAGUCAAGCCGACAAGAAAAACGAAUAACAAUUUAGUUCUUUAGAACAAAUUGAUGCGUGAUGCAGACGAACUGAACUUUGAUGUUAGACAACCACAUGAUAGGAGGAUGUAAUAUGUACGAAAAACAGGAUGGAAGAGAUAACCAGAACUAUGAUGUGUAAACUAAGCAGAAGACAUUUCACCAAAUUAGAACCAAUGCAAUGGAAGGUAGACACCAUAUGAAAGAUGCUACAAAUAUUGCUCUGCCAAGUUAACAGUGUCUCAUCAUAAAUGGCGUUUAAACAAAUGUGAAGCAGUACAAGAAAUAAAUCAUAUGCAAGAUGCAAACAACAUCACACUACCAUGUUAGAGGUCUCUCGUCAUUAGUGCCAUUGCAUAUUCACAGCAUUGCAUAUUCACAACUUAUGAUGUGUAAACUAAGGAGAAGGCAUUUCAACAAAUUAGAAGCAAUGAAAGCUAGACACCAUAUGAAAGAUGCAAUGAAUAUCACUCUACCAAGUUAAAAUUGUGUCGUCAUAAGUGCCAUUUCAACAAAUUAGUAGUAAAAGCUAGAAAAGAAUGCGAGAUGUAACCUAUAUCACACUCCGAAGUCAAACGUGUCUUAUGAUAAGUGAUUGUUGCAGGUUACACAACAGUAGUAAUUUGAUGUAAGAACAUGGUGUGAUAGACAGAUAUUGUAUGUUCUAGAAACAGGAACACGUGUCUUAUUCAAGUAUAAUGUGUAAAGUAAGCAGAUGGAAUUCAACAAAAUUAGAAGCAAUACAAGCUAGACAUCACACAUAACAUGCAACCACAUAUAACAGUGCCAAGUUAGAGGGAGCACCAGUGAUGGUGCACUAGGGGAGAUGUGCUCAUCAUAAACACAGCUUUAUUGAGUGUCCGUGCAUGUGUUGUCUUGGAAAUCAUCUUGGGGGUGUGGAGGAGUAGAAACUGUAGAGGCCCUCCAUUCGAAAGGAGCACCUUUAUCGCUGCCUUGCUAACUUCCUUCCGCUUUAUUGAUUUUGAAUUGUCAAGUAAAACCGACAAGAAAAAGCAAUAAAAUUCUCUCUUCAGAACAUAUUCAUGCAUGAUACUGACAAUCACUACUUUGAUGUAAGGCAAACACAUGAUACCAGGAUGGAAUAUGUACGAAAAACAGGACGGCAUGGCAUGUUCACAACUGUUUGUGUAAACUAAGCAGAAACCAUUCCAACAAAUAAGAAGCAAUGCAAGCUAGACACCACAUGAAAGAUGCAACCAAUAUGACUCUGUCAAGUUAAAAGCGUCCCAUCAUAAAUGGAAUUUCAACAAAUUAGAAGCAGUGCAUGCUAUAAAUCAUAUGAAAGAUGCAACUAAUAUCGCACUGCAUAUACUAAAGGUGUCUCGUCAUAUUGAUUGAUGCGGGAUACAAAAAAAACAAUAGUUUUAUGUAAGGACAUGCUUAAUAGACAGAUGUACUAUGUACUAAAUACAGGAAGGCAUGUCACAUUAAUAGGUAUAAUGUAUAAGCUAAGCAGACUAGCACAUGCAGUUUAACCAGAUUGGAAGAAUUACAAUCUAGAAUCCAUAUGCAACAUGCAACCACAUAUCACGCUGCCAAGUUAGAGCAAGCACCUGCGAUGCUAGUGUAGGGGAAAUGCUAUAAUCAACUACAGAGCUACGUUCACUAUCUUCAUCUAGCCUUGUUGUUUCUUGAGAAUCAUGUCGGGAGGCUAACGCUGCAUUCUUUAAAUGAGGAGUAGUCCACUUGCCUGCCUGCCUCAUCAUAAGUGAUUGAUGAGGGAUACACAAGAACAUUAGUUUGAUGUAAGAACAUGGUUAAUACACAGAUGUACUAGUAUGUACCAAAACAGAAUGGCAUGUCAUAUUCAAAGGUAUAAUGUGUAAGCUAAGCAGAUGCAAUUUAACCAAAUUGGAAGCAAUACAAGCUACACAUCCGGCUGGAGUGGUGAGCAUGAUCAUCUAGGACCUGAGAGCCUGGUGGGAGGCGGGCUGCUUUGCCACCAUCGCGGCUUUUUAGUUGGCUUCCAGGGCUGCCUGUCUUUGCUGGGCUUGUCACUAGCUCGGCCAGUGCCCUGACUAGCUAUUUGUCUUCUGGUGCUCACGGGAUGGUGGUUCAUCUAAAAAAUAUCUUUCCUUAUCUUAAUAAAGACCGACUUAGGCCUUCCGAAUACAAGCUAGACACCAUAUGGAACAUGCAACCACAUAUGACACCGCGAAGUUAAAUCAAGCACCUGGGAUGGUGGUUCAUUGCGAGCGAGGUUAUCAACUCCAGAGCUACGUUUACCGUCUCCAUCUGCUGACACUGCACCCUUUAUAGCGCUGUAACGUGUCAUGCCUACCCGCAUACCAAGCUGGAGCAACUUCUCUCUUUUCUUUUCUACUUCUCUCUUGGCAGCAGAGUCUGAAAUACCCUUGCAUAAAAACACAAUAGUGAGAGUAAGGGUGAAGUGUGUGCAGAACUAGUGCAUUGUAAAAGUAGCAGAUAGCAGGUGGCUGAAAAAUAAAUGACAGGAGACAUAUGAUAGCUCUAGAACAUUGCAUGGCAAACAAAAUUAUAUGAGCACAGGAAAUGCAGGUACUCCUCCAGCACACCACCACAUGUGGUCAUAUCUAAGAUAAUAGUCGACUGAAAAUAAAUAGGUCAGUCGAUUUUUUUAAUGAACCGUCCGAUCUAUAAGGAAUGGGAAGAUGGCCUUCGUCUACCUCCCGCCAGUCACUGUUGACGAUCUUUCUCGAACCGCCAGCGACCACCAGCCUAGACCCCUGCCUCCACCGCCCCGCCCUCCCCUCGACCUCACACCACCGCCGUGCUUGGCAGCGCCCCCAGGCCAUCCCUUUAAUCCCGACCGACCUCCAGAUCGGGCGCCAGUAGCUCUAGGCCCCACACGCCCCUAAGAUAAACACCAAGGCGCUGCUUCCCUGACGUAAUAGGCAUACUAGCGCCUGUUACGCCGGGGAAUGCUUCCGUUAAUUGGGAAUCAACUAACCAGAAAUUGAAAUUCAGGGGGGCGACGGACCUCUAGCUAAGGUGAAAUAGUAUAUGAGGAGAAAUCUUGUGCAUCGCGAGUUACUAGGAACAUCUAGUAUGAAGAAGAAGCGGUCAACUAGUGUCUUCUGUGGGAUGAAUACCGUGCAAGCAAACACGUAAGGUUUGCACGAAUAAGGGAAGAGGAGUACCCUUAUCGGUUGCCAGUGUGGUCUCGAUAUGUCGCGGUGUUUUUCCCGAGGAACCGAUGUUCUGGAGAGACGUGGAUCCUUGGACAAACCCAUGGCCAAAUUGUUGACUGUGUUGCCGUGGUCGUAUAUCGGCGGAGGGGAAGCAGAUCCGAGGCGGCGAAGGACGGCGUAGCAGGAACAGCUCCUAUGCGGUGGACGGUGGCGAAGUUGGAGCGGCAGCGGUGAGGCGCAGGAUGGCGUGGUUGAACUGGCUCGGGUACGGACGGCUCGGACUCGGCUUCAACUACUAGCCGUGGAGGGCGUUGCGGUUGAGGUUGCGGUGGACGACGACGUCGGGGUAUCGGCUCCGGCGUGAUGGAGGAGGGCGGCGGUUGAUGGGUGGGUGGAGUGGAGGACGGAGGACGCCGGGGUUUCGCGGCUGGUGGAGAGGUAGUUUUUGCACCCACGGAGUAUGAAUGGGGAAUCGGACGGGUGGGCGGGGGGGAGGGGGAACCAUGUUUCGUUCUGGGACAUGCUUGUUUUUGGCUUUUUUGAACAGAAGAUGGGACGCGCUUGUUUGAAAUUUGGGGAAAGUACAAACUUUGCCCCCCUCUUAAAUUUUGGACCUACUGCGGCUCGGGGUAGGAUGGUAAUCCCAGGUGUCCCAAAUCGUGGGCGGGAGCGAUUUUGGUCGCGCGCAUGUGUGCUUAGGCGGCCAUUGUGUAUGAAUGUUUUUCGGAGGCGGUUGUGUGGCGUCUAGAUGAAGCUACAAACCUACCCCGAUUUAGACCUUUGGACGUCGGGCCGGUAGGUUUCACGGGUCGGAGUUAUUAGAAAAGUAAUUUCCUUGUACUACCAAACAUUGGUCUCACGCGGUUUCGGGCGAGUAGAGGCUCUUUUGGCGCUUCGUUCAAAAUUUUGAAACACAAGCAUUCACAUUUAGAGUACUCUUGAACUAUGAGGAUUGACCUAAAUAGACAACGUUAUAUUUGACCUUGUAUGUUUGAAACCUCAUUAAAUUAUCCGCUUCUUUUUGAAAUUUUGACACUUGAAAAUCCUAUAACUAUGAUUAUUUUGGAAUGGAGGAGCUAAAUUUGAAUCUAUUUUGUACACGACUACAUAUGCUAUUAUGUACAAAAUAAGAGCAAAGAUUGGUGCCCCAUAAUUUAGGUAUGAUUUACAAAUGCCAUGAUAUCAAAUUCAAAUAAUUGAAUGGACUUCAUGUUGAAUUCAAUUUUUUUAAACCACCUUAAGUUGAAUUCAAAUGUAUGUUAGUUCAUAGGUAGCUAUUUAUAAUGUUCAUUGUGUAACUUUCGUAUGUAUAAUGUGCUUUACACAUACAACAUGAACUAUACUCACGUUUAUAUUCGAUUGCUAAAGCGAUGCAUUGUCUGGAGUUCAAAAUACUAACUAUGUGGAUCAAUUGUGUCGAAUAAUAACAUAGACAUGCUCAAAUUCGAUAGAAUCUAGAUGUCUGAUGGAUCAAUGACCGUUCCUUACGCGAAUUGCAAAUAUCAUGAUCCCAUCCUAAUAUUUGGAUACAAUUUAUAUCUUUAAUCAAUGUGUACAUAAGUCUUUUAUGUGUAGUUUCACUCUCCAUCGGUGGUCUCUCACACAUGCUCACACACUCUCUCCCGAGGUGUCUUUCUUGCACACAUGCUCUAGAUAUAACCCUCCCUCCCUCUCGUAACCAUUUACAACUGUUUUCACAAACCUUUAUCACAAGCACUCUUCCUCUCACAAGCAUACACACGCACAAUCCCCAUCGACCCUUUCUAUAUACAUGGACCUGCCUAUGUGUCUCCUGUACGCACAUUAUCUUUAGGCUUGUCUCUCUCGCAUUGUCUCACACCUCUCUUCCUAAUCGACGAGUAUGAUUCUAGCAGAGCAUUCUGUAGGAUGCCCCUUAAAGUUAGGUUGGAUGAAUAGUAAUAUCAGAGAUAAAGGGGUUACCUUAGUCCGAGAACCUAGGGUUACAAAUUCGAGCCGGCUUUGUCAGUGGACACAGAGUCCUUCACAAUUCUGCUAUCUUUGUCUUGUACGACUAGUCAUCCAUGGGUCCUCCUAAAUGCGUCACGGGCCGACCAAUGUGGCGCAGGACGAAACCGAACGAAGGGCCUCACCUCGACCCACCGGACCUCACGCGGUGACACACCCUCUGCCCCCACGUCUCGUUAUAUUCUCACACCCACACAUACCAACACAAACACCACACAAAAAAAUUUCUCCUGGUGCCUCUAUCCCCUCCCCCUUGCAUAUACACACUCAAGGGAAUCUCUCGUCGUGACGUCAUAUUCGUCUCCCUCUCNNNNNNNNNNNNNNNNNNNNNNNNNNNNNNNNNNNNNNNNNNNNNNNNNNNNNNNNNNNNNNNNNNNNNNNNNNNNNNNNNNNNNNNNNNNNNNNNNNNNNNNNNNNNNNNNNNNNNNNNNNNNNNNNNNNNNNNNNNNNNNNNNNNNNNNNNNNNNNNNNNNNNNNNNNNNNNNNNNNNNNNNNNNNNNNNNNNNNNNNNNNNNNNNNNNNNNNACGUAAUACACACACAUACCUCUCUAGGCCCCGCAAAAUGCAUCAACUACACAUUCACACAUGUUACAUGACGUACCCCAUUGAUCUAAAAAGCCCUCUCUUCACGUUUAUUUCGCAUACAACAUUCCUUUUGAAUAAAGUGUGGCCAAAAAAUUAUUUUAGAAUUUCUACAUAUAUACAACAUUACAAAGUUAUAUAGAGGAGUACGAACGCUAAUUUGCAUUGCAUGGUGCCCACAAUGAUAUUUAUUCCGCACUGUGAAUUUGUAUAUUUUUAUACUAUAUACAAAGUUAGUCAUAAUAAAGAGAAACGAAGAGCAUCUCUCUCUCCAUCGCAUACCCCCCUCUACGCCUCUUUCACGUAUGCACACAAACUAUCUCCAGGUCCUCUAAAAGUAAGCCCCAGCACAUUCACGCAUGUUUCAUCUUUCUCUCCCGAUAUAUACAACGACGAUCAUUGUAUUUGAAGCGAAAGCACAAUACGUACAUUGGGCUUCAGAAUCCACUCAUUACGGUCACCAUUUACGUUUAGUGGUUAUUAUACAGUCACGGGCUCACCGUACAACUCUAUAUUUGCUCAAGACAUGACUAGUUGACCAGUUAAACGCUCCACGUGGCACCUCUAGUGUUGCAUCACAUUAUCUCACUACCAUCGUGCCCACCUGUCGGCUUGUAUAUCUACUCUACAUCUACACUCUUAUAAAAUACACUUAUAAAAAACAGAGUUGGUGAUGAUGGUGUGCCUGCCAUCCUGCAAUAUAGGCCGUCUGAUUUAUAUCUGACGGAUAGGAAAGAAAUUAUGGCAAUUUUGCAAAAAGGUACCCACACCUCUCCACAUUUGCAAAUAAGGCCUUCCCUCGUUCAUCCUUUUCUCUCACAAGAUAAACUAGUCAUACAAAUGCAUCUUGAUGUUACGUGCAACGCACGGGCAUCUUGCUAGUAAGAACGAAAACAAACGACAAAAAAAUAUUUGGACGGUGGUUCGAAGUCAUGACCGCGGGCACAGCGGACAAGGUGGCCUUGUAUUGCUAUGUUGAGCCGUCUGUUUUAACACACAGGGGCUGGUGUGGUGAUUAUACACACACGCAUGCAUGCACACGAACUACAUGCAUGCAACACUCACACAAACACAUGCACCCACACACGCAUGCAACACUCACACAUACACACGCAGCCACGCACGCACGCAACACUCACACGCACACACGCAUGCAUGCAUGCACACACCAGUACACCACACGACCAACACACACUCUCACGCUCAAGUGCUCAACCUACACGUGCAUGCGCACAUAUCAGGCCCUGACAGACACAUACACAACCAGGUGAUUCCCGCGCACGGGUUGGAGUCUUGUCGCGCCUGCGUAAAUUUCUGUUUAUCUGACCUUUUCCCUAUGCAAACUGACAGAUGGGACCCACAAGGAACAUGGUCAAUUUAACUAGUCAACAUGGCGCCACGCAGACUAUUUGGUCGGUCAACAGAGUGCAAUCCGAUGCUGAACCGUGAGCAAGUGACCGUAUAAUCACCACAAAACAUAUAUAGUGACCGUAAUCAGCUUAUUCUGAAGUUCGGUGACCGCAUUACGCUUUUCUCUCUGUAGGCCCUCCAAAACUACAUCUCUACACAUUCUCGCAUGUUACAUCUAACAACUAUGCAAUACAGCACUACUACUACACUCUAACACGAUAAAUCAUAUGUGUUUUUAGUAUUACUAGAUAUCAUAUUGUUACUUAAUUAUUCAGUUUGCAUACAUUAAAAUUGCCUUUGAAAUGUAUGGCCAGUAUCAUCUACCGCGCGGGAAAAAUCCCGCCCUUUCCUAUUUAAUCGGGUUUGUACCGAUGGAUCGUGCGAAACAGCAAAACUAUAGUACUAUACAGUACAAGUGACAGUUCACUGGGCCGUCGUGUUGUGUACUCCUCCGUCGUAAGAGUGGAGCGCUCGCUUUCAUAAAUCUUCUAGUCCCUUACGCCGACAUGUGGGACAUCAAGCUACCGGGUCCACGUGCCAUACCAGAAUACAGUGCAGAACAGCCGGGAUGAAGCACCCCAGUCAUGGCGCCAGCAUAGUAAUGAGCAAUGAGGCGUCAAAUCACAAAGCUACACCUUUCCCGCAGUUAAGUUGGAGGGACGAAGUAAUAAUGCUAAAAAAGAAAUUGGAGGGAUGAAGCAACCAUCAUUUCACUCGUUGCUGAAUCUGCUUCUCCGUCAUCUUCUUCAACUUAACCACGUGUUGCUUCUGUCGUUGUUCUGCCUCAUGUGGGAUGCGGAUCAGCUUGGUACAGCACUGACACAUGGGACCGCAUGUUAAAAACCGCCAGGACAACGUCCUCUAAAAAUAAGAAACCUCCCCUGCCAUCCGCGCGGCAAAAUCACCUCCUUUUUACUAAUCUUGAUUCUAUAAUUUUUUAGAUCAGUAUAAUUGAGAUUUGUAUAGAUAGCACACAGGAGCAAAACCAAGUGGUACGGUUAAGGGCAUCCACAAUGUGUAGCCAAAUGUGAAAAUAGCUUUUGGCAUCGUGGGAACCAUUGUGGACGGUGUUGCCAAAGCCAAAAAGAUGGAACCGAAGCUCCCUGAUUGAUUGGUUGAAGGAAUAGAAAAAUGCAACGUCUCUCCUCUUUCUCCCAUGCUUGGACGCAUGUAGUACAGCAUAGAGCAUAGAGUCUACUCCCCUGUCCAUUCUAUCACAAACCACAAAGCAGUGAGGCGUCAAAUCACAAAAGCACGGACGAAGCAACCAUCAUUUCACUCUUCGCUGACUCCGCUUCUCCAUCGUCUUCUUCAAGAAACCAUCUCACCGCACUAAGCUGGACGGACGAUGCUAUUGUGUACUAGUAGUACUAGUACAUUUACGCGUCCUUUGGUUCAACGGACUUCCUGGAUGCAAAUAAGGCGGUUGUCUCGGCUUGCAGGCGGCACUUGCGAACGACUUACCAUGGUCUCCCUCAAUGGUGUUCUCUGUCGAACGCACUUCGCCAAACCACAACGUUCGAGAUAUCGUCGACGUCACCGCAAUGGGGAAGGAAGUCAAAUAUAGUCCUUUUUUUACACAAGGCCAGUAUAUCAAAAUUACAAAUUGCAAAAGGCCACUAACACUAAUCGAGGCAAAAUUGAUGGGGUUUGCCUCGUACUAGCAACCAAGGACAUUAAUAUCCCCUGCAUGCAUGUGGAAGUGAGAAGGUUGGCUUGCAUGGCGCUGCAUUAAUCAAGCGAUGAGGAGUGAGAUGGUUAGCUCUUUGGUCUUUGGCGAAAAAAAUGCGCAUUAAUUGACACAUGAACCGAGGAUUUGUAUUGAUUAAAUCCCGCGAAGGAAAACCCCGCCUUUAUUUUUUAACACUAGUACUCCUAGUACGUACGUACUUAUCCUGUUUGGGUCUAGGCCUUGCAUUGCCAUACUUCGCCACACAUUUUUGCCAAGCUUGCCUAAAGUUUUCAAAACGAGAAGGAGGUACACUUCCGCACGGCUGUCGCGGUCGCACCGCACCCUCACACGGUCGCUCUUGCACGCCGCGGUCGCACCGCACCCUCACACAUUUGCCCCUGCACGCCGCAAACCCAACCAAGGGAACGCACCCUCACUGACACAUGUUGUCGCAUGUGAACAAACCAAACUCAGCCAUCCUACCGCUGACACAUAAUUUUCGUUCAUAGAGUAUGUUUAUCCAACCGCAUGUUGGGGAGUAUCCGUACGGCCCGUGCGGUGGUCUGUUGGGGAAGAAGAAGAGGUGAGGAAGAAGGGUUAGGAGACGUAGGAUAUUCAUCCAACCACCUGAAAUGGUAGACUGGCCCAAGUCAGGCGACUUGCAUAACAAUAUAUGUUUUUACACAGCAAAAGAUCCAUAAAAACAACAACAUAAAGAAAAACUAUCACUGCUCGCGGAACGAGACGGCCUCGUCGUCUUUGGCUGCCGGCGCGAACUAGCCGUAGCUGCCGACAUGUGUCUCCGCACCGUGGUUGUCCUCGGCCUCCAGCUACUCGUUCACGCAGAGCGUGCGGGCACUCUGCACGGACGAGAGCACAGCCCAGUUCAAGUCGAGGACGUCUGGUUCCGCCUGCAGGAGGGCCUCAAUGGCAGCGGCAUCCGCGCGCUCCGCGUCGAGUCGAGUCAAGCCUCCGCCGCCCGGUUCAAGUCCAGGACGUCCAGUUCCGCCUGCAGGAGGGCGUCGAUGAGAGCGGCAUCCGCGUGCUCCGCGUCGAGUUGAGCCUCUGCCGCCCGGUUCAAGUCCAGGACGUCCGGUUCCGCCUGUAGGAGGGCCUCGAUGGCAGCGGCAUCCGUGCGCUCCGCCUCAAGUUGAGCCUCCGCCGCCCGGUUCACAUCCACGACAUCCGGUUCCGCCUGUAGGAGAGCCUCGAUGGCAGCGGCAUGUGCGCGCUCCGCGUCGAGUUGAGCCUCUGCCUCCCGGUCCUCCUUUAGUAUCGCCAUGUUGAACUGCUAGUCCGCCUGCACCAUGGGGGACACGGACGCCGGCACGAAGUCGACGUCCAUCGUCUCAUACCCAUCGGGGCCUUUUGCGCCGCGAGCCCCGCCAUGAACAUUGAAUCGGCUUCCUCCUCCUCGUAGCUUGGCUCUAGAGAACUCGGGAUUGGCUGUAACAUCCCAAAUUUUCAAUUUGGAAUGUUAUACAUAGAUCAUUCAUGCAUAUCAUAUUUUAUUGCAUUUCAUUUUUCGAUCCUCGAAAUUCUAAGCAACUCAAGGACCCACGGAGAGAGUUGGGGAUUUCACGAUUUUCAUAUUUGAAUUUUAUCAAAUAUCGAAACGAGGAUCAUUUGUUUUAAUUAUUUUUCUCUCCGAAAAUAUUUCAUAUUCAAGAUUAUAUGAGAGGGGAUAAUAUGACUUCUCCAAAAAUAAUGGAAUAUUGGAGUAAAAAUAUUAAAAACAAAUAUUUGAUUUUAUUUGGGAUUUUAUUGCUAUUUUAUUUGCAUAGGAAAAUAUGCAUUUUUCAAAAUUGCAUUAUAGGCCCAAAUAAAUGUUCAUCUUGUCCGGCUUAUUUUUAGAGGACGGGGAAAAUUUAUUUCAGGAUUUUUGGAGUCCGUUUAGUAUUCUUUUUUUUCUUUUUAUGCACAUCGGAAUUUUUUUUUAAAAGGAAACCGACUUCGGGCCGUACCCGGCCUGGACUCCUCGGGCCGGCCCCUUUAAAAGCCGCCGCCCCGGCGCCCCGCAGCCCACCCCGCUGAAACCCUAACCCCGCCGGACUCGCCGCCGCCGCCGCUGGAGACGNNNNNNNNNNNNNNNNNNNNNNNNNNNNNNNNNNNNNNNNNNNNNNNNNNNNNNNNNNNNNNNNNNNNNNNNNNNNNNNNNNNNNNNNNNNNNNNNNNNNNNNNNNNNNNNNNNNNNNNNNNNNNNNNNNNNNNNNNNNNNNNNNNNNNNNNNNNNNNNNNNNNNNNNNNNNNNNNNNNNNNNNNNNNNNNNNNNNNNNNNNNNNNNNNNNNNNNNNNNNNNNNNNNNNNNNNNNNNNNNNNNNNNNNNNNNNNNNNNNNNNNNNNNNNNNNNNNNNNNNNNNNNNNNNNNNNNNNNNNNNNNNNNNNNNNNNNNNNNNNNNNNNNNNNNNNNNNNNNNNNNNNNNNNNNNNNNNNNNNNNNNNNNNNNNNNNNNNNNNNNNNNNNNNNNNNNNNNNNNNNNNNNNNNNNNNNNNNNNNNNNNNNNNNNNNNNNNNNNNNNNNNNNNNNNNNNNNNNNNNNNNNNNNNNNNNNNNNNNNNNNNNNNNNNNNNNNNNNNNNNCGCCGCCGCCGCCGCCCGAUUCGCCGCCCCGCCGCCGCCGUCUCGCCGGGACCCUGCCGGACUCGAGGUAGCCGCCACCGGUUUUUCUUUUAAAGCCGUUCGUUUUUUUAACCCUAGUUUCAUUUUUUUAGAUCCGGUUCGGUUUUUCCGUCGGUUUACUUAUUUAACGAACGCUCAUUUGUACGUUCGUUUUAACGAACGGUUUUCACCGUUUAGCCGCAGACAGCGAACGUUCAUUCGUUAGCCUGUUCGUCAAUUUUUCUUUUUCUUGGGUUUUUCGCGAUUAUUUUCGAUCGCGAUUUCUGAUCUGAUUUUCGUUUUAGUUUAACUUUUCACUCGUUUAUCGGAAUCAGGCGAUACAAGCGCCUAGAGUUUCGUCUCGAAACCCUCUUUCCGUUUAACCAACUUAAACAAGUUUUUUCUACUGUAAAAUUUGACUUAAGUCCAGAUUAGUAAACGGAGCUUGUUUCUUUCGCCCUCCGGUGUUGUCAACAUGGUCAACAACCGAGAGGAAUAAGGAGAUGACUGUACAUGGUGAGGAUGACAGUAGGGACCCAGCAGCGCGCGCAGUAAUUUUGUUUUUUCGGGAUGGAGAAGGGUAUCAACUGGGUUGUGCGGGACCUGUGGCCCACCUAGCCCAGGCUUUUAUUUCAUAUGUUUAGCACAUGACCAGCCCAGUUUGUUUUUUUCCUUUCUGAAAAUGGCUAGCCAGCUAUUUUGUUUUUUGCAGAAUAUCCAACAUAGGCCUACUUGCUUUUCUAUGCCCUGCUGGCCGGAAAUCUUUCAAGACGAGGAGGGAUGCAUUUUGCCCAGAAAAUGGGCUAUAAGUAAUAAGAAUGGGCUAUAAGUAAUAAUAAAUGGGCUGUAAAAUGAAAAAAAUACAGCAAACAGGCAAUUAGUUCCAAAAUACUUUUUUCUUUCGGAUUUUGAUAUUUUAAAUUUCAUUGUUUUUGUGCGGGUAAAAUUUCAUUGAAUUUAAAUUAAGGUAUAUUUAGAUUUAAAAUUAAUUUGAAUCUGGCUAGAAAUUUCAGGCUGUAUGCUGUUUGGGACAGAUUUGGAGGCUGACUUGUGGGUCUACUAGGUUGACGUGUACUUUGGCGUUGUCAACUUAGUCCACAAACAAUUCUAGCAGGAGUGACCGUUGGAUGUUAAUCCAACGGACGUGCUGCUUCUUCAAUAUCUGAUCUUCUUGCUCCAGCCGCCCAAACCAGCGCAGGUGGGACUGCCUGCUCCCGCCUCCCGUGGCCGGCUGUGCUGCCGCACAGGCCGCACCGCCCCACCCUACUUCAUUGCUGGCCAGACCAUUCCUCUACUCACCCACACCUCCUGUUAUUUUCCGGCGACGGCAGCCGGACCAGUAAACCCUCGUACUCCCCACCGCGUGGGCAACCAUUGCCGAGUCUUCCCCGGCUCCAUGUCGUUCCCUUCCUAGGCCUCGCCGUCGUCCACCGCCAUGGUGCUCUCGGCGCGGCCUGGUCAACGUGGUCAACGAACUACAUCCAUCGGACAUGGACUGUACAUGGAGAGGCUGACAGCUGGGUCCACGGCCGCACACAAGGAAAUGCCUCCUUAUUACGCGCAAAAUAAUGAUUCCUCCACCUGACAGCCGGGACCCACCGGAAGGGCCUCUGUAUUUCGCGAAAAAAACGUUCCCCCCGCUGACAGGUCGGAUCCACCAGCUAUAUCUUCACACGCAAGGAAGUGUCUCCUUAUUACGCACAAAAAAUGAAUACCCCCUGCUAGCUGGGACACACCAUAGUGGGUGGCUGACUUGUGGGCCUACUAAGUUGACAGGGACGGAGGGCUUUGUCAACUUAGUCAACACUCCAGUGACCGUAUGAUGUCCAUCCAACGGCCAUAGUGCUUCUUCAACCUCUGGUCUUCUUGCUCCAGCCUCCCAAAGCAGCGCCGGUCGUGCCGCCUGCUCCUGCCUCCCGUGGCCGGCUGUGCUGCCGCGGAGGCCUCACCGCCCCCAUACUACUCCCACCGCUGGCCAGGCCAUCCCUCUACUCACCCACAACCCCUGUUAUUCUGCGGCGACGACAGCCUCACACCGCAGCCGAACCAGUUAACCCUCGUACUCCUCUCCGCGUGGGCAUCCACUGCCACGUCUUCCCCAGCUCUACGUCGUCCCCUUCCUAGGCCUCGCCGUCGUCCACCGCCGUGGUGCUCUCGGCGUGGCGUGGUCAACGUGGUCAAGGAACGACUUCCAUCGGACGUGGACUGUACGUGGAGAGGCUGACAGCUGGGUCCACGGCCGCAGCAAGGAAGUGCCUCCUUAUUACGCGGAAAAUAAUGAUACCUCCACCUGACAGCACGGACCCACCAGACGGGCCACUGUAUUUUGCGAAAAAAAUGUUUCCCCCUGACUGCUAGGACCCACCAGCUACAUCUUCGCACGCAAGGAAGUGCAUCCGGGCAAAAUAAAUAAUUCGCCCCCUGACUGCUGGGACCCACCGCUACAUCUUCGCACGCAAGGAAGUGCCUGACAGUCGGGACCCACCUGGUCGAAGCGUACGUAGCGUUGUGAUUCUGGUCGCGAACGUGUACGUACAUACUGGUGGAUGUAGAGGCGCGCACGUGUCGUAGUAGAGGCGCGCAUGUAGCAUGUACACGUACGUACAGCGGCCGGUGUGCAAGAAAGAAAAUACGGCCACGUACGUACAUACGGGCAGGGUCUCGAGCGCCUACUCGCGCAUACGUACGGCCAGGGCUCGUGUACAUGGCUGGGUCGCAACAGAGAAACUGCGUCGUCGUCAUGUUCAUGGGGAGGCAACGGAAUGCGUCGUGUUCAUGGGGAGGCAACGGAAUGCGUCGUGUUCAUCAGGAGGCAACGGAAUGCGUCGUGUUCAUCGGGAGGCAACGGAACGCGUGGGAGCCAACCGGCUUGGACGGAACAGGCGAUGGAAACGAGGCCUGGCGUACCGCAGAACGGAGGAAACGGCCUUGUGUUCGACCGGCCACGUUCGAAACGGGAUCCUGUUCAACGGGAGGGGUCUGGCAUACCGCAAAACGGAGGAAACGGACUUGUGUUGGACCUCCUACGGUCGAAACGGGGUCCUGUUGAUCGGGAGGGGUGUGGCGUACUGCAAAACGGACGAAACGGACUUGUGUUGGAGCGCUACGGUCGAAACGGGGGUCUUGUUCAUCGGGAGGGGUGUGGCGUACCGCAAAACGGGACUCCACGGGAUACUGUUCAUCUCCACCGUCGACCUCCUCCAGCCUCCACGGGGCUACUGUUCAUCCACCGUCGACCUCCUCCAGCCUCCACCUGCGACUGUUCAUCCACGGGCUCCUGUUCAUCCAGCCUCCACCGCGCGCUACUCCACCGGCUACUGUUCAACCACCCCUCUCCACGGGCUCCUGUUCAACCGCCCCUCCACGGGCUACUGUUCAUCCACCCCUCCACCGUCUACUGUUCAUCCAGCCCUCCACNNNNNNNNNNNNNNNNNNNNNNNNNNNNNNNNNNNNNNNNNNNNNNNNNNNNNNNNNNNNNNNNNNNNNNNNNNNNNNNNNNNNNNNNNNNNNNNNNNNNNNNNNNNNNNNNNNNNNNNNNNNNNNNNNNNNNNNNNNNNNNNNNNNNNNNNNNNNNNNNNNNNNNNNNNNNNNNNNNNNNNNNNNNNNNNNNNNNNNNNNNNNNNNNNNNNNNNNNNNNNNNNNNNNNNNNNNNNNNNNNNNNNNNNNNNNNNNNNNNNNNNNNNNNNNNNNNNNNNNNNNNNNNNNNNNNNNNNNNNNNNNNNNNNNNNNNNNNNAUCGAUCGGCUUCAGUUAGCAGCAGUAGCGAAGGAAUCGCUCGAUCGGGUUCAGUUAACAGCCAUCGAUCGAUCUCUCGGGUUCAGUAACGCGUAGCCUGCAGUGCAAUCGCUCGGGUUCAGUUAGAUCCCAACGCCUCGCUUGGGUUCAGUUAGAGCCAACGCCUCGCACACAUGCGCGUACAUGUACGAGAGAAACGUGCAUCGCUCGGCCCCCGACCACCCACCGUAACCGGGAACUCGCCGAAAUUUUCCUCGCCCUCGCUUCAACCAUGGUUUUUUCCGCCAUGGACGGCCCAAAGAAUGUCAUGCAGCUGUGUCUCCAGCCCGCCCAGGACGAAAAGCCCAUUUUCGGUCAUGAUUUUUUGUCAUAGAAGUAGGAGCCCACCACAUCUAUGAUGAUACCGGGUUUUGUCACAAUUAUCGUCAUAGAAGUGUCAUAAGUAUGACAGAAUUUUUUUUCGUUCGGCCCAAAAUGUCACGGAUGUGUCUUUUUUUUGUAGUGAAGUCUUGCUGGGUACAUUUGUACUCACGUUUUCUUAAUUUAUGUUUUUGCAGAGAGACUUCAGUCUCGCUAGUAGUUCCGCGUGGACUUCGACGUUUAGCUUGUUACCUCAGCUACGAUCUUGUGCCCUCGACAGGAUCUGGUAGAUGGUCAGGCUUCUCAGCCUUUUCACUUGUAGAUGUCUGUACUCAGACAUGUUAAGCUUCCGCAUGUGCUUGUUGUUUGUAUGCUCUGAAUGUUGGGUCAUGAGACCCAUGAUUGUAAUAUCUCGCUCCUCAGAGCCUAAUGAAUAAAUCCUCUGAGUCAUAGAGUUUCGUUGUGAUGCCAUGUUGUAUUUGCACAUAUCGGGCAUAUUGUGUGUAUGUUAUUGAAAUGCUUGGUAUGUGUGGGAUCCGACAACCUAGUUGUUUAUUCUUGGUAGCCUCUCUUACCGGGAAAUGUCUCCUAGUGCUUCCACUGAGCCAUGGUAGCUUGCUACUGCUCCGGAACACUUAGGCUGGCCGGCAUGUGUCCUUCUUCUUUCCUGUGUCUGUCCCUUCGGGGAAAUGUCACGCGUUGUUCCUUUAAGUCCUUGUAGCUUGCUACGACUUGGGUUCAUACGUUGUUGAUCGACAUGUUCGUUGUUGGGUCAUGUAUGCAUGUCCCUGUAAGUUAGCGCCACCUUGGGUUUACGACUAGUCAUGUCAGCCCGGGUUCUUCGCCAUACGGAUGCUAGCGACACUAUCAUAUACGUGAGCCCAAAGGCGCAAACGGUCCCGGGCCAGGUAAGGUGGCACCCGUGGGAAUACCGUGCGUGAGGUCGCAAAGUGAUAUGAUGUGUUACAUGCUAGAUCGGUGUGACUUAGGAUCGGGGUCCUGACAGCUUUGGUAUCAGAGCCUGACUGCCUGUAGGAUUACCAAGCCAAACUGGUCGAAGUUGAGUCUAGAAAUUCUUUAGUUAUAUAAAGAAAUUGAUUGUGGAUGGAACGUAAGGCUCUUUUUACUCCUUUACCUUAUGCCUUCUGAACUGAGUCAUCCUAUCUUUCCUACGGGGUUAAGAAACUAGGCUUUCUCUUCUUUCUAUCAGGAUCACAUGUUACUAAUCCAUAGACUUAUAGGAAUGAUGGAUUCAAGCCUCAGUUCAGUCUCUUCUACUUCCGUGUGUUCGUAGUUGGUCUUAGAACCUUCAUAUUGUGACGAUCGAGUGGUUAUGCCACCAUUUGCAGGAUGUCUUAACUCUUUUUGAGCAUUUACAACCGUUAUGCUGUCUGAGUCAUCCCAGGUUUCUGAAUAGUCUGAUGCAUUUGCAAACCCUUCUUUCCAUUCCCAAUGUUCCUUUGGGCCAGAUUAACCACACUAAUCGGUGGGUUGAGGUACUCUAUUGCCUCGACAUAUAUGUUGGAGUUGCUAUUAUGACCCUAGGUGUCUUAGAGGAUCACCUAGUAAUCUAGCCAUGGUUUGUGUUCCCAGUGUGAUGAUUCUGGCCAUCAUUCUCGAAAGCAUCCCGUGAUGCCACUUAGUAGUAGGUAUUCUACUCCUGGGUUUUGAACCCGAGAUUUACCCUACUUACCUUAUGUUGAUAGUGGUUGCUAGUUCCUUUAGGAUAUUAGUAACCUUUGCAUUAGUCGUCGAAGUCCGUGGUAUUUACUUCUUCCAAAUACCAUGAACUGCUUAUGGCAGAAGUUCCUCGCUGAACCGAAAGAUCACAACCAGAGUGCUUUUGACGAGUUCUCGAUUCUAUGAUGUGACUCUGCCAGUUCUACCUUCUCCGCAUGGGUUAUCCGGAAGUAAUAUGUUGAACUCGUUCGACAUGCUAAUCUAUGCAUCCACAACUCAGAAAAUCAUAUGUUCUUUGAGUUGUCCCUCUUUAGUUGUUUUUCGGGCCUUCGUCUAUCAAUUGAUAGUAAGGAGUAGUUGCGCAAUCGUGUUUAUCAAUGCCUAUUACUCUUGUAGUCCGUCAAGCCAUUCUAUUCCGGAAUGACUAGGAGAAACAAACCCAGUACCUUAUCCAUUUCCAGGGUUGGGUCAAAGUAGUUGUAAUCCGCAAAUCAAAAUGCCAACCCAGCUUUUGAUUAUGUUCUACCCUGGAGUAUUACCCCCCUUUAUGUCAGGAUUUUCAUGAGAAUUGCACCAGCUCUUGUGAAUUCUUGACGCAGUGAUACUUCUCGCCAUCAUUAUUCAUUUCUCGGUUCCCGUGUUGUUGCAACCGGAAUGCCGACAAGUGAAUCAUGAUGUGUGAAAUCAAUACUCCUAGCAACCCUGUUGCUUGGUAGUUAAAGGACAAUAAUUUCGUUCUUAGCAUGUUGGUUAUUGAAUCAUCAUUCUAAGAUAGAUUGUGCUACCUAGCCCUCUUUCCUGGUGCACUUCUCGAUCUAUGAGUUAGGAUUGUGUCAACCCCUUACUUAUUUGAUCAUAUCGUCUUGCCCUGAAAAGCAAGAUUGCUCUCGAGCUUGGUAACAUAUCGGUGGUUCAUGAUUUUCCGAAUAUCUUCUCGGAAGUAUUACCAGGUUGACACCUGACCGCUAUGUUGAGUUCGUGAUCAAGUUGGUUUCUCUAUGAGCCACCCUUUCUCCAAGAAUCUGUGUCGGAUACCCUGAUCUAGUUGGAUAAGCUAAACAACAACUUGGGGAGUUGGAAGAUAAAAGCUGGUUCGAUUUAGAUCAUUCUAAGGGGUAUCUUGUAUGUAUGUUGAAGAAAGAUGAUAUCUUCAUCAACUGAUCCCUGUGAUCAGUUGUUGGGUCUAUUGUCUUGUCCAAACUUUGAUUUGAGUAUGGGCUAUCCUCAAAUCAAAUCAUAACCAACAAUGUUCGUAAUGUUGUCUUACUCGUGGUUGAUUCCUCGAGCAUACACCAUUAUAUCCUUUGGUCUGACCAAUGCUAUCAACUUGUUCACAUAAUUGUGGAGUUCCACUUAUAUGGAAACAUGGAUGAAUUGUUGUUGAGCCCAUCAGCAACAUUUUUAAUUCCUCCAUGAUUCGUGUUGAACAUCCGGUUAGUAUUGGAAACUUUUAUAAGCAUUAUCUCCAUGUUCCGUUCAUGAAGCAUAUGUUUGCCUGAAAGGAGUGACUUCCUCUAAUUCAUGUGCAUUUGAUGCAAGUUGCCGCCGUGAGUUUGAGAAAGAUUGUUUUUGCUUCCUUUGGAGUCGUCCCAAGUCAGUCAUGCAUGUGCAAAGUAUACUGUGGUUUGGUAGAUUAAUUACCUCCACUCCAUAUGUAUUCCGUAGCACACCAAGCCACUGAUUGAUUUGCUCAAGGAGAAGAAGUUCCUUCUUAAGACCCGGGCUUAUACAAGGACUUUGAUAUCCUCGAUGAUGGCUCCCCACCUGAACUUGGUAGUGUUUAUUAUAAGACUACUAUGUGGUCAUGCUUGUCUGGGACAGCGUGUUCACAUGUGUGUAGCAGAACCCGCUCAUGUUUGGAGCUUACUACCAUAGUCCAUUUCCCGAGAAUCUCGCAAUGCCAUCUCAUCGAUUUGUGUUGCGAACUUCAUUUUUCUUUCUAGACUUGAUGAGUCUAGAAUAUUCUGACCCAACCAGAUCUAAAUCUCAGGCAGAUAUGAUGGUUGGAACUUUUCCAAGAUCUAUGAUGUAGGUCCCAACAAGGUUAUUGUUUUGGCCGACACACCUAGCCGGAAGCUAUCAUUGUAAUAUCUUGACUGAGCUAUUGACCAUCUUCUCCAUGAUGAUUUCGUGCGACCUAUUCUACAAGUUGUUCCUUAAGGAUCCUCGUGCUCUCGGUUUCCUCGAUUUUUCUAUAACCAUUCAAACAGUGGAGUCACCCUCUACUGUUGAGCUUCUCCUAAGUUACUAGAAUCAUUCCCAGCAUUUGCAUUUUGUUCCCAGCCUGCACUGCCAUUGGGCCAUUCUACCAUGGGUCCCAUCCAUUUCUGAUGAUAAGCAAAAAUCAUUCCUUGUGUUGUCUUCAACAAGGUAAUCCACAUCAUCCAUCCUAGCCCGAGUAUGUUGUUCCCUCAAACUCCGUCAAACGAUUGUUGGUGAAUUGCCUUAGGCUGGUAUAAAGAGUCUCAAUGAUCUCUAUAUCAAAAGUAAUUCUUUUUGCCUCCUAAGAGAUGUCCUUAUGUCUCACUCCAAGAGUUGAUCUUGAGUGCUCAAUCCCCGAGAAGAUCGAUUUCGUAGAGUUUCCUUCUGUCAUCGUCGUGUUGGAUGAAGUUUCCGAAGGCAAAGACGUCAAGAUCAAUAUGAUGCAAUGAAUCAACAUCCUCGAGAAGGACAGUUAGAUCGAGAGGACUGUGAUAGUUUGUGUCCCCUCUUCAUCUUACCCUACGCUUGAAUCUCGGGAUGAGAUUCUUGUUUAGUGGGGGUGAGUUGUCACAUCCCUAGCUUCUGGCAUUGGACUAGGCUAGCUUCAUGUGUGCAUCAUGUUUAAUUUUGAAAGAAACUUGAAAUGGGGAUUGCCUAAACCCUAGCAUCAAAGGAAUUCAGUAGGUUCAACUAAAAUAUUUUCAGUAAAUCCAAAUGGCUUUAAAAAAUGUUCAUCAUUUUUGGAAAACGCUGGAAACAGUAACCAGAGGUGAUGCACAUUUUUCCAUGACAUAUUUGGGCUCUGAAUUAAAUCAUACUCUAUUUGCAUUUGGGCAUUUAAAUGCUAUAAAAUAUUUUAAAUAUCCAAAUAAUCAUAAACUAAAAUGUUUACUGUUGGAUAUAUUCCAAACAGUAGCCAUGAGUAGUUUCAUGAUUUUUGGAAGUGUCUAGGUAUUUUUAGAAAAGCCCUAAAGACUACAGAAUAAUAGAAAACAGAAACUAAAAUAGGAAAAAAAACAGAGAGAGAGAAGAAAACUUACCUAGCGCUUACCUGUCCAGCUUGGCGGCCCAGCAUUGUUGGCCUAGCCCAGCAGCCCUCCCCCUGCCGUCUUCCUCCUGCCAGGAGGACAGACAGGUGUGUGGCGAGCGCGCCGACGACGCCUUGCCACCUCCUGCUUCGGUCGCGCAGCCUUGACCCCCCAGGCGUGCCACGGAGAUGCCCCGAAGCCCCUGGUCCUUCUCCCUCACUCUCUGCUCUCUCCCUCGCUCUCUAGCCCCCUCCCCGAGCUCACCCAAGAGCGCUCUGCCGUCGCCGUGCUUCACCCGCGUGGCCACCGCCCCCUCGCCCAUCCAACGUGUCUGGGAGAACCGCCGCAGCUCCGUCUUCCUCCAAGUCAUCGAACAAAAGUUGGGGCGCGCCCGAACGCCCUCACCACCCUCAUCUUCAACCUCGGGACGCCGAGAUCCGCUGCGCCGCCUCGCUCACUUCGAUGCCUCCCCGACCUCGCUCUUGCGCCUGUUGACCUCACUGUGAGCUCCGUUGUCGAUUCCCCCUUUCCCCGUUGCGUUUUGCUCGCCGUACCGUCGUUCUGCCGACGCCCAUAGGUCGCGGCCGCACUUGCUCAUCGCCGGCAGUCUUCGGUGACCAUUUGGUCAUGCCUGGGUGCCCAGUAGCCUCGAUAGGACCCGCGGGCCACUGCUGGCAUGCUAACCUGGCUGCUCACCCGCUCCAGAGCCAUCGCCGCUCCUGACCGAGCUUCGGUCGCCGCCGCCUCUGCCAACCACCCCGGCACCUCCCACCACCACCAGACGGAGCGUCGCAGUGCGAGCUUUCCAACGCGCCUAGCCGCGUGACCUCCUGACGCCGGAGCUGGCCAGACGACCAACGCCGCCGUGCUCCGGUCAUCGCCGGCGCUAACCCGCCGACGUGGCCAGAUUAGUCGCUAAACCCACUGUUGGCACUAAUUAAACCCCCCNNNNNNNNNNNNNNNNNNNNNNNNNNNNNNNNNNNNNNNNNNNNNNNNNNNNNNNNNNNNNNNNNNNNNNNNNNNNNNNNNNNNNNNNNNNNNNNNNNNNNNNNNNNNNNNNNNNNNNNNNNNNNNNNNNNNNNNNNNNNNNNNNNNNNNNNNNNNNNNNNNNNNNNNNNNNNNNNNNNNNNNNNNNNNNNNNNNNNNNNNNNNNNNNNNNNNNNNNNNNNNNNNNNNNNNNNNNNNNNNNNNNNNNNNNNNNNNNNNNNNNAAUUAAGUAGUUAACUUCUCUGUUAGAUUAGCACUAACCCUAGUGGGCCCACGCGUCAGCUUUGACCAUGCUGACGUGGCCCUUGACUGGGCCCACCUGUUUGUGACCCUAGGCAGCACUGGCUCACUGACCGGCGGGCCCCACGCGUCAGGUUUGACCUGGACCGGGUCUGUUGACCUGCUCAGGUCAGCAUGACGCAAUGCUGACGCAGUAAUUGAUUUUCUGGAUUUAAAAUAAUUCAGGAAAUUCUAGAAAAUGCCCAAAACUUCAAAAAUUCAUAGUAACUCAACCGUAACUCCAAAUGAAAUAAUUUAUAUAUGAAAAAUGAUCAGAAAAAUCUAAUCUAUCCAUCUGUACCAUUUUCAUGCAUGUUAGAACAACUUAUAGCUGCUGUUUAGGACAAAUCAUAUAAAUGGCAUUUGAAUAUCCACAUAUGGAGUUUGAAUUUGAAUCUUGGAUUCAAACCAACUUCAUUUAACCUGUUGCUAGUUGCAUUAGCUCAAAUCACAGCAUGUUGACAUGUCAUGAUCAUGCAUCAUAUUGUGCAUUGCAUUGAUUGUGUUCUUCCUUCUUUGCUGGUAUUUGUUCCCUCUCGAUAGAUGUGUUCCGGCGAUGAGUUCGAUGACACCGAUGAAGAACUAUACUAUCUUCAGAAGUGCCAGGCAACCAAAACCCCUUGCUCAUUCCGAUACAACCCCACUCUCUUGCUCUUGCUCUUGCUCUCUUUUACUGCAUUAGGGCAACAACGAUUCAACUGUUACAUGAUGCAGUAGUUGAACCCCUUUCCUCUGCAUGACCUGUCAUUGCCACGGUAAAUAGAUGAAACCCACUAGCGUGAGUAGGAGUUGUUUGAGCCCUGAUGUGCCUACUCAUUCAUGCUUGUUUAACAUGCCUGCUACUGCUUAGAGUUGAGUCAGGUCUGAUUCAUUGGGGAUGAAUUGGAGGUGUGUGAACAUGUCCUACUGUGUGUGAGCUAAGUGUGUGAACACGAUUUGGUAAAGGUAGUGGUGAGAGGCCAUGUAGGAGUACAUGGUGGGUUGUCUCAUUGAAGCCGUCCUCAGGAACUGAUUUCUGUGUUUGUGAUCCAUGAACAGCUACUACCACGCAUUGGGCUCCUUAAUUGACCCUCUCGACUUAUUAAUCAAUCUGAUCUCUAUCCAGGAGUUGCAACUAGUUUCUGGUGUUUGUAGGUGGUGCUAGUAGUCUACCAAGUGGCACCCGGUACAGGUGGGCUUGGGACAGACUAGGCACACGUGGCACGGUGUACCAAGUGGCACCUGGAUGGUGGGCUUGGGAACCCUGCUCACAUCGUUUGGGGCCGUGAGCGACACCCCGGCCGGAUCUCCUUGCGGAUGGAACCCGAAUAGGCGAUAAACCUGGACUAGAGACUUGUGUGGUUAGUCAGGUCAUGGCCGACACCCUCGCCAGGCUUCUGCUUGAAGGUUACCGAGAUACAUGACGUGUACAUGGCGGUAAGUGGCGAGAGCGUGUGUGAAGAAGUACACCCCUGCGGGGUUAAUAUGAUCUAUUCGAAUAGCCGCGUCCGCGGUAAAGGACGUCUAGGUUACCUAUACAGUUCAUAGACAAGUGAAAGUGGAUACUCUAAAAUACGCAAGAUAAGCGUGAGUGCUAUGGAUGGCGUUCUCAUAGGGAGACGGAAGCAGAUCCAUAGUGGUGUAUUGAUAUGGUGAAUAUGUGGACUCGUGUGCGCCACCUCAAAGAGUUACUUGCAGUCGUAGUUCAGGAUAGCCACCGAGUCAAAGCUGGCUUGCUGCAGUUAAACUCCACCAUCCCUUUGUUGAUAAUGAUGCAUAUGUAGCUAGUUCUGAUGUAAGUCUUGCUGGGUACAUUUGUACUCACGUUUGCUUAAUUUAUGUUUUUGCAGAGAGACUUCAGUCUCGCUAGUAGUUCCGCGUGGACUUCGACGUUUAGCUUGUUACCUCAGCUACGAUCUUGUGCCCUCGACAGGAUCUGGUAGAUGGUCAGGCUUCUCAGCCUUUUCAUUUGUAGAUGUAUGUACUCAGACAUGUUAAGCUUCCACAUGUGCUUGUUGUUUGUAUGCUCUGAAUGUUGGGUCAUGAGACCCAUGAUUGUAAUAUCUCGCUCCUCGGAGCCUAAUGAAUAAAUACUCUGAGUCAUAGAGUUUUGAUGUGAUGACAUGUUGUAUUUGCACAUAUCGAGCAUAUUGUGUGUAUGUUAUUGAAAUGCUUGGUAUGUGUGGGAUCCGACAACCUAGUUGUUUAUUCUUGGUAGCCUCUCUUACCGGGAAAUGUCUCCUAGUGCUUCCACUGAGCCAUGGUAGCUUGCUACUGCUCCGAAACACUUAGGCUGGCCGGCAUGUGUCCUUCUUCGUUCCUGUGUCUGUCCCUUCGGGGAAAUGUCACGCGUUGUUCCUUUAAGUCCUUGUAGCUUGCUACGACUUGGGUUCAUACGUUGUUGAUCGACAUGUUCAUUGUUGGGUCAUGUAUGUCUGUCCCUGUAAGUUAGCGCCACCUUGGGUUUACGACUAGUCAUGUCGGCCCGGGUUCUUUGCCAUACGGAUGCUAGCGACACUAUCAUAUACGUGAGCCAAAAGGCGCAAACGGUCCCGGGCUAGGUAAGGUGGCACCCGUGGGAAUACCAUGCGUGAGGUCGCAAAGUGAUAUGAUGUGUUACAUGCUAGUUCGGUGUGACUUAGGAUCGGGGUCCUGUGUGGCGAGAAACUGAAAAGGGAACUUGAAAGGUUGUGUGGUGAUGUGGCUAGGACCGAUCCAAGUACGCUGAAAUUAAAAUCAACGACUGCUUAAUCGAGUUGUAGUAUCUCCGUGAGGAGUUGAUGUGGCGCUAGAGGUCUCAAGUGGAGGGGCUCUUGGCUGGUGAUAGAAAUACACAUUUUCCAUCUCAGGGCAUCAAUCCGGCGUAGGAAGAAUCUGAUCAAGUAUUUGCAAAAACCAUACGGUGAAAUCAUAGAGGACCCGACUGAGAUGCAGCAGUUGGCGAUGGAUUUUUUAUCAAAAUUUGUACGCGUUUGAAGGGGUGCAAGGGGUACCUGAGGUAAUACAACAUGUACCAGUUAAGGUAACAACGACAAUGUAUGAGAUUUUAAUGGAAGAGAGCACUAUUUUCAAAUGUUUCCCACAAAGGCCCCUAGGUUUGAUGGGUUCCCAGCUCACUUCUUCCAGUAUCAUUUGGACAUCUUAUUUGUGUUUAGAGUUGUGUUGUGCUGUCUUCCCGUGAGUCUCUGAGCUUGAUCGCACAUGUUUGCAUGCAUGAUUAGUGUACGAUUGAAUCGGGGGCGUCACAGACAUAUGUGGGGCUUUUGUCACUAAAGCAGUUCUCGGCAUUGUCCGUGGAGAGGAAAAUCCGGCCAUAAAUGGCACACUAUCUAUAGAGAUACUAAGCUCCCUCGAAUUGAAGCGCUCUGGUGCUUCGAGAGUUGUGGGGUCACUAGAGCCCCACGUGUAAGUGUGUAUUGUUUAGUUUAUUUCUUCUUCCCUUUUUAUUUUUAUUUUUUUUCACAUUUUAAUUCAUGAGCACUUAUUCAAAUUUGUGUACUUUAAAAAACACAAACAUAUUUUGAAAUUCUUCAAAUUCAUUAAUAUUGAUUAAAUUUGUGGAUAUUUUUAAAGUUCACGGCCAUUUAAAGUUUGUGAACAUUUUUUACAUUUGAAAACAUUUUAUAUUGUGAACAUUUUUGAAACCAUGAAUAUAUUUUAAAUUCACGAAUGUUUCUAAGAUGCAUGGUUUUAAAAGUAAUUAUAUAGUUUAAGUUCCUUAAACAUCAUUUUUUUGAAUAUUUACUGUGAGGUAAAGCCCCACAGCCCUUUAUUAAAAACGAACAACUGUACAAAAAGAAUAGAAGGAGUAUAUACAAGAGCUAAGAAACUAGCCUACAAAGCUAAGGUACAAGACUAGAACUACCUACCUGGACAAAUUAGACUAAAGCAUUUAUCCAAGCUUUAAGCUUGAUGCUGCUAUCUUCCUUGAGCCUAUGAGUUAGGAGUGAAAGAUCAUGUACAAAGUUAGACCACCAAGCAGGAAAAGUAGCUCUCUCCCCUCUAAAUGUUCUGCCAUUCCUGAGGAUCCAAAUAUUCCACGCUGCUGUCAGCAUUACUUUGUAGAAGAAAGGACGCCUGAAGCUGGAUCUAGCAUGCUGGAUACAUUGCUGAAUAUCCGGCCCUCUUGACCAGUCAAUAGAAAGGUAGUUCCAAACCCUCCUACUGAAAUUACAGUUGAAGAACAAAUGCAGCCUAUCCUCAUAUGAAAGUUCAUGACAGAUAACACAAAGAUUAUCAUCCACGGGGGAUCUCCAGUGCCUGCGGAUCAGAAGGUCCUUGGUGUUAAGCCUGUCAAAGAAAAGUAACCAGCCAAAGACUUUGAUCUUCAAGGUGCAUCUGCUUUUCCACAACCAUUUACACGGUUGAAUUGUGGGCAAAUGAGAGUGCAUCAAGGUGUAGAAACUCUUGGCUGAGUAACUACCAGAUCUGCCCGGCCAAACCCAAACAUAUGGUAUGUUGAUGUCCCUGUUCAAGGCCAUGAUCCAAUCUUCUAGCACAUGCAACUCCUGAGCAGCUUCAUGAGACAAUGGCAAGAAGAACAUGGGAAAAAUAUCCUGCGAUAUGAUGAAUUCAUGCACUGAAACCUAUCAUUGUUAACAAAGGAAAAUAACCUUGGCAAUCUCCAACAUAAAGGUCUAGAAGAGCCACCAAUAAACCAAGCAUCAGUCCAAAACAGAGCAGAGUCACCCAUGUUGAUGUGCACUAAGGCAAUAGGUGUGUAUGCAUCAUGGAGCUCGAGGAUAUCUCUCCACCAAAAGGAGCCCACUGGGGUUGUAGCAUGUGGAACACCAUCAACAUAAUAACUGUUCCAGAUGAGGGACACCCAGGGUAUGUCCGCCUUAUUAUAAAUUUAUGCAAGUGCUUGAGCAGAAGUCCCUUGUUUUGAAUGUUUAAGUUGAUGACCCCAAGACCUCCUUUGUCUUUUGGCCGACGGACUAAAUCCCAAGUAGCCAAAGAUUGCUUGGGAGCAUCAGUACUCCCCCUCCAGAGGCACUGUCUGAAGAUUCUGUCCAACUGCUUGAUAAUACCUAAUAACCCACAAGUGUAGGGGAUCGCAACAGCUUUCGAGGGUAAAGUAUUCAACCAAAAUUUAUUGAUUUGACACAAGGGGAGCCAAAGAAUAUUCUCAAGUAUUAGCAGUUGAGUUGUCAAUUCAACCACACCUGGAUAACUUAGUAUCUGCAGCAAGGUAUUUAGUAGCAAAGUAAUAUGGAACUAAAGGUAACGAUAGCAAAAGUAAUGUUUUUGGGUUUUGUAAUGAUUGUAACAGUAGCAAUGGAAAAGUAAAUAAGCGAAGAACAAUAUGUGAAAAGCUCGUAGGCAAUGGAUCAGUGAUGGACAAUUAUGUCGGAUGCGAUUCCUCGUGUAAUAGCUAUAACAUAGGGUGACACAGAACUAGCUCCAGUUCAUCAAUGUAAUGUAGGCAUGUAUUCCGAAUAUAGUCAUACGUGCUUAUGGAAAAGAACUUGCAUGACAUCUUUUGUCCUACCCUCCCGUGGCAGCGGGGUCCUAGUGGAAACUAAGGGAUAUUAAGGCCUCCUUUUAAUAGAGAACCGGAACAAAGCAUUAGCACUUAGUGAAUACAUGAACUCCUCAAACUACGGUCAUCACCGAGAAGUAUCCCGAUUAUUGUCACUUCGGGGUUGUCGGAUCAUAACACAUAAUAGGUGACUAUAGACUUGCAAGAUAGGAUCAAGAACACACAUAUAUUCAUGAAAACAUAAUAGGUUCAGAUCUGAAAUCAUGGCACUCGGGCCCUAGUGACAAGCAUUAAGCAUAGCAAAGUCAUAGCAACAUCAAUCUCAGAACAUAGUGGAUACUAGGGAUCAAACCCUAACAAAACUAACUUGAUUACAUGGUAAAUCUCAUCCAACCCAUCACCGUCCAGCAAGCCUACGAUGGAAUUACUCACGCACGGCGGUGAGCUUCAUGAAAUUGGUGAUGGAGGAUGGUUGAUGAUGACGACGGCGACGAAUCCCCCUCUCCGGAGCCUCGAACGGACUCCAGAUCAGCCCUCCCGAGAGAGAUUAGGGCUUGGCGGCGGCUCCAUAUCGUAAAACGCGAUGAAACUUUCUCUCUGAUUUUUUUCUCCGUGAAACGGAAUAUAUAGCGUUUGAGUUGAGGUCGGUGGAGCUCCAGGGGGCCCAGGAUACAAGGGGCGCGCCCACGGGGAGAGGGAGCGCCCCCACCCUCCUGGACAGCCUAAGUGCCUCCAUGGAUUUUCAUGUCAUUCCGAGAACUUUUGUUUUCUACACAUGAAACAACAUCAUGGUAAUUCUGCUGAAAACAGCGUCAGUCCGGGUUAGUUCCAUUCAAAUCAUGCAAAUUAGAGUCGAAAAAAAGGGUAAAAGUGUUUGGAAAAGUAGAUACGUUGGAGACGUAUCAACUCCCCCAAGCUUAAACCUUUGCUUGUCCUCAAGCAAUUCAGUUGAUAAACUGAAAGUGAUAAAGAAAAACUUUUACAAACUCUAUUUGCUCUUGUUGUUGUAAAUAUAUCAAGCCAGCAUUCAAGUUUCAGCAAAUAUUAUGAACUAACCAUACUCACAAUAACACCUAGGUCUCACAAUUACUCAUAUCAAUAGCAUAAUCAGCUAGCGAGCCAUAAUAAUAAAACUCGGAUGACAACACUUUCUCAAAACAAUCAUAACAUGAUAACAAAAUGGUAUCUCGCUAGCCCUUUCUGAGACCGCAAAACAUAAAUGCAGAGCACCUUUAAAGAUCAAGGACUGACUAAACAUUGUAAUUCAUGGUAAAAGAGAUCCAGUCAAGUCAUACCCAAUAUAAACCAAUAAUAAUGAAUGCAAAUGACAGUGUGCUCUCCAGCGGGUGCUUUUUAAUAAGAAGGUGAUGACUCAACAUAAAAGUAAAUAGAUAGGCCCUUCGCAGAGGGAAGCAGGGAUUUGUAGAGGUGCCAGAGCUCGAUUUUUAAAAUAGAGAUUGAAUAACAUUUUGAGCGGCAUACUUUCACUGUCAACGCAACAACUAUGAGAUGGUUGUAUCUUCCAUACUACAUGUAUUAUAGGCAGUUCCCAAACAGAAUGGUAAAGGUUUAUACUCCCCCAACCACCAACAAGCAUCAAUCCAUGGCUUGCUCGAAACAACGAGUGCCUCCAACUGACAACAGCCCUGGGGGAGUUUUGUUUAAUUAAUUUGAUUUGCUUUGAUCUUUUUGGAUCUUGGGACUGGGCAUCCCGGUUACCGGCCCUUUCUCAUGAAUGAGGAGCGGAGUCCACUCCUGUUGAGAAUAACCCACCUAGCAUGGAAGAUAUAGGCAGCCCUAGUUGAAACAUGAGCUGCUCGAGCAUACAAACAGAAUUUCAUUUGAAGGUUUGGAGUUUGGCACAUACAAAUUUACUUGGAACGGCAGGUAAAUACCGCAUAUAGGAAGGUAAGGUGGACUCAUAUGGAAUAACUUUGGGGUUUAAGGAGUUUGGAUGCACAAGCAGUAUUCCCGCUUAGUACAGGUGAAGGCUAGCAAAAGACUGGGAAGCGACCAACUGAGAGAGCAACAACAGUCAUGAACAUGCAUUAAAAUUAAUUUACACCGAGUGCAAGCAUGAGUAGGAUAUAAUCUACCAUGAACAUAAAUAUCAUGAAGGCUAUGUUGAUUUGCUUCAACUACAUGCGUGAACAUGUGCCAAGUCAAGCCACUCAAUUCAUUCAAAGGAGGAGACCAUCCCAUCAUACCACAUCACAAUCAUUCUAAUAGCAUGUUGGCACGCAAGGUAAACCAUUAUAACUCAUAGCUAAUCAAGCAUGGCACAAGCGACUAUAAUCUCUAAAUGUCAUUGCAAAUAUGUUUACUCAUAAUAAGCUGAACCAGGAACGAUGACCUCAUCAUAUUUACAAAAACAAGAGAGGUCGAGUUCAUACCAGCUUCUCUCAUCUCAAUCGGUCCAUCAUAUAUCGUCAUUAUUGCCUUUCACUUGCACGACCGAACGAUGUGUAUAAUAAUAAUAGUGCACGUGCAUUGGACUAAGCUGGAAUCUGCAAGCAUUCAACUCAAGAGAGAAGACAGGGUAAUAUGGGCUCUAAGUUAAAUAAACAAUCAUGCAUAUGAGAGCCACAAAACAUUUUCAAUAUGGUCUUCUCGACCCCCAAAGAAAAGAAAAUAAAACUAUUUACACGGGAAAGCUCCCAACAAGUAAAAGAAGAACGAGAAAUCUUAUUGGAUUUUCAUUUUAAUUCUACUACAAGCAUGGAAAUUAAAUUAACUAAUUUUUUUGGUUUUUCUUAAGGUUUGUCAAACUCACAAGAAGAAAACUAGAAAAAGAAAAUUUAAACUAACAUGGAUAAUACAAUGAAAGAGUAUGAGCACCGACGACUAAAAUAGUGUGUGAACAUGAAUGUAAAGUCGGUGAGAAAUACGUACUCCCCCAAGCUUAGGCUUUUGGCCUAAGUUGGUCUAAUGCCAAGGAUAGCCUGGCUGAUAUCUGUAGUUGUAACUGGGGUCAUACUGGGAUGCAGCAGCCAAUGCCUCUUGAGCUGCGGCAUGUUGGCGGGCUGCCUCCGCUCUCCUCUCGUAUUCGGUUGCCUCCUCCCUGGUUACAACAUAUCUUCGUUUUGCCUGGUAAUCAAAAAGGGAAGGAGCAGGGAGAGUAACAUGGACAGAGCUACGUCUGUCAAAGAUUAGUCAAUAUUGGAGGAAUUGUUCCUUCCCCACAAGAAAACGAUGACUGGCCAUAGUGUCAUAAUCUAAACAAGCAAAAGGUAACAGCAUGUCACCCUCACGUGGGGGUAUACCAAGAUAAUUUGCAACACGAGUCGCAUAAAUCCCUCCAAAUAAAUCUCCAGAUAAACCAUUAUUAUGCAACCUACGUGCAACUAUUGCCCCCAAGUUGUAAUCUUUAUUACCUAAAACAGCACUCUUGAGGACACAGAGAUCAGGGACACACAUGUGACAAGCUUCGUAUUUACCAUUUAUGCAUCUACCAAUGAAGAGAGCAAAAUAAUGUAUGGCAGGAAAGUGAAUGCUCCCUAUGGUAGCUUGUGCUAUGUCCCUAGAUUCUCCCACAGUAAUACUUGUAAGAAAGUCUUUAUAUUCAGAUUUACGGGGUUCAUUAACACUACCCCACUGUGGGAGAUUGCAAGCAGUGGUGAAAUCUUCUAAGUCCAUGGUAUAGGAUUGAUCAUAAAUAUCAAACGGGACAGUUUGAGAAUUACGCGAAGAUGAAAAUUUAAACCUUCUCACGAAUGCAUUAGUCAAAUAGUAGUACUGAGGACACUUAUCUUGCAUGAAGUCCUCAAGAUCAGCGUUAUGCACAAAUGCAUCAAAUUCAGCCUUAAUUCCUGCAUUGACCAUAAAUUCUUCUGACGGCCAUUCACAAGGCCGCACAUAAGCUUCCCUUGGUGGUUCAUCGUCUUGCUCACGCAUUGCACGCCUGGGUCCUUUCUUUAUUGAGGAACCACCUUGGUACAUUUUCCUAGACAUAUUUCUUCAUCUGAAAAAUUUCUGAAAUUUUAGUAACUUCAAAAUAGAAGUGAAUCAAACUCAAUAAAACUGAUAGCAACUACUCCUACAAGUGCCUAGAGCCUAUAUCAUGCAUUAGAAUUACUUGGGACCUCAUAAAUUUGACAUGCAAGCUCAAGAACAGGGUCACCUAUGCAGCAAACAUUUGCAAUGAAUAAAGCACUAGAACAAAAACUAAUUGGACCAAUGGAGGAGUCACAUACCAAGCAACAAUCUCCCAAAGCAGUUUUUCAGAUGGAGCUUUGAGCAAGGAGAUCGAAAAUCGCAGCAAAAUGAGCUAGAACUCGUGCUUGAGCUGGAUGGGGAUUUUUUGGGAGGAAGAUGGAGUGUGUGGGUGCAGGAAUAAGCGGAGGGGGGGCCACCGUGGGCCCAGGAGACAGGGGGCGCGCCCUAUAAGUGUGGGCGCGCCCUGGACCCUCCUGGCCAGGUGCUUGCCCCUCAUGCAGUGUUCUUAGUGCCUAAAAUCCUCAAAUAUUCCAGAAAAAUCAUACUAAAUUGGCAAGGCAUUUGGAGCACUUUUAUUUUCGGGAUAUUUUUUAUUGCAUGGAUAAUUCGGAAAACAGACAGAUAAUACUAUUUUUGCUUUAUUUAUUCUAAAUAACAGAACAUAAAAAAAAGGGUACAGAAGGUUGUGCCUUCUAGUUUCAUCCAUCUCAUGAUCAUCAAAAUGAAUCCACUAACAAGGUUGAUCAAGUCUUGUUAACAAACUCAUUCCGAAUAAUACGGAACCGGAGAAAUUUCGAAUAACACUAGGUUACCUCAAUGGGGAUAUGAACAUCCCCUACAAUAAGAAUAUCAUACUUUUUCUUGACAGUGGGAAGAGGAAAUUCAAAACCUCCAAUAAUAAUAGUUGGAACUUUUCCAAUAGAAUUGAUGUUAUGAACUUGAGAUUGUUUCCUCGGAAAGUGUACUGUAUGCUCAUUACCAUUAACAUGAAAAGUGACAUUGCCUUUAUUGCAAUCAAUAACAUCCCCUGCAGUAUUCAAAAAAAGUCUACCAAGGAUAAUCGACAUACUAUUGUCCUCGGGAAUAUCAAGAAUAACAAAGUCCGUUAAGAUAGUGACAUUUGCAACCACAACAGGCACAUCCUCACAAAUACCGACAUGUAUAGCAGUUGAUUUAUCGGCCAUUUGCAAAGAUAUUUCAGUAGGUGUCAACUUAUUCAAUUCAAGUCUACGAUAUAAAGAGAGAGGCAUAACACUAACACCGGCUCCAAGAUCACAUAAAGCAGUUCUAACAUAAUUUCUUUUAAUGGAGCAUGGUAUAGUUGGUACCCCUGGAUCUCCAAGUUUCUUUGGUAUUCCACCCUUAAAAGUUUAAUUAGCAAGCAUGGUGGAAAUUUCAGCUUCCGGUAUCUUUCUUUUAUUUGUGAUGAUAUCCUUCAUAUACUUAGCAUAAGGAUUUACUUUAAGCAUAUCAGUUAAGCGCAUACGUAAGAAAAUAGGUCUAAUCAUUUCAGCAAAGCGCUCAAAAUCCUCAUCAUCCUUUGUCUUGGAUGGUUUAGGAGGAAAGGGCAUGGGUUUUUGAACCCAUGGUUCUCUUUCUUUACCGUGUUUCCUAGCAACAAAAUCUCUCUUAUCAUAAUGUUGAUUCUUUGAUUGUGGGUUAUCAAGAUCAACAACAGGUUCAAUCUCUACAUCAUUAUUAUUGCUAGGUUGAGCAUCAACAUUAACAUUAUCAUUAACAUUAUCACUAGGUUCAUGUUCAUCACCUGAUUGUGUUUCAGCAUCAGAAAUAGAAAUAUCAUUGGGAUUCUCAGGUGUGUCUACAGUAGGUUCACUAGAAGCAUGCGAAGUACUAUCAUUUUUCUUUUUCUUCUUUUUGGAAGAACUAGGUGCAUCUAAAUUGUUUCUCUGAGAAUCUUGCUCGAUUCUCUUAGGGUGGCCUUCAGGAUACAAAGGUUCCUGCGUCAUUCUACCAGUCCUAGUAGCCACUCUAACAGCAAAGUCAUUUUUAUUAUUUAAUUCAUCAAGCAAAUCAUUUUGAGCUUUAAGUACUUGCUCAGCUUGAGUAGCAACCAUAGAAGCAUAUUUGCUAAUGAGUUUGAGUUCACCUUUAACUCUAGCCAUAUUAUCGCUCACGCGUCCUAUCUCGAGAGCAUUAUUCUUUAACUCUCUACCAACAUAAGCAUUAAAACUUUCUUGCCUAGCCAUAAAGUCAUCAAAUUCAUCUAAACAUGGGCUAUGAAAUUUAGUAGAGGUUAUUUCCACUUUAUCAUAUCUAUAGACAAUGUGUCGGGUUAUCAAGACAAUGUGGUUCUUCAACAGGCGGUAUAUUAAGACCAUGUAUUUCUUCAAUAGGUGGUAAAUUCUUAACAUCUUCAGCUUUAAUACCUUUUUCUUUCAUUGAUUUCUUUGCCUCUUGCAUAUCUUCAGGACUGAGAAAUAAAACACCUCUCUUUCUCGGAGUGGGUUUAGGAAUAGGCUCAGGAGCUGGCUCAAUUGGUUCAGGAAUUUCCUCAGGAAUUGGCUCAGGAAGAGUCCAAUUAUUUUCAUUAGUCAACAUAUUAUUCAAUAGUAAUUCAGCUUCGUCGACUGUUCUUUCCCUGAAAACACAACCAGCAUAACUAUCCAAGUGGUCCUUGGAAGCAUCGGUUAGUCCAUUAUAAAAUAUCUCAAGUAUUUCAUUUUUCUUAAGAGGAUGAUCAGGCAAAGCAUGAAGUAAUCGGAGAAGCCUCCCCCAAGCUUGUGGGAGACUCUCUUAUUUGAUUUGCACACAAUUAUAUAUUUCCCGCAAGGCAGCUUGUUUCUUAUGAGCAGGGAAAUAUUUAGCAGAGAAGUAAUAAAUCAUAUCUUGGGGACUACGCACACAACCAGGAGCAAGAGAAUUGUACCAAGUCUUAGCAUCACCCUUUAAUGAGAAUGGAAAUAUCUUAAGGAUAUAAUAAUAGCGAGAUUUUUCAUCAUGAGUAAACAGGGUAGCUAUAUCAUUCAACUUGGUAAGAUGUGCGACAACAGUUUCAGAUUCAAGGCCAUAAAAAGGAUCUGAUUCAACUAAAGUAAUAAUUUCAGGAUCAACAGAGAAUUCAUAAUCCUUAUCAGUAACACAAAUAGGUGAAGUAGAAAAAACAGGGUCAGGUUUCAUUCUAGCAUUAAGAGACUGUUGCUUCCAUUUAGCUAAUAAUUUAUUUAGAUCAUAUCUAUCAUGGCAAGCAAAGAUAGCUCUAGCAGCUUCUUCAUUCAUAACAUAACCCUCAGGAACAACAGGCAAUUCAUAAUCAUUGGGAGAACUUUCAUCAUCACUAUCAUCAAUAAUAGCAUCUUCAAUAAUUUCAUUCUCUCUAGCCCUAGCAAGUUGUUCAUCAAGAAAUUCACCUAGUGGCACAGUAGUAUCAGGCAUAGAAGUAGUUUCAUCAUAAUUAUCAUGCAUAGCAGAAGUGGCAUCAUCAAUAACAUGCGACAUAUCAGAAUUCAUAGCAGUAGCAGGUUUAGGUGUCGCAAGCUUACUCAAAACAGAAGGAGAAUCUAGUGUAGAGCUAAAUGGCAGUUCCUUACCUCCCCUCAUAGUUGAGGGAUAAAUUUUUGUUUUGUUGUCUUUCAAGUUCUUCAUAGUGACCAGCAGAUAUAAAUCCCAAGUGACUCAAAGAAUAGAGCUAUGCUCCCCGACAACGGCGCCAGAAAUUAGUCUUGAUAACCCACAAGUGUAGGGGAUCGCAACAGCUUUCGAGGGUAAAGUAUUCAACCCAAAUUUAUUGAUUCGACACAAGGGGAGCCAAAGAAUAUUCUCAAGUAUUAGCAGUUGAGUUGUCAAUUCAACCACACCUGGAUAACUUAGUAUCUGCAGCAAGGUAUUUAGUAGCAAAGUAAUAUGGAAAUAAAGGUAACGAUAGCAAAAGUAAUAUUUUUGGGUUUUGUAAUGAUUGUAACAGUAGCAACGGAAAAGUAAAUAAGCGAAGAACAAUAUGUGAAAAGCUUGUAGGCAAUGGAUUAGUGAUGGAUAAUUAUGUCGGAUGUGAUUCCUCAUGUAAUAGCUAUAGCAUAGGGUGACACAGAACUAGCUCCAGUUCAUCAAUGUAAUGUAGGCAUGUAUUCCGAAUAUAGUCAUACGUGCUUAUGGAAAAGAACUUGCAUGACAUCUUUUGUCCUACCCUCCUGUGGCAGCGGGGUCCUAGUGGAAACUAAGGGAUAUUAAGGCCUCCUUUUAAUAGAGAACCGGAACAAAGCAUUAGCACUUAGUGAAUACAUGAACUCCUCAAACUACGGUCAUCACCGAGAAGUAUCCCGAUUAUUGUCACUUCGGGGUUGUCGGAUCAUAACACAUAAUAGGUGACUAUAGACUUGCAAGAUAGGAUCAAGAACACACAUAUAUUCAUGAAAACAUAAUAGGUUCAGAUCUGAAAUCAUGGCACUCGGGCCCUAGUGACAAGCAUUAAGCAUAGCAAAGUCAUAGCAACAUCAAUCUCAGAACAUAGUGGAUACUAGGGAUCAAACCCUAACAAAACUAACUUGAUUACAUGGUAAAUCUCAUCCAACCCAUCACCGUCCAGCAAGCCUAUGAUGGAAUUACUCACGCACGGCGGUGAGCAUCACGAAAUUGGUGAUGGAGGAUGGUUGAUGAUGACGACGGUGACGAAUCCCCCUCUCCGGAGCCCCGAACGGACUCCAGAUCAGCCCUCCCGAGAGAGAUUAGGGCUUGGCGGCGGCUCCGUAUCGUAAAACGUGAUGAAACUUUCUCUUUGAUUUUUUUCUCCGCGAAACGGAAUAUAUAGCGUUGGAGUUGAGGUCGGUGGAGCUCCAGGGGGCCCAGGAGACAGGGGGCGAGCCCAGGGGGAGAGGGCGCGCCCCCACCCUCCUGGACAGGCUGUGGGUCCCCUGACCUUGAUUCUUUCACCAGUAUUUUUUAUAUUUUCCAAAAAGUGCCUCCGUGGAUUUUCAGGUCAUUCCGAGAACUUUUGUUUUCUACACAUGAAACAACAUCAUGGUAAUUCUGCUGAAAACAACGUCAGUCCGGGUUAGUUCCAUUCAAAUCAUGCAAAUUAGAGUCCAAAACAAGGGCAAAAGUAUUUGGAAAAGUAGAUACGUUGGAGACGUAUCAAUACCAGGUGGGAUUUGCAAACUACAAAGAAAGUAGAUUGGCAUAGAGGUCAGGACUGAAGUUAGGAGCUGCAAACGAGAUCCUUGAUUGAGCAUGCAUGAGCUAGCGGUCAGACGCCUCUCCAAAGUGUCCACUAAAGGCAUGAGGUCAACAAUCCUGGGCCUAGUGGUUCCAAGGGGCAACCCUAAAUAAGUAAAAGGGAGUUGGCCAAUCCUGCAGCCCAACACAACAGCUAACCUAAUUGCUUCACCUUCCUCAUGGUUGAGUGGGAUCAUUGAAGACUUUGCAAAUUGACCUUGCGACCAGUAGAUUGUUCGAAGGUAAGCAACAUGUUCUUGAGGGCUACCAGCUCCUCAUCUCUGGCUGACAGAAAGAUAACAGUAUCAUCAACAUACUGUAUAAUAGGAAACUCCAGGUCAUGGGUGGGGAUUGGGAGUGAUAAGAUACCCUGGGCCAGCAUUUGAUUAACCACAGAUUGUAAAAGGUCAGCUGCUAUUACAAAUAGAAGAGGUGAUAAAGGAUCCCCUUGUCUGACCCCACAUUUGCACUUGAACUGCUUGCCAGGGAUGCCAUUGAGCAACACAGAAGAAGACCCUGUAGAGAGAAUCUCUUUGACCCAACCAAUCCAUUUAUCAUCAAAACCUUUGUGUUUGAGCAUCAGCAAAAUAACUUCAUGAUUAAUUGUAUCAAAAGCCUUGGCAAAAUCCAAUUUCAGAAUAACAAUAGGCCUCUUGGACUGUUUACAUUGAUGUAUAUACUCAAAACUCCAAGCCAGACAGUCCUGGAUUGAUCUACCCUUGAGAAAGCCAUACUGGUUCUUAUGGAUGCAAUUCAAAAUCACCCUUUGCAACAUCAUUUAGUUAAAUAACCUUCUCAAAUAAAAAAAGAUAGGCGAUUUUUCUGAGCUAGCAGUCGGGUGAGCAAAAAAACUAAUGGGCGAGAGGAGGAGGGAGCCAAGCUAAGCGAGCAAGAGCUUUGCGUGCUAGCCCAUAUGAGCAUCACCGUAGCAAUUCCAUGGGUUUAGCGUGAAAAAAGAACUCCCAAGAGGCUCAAAUAAUCACCAUCGGGCUAACACUAAGGCUAAAAGGUGCAAAAAAUUCAUAACCACGCAUCAAAUAACUCAUCCCUUCUCUUGAAAAAAAUAACUCCAACAGCAACCCAAUACGAUAUAGAAAAAAACACCACCAAAAAUAAACUAAAACACAAAGCGAACACAGAUAAAAUCAAAACAAAACAACUAAUCACAACAGUCUAUAAAUAUAAAAUGUUAAUUGAACAAGUGAAGAACGGCGUGACUGCUUUUGGAACAAGUGCCUAGGCAAACGUGGCGUCGUAUCUCUCUACAUUGCAGAAAGGGGAAAGAUUAGCGGUGCAGCCGGCGCAUGUGUGAUUAGGGCGGCUGCUGGCGUGUCACCGUGUGGUUGGGCACGUCUGCGCGGGGUGCUUGCCGACCCUCUGAACUCUCAUGCUUGUAUGGCUCAGGACGAGGGAGGUGAAGCAGGGACGCCUUUGAGAUGGCUUGUCAGCCACGACAAGGGUGAAGGGACAACACCGACACCGACGCCCGCUACCACCGCAGGCUGGGAGGGGUGUGGAUGGGGCACACGACACAGCGGUGGUGCUGGCCAAGACGGCUCCAUGCGCAAUGGAAGGGGGCUACGCGGCAAAAGGCACAAAUUUGACCUGAGGGCGAAACUAUUUCACAAACUAAACAGUUUUUGAAAAUAUUUCACCCAACUGACCCCUUUGUGCAGCGCCCGACAUCAAGGCAUAUAAAAUGUUAAUUGAACAAGUGAAGAACGACGCAGCGAAGCACGCUUUAGCCUCUAGUUGGUACUGAUCCCAAAGGCAAUCUGACUCUCUUGUCACAUUUUCGCCCCAUUAGUCUCUGUAAUGUUUUCUAUAAGAUAAUGUCUAAAGUUCUUGCAAACCAUUUGAAGGUUGCCCUGCCUGACAUCACAUUAGAGGAACAGUCGGCAUUUGUACCUGGCAGGCUUAUUACUGACAACAUAAUCUCAACGUACGAAUAUUUGCACUUCAUGAAGAGGAACGGGAGAAUAAUAGUUUUUGUGCACUCAAAUUGGACAUGAUAAAAGCCUACGAUAAAGUAGAAAGGAGCUAUCUGAAGGCAAUUAUGGAAAAACUGGGAUUCACAGGUCCGUUGAUUUCAUUCAUUAUGAACAUGGUGAGCUCAGUAUCCUUCUCUAUUAUUUUUAAUGGGAGUAAAUUGGAGGAAUCUAAACCUACAAGAAGUAUUCGACAUGGAGAUCCUAUCUCUCUAUAUCUUUUCUUGUUGGCAGUAGAGGGUCUUUCGUGCCAGUUGAAAUAAGAAGACCGCUCAUCCCAGCUUAGCGGAAUCAAGGUGUCCCCAUCUGCUCCGCCGGUGAACCACCUCCUAUUCACGGAUGAUAGCAUGUUGUUUUUCAGGGCAAGAGUAAAUGGAGUAGAACAGGUGUCACACUUUUUGGCUUAUGGACAAAGAAUAAACACAAAGAAAUCGUUGAUAUUCUUCAGUAAGGGUUGCCCAGAGAUGCACUGAAGGGCCAUCUUCAAGUCCCUACUGAAUCCUUGAGCGACAAAUAUUUGGAAAUGCCAACGGAUGUAGGGCAAUUGAAGAAAGGAACAUUUAAAUACUUGAGUGAUCAUGUCUGAGAUAAGGUGAAAGGAUAGAUGGGCAAGCUAUUUUCAGCAGGUGGCAAAGAUGUGCGUAUAAAAUCUGUUUACUCAAUGUCAUGUUUCAAACUUUCUAAAGGUUUAUGUAAUAAGCAUAUAAAUUCUAUUAACCUAUAGGUUUAUGUUUCAAACUUCUUAGAAAACCACCUGAAUUUCACUUUGCCAACUUAGCUAGUCCAGUCAGCACGGGUUAUUCGAAAACCACCUAAAAUUCUGUCCAAAACCACCUCGAUGCUCAAUUGAUCCGGUUUUGGACACUCUCUUUUUUUUCGAGGCAAGGGGAAACUAUACUUUCCUGGCAAAGAAAUACGAUGUGCUGCACAAGGAGCGGCCCAGCUAAUUCUGGUCGGCCCACCUAAGGCAGUAGUAUACGGGGUCCAGCCGCCGGGGGCUCGCACCGUCGCACGCUGGGCGUUGGUGAACCCUGACGAAAGAAAUUCCCCUUCUCUCGCUGCCCCCGUCCUGUGAUGGCAGCACCGGCGCCCGGCGCCGGCGCCGUCGAGGUUUCCAUGGUACCCCUCUCUCUCGCUCUCGCUCUCUCAGACCUCGUGGAUCGUCAAUUGCUCAUCGGCCGGACUGAGCCUACGCGAUUGCUGAUCUAAUUGGCGUGGUCUAAAUCAACUAGGGUUUCACAUCACGGAUUGGCGUUCGUGUCAUGCAGGACGACAAGGCCAAGGCGUUGGUGGCCGCGAAGAUCAAUGAAGGGGAGUACAAGGUGCAGAUGAUAGGACAGUACGCGGUGCGGACGGACCGCGCAAUCGAUGCGCUGGAGAAAAAGGUGCAGGACAUCGAGGCGGUGAUGGAUCUCGAGCUGAUGGCCUGAUGCUCGGCGAGUACUGCGCCGACCUCUCGGACAUGCACAAGGCGCGCCACUACUACCGCGUCACCUCGCUCUCGGAGGAGGAGAAACUCUACCUCCACCAAAUCGACGACUUCGCCACCGCCACCAUCGCCGAGUACGAGGCCAGCGUCGGCCCCGUCCCCGCCUUCGACAACCACCUCAGCCUGUUCAGCCAAGAAAUCCCACUGGAGUUCCCCGAACCCUUGGCUCCCCCUCCCGCUUCUUCGUCUUCGGCGUCGGUUCGGCUUCUCACCACGAGUGAGUUCUCGCUCCUUGCACCAGCAUUCAUGGUCACUAUGCCUUCUGCCGGUUCCUUGCGAUUGCAAACUAACUAGUCUACAACCAUUUCAGAGUUUCAGAGUAGUAUGCCUAGAACAGGCCAGACUGUAUGUCUGCCCAGUUUCAACUCGAAAGAUGAAGUAAUGAUGUAGGCAUAAUGGGAGAUAUAUCUCCUUGGUACUCUUCUAUGUACUGUAUCUGAUUGUAGUAACCAAAUAACGGUUGAGAUUUUGUAUAGUUCCUAGAUAGAUUAAUCACAGGCCAGUAGAAAUGUGCUAGUACGGUAGUACCUUUGAUUUAUUCCACAGCCAGUAGAGCUGUAGAGGUGUGGUUGUAGCUCUAUUACCUUGGCUCCCCCUCCUGCUUCUUCGGCUUCGGCUUCUCACCACGAGUGAGUUCUCGCUCCUUGCACCAGCAUUCAUGGUCACUAUGCCUUCUGCCGGUUCCUUGCGAUUGCAAAGUCUACGACCAUUUCAGAAAUUCAGAGUAGUAUGCCUAGAACAGGCCUGUAUGUUUGCCCAGUUUCAACUCAACAGAUGAAGUAAUGUUGUAGGCAUAAUGGGAGAUUUUAUCUCCUUGGAACUCUUCUGUGUAUCCGAUUGUAGUAAUCAAUUAACGGUUGAGAUUUUUUAUAGUACCUAGAUAGAUUAAUCACAGGCCAGUAGAAAAUAUGCUAGUACGGUAGUACCUUGAUUUAUUCCACAGCCAGUAGAGCUGUAGAGGUGUGGUUGUAGCUCUACUACCAUGGGCUAGUAGUAAACUGAUCAUCUAUUCAGGGUCAAACCAAUCUAUAAUUUGUUCCUGGCUGCCCUCAAGAUCUGCAAAGGGUCUUCACCAAUACACCCCCCUCUGGUUUUGUCUUAGUAGCGAAACGAUGUGACUGCCUAGAUCUAGUAAGUUACUACUUGUUUCUUGAUCUGCUUGAGUUAAUAUCAGAUUCACCGUCGAUUUGUUUCCUGAAUGGCCUUUCAUCCCAAACCAAAGUACCAAACUGUAGAUUAAAGUGUUAGGUGUGGCGUGGCUUGGGCUGUGGACAAUGCCUUCAGACUUGCCCGUCCCAGCUCCAAUUAUGUCUUGUUCUAUCUGCCUCGGAGCCUGGCAUUCACUAUUUCACUGCACACUUGAUUAUUGAAACUAGAAAUGAAUUGCUUUAGGGUUAUAGAUAUCUUCACGUGUUCUGUUUGGUUGGAGACACCAAGAACUGGAGAACUUUGUGAAAACAGUAAGAUCAAUCACAAACGGUGAGUAGGAUAACAGGAUGCAGUUACUGAUUUAGCAGCCCUACUGAAUAGAUGUAGGUGCUAUUCCAUAGUAUAACACCAGUAACUUGUGCGUAGAAAACAAAUAUGCCUUUUUGAACUGACAUUUUGAUUGCUUUUGUUCUAUUUAUAUAUUAGCUACAUAAUGUUUGUGCAUAUAUAUAGGUGGGAGUGGGAGCCCAGCUGUGGCUUCUGGUUCACCCCCCAUGGAAGCACGUUUAGCCACUUUCAACUCAAAAAGAUGAAGUAGGGAUGUAGGCAGAAUGGGAGAUUCUAUCUCCUUGGGACUCUUCUAUGUGUCCGAUUGUAGUAGGCAAUUAACAGUUGAGAUUUGGUAUAGUACCUACAUAGUGGUUGUAGUUCUAUUAGCAUGGCUAGUAGUAAAUUGUUCAGGGGCACAAAAGUAGCCGCUCGGUAAAGUAUUCAGGGUCAAACCAGUUAAUCUAUAAUUUGUUCCUCGCUGCUCUCAAGAUCAAUUGUUCAGGGGCACAAAAGUAGCCGCUCGGUAAAGUAUUCAGGGUCAAACCAGUUAAUCUAUAAUUUGUUCCUCGCUGCUCUCAAGAUCUGCAAAGGAUCUUCACCAAUUAUUAUUCUGUUUCACCGAACGUUUACCGUUGCAUUGCUACACACUGUUUAGAGCCCCUCCAGUUUUGUCUUAGCAGCAAAACAAUGUGACCGUCUAGAUGGAGUAAGUUAGUACCUGAAUUUUGAUCUGCUUCAGUUAAUGUCAGGCUCACCAUUGAUUUGUUUCGUGAAUGGUCUUUCAUCCCAAACCCAUGUACCAAACUCUAGAUUAAAGUGUUAGGUGUGGCGCGGCUUCAGCUUGUGGACAAUGCCGUCAGACUUCUCCAUCCUAGCUGCAGUUAUGUCUUGUUCUGUCUGCCUCUCAGAGCCUGGCAUUCACUAUUUCACUACACACUUGAUUUUUAAAACUAGAAAUGAAUUCCUGUGGGGUUAUAGAUAUCUUCACGCGUUCCAUUUGUUUGGGGACACGAAGAAGUGGAGAACAUCCCGAAAAUGGUGAGAUCAAUCACAAACAGUGAGUAGGAUAACAGGAUAAGUACACUUGGAAAAAAGAGAGGCAGUUCCUGAUUUAGCAGCCGUACUAAAUAGAUGUAGGUGGUAUACCAUAGUAUAACACCAUUAUACGAUAGUUGUAUUUAUCUAUUAGCUACAUAUAAUGUUUGUGCAUAUAUGUAGGUGGGAGCCCAGAUGUGGCUUCUGGUCCGAGCCCCCGUGGAAGCGAGUUUAGCCACUUCGGUUAAAAUUCGGCGGGUUCGGCUUGGGGUCUCCUGUAACUCCUUAGAGCAUGUUCAAUGCUGGAAUCUUCAAGAGGCGCUUAGAAAGAGAAAAAAUAAAUAUCAGAAAACAAAAAAGACCUAAGCGCCCUACCCGGUCAAUGCUAAGCGCUAACUUCCAAGGCUAAUUACAACCACAGACGCCUUGCGGAGCGAAGAAAAGAGGCCUAGCGUCCGGUGCAAAUCUUUGCACGAUGCCACACUUGAAGCUGGGAUUCGAUGGGGUAACUGCUCAUCGGCCGGGAAAUCGAUUGGAAAUUCAUCCUGGCGCCCUUCUAAGCAUCCAGCGUUGGAGAUGCCUUUAAUAUAAUUCCGCGGGGUACCUCCCCUAUUGGACUAUUUUUUUUAAAUGUCUGUGCACAUAUUCAGUUGUGUUGUUGACUAUCAUGUAGGCCUGCUGUGGACAAUGGAGGGGAUGUUGCAUGCUAAGAGAUGAUCACCUGGAGCACCCUAUCCCUUUCAUUUCUUCGACCCCGUCAUCCAAGUCAGCUAUCAUGGUUCUAGGGGCUUUGUACCUAUUUUAAGCACGUCUGCAGUUUGACUGGCGGUGAUUUUAAACUUGGAGCUGUAAGAUUGUCGGUACGGGUGUAGCUAUGAACAUAUCUGAUGUAUGCGAACGUGUUGAUUCUAAAGUGUGAUUCAUGCUUGCAUUGCUCUGUCCCUCGGUGAAUUACGAAUGCUAUCAUCACAUCGUUUCUAUUACUGGUGCAUCUGUUGGUGGAUCAUGGCUGUUGACGUGUUGAGAAUUGGUCGAAUGUCAGUUCAUAUGGAUGAUUAAUUUAAGCUGUCCAUGGUUUCACCUAUUUCAGUUCUGUUUUAGCAACACAGUCUCAAUUGUUGGACUCUUUUUCUUUGAAAAGACAAGAAAACAAAAAAUCAUGCAAUAUGCGUGGGGAUUGAAAAGUGAUCAUAAGGUAGAGCUAUUCAAAGAGGUAGAGCUUCCAAUAAUAAGUACGAAAAAAUGCAAGUCCUCACAACCAACCAAAGCUGAGAGAUGCUAGCAAUCUUCCAGUCAUCCGAUCCCAAGUUCCCUCCCUGAUCAGAUGUGAAGCAACACAUUUCCUUUUGACUAAACCGUUGGGAUCAGGAGAUGAGGCAUGCACAUGGUCUGGUUCUUCUGAGCUUAGCGGUCGUUUGUCAAGUACUGUAUGUUUUAAGAACGAAUGUACUCCUAGUAACUAGUUUUGGCUUAACUGGGUCGACAAUGAAGAGAUGAGGCAUAAACACAGCAACAAAAAGGGCGCAAACAGGCUCAGCUAGUAGUAGCAGCAGCAAGGGCAAGGCAACAACAUAAGCCACCACUACAUCCAAUCCAAGGAAAACACAGCACCUGCUAUCCGUUUGGUUCUACAGUGAUGGGAUUAUAUAGCACUUGCUGUACUUUGGUUCUAAAUAAGGUGGUGGGAUAUACAAGUUCUUCCCCAAUGCCGGUAAAUGUUUCGCGACAGGGAAAACCGCACCGCCUAGGGGGCUACAGGAGCUCACUUCUUGCCCCGGCCCUUGGACUUCUUGGAUUUCUUCUUGCUCUUUUGCUUCUGUGCCGCCUUUUUUGAGGUCGAGGCCCCAGCUUCUCCCGUGUCAGGUUCGUCGUCAUCUGAGCAUCCGUCGGCAUCAGCCUGAGGCUGGACAGCAGCAUCACUGCUCCAGUCAUUCAUGCUUUUUUUUGUCGCUUCACUUUCAAUCCUCCUUAGGCUUGCUUCAGUCAGCACCCUGAGGAUCAGCUGCAGUUUGUUCUCACCUUGGCGCAGCUUCUCCACAGCAAGAAAAGCUCUUCCCCUCACCCUGUGAUAACCAAAACAAAUUCGCGCCAAGUGGUAAUUUUUCAGAAGACAUGGGGAUAACCUAUUCAUGUCUCUUACACUAGUCUUGAGGGUACAAAGCAUGCAGAAAGAUGCCACUCUGCAUGCCUAUCAAUUGCAAUGUGGCAUUUGUAGUACUGCAUUUAAGAAUUUUAUACUUGGCGCUGAAUUAACAUUCGCUUACCUGUCAGAACCAUUUUCAAACUCACUGCAGAUGCGCCUGACAUCGUCCAGCAAUCGUUUAUCAAUCCCUGCUGGAGUGUUACUUUCCAGCCAUGGAAGGGCACUUAUAAGGAGUUCAAUAAUAUCCCUUGGAUUUUUCUGCACAAAUUAGCUUUUUUAGAGUAACAUGGCAGCUGGGAACAGUGGGACAAACUGGAUGAUAACAAAACAAGCAUUAUAACAUUUGAAACUCACCAGGCCUUCGGCUCGAAGAGUCUCAAGCUUCUCAAAGAGUAUCUCAUCAGCUAAAUCCAUCUCACUACUACGCUCCAUCUCAUUAUCCUGUGCAUCCUUAGGAAUGUUUCCAGAAAUAACAUUGCCAGACUUAUUACCAUCAGAUUUUUCAGGCAACGGAGUCUCUUGCUUUACAUAACUUGCUUCUUCAGGACACAGAAGAGCCAUUAUCUUCGGAACAUCAUACAAAUCCUCCUUGCUAAUCAUAUAAGCAUUUAAGUUUUGACAGUCUACCGGGCUCUUGGGUGUACCAAUAACUACCAUAUUAUCUCCGAUUGCGGCGAGUGCAUCAGCAAGCACUCUUGUGAAGUUGCUCGGUGUGCGAGACUUAAUUUGCAAAGCAUGUACAAUCUUCUGAGAGAACUCCACAGGUAAAUCCUUAAACACUUCAUUCCUCAGGAGGUUAUGUGUGACCUCAUAGCAAUUCCCCAGAGAAAGAGUAAGGAUCAGUGGAUAAAGUGUAACAACUAGUCUAAGGAGAACCGGUUUGUAUGAAGUACUAGAAGGACAUGAAGUCUUAUGUACCCAUUCCUGGAGCAUAUGCUUGCUCGUCAAGAUAGCCAUAAUUGUCUGAUAUAUGAAACGGCCUGAUGUGUAUGCCAAACGAUCAAGAUCAGAAUCUGGGCUCGAGUUAGAUACCAGGCAGGUGUCAAUGUAAACCUUGCUGGUACGGCACUCCAACAUAUUGACCAACAGAGAUUUCGUGCAGCAUAUAAAAUCAUUCUGUAUUAAGCAUGAUGAAGCCAUAAAACCAAGGCACUCCAUAAGACCCACAUAGCAUAUUGGGGAUAUGUAGUCUAGUUCAUCCUUCCACUUCACAUUGAAGGUAAACUCAAGAGAACGCUUAAAGUUCGAGAUCAAGGAGGAUCUAUCACCACCACUGUCAAGAAAUCUUUUGAAAUAUUGAAAAAAUUCUGCCCAAUCAGAACUAUUGUCCAGGUACUGCAGUAGUCUUGAAAGUAGCGCUUCAUCCAAUUGUGCUGCAUGAAGCAGGAGCAUUGUUGUUCUCCCAAGAUGCCCGUGAGUCAGAUUUUUAUUUGCUGGGCGAAGAUUUGAAUUAAGAGAAUCAGCAAUCAAUCCAUAUGCAGCUGGCAAGUCAAGUAGACGCAAGAGGCUCCUUGUUGUCCCAUCUCUCCACACAAGAAAAACUAACUCAAAGAAGCGACGCCCGCAGAGAACAAAAAAGCUUCUUAACUUCAUGGAACUUUUUGGCAUACUGAACUGUGGUUCUUCCAGAAACUUUGCUAUCUCAUUUAUGAUAAGGAUAGUUCUCACCAGGGUAUAAGAAGAUGAUGACUUUGGAGAAAUUUGAACAAUGGCCUCCAACUUCUUAAGUACACUGAAACCAACAGAAGACAGCUCAUUCAUCCAGAAACACUGAGCACAUGAAUAACACUGAGGGGCACCCAAGAAACAUCUGUUGCCAUCUUGCUGCAAAGAAUUUCUGCCAGCAGUAGAAAGCCAACUUGCAUUCACGUUAAGCACCACAUAUCUGUCAGCUUCACCAUCUUUUCGCAAUCCAAAAGUACUUGGCACAAAGAUCUUCAUACAUAACUGCAUAAUCAUUUAAUUCUGGACCAUCGGCGUGGCAAAGUUGAGAUAGUACUUUGAUUAUGAUUGACUUCCAGUUAUUCCAAACAUAAAACAGAGUUUGGGGUGACAUCUGGUUAGAGGCCAGCAUAUCAUUACAACAAUUUUCAUCCUCAGAUCCUGGCCCUAAUUCUAUAUUGUAUCCAGAGGCUCGAGACUGGAGAUGAACAUCAAGAAUCGAACGGGAAGCAACGAGUUCAACUAACAAGUUUGCACAUUUUCUGCCCUCAACCAAAGUGCAAUUUAAACUGGGAAGAGACUUAUUCACAUCUGACAGUGCAUCAGUUUCCACGCAAACAAAGCAGUAGAAGCACUCGGAUACCUUUUCUGCCAUCUCUUUUGCUUUUGAAAGCAACUGUUCCUUCUCUGCAUAUCUUUUGGGAGGCCACCCUCUACUAUUUGAAGACCACAAGGAAUCCACAAUGAUAUGGAGGAGGAGAAGCCGUAUCGCAUCCUCAAACAAGCCUGCCUUCUCGAGCAUGUCUACCUCCAGUAAGACAUCUCCAUUAUGCUUUGCUAUUCCUGCAGCUUCUAGGAAAUUACCCAUCUCCAUCUCUAAACUCAACAGUUCAUCAACAAGAUUCCGAGAAUUUAGGAAUGCCCGUACAUGAUCCAUAGAGCUGAAAGCUUUAACAAAAGGCAUCAUAUGCUUUAUGUGACCACGCUCAAAAUAAUGUUGAGCACAAUUAUCCAGAUACUUUGUUCUAAUUGCAGAAACCUCCAAAGAUUUUGAAUUCUCAAGCGAAUGUUCCUCCUCUAACUGCUGCAGAAACUGUAGGCCCAGAUUGAAUAAUUUUUUCCCUUUCGAGCACAUGGAGAAACACUUUGUGUAACAUUUAGCUUUCAAGAACACUUCAGCUGCCUCCGACCAGCAUUCAGCCAUAGCAAAACAAUCACCAGCAUCCUCAAGUUUAGAAGUACCGCAUUUUUGCAUAUAGACCAUACCUAUGGCAAGGAACACAAUGUUUAGUCAGACAGAGCUUCAUGGAGUGUGAGGUAAAACUAUCCAUAUGAAAGCUAAAAAUUAGUAUGUCCGUAAUUUAUGUAGGGAUAUCAUUUCGAAAAAAACGUUUUGAAAUUUGAUGACAUUUACUUAUAUGGCAGCUCUUUAAGGACAACGUAAAACGUUACAGAAUGAUGAAAUCUCAAAGUAUGGAUACAUCUUGGAAAUUAUGGAGAGUUGGCACACCUGCUUUUUUGUAGUCACCUAAUUUGAUAUAGCAAGUAGCAGCUUUCUCAUGCAUGCCUAUGGACUCGUAAAUCUCUGAUGCUGUUUGCAAUGAAGCCUUGCCCAACUCCAAAUUUGUUGAGAUGACACGGUUAGCAGUCGCUACAAGUCCAGCAGCUCUCGCCAACUUCUCUCUAUGUGCAUCACCGGCCUUUUCAAAGCACAUAGUAGCCAUCUCGAAUUGCCCCUCAUUGAAUAACUAUAAAAAAGAGAGAGAACUAGUGACAUGGAAUAACAAUGGUAAACCUGUAAGUAGGUACGCGCCAUGACCCGCCUAACAAAGAAUUUGUGUUCAUAGAACAACUGAGACAAAAAAAAUGAAUUUCACAAGACUAAGAAGUAAGAACACACAGAAAUUACUCAAUAGGCAACAUAAUGCAUAGCAUGGUAAAUUAAAAUUGGCUUUCCAGACUAAAUAAGUAAGAUCACCAACCUUGGUUCCCCGUAGCCUCCAAUCAUCACUGCUGCUCCCCGUCUGCAUUGCCUGAAUGAGGGAAGAAUCUAGUAAUCUAACUUCUACUAGACACAACUUCUUCCAGUAGUCAAACAUUGGUCGACAGUAAUCCUCCGUAUUUUCACAUAUCCAGAGUCUUUGCCUAGUGCGUGUGAUUGCAACAUAUAGUUGCUUCAGCUCUGAACAGAGAAGAUAAUGCUUGCUUCUGUCGAAACCCGGAUGAGAGAUCUCCUCAGAGUGUGAUAUAAUAUCUCUAUCUUUCAUGUAGCCAUAGAGAACUCUCCAUUUGUUUCUUAAAGGCGACGAACCAAAAAAGUUGUACAACAGCACAUCCUACACAAUAUCUAUGGGGUAAGUACACAUUUUGAAACAGUGUUCUACAACUAAAAUAUUUUGCAAAAUGAACAGAGAUGAAACUAAAUUUAUAGGCCCAUACCUGAAACUCAAGGCCCUUACAUUCAACAAUGGUCAAAACAAGAGCUUGUUUACCAACAAGAUCAAUAAUUUGUUUUUUGGCAGCAUCAUCACGAACCAGUAUGACUUGCUCAGCACCAAACCCAUGCAGGUUACCAUGUUUGGUUUUGCUUUCUCCAAAAAUGGUCAUAAUUACAUUUUCAUCGUUAUCAGACUCCAGCAGCACAGGAGCUUCUCCGUAUACAAGUCCAGUCUCUGGAUUAAGCUUGUCAACACUUGAUGGGAAAAAGAAGUACAGAAGGCUCAUGAUACUUUGUGCCAUACGGAGGAUGCCACAAUGUGUGCGGAAAUUUUGAGACAGUUGGAACAUAUCAGAGAGAUGGACCUUUUUACCGUGUUUAAGUCCUUGAUUUGACGCUUCUGUUUCUGCCAGGAAUGCAGUAUAAAAAAGUGAACGGAUAUCUUCAAACCUGAAAUCGAUACCUCUUGCUAUAGUCUGUGCAGUAUCACCAGCAAAAAGGAAGCCUUCCUUGAUGUUCAUACAGACAUACUUAAGAAGUGCUAUUUGUGUCAUGGUGAGAUCCUGUACCUCAUCUAUGUAAACAAAAUCCACCAUAUCGCCAUGGUAGCCCUCAGAUACAAGACUGCUGUGAAGACUAUUGACAAAAUCUGACAAAUCAAACUCCUUGGCAGUACAUUUCAUACUCUCAUAUUCAAGGAAUAUAUCAUAAAUUUUAUCUCUCUUCUCAUUGUUCAAAGAUGAAAAUCUUUUAUCUGAAAGCAUCACAUAAUCUUGUCUUCCCAGUUUGCCAGUACAAGGCCUGCUUGCUUGAUAUGCACCCUUAAUAUGAGAAAUUAUUUCGGUGAAGACAGUGGAUGCGGCAAAUUUCUUUGUCAGGUCUGCAUUGAAACGAGGCCAGUAGAAAGCAGCAAAUUUUUCAUAGGUAACUUCCUUCAAUUCAAUUAAAGUUUGCACUGCACGAGAUCUUGAAUGGCCUCUCUCAAAGCUAGACUUCAUUUCACCAUAAAACGCAUCAAAAAAUGAUGUCCGGCAUGUUCCAUCAAGCAUCAUCAAAAACUUACGAUAUGUUAUAGUAAGAGGAUAGUGCUCAUGGGGUAGAUCACAAAAAUUGUCAGGAAUUUCUGUAAACUCUUCCAGGUCAUCCAUGAUGUCAUGCAUGUGAAGAAUGCUAGGCUGGCCAGAGAUAUCACCGGUGCCAAAUCUAUAGGGGGUUGAAAUAAAUACAAGGAUUAUUGUUGGUACAAAUCAUGAAAGGAGCAAAGCAAAAAUCCUUCAAAGAAAUCAUCGAACCAGUUUGUAAUGUAAUUUUAAAAAGAGCAUCAAGCAAGGCUUGGUUGGCUAGUCAUGUGAGUGGCUGAGUGCUCGCCCAACCCAGCCACAUUCAAGGCCAGGCAUGCAAAGUGGUGAUCAUGAUUUAUCUUCCCCUUCUAUAAAAAGCCACUGGGGUAGUCCCAAUAUGUGCAGUUUUUUUAAUAAUUCCAAUAAUCAUACAUUUAAAGAGAAAAUGCAUCUCAGAUGGAUAAAAGAUUAACCCUUCAGAAAGGUAUGACAAAGGGUCUAGAGAAUAUGAGGUUAGAAAUGCAGUAGAACAGAGUACUCUGUGUGUGUGUGGNNNNNNNNNNNNNNNNNNNNNNNNNNNNNNNNNNNNNNNNNNNNNNNNNNNNNNNNNNNNNNNNNNNNNNNNNNNNNNNNNNNNNNNNNNNNNNNNNUUCCAAAAUGGUGUAAAACACGUACAAACUUCUAAGUAGAGCUCUAGUUCAACAGAUUUACCUUUUAAGUCCACAAAUGUGAUUUUUUAUGGCUGAACACAACUUUGGGCUUACAGUGAUAAACACUUGUUUCACAGAACUUUCUCCUGCGUCCUUCAGUGGCAUAAUAUUUUUGUGAUCCAGCCCUGAUAAAUCAUCUCCCAAAUGUAGACCUUGGGAGGCAAUCAAUGACCGUUGCUCUUUUUGAAUCAGUUUCAUUGUCAAUACAGUGGUUUUUCCGGUGCCUGACCUCCCAAGUAUAAAACUAGUGAGCGGGAAUUGGAUUAUCUCCUGCUCUUCAUCAGUUAGUUCAAAGGGGAUGUCGAUUUCAGAUCCAUCAGUAGCUGUCAGCAAAUGCUUUGCCACACCAGAUGAUAAAGAGUAGAAUUUCAUUAGCAAGAAGCUUUCGCUAACUUUUGAAUUCUCCAUGGCAUAUGAUGUAUCCACGAGAUCAUGCUCCUCAUGAGCAUCACCUUUGCAAUCCUUGUUAUAGCGGAUAAUAUCAUGCUCAAUAUGCCAAACCAUAGGAACCUCCAGUUUCCUGUUAUACACAACAAAGGAGGGCAAAAAUUAGAAGAAUGUCUACAGGCGGUUCAUUUGUAGGCAUGACUAUUCACAAACAGUUCAUCUCUCUAAGUAUCAUAAGUAUAAAAAAAUCCAAGUAACCACAGUACUAUAGCCCAUUAACAAUAAAAGAAACUCAUACCCCUGUGUCUGCACUCUCCUGCAAUGAUCCAGGUAAUCAUCUGUGUACAUGGAAAACAGAUUCUCGAGACGUUGAACAGUUCUGGCAACAUUUUGCUGUGACACUAGGUCCCAAAUUCUUAUUAUCUGAAAAUACCUUCCUUCGGUUUUCUCCACGUCAGUACUCCAAACAAGAUACAGGUUUCUGACCUUGUAUAUUUUUGCAAGAUGAGAAGCACCAGGUAUAUCAAUGUUCUUAACUGUUGUCCUCCAACCAUCUCCGAGUCUGAUAAGCUUUUGGAGUACUUCCUUCCUGAGCUGUGGUGAUUUUAGUUUGGUGAAAGACUUUCUAAACUCGUCGCUAAGAAUGACCUGUUGAAAAUAUGAAUACCAAAAAUGGAACAUGAGAAAAAGUGUAUAUGACAAACAAGAAAGAACAGUGUGUUCUUCAAGAAUACUACGAGGUUCACAAGAUGGUACUAUAUACUCCCUCCGCCCGGAAAUACUUGUCGGAGAAAUGGAUGUAUCUAGACGUAUUUUAGUUCUAGAUACAUCCAAUUUUAUCUAUUUGUGCGACAAGUAUUUCCGGACGGAGGGAGUAGAAAAGAACCGCGUAAUUGACAUAGCAUGGUACAAAGUAGCACAUAUCCUGAAAAUGUUAAUUACAAACCUCUCGCAAUCCAAUUACAGAGCAAACAGCAUAGCAAAGACAAGUGAACCACACACAUGAUUCCAAAAAGUAUAAGACACAUGUACAUACAUGUGGUUUGCAUGUAUAUUCAUGAAUACAAACAAAAUCACACUAUAAAGGAAGUGUAUAUUCAGCAUGAGCCUCAUAAGACACAUGCACAUACAUGUGGUUUGCAUUGUUGGUAACUACUAGAAAAUAUGAAGUAUGGUCAAAGUCAAACUGGCUGAAACCAUGGUAAUUACCUUCCAUCUAGUAUUGCUGAAAACUGCUGAAUCAGCAUUAAGAAGAUCGUCAAGUUCAUCAAGCUCUUGCUUUACUUGCACAACCAACUUACACAUGGUUGCGUCAUUAGUGGCACUGAAAACACAUUUACGUCUCUCUGCGUCAGCAACAAGGUCUGUCCAUUCGGUCCCACUUUUAUAUAGUGUAUGAGCGUUCCCAACAAUCCAAAGACAGUGCCUGCAUGAAUAAAGCAUCCAUCAGAUAAUUUAUAUCACCAGUCUGACAUACUUCGAACAGCAAUAGAACAAGGGACCGCAAAAAUAUUGAUGCACACCUUGCUCUAGUAAGAGCAACAUUUGUUCUUUGGUUAUCAGCAAGAAAUCCAAUAACUCCUCUCCCAUUAGAUCUAACAGUUGAUAGUAUUAUUAUAUCAUCCUCUUCUCCUUGGAAACCAUCAACGGACUUCACCCGCACAUGAAAGCCAUCACAUGUAUCAUAUUUUUUGCCAAGCCGACUUUUAAUUGCAUCAACUUGAGCUUUAUAUGGAGAGACCACACCGAUGCUGAGCCCUUGAUCUGUUCUUUUCCAAGCUGCACAAAAACAUAAGUGGUAUGCUUACUGAACUUUAGGGACCAAUCUUUGGACAAGGCUACUGGAAGAAUUUCUUCGGCAAAUUUAAGUUGAUGUACCCCCAAAUCAUUGACAUAUCAUUGCUUUUCCACUACAAAGUCUGAAGAUAAUAAAAUUUACUAAAGCGGGCACAUGCAGUGGCCAACUACUCUAACAGAGCAUAAAUGUUUCAUCUACUUAAUGUUCUUCUUUUUCUAAAUAAAAAUGUAAAUUGUCUGCUGAACAGUGCAAUAGAAUUGAAAUUCAUAAAGCUGGAUUGAUGCAAUUACCAUAUCACGAGAUACACAUAGAAAACUUCUCAGACAUACACUAUUGCAGAGAACAACUUUCUACCAAUGAAUGUUAUCAAGUAUGCAGCACAAGAAUGGAAGACCACACAAGCUUCUAAAGAUCCCAUGUUAUAUUAGCCAAGUCCUUUUAUAAAAAAAACUAGAAAGGAAGACAUUAAGGUUAAAGAAAGGAUAGAGCUGAGCUUAGACAUACAUUUAAAGAUGGUAUGGAUUAGGUGCAAAACAACAGCAACUUCAACCAUGUUUCUGCGACUGUUUCCUGUGCCCUCUUUGUCUUCCCUUCCAUCAGUGACAUUUAUAAACGUGUAGCUGCCAAAAGGGAGGCAUGUGUAAUCCUUGUUAUAACUUGGAGACAGGACAUUGGAACCAUCUAAAAUCUUCCUCCCAUAAAACUGAGUAUUUGGAAAUAAGCUGAUACAAGGAUUCAUGCGAUACUGUAUAUUCAGCAAAUGUUUAUCAAAUUUGAGCAUAACCAAUCUCCCAAAUAGACUUGUCUCAAAUCCAGCUUCUUUGCAUACCUAGAGAUAAACAAUGAAAGGCAAGACUUAAGAAUAUCAAAAACAGAUCAAUAACAAUGGAACAUGAAAGAAAGAUAAGGCCAUUACAUUUUUUUUCAAGAAAAGAAAGUGUUUCAGUAUCAGAAGUUUAUCUUGUUGAUAAAUGCACCAAUAUAAUUAAUAAAGGAAACAAGACAAUAUAAAGAGGGUGAGGCAAAACCUUACUUUGCUUUUAACCAUUGCACUCAGCUGACAGUCAUCUCCUACCAAAACAACAUGUUUUAACCAAUGCAGACGUAGUGGGAUCACCAAUUCACACUCCCGCACUUGAGCAGCCUCAUCAACAAUUAAUACAUCGAGGGGUGCAAUCUCCAUGUGAUGUAACCGAUAAGAGCUAGAGGCGGUACAGAAAAGAAGUGUUGCAUUACGUAUGCAGUAGCUCUGGACCCAGUCUUUGCCUACUCCAGUGGGUAAAUUAAGCGAGUGUAGCAGAUCUUUAAGCAACUUAAGGCAUGAAGACCUUGCUCCGUCCAGUUCCUUCUCAACAGAAUAUAUAGGCUGUGCACAAACAGAGUUUUCAGUUGACAGGUAACCAAGGCCCCUUUUCAAACCCUCUUCGGUCAAGUCUACGUUGCACAGAAGGGUCCCAAAAUUUUCCAGCAUAUUCAGCAAUGAAGAUAUAUUUAUGACACUAUCACGAGAAAAGCACCUUCCAGGAAGGUGAACCCACAAAUUCAUUAUGCAUCUUUUCAGAGCUAUUGCUGUCGCAUCAAAUUGUUUCUUUAUGAAGUCCAGAAAGCACACUGGAUCAAUUUUGCCAUCAUCCUCAAGAAGCAUAUCAUACCGUGAAGCAGAGUCUUCAAAAAAGGAUAUCAUUGAAGCUAUUCUGUAGUUCCAUCCGGACAAUGAUGAAAAGCAUUCCACAAGUUCAUCGACACGAAAGUCCAAGAAAACUUCCUGAAGAUCCUCGGUGAUGUCCAUGUUAGACCUGUUCCCAAAUAGCAAGAUAUCUCCAAGAGAAGAAGGUAGACAAAUGUUGUCAAUGUGCUCAUUGAAAUCCUUCAAGUUCUGAAGGAAACGAGUGCAAACUCCAACAACAGCAACAUUUGUGGAAGCACAGGUAAGAGUUCUGCAUUUCAAACACGCCAAAACCCACAGUAAAGCGCUAACCGUCUUGGUCUUCCCAGUGCCUGGUGGACCCCAUAUAAGCUUCACGCGGUUCACAUGCCCACAUCGUACAGCUGAGAUGACAGAUUCAAUAGCAUCUAAUUGCGAUUGAUUAAGCUUAACUGACAGUAGUUGCUCUGUGUAAGAAGCCAAACAGCCCCCAUCCUGUUUAGCACACAUACGGCAAACAUCCUCACCCUGCAACAGAGCCAACAAAGAGGAGCUCAAGAAGUUAGGCCCCAUGUAUACCAAUUUAUAAUGGUGAUGAAAAUAGCAAGUAAAACUAAAAUGCGAAAAUUCAUUUCAUCUUACCAAAUUUGUGGGGGCUAAAAGCGACUUGAUUACUGCGAAAUUUUCGUUCAUGUGUGUAUCGAAGGUAAGUGCUUUCCAUAUCCGUGUGUUUGUCGUGAUAUUAUUGAGAAAUAUUGCAUGCUUGAGUUUGUUUAAAUCUUCUUCUUCCAAACAAUUAUUCUUUGCAACUUUGACUCUGAAGCCCUUCUGGUAUUCAUCAUCCAUAGAAACCUCAGUGACCAUUGCCAAGCAAUAUGUCACACCAUGGCGGUUUAAGUCCUCUGCAGCUUCAGGUUUUACGCUAGACAAAAUAUAGAUGUCACCAUUCCUCGCAGAAUAAGCCCCAGUAGAAAAACCAGCAUCAUUGUCCCAAAAGUCCACAUCCAUAAAGUAUGAUCCUGGUUUUCCUGCUACCUCCAUGGAAAGUAUUUUCGACGAGGGUGCUUCACUGAUGAGUUCAAGGCAUGAGCACAGAUCUGAUCUUGUUUCUUCAAUCAGAGGCACACGAUACGACGUGAGAUAGUGAUUAAGUGACUUGAAGUUGCAGGGAAUAGUCUCAACCUAAACACAAAAGAGGUCAUAGAUGAAAUAUGGUUAUGGGUAGCAAAAGAUUCUCCAACAGUUCUUGAGCACAAGAAUGGCAUGUAAGUAAUGCUAGCAAAAUAGCUAUCUGGUCAAUUUCAUCUACUGCAAGAGCAAGCAAUGUUCAAUACAGGGCUUAAGUUGUUCAUAUCAACCAGACAUAAUAUUCUCAUUGGAAAACAAUUUAUAGUUUCUGCCACCAGAUUGUACAGCAUCACAACAUGUAUGUCUCUUAUUAGGAUACAUAUAUAUGACUUACACGCCCGUCAUCUCCCAACAGCCAUUUCAACUUACACCAUGUAUUAUCCAAAUAAUUUUUAGAAUGAAAUGGGCUAGAUGAUGCUACAGCCAGCUACAACACUUGACAAAUGGUGGUACGUCAUGGGCAUGGCAAAUUAGUGUGUCAUCCUUCUCAACAGCAAUGGGCACACCCAUCAGUGACAUAAAAUUUAUACGUAACAUCUAGUUAGCCCAGAUCAGCACAUAUGGCACCAACAGCAACAUGAAAUUUCCUGAAAUACCAUGUGUUACCAAGCACGCAACAAUUAUGUUGCCAUCAGACGUCCAGGAAUGGCACUCAGCACAUGUCAAUUGCACAUCCAUGACACGUGGACAGAAAACCCCUCUAAACCCCAGCGCACGGACCACACACAGACAAAGCACCAUCAUUUGGAGCAUCCAAUUGACCCAGCUUUGAUUGCACAUAAAAGGCAGCAAACAACAGCGCGCUAAAUGCAAUUAACAUCAUAUUUAAGCACAACCAGAAACCUAGAGCGCAUAUGCAUGCAUACGCUUCGCCGGUCCGGGGCCCAUACAUACGCACAGGUUCCGAAAAAUAAAAAGGCUCAAGCUUGCAAAAAAGACUAGAAAUUGCAGGCAAUAGUCCCAACCUAAACACAAAAGAGGUCAUAGAUGAAAUAUGGUUAUAGGUAGCAAAAUAUUAUACAACAGUCCUUGAGCACACGAAUGACAUGUAAUUAAUGCUAACAAAAUACUAGCUAUCUGGUCAAGUUCAUCUACUGCAAGAGUAAGCAAGGUUCAAUACAGAGCUUAAGCUGCUCAUAUCAACCAUAGACAUAAUUUUUCAUAGCAAAAACAAUUUAUAGUUUCUUCCACCAGAUUGUACAGCAUCGCGAUAUGUAUCUCUCUCAUCAGGAUACCUAUCAUUUCCCAACAGACCUUUAAAACUUACACCACAUAUUAUCUAAUGUUUUUUAGCAUGAGACGGGCACUUGACAAAUGGUGGAAAAUCAUGGGCAUAGAAAAUUAGUGUGUCAUCCUUUUCAAAAGCAAUGGGCAUCUCGAUCAGUAACAUAAAAAUUAUAUGUAACAUCUAGUUUGCCUGAAUCAGCACAUAUGGCACUCACAGCAACAUGUAAUUCCCUGAAAACACCACGUGUCACCAAACGCGCAAAAAUUAUGUUGCCAUCAGCACAUGCGAAUUGCACAUCCAUGACCCCUGGACAGAAAACCCUUACUAAACCCCACGACCACAGACAGACAGAGUACCAUCAUUUCGUCAUUUGGAGCAUCCAACUGACCCAAUUUGGUUGCGCAUAAAAGGCAGCGAACAACAGCACGCUAAAAGCGGUCAAUCAAGGAAGACCAGCAGAUUUAAGCACAACCAGAAACCUAGCACGCAUAUGCUUGGCCGGUCCACGGUCCAUACGUACACACAGAUUCGAAAAUAAGAAGGCUCAAGCUUGCAAAAAAAGACUUAAAGUUACAGGGAACAGUCUCGACCUGAACACAAAAGAGGUGAUGAAUGAAAUAUGAUUAUAGGUAGCAAAAGAUUCACCAACAGCUCCUUAAGCACAGAAAUGGCAUGUGAUAAACAGAGUCAAUUUAAUCUACUGCAAUAACAAGCAGGGAUCAACAUAGGGCUUAACAACAGAUAAUUUCUGCUGCCAAAUUGAAAUUGUACAACAUCGCAAGCUGUAUAUCUCUCUCAUUAGGACACAUAACUUACACACCCAUCAUCUCCCAGCAUUCAUUUUAAAACGUCUUGUGUAAACUUUUUUGGGAAUGAGACUAGAUGGUGCUACAGCCUGCCCGGUACAACCCUUGACAAAUGGUGGCACAUGACGGACCUAGCAAAUCAGUGUCAUUAUUUUCAAGAGAAAUGGGCAAUUGAUCAGUAGCACAAGAAUCAUGCACAACAACCCCGUUACCCCGAAUUAGUCACAUACGGCACCAACAAGCAACAGCAAUACUUACUGUACUUCCCAACGGACAUAUAUCAUGCGCCACCAGACGCUGAGCAAUUACAUAUGCUGCCAUCAUCAGGCACAAACAGUCCAUUAAUGGCACCCGGUACACGGCACUCGCACAUCCAUGACACGUGGACAGAAACCCCCCUCAAAACCCUAGCGCACGGACCCAGAUUGACCAGCAGAACGCGGCGAACGACAGCGCGCUCCACUGGGCGCGACGGAUCGAUCAAAGAUAACCGCCGGACUUAAGCACGAGAAGCUAGCAGAAGCGAUGCACGCGCCGGUCCGGGGUCCGUACGACGUACUAGGCGCAGAUUCGAACCGAGCAGAAAGAAAAGAAAGGGCCACGCUUUGCAAAACCGCGCGUCGGGAGGGAAGGAUGGGUGGAUGGCGCCGGUGGGUGUACCUUGUCCCUGUAGAGGUCGUCGUCGCUGAUCUCCUGCGCCGUCCAGGAGAGCACCACCUCCUCCAAAUCCGCCUCCCCCAUGUCGCCGGCGCGCGGACGGCCGCGCUCUGUGCCCCCCUCCUCUGAAGCGGUCACGCGCGAGCACCCGAGCGAGCAGCAGGCGGCAUUUGCGAGCAGGAGGAGGGUGAGGGGGAAGGGGGUUUGGCUGUGGUGGUCUUGGCCGUGUGGAGGAGGAGUCAAGGUGGUGGAGAAAAGCAAAGCAGAGAGAGCAGAGCAGAGGAAAGCAGGGGCGAUCAAAAUGGGGAAGGGAGGGGGGCUCAGACCGAUCGGCGCAGAAAUCUUUUGCUUCUGCGGGAGGGAAAGAGGCUGCUUCCCUCCCUUGUUGGGACGCGGGCCCUUGUUUCACGGGGCGGGUAAAAAGAAGAGGGAUGGGAGGGGAGGGUGGCAGGCAGACGCGGUGAGUGAAUGCUCGUGAACUUGUAGCCAUGGUAAAAAGUACAGGCAGUGGAGGAAAGUGGUCUCUCCUUGCUGGGUUUGGUCGUUCCUUUCUUUUUCUCCUCUCCGGGGCGACCGGUCAGGGUGGUGGUUCACGCCGUGUUCUCCUCCCAAGUAGCACUACUACGAUAGGCAGACCACGCAUGUGUUCUCCUCCCACGACUGUGUGCUAUCAAACGUCACAACGUAACUGGGUGAUUAUAAAGACGCUCUACAGGUGUCUCCGAAGGUGUUUGUUGGGUUGGCAUAGAUCGAGAUUAGGAUUUGUCACUCCAAGUAUCGGAGAGGUAUCUCUGGGCCCUCUCGGUAAUGCACAUCACUAUAAGCCUUGCAAGCAGUGUGAAUAAUGAGUUAGUUACGGGAUGAUGCAUUACGGAACGAGUAAAGAGACUUGCCGGUAACGAGAUUGAACUAGGUAUGAGGAUACCGACGAUCGAAUCUCGGGCAAGUAACAUACUGAUGACAAAGGGAAUAACGUAUGUUGUCAUUACGGUUUGACCUUUAAAGAUCUUCGUAAAAUAUGUAGGAACCAAUAUGAGCAUCCAGGUUCCGCUAUUGGUUAUUGACCGGAGAUGUGUCUCGGUCAUGUCUACAUAGUUCUCGAACCCGUAGGGUCCGCACGCUUAACGUUCGAUGACGAUUUGUAUUAUGAGUUAUGUGUUUUGGUGACCGAAGAUUGUUCGGAGUCCCGGAUGAGAUCAUGGACAUGACGAGGAGUCUCGAAAUGGCCGAGAGGUAAAGAUUGAUAUAUUGGACGAAGGUAUUCGGACAGCGGAAUGGUUUCGGGACAUUUCAGAUAUUUAUCGGAGAACUGAGGGGUUACCGGAACCCCCUGGGGAAGUAAUGGGCCAACAUGGGCCAUAGGGGAGAGAGAGGGGAGCCCACAAGGGGUGGUGCCCCCCCCAUGGGCUGUCCGAAUUGGACAAGGGGAAGGGGGUGCGUCCCCCCUUUCCUUUCCCCCUCUCCCUCUCCUUCCCUCUUUCCCCCUCCAUGAGAAGGAAAAAGGGGGGGGGGCAAAUCCUACUAGGACUGGAGUCCUAGUAGGACUCCCCCCUCUUGCGCGCCCCUGGUGGCCGGCCACCUCCUCUCCCUCCUUUAUAUACGUGGGCAGGGCACCCCGUGACGCCCCCGAUCCAAAUCAGGGACUCACGGGAAGAUAUCACAACACAACUCUAAAAGUAAAAUAAGUCAUACAAGCAUCAUAAUACAAGCCAGGGGCCUCGAGGGCUCGAAUACAAGUGCUCGAUCAUAGACGAGUCGGCGGAAGCAACAAUAUCUGAGUACAAACAUAAGUUAAACAAGUUUGCCUUAAGAAGGCUAGCACAAACUGGGAUACAGAUCGAAAGAGGCGCAGGCCUCCUGCCUGGGAUCCUCCUAAACUACUCCUGGUCGUCAUCAGCGGCCUGCACGUAGUAGGCACCUCCGGUGUAGUAGGAGUCAUCGUCGACGGUGGCGUCUGGCUCCUGGGCUCCAGCAUCUGGUUGCGACAACCAAGUAGAAUGGAAAGGGGGAAAAGAAGGAGAAAAGCAACCGUGAGUACUCAUCCAAAGUACUCGCAAGCAAGGAUCUACACUACAUAUGCAUCGGUAUCAAUCAAAUGGGUUGUAUCUGUGGACUGAACUGCAGAAUGCCAGAAUAAGAGGGGGAUAGCUAGUCCUGUCGAAGACUACGCUUCUGGCAGCCUCCAUCUUGCAGCAUGUAGAAGAGAGUAGAUGGUAAGUUCACCAAGUAUCAUCGCAUAGCAUAAUCCUACCCGACAAUCCUCUCCUCGUCGACCUGUGAGAGAGCGAUCACCGGGUUGUAUCUGGCACUUGGAAGGGUGUGUUUUAUUAAGUAUCCGGUUCUAGUUGUCAUAAGGUCAAGGUACAACUCCAGGUCGUCCUUUUACCGAGGGACACGGCUAUUUGAAUAGAUAAACUUCCCUGCAAGGGUGCACCACAUAACCCAACACGCUCGAUCCCCUUUGGCCGGACACACUUUCCUGGGUCAUGCCUGGCCUCGGAAGAUCAACACGUCGCAGCCCUACCUAGGCACAACAGAGAGGUCAGCACGCCGGUCUAAAUCCUAUGGCGCAGGGGUCUGGGCCCAUCGCCCAUUGCACACAUGCACAUUGUGAGGGCGGCCGGAAGCAGAACUAGCCCCCUUAAUACAAGAGCAGGCUUACGUUCCAAUCCGGCGCGCGCCGCUCAGUCGCUGACGUCAAGUGCCCAUAUCUUUCCCACGUAGUUGGUUAGUGCGUAUAGACCAAAUGGCCAGACUCAGAUCAAAUACCAAGAUCUCGUUAAGCGUAUUAUUUUGAAGCAACAGCGGACGCCGACCAGGGCCAGGCCCACCUCUCUCCUAGGUGGUCUCAACCUGCCCUGUCGCUCCACCACAAAGUAACAGUCGGGGGCCGUCGAGAACCCAGGCCCACCUCUACCGGGAUGGAGCCACCUGCCCCUUCAGCCCCCAUCUCCGAACAGUAUCAUAAGUAAUAUAACAGUAUAAAGUAUAUAGCAUAUGCUCGUGAUCACCUCCCGAAGUGAUCACGACCCAGUAGUAUAGCAUGGCAGACGGACAAGAGUGUAGGGCCAUUGAUGGAAUACUAGCAUCCUAUACUAAGCAUUUAGGAUUGCAGGUAAGGGUAACAACUGUAGCAACAAUGACAGGCUAUGCAGCAGAAUAGGAUUAACCGAAAUCAGUAACAUACUACACUACUCUAAUGCAAGCAGUAGAGAGAAGGAAUAGGCGAUAUCUGGUGAUCAAGGGGGGGGGGGCUUGCCUGGUUGCUUUGGCAAGAAGUGAAGGAAAUAUGCCAUAGAGGCAAUAAUAAAGUUAUUAUUUAUUUCCUUAUUUCAUGAUAAAUGUUUAUUAUUCAUGCUAGAAUUGUACUAACCGGAAACUUGAUACAUGUGUGAAUACAUAGACAGAAAAGAGUGUCACUAGUAUGCCUCUACUUGACUAGCUCGUUGAAUCAAAGAUGGUUAUGUUUCCUAGCCAUAGACAUGAGUUGUCAUUUGAUUAACGGGAUCACAUCAUUAGGAGAAUGAUGUGAUUGACUUGACCCAUUCCGUUAGCUUAGCACUCGAUCGUUUAGUAUGUUGCUAUUGCUUUCUUCAUAACUUAUACAUGUUCCUAUGACUAUGAGAUUAUGCAACUCCCGUUUACCAGAGGAACACUUUGUGUGCUACCAAACGUCACAACGUAACUAGGUGAUUAUAAAGGUGCUCUACAGGUGUCUCCGAAGGUACUUGUUGGGUUGGCGUAUUUCGAGAUUAGGAUUUGUCACUCCGAUUGUCGGGGAGGUAUCUCUGGGCCCACUCAGUAAUGCACAUCACUAUAAUCCUUGAAAGCAUUGUAACUAAUGAGUUAGUUGCGGGAUGAUGUAUUACGGAACGAGUAAAGAGACUUGCCGGUAACGAGAUUGAACUAGGUAUUGAGAUACCGACGAUCGAAUCUCGGGCAAGUAACAUACCGAUGACAAAGGGAACAACGUAUGUUGUUAUGCGGUUUGACCGAUAAAGAUCUUCGUAGAAUAUGUGGGAGCCAAUAUGAGCAUCGAGGUUCCGCUAUUGGUUAUUGACCGGAGACGUGUCUCGGUCAUGUCUACAUUGUUCUCAAACCCGUAGGGUCCGCACGCUUAAAGUUUGAUGAUGGUUAUAUUAUGAGUUUAUGUGUUUUGAUGUACCGAAGGUAGUUCGGAGUCCCUAAUGAGAUCAGGGACAUGACAAGGAGUCUCGAAAUGGUCGAGACGUAAAGAUCGACAUAUUGGACGACUAUAUUCGGACAUCGGAAAGGUUCCGAGUGAUUCGGGUAUUUUUCGGAGUACCGGAGAGUUACGGGAAUUCGCCGGGGAGUAUAUGGGCCUUAUUGGGCUUUAGGGGAAAGAGAGAGGAGAGGGUGCCCGCCCCCCAAGGCCUAGUCCGAAUUGGACUAGGGGGAGGAGCUGCGGCCCCUCUUUCCUUCUCUUCUCUCUCCCCUUUCCUUGACUCCUACUCCUACUACUUGGAAGGGGGGAAUCCUACUCUCGGUGGGAGUAGGACUCCUCCUAGGGCGCGCCAUAGAGAGGGCCGGCCCUCCCCCUCCUCCACUCCUUUAUAUACGGGGAGGAGGGCACCCCUUGGAGAUACAACAAUUGAUCUCUUGAUCUCUUAGCCGUGUGCGGUGUCCCCCCUCCACCAUAAUCCACCUCGAUAAUAUCGUAGCGGUGCUUAGGCGAAGCCCUGCGUCGGUAGAACAUCAUCAUCGUCACCACGCCGUCAUGCUGACGGAACUCUCCCUCAAAGCUCGGCUGGAUCGGAGUUCGAGGGACGUCAUCGAGCUGAACGUGUGCUGAACUCGGAGGUGCCGUACGUUCGGUACUUGGAUCGGUCGGAUCAUGAAGACGUACAACUACAUCAACCGUGUUGUGCUAACGCUUCCGAUUUCGGUCUACAAGGGUACGUGGACACACUCUCCCCUCUCGUUGCUAUGCAUCACCAUGAUCCUGUGUGUGCGUAGGAAUUUUUUUGAAAUUACUACGUUCCCCAACAGUGGCAUCCGAGCCUGGUUUUAUGCGUAGAUGUCAUAUGCACGAGUAGAACACAAGUGAGUUGUGGGUGAUACAAAUCAUACUGCUUACCAGCAUGUCACACUUUGGUUCGGUGGUAUUGUUGGAUGAAGCGGCCCGGACCGACAUUACGCGUACGCUUACGCGAGACUGGUUCUACCGACGUGCUUUGCACACAGGUGGCUGGCGGGUGUCAGUUUCUCCAACUUUAGUUGAACCGAGUGUGGCUAUGCCCGGUCCUUGCGAAGGUUAAAAUGGCACCAACUUGACAAACUGUCAUUGUGGUUUUGAUGCGUAGGUAAGAACGGUUCUUGCUAAGCCCGUAGCAGCCACGUAAAACUUGCAACAACAAAGUAGAGGACGUCUAACUUGUUUUUGCAGGGCAUGUUGUGAUGUGAUAUGGUCAAGACGUGAUGAGAUAUAAGUUGUUGUAUGAGAUGAUCAUGUUUUGUUGAAAUUAUCGGCAACUGGCAAAAGUUUUAUGGUUGUCUCUUUAUUGCAUAAGAUGCAAGCGCCAAAUAAUUGCUUUAAUUUAUCACUAUGCGAUAGCAAUAGUUGCAAGAGCAAUAGUUGGUGAGACGACCAUGUGACGACACAUUGAUAUAGAUCAAGAUGAUGGAGAUCAUGGUGUCAUGCCGGUGACGAUGGAGAUCAUGACGAUGCUUUGGAGGUGGAGAUCAAAGGCACAAGAUGAUGAUGGCAAUAUCAUGUCACAUAUUAUGAUUGCAUGUGAUGUUUAUCUUUUAUACAUCUUAUCUUGCUUUGAUUGACGGUAGCAUUAUAAGAUGAUCUCUCACUAAAUUAUCAAGGUAUAAGUGUUCUCCCUGAGUAUGCACCAUUGCGAAAGUUCUUCGUGCUGAGACACCACAUGAUGAUAGGGUGUGAUAGGCUCUACGUUCAAAUACAACGGGUGCAAAACAGUUGCACACGCGGAAUACUCAGGUUAAGCUUGACGAGCCUAGCAUAUAACAGAUAUGGCCUCGGAACACGGAGACCGAAAGGUCGAGCGUGAAUCAUAUAGUAGAUAUGAUCAACAUAGUGAUGUUCACCGUUGAAACUACUCCAUCUCACGUGAUGAUCGGACAUGGUUUAGUUGAUAUGGAUCACGUGAUCACUUAGAGGAUUAGAGGGAUGUCUAUCUAAGUGGGAGUUCUUAAGUAAUAUGAUUAAUUGAACUUUAAUUUAUCAUGAACUUAGUCCUGGUAGUAUUAGCAUAUCUAUGUUGUAGAUCAAUAGCUCGCGUUUAGCUCCCCUGUUUUAUUUUGAUAUGUUCCUAGAGAAAAACUAUGUUGAAAAAUGUUAGUAGCAAUAUGCGGAUUGGAUCCGUGAUCUGAGGAUUAUCCUCAUUGCUGCACAGAAGAAUUAUGUCCUUGAUGCACCGCUAGGUGACAGACCUAUUGCAGGAGCAGAUGCAGACGUUAUGAACGUUUGGCUAGCUCAAUAUGGUGACUACUUGAUAGUUUAGUGCACCAUGCUUAAUGGCUUAGAAUCGGGACUUCAAAGACGUUUUGAACGUCAUGGACCAUAUGAGAUGUUCCAGGAGUUGAAGUUAAUAUUUCAAGCAAAUACCCGAGUUGAGAGAUAUGAAGUCUCCAACAAGUUCUAUAGCUAAAAGAUGGAGGAGAAUAGCUCAAGCAGUGAGCAUGUGCUUAGAUUGUCCGGGUACUACAAUCGCUUGAAUCAAGUGGGAGUUAAUCUUCUAGAUAAAAUAGUGAUUGACAGAAUUCUCCAGUCACCAUCACCAAGUUAGUAGAAAUUCGUGAUGAACUAUAGUAUGCAAGGGAUGACGAAAAUGAUUCCCGAGCUUUUCAUAAUGAUGAAAUCAAUGAAGGUAGAAAUCAAGAAAGACAAUCAAGUGUUGAUGAUUAACAAGACCACUAGUUUCAAGAAAAGGGGCAAAGGGAAGAAGGGGAACUUCAAGAAGAACGGCAAGCAAGUUGCUGCUCGAGUGAAGAAACCCAAGUCUGGACCUAAGCCUGAGACUAAGUGCAUCUACUGCAAAGGGACUGGUCACUGGAAGCGGAACUACCCCAAGUAAUUGGCGGAUAAGAAGGAUGGCAAAGUGAACAAAGGUAUAUUUGAUAUACAUGUUAUUGAUGUGUACUUUACUAGUGUUUAUAGCAACCCCGCAGUAUUUGAUACUAGUUCAGUUGCUAAGAUUAGUAACUCGAAACGGGAGUUGCAGAAUGAAUAGAGACUAGUUAAGGGUGAUGUGACGAUGUGUGUUGGAAGUAGUUCCAAGAAGAUAUGAUCAUCAUCGCACACUCCCUAUACUUUCGGGAUUAGUGUUGAACCUAAAUAAGUGUUAUUUGGUGUUUGCGUUGAGCAUGAAUAUGAUUUUAUCAUGUUUAUUGCAAUACGAUUAAUCAUUUAAGUUAGAGAAUAAUUGUUGUUCUGUUUACAUGAAUAAAACCUUCUAUGGUCAUACACCCAAUGAAAAUGGUUUGUUGGAUAUCGAUCGUAGAGAUACACAUAUUCAUAAUAUUGAAGCCAAAAGAUGCAAAGUUAAUAAUGAUAGUGCACCUUAUUUGUGGCACUGCCGUUUAGGUCAUAUUGGUGUAAAGCGCGUGAAGAAACUCCAUGCUGAUGGGAUUUUGGAAUCACUUGAUUAUGAAUCACUUGAUGCUUGCGAACCAUGCCUUAUGGGCAAGAUAACUAAGACUCCGUUCUCCGGAACAAUGGAGCGAGCAACUGACUUAUUGGAAAUAAUACAUACUGAUGUAUGCGAUCCGGUGAGUGUUGAGGCUCGCGGCGGGUAUCGUUAUUUUCUGACCUUCACAGAUGAUUUGAGCACAUAUGGGUAUAUCUACUUGAUGAAACAUAAGUUUGAAACAUUUGAAAAGUUCAAAGAAUUUUAGAGUGAAGUGGAAAAUCAUCGUGACAAGAAAAUAAAGUUUCUACGAUCUGGUCGCAGAGACAAAUAUUUGAGUUACGAGUUUGGUAUUCAAUUAAAACAAUGUGGAAUAGUUUCACAAAUUCGUGCCACCUGGAACACCACAGCAUAAUGGUGUGUCCGAACGUCAUAACCGUACUUUAUUGGAUAUAGUGCAAUCUAUGAUGUCUCUUACCGAUUUACCACUAUUGUUCUAGGGUUAUGCAUUAGAGACAGCUGCAUUCACAUUAAAUAGGGCACCGUCUAAUCCGUUGAGACGACACCGUAUGAACUAUGGUUUGGCAAGAAACCUAAGCUGUCGUUUCUUAAAGUUUGGGGUUGCGAUGCUUAUGUGAAAAAGUUUCAUCCUGAUAAGCUCAAACCCAAAUCAAAAAAGUGCGUCUUCAUAGGAUACCCAAAAGUUACUGUUGGGUACACCUUCUAUCACAGAUCCGAAGGCAAGAUAUUCGUUGCUAAGAAUGGAUCCUUUCUAGAGAAGGAUUUUCUCUCGAAAGAAGUGAGUGGGAGGAAAGUAGAACUUGAUGAGGUAACUGUACCUGCUCCCUUAUUGGAAAGUAGUUCAUCACAGAAAUCUGUUCCUGUGACUCCUACACCAAUUAGUAAGGAAGUUAAUGAUGAUGAUCAUGUAACUUCAGAUCAAGUUACUACCGAACCUCGUAGGUCAACCAGAGUGAGAUCCGCACCAGAGUGGUACGGUAAUCCUGUUCUGGAGGUCAUGUUACUAGACCAUGACGAACCUACGAACUAUGAAGAAGCGAUGGUGAGCCCAGAUUCCGCAAAAUGGCUUGAGGCCAUGAAAUCUGAGAUGGGAUCCAUGUAUGAGAACAAAGUAUGGACUUUGAUUGACUUGCCCAAAUGAUCGGUGAGCCAUUGAGAUUAAAUGGAUCUUCAAGAGGAAGACGAACGCUGAUAGUAGUGUUACUAUCUACAAAGCUAGAAUUGUCGCAAAAGGUUUUCGACAAGUUCAAGGUGUUGACUACGAUGAGAGUUUCUCACUCGUAUCUAUGCUUAAGUCUGUCCGAAUCAUGUUAGCAAUUGCCGCAUUUUGAAAUCUGGCAAAUGGAUAAACAAAACUGCAUUCCUUAAUGGAUUUAUUAAAGAAGAGUUGUAUAUGAUGUAAUCAGAAGGUUUUGUCGAUCCUAAAGGUUUUAACAAAAUGUGCAAGCUCCAGCGAUCCAUCUAUGCACUGGUGCAAGCAUCUCGGAGUUGGAAUAUACGCUUUGAUGAGUUGAUCAAAGCAUAUAGUUUUAUACAGACUUGCGGUGAAGCCUGUAUUUACAAGAAAGUGAGUGGGAGCACUACAACAUUUCUGAUAAGUAUAUGUGAAUGACAUAUUGUUGAUCGGAAAUAAUGUAGAAUUAUUCUGCAAAGCAUAAAGGAGUGUUUGAAAGGAGUUAUUCAAAGAAAGACCUCGGAGAAGCUGCUUACAUAUUGAGCAUCAAGAUCUAUAGAGAUAGAUCAAGACGCUUGAUAAGUUUUUUCAAUGAGUACAUACCUUGACAAGAUUUUGAAGUAGUUCAAAAUGGAACAGUCAAAGAAAGAGUUCUUGCCUGUGUUACAAGGUGUGAAAUUGAGUAAGACUCAAAGCCCGACCACGGCAGAAGAUAGAAAGAGAAUGAAAGUCAUUCCCUAUGCCUUGGCCAUAGGUUCUAUAAAGUAUGCCAUGCUGUGUACCAGAUCUAUUGUAUACCCUAACUGAUUUUGGCAAGGGAGUACAAUAGUGAUCUAGGAGUAGAUCAGUGGACAGCGGUCAAAAUUAUCCUUAGUGGAAUAAGGAUACGUUUCUCGAUUAUGGAGGUGACAAAAGGUUCGUCGUAAAGGGUUACGUCGAUGCAAGUUUUGGCACUGAUCCAGAUGACUCUAAGUCACAAUCUGGAUACAUAUUGAGAGUGGGAGCAAUUAGCUAGAGUAGCUCCGUGCAGAGCAUUGUUGACAUAGAAAUUUGCACAAUACAUACGGAUCUGAAUGUGGCAGACCCGUUGACUAAACUUCUCUCACAAGAAAAACAUGAUCACACCUUAGUACUCUUUGGGUGUUAACCACAUAGCGAUGUGAACUAGAUUAUUGACUCUAGUAAACCCUUUGGGUCUUGGUCACAUGACGAUGUGAACUAUGGGUGUUAAUCACAUGGUUAUGUGAACUAUGUUGGGGAACGUAGUAAUUUCAAAAAAUUUCCUACGCACACACAAGAUCAUGGUGAUGCAUAGCAACGAGAGGGGAGAGUUUUGUCCACGUACCCUCGUAGACCGAAAGCGGAAGCGUUUAACACAACGCGGUUGAUGUAGUCGUACGUCUUCAUGAUCCGACCGAUCAAGUACCGAACGCACGACACCUCCGAGUUUAGCACACGUUCAGCUCGAUGAUGUCCCUCGAACUCCGAUCCAGCCGAGUGUUGAGGGAGAGUUUCAUCAGCACAACGGCGUGGUGACGAGGAUGAUGUUCUACCGACGCAGGGCUUCGCCUAAGCACCGCUACGAUAUUAUUGAGGUGUAAUAUGGUGGAGGGGGGCACCGCACACGGCUAAAAGAUCGUUGAUCAAUCGUGUGUCGAGAGGUGCUCCCCUGCCCCCGUAUAUAAAGGAGCAAGGGGGAGGCCGCCGGCCAAGGAGGUGUGGCGCGCCAGGAGGAGUCCUACUCCUACCGGGAGUAGGACUCCCUCCCUUUCCAUGUUGGACUAGGAGAGGAAGGGGGAAGAGGUGGAGGGGAGGAAGGAAGGGGGGUGCCGCCCCCCUCUCCUUGUCCUAUUCGGACUGGGGGGAAGGGGCGCGCGGCCCUGCCCGAGCCUCCUCUCCUCUCUUCCACCUAGGCCCACUAAGGCCCAUUAAGUUACCGGGGGGUUCCGGUAACCUCUCGGUACUCCGGAAAAAUCCCGAUUUCACCCGGAACACUUCCGAUGUCCAAACAUAGGCUUCCAAUAUAUCAAUCUUUAUGUCUCGACCAUUUCGAGACUCCUCGUCAUGUCCGUGAUCACAUCCGGGACUCCGAACAACCUUCGGUACAUCAAAACAUAUAAACUCAUAAUAUAACUGUCAUCGUAACGUUAAGCGUGCGGACCCUACGGGUUCGAGAACUAUGUAGACAUGACCGAGACACCUCUCCGGUCAAUAACCAAUAGCGGAACCUAGAUGCUCAUAUUGGUUCCUACAUAUUCUACGAAGAUCUUUAUCGGCCAGACCGCAUAACAACAUACGUUGUUCCCUUUGUCAUCGGUAUGUUACUUGCCCGAGAUUCGAUCGUCGGUAUCUCUAUACCUAGUUCAAUCUCGUUACCGGCAAGUCUCUUUACUCGUUCCGUAAUACAUCAUCCCGCAACUAACUCAUUAGUUACAAUGCUUGCAAGGCUUAUAGUGAUGUGUAUUACUGAGUGGGCCCAGAGAUACCUCUCCGACAAUCGGAGUGACAAAUCCUAAUCUCGAAAUACGCCAACCCAACAAGUACCUUUGGAGACACCUAUAGAGCACCUUUAUAAUCACCCAGUUACGUUGUGACGUUUGGUAGCACACAAAGUGUUCCUCCGGUAAACGGGAGUUGCAUAAUCUCAUAGUCAUAGGAACAUGUAUAAGUCAUGAAGAAAGCAAUAGCAACAUACUAAACGAUCGAGUGCUAAGCUAACGGAAUGGGUCAAGUCAAUCACAUCAUUCUCCUAAUGAUGUGAUCCUGUUAAUCAAAUGACAACUCAUGUCUAUGGCUAGGAAACAUAACCAUCUUUGAUCAACGAGCUAGUCAAGUAGAGGCAUACUAGUGACACUCUGUUUGUCUAUGUAUUCACACAUGUAUUAUGUUUCCGGUUAAUACAAUUCUAGCAUGAAUAAUAAACAUUUAUCAUGAUAUAAGGAAAUAAAUAAUACUUUAUUAUUGCCUCUAGGGCAUAUUUCCUUCAGUCUCCCACUUGCACUAGAGUCAAUAAUCUAGAUUACACAGUAAUGAUUCUUACACCCAUGGAGUCUUGGUGCUGAUCAUGUUUUGCUUGUGGAAGAGGCUUAGUCAACAGGUCUGCAACAUUCAGAUCCGUAUGUAUCUUGCAAAUUUCUAUGUCUCCCACCUGGACUAAAUCCCGGAUGGAAUUGAAGCGUCUUUUGAUGUGGUUGGUUCUUUUGUGAAAUCUGGAUUCCUUUGCUAAGGCAAUUGCACCAGUAUUGUCACAAAAGAUUUUCAUUGGUCCCGAUGCACUAGGUAUGACACCUAGAUCGGAUAUGAACUCCUUCAUCCAGACUCCUUCAUUUGCUGCUUCCGAAGCAGCUAUGUACUCCGCUUCACACGUAGAUCCCACCACGACACUUUCCUUAGAACUGCACCAACUGACAGCUCCACCGUUCAAUGUAAACACAUAUCCGGUUUGCGAUUUAGAAUCGUCCGGAUCAGUGUCAAAGCUUGCAUCAACGUAACCAUUUACGAUGAGCUCUUUGUCACCUCCAUAAACGAGAAACAUAUCCUUAGUCCUUUUCAGGUAUUUCAGGAUGUUCUUGACCGCUGUCCAGUGAUCCACUCCUGGAUUACUUUGGUACCUCCCUGCUAAACUUAUAGCAAGGCACACAUCAGGUCUGGUACACAGCAUUGCAUACAUGAUAGAGCCUAUGGCUGAAGCAUAGGGAACAUCUUUCAUCUUCUCUCUAUCUUCUGCAGUGGUCAGGCAUUGAGUCUUACUCAAUCUCACACCUUGUAGUACAGGCAAGAACCCUUUCUUUGCUUGAUCCAUUUUGAACUUCUUCAAAACUUUGUCAAGGUAUGUGCUUUGUGAAAGUCCAAUUAAGCGUCUUGAUCUAUCUCUAUAGAUCUUGAUGCCCAAUAUAUAUGCAGCUUCACCGAGGUCUUUCAUUGAAAAACUCUUAUUCAAGUAUCCCUUUAUGCUAUCCAGAAAUUCUAUAUCAUUUCCAAUCAGCAAUAUGUCAUCCACAUAUAAUAUCAGAAAUGCUACUGAGCUCCCACUCACUUUCUUGUAAAUACAGGCUUCUCCAAAAGUCUGUAUAAAACCAAAUGCUUUGAUCACACUAUCAAAGCGUUUAUUCCAACUCCGAGAGGCUUGCACCAGUCCAUAAAUGGAUCGCUGGAGCUUGCAUACUUUGUUAGCUCCCUUUGGAUCGACAAAACCUUCCGGUUGCAUCAUAUACAACUCUUCUUACAGAAUCCAUUCAGGAAUGCAGUUUUGACAUCCAUUUGCCAAAUUUCAUAAUCAUAAAAUGCGGCAAUUGCUAACAUGAUUCGGACAGACUUAAGCAUCGCUACGGGUGAGAAGGUCUCAUCGUAGUCAAUCCCUUGAACUUGUCAAAAACCUUUCGCAACAAGUCGAGCUUUAUAGACAGUAACAUUACCGUCAGCGUCAGUCUUCUUCUUGAAGAUCCAUUUAUUUUCUAUGGCUUGCCGAUCAUCGGGCAAGUCAACCAAAGUCCAUACUUGGUUCUCAUACAUGGAUCCCAUCUCGGAUUUCAUGGCUUCAAGCCAUUUUGCGGAAUCUGGGCUCACCAUCGCUUCUUCAUAGUUCGUAGGUUCGUCAUGGUCUAGUAACAUAACCUCCAGAACAGGAUUACCGUACCACUCUGGUGCGGAUCUUAAUCUGGUUGACCUACGAGGUUCAGUAAUAACUUGAUCUGAAGUUUCAUGAUCAUUAUCAUUAACUUCCCCACUAAUUGGCGUAGCUGUCGCAGAAACUGGUUUAUGUGAUGAUCUACUUUCCAAUAAGGGAGCAGGUACAGUUACCUCAUCAAGUUCUACUUUCCUCCCACUCACUUAUUUCAAGAGAAACUCCUUCUCUAGAAAGGAUCCAUUCUUAGCAACGAAUGUCUUGCCUUCGGAUCUGUGAUAGAAGGUGUACCCAAUAGUCUCCUUUGGGUAUCCUAUGAAGACACAUUUCUCCGAUUUAGGUUCGAGCUUAUCUGGUUGAAGUUUCUUCACAUAAGCAUCGCAACCCCAAACUUUAAGAUACGACAACUUUGGUUUCUUGCCAAACCAUAGUUCAUAAGGUGUCGUUUCAACGGAUUUUGAUGGUGCCCUAUUUAGAGUGAAUGCAGCCGUCUCUAAAGCAUAACCCCAAAACGAUAGCGGUAAAUCAGUAAGAGACAUCAUAGAUCGCACCAUAUCUAAUAAAGUACGAUUACGACGUUCGGACACACCAUUACGCUGUGGUGUUCCGGGUGGCGUGAGUUGCGAAACUAUUCCGCAUUGUUUCAAAUGAAGACCAAACUCAUAACUCAAAUAUUCUCCUCCACGAUCAGAUCGUAGAAAUUUUAUUUUCUUGUUACGAUGAUUUUCAACUUCACUCUGAAAUUCUUUGAACUUUUGAAAUGUUUCAGAAUUAUGUUUCUUUAAGUAGAUAUACCCAUAUAUGCUCAAAUCAUCUGUGAAGGUGAGAAAAUAACGAUAUCCGCCACGAGCCUCAAUAUUCAUCGGACCACAUACAUCUGUAUGUAUGAUUUCCAAUAAAUCUGUUGCUCUCUCCAUAGUUCCGGAGAACGGUGUUUUAGUCAUCUUGCCCAUGAGGCACGGUUCGCAAGUACCAAGUGAUUCAUAAUCAAGUGAUUCCAAAAGUCCAUCAGUGUGGAGUUUCUUCAUGCGCUUUACACCGAUAUGACCUAAACGGCAGUGCCACAAAUAAGUUGCACUAUCAUUAUCAACUCUGCAUCUUUUGGCUUCAACAUUAUGAAUAUGUGUAUCACUACUAUCGAGAUUCAACAAAAAUAGACCACUCUUCUAGGGUGCAUGACCAUAAAAGAUAUUAUUCAUAUAAAUAGAACAACCAUUAUUCUCUGAUUUAAAUGAAUAACCGUCUCGCAUCAAACAAGAUCCAGAUAUAAUGUUCAUGCUUAACGCUGGCACCAAAUAACAAUUAUUUAGGUCUAAUACUAAUCCCGAAGGUAGAUGUAGAGGUAGCGUGCCGACUGCGAUCACAUCGACUUUGGAACCAUUUCCCACGCGCAUCGUCACCUCGUCCUUAGCCAAUCUUCGCUUAAUCCGUAGCCCCUGUUUCGAGUUGCAAAUAUUAGCAACAGAACCAAUAUCAAAUACCCAGGUGCUACUGCGAGCAUUAGUAAGGUACACAUCAAUAACAUGUAUAUCACAUAUACCUUUGUUAACCUUGCCAUCCUUCUUAUCCGCCAAAUACUUGGGGCAGUUCCGCUUCCAGUGACCAUUCUGCUUGCAGUAGAAGCACUCAGUCUCAGGCUUAGGUCCAGACUUGGGUUUUCUUCUCCUGAGCAGCAACUUGCUUGCUGUUCUUCUUGAAGUUCCCCUUCUUCUUCCCUUUGCCCUUUUUCUUGAAACUAGUGGUCUUAUUGACCAUCAACACUUGAUGCUCCUUUUUGAUUUCUACCUCCGCUGCCUUUAGCAUUGCGAAGAGCUCGGGAAUUGUCUUAUUCAUCCCUUGCAUGUUAUAGUUCAUCACGAAACUCUUGUAGCUUGGUGGCAGUGAUUGAAGAAUUAUGUCAAUGACGCUAUCAUCCAGAAGAUUAACUCCCAGUUGAAUCAAGUGAUUAUUAUACCCAGACAUUUUGAGUAUAUGCUCACUGACAGAACUAUUCUCUUCCAUCUUGCAGCUGUAGAACUUAUUGGAGACUUCAUAUCUCUCAAUCCGGGCAUUUGCUUGAAAUAUUAACUUCAACUCCUGGAACAUCUCAUAUGCUCCAUGACGUUCAAAACGUCGUUGAAGACCUGGUUCUAAGCCGUAAAGCAUGGCACACUGAACUAUCGAGUAGUCAUCAGCUUUGCUCUGCCAGACGUUCAUAACUUCUGGUGUUGCUCUUGCAGCAGGCCUGGCACCCAGCGGUGCUUCCAGGACGUAAUUUUUCUGUGCAGCAAUGAGGAUAAUCCUCAAGUUACGGACCCAGUCCGUGUAAUUGCUACCAUCAUCUUUCAACUUUGCUUUCUCAAGGAACGCAUUAAAAUUCAACGGAACAAUAGCACGGGCCAUUUAUCUACGAUUAACUUAGACAAGCAAGAUACUAUCAGGUACUAAGUUCAUGAUAAAUUUUAAGUUCCAUUAAUCAUAUUACUUAAGAACUCCCACUUAGAUAGACAUCCCUCUAAUCAUCUAAGUGAUUACGUGAUCCAAAUCAACUAAACCAUGUCCGAUCAUCACAUGAGAUGGAGUAGUUUCAAUGGUAAACAUCACUAUGUUGAUCAUAUCUACUAUAUGAUUCACGCUCGACCUUUCGGUCUCCGUGUUCCGAGGCCAUAUCUGCAUAUGCUAGGCUCGUCAAGUUUAACCUGAGUAUUCCGCGUGUGCAACUGUUUUGCACCCGUUGUAUUUGAACGUAGAGCCUAUCACACACGAUCAUCACGUGGUGUCUCAGCACGAAGAACUUUCGCAACGGUGCAUACUCAGGGAGAACACUUUUAUCUUGAAAUUUUAGUGAGAGAUCAUCUUAUAAUGCUACCGUCAAUCAAAGCAAGAUAAGAUGCAUAAAAGAUAAACAUCACAUGCAAUCAAUAUAAGUGAUAUGAUAUGGCCAUCAUCAUCUUGUGCUUGUGAUCUCAAUCUCCGAAGCACCGUCAUGAUCACCAUCGUCACCGGCGCGACACCUUGAUCUCCAUCAUAGUAUUGUUGUCGUUUCGCCAACUAUUGCUUUUACGACUAUCGCUACCGCUUAGUGAUAAAGUAAAACAAUUACAUGGCGAUUGCAUUGCAUAUAAUAAAGCGACAACCAUAUGGCUCCUGCCAGUUGCCGAUAACUCGGUUACAAAACAUGAUCAUCUCAUACAAUAAAAUAUAGCAUCAUGUCUUGACCAGAUCACAUCACAACAUGCCCUGCAAAAACAAGUUAGACGUCCUCUACUUUGUUGUUGCAAGUUUUACGUGGCUGCUACGGGCUUAGCAAGAACCGUUCUUACCUACGCAUCAAAACCACAACGAUAGUUUGUCAAGUUGGUGCUGUUUUAACCUUCGCAAGGACCGGGCGUAGCCACACUCGAUUCAACUAAAGUGAGAGAGACAAACACCCGCUAGUCACCUUUAAGCAACGAGUGCUCGCAACGGUGAAACCAGUCUCGCGUAAGCGUACGCGUAAUGUCGGUCUGGGCCGCUUCAUCUCACAAUACCGCCGAACCAAAGUAUGACAUGCUGGUGAGCAGUAUGACUUAUAUCGCCCACAACUCACUUGUGUUCUACUCGUGCAUAACAUCAACGCAUAAAACCAGGCUCGGAUGCCACUGUUGGGGAACGUAGUAAUUUCAAAAAAUUUCCUACACACACACAAGAUCAUGGUGAUGCAUAGCAACGAGAGGGGAGAGUGUUGUCCACAUACCCUCGUAGACCGAAAGCGGAAGCGUUUAACACAACGCGGUUGAUGUAGUCGUACGUCUUCACGAUCCGACCGAUCAAGUACCGAACGCACGGCACCUCCGAGUUCAGCACACGUUCAGCUCGAUGACGUCCCUCGAACUCCGAUUCAGCCGAGUGUUGAGGGAGAGUUUCGUCAGCACAACGGCGUGGUGACGAUGAUGAUGUUCUACCGACGCAGGGCUUCGCCUAAGCACCGCUACGAUAUUAUCGAGGUGUAAUAUGGUGGAGGGGGGCACCGCACACGGCUAAAAGAUCGUUGAUCAAUCGUGUGUCGAGAGGUGCCCCCCUGCCCACGUAUAUAAAGGAGCAAGGGGGAGGCCGCCGACCAAGGAGGUGUGGCGCGCCAGGAGGAGUCCUACUCCUACCGGGAGUAGGACUCCCCCCUUUCCAUGUUGGACUAGGAGAGGAAGGGGGAAGAGGUGGAGGGGAGGAAGGAAGGGAGGGUGCUGCCCCCCUCUCCUUGUCCUAUUCGGACUGGGGGGGGGAAGGGGCCCUGCCCUAGCCUCCUCUCCUCUCUUCCACCUAGGCCCACUAAGGCCCAUUAAGUUACCAGGGGGUUCCGGUAACCUCUCGGUACUCUGGAAAAAUCCCGAUUUCACCCGGAACACUUCCGAUGUCCAAACAUAGGCUUCCAAUAUAUCAAUCUUUAUGUCCCGGAUGUGAUCACGGACAUGACGAGGAGUCCGUGAUCACAUCCGGGACUCCGAACAACCUUCGGUACAUCAAAACAUAUAAACUCAUAAUAUAACUGUCAUCGUAACGUUAAGCGUGCGGACCCUACGGGUUCGAGAACUAUGUAGACAUGACCGAGACACCUCUCCGGUCAAUAACCAAUAGCGGAACUUGGAUGCUCAUAUUGGUUCCUACAUAUUCUACGAAGAUCUUUAUCGGUCAGACCGCAUAACAACAUACGUUGUUCCCGUUGUCAUCGAUAUGUUACUUGCCCGAGAUUCAAUCGUCGGUAUCUCUAUACCUAGUUCAAUCUCGUUACCGGCAAGUCUCUUUACUCAUUCCGUAAUACAUCAUCCCGCAACUAACUCAUUAGUUACAAUGCUUGCAAGGCUUAUAGUGAUGUGUAUUACUGAGUGGGCCCAGAGAUACCUCUCCGACAAUCGGAGUGACAAAUCCUAAUCUUGAAAUACGCCAACCCAACAAGUACCUUUGGAGACACCUGUAGAGCACCUUUAUAAUCACCCAGUUACGUUGUGACGUUUGGUAGCACACAAAGUGUUCCUCCGGUAAACGGGAGUUGCAUAAUCUCAUAGUCAUAGGAACAUGUAUAAGUCAUGAAGAAAGCAAUAGCAACAUACUAAACGAUCGAGUGCUAAGCUAACGGAAUGGGUCAAGUCAAUCACAUCAUUCUCCUAAUGAUGUGAUCCUGUUAAUCAAAUGACAACUCAUGUCUAUGGCUAGGAAACAUAACCAUCUUUGAUCAACGAGCUAGUCAAGUAGAGGCAUACUAGUGACACUCUGUUUGUCUAUGUAUUCACACAUGUAUUAUGUUUCCGGUUAAUACAAUUCUAGCAUGAAUAAUAAACAUUUAUCAUGAUAUAAGGAAAUAAAUAAUACUUUAUUAUUGCCUCUAGGGCAUAUUUCCUUCAAACUAUUGGUGUUAAAUCACAUGGCGAUGUGAACUAGAUUAUUGACUCUAGUGCAAGUGGGAGACUGAAGGAAAUAUGCCCUAGAGGCAAUAAUAAAGUUAUUAUUUAUUUCCUUAUUUCAUGAUAAAUGUUUAUUAUUCAUGCUAGAAUUGUAUUAACCGGAAACUUGAUACAUGUGUGAAUACAUAGACAAAAAAGAGUGUCACUAGUAUGCCUCUACUUGGCUAGCUCGUUGAAUCAAAGAUGGUUAUGUUUCCUAGCCAUAGACAUGAGUUGUCAUUUGAUUAACGGGAUCACAUCAUUAGGAGAAUGAUGUGAUUGACUUGACACAUUCCGUUAGCUUAGCACUCGAUCGUUUAGUAUGUUGCUAUUGCUUUCUUCAUGACUUAUACAUGUUCCUAUGACUAUGAGAUUAUGCAACUCCCGUUUACCGGAGGAACACUUUGUGUGCUACCAAACGUCACAACGUAACUGGGUGAUUAUAAAGGUGCUCUACAGGUGUCUCCGAAGGUACUUGUUGGGUUGGCGUAUUUCGAGAUUAGGAUUUGUCACUCCGAUUGUCGGAGAGGUAUCUCUGGGCCCACUCAGUAAUGCACAUCACUAUAAUCCUUGAAAGCAUUGUAACUAAUGAGUUAGUUGCGGGAUGAUGUAUUACGGAACGAGUAAAGAGACUUGCCGGUAACGAUAUUGAACUAGGUAUAGAGAUACCGACGAUCGAAUCUCGGGCAAGUAAAAUACCGAUGACAAAGGGAACAACGUAUGUUGUUAUGCGGUUUGACCGAUAAAGAUCUUCGUAGAAUAUGUGGGAGCCAAUAUGAGCAUCCAGGUUCCGCUAUUGGUUAUUGACCGGAGACGUGUCUCGGUCAUGUCUACAUUGUUCUCAAAUCCGUAGGGUCCGCACGCUUAAAGUUCGAUGACGGUUAUAUUAUGAGUUUAUGUGUUUUGAUGUACCGAAGGUAGUUCGGAGUCCCGGUUGAGAUUAGGGACAUGACGAGGAGUCUCGAAAUGGCCGAGACGUAAAGAUCGAUAUAUUGGACGACUAUAUUCGGACAUCGGAAAGGUUCCGAGUGAUUCGGGUAUUUUUCGGAGUACCGGAGAGUUAUGGGAAUUCGCCGGGGAGUAUAUGGGCCUUAUUGGGCUUUAGGGGAAAGAGAGAGGAGAGGGUGCGCCCCCCAAGGCCUAGUCCGAAUUGGACUAGGGGGAGGAGCUGCGCCCCCUCUUUCCUUCUCUUCUCUCUCCCCAUUCCUUGACUCCUACUCCUACUACUUGGAGGGGGGGGGAAUCCUACUCCCGGUGGGAGUAGGACUCCUCCUAGGGCGCGCCAUAGAGUGGGCCGGCCCUCCCCCUCCUCCACUCCUUUAUAUACGGGGAGGAGGGCACCCUUGGAGAUACAACAAUUGAUCUCUUGAUCUCUUAGCCGUGUGCGGUGCCCCCCUCCACCAUAAUCCACCUCGAUAAUAUCGUAGCGGUGCUUAGGCGAAGCCCUGCGUCGGCAGAACAUCAUCAUCGUCACCACGCCGUUGUGCUGACGGAACUCUCCCUCAAAGCUUGGCUGGAUCGGAGUUCGAGGGACGUCAUCGAGCUGCAGGUGUGCUGAACUCGGAGGUGCCGCACGUUCGGUACUUGGAUUGGUCGGAUCGUGAAGACGUACGACUACAUCAACCGUGUUGUGCUAACGCUUCCGCUUUCGGUCUACAAGGGUACGUGGACACACUCUCCCCUCUCGUUGCUAUGCAUCACCAUGAUCCUGUGUGUGCGUAGGAUUUUUUUUUGAAAUUACUACGUUUCCCAACAAGAAGGAGGGGUCGUCGUCGACGUAGUUGUACUCAGGGGCAUCAGCGUCGGUCUCGGGGUCUACCGGAGAAGAAGAGGGGGAAGAAACAGUAAAUACAUUGCAAACAGAUGCAUGACAACGCGAACAGCGAUGAUAGGUGUGCCCUAACACAGUACUAGGUGAUACCGGCAAAGGGGGGAAACAUCCGAGAAAGUAUCCCCGGUGUUUCGCGUUUUCGGACAGAUGAACCGGAUGGGGAAAGUUGCGUGUUCGCUAUGCUAGGGAUGUGUGGUGGGCGAGCGGGUUGCGUAUUCGGAUUCGUCUCGUCGUUCUAAGCAACUUUCAUGUACAAAGUUUUUUCAUCCGAGUUACGGAUUAUUUUAUAUUAAUUUUCUAAGUUUUAAAUCAAUUUCUAGAGUUAUUAUUAAUUCAAAAAUUAACUAGCUAAAUGCUAUGGGUACACAUCAGUGUACCCAACAUUGUGUGCAUGUGCAUGACAUGUGGGGCCAGAGGGCCCAGUUGACCCAGUCAAACUGACGUGUGGGUCCCAUUUGUCAUUGAUUGAGACUAACUAAUCAGGAUUAACUAGAUUAGUUAAUUGAUUAGGUAAAUUAAUCUCAAUUAAUUAAGUUAAUUAACUUAGUUAACUAAUUAAUUAAUUGAUUAAUUAAAUUAAAUUAUUAUUAUUAUUUUAAAUUCUUUUUUAUUAAAACGUUUUUGGGUGGGCCCCAUGUGCCAUAGGCACAGGGGCCAUAGUGGGCACUGGGCGGCUCGAGCAGACGCUCGCCCAAAUGCAGGGGCGCGGCAGGGCGCCGAUGUGCGGGCGGCCGACGUCAGCGACGACCGGUGGCGACGGCAGGAGGCGGAGCCGGGGGGUGCACUAGGCGAGGUCGUGGCCUCGCGGGGGCGCCGGGCGCGGCAGCAGAGGCCGGUGCGGUGCGGCCCGGUGCGAGGCAGGAGUAGCGGCAGCGACGGUGAUGCAGGCAGUCGGGCAGAGGGGCGUGUGAAGGUGCGGGCGGCUUCAGGGAGCCGCGGCCAGGGAAGGAGUGGAGCUGAACGGCGGCACUGGUGAGCACAACAGCGGGCAGACGCAUGAGCGGGAGCGGCAGUGGGGGGUGCGCGAGCGCGCGCUGUCGGCCACGGUCGGGUGCGACAGAGAACGGGCAGGGGGCGUAGUAGCGGGGCUGGGCGCGGCCCUGAGCGGCACGCAAGGGAGGAGGCGAGCGCGCGCGGCAGAGGCGACAGGGAGCAGUAGCAAGGCGAGGCCACGCCCGAGCGCGGGCGUGCGCGCGGUAGAGGAGGCCGGGGCAUCGUGAACGGCGCCGGCGACAGAGGGAAAUGGGGAAAGGAGGGGUCCUCACGGCGAGUUUCGUAGGGCACGGGCAGCGGGGUUGAGGCGGGGGAUGGGGAAGAUGCGGACGUAGGGGAGGCAGUCCGGCGGGGAGGACCAGCGAGCGUCAGGGCUCCGGCGUCGGAGUCGACGAAGAGGACGGCGUCGAGCAGCGCCAGGCGGCGUCCAGAUCGAGCGGGGGGCGCGUGAACCCUGAUCCGAUCUGGAUUGGGGGGAAAGGGAGAGGGGGAAGUGGGGAUCAUGGGAGAGGAGUGGGGGAGUGGUUGACCCGAUCUAGGUCACGGGGGAAGUGGGCGUUAAGGGGGGCGCCGGCUGGGCCGGCCUGGCUUGCCCAGUGGCCAGCUGGGCCGAGGCCCAGUGGCAGGCAUUCUUUGUUUUAAUUUAAUUUUAUUUUUUGGUUUGUUUUGUCUUUUCUUAUUCUUUUCUGUUUUCUUUUAACCUUUAUAAGAUUUUAGUUUAAAUAAAGUGCAAUAAUAGUCCCUAAAUUAGUAUUACUAAAUAACCCACUGCCACAAACAAUUUAGCACAUUUUAGAAAGUAGUUUGUAUUUGUUUAUUAAUUUACGAGCAUUUAAUAAUAGUUUUACCACUAUUUUAUUUAUUAUAGUGCAUCUAACUACUUUAUAACAGUGUGAUUUCUCCACCAAUAUCUAUUAUGAAUUACUUGCAACAUUUAGAACAUUUUAGUUUUGACUUUUGAAAACUUUUAUAGUUUGACUUUAUUUCAAAUUUGAAUUUGAACGAGUUUUGAAUCAUGGCGAGAUUAUCAACAGUAAUCGUGGUGAUGUGGCAUCAUUAGUAGAGGGUUACUGUAUCUUAAUUAUCCGGGCGUCACAAUUCUCCUCCACUACAAGAAAUCUCGUCCCGAGAUUUAAGAGGUGGAGCAAGGGGGAAAGAUCUGGUUACGAAAUUCUAACGGAUCUUCUCGGUCUUGGUUGCUCUUCUCGCAGAGGUCGACCCAUUUGGCGUCUUCCUUCCUUUGUUUCAGGCAUGAUGAAGUCGCUAUGUUUCUUCGGGAACUUCAUCGUACUUACGAAAAAACAAGGGGGUAUUUCGGGAGAACGGGCUUCUGCAAGGUUGACUAUCUGGUCGAUAACAUCGGGAAAGGUGGCGGAAAGUAACUCUCGAUUUGAAACUUAAGAAAAUAUCGAGAGCAAAGUAAGGAGAUAUCAUGGAAAGUUUCGAGCGGGCAGGCAAUCGUUCGAUGCCUGAAACAGAGUGUGAAAGGGGUUCGGAGCAAUGGGAAUAAGUAUUGCAUCUGAUAACAGAAUAGAUCACUAGGCAGGUGGCCCGUGAACUACAUACGAAGUCAAGCUCUAGGAAUAACUUUGGCAACAGGGUGUACAGGAGAUUCAGGUUUCGAUCCUGUGGAACUGUGGGUUAUGGGCCCACCAUGUGGGUGAAAAGUAGGAAGGGCGGUAACGUCUUGCACGAUCAUGUAAACAAGGCAUGUCAGAGGAUAGUCUGUCAUUUAUGUCGGCAACAACAGUGGUACCAAGGGCAAGGGAUGAAGAGAACCAUUUUCCUGCUCAUUGAACGAGGCGGACCAAUAGGCAAAGUUCUCGUCCAUCAGUGGUUACCGGAAUGCUAUCGACAAAUGCAACUGGGUCUUACUGACACGGUUGUACACUAAGGUGUUUACAUAAGCAGAAGAAUAUUACUUCUUAGAUCAUAUGGAUCACAAGGAAGGUUAAACAAAUCAAUGGAAAGGAAAAUGUGAUCAUCAGAUCAAACAGAACAAUGGAAAGGAAAAUGUGUUUGACAUAUACCCUUCCCAAGGACAAGCAGCGCAAGAUAUCCACGACAGGAUAGAAAGUAGAAUCCAUGUAAGUUAGGGGAGAGGAAUUUGAUGACAAUACCCAUACAACGGUGUUUUGGAUAAUUGAUAAAGAAAAGAUAGCAUUUGGCUUCAAAUGUUCUUAUUGAAGAUCGGAGUAACACAGACAUGCUUCGAGAUAGCAUUGACAUGGUCUUCAAGCAAAGGUCAGACUUUGGAUACAAAGGAUCCAUCGAAAACAACUUAUAGAAUAAGUCUUACAAUUUCCUCAUGGAAGAAUGGAUAACCUUGCUGAAAAGGAAUCUAUAACAAUAGGGCCUCCGGUCGGGUGUCCUUGGCAUGACAUCACCUUACUGGGUCAUAUGAGGAUCAAUGUUAUAACUCUUGAAAAUAUGUUCCAACCAUCAUAUCUGACCGAGAUUUAGAUCUGAUUGGUGUCAGGAUACCUCAGACUUAGGGUGCCUGAGAAGAGAAGGUGCGGCACAAAUUGACGAGAUGACAUUGUAAGAUUCUCGGAAAAUGAACUAUGGAAGUGAGUUCUGAAACAAGAGUUCGUCAUUAAACCAAUGAGAUGAGGGGGCGACUGAUAGACUCAGCGACAAUUCCUCGAGAUUUCCAUAAGAUGGAUUUCCACAACUAUGUGAACAAGGAUAUAACAUUUGUCAGAUCAGAUGACAUAAUGAUGUAUGCUCAAGGAAAAAAAUACACAAAUAAACAUUGGUUGAAAGGUGCGCCUGAAAUAUGGCCUUAGGUAGCAUGAUCAAUGUUAGAAUGGUGAUUCAAUAAUCAAUAGUCUAAGAAUGAACUGUCGACCAUUAACUUCAAAGCAAUAGGGUUGCUAGAAGUAUAGAAUCCAAGCAGCAUCAUCCACUUGUUGGUAUCCCGGUUAAAAUCAACACGGGACCAAGAAAGAAUGGUGAUGGUGAGAAGUAUCACUAUACCAAGAAUUCUUAAGAGGUGGAGUAAUCCUUGCAACAUCCUUGACAUAAAGGACAGAAAUACUUCAAGAUAGAACAUAAUACAAACUGGAUAGCAAGUUGCAUCCAUAACAUGAACAAGUUUGUGAUGAAAGGAAGGUAAAGAUGUUGUCGAUGGUAACUCAAAUUACCAAGGGAUGAGUAUGGUACUUACCAUCAUGAAUUCGAUUGAUAUCCUAGAAGGAGUCAAAAUGUUGAUGAUGUUCACGGCAAAUUUUGUCGAGAGGCUCCACGAAGAUGUAAUCGAUCGGCGAUGACAUCAAGUCAAAGGAAUGAUGAAGCGAUAGGUUAAUGGAACCAAGGGUACAACACAAACUCCAAACCAAGCUUGCUGUUCAAACCGAAAUGAUAUGAUGAGGAAGAUCGACGUAAGCUUAUCUCAUCGUAAAAAAUUGUGCUCCGGGAAGGACCAGGUAGCACAGUUAAAAUUUAGCAUGAUAAUGAUAUAGCCGAUCAGGCUUGGGAUGACUUGAAGGAUUAUUAAACUCGUAAGCAACGAAAAUUACUUAGAGUUAUUGAAUCGGAGUGCGGACUCAAUUCACUAUUCGGUGUUCUCGGUUGACGACAACCCAGAACCCAGGAAAAUUUGGAAUCGGUGAGAAAUAACAGUUGAUGAAGAACGCAUAAGAAGUUAUGCGGUUCCAUGAUAUUCUCAAGAUAUCAUAGGGGAAUACUCGAAGGUUGAGAAGAAUCGAGGUUGGGCAGGCACAUUGAUCUGCAUAAGACAAGCGAUUUAACUUGUCCGAGAAAUGGGACCAAAGAAAAACAAUCAUGGUCGGAACCACGGUUGCAAAGGACCAAGCAUAGAUAAGAGAAGAAGUUAUAAUAAGGGGAUUAUUAUUACUACAAGAAGCUUCCAUGAUAAGUUCCACCUCGGGUCCAUGGGCAUGAACACAAAGUUCAAGGUCGACUCCCACUUCUCCAAAGCAUAACCUUACAUUCACUUCUCGUUUCGAUAAUGGCAUUAGUGUUGAAAGUUUUACAUGGUGAAAUACCAGAUGAGGAUGGCCCGUGAAAUCUUCCGGGCUCACAUAGAUUAGGAAAAGGCAUAGGUUCAACCCAUCGGGGCAUCUUUGGAACAUAUACCACGAACUCCAGGAGUAAAUAACACAAGCUCAAAAGUAGAGCAUGGUUGACAAAGUAGAGGAUACAAUUUACCAAAGGCAUUAUGUAUCAUGUAAAGAACUCACAAGAAUUUUGGUUGUGAAGGACAUUGUCGGAUAAUAACCCAGCAAUGGGUAUGGCGGUCCACAACAGGGCUGAUGUGAGUAUCAGUUCUCAAUCAGAGGAAGAAGGAAUGCAAAGGCAUCAGGUUAUAGAAACAACUGGGUAAUUCAAAGCUCAAUGCAAAGAAAUUUAUGAUUUCCAAAUCAAGGGAUUAGAAGCAAUCGUUCUGAUCGAAAAUGAAUAAGUUCAACAAACUUAGAAACACAACCGAUCAAGGCAUUGAUUGGUCAAGAACCAACUCAUACCCAAAUGACGUCUGAGCCGGAAGGAUAAACCUAGGAUUUGAUUGAGGAUUGCGAGCAUUCACAACAUAUUGAAUCGAUGGACUCAAAAUGAUAAUGACAAUGAAUGCCAAUAAGAUUACCAAACUUAUGGGAUUAAUCAUAAUGCAGGCAAGCAAGAAUUUCAAGAGAAAUAGGUUGCUGAGGAUUUUCGGAAGACUGAAUAGCAUUUCGAAGACUUUUGUGGCCACAUGAAUAACUGGGGAGAAAAAAAUCCUCGGUAUGUGUGAGGAUUAAUUUAUAGGUGUAUUCAGGCGACAAGGAACUACAAGGAAGUAAGCACAAAGUUUUCUCCGAGCAAUAGAGAGAAGUUCGGGGUAUAUUGUAAUAACAAGAUCAACUGGGAAUAAAAGUAAGAACGACAGGUGUAUGUAUUUAUCCAUAGGGAUAUUUUGGUGCUACGGAAUUGCAAAAGCAAUGGCACAAAGUCUUGAGAGAACAUCUGAGAGUAUCUUCAGAAUCUUCUGGUGCAGCAGGCGAUCAUCUGUAAUAAGGGGCUCUCCAGGAGAAAGUAGUUACGGGAACCUAGAGUCAGAUUUAGUAAAAUCACUUAAGCCGAAUAGAAGAGAGAUCAGAGUCCUAGAGUAUAGGUCGAGAAAUAAAAGAUCCUAAUACCACCCAAUGGCGACGUGGGCCCGUAAGCCACACAACCAUGUUAGUAAAAGUUUUGUAAUGUCUAGACUCGACUUCGGCCAAGGAGUGUGGAAGGGGGAUUCCUACAGGCAGUCAGCUCUGAUACCAACUUGUGACGCCCCCGAUCCAGAUCAGGGACUCAUGGAAAGAUAUCACAACGCAACUCUAAAAGUAAAAUAAGUCAUACAGGCAUCAUAAUACAAGCCAGGGGCCUCGAGGGCUCGAAUACAACUGCUCGAUCAUAGACGAGUCAGCGGAAGCAACAAUAUCUGAGUACAGACAUAAGUUAAACAAGUUUGUCUUAAGAAGGCUAGCACAAACUGGGAUACAGAUCGAAAGAGGCGCAUGCCUCCUGCCUGGGAUCCUCCUAAACUACUCCUGGUCGUCGUCAGCGGCCUGCACGUAGUAGGCACCUCCGGUGUAGUAGGAGUCGUCGUCGACGGUGGUGUCUGGCUCCUGGGCUCCAGCAUCUGGUUGCGAGAACCAAGUAGAAUGGAAAGGGGGAAAAGAAGGAGAAAAGCAACCGUGAGUACUCAUCCAAAGUACUCGCAAGCAAGGAUCUACACUACAUAUGCAUCGGUAUCAAUCAAAUGGGUUGUAUCUGUGGAUUGAACUGCAAAAUGCCAGAAUAAGAGGGGGAUAGCUAGUCCUGUCGAAGACUACGCUUCUGGCAGCCUCCAUCUUGCAGCAUGUAGAAGAGAGUAGAUGGUAAGUUCACCAAGUAUCAUCGCAUAUCAUAAUCCUACCCGACGAUCCUCUCCUCGUCGACCUGUGAGAGAGCGAACACGGGGUUGUAUCUGGCACUUGGAAGGGUGUGUUUUAUUAAGUAUCCGGUUCUAGUUGUCAUAAGGUCAAGGUACAAUUCCGGGUCGUCUCUUUACCGAGGGACACGGCUAUUCGAAUAGAUAAACUUUCCUGCAGGGGUGCACCACAUAACCCAACACGCUCGAUCCCCUUUGGCCGGACACACUUUCCUGGGUCAUGCCCGGCCUCGGAAGAUCAACACGUCGUAGCCCUACCUAGGCACAACAGAGAGGUCAGCACGCCGGUCUAAAUCCUAUGGCGCAGGGGUCUAGGCCCAUCGCCCAUUGCACACCUGCACGUUGCGAGGGCGGCCGGAAGCAGAACUAGCCCCCUUAAUACAACAGCAGGCUUACGUUCCAAUCCGGCGCGUGCUGCUCAGUCGCUGACAUCAAGAAGGCUUCGGCUGAUACCACGAUGUCGAGUGCCCAUAUCUUUCCCACGUAGUUGGUUAGUGCGUAUAGACCAAAUGGCCAGACUCAGAUCAAAUACCAAGAUCUCGUUAAGCGUAUUAUUUUGAAGCAACAGCAGACGCCGACCAGGGCCAGGCCCACCUCUCUCCUAGGUGGUCUCAACCUGCCCUGUCGCUCUGCCACAAAGUAACAGUCGGGGGCCGUCGGGAACCCAGGCCCACCUCUACCGGGAUGGAGCCACCUGUCCCUUCAGCCCCCAUCUCCGGACAGUAUCAUAAGUAAUGUAACAGUAUAAAGUAUAUAGCAUAUGCCCGUGAUCACCUCCCGAAGUGAUCACGGCCCAGUAGUAUAGCAUGGCAGACGGACAAGAGUGUAGGGCCACUGAUGGAAUACUAGCAUCCUAUACUAAGCAUUUAGGAUUGCAUGUAAGGGUAACAACUGUAGCAACAAUGACAGGCUAUGCAGCAGAAUAGGAUUAACCGAAAGCAGUAACAUACUACACUACUCUAAUGCAAGCAGUAGAGAGAAGGAAUAGGCGAUAUUUGGUGAUCAAGGGGGGGGGGCUUGCCUGGUUCUUUGGCAAGAAGGAGUGGUCGUCGUCGACGUAGUCGUACUCAGGGGCAUCAGCGUCGGUCUCGGGGUCUACCAAAGAAGAAGAGGGGGAAGAAACAGUAAAUACAUUGCAAACAGAUGCAUGACGAUGCAUGACAAAGCAAACAGCGAUGAUAGGUGUGCCCUAGCGCAGUACUAGGUGAUACCGGCAAGGGAGGGAAACAUCCGGGAAAGUAUCCCCGGUGUUUCGCGUUUUUGGACAGAUGAACCGGAGGGGGAAAGUUGUGUGUUCGCUAUGCUAGGGAUGUGUGGUGGGCGAGCGGGCUACAUAUUCGGAUUCGUCUCGUCGUUCUGAGCAACUUUCAUGUACAGAGUUUUUUCAUCCGAGUUACGGAUUAUUUUAUAUUAAUUUUCUAAGUUUUAAAUCAAUUUCUGGAGUUAUUAUUAAUUCGAAAAUUAACUAGCUAAAUGCUAUGGGUACACAAGUGUACCCAGCAUUGUGUGCAUGUGCAUGACAUGUGGGGCCAGAGGGCCCAGUUGACCCAGUCAAACUGACACGUGGGUCCCAUUUGUCAUUGAUUGAGACUAACUAAUGAGGAUUAACUAGAUUAGUUAAAUGAUUAGGUUAAUUAGUCUCAAUUAAAUAAGUUAACUAACUUAGUUAACUAAUUAAUUAAUUGAUUGAUUAAAUUAAAUUAUUAUUAUUAUUUUAAAUUCCUUUUUUUAUUAAAACGUUUCUGGGCGGGCCCCACGUGCCAUAGGCACAGGGGCCAUAGCGGGCACUAGGCGGCUCGAGCGGACGCUCGCCCAAAUGCAAGGGUGCGACAGGGCGCCGAUGUGCGGGCGGCCGAUGUCAGCGAUGGCCGGUGACGACGGCAGGAGGCGGAGCCAGGGGGUGCACUAGGCGAGGUUGUGGCCUCGCGGGGGCGCCGGGCGCGGCAGCUGAGGCUGGUGCGGUGCGGCCCGGUGCGAGGCAGGAGUAGCGGCAGCGACGGCGAUGCAGGCAGUCGGGCAGAGGGGCGCGUGAAGGUGCGGGCGGCUUCGGGGAGCCGCGGCCAGGGAAGGAGUGGAGCUGAGCGGUGGCACCGGUGANNNNNNNNNNNNNNNNNNNNNNNNNNNNNNNNNNNNNNNNNNNNNNNNNNNNNNNNNNNNNNNNNNNNNNNNNNNNNNNNNNNNNNNNNNNNNNNNNNNNNNNNNNNNNNNNNNNNNNNNNNNNNNNNNNNNNNNNNNNNNNNNNNNNNNNNNNNNNNNNNNNNNNNNNNNNNNNNNNNNNNNNNNNNNNNNNNNNNNNNNNNNNNNNNNNNNNNNNNNNNNNNNNNNNNNNNNNNNNNNNNNNNNNNNNNNNNNNNNNNNNNNNNNNNNNNNNNNNNNNNNNNNNNNNNNNNNNNNNNNNNNNNNNNNNNNNNNNNNNNNNNNNNNNNNNNNNNNNNNNNNNNNNNNNNNNNNNNNNNNNNNNNNNNNNNNNNNNNNNNNNNNNNNNNNNNNNNNNNNNNNNNNNNNNNNNNNNNNNNNNNNNNNNNNNNNNNNNNNNNNNNNNNNNNNNNNNNNNNNNNNNNNNNNNNNNNNNNNNNNNNUGGGGACGAUGCGGACGUAGGGGAGGCAGUCCGGCGGGGAGGACCAGCGAGCGUUGGGGCUCCGGCGUGGGCGUCGACGAAGAGGACGGCGUCGAGCAGCGCCAGGCGGCGUCCAGAUCGAGCGGGGGGCGCAUGAGCCCCGAUAUGAUCUGGAUCGGGGGGAAAGGGAGAGGGAGAAGUGGGGAUCGUGGGAGAGGAGUGGGGGGAGUGGUUGACCCGAUCUAGGUCAUGGGGGAAGUGCGCGUUAAAGGGGGCGCCGGCUGGGCCGGCCUGGCUUGCCCAGUGGCGAGCUGGGCCGAGGCCCAGCGGCGGGCAUUCUUUGUUUUAAUUUAAUUUAUUUUUUUUGGUUUGGUUUGUUUUGUUUUGUCUUUUCUUAUUCUUUUCUGUUUUCUUUUAACCUUUAUUAGAUUUCAGUUUAAAUAAAGUGCAAUAAUAGUCCCUAAAUUAGUAUUACUAAAUAAGCCACUGCCACAAACAAUUUAGCACAUUUUAGAAAGUAGUUUGUAUUUGUUUAUUAAUUUACGAGCAUUUAAUUAAUAGUUUUACCACUAUUUUAUUUAUUAUAGUGCAUCUAACUACUUUAUAACAGUGUGAUUUCUCCACCAAUAUUUAUUAUGAAUUACUUGCAACAUUUAGAACAUUUUAGUUUUGACUUUUGAAAACUUUUCUAGUUUGACUUUAUUUCAAAUUUGAAUUUGAACGAGUUUUGAAUCAUCGCGAGAUUAUCAACAGUAAUCAUGGUGACGUGGCAUCAUUAGUAGAGGGUUACUGUAUCUUAACUAUCCGGGCGUCACACACCCCUUGGAGACACAUCAAUUGUUCCAAGCCGUGUGCGGCGUCUCUCUCCACGGUUUACUCCUCCGGUCAUAUUCACGUAGUGCUUAGGCGAAGCCAUGCGCGGAUCACAUCACCAUCACCGUCACCACGCCGUCGUGCUGACGAAACUCUCCCUCGACCCUCUGCUGGAUCAAGAGUUCGAGGGACGUCAUUGAGCUAAACGUGUGCUGAACUCGGAGGUGCCGUACCUUCGGUACUUGAUCGGUUGGAUCGCGAAGACGUUUGACUACAUCAACCGCGUUAUACUAACGCUUCCGCUUUCGGUCUACGAGGGUACGUGGACACACUCUCCCCCUCUCGUUGCUAUGCAUCUCCUAGAUAGAUCUUGCGUGAUCUUAGGAAUUUUUUUGAAAUUGCAUGCUACGUUCCCCAACAAUGACCUGGUCCAACUGAGGUUCGGUGGUUUCCCACCGUAGUCCAUAAGGUUAAGAACCCGACAAUGGUUGGCAUAGAUGGGCACCUGCAUGUGUCGGACCAAGGCCAAGUUGGCCAAGCCACUCGUGAAAGGACCACGAUGUCGCCUAGAGGGGGUGAAUAGGCGUUUUAAAAACUUCAACGAAUUUGGCUUAAUCGUAACACGGAAAUAAACUAAGAGGAUAUUUUUCAAGCACAAAUCCUAAAUACACUAGGCUCAAGUAAGUGCACCAACAACAUAAUCUAAACAAGAUGAGCACAACAAGGAUACUCACUAGCACAAGUAAGUUACACAAACUUACUUGAGAAGUAUCACAUGAUAUGUAAGUGUAUGACACAAGUUAGCAAUUCACACUAAACAUAAUAUAUAUCAUUAGUAGCAAGUAUGAAUUGUGGGAUAUAAAGUGUAGGCCUAAAUAAUCUCUACAAAUAGCCAACACAAUAUAAUAAGGACAACAAUAUGUAGUGAAUGCAAGGUCAAGAGACCAAAGUAAACCACAAGUAGUGGCUAGGGUUAGAGAUAACCGAAGACACGGAGACGAGGAUGUAUCCCGAUGUUCACUUCCUUGGAGGGAAGCUAGUCACCGUUAGAGAGGUGGAUGUUACCAAGAAGGCACACCAAUGCCACAAAUGCUCACCAUAUUCUCCCUUUGAGACAACACCACGAAGACGGUUCUCAACCACUAGUGGUAGACCAUGAGGUGGCCUCCAAACCUUCACAAACUUUCCAGGGGACAAAUCAAGUUGAUUCCUCACCAGAGCACUCCUACCGCCUAGGAGUCUCCAACCUCCAAGAGUAACAAGAUCAAGUGGGGAAUGCUCAAGACUUGCUCAAAUCACAAUUUGCUUCGGUCAAAAGAGAUAGGAGGAGUGGGUGUAUGCUUGGAUGAAAUCUCUCUCAAGAACUCUCACAAAUCUCUUCGAGGUCUAGCACGAGAAGGCUCAAAUCCCUCUAUCUCAAAUCCCACCAAAAACAAGUAACGAUAUGGAGGGAUGGGCGAGGAGAGGAACAAUGGCGGAGGUCAACAAAUGAACCCUGGAUCCAUCGGAUAGUUUUCCCCCAAGUGGAUUGGAGUUUUGAGACUUGGAGGAGGAGGAUAGAGCUCAAAAGAAUGGGGAAAUCUCAGAUCCAAAAGUUCUGCCUCCUUGGGGAAGAAGGGUACCUUAUAUAGUGCCCCACCAAAUCUGCCCAUUGUGCUCAGACAAAAGUGCCCAGAACUUCUAGACCCCGGAACCUCCGGAAGGCCCGGAACUUCUGGGCUCCCUUCGGACAGAUGUAUGGAAACUUUCGGUUUAGCUCAGAACUUUUCCCAGAACCUACCCGGAACUUCUGGGCUGCCCGGAACUUCCGUCCCCACAGAAAAUAGCGAGCAUACCGAAAGUAAAUAUGCAUAACUUUUUCAUCCGAACUCCGAUUUGAUGAUCUUGUGCUCGUUUUGUAGCUAUUGAAAAGCUUCAGGUCCUCACAUAAAUAACCACCCAAUAUGAAACAAAAUGGAUGGUGGCAUCAAUGAAAAGGUUUGAUCAUAGGAUUUGGGGAAUCCUAAUUGUCUUUGGAUUUUACUGUGGAGUAUAUGAUAGGUGUGGAAUUGUGUAUAGAAGAUGUUGACUUGAGCAAAUCCAUCAUGAACCCCUUUGAUCCCCUCUUAAUUGUGCGGGAUCCCUAUAACUCAAGUAUCAUAAAAUAGCUACACUAGAUAGCCUCUGAAAAAUCAUUCUUGGGCGUAUAUCUUUUUCAAUGGUCGUUGAUCCAUGCAAGUACAACCAAAGGAACUAAUACCUACUUGAGCAUUCCACUUGAGCUUGAUGUUGAAUUUUAUCCUUGGCUCAAGAUGGAGGCAUAACCUUGAUCAUGACAUUUGGUGAAGACUUCAAAUAGCUCCCCCAUAAGCCAAGCGGGGAUCAUUUCAUUGUAUUCUAUCUUCACAUAUCCAUUGUGUGAUCAUCCACAAGCUUCAAGCAUGUAAUCCUUCCGGAUGCUUAUCUUGAGCUUGCCCUUCUCAACCAUGAUCAUCGUCACUUCAUGUCAUACUCUCAUGGACAGUUGGAAUAUUUCUCUUGAUGCAAGCCCAUGAGAAUCACCUAACCAAUGUAGAUAUAGAAAACACAUAGUAUGGGUUAGUACACAAAGUGUAGUUGACAAUUACUUGCCAUACCACAAGAUCCCAUGUGGUACAUCAUUUGCGCUUGUGUGAUGACCAUAUUUGAGUUCAAGCUUUGAUCUUCAUCUUGAUCACAUUUAUCUUUACUCCAUGACCUAUUGAUCUCUUUACUAUGCUUCAUUGCUUCAAGACAUGAUCACUAAUAUCUUAAUUCACCAUGACCACAUCAAGUUACUCCAUGACCUAUUGAUCUCUUCACUAUGCUUCAUUGCUUCAAGACAUGAUCACUAAUAUCUCAAUUCACCAUGACCAUAUCAAGUUACUCCAUGAAUUUCAUAUUGGACAUCAUUUGCUUGUUUUCAUGCUCCAGCAUAGCAUCCUGAGAGACACAAUGAAUUCUUCACUUGAAUUACUUGCUUCAAGACAUAAUCAUUCAUGACUCAACAUAUGAGCUCAACAUGAUCCUAUCUUCAAGCAUAUGUAGAAUUCUUCUCUUUAAUCAUUCUCUCAAGAUCUUGGUCCAUCUUGGUUCAAUCCAUAACUCUAAGCAUGAGAACAUCAGAGAUCCUUAAUGAACUCCAUAUAGAUCACAUCUUGUUUGUCGCACGAAAUUCAUCUUGAUCAUAUUUGAUUCAGUCAUUGAGCUCAAUCUUGAUGCACAACUAUAUGUAUAUGGCAUCCAUUCUGAAUCCAUUUGAUCUCCUUCUUUUAUCACCAUGGAACAAACAUCCUUCAAUUCAUCCAAUAUUAUUCAUGCAUUGCAAAAGGAACUUUCCUUCAAAUGUAUAAAUCAAUGCAAGCAUUAGCCCAUUAGGAUUGUCAUCGAUUACCAAAACCACACAUGGGGACUUGAUGACCCACAAGUAUAGGGGAUCAAUCGUAGUCCUUUCGAUAAGUAAGAGUGUCGAACCCAACGGGGAGCAGAAGGAAAUGACAAGUGGUUUUCAGCAAGGUAAUUUUCUGCAAGCACUAAAAUUGUCGGUAACAAAUAGUUUAAUACUAAGAUAUUUGGUAACGAGCAAGUAACGGUAACGGUAAAUAAAGUGCAUUAAAGUAGCCCAAUCCUUUUGUGCAAAGGACAGGCCAAAACAACUUCUUAUAAUGAGCAAAGCGUUCUUGAGGGUACGCAGGAAUUUCAUCUAGUCACUUUCAUCAUGUUGAUUCGAUUCGUGUUCGCUACUUUGAUAAUUUGAUAUGUGGGUGGACUAGUGCUUAGGUGUUGUUCUUACUUGAACAAACCUCCUACUUAUGAUUAACUGUAAGUGCCUCUAGUGCCCCUUAGUGAUUUUGGUGUAUUGAAGACUUAUAGGUUAAGGGACUAAUGUGUUUAUGAGUGUACACGGGUCUAUAAGUCUAUGAGGAGUUUGAUAUUUACAGAGAAAGUCGACCCCUAAAAAUGAAGUUCUUCGACUGAAGACUUUGGAUUUCUGAAGACUUUCUAAAGACUUUGAAAGUGAAGAAAUUGGUGUGACCUUGAAGACUUGGUAUUCAUUCGAGGAACAUGAAGCGUGAAGACUUCUAUUUUCGUAGUUUCAUUUUCUCUUUCUUGAGUCAUAGGAAACACGGUACUGUUAAAGGGGGUUGAGGAAAUACUAAGAAAAAAUUUCCAUGUGAUGCUCAACUAAAAAUCCUACACCUACCAAUCCCUUCGAGUGAAGCCAUUGGAAAUCUCAUACAGUUCAGUCAUAUUCUUCAGUGACAGAGACUAAGUUCUUCUGGUCUCUGAGGCAUUUGUCCUGACUGAGGAGUUAGGAAUUCGCCAGUGCGGAUUGCCUACACAGUGAGGAACAUGAUAGCCCUGAGGAAUUUGAGCCUCAAAUUUCCGACCGUUGCUGUGCUACGCGCCAGCUGUCCCAAAAUAUCUACCCACCUAACGGUCAUAUCAUUGAAGGGCAUUUAAGUCUUAUCAUGUCGGGAUGCUCCCUAGGCUAUAAAUAGCCGCCCCCUACAACCACUAUCUGGUUGGCUGCUCCGAGAGAAACUGACACUUGUCAUUUGAGAGCAUCCCAUCCUCCGAGGACUUUGAGCGAAAAUCAUCGAGUGAGGAAAAGCCAAACCCAAACACCUACAAACCCAAAGUGAUUGAGCAUCACCGUAGAGAUUGAUCCUGCGUGGAUCCGACGGUUGUUACCUUUGAAGAUCGUGCUUCUUCCAGACGGUUAGGCGUCAUGGUCUAGAGCAUCCAAGAGGAAUUGUGGAUAGCCGAGUGACCGAGUCUGUGAAGGUUUGGAAGUCACCUGAAGACUUACCACGAGUGAUUGGGCGAGGUCUGUGUGACCUUAGCUCAAGGAGAAUACGGUGAGGACUGUGUGUCCUCAGGUUUAAAUACCUACCGCUCCAACCAGAUGUACAACUGAGACAGCAGUUAGAACUGGUCUACCAAAUCAUUGUCUUCACCAAGCUUACUGGUUCUAUUUCCUCAACUCUUUCAUUUCCUCAUUAUAGUUGUUGUGUGCUUGUUCAUAUUUGUUUAAAGACUUUGACUGAAGACUUUCUCAAUUUCCUCAGUUCAAUUUCUUCAGUCUGUUUGUCUUCAUCCUGUGAUUACGCUUUCUGUACUCUGUGCUUGUCUUCAUUUAAUCAUGAUGACCAUGCUUGUGUUCUGUUAUGUUUACUUUUGAGUACUUAUUCCGCUGCUAGUAGUUCUUCGCUAAGGAAUUUCCUCACCCGCAAAUUCCUCAGUGAAGAAUUCAUAAAAAUCGCCUAUUCACCCCCCUCUAGUCGAUAUAACGCACUUUCAAUUGGUAUCAGAGCAAGGUACUCCCUUGUUCUAUAUGAUUUUGGUUUAACCACCUGGAGUUUUAGUUAUGUCGACCACAGGUAUGAUCAAGGUCUCUGCUGGGUGUCCUACCUUCGAUGGGACGGACUACCCCUACUAGAAGAAUAAGAUGCGAAUGCAUCUUGAGCCAAUUGAUAAUGAUCUCUGGUAUGUUGUGGAAAAUGGUGUUCCCUUAGUCACACCUUCUCUGAAUGCUGCUGAUGUGAAGAGAUUCAAGCAACCCGACUCUCAAGCGAAGAAUAUCAUAUGUGGCCAUCCGAGCAAAGGACAGUAUGGAAGAGUGAGUGCUUUGGAAACUGCUAAGCUUAUCUGGGAUAGGCUGUCCAAAGUCAAUGAAGGAGUCUCAACACAGCGUGACUCUCGAAUUGAUGUUCUUCGCAAUCUCUUCAACCGCUUCAAAAGACUCGACAAUGAAAACGUUCAACAAACCUUCGAUCGCCUCACUGACAUCUCAAAUGAGCUUCAAGAACUUGGUGCCACUGACAUCACCGACCAUGAGGUGGUGAAGAAAUUGGUGAGAUCGCUUGAUUCCUCAUUUGAUACUCUGGCACUGAUGAUACAAGAGCGUGCUGACUACAAGUCACUUGAUCCCGCUGAUAUCCUCGAAAGGCUAAAUACUCAUGAGUUCCAGCUUGCUGAAAAGAGAGAUCUCUAUGGUUCGAGCUAUGGCAGAUCACGUGCACUGAAGGCCAAGGCAGUUUCUGAGUCUGAAGAUGAAGAUUCUGGCAGCAGCCUUGGUGAUCCUGAAGAACUGAGCCAUGAACUAGCACUGCUCGUGAAGAAAUUCCAGAAGUUCUCAAGACGUGGUCGCUUUGGAAAACCCUCAAGGAGCAAUGAUUCCUCAUCCAGUGACUACAAGAAGAGGCUUUUCCACAGAUGCAAGAAACCUGGUCAGUACAUUCAAGAUUGUCCUCAGUGGGAAAAGGAAUCAAAGAAGAAGAAAUACAAGGAUUAUAGUUCUGAUGAUGCGAAGAAGAAGAAGAAAUCUUCAAAGUCUUCAUCAUCAAAAUCCUCAAAAUCUUCAUCUCACAAGAAGAGCAGCUCCAAGAAGGCUCGGGCAUUCAUUGGCAAGGAAAUGGACUCUGAGGCUGAAUCUGAGGAACAUGAGGAAGAGGAGGCAUCUGAGGAGUCCGAGUCCGGUGUGGCGAGCCUAGCCCUCGCUACUGCAUUCGUCAGCAAGUCUAUCUUCAACUCUAAAGAAAAUGACCUCACCAACAAGGCUGAUGAAGGCAAUGAUGACUAUGCUCCCACCUAUUGCUUCAUGGCAAAGGGUGCCAAGGUACUCAAAUAUACCUCCUCUGAAUCAAGUGAGAAUGAAUCUGAUGAAAACCUCAAGCCCAGCUACUCUAAACUUGCUAAGAUUGCUGUGAAACAACAAAAGGCUUUUGAAAAGGUUCAAAACAUGCUAGACAAAAGUGAUGAUAUGUUGGGUGAAGAAAUGGAUCGCACUAACACCUUGACUGAAAAUCUUCAGAGACUUCAGUCUAGGUUUGACAACCUUCAAGGUCAUCAUAACACUCUCUUAUCUGAUCAUGAGAAGCUUCCUUAUGAAUUUCUUCAGAGAAAGCAAGAUCUUGAGAAGCUAAGAGUGAGUUAUGAAGAUCUUCAGAAGGAGCGCGAUUCAUUACUUGCUCAACAAAUCAGCGCUGCCCAGGAAGAAUUUGUUCCUCCAUGUUUGAAAUGCAUUGAACGUGAAUCUGCUAAUUCUUCACCUGAAUGUUCAAAUGCUUCUAAUGCUACAAAUUCUUCAACUGUCUCUGUUAUCACUAAUUCCUCAUUUGAGGACAUUGCUAGUAUCACUGAUGAUGCAGGAUUGAAGGAAUUGUACAUGACAGGCAUGUAUAAAAGCCUCAAAGGGCAUCAGACUCUUUGUGAUGUGCUUAAAAAGCAAAUCCACAAUAGGAACCCUAGGAAAGAGGGUAUUGCCUUUGAGAGGAAACUCAAUGCUGAUGGUACUUAUUGGAAGCCUGAGCAGUACCCCAAAACUUCAUGGGUUGCUGCAAAGGGACCUCCAGUUGAUCCAUCUAAUCUAUCUGGCUUUACAUGUGAAUCUCCUCAUUCUUCUGAUGAGUCAUUUAACUCCAACUAUUAACUGUUCAAAAAUCAGAAUGGUGAAGUAUUUGCUAGAUAUGUUGGCACUAACUACAGGAACGGUUCCCCUAUGAAGAAAAUCUGGGUUCCCAAAAGGUGCCUUGAAAGUCUUCAGGUGAAUGUCCUCAUGACACCACCUGUGAAGAAUAGGAACCCCAGAUCAAAUUCUUCAUAUGGAUCCAAGUCCUCAUACGGACCAAAUUCCUCACGUGGAUCAUAUUCCUCAAAAGGAUCAAAGUCCUCAUAUGAAUAUCAUCGUGCUAACAACUCUGUUUCGCAGGGAAGAGCUAAGGGCUAUGAAUAUGAGCAUUAUUCUUCUAACAAUUAUGUUCAUAAGUCCUCAAAGAAUUUCUCUGCUUAUUCAUAUGCUUAUCCUAGCUCCUCUUAUGUGAAACGAAAUGGACUGGCUUCUAUGCUGCCUUUCUCGUAUGGAGCUCGCAGAGUGAUGAACUCUUUGCCACCCCUUCAGAUGUGGGUGGUGAAGAAAAAGAACUAACCUCUUAUGCAGGGUCAGGUCUCCAGACGUGCGUAAACGUCUGAAGAAUUUGCUGGAGACCUGAGACUGCCUGAAAGGACGCGGGCUAAUCAUGAAGAAAUGAACUUUCAUUUCUCACGUCCUCAUACUGCUUUAUCUGUUCUAUUGCUUGAUGAAAUUGAUCUGAUGAAUUGAUGUCAUAUUCUUCACUGAUGAAGUAUAUGAGUUCGUAAGUUGCACUAAUUCAUCUGCAGGAUGAUCAACCCAAAGCCACUGAGUGGGUCCUCGAUAGUGCAUGCACAAAUCACAUGACUGGUGACAAGAAUCUAUUGAUGGAUGCUCCCUUAUCUCCAUCGCAUCUGAAGCAUAUCAUCUUCGCUGACAAAGGCAAAAGUCAGGUAUUGGGCCUAGGUAAGGUUGCGAUCUCAAAGGAUCGACACAUGGACAAAGUCAUGCUUGUCGAGUCCUUAGGAUACAACCUCAUGUCUGUCUCAAUGCUUUGCGAUCUUGAUAUGGGUUUUGUCUUUGGCAAGUAUCGUUGUGUUGUGAUCAUGGAAGCUGACAACUCCAAAGCCUUCGAAGGCUUUAGGAGAGGAGACUUGUAUAUUGUUGAUUUCUCUACAGGACCACAACCAGCCGUGUGCCUACUUGCAAAAGCUUCAGAAGUCUGGCUAUGGCAUCGACGACUUGGUCAUUCAGGCAUGAGGAAUUUGCACACGCUUGCAAAGAAGAAGCAUGUCAUUGGCAUUGAGAAUGUGAAAUUCCUCAAGGAUCACUUAUGCGGAGCCUGUGAAGCUGGGAAGAUGACAAAGGCUAAGCAUCCAGCGAAGACUAUCAUGACCACUACUCGACCAUUUGAAUUGCUUCACAUGGAUCUCUUCGGUCCUAACCAUUAUUCCGCAGUUUCAAAUGAUGCAUCUCAAUAUGGCUUUGUUAUUGUUGAUGAUUACUCUCGUUACACAUGGGUACACAUUGUUACUUACAAACAUGAAGUGCAGGAAGUCUUCAAACGAUUUCCUUGAGGGCUUCAACCAACUUUGGUGUGAAGAUCACGCACAUCAGAAGUGACAAUGGAACUGAGUUCAAGAAUUCUGGUCUUGAUGACUAUCUUGAUGAACUUGGUAUUACUCAUGAGUUAUCUGCUCCUUAUACUCCUCAGCAGAAUGGCGUCGCGGAGCACAAGAACAGGACUCUUGCUGAGAUGGCUCGCACUAUGCUUGAUGAAUACAAAAUGCCUCGUCGUUUCUGGAUUGAUGCAAUUGAUACUGCGUGCCACAUCAUCAACAGAGUAUAUCUUCACAAAUUCUUCAAGAAGACUGCCUAUGAACUCCUCACUGACAAGAAACCCAAUGUGAGUUAUUUCAAAGUCUUCGGUGCUAAAUGCUGGAUUAGAGAUCCUCAUCACAACUCUAAAUUUGCACCAAAAGCACAUGAAGGUUUCAUGCUUGGUUACGGAAAGGACUCGCACACCUCCAGAGUCUUCAACAACGUUCUUCACAAGGUUGUUGAAACUGUAGAUGUGCGGUUUGAUGAAACUAAUGGCUUGCAAAGAGAGCACCUACCUUCUGUGAUAGAUGAACCAGCACCUAAGGAAUCUACCAAAUUCAAGGCUACUGAGGAUGUCAUUCCUACCGAAGAAUCUGCUGAAGAAUUCAUUCCAGAACGUGAAGAACGUUGAGCUGAGGCACGUGAAGAAAAUUGUGCUGAAGAAAAUGCUGAUCAAAUUCCUCGACGACAACCACCUCAUCCUCGCGUUGCAAAAGAAGUGCAAAUUGAGAAGAUCAUCGAUGACAUUGAAGCACCAGGUCCUCUCAUAUGCUCAAGAGCUUCACAUUUAUCUAACUUUUGUGGGCACUUUGCUUUUGUCUCUAUCACAGAGCCCGCUAAGGUAGAUGAAGCAUUUCUGGAGCCUGAGUGGAUUCAGGCCAUGCAAGAAGAAUUACAUCAGUUCGAGCUCAACAACGUCUGGGAACUGGUCAAAUGUCCAGAUCCUCGCAAGCACAAUAUCAUUAGCACAAAGUGGAUCUACCGCAACAAGCAAGAUGAAAAUGGCCUUGUGGUGAGGAAUAAGGCACGGCUUGUAGCUCAAGGCUACACACUGGUUGAAGGAAUUGAUUUUGAUGAAACUUUUGCACCUGUUGCUAGACUUGAGGCUAUUCGCAUAUUACUUGCUUAUGCUAACCAUCAUGAUAUCACUCUAUAUCAAAUGGAUGUGAAAAGUGCAUUCCUCAAUGGUAAGCUUGAGGAAGAAGUAUAUGUUGCUCAACCCCCAGGAUUUGAAGAUCCAAAGCAUCCUGACAAAGUCUUCAGACUCAAUAAGGCCCUCUAUGGCCUCAAGCAGGCCCCUCGAGCGUGGUAUGAUACUUUGAAGGAAUUCCUCAUGAAGAAAGGCUUCAAACCCGGUUCACUCGACCCUACUCUUUUCACUAAAUCUUAUGAUCGUGAACUGUUUGUGUGCCAAAUAUAUGUUGAUGAUAUUAUCUUUGGCUGUACUGACCAACGUUACACUGACGAAUUUGGUUAUAUGAUGAGAGAGGAAUAUGAAAUGUCUAUGAUGGGAGAGUUGAAAUUCUUCUUAGGUCUUCAAAUUCGUCAACGGCGCAAUGGCAUAUUCAUAUCUCAGGAGAAAUACCUCAAGGAUGUAUUGAGGAAAUUCGGCAUGCAAGAUUGCAAAGGCGUCAAAAUUCCUAUGCCCACAAAUGGCCAUCUAUGCACUGAUGAAAAUGGUAUUGACUUUGAUCAAAAGGUAUACCGCUCCAUGAUUGGUUCUUUAUUGUACUUAUGUGCAUCUAGGCUAGAUAUUAUGCUUAGUGUUUGGAUGUGUGCCCGAUUUCAAGCUACACCGAAGGAAUCACACCAUAAGGCUGUGAAGCAUAUUCUUCGAUAUCUAGCUCACACACCAACACUUGGAUUAUGGUACCCCAAGGGCUCGGCUUUUGAUCUCAUUGGAUAUUCUGACUAUGCUGGUGAUCGUGUGGACCGCAAGUCAACAUCUGGCACAUGCCAUUUCCUCGGAAGAUCCUUGGUCUGUUGGUCCUCUAAGAAACAGACUACGUAUCACUGUCUACUGCUGAAGCUGAGUACAUUGCUGAUGGUUCUUGCUGUGCUCAAUUGCUGUGGAUGAAGCAAACUCUCAAGGACUAUGGCGUCAACGUGAAGAAUGUGCCUCUCUUCUGUGACAAUGAGAGUGCCAUCAAGAUUGCUCACAACCUAGUUCAGCACUCGAAGACAAAGCACAUUCAGAUUCGUCAUCAUUUUCUUCGUGAUCAUGUGUUGAAGGGCGACAUUUCUAUUGAGCAUGUGAAGACUGAAGAACAGCUAGCCGAUAUCUUCACAAAGCCCUUGGAUGAGAAGAGAUUUAGCAAGUUGUGGUGUGAGCUAAAUAUCUUAGAAUCUUCGAAUGUUCUUUGAAAAGGACACUCAUCCUAACACUUAUGCAAAAAUUGCUGACUUAGAUGUGCAACACAUGAAGAAACGUUUUUCUUCAAUCAAUGAAGACUAACGCUCUAAGUGUGAAGAAAUUAACGAAGAAUUUGAUUCUCAUAGCCCUACGUCAAUUGUACGCGGUGUCUGAAAUCAUCAUUCUUAUACGGUGGGUCACGCCACCACCAAAUGUUGAAAAUCUUAAAUUUGAGUUUUUCCUCAGUUUUUGAAAUUCCUCAGUUGUUCAUAUUCUUCAACUUUGCAUUGUCUUCACCUUUUCCGUCGAUUUUCUUCAUUGGCUAUAUAUAUAUAUGAGUUUAUGUCCUCUACAGCAUUCACUUAUUGCUAUUUCUUCAAGUUGUUUUUUCUGCUAAGUGAAUGUGAUCGGACCCUUCCCCCUCUAUGCUAAACUCAACCCAAUCUAUUCACAAAUUCUUCAUGUGCAUUCUAUUUGAAACUCGUUCAAAAUCUUCACUGUGUCCUUGUCAGCUGAAGAAUUUGCGAACGGAACUUUUAACUUAUCCUGUCUAAAUUUUUGGCUUUGCCGCUCAAACCGUUCUGCAUCCCACGAAAACACUUAUCUAUUCACCCACGAUCUCACACGAUCUCCACUUCUCAGUACGUGGGUGACACAUGUCAAGCGAAUGAGAAGGGUCAGGGGCACGUUCGUCCAAAUUCUUCGGGCGAACAGUCUUUCACCGUGGCUAUAAAUACCCCUCCCCUUCCUCACUUCCCCUUUACUCCGCUCGACCUUACUCCAGCUCGAGCUUCUCAAACCCUAGCGCCGCCGCUACUUCAUCGUCACCGGUGAGGAAGAGCUUCACUGCCUCGACCUCGUCGCCGCCGUACUCGCGCCGGCCGCAGAUUUCUUCCCUCCGCCGCCGCCGUAGCUGUCUUCCUCAGCCAAGUUAGGACGUGGAAGAUCUGAACUAACGAACCUCACAUCUACACCUCUUAGUUCGUCGUGUUCUUCGUCCAGGGUAAUUAAAAGUUACUUUUACUACCCUUUUUGAUUCAAAUGAUUUAUACAAAAUCUUCAAAGGUGUUUACUCUUCAAAUUCUUCACACACUAAACACCUCACAUGUCAUCUGUUCUUGAUUCAUUUCUCUAAGCUAUAUUUUUCUUUAAGAUUCCUCAAUUGUGUGGAUUUCUGAUCUGUACAACUCUGGAACCUAAGACAAAGAACGCUUAGUGAAAUUCUUCAAGACUCAUCUGGUCAAAUUAUUCAAACUUGUUCUUUUUGAAAAACCUCUGAGAACGCAUAUGACCUCUCCAAAUUCCUCGCAACUAUACUCUGUUCACAAGUACUCAUGUCCACUACUGAAUCACUAGGUUCUCAUCAACUUAACUCAUUUGUAGCAUUCCUCGAAGAAAAGUUGCAUACAUCUUCAGAGAAUUCCAUUGUUCAAAUUCCUCAUCUGAAGAAAAUGGCUGAUGGAAAGAAGCCACAGAAGGGAGGAAAGAGGCCCCAGAUCAAUACUGCGUUUGAAAUCCCUGAUGACAUAUAUAAGGGUUACUACACUCCUGAUGAGGCCAAGUUUGGAAAAGAGGACAAAAAUCAGUGCAAGGUGCGCAUCCAAAGGAUAGAGAGGAGAUGGGCAAGAGAGUGGAGGGAGUACAGGUAUGUUACUCCCAAAUACAUGAAGAAAUUCGCUCUAAAUCCUCCAUGCCCAAGACCUCCAUUGGCACCUGGCCAAGAAGCAGAUCCCACUAGCCUCAAGCGCGGUGAGGACUAUCUGAUGAAUGGGCCAAGUGCCAGGCCAAGCUGGCUAGACAAGCCAGAGAAGCAGUGAGGAAAUUCAACGAGGACUCUGCUGCCGCUGCUGCCUCUGCCGUCAAGCCGAAGAAGGCCAUGGCAAAGAAGCCUGCUUAUAAGCCAAGUGCUUCAUCUUCAAUGCCCUCACGACCAAGUUCCUCAGCAAUGCCCUCACGGCCAGAUUCCUCAAAGCCCUCACAGCCAAAUCCUCAAACUGCUCCUGCUCCUCCAAAGUCCUCAGCUCCUCCGCCAAAGUCUUCGGCUGCUCCGACCAAAUCCUCAGCACCUGUGCAUCUCGCCACGUGCCAAAGGACUGCAGGCAUAUCUAUUGCCUCAGGAGCCUCUGCAAUUUCCUCAGCUGCUCCAAGUUCCUCAGCUGGCCCCUCUCUGCUAAAGAAAAAGACCACUGCCGGACGAGGUCCUCGACCAAGUCCUCACAAGAAGCAGGCCGCCUUCCACGUGCCCUCUGAUGAUGAUGAGGCUGCUGAUGAUGAACUAGCUGAAAUCAUCAGAGACAGACAAGUCAAGGCCGCUAGAUCCAAAGGAAGCAAUGUGCCGCUACUUUUGGAUCCGAAGCUGAUCCUAGACUACAUCGAUCUGUGGCACAAAGAUCCCAACAGUCCUUUGCCGGAGAUGAACCUCACUCCAGGUCAAAGUCAUGUUCUGACUGCCUUCAUUGAAGAAGAAAAAUGGAAAUUUGAGAAGGCUGGGCAGCUGAAGAAAGCUCAGUACAGGAAGGAGCGCUUCCUGAAGAAAAACGUUGUCUCUAUGACAACUGAAGAACUAGUGAAGAUCCAGGCUGAAAUCAAAGGCCUCAGCAAUGACUUCAAUGCUUACUAUGCUGAUUGGCAAGGAGCCAAGGUCAGGUUUGUAAAACUGACUGAGAAAUUCACUUCAAAGGUUGCAGCUCCAUCGCAACCAGAAAUUCCUCAAGCCGAAGCAUCUGCUCAACCAACAGAAGAGCAUGCCAGCACCGCUGAUGAAAAUCAGGCUGUUGAAGAAAAUGUGAGUUCCAGGGAUGAUGACUGCAUUCCAGCCGCUGAAGUCAGGGCAACUGCAUCAGUUGUGCCUGAAGAAAUUCAACCAAAUUCCUCUGCUCCUCCUGCGCCUACCCCAAUUCCGAUCCUUCCAUCUGCAUCAGAUGUGAAGAAGACCAAGGCUGCAGAGCGUGCAGCGGUGAGGAAGAGGAAAGCAUCAGCUUCAUCAGAUUCUUCAGCUCCGAAGAAGAUGAAGAAAUUGACGUGCUCUUUUGACAACCCAAUUGAUGCUGUUCCUAUCUCAACCAUGCCAUCAAAGGACCUUGUUCCUUUUGAUGAAGACUAUGUGAUUCCAAGUGGAUCUGAUGAAGACAUUCCCUCUGCUGCUUCCUCAGAGCAGAUGGAUGAAGAAAUUGAAGCGGACACAAUCCCUUCAACUCCAAUUGUCUCCUUGCCCAUGCCUCAGUUUAUUGCUGAAGAGGCCGGCGUUGAGGAAUUGGAUGAUCAAAAUUCUGACGUGGACAUUGGGAGCACUACUCCAUUGAUGAAUGAUGAUUUUUGGGAUAGUCAGCAUGCCAACUCUCCUCUAUUCACCCCAUUGCAGCAAAUCCCUCAGUCCCCAGCACAUACUGUUCCAUUGGGAUCUAAAGAAACUCACCCCACUCCAUCUGUACAUGAAGAAAUUCCAGCCACUAGUGCUGAAGAAACUGCUGCUGCUGAAUCACUUAAGACACAGACUGCCACUAAAGAUGAACCAGAAAUUCCUCAGCCUGAAGAACCUGAGAUUGCGAUUCCUGAGGUUGUGAUGCAACUUACUGACACUCCUCAAUGCAAGCCAAAGGAUCCAUUCUCAAGGAAGAAAAAAAAAUUCAAGAUUGAUGAUUUCUUCGGCGAGCACGUAUUUUUCACUGAUUACAACCCCUAUGACUCUGCUCGCAUUAGGAAGAGGCGUUUCUGGACUGCCAGCCAGACAAAUUUUUAUUCCUCAGUGCUGUUCAACAAAGACAAAGUCUUCGAUCAUGAGCACAUUCCUCACGUGGAUAUGGAAUCUCUGCCGUGCUUCGUGCCAGUCCUCAGUGUUCUUCACGACGCUGGACUGUUAAAUUUCUGCACUGAUAUAUGUGAUUGGAAUGAAGAACUCAUUCUUCAAUUUUAUGCAACGCUGCACAUCACCGGAGACUCUGAAGAUGUGAAUUCAUGGGUGCUGGACUAGAUGACUGAAAACACUCACUACAAGGCACCAGCUACUGAAUUGCUUCGUGCUUUGCCUCUCAGUCCUCCCCUUGAAGCUGCUCGUUGCAUGUACCAAGAGCCUGAGCUUACGGACCACUAUAUGCAAGUGCUGAUGAAGCCAUUGAAGCCAGGUCAGGCCCCAAGAACAAAAUUCCUCGUGAAGGAAUUACUAUAUGUGCCUCGGACUGUCUAUCGCAUUCAGACAAAGACGUUGAGUCCUGUCAAGGGACACGACUCGAAUGAAGAAGAAGUCGUUGGCAUCAUGAAGAAUAUGCGUUUCAAUAUCAUGCAUGGCAUUCCCGUCAACUUCCAUGAUUUCUUCAUGAGGACUCUGGCCAAUGUCGCUAUGUCACCAUUUGAGUUGAAGCCUCACUACUAGGAAAAGGGCUAUAGCUGAUAUGGACAUUAAUGGAGCACCACGUAUGUGGUGCGCCACUGCUAAGCAGUGGCGCACCAGAUAUAGGUGCGCCAUUAGUGUCCUCAUUACUAAUGGCGCACCAGACACACGGUGCGCCAUUACUAGCAAUUUUUUUUAUUUUUCCAAAACUAUUAAUGGUGCACCAGGGCACAGUGCGCCAUUACUAGUUUUAACUAGUAAUGGCGCACCACACGCUCUGUGCGCCACUACUGACAAUUUUUUUUACUUUUUUUUCAAAAGUAGUAAUGGCGCACCAGAGUGAAGUGCGCCAUUACUAGUUCAAACUAGUAAUGGCGCACCACAACCACGGUGCGCCACUACUGACAAUUAUAUAUAUAUAUAUAUAUAUAUAUAUUUUACAAAACUAGUAAUGGCGCACCCCUAACUGGUGCGCCAUUAGUAACCCUGGUUACUAAUGGCGCAUGUUUGGGUGGUGCGCCAUUAGUAACCUGAGACCAGCUAGAUAUUUUGGACAACCACCUACCACACUCACUUUCCCCACUUCAUUCUCUCCACCUCCUCCUCCAAGCUUGUCUCGGUUUCCUCCUCCUCCUCACCUCAUUUGCACCAUAGAUUCACCCAAAUUAAGUGGUUAAAUUACCUUUUUUUGAUAGGUAAGUAAGGGGAAAGCUUUCUUUAUGUUGUAGAUCUACUUUUUUCUCCCUCCAACAACGUGCACAUGCACUUUUUAUGGCCUAGCUAGAUCUACGUAUGUUUGUGGUGUUGCAUAUGUUUGUGGUGUUGCAUAUAUGUUCGUGUUUGCAGGUACCGGUAUAUGAAAUGUGAUAGUUGCCAAUAUUUUGCCGGAAUGUUGAUUCAUUUCCGUUUCGGCGAGAAUUUGGCACUAUGCAUUCUUUUUGGUCCUAUUUUUAGGUAAAGUCAUGCCAAAUUUUUUCUUGGUUCUAAAGUAUCGUUUUGCUCUACCCCGCAGGCGACCAUGGUCCGCAUGAUGACCGAAGGCAUCGUGAAUAGGUUUUUGAGCUUCGCGAAGGCCGAGAUGCUUCAAAAGAACGAGACGGAGAUAAGAUGUCCAUGUCGAAGAUGCAAGCUGAAGAGCCUUAUUGCGGACCCGGACUCCGGGCAGUUGCGGGACCACCUGCUCUUGCGUGGUUUCAUGGAUGGCUAUCGGUGGCAAGGUGAUGAAGAUGACUAUGAAGUCGUCCAUGGGGGCCGGGCAAGAAAUGAGGAAGGGCAGCAAGACAACCACCGCGGCGAGGGUGGGCGAGAAGACGAAGAAUCUCCAGGACAUGAUCACGAAGGUGAUGCUGUACACAGUCAUCAUGUAGAAGAUGCAGGACAUGAUGAUGAGGAAGAUCAAGACGAAGGGCAUGAUCAUGAAGAUGAAGAUGCCGGAGCAGACGACGAUGGACCAUCGAUGGGCUGGGUGCAGGACCCUCAUAUUCAAGUGAUGCUUCUCAAGCAGACGGAUAACGCAAGAGCUGCCGCCCGAGAGAAAGCCAAGCUGGAUCAACUGGAGAUAGACGCGGUUACUCCAUUGUAUGAAGGAUGCAGGCCCGAGGAUACCCACCUGAAAGUAACGCUCAUGGCUCUGGAGAUGAAGGUAAAACACAAAAUGACCGAUGCAUGCUUCGACGAGAACAUGUCAUUCUGGCACGAACGUCUUCCCAAGGGGAACAAGUGCCCGACUAGUUUCGAGGAGGCGAAGAAAAUCGUGUGUCCUCUGGAUUUACCGCACGUGAAAUACCAUGUGUGCAUGAACAAUUGCAUCAUUUAUCGGGACAAGCACGCGUAGUCUACCAUAUGUCCGGUGUGCGGCGUCACUCGAUACAAGAAGAGGAAGAAAGCUCCUCGAAAAGUGGUGUGGUACUUUCCGAUCACUCCUCGUCUGCAGCGGUAUUCCGCGGACCCUAAGCUAGCAAAGCUCCUGUGUUGGCACGCGGAUAGGGAGGAGAAGAAGCGAGAAGAUGACAGAAAUGAUCUGGAGAUAAAUAAAAAAGACAAGAUGCUGAGUCACCCUAAGGAUGUGAGCCAGUGGCAAGCGUUGAACUUCAAACACCCAGAAUUUAGGGACGAUCCAAGGAACAUCAUGCUGGGCACGAGCACCGAUGGAGUCAAUCCAUUUGGCAGCCAGAGAAACACACAUAGCACCUGGCCUGUGUUUGUGUGGAUGUACAACCUUCCCCCUGGUUGUGCAUGAAGAGGAAGUACAUUCACAUGAGUAUGCUAAUUGAAGGGCCGAAACAACCAGGGAACGACAUCAAUCUGUAUCUGGGGCUGCUGAAAGAGGAGCUAGACACGCUGUGGAAAAUGCCAGCCAAUACGCGGGACGCCGCAGAGAAAGAAUAUUUCCCUAUGAGAGCCGCACUGCUCACGACGGUGCACGACUAUCUCGGUUAUGGAUAUCUCGCGGGGCAGGUGGUCCACGGAUUUUCUGGAUACGUCAGGUGCAUGGAAGUCACAACGUAUCACCAGCUAGAUAGAGAUCUCGGGUCUUCGAAAACCGUGUCAUGGGACAUCAAAGGUGGCUUCGCGACGAUGACCCAUGGAGAAAACGCAAGGAUCUGUUCGAUGGUGAAACCGAACCCCGAAGACGCCCGCGUACGAGGAGCGGCGAGGAAAUAGACGAGUUGUUGAAAAAUUGGAAAGAUUGCGCACUGCCGGGAAAGAAGCAAAAGGCGCUAGAGCCGGGAAAGAAGCGAAAGGCGCCAGAGCCGCUGCUGAAGGUAUGGAAAACGAGGUCUGUUUUCUGGGACUUGCCGUACUGGAAGAUCCACCGUGUGCCUCACAGCCUUGAUGUCAUGCAUAUCACGAAGAACGUGUGCGAGAGUCUGCUUGGUACCCUGCUCAACAUGCCAGAGAGGACCAAAGAUGGGCCGAAAGCAAGGGCAGACUUGAAAUCAAUGGGCAUCAGGGAGGAGCUUCACGCUAAUGAUGAUGAUGAUGAUGAGGCGAAGCAGGACACGGAAAGUCGUCGCAAAGGCAAAAAGGCCAAGAAGACCGGAAAUGACUACCCUCCCGCGUGCUUCACUCUAAGUCAGGAGGAGAUCGAGCAGUUUUUCACCUGCCUCGUAGGAGUAAAACUUCCUUACGGUUACGCGGGGAAGAUAAGCAGAUACCUAGACUCAGCGAAGCAGAAGUUCAGCAGGAUGAAGUCUCACGACUGUCACGUGCUGAUGAUGCAGAUACUUCUAGUUGCAAUCUGUGGGAUCAUGGACGCGCACGUCCGUGAAACUCUGUUUGGCCUAUGCAACAUUUUCGAUGUCAUCUCUCGGAAGUCGGUUGGCGUGAGGCAACUCAGAAGGCUACAAGAAGAGAUCGUGGUGAUACUAUGCGAGCUUGAGAUGUACUUCCCGCCCGCAUUCUUCGAUGUUAUGGUGCAUCUGCUGGUCCAUAUCGUGGAUGAUAUCAUCCAACUCGGGCCGACGUUCCUGCACAGCAUGAUGCCGUUCGAAAGGAUGAAUGGUGUCAUCAAAGGAUACGUUCGCAACAUGUCACGUCCAGAGGGAAGCAUAGCCAGGGGCUUUUUGACCCAAGAGUGCAUCUCCUACUGCACGAAUUAUCUAGGCAUCGAGAACCCCGUUGGUCUGCCCGUCAACAGGCACCUCGGCAGGCUUCAUGAACUCUCCUGCACUUCAUGAACGACGAGUUGGUCGAUGUCACCAAGGGCAGAAUCGUUCAACCGGGUAGCCGCGUGUUCCACGGUAAUUUGAUGCCACCCACCGUUUAUAGGGUUCAACGCGUGCUGCCGGGCUUCGACGACAUGUUACCUCCGUAUCGACCCCAUGGGCCGAUGAAGAUGAUGUGAUGACCCUCAGCGCCUGCAAAAGCUGGCCCAUGCUUUGGCCGAAGAGCCAGAUUCAUUUGGGGGCGGGGGACACCACCCGCAGACAACACCGCCAGUCAUGCCGGUGCCAAGCCAUGGCAAGACCCCCGCAACGCUACCGGACAUGCCGGACGUGCAUAUGGCACAGGAUCCGGACAUGCAUAUGGCACAGGAUCCGGACGACGACGACGACGAUGGUACAUUUACCAACGUCGAUAAGUACUUCAACGAACAUGGGUACGAUGACGUAUUCUUGGGGCCUCCUUCUCAAGAACCCAACCCUGCAAAAGAUGAUCGCGAUCUAGCUGGUACCACGGAGAAACCCAAUUGCAACAGGCGUCGUCUGGCGUUCAGUUCUCAGGAGACGCCUCCAGCUGCCGCCUUGACCGAGCCUCAGAUAGCCGAGGUGCGAAAUAUUAUCAGCCCCAACACACUCAAGAAGGCGGUCUCUGAGCAGAACUCGAUCCCAUUACAGCAGAAGAAGAAGGGACGGAAAAGAAAGACUAACAAGGGUGUGAGCCAGCCGGCACCGAGUACGAUCCGUGCUCAGGACGGUCCACCUUCACCUAAGGAUAUCUCGAGGAGGGUGCAUGUGGUGGGUAGGCCGAUGCUACCGACUAAUCUGCUCAAUGCUGCAACCGGUGCUAUGCGGAGUCUGCAUGAUAGUGUUCUUUCUUUGGAGAAGCAGCGUCUCUCCGAGAAUGACGUGGCAUACCCGGUUUUCGUGGCCAAGGUGCCAGAGGGCAAGGGCUUUGUGGAUAGCGCCAUCGGGGGUACGAUCGUCCUGCGGUUUGAUGACAUCAUCGCUAUGUUUAACCUUCAUCCGCUGCACUACACCUUCGUUCGGCUAUUUUCGCUGAGUAUGGAGAUGCGGAUCAUUAGAGACAAGACCCCGGACAUCGUGAUAGUCGACCCCUUCUACAUGCGUGCCAAGAUCUUGGGCAGCGCUGGGGACCGGCAAGUCGCGAGUUCAUACCUCGAAGGCGUCAUUCUGGCAAACCCAGAUAAGGAUAACUUCCUCGUGCCUUACUUUCCCGAGUAAGUCAUCCCCUCACCGCCCCGUAACAUAUGAUUUCAUAGAUUUCGAUCGUUCUUUUUUUCUGACAUUCCGUGUUUUGUGCAGUGACACACAUUGCACACUCAUCCUCUUAAGCCCGAAAUAUUCCAUGGCCACAUAUUUUGACUCGGACCGUCAGUCGAAGAAAGACUACACAAAUAUCAAGAAAGUUCUUGAUGAUGUUCUCCCCGGCUACGCCAGAUCUGGAGGCACCUUCAGCAGGCCAGUUCGUAGGUACGGCAAGCACGUGUUCGCCCACAAUACGACAUUCCCCUGCGUCAAGCAGCCGUCUGGCGGUCAGAAGGAUGCCUACUAUGCCCUCCACCACAUGCGGGCGAUCGUACGGGACCAUAAUCACCUUCUGCUACCAAAUAAUCUCAAAGAUUGGGCUGCAAGCUUGUCGGCAAUCCAGGACGCGGACAUCAGACAAGAAUUCUUUCGCAUUCAGUCAGAGUUUGCGGAAAUCAUCCAUCAAGAUGUCCUUCAUACCUCGGGGCAGUUCUACCUCACAUAUCAACCGUCCAACAGUGAGAUAGAAACAACGCUACAAAUGCAGGCUGACAACGCCCGCGAUUUCAUGACCAUCACGACAAACGGCGGCUUCAUCCACGCUCCGGUCCCUAAGUUGAGUCGAAAGUAGUGAUGCUAUGUAGUUCUGAAAUAUCGAUUAGCUCAUGUUGUAAUUAAACUUUAAUUAACUUGUAUGUCUCUUUGGUUUGGACAGUCGCUCAACUUAUAUGUAAUCGAUGCUAUUUAUUAGUAGGACCAUGAAUCGUGCUAUUAAUGUCUUGCUUUUCUCUUCCGAUCCUUUUGUUGCAUACUUAUAUAUUGCUUAUGUAUUGUCUGUGAAUUGCUACUAAGUUUUGUUUGGCUAGUGCAUAGAGAUGCCGUCGUAUGUCGUGUACAAGGGUAAGGUUCCCGGAGUCUACGACGACUGGGAGGAGUGUCGGAGACAGGUUCACCGUUUCAGCGGUAACAGUUACAAAGGGUACACCACUAGGGCGGAGGCGGAAGCUAGAUACGCGCGCUAUCUAGCGGGAGAGAGGAGGGAGCGGAGGAGGAACCGGAUGAAGACCAGUUUCAUCACGAUGAUGCUCAUCGUGAUGACCGUAGCUCUCUUCUAUGUGAUGGUAGUUUAGAUGAUCGAUAUCGACUUGUAAUGUGAAGACAAACUCGCUACUCACGGUCUCGAGACUUGUAAUGUUCUAACUUUGUUCGGUAUUUUGAAUUCGGAGACUAGCUAAUAUGAUGAAUUGUAUUCGAAGACUAAUCUUCUAUUGUAUUCGAUGAAUCUGCUAUUUAUAUGUUUUGCUGUCUAUAUUCUGUGUAGUAAUAUAUUUUGUAACCUGUGCAAAUAUCAGAAAAGAAAAAAAAUAAUUCCUAAUAUUCAUACUAGUGGCGCACCAUACAACACAUUAGUGGCGCACUGCUAUAAAAAAUACUAGUGGCGCAUUAUCUGUUAGUGCGCCAUUAGUAACCCAGAGCACAAGGUAAAUAUGCCCCCCUGGGAGGCAUACUAAUGGCGCACCAAGUGACAUACUAAUGGCGCACUGCCUGGUGCGCCACUACUGUCUGGUAUACUAAUGGCGCACCAGGGGUGCGCCAUUAGUAUUAGUUACUAAUGGCGUGAUGAUAGUGCCGCACCUGUAGUGCGCCAUUAAUGGCCAAAACAGGUGCGCCACUAACAUGCCUUUUCCUAGUAGUGCCUUAUGCUCCGUGGAUUAUGAGAUUCAUCAGAACAAGGUCUUCACUCAACUACAAAGCUGAUACACUGAACCAUUGCAGCUACUUGCCCCCGAUUGAAGUCCUCAAACGGACAUUUUCCUCAGCUGAUGACAAGGGCAAGGCUACUGCUGUUAUUGAUGAAGGCAUUCGUCCACUGGAUGGUCAGUUUCGCAAGGCUGCAUCCUACUCCACCAAUGACUACUCUGCCACUCAUGACUCUGCCGCCAACGCAACCAAGCCAAAUGCUCAAGGCACAACUCCCAGGGUGAUGAAUGAUUGUGAGCUUCUCCUCAGUCUUCACCAGAAGGUUGAUCGAAAUCACAAAUGGGUCAAGCGUCAGUUUGGUUCAAUUCUUCACAAUAUGACUGCUACCCACAAUGCAGUGAAGAAAAAUGAUUACUACCUCCAUGAAACCUUCAACCGUACCUGGGUUGUUCUGUCUCACAUUUAUAGCGAAGAAGAUCUGAAGAAAAUGGGUCUCAAGGAAGAUUUUGACUGGUCUGCUCCUCCAUCGAAGAAGUACAAGAAGGUUAAGGUUCCUUCCUUGGUGGCCAGCUCCUAUUCUUCAUCGCGCGACACCGACGAGCAUGAAGACUUGGACGACACUGCGGCAGGCCCAACAUCAACAAAUGACCCAAACAACGCUGCCGCUCCUUCAUCUUCAUGAUAUUCUUCAGGGGCGUUAGUCCUCAUUUUCGAUCCUUUUGGUCAUUCGAUGACAAAGGGAGAGAAAUUUGAGUUAGUCUUCAAGCGGGUCUAUCCUAUAUGGGCGUUUUUUUGCUAAGUUACAACUCUCGUUCUUCUGAUGACUUUGCUGGAUCGAGUUGUAAACUUAAACUCUAUGGUGGCCUGAUACUUUUGCUGUGAUUUUCUGCAUGUUUAUUCCUCAUUAAUGUUUAUGCAUGCAUGCUGAAUUACAUCAGUCACCAUAUUUCAUCAUGCAUUUGAAAUUCUUCAUAUCAUAUGUUGAAUGCGUGUAUGAAUUACAAGAUAUAGGGGGAGAUCUCCAUGAUUCAACUCUUCAAGUGUGCAUUGCUUCAAAAGCAAUUUCCUCACUAUGCACAUCUUCAGGGGGAGUUCUUCUAUAUCUUGCAAUCAAAUUCCUCAAUAUCAGUAUUUACACUUCAUAUGUUUAUCCCCGUUGAAAACUUAACCUAUAUUGUCAUCAAUCACCAAAAAGGGGGAGAUUGUAAGUGCAUCUAGUGCCCCUUAGUGAUUUUGGUGUAUUGAAGACUUAUAGGUUAAGGGACUAAUGUGUUUAUGAGUGUACACAGGUCUAUAAGUCUAUGAGGAGUUUGAUAUUUACAGAGAUAGUCGACCCCUAAAAAUGAAGUUCUUCGACUGAAGACUUUGGAUUUCUGAAGACUUUCUGAAGACUUUGAAAGUGAAGAAAUUGGUGUGACCUUGAAGACUUGGUAUUCAUUCGAGGAACAUGAAGCGUGAAGACUUCUGUUUUCGUAGUUUCAUGUUCUCUUUCUUGAGUCAUAGGAAACACCGUACUGUUAAAGGGGGUCGAGGAAAUACUAAGGAAAAAUUUCCAUGUGAUGCUCCACUAAAAAUCCUACACCUACCAAUCCCUUCGAGUGAAGCCAUUGGAAAUCUCAUACAGUUUAGUCAUAUUCUUCAGUGACAGAGACUAAGUUCUUCUGGUCUCUGAGGAAUUUGUUCUGACUGAGGAGUUAGGAAUUCGCCAGUGCGGAUUGCCUACACAGUGAGGAACAUGAUAGCCCUGAGGAAUUUGAGCCUCAAAUGUCCGACCAUUGCUGUGCUACGCGCCAGCUGUCCCAAAAUACCUACCCACCUAACGGUCAUAUCAUUGAAGGGCAUUUAAGUCUUAUCAUGUCGAGCUGCUCCCUAGGCUAUAAAUAGUCGCCCCCUACAACCACUAGCUGGUUGGCUGCUCUGAGAGAAACCGACACUUGUCAUUUGAGAGCAUCCCAUCCUCCGAGGACUUUGAGCGAAAAUCAUCGACUGAGGAAAACCCAAACCCAAACACCUACAAACCCAAAGUGAUUAAGCAUCACUGAAGAGAUUGAUCCUGCGUGGAUCCGACGCUUGUUACCUUUGAAGAUUGUGCUUCUUCUAGACGGUUAGGCGUCAUGGUCUAGAGCAUCCAAGAGGAAUUGUUGAUAGCCGAGUGACCGAGUCUGUGAAGGUUUGAAAGUCACCUGAAGACUUACCACAAGUGAUUGGGCGAGGUCUGUGUGACCUUAGCUCAAGGAGAAUACGGUGAGGACUGUGUGUCCUCAGGUUUAAAUACCUAGCCACUCCAACCAGAUGUACAACUGAGACAGGAGUUGGAACUGGUCUACCAAAUCAUUGUCUUAACCAAGCUUACUGGUUCUAUUUCCUCAAGUCUUUCAUUUCCUCAUUACAGUUGUUGUGUGCUUGUUCAUAUCUGUUUGAAGACUUUGACUGAAGACUUUCUCAAUUUCCUCAGUUCAAUUUCUUCAGUCUGUUUGUCUUCAUCCUGUGUUAUCCUGUGAUUACGCUUUCUAUACUCUGUGCUUGUCUUCAUUUCAUCAUGAUGACCAUGCUUGUGUUCUGUUAUGUUUACUUUUGAGUACUUAUUCCGCUGCUAGUAGUUCUUCGCUAAGGAAUUUCCUCACCCGCAAAUUCCUCAGUGAAGAAUUCAUAAAAAUCGCCUAUUCACCCCCUCUAGUCGAUAUAACGCACUUUCAUUAACCCCCUCGCAAGCAUCCGCAACUACGAGAAAAUUAUUAAGAUAAAAUCUAACCAUAACAUUAAACUUCUGGAUCCAAGUCGGUCCCUUACGAAGUAGCGCAUAAACUAGGGUUUUAGCUUCUGUCACUCUGGCAACCCGUCAUCUAAUAACUACUCCACAAUGCAUUCCCUUAGGCCCAAAUAUGGUGAAGUGCCAUGUAGUCGAUGUUCACAUGACAUCACUAAGGGAAUCACAACAUACAUAUCAUCAAAAUAUCGAACACAUAUCAAGUUCACAUUACUUGCAACAAGAUUUUUCCCGUGACCUCAAGAACAAAAGUAACUACUCACAAAUGAUAAUCAUGCUCAAGAUCAGAGGGGUAUUAAAUAGCAUAACGGAUCAGAACAUAUAAUCUUCCACCAAAUAAACCAUAUAGUAAUCAACUACAAGAUGUAAUCAACACUACUAGUCACCCAGAGGUACCAAUCUGAGGUUCCGGUACAAAGAUUGAACACAAGAGAUGAACUAGGGUUUGAGACAAGAUGGUGCUGUUGGAGAUGUUGAUGGAGAUUGCCCUCCCAAAGAUGAGAGGGUUAUUGGUGAUGACGAUGAUGAUGAUUUCCCCCUCCGGGAGGGAAGUUCCCCCGGCGGAAUCGCUCCGCCGGAGAGCAAAGGUGCUCCUGCCCAAGUUCCGCCUCGAGGCGGCGGCGCUCCAUCCCGAAAGUCCUCUCCUUAUUUUUUCUAGGUCAAAAUGACUUAUAUACCAGAAAAGGGGCACCGAAGGUGGGCCGAGGAGGGCACAACCCACCAGGGCGCGCCUGGGCUCCCUGGCGCACCCAGGUGGAUUGUGCCCACCUGGUGGGCCCCCUCUGGUAGUUAUUUGCUCCAAUAUUCUUCAUAUAUUCCAAAAAAAUUCUCCGUAAAUUUUUAGCUCAUUUGAAGAUGUGCAGAAUAGGUAACUCUGACAUAGCUUUUUCAGGUCCAGAAUUCCAACUGCCGGCAUCCUCCCUCCUUGUAUAAACCUUGCAUAUUAUGAGAGAAAAGGCAUUAGAAUUACUAAAAAAGCAUUAUUAUGCAUAAAAACAUAGUAAAUAACAGUAGGUAAACAUGAUGCAAAAUGGACGUAUCAACUCCCCCAAGCUUAGACCUCGCUUGUCCUCAAGCGAAAAAAUGAUAUCGGAAAACAUGUCCACAUGCUUAGAGAGAGAGAGAGAGAGAGAGAGAGGUGUCGAAUAAAACAAAAUACGGACAUAUAAGCAUCAUGCACAUUAUUAUAACAGCAACAAACUUUAUCAUAGAACUUUUACCACAUAACUUUUAUCAUAAACUUCUCAUGAACAAGUAAUAAUUCAUCACAACAUCGAAGUAUAAAGCAUAAACUCUAUUCAAAACCAACAAACUAUGUUCUCAGUCAACUUUGCAACUACAAUUCAUCAUCUCUUCAGGUAGUGUCACGUAUCGAGCCUUUUGGCAAGUCCACAUACUCAACUAUCAUAUAGUCUUCAAUGAUUGCUAACACUCGCCGCAUACCCAUGAGAAAAAAAUUUCAACCAGACACAUAGGAAGAUAGGGGCUUAUAGUUCCGCCUCCCAAUGUAUUCAUCUCAAGGGUGAUGUCAACAAUAAUAACUCAUGCUCACCCAUAUCCAACUGGAUAUAUGUGCCUAGAUAUUUCCUCACCACAUUGUAACACCCUGAGGAUCAUGCCACAGUAACUCUCUGUAAUUAAGCUAAUCAUGUUGCUAAACAGGGCUUGAUCACAUUUGAAUCACACCCUUUUCAAACUCCUAGUUCAAACUUCAAAUAUAAUUAAAGUGGAAAAUAAAAGUUUUCAAAAAUUUAAACUAAAAUGUUCAGUGGGUGCCAAAAAUUACACUGGUAAUUAUGGUGGAGAAAACACAUUUUUAUAAAAUGUCUAAAUACUUUUAAAUGAAAUAAAACAGAAAAGGAAAUAAACAAAUAAAAAGAAAACAGAAAACAGAACACAGACAGAGAAAAAAAAAAGAAAAGGAAANNNNNNNNNNNNNNNNNNNNNNNNNNNNNNNNNNNNNNNNNNNNNNNNNNNNNNNNNNNNNNNNNNNNNNNNNNNNNNNNNNNNNNNNNNNNNNNNNNNNNNNNNNNNNNNNNNNNNNNNNNNNNNNNNNNNNNNNNNNNNNNNNNNNNNNNNNNNNNNNNNNNNNNNNNNNNNNNNNNNNNNNNNNNNNNNNNNNNNNNNNNNNNNNNNNNNNNNNNNNNNNNNNNNNNNNNNNNNNNNNNNNNNNNNNNNNNNNNNNNNNNNNNNNNNNNNNNNNNNNNNNNNNNNNNNNNNNNNNNNNNNNNNNNNNNNNNNNNNNNNNNNNNNNNNNNNNNNNNNNNNNNNNNNNNNNNNNNNNNNNNNNNNNNNNNNNNNNNNNNNNNNNNNNNNNNNNNNNNNNNNNNNNNNNNNNNNNNNNNNNNNNNNNNNNNNNNNNNNNNNNCCCUCUCCCCUUCGUUCCCCUCUGCCCGAGCGCGCUCGCCGCCGUUCACCGUCGAACUCGCGGCCACCGUGCCCCGAUCGCCCCGACGACGUGCCCGAACGACUCCCCGCCGUCGACUACGUCGACUACGCCCUCGGGAACGAGCCGAGCGCCUCUGCACCGACCUCCCCGAGUUCGUCUCCAACCUUCGGCCGCCGUCGUUCGUCGCCGAUUCCGGCUACCCCGCGCCCUCCCCGAGCUCCUUGCCACUCCCUACGGCUCCGCUGUGAGCUCCCGCAUCUCCUCCCCCUCCCGUAGCCGCUUCCCCACGCGCGCCCGAACGCCGCGCCGCGGAGCUCGCCGCCGGCGGGUCUCCGGUGACCUUUUGGUCACGGGCUCAAGCCCGUUGCACUCCUCACCGUACGUAGAUGCCCCCCAGCCCCUCCGCUUGCUCGAUAGCCCACCGUAGCUGUGUUUCCGUCGGGCACCCAUAACAGCUCGCCGGCGGCGAGCUCGUAGUGGUCGUCCCCGGCCGUUCCAGCCCCUCCGACCACCGCAGUAGGACGCGCGACGCCGAGCCGCGUCGAACGCACCCAGCCACGCCCCCGCAGACCCCCUGUACGUGAAACCCGUACCCCUCCCGAGCCGCGCCGCCGUGCGUUUGGUCGCCGGCGUUGCUCCGGCGCCGGCCGCCGACGUGGCUGGCCUGGGGCCACCCCAGUGCCCCUGCCAGUGGCCCCCACGGGCCCCAGUUGACUGGGUUGACCCAGUCAACUGCUGACUGGGCAGGUCCAGUCACUGACAUGCGGGCCCUGCCGCAAAAAUAUAAAAAGAAAAGAAAAAGAAAAUGUUUUAUAAAUAAAAAUAAUUAGUUUAACUAAACACUCACUGACAUAUGGGGCCCACCCCUCUAAUUAUACUGUUAGAUUAGUUUAAAUAGAUAUUAGAUUAACAGAGGCUGACAUGUGGGUCCCACUGGACCCACCUGUCUGGUUUGACUGGUCAGCCGACCUGUUGACCUGCUGACGUCAGCAUUGCCUCAUGCUGACGUCAUAAUUCAUUUUUGCUGAAUAUAAAUAGUUCCAGAAAUUCAAAUAAACUUUGAAAAUUCAUAUCUUUUAAACCGUAACUCGGAUGAAAAUGUUUUCUAUAUGAAAGUUGCUCAGAACGACGAGACGAAUCCAAAUACGCGGUCCGUUCGUCCACCACACCUCCCUAACCUAUCGAACUAGCAACUUUCCCCCUCCGGUCCGUCUGUCCGAAAACGCGAAACAUCGGGAAUACCUCCCGGAUGUUCCCCCCCUUCACCAGUACCACCUACUGUCGCGUUAGGACACCCCUAGCACCGCUCACUGUCAUUUCACGCAUCGUCAUGCUUAUGAUUGCAUUGUAUUUACUGUUUCUUCCCCCUCUUCUCUCCGGUAGACUACGAGACCGACACUGCUGCUGUCCCGUUCGACUACGGAGUCGACGACCCCUCCUACUUGCCAGAGCAACCAGGCAAGCCCCCCCCCUUGAUCACCAGAUAUCGCCUAUUCUUCUCUAUACUGCUUGCAUUAGAGUAGUGUAGCAUGUUACUGCUUUUCGAUAUCCUAUCCUGAUGCAUAGCCUAUCCUUGCUACUACUGUUGUUACCUUUACCUGCAAUCCUACAUGCUUAGUAUAGGAUGCUAGUUUUCCAUCAGUGGCCCUACAUUCUUGUCCGUCUGCUGUGCUAUACUAUCGGGCCGUGAUCACCUGGGCGGUGAUCACGGGUAUAUACUUAUAUACAUAUACAUGACACAUGAGAUGACUAAAGUCGGGUCGGCUCGUAGGAGUACCCGCGAGUGGAUCUUUGUGGUGGAGCGACAGGGCAGGUUGAGACUGCCUAGGUGAGAGGUGGGCCUGGCCCUGGUCGGCGUUCGCGGUUACUUAACACGCUUAACGAGAUCUUGGUAUUUGAUCUGAGUCUGGCCAUUUGGUCUAUACGCACUAACCAUCUACGUGGGAGUAGUUAUGGGUAUCCCGACGUCGUGGUAUCAGCCGAAGCUCUUUUGACGUCAGCAACUGAGUGGCGCGCGCCGCAUUGGACCGUAAGCUCGCGCUUGUAUUAAGGGGGCUAGGUCUGCUUCCGGCCGCGUACGCAACGUGCAGGUGUGCAUAGGGCGAUGGGCCCAGACCCCUGCGCGCAUAGGUUUAGACCGGCGUGCUGACCUCUCUGUUGAGCCUAGGUGGGGCUGCGACGUGUUGAUCUUACGAGGCCGGGCAUGACCCAGGAAAGUGUGUCCGGCCAAAUGGGAUCGAGCGUGUUGGGUUAUGUGGUGCACCCCUGCAGGGAAGUUUAUCUAUUCGAUAGCCGUGUCCCUCGGAAAAAGGACGACCCGGAGUUGUGCCUUGACCUUAUGACAACUAGAACUGGAUACUGAAUAAAAUACACCCUUCCAAGUGCCAGAUACAACCCGGUGAUCGCUCUCUAACAGGGCGACAAGGAGGGGAUCGCCGGGUAGGAUUAUGCUAUGCGAUGCUACUUGGAGGACUUCAAUCUACUCUCUUCUACCUGCUGCAAGAUGGAGAUGACCAGAAGCGUAGUCUUCGACAGGACUAGCUAUCCCCCUUUUAUUCUGGCAUUCUGCAGUUCAGUCCACUGAUAUGCCCCUUUACACAUAUACCCAUGCAUAUGUAGUGUAGCUCCUUGCUUGCGAGUACUUUGGAUGAGUACUCACGGUUGCUUCUCUCCCUCUUUUCCCCCUUCUUUCCUAUCUGGUUGUCGCAACCAGAUGUUGGAGUCCAGGAGCCAGACGCCACCGUCGACGACGACACCUACGACACUGGAGGUGCCUACUACUACGUGCAGGCCGCUGACGACGACCAGGAGUAGUUAGGAGGAUCCCAGGCAGGAGGCCUGCGCCUCGUUCGAUCUGUAUCCCUGUUUGUGCUAGCCUUCUUAAGGCAAACUUGUUUAACUUAUGUCUGUACUCAGAUAUUGUUGCUUCCGCUGACUCGUCUGUGAUCGAGCACUUGUAUUCGAGCCCUCGAGGCCCCUGGCUUGUAUUAUGAUGCUUGUAUGACUUAUUUUUGUUUUAGAGUUGUGUUGUGAUAUCUUCCCGUGAGUCCCUGACCUUGUUCGUACACAUUUGCGUGCAUGAUUAGUGUACGGUCAAAUCGGGGGCGUCACACAUGAUGCUUGCAGAAGAGAAAAUAAAAAAGGAAUAGGGGAGAAUACUUUGACUCUUGCAUAAAAGUAAAUACAUGAAAGUAAAAGAUAGGCCCUUCGCAGAGGGAAGCAGAGGUUGUCAUGCGCUUUUUGGUUUGUAUGCUCAAUCUCUUAAUGCAAAAGAAUGUCAAGUUGUAUUGCCCCUUAUGAUAGCAACCUUUAUUACGCAGUUUGUCGCCUUUAUUAUUUUGCCAUCACAAGUUCAUACAACGCUCAAUUUUCUCUUACACUAAAUGAUCCAACACAUUUAGAAGCAAUUUUUAUUGCCUUAUUGCACCGAUGACAACUUACUUGAAGGAUCUUACUCAAUCCAUAGGUAGGUAUGGUGGACUCUAAAAACAAGAUUUGGGUUUAAGGGUUUUUGGAUGCACAAGUAGUAUCUCUACUUAGUGCGGAAUUUUUGGCUAGCAAAGAUAGGGGGGCAAGAACCACAUGUUAAAGGAUCUAUGACAAUAUAACUUCUAUGUGAAUAUAAACAAGCAUAUAUCAUUAUAUUGUCUUCCUUGUCCAACGUCAACAAAUUUGGCAUAAAAUAUUUUGAUGGGGGCUCACAAUCAUAAAAGAUGUCCAAGAUAGUUUAUUUGCAUGUGAAUCUUAUCUUCCCUUAUUAAUUCUUUCAUGAAUUGCAUUAUUGACCAAUGCUAUGUUUGUCAAUCUCCAAUAAAUUUUACGACUUAUACUUUUUCUUAUGUGAUGUCAUUACUUACCAUAAGAUUAGCAUAUGAUCUUUUUCAUUAUUCCUUUUCUUUAUUUUGAUUGAAACAAAAAGGUAAUGAAAGCAAAAGUUGAACUAAACUUUAUUAUAUAUCUCGCACACAAUUACAAAGAUAGAUAGAUCAUAAAGCAAAAACACUUGAAAAGGAUCGAACUGAACUUUUAUUCAACUAAUUCAAAAGAUAACUGAAGAUCGAAUUAAGAUAAAUAAGGGCAAAAGAGGUGGUGUGAUAUGAUACCGGGCACCUCCCCCAAGCUUGGCACAAGCCAAGGGGAGUGCCCAUACCCGGUAUUCAAGUCUCCUUUGGUGGUGAAGAAGGUGAUGGUGGUGGGUAUUGAUGAGGUAGUAGCGAGCUUAUCCUUCAGGCUCAAAAGAUAUUCCAAUCUUCGGAUGACGCUCCGAAGGGAGAUGAUGUGCUCUUGCAAUAAAAAAUAUUCAUGAGUGAGAUAUUUGUUUUGAACACGAACCGUUUCAAUGGUCCUGAAGGCUUCAAUCUCGGUGGGAGUAAGAUAUUCAUAGUAUGGUUGAAGGAUAUCUUCUUCUUCUUCCUCCGCAAGCAAGGCCUGCUCUACUACUGGGGCUUGUUCUCCAAUAGCUUCCUUGCUCUUGUUCCCCUUGAAGGCUUCCUUUGGUUCUUCUCUCUUCAGCUCCAUCUUCAUCAACCAAGCAUCCUCUUCUACGUUGUUGGAGGAGGGAGAAGACAUGAUUCCUGGCUUGACAGAUCUAACAGAAAACAACAAGAAAAGAAAACAGAAGAUUUCUCCGCGAUACGGUGGUCAAUAGGUUCGGGGGCUAUAUAAAGAUUUUUUAUCUUGGGGAACAAGCAAACGGGAGGAAAACGGAGUCUGGAAGGUACCCGAGGUGGGCACAACCCACCUGGGCGCGCCAGGCAAGCCAGGCGCGCCCUGGUGUCUUGUGCCCUCCUCGGUUGCCUUCUAGUUGGUUUAUUAUUUUUCCUAAUUUCUGUAAUAUUCUAAAACUGACAAAAAAUAUUUUUGUAGAUUUUUCGGAGUCCGUUUACUUACCGUAUCACGUAUCUCCUUUUAUUCACGAUUCUAGAGUGUUCCGGAAGGUUUCUUUUAUGUGUUCGUACGAUGUCAUAGUUUGGAUAAUAUUGCUUUCAACAUUAAUAGGCGUGCCUGAGAUAUAGUGUUUGAUUCUUUGCCCAUUUACGACCUUCGGGUUAGUACCUUCAACAUUAUUUAUUUUGAUAGCUCCAGAGCGGUAGAUUUCUUCAAUAAUAUAUGGUCCUUCCCAUUUGGAGAGAAGUUUUCUUACAAAGAAUCUAAAACGAGAGUUGUACAAAAGAACAUAUUGUCCAACUUUAAAUUCCAGCUUUUGGAUUCUUUUGUGAUGCCACCUUUUAACCUUUUCUUUAAAUAAUUUGGCAUUUUCAUAAGUUUGGGUUCUUCAUUCAUCUAGUGAGCUAAUAAGAAAUAACCUCUUUUCACCGGGAAGUUUGAAAUCAUAGUUGAGUUGUUUUAUUGCCCAGUAUGCUUUAUGACUCAAGAGGCAAAUGACAAGCUUUUCCAUAAACCAUAUUAUAAGGGGACAUACCCAUAGGAUUUUUAUAUGUUGUUCUGUAGGCCCAAAGUGCAACAUCUAAUUUCUUAGACCAAUUCUUUCGGGACCUAUUAACAGUUUUUUGUAAAAUUAAUUUUAUUUCUCUAUUGCUAAGUUCAACUUGACCACUAGAUUGGGGACGAUAGGGUGAUGCAAUUCUAUGGUUAACAUCAUAGUUAGCAAGCAUUUUACGGAAAUCACCAUGAAUAAAGUGUGAACCAAUGUCAAUCAUUAAAUAUCUAGGGACUCCAAACCUUGGGAAAAUAACUUCAUUAAGCAUUUUAAUGUAGGUGUUAUGAUCAACACUACUAGUUGGAAUAUCUUCUACCCACUUAGUAACAUAAUCAACAGUAACCAAAAUAUGAGUAUACCCAUUAGAGGAAGGAAAAGGGCCCAUGUAAUCAAAACCCCAAACAUCAAAUGGUUUAAUAACAAGUGAAUAAUUCAUAGGCAUUUCCUGACCUUACCAAUAUUACCAAUUAUUUGGCAUUAUCACAAGAUAAAACAUACUUACGAGAAUCCUUUAAGAGAGUAGGCCAGUAAAAACCAGAUUGCAAUACCUUAUGAGCAGUUCUAUCUCCCACAUGAUGUCCCCCAUAAGCUUCGGAGUGACAUUUCCGUAGGAUUUGUCCCUGUUCAUGCUCAUGUACUCAACGUCUGAUAAUACCUUCUACCCCUUCUUUGUAGAGGUGUGGGUCAUCCCAAAAGUAAUGUCUUAAAUCACAGAAGAUUUUUUCUUUUGUUGGUAUGUGAAACUAGGUGGUAUAUAUUUAGCAACAAUAUAAUUAGCAUAAUGAGCAUACCAAGGAGUGUUUUGAGAGACAUUUAUUGCAACUAGUUGUUCAUCAGGAAAACUAUCAUCAAUAGGUAGUGGGUGAUCAAGAAUAUUUUCUAGCCUAGACAAGUUAUCAGCUACGGGGUUCUUAGCUCCUUUUCUAUCAGUAAUAUGUAAAUCAAAUUCUUGUAACAAGAGAACCCACCUAAUGAGUCUAGGUUUAGCAUCUUUCUUUUCCAUAAGAUAUUUUAUAGCAGCAUGAUCGGUGUGAACAGUUAAUUCAGAAUCAACAAUAUAAGAUCUGGAUUUAUCACAAGCAAACACCACUGCUAAAAAUUCUUUUUCAGUAGUAGCAUAAUUUCGUUGAGCACUGUCUAGAGUUUUAAUAGCAUCAUGGAUAAAAUUUUAUUUUUUAUCAACUCUUUGUCCUGGGACAGCACCAACAACAUAAUCACUAGCAUCACACAUAAUUUCAAAAGGCAAGUUCCAGUCAGUUGGUUGUACUAUAGGUGCAAAAGUCAAGGCUUUCUUAAGUGUUUCAAAGGCUUCUACACAAUCAUCAUCAAAAACAAAUGGAACAUCCUUUUGUAAAAGAUUUGUAAGAGGCCUAGAAAUUUUAGAGAAGUCUUUAACAAACCUCCUAUAGAACCCAACAUGACCAAGGAAACUACGAAUACCUUUAAUAUCUUUAGGACAUGACAUUUUCUCAAUUGCAUCAACUUUAGCUUUAUCAACCUCAAUACCACGUUCGGAUAUUUUAUGUCCCAAGACAAUGCCUUCAUUAACCAUAAAGUGGCACUUCUCCCAAUUCAAGACAAGAUUAGUUUGCUCGCAUGUCUGCAAAACUCGAUCAAGGUUGCUUAAGCAAUCAUCAAAAGAAGUUCCAUAAACAGAAAAAUCAUCCAUGAAAACCUCAACAAUCUUUUCACAAAAAUCAGAGAAUAUAGCAGUCAUACAUCUUUGAAAGGUAGCAGGUGCAUUGCAUAAACCAAAAGGCAUACGUCUAUAAGCAUAAGUUCCAAAAGGGCAAGUAAAGGUGCUUUUCUCUUGAUCAGGUUGUGAAACAGGUAUCUGAGAAAAACCAGAGUAUCCAUCAAGAAAGCAAAAGUGUGUGUACUUAGAUAGCUUUCUAGCAUUUGAUCAAUAAAAGGCAAGGGGUAAUGAUCUUUUCUAGUUGCUUUAUUUAAUUUUCUAAAAUCAAUUACCAUUCUAUAGCCAGUGACAAUUCUCUGUGGAAUGAGUUCAUUUUUAUCAUUAGGAACAACAGUGAUACCUCCCUUCUUAGGGACACAGUGAACAGGGCUUACCAAUCUACUAUCAGCUAUGGGAUAGAUUAUACCUGCUUCAAGAAGCUUUAAUAUUUCAGUUCUUACCACUUCUUUCAUCUUUGGAUUCAAACGUCGUUGGUGAUCAACAAUGGGUUUAGCAUUAGAUUCCAUAUUAAUCUUGUGCUGACAUAGAGUGGGACUAAUGCCCUUAAGAUCAUCAAGAGUAUACCCAAUAGCACCUCGACGAUUCUUCAGAAUUUUCGAUAAUCUUUCUUCUUCAUGUUCUGAAAGGUUAGCACUAAUAAUAACAGGAUAUAUCUUUUUCCAAUCAAGAUAAGCAUAUUUCAAAGUGUCUGGCAAUUGUUUUAAUUCAAACACAGGAUCACCCUUAGGUGGAGGACGACCUCCUAGAGUUUCAAUAGGCAAAUUGUGUUUGAGCAGACGUCGUUGUUCAAAGAAAUUUUUGUCUAUUUCAUUUCUUUCAUGCAUAUGCAUAUCAUGUUCGUGGUCUAGCAAAUAUUGUUCUAGUGGAUCAGUAGGAGGCACGACAAUAGAAGCAAGACCAGUUAUUUCAUCCUUACUAGGUAAUUCUUUCUUAUGAUGUUUUCUACUAAACUUAGAAAAAUUAAACUCAGGAGACUCAUCAUAAAAACUAACACCGACAAUUUCUUUCUCACAGGCUGUUUUAGCAUUAACGGUGUUCAAGAAAGGUCUAUCAAAUAUAAUGGGACAAAAAUCAUCUUGUGGGGAACCAAGAACUAGAAAAUCACUAGGGUAUUUUACUUUCCCACACAAGACUUCAACAUCUCUAACAAUCCCAAGUGGUGUGAUGGUGUCUCUAUUAGCAAGUUUCAUAGUAACAUAUAUGUCUUCUAUUUUAGCGAGUGUCGGCGUUCUGGGAACGGGGGUCCCCAGACUUGCCUGCCUGCGGCCCACGGUGUGGCUCUGCGAGUGCUCGCACGGCCCAUCUUCACCAACAAGCAGUCAAGACCCUCGCGAGGGGCCAAGCCUCGCGAGGCGGACGACACAAGACCUCCUCAGGAGCGGCCUCACCAGGUUGGCUCGCCAGGGGCGGAGAGAUCAAGGCAAGGCAAACCUCGCGAGGUUCUCGUGACGUGAGCCAUGACGACCCAGAUCAGGCGGGCGCCAGCGCGCACAGUGUCCUUGUUUCCCCUCUGGUGCUAAGGAGGCAAGCGCAGGCGCGGAGUACCGAGGCGUCAAGCAAAGGUUUCCAUAUCAGUGCAAUGAGACCAAGACCAGCGGGACGGCAAGACGGAGGUCACCAUGAAGCCCAAGGCGGCGUCACCACCAAAGCCUUUUGCAGGCGAAGACUACUUUUGUCAGGAUAAGCUGUACUAGUUGUCCCCUUCCAAAUUGGCCGUUGUUGGCGCCCUUCCCGCUCAAUAUUUGGGAAGAGGACCAGGGCCUCUAUAAAUAGGACUAGCCACCACCAUAGAGGGGGACGGAUCAUUGAGACCACCCUUGCACCCAUCAGCUCUCCGAGCACAAGAACACCUCGCCUCAGGAGGCUGUUCUUCCCUUGUACUGUUCAUCCAUAGCCCAAGACGCAAUCCACCACCACACGCUGGAGUAGGGUAUUACACCACAACGGUGGCCUGAACCAGUAUAAAUCAUGUGUCCCUUGUGUUGCGAGUUCGUCGAGUUAGCCCUUGAGAUUAUAGCCAAACUAGGACGUGGAUCGGUAGGGAGGAGAUCUUCGCCCGCACACCAGUGUUCGAACCUUGAGGGGUUUGCCGGAACCCGUGAUCUAACAUUUGGCGCGCCAGGUAGGGGUGCGCCGGUGCUUUGCUUCCACCAGCCGAUCCGCUCGUUGGUCCUUCGGCGCUCCGCAGCUCCGAUGUCCGGCGACUCAAGAGCCAACACCGACCGCUGGGCGGCCUGGUCGGCCCGGGCGGCGCCGUCGGCCCAGGAAGAACUCAACCCCGUGCCUCAGGCGGCACGCGCACCGCCAAACACCGCGAGGCAUGGGCGGCGCGGUCACUCACCCUCUUCUCUUAUCCCACGAAAAGUGCGGGCGGCCGCGAGGGCCUCAAGCCACGCUGCCGCCAUAGCGCCGCACACCCGGCGGGAGCAAGCGAACAUGAGGGCCGCGCUCACAGUAGCUCGAGAGUUGCUGCGAUGCCGGUUGAUGGAGAGCGGUCGGGAUGCUUUGCUAGAGCGCGCGCCGAGCUCUUGGACGCCGCAGCUUCAGGGGCGCCACCCUUAUGCACUCUGCUCAUGCCGCAAGCUGCGGCCGGGUCGCAUGGCGGACCAUGCCGCGCCCGCGUGCCCACAGGCGCACCACCAGGCUUCAACGACACUGGCGCAACCAACGGAGCUGUACGCCCGCUCGCGCCCGUGCCACCUCCGCUGGGUGCGGGCACGAGCGCCGCCACCUACGGUCCAGGCGGGAUGCAGCCGUACCACCCUCGAGGCGGCGUGCUAGGACGGGCGACAUGGAGCGUGGGGCACUACAGCGAGGUCUUCGAGGCAGCGGCCCCGAAGGCCUACGUGCCCCGCAUGGUGGACCAGGAGUACAUGCUGGAAGACGACCCCGGCUCGUUCCUCGAGUCGGGCUAGGAGGAGGAAGGGCUAGAAGCCGGCACCUUCCAGGAGCCAUCCGGGAGCCUCUCCAACCGCACCAGCGACGACGACUACAGGGUACCACUAAUUCCUCAGGAGCAUGCUUACGCUAACCAUAGUGCGCAGGAGGGUCAGGUCGUGGCGGCAGACGGCGGCCCCAGCUCGUCAGCCUCCCUCCCGCCAGGAGGGGCGCGCUGGGGACUGCAGGAAGGAAGCCGGGACGAAGGCCCACCCCAGCGUCGCGUUGAGCAAGGCGUCUCCCGGAGGUAGGCCCUCUACCGGGGAGGUGCUCCAGAGCCUACCCCCGGCAGAGGACCCGUGGUCGCCGAGGGUGCCGCUGGCGUCCCCUUUGCCCCUGUUGGUGUCGUCCUGGUUUCUGGUCGCCCCCAAUGGUGGCCGAGGGAGGCGCAAGGCGGGGCCCUCGUCUGGCGAUAUGAAGUAAGGCUCACGCCUGUGAAGAUCGCCGCCCGUGACACUCUCACGUAAUAAAGGGUGGGGCUGUACAUGCCCCGGAGUCUCAGGAGUGCCGCCCUCGGGCCUCGGGAGCUCCCUCCCAUGUCCUAGUGGCAGCACUUAGCUCCGCGCUGGUGAGAAGACUUGAAGACAAGAAGACUAGACUAGGUGCCGGACGCGGCCGUUUGCUUUGGAUCACUUUUCUGUGGCCUUGCCUUCUGGAUUUGGAUUUAAGUUGAAGUUGAAUUUUCAUCGAUGCGCGUGGGGGGUGCCUUUUCUCGUUUGAGCGAUUUUUUGCUGUCUGGUUCUUGCCUUAUUCCGUGGCUCGCACUCGCUGCCUCCCCCUCGCGGGCCCCUCGCGAGCGGGGCUGGGCGCAGCAUACGCACCGUGCGCGGUGAUACCACGAUCGGCACCUGAUUCUCGCGAGGCCCUCUCGGGCGAAUCAGCAAACCCUUCAGGAGCUCCUUAGAAGCUCGCGACCUCAUGAUCCAGUUCGGGGCUUGCCUCGGCUAAGGUACUGCAACAACAAACUUGCCACCAGACUCAUGGAUUCACAAAAGCGCACGCUCAGCUUGGCAUAGAAGAACAAAAACUGCGAUUUGUUUACAUGAGGGGCUCCCCCUCUCAAAAUGCUCUUACAAUCUUUAGGGGCCACGCCCAAGUUUUUACGCACCGGGUAGAACAGCAGGGGAACAUCGGAUCAGCCGGAUAUGUCGCUCGCCGCGUCCCCCAGGUCAUCUUCAGCCGCACCGCUGGCGUCGCUGUCGCCGUCGCUGGCGUUGCCUCCACCUUCGCCGGCCCCGACAUCGCCGUCGUCAACCACGUCACCUUCGUCUGCCGCGACUACCACCGCAUCGUCCUCAGAAGCGAAGGCCCUGACCAGCGCAUCCACGUUGUCCUCCACCCAUCGUGCCAGGUCGCCCCGGAUGGCCGCAGGUACGGGGGCAAUGGAGGCGUCGAAGUCGAAGUCGGGGUAGGUGUUCUAAAGAUGGCUGAAGACGCGGGAGAACGCGCGCCCGAGCAGGCCACGACUCCUCUCUUCCACGAGCUGGCGAGCUCUAUCGGAUCGAGCUUCCAGGCGCGUCACCACGUCGGAGAAGAAACGAAGGUGGCUAGCGUAGUCAUCCGAGUGGGGAUGCGGAGCAUUCUUGUCGCAGACAUGGCCCAACUCCGCGUUGGCCCUGGCCCUGAGGGUCUGAAGCAUGGGGGCGUACUCACGCUCCAGCGUCCGUCGCUGAAGCACUUCCUCCCUGUUCUGCCGCGCAACGGACUCGGCAUCAGCAACCUGCUUUUGGAGGGAGAGCAGCUCGGCGCAGACGGAGGCCAAUUCCGCCUGUGCCGUGGCCAGGGCGGCUGCCGUGGCCUCCUCACGCCUCUCCGCCUCCGCUAGCCUGGGCCUAAGGGCAGCGGCCCUACCCGCAGCCUCCGUCUCUGCAAGCUGCAGCUUCAAGUCAUGCCUACCCUCAAGAUCCGCGCGAACCUCGGCCACCCGGCGAUCGACUUCCUCUUGGGCCUUGGCCUCGCGAGCACCGACGACAUCUUCCGCCUGGGCAACUUGAUGCUCCCUCGUCUCUAGUCGCUCAUGCUCGAGGCUACGCUCCACGGCUUCCAGCGCCAACGCCUCCUCGCGCCUCCGGAGCUCUUCUUCUUCAGCGGGCGUCCCCCUCAGCGAUGCAAGGGCGGCCUUGCGCGCCUCCACCUGCUGCUCCAGGGACGCGCUCCAGGCCUGGAGCUCCCACGUGCGCUUCUCCGCAGCCUCUCGACGGUGGUCAGCCUUGCGAGCCUCCUCCAAAGCUCGAAAGCAAGCCUCACGGGAGACCUCAAGAGACGCCUCGGCCUUCGCGUUGUCAUGAUCGCGCUGAUGAUGGCUAAGGUUGAUAGCCACCUUCAGCUUAUGCCAUUCCUCCGCCAACCGAAGACCCUCAGCCUUGAGGCGCGCAUCGAUGUCUGCGAGUUCACCACCAAGCCGGUUCAUCGCGCCCAUUGCCUCCUGGAAGAGCUCGUGGUGAACGACGGCCCGUUCAUGCUCAAGCUCAAGCGCACGGCCCAUCUCGCCUUCCCCCACGGGGGCUGCGGCGAGGCCUGAAGCGGUGCCCCGUCUCUCAGCAGGGAGCUGGGGGCUGGCACCGCCCUAGGAGCCAGCCAGGCCUUGCGAGGGGCCCGAACCAAUUGGGGCCCGCUGCUUAAAGUGGAGUCGAAGACCGAAGCCAACCAGCCACCGUCCAUGACCAGAGGAAGGGUCCUGGGCACGCCCGCCAAGCUCCAAGCAAGGCCGCAGAGGAGGGGCGACGAGGCCGUGGGCGCAAGGAACCAAGGAGGCAAGCGCGCCCCUCCGACCGACCCCGCACCAGGAGUGACAUGCGGGCUCGGGGCGCCCAAGGCCAGCGGGGGACUCGAGGAGGAAGGAGGCAGCUCCUCAGGAGAUGCAGCGGCUUUGGCGAAAGGGACCCUGAAAGGCCACCGUCAGGAAGGAAAGCAACACUCAGGAACCCACGAAGAUGCAGUACUUACUCGUCGACAGCGAUGUACUUCCUCCGCUUCAACGGCCCGAAGAUACCACUGCUGCCGCUCGGGGAUCCCUUCCUCUUGCGGAGCUCCUCGAAGUCCACACAAAACCGACCGAAGCGCUGGACGUGGCGGCCGGCGCGGGGCGCAACCGGAGAAACACUCGAGGGGACAGCCUCAGGGGCGCCAAGCUGAGGAGAACUGUUGGGCGCCACCUCGCAGCGACCUGUCGGAGUCUGAGGAACCUCGACCGGAGGAGUCGCGCGCUGCGUCGCCCCCGCGGCUGCCGCGCCAGGACAGGAAUCACGGGCUCCCGAUGAUGACGCCUCAGGAACCCCAGGCGGCAUCAGCACCCAGUGCUGGGGCCAUCGGUCUCGGACGGUGCUUGGCCCCCUGCGUCGACAUUCGGGGCGAGCCCGACGCCGACAGCGAAGAGGGGAAUGUCGGUUCAAUAUCCGGCGUAUCUCGUAGUAGGGGUCCUAAGCUAGGCGUCUGGGAGCGAUGGUAACAUGGACACGGGGUUUUACCUAGCUUCGGGCUCUCUUGAUGAGAUAAUACCCUACAUGCUGCUUUUGAUUGUAUUCAUAUGGGUGUAGUACAGAGUAUAUGUAUCUACCACGAGAUUGUAGUAAUGAAUACGAGAUUGUACAUAUACUUAUCAGCAUCGAGCUGAACCAUCUACAAAGCUCUAGAUGGCGACUCCCACCUCUCCACCGCCACCCUAACCCUAGCCACCCAACAUCGCCGGCGAUCCCCACAUCCCUCCGUGGAUUUUGCCAUCUAAUCGGCUCAUCUUUCCCGGCGUCUCUUCCUCUCGCCUCUGGUUGUCUUCUUCCUCAUGGCGGUCCACGCAGCGCUCUCCUUGGGAUUAGAUUUCUCCCCGGGGAUGAAGUUGGCGUCUGAGAUCCAACGCACCUUCAACAGAUCGGUGCACCCAACGGAGGACACGGGCCAUUUCAUUAUGGUCGUCUCUUAGGGAAAAAUCGAAAUGAAAUAAAUAAAGAAUAAAGCCAAAAAAAUAAGUCGAAGAUAGAAGAGCCCAGAUUCCAAAUGAAGAAAUGGAAACUCGAAGGCACACCUUCCGUCUUGAUGAGGAAAAUGUGGGGUUCGCUCUUGAGGCGGCCAUCGGAGGAUACUGCUCACACCUCAAGGUAUCUUUCCUCCACCAUGGCGUCUUCUCUUUCAACGUUUCUUGCAAGGAGGUGGGUUUUUUCAUCCUGCACCAGAGGAGUUUUGUUUGUGAUCAGUUCAAGUGUUUUUUCCACCUUUGGGAUCAUGGUGGCCCUGAUUGGCAGAAGGAAUUUCGUCUUUGGCAAUCUGAAUGCCAAGAGGAAUGGGUUUUAGUUAGCCCCUCUAAGAGGAGAGCUCGCCUUGGUUUAGAGGCCAUGAAAUUUCCUCCGGCCAAAUCUUCUCUCCGUGCUCGCGUGGCCAAAUCUCUUCCUAAGAAACAUGCUACGUUCGCCAUGUUCAUGCAAUACCCGGCGCGUAAGGGCUAUAGCUAUGGCCUGUCCACCGACGAGGUGGCCACGGUCAGAGCAGCUGAUUACCGUGUUUCGUCUCAUGAGGAUGCGGAUGAUCUUCCUCCGGUGACCACCCCACCGCCGGCAAGGCUAGUGAUUCAGUUUGGAACAAUCCCGCCUUCCCCGAAGGGUUUAUCUCCUGCCCGUUUAAACCCUGGAACCUCGGGUGGCCGAUUAGUUUUCACAUUGGAAGGUUUGGAUUCUCCUGCACCCACUCAGCCGCCUCCACCAGGCCAUGUUCCUCGGUUGGGCUCCAGGGUACAGCCCAUCUGUCUGUCUGAUGACGAGAGUGGCAGCCCAUCACCUCUGGCCUCUAGGGCUUCAUCCCCUGAGGAUAUUAUCCGAGACCUGCAAAGUUUUGACGUUAUGAUCGAAGAUAUGGCUGCGAGUUAUUGGGACUGUCAGCAUUGCUUGGCUAUGCGCCACACAUCAGAGACAUGCACGAAUCAGGUCCGGUGCCGCAAUUGUUUUCGUUCGGGACACGUUAAAAAAAUUGCACCGGCAAGCCGCCUGACUUGUCUGUCUGGGUGCCUAAAGUCCCAUCGCCGGGUUUUGGGAAGCGGGACCGAACAGAGGAUUUCUCUCCCCCCGUCUCUCUAGUUUCCCGAGACCAAACGACUCCGGAGAAAACCCCAUCCUCUGCUUCUCUGCCGCCACCAUCGCCGCCUGACCGCCCUGUCGAGCACACCCAAGCUUCCCCCAGCUCUGGUCCGGCUCCUGCUCCGCAGCCUCCAAUGGCGGUGUUUGAGAUUGACCCGCAUCGCUUCAUCCCUGCGGGCUUCGACAUUGAAGAUGGCGGAGCAGAUCGUCUACCCCGCACCUUCUACACGCCGGCCGUCCCGCCACCCCGAGCGCAUGAGUAGUACAUGGUGGCCAUUGUGGAGACGAUCCCGCCUCCAGAGCUAGUUGGGGUCCAUCGCCAGUAGGUUCUUGAUUUCCUAGUUCAAGUGAUGCAUGUUCCAGUUAUUUCUGCUCAGACUUGGUUUCAAGGAGUUGGUCUGUUCGAGAUGGAAGAUCCAGUUGUCCGGGGCUCUUUUACUCUGCAUCCGCCGUUUCCCUUAGGGGUCGAUGAUGAUGGCAAUGAGUUUUUUGUCCGUUUUAUCCCGCAUAAUCAGGGUGAAGGUUUUCGUGCUAUUCAUGGCCAGUGGACGGGGUGGUUGAUGUUCAUCGGCAUCCCUUUAGACUAUAGAAACACCCAGUGCAUUGCUGAUAUGGUUGGGUCUUUUGGACAGUUCCACUACUGGAAUAGCACUGACAGGCGUAAAGUUAGAGCUUUGGUCCGUGCCUUGUUCCCUGACAAUGCGCUAGUUCCUCGCUCGGUCACCUUUCGGGAAUUUGCCAAUUGGGGUGAUGUCAUGGUGUCUUGGUCUGCUGGUUGCUAUAUCUUAUUAGGGGAAUUUGCUGGUGCCAUGAUCCCAGCGGAUGAGGAUCCAAUGCCUCUCAAUGGGAAUCCCCACCCGUUGCCUGGCGUUCAGGUGCCGCAACCGUUUUGGGCAAUGCCUCCAUACCCUGCUCUGGGAUGGAAUGCCGUUCCUCCGGGCCCUCAUCAAGGACAGAAUGAGGUGGCGGGAUGGGCUGAUAAUGUGCAGCAGGCAGCAGGAUGGGGCCCGUGGGAGGAGCAGAUUCAGCCUGAUCAUCAGCAGCAGCAUGAGGAGGUUCAACCUGUCCAGGACCAGAACUCUAUGAUUUUGAACCCAUCUGCGGAUUCUUCUGAUGAUGAGGAUAUGGCUGAGGUCCAGCAGCCUCUACAAGCCCCACCAAUAGUGCAGCUGGAGCCGAUUCAUCUUGGUAUGGUCCGGGUUUUUUAUGGGCCAGUUCUGCCGCCGGCCAUGAUCUGGGAGAGAUCAUUCAAGUCUUUGUUGCCUGAAUUCUUCACCAGGGAUAUACCAGCUUGUCUGCCUAGUUUUUCUGCGACGUUGCUACAAGUCAAAUUUGGGUCUGCCGAUCUGCAAGAGAAGUAUCAGCUCCUUUCUGCCAAGUAAGAUGUCUCCGUUCCUGGACCCAGCUCUUCGGUGGUCAUUGAGGAGUUGGCACCUGAUGAUCUCUCGUGCUACAAUUACUAGGUUACACCUUCUCCCUCCCCGGUCUCUCAAGAGGAUUUUCAGUUUUCUUCGGUUACUCCAUCUCCGCUGGGCAAGCGACCACGUUAGUCUGCACGCUCCAGGCGCUCUAUCACGCUUGUGGAGCCAGUUCUGGACUUCUCCACUCGAAGGAUGACGCGCAGUUCUGCCAAGAGGACGGGCAUGAAGCCAGUCUCUGCCAUCCCUCCGAGGUCUGCCCCCAGCGUCGCUCGAAGGCCAAGAAGCUUCGUCUUGAUGAUGAGCCCAGCAUGCUCCCUCUCCCACCUCCGACGCCUAUUCCGACACUGUAGGCCAUUGGAGUGGCUUUGGGCAUUGAUCCGUCUGAGUUAUCGGUUGAGAAGCUUAUGGCUUCUCCCCGUCCUGCGGCAGAAGACGAUGGUUCACAUGAUGCUUGACGGCCCACGAAGCUUCAUGGAGAGCUGGGCGCUUUUGCUUUUGUGCCCAUUUUUUGUUUUCAAUGACUUUCUGCAACACUUGGUUACUGUUACUGCCACUUAUGUUCCGCUUAUGUCCAUGCUGUUAAGCAGCUGGAUCUGCAACUAUACCCCUGCGCUGUUUUUUAUGGAUAAUUGCUAUUUUCGAAACUGGAAUGUGCUCUGUUGGAAUCUGCAUGGGCUCAAUUCUGAGGCUCGGCAGCGUGAUCUACGUGCCAAGAUUGAGGAGAGCAGAUGUUCUGUUCUUUGUCUGCAAGAAACUAAAUGUGAGAGCUUUGAUAUUCGUACGAUUAGAUCCUUCUGCCCUAUGCGGUUUGAUCAAUUUUCGUUCUCACCUUCUGUUGGAGCCUCUGGCGGAAUUCUCGUUGUUUGGAAUUCCUCGAUCUUUCAUGGCCAGCUUGUGGAUAUUCAGAGGUUUGGUGUUGUCGUCUCUUUCCAAUUGUUGCAGAAUUCUGAAAAAUGGACCCUAACCUCUGUCUAUGGGCCAUGUGAGGGUCAGCCUAGGGACGAUUUCGUUAGUUGGCUUUAUCACCUACAAAUCCCUCCCGAUGAAAAUUGGCUCUUGUUGGGGGACUUUAAUUUCAUCAGAUCUUUGGAGAACCGAAACCUCCCGAGUGGUGAUACCAACGAUAUCUUCCUAUUCAACGAAAUAAUUGGUCACCUUGGACUUUUGGAGUUGCCCUUGAAGGGCAGUAGCUUUACCUGGUCUAAUAUGCAGCAAAACCCCCUGCUUGAGCAACUUGAUUGGUUCUUUACAACUGCUGAUUGGAUUUCACACUACCCAAACACUGUGGUUACUCCACUAGCCAGAACUUAUUCCGAUCACGUGCCUUGUGUGGUGUCCAUUGACACUACUAUUCCUGCGGCCAAGAUUUUUCGGUUUGAAAAUUUCUGGUUGGAUAUGCCGGGGUUCAUGGAUUGUGUCUCCAAGUCCUGGAAUGCACCUGUCUUCUCUGAUCUUUCUACUUCUGCGGUUAUCACAAGGAAAUUUAAGCGACUGCGGUAUGAUUUGAAAAUUUGGAGCAAAAAGCUAUCGUACAUCAAGAAGCUUACUGUUGAUUGCUCAAAGGUGAUCCUGCACUUUGAUCAGUUGGAGGAAGUACGACCUUUAACACGGCCGGAAUUCAACUUUCGGAAACUUGUGAAGUUUCACUAUGAACAUCUGUUAAGACUUCACUAUAUAUAUUGGAAACAGAGGUGCACUAUUAGGUACAUCAAGGUUGGCGAGGAGAAUUCAAAAUUUUUUCAUGCCAUGGCCUCUGAGCGUAUGAGGAGAAACUCCAUCUCCAGUGUGAAAACCAGUUCCAUGCUUGAUCCAGUGACUGAUCACGCUUAGAUGGCGGGAAUCCUUUGGGCCUCAUUCAAAUCUAGGAUGGGCCAGGCCCAAGGGAUCACUAUGGGCUUUGAUUUGAAUCAUUUAAUCCAACCCAUCCCGGGACUGGAGGAGCUGUCCUUGCCAUUUUUUGAGGAGGAAAUUAACAAAGUUUUGAAGGAUUUGCCGGUGGAUCGGGCACCUGGUCCAGAUGGCUUUAAUGGGAUGUUCGUCAAGCGCUGUUGGCCUAUAAUUCAGGAGGACUUCUUGAGGAUGAUUCGGGAUUUUUAUGAGGGGAAGCUUUCGUUGGAAAAUAUCAAUUCCUCCCUCAUUACGCUCAUACCCAAGAUCAUUUCACCCGAAGGGCCCGAUGAUUUUCGGCCAAUCUACCUCACCAACACUUGUCUUAAAUUCCUAACAAAAUUGUUGGCCAAUAGAUUGCAGAGGGUGAUCCUUAAGUGCAUCCACAAAAAUCAGUAUGGGUUCCUUAAGGGUACGUCGAUUCAGGAUUGUCUGGCCUGGAGUUUUGAGUAUAUUCAUCAAUGUAAACAAUCCAAGCAUCCAAUUAUAAUCCUUAAGUUGGACUUUGCUAAGGCCUUUGACACGGUUGAGCAUGAGGUUAUUCUUCAGAUGUUGCAGCAUAAAGGGUUUGAUGCCAAAUGGAUUCUUUGGAUUAAAUAGCUGUUGUCUACAGGUUCUUCUUCUGUUCUGUUAAAUGGCAUUCCUGGAAAGCAAUUCUUGUGUAAGUGUGGCGUCAGGCAGGGUGAUCCACUCUCACCUCUGCUGUUCGUCAUUGCAGCAGAUCUGUUGCAAUCUGUGGUCAAUCAAAUGCUGGUGUCUGGCACACUCUCUUUGCCUCUUCAGACCCAUGACAGGGAUUUUCCCAUCAUUCAAUAUGCGGAUGACACGAUCCUAUUUCUUGCAGCUAAGGAUGAUGAGCUUGUUGCCCUCAAGAAUAUGCUGCUUACAUUUCAACAAUCCACUGGUUUAAAGGUCAACUUUGCUAAAUCCUCAAUGAUCCCACUGAAUAUGCCUAAUGAGGAGGCUGACAGACUUGCUGCUAUUCUUGGUUGUAAAAUUGGCCAGGUUCCAUUUACUUAUCUUGGAUUGCCUUUGGGAACUACAAGGCCAAGGAUCAUUGACCUCAUGCCCUUAGUUGACAGUCUUGAAAGGAGGUUAACUGCAAGCUCUUCUAUGCUGAAUCAAGGCUCUCGUCUGCAGCUUCUCACCUCUGUCCUGAUCUCUCUGCCAAUAUACUUUCUGUGUAGCCUCAGUAUCCCAGCCGGGAUCAUUAAGCAACUAGACAGAAUUUUCAGGCAAUGCCUUUGGAGGGGUAACAGUGAUGUUCCAAAACAGUCGAUGGCUGCUUGGGAACUAGUUUGCAGGCCAAGAGAUAAGGGUGGUUUGGGUAUUAUUAAUCUGAACAUCCAGAACAAAGGCCUGCUUCUCAAGCAUCUUCACAAAUUCUAUAACAAGGUUGAUGUUCCUUGGGUGACCCUGAUAUGGAAUAGCUACUAUGAUCAUGGGGUCCCACAGGCAACAGCUAAUGCUGGAUCUUUCUGGUGGAGAGAUGUUCUGAAGCUGCAUGAGGCUUAUACUGCUAUUGCCUCAGUACAUAUCAACAUGGGUGAUUCUGCUCUGUUCUGGACUAAUUCUUGGCACAUUGGGGGCUCUGCUAGACCCCUAUGUUGGAGAUUGCCAAGGUUGUUUUCUUUUGUCCAUAAUGACAGGAUCUCUGUGCGGGAAUUUCUUCAAACCCAGGAUCUUUUCUCUAUGUUUUAUUUGCCCCUUUCUCAUGAGGCUGCUGCUGAGUUGCAAAUUCUGGAAAGUUGGAUCACGCAGUUAGACAGAGACCCCACCUUACCUGAUGUUUGGAUAUGGCCUGGUCAAUCAGGAGGGUACACUGUGAAAAGUUUUUACAUGAUCAUGCACUCACACUUACCUACAAUACAACCUUGCAAAUAUCUUUGGCAGAGUAAGUGCACCAUGAAGAUCAAGGUGUUCGGCUGGCUUUUAUUCUUUGACCGACUUAACACCAAGGAUAUGCUGGUUAGGAGACACUGGCGCUCAAACCAGGAUGACAAUCUUUGCCUCACCUGCAGUGAGCUAGCGUAUGAGGAUAGAAUACAUCUGUUUUUUAGCUGCACCUUCAGCCGUAGAGUCUGGAACUAUUUGGGUAUUGAUUGGUCUGGAGGCUCAGAUAUUCUGCAAUGUAUCCUGCACGCCAGGUCCAGCUUCAAACACCCUUUCUUCGUUGAAGUUUUGCUAACAGCAGCAUGGAAUAUUUGGAUUUUGCGAAAUGGCAGAAUCUUCAGAGCUGAGAGAGCUACUUUUAGUGCUUGGAAGUGUAAAUUCAUCCAUGAUAUUUCUUUGCUUGCUCACAGGGUGAAGGACUGUAACAAGCCAAAGCUUUUGGCUUGGAUUGCUUCUUUGUUGUAAAGCAAGUACAAUUAGUUAGCAAAUAGGUAGACUCUUUUCCCUUUUGUUUUCCUUCCUUGUAUAGUUUGUUUUUUUUUGUACAGUGGUGCUUUAUCUAAUAAAGGGCUGUGGGGCUUUGCCUCACAGUAUAUAUUCAAAAAAAAUAUGAGAUUGUCUAUUGACUAGCCUGGCCUCGGUUUAUAUAUGCACCGUAGGCCUAGGGUUUAGAGGAGUCCUUGUCUUGGGCACCAAGUCUUGUAGAAUCCUCCUUGUAUGCGGCAUGGGCUGUCCGAACUGGCCCAAUAGUGAACCGCCAUGGGGGUCCUCGACCAGAUCCAGCUGGUCGGGGACGACGUGGUGAGUACCCCCCUAGUCCAGGACACCGUCAGUAGCCCCCUGGACCGGUCUUCAAGUUGGGGACGCUCCUCGAUUCUUCUGAACUGUUCUUCAUCUUCGGUCGUCGGUCUUGAAAACUGGUUCAACAAAUCUUCUCAUCUUCGAUCUUGAGGAUCGCCGAAAUGCAUCCGAAGAGUUUACACGUCAGGUAUCCGAGGAGUCCCUUUAAGUUUCCGGCCUUUAUCAAUGCCCUGUUAUUUUGACGCCACACCACGGGUUUGAAGUUGUUCCCGGGCGGCAGUGUCCUCUUGCAUCCGAGCUCCAACGCUGGACUGCAUUCGAGGUAUCUUUUGCAGCCGAGCACCAACGCCGGACCGCUUCCGAGCUCCAACGCCGGAAUGUAUCCGAGCUCCAACGCCAGACUGUAUCCGAAGAGUAUUGUUAUAGUCGAGCUCCAACGCCAAACUAUGUCCAAGCUCCAACACCGGACUAUGUCCGAGGUGUCAUAGAUCACCUUGGUUCAAAAAAGUGUUAGCCGAGCUUAAUGCCGGAAAUGCCCUCUAAGGAGCCAGCCACUUGCAUCCGAGCUAUAUGCCGAACUGCUUCCGAGGUGGCUCAGCACCUCGGUCAUGGGCUGAUUGUUUGCAGAUUUUAUUUCCGAUGCGUAUAAAUUUAUUUGCCGACGAGAUGUAUUGCCAGUAGCCCUCAAGGUGUCUAUCGGCCUAAAAUCUGAGAUGCACCUAAAGGAAAACAUAAAACUGCUGAUCUUGGUAGCCCCUGAGACCCAGGUCAUGAAAUCGGCCUGAGGAUCAACUCCUAGCUCGGCAGCAUACAUAGGAAUAGAAACACAGUGUAUUAUAUUAGAGGUAAUAGUGAUUGACGGACGGGCCCCUGAGAGAGGGUCGUGAGAAGUCGUCGUGAUAUAUCAGCUUGAUGCCGGAUAAGUCCCGUAUGGUACUUAUUGUCGUCCGAAGAUGCGCUUGUCCAUAGUUCGGUUAUGCCGAACACUGAGCACUUUGAAUUUUCUGCAUUGAAUAGGCAAUGCAGUAGCCCCCGAGACACUGGUCGGGUGGCAACACCAGAUUAGGGGAUCGAUGUGCCCCUUUAAUAUUUGUAAAUAAUGAGCGCAAAGCCCAGUAGCCCCCGAGCCUUAAUGUGGGCACGGGUGGCCGAAUUAAGGAUCAAUAUCCGUUUGACAGAAAAUUUUGUUGUGUUUAACACAAACUUUUCAGAAAGAGAAUAAAGAUCUCUUAAAAGAGUUUAGAGCUAGUCGAAAUCCGAGCUCGCCAAGGUAGGCCCCAAGGGGUUUAAAAGAUGGAUUGCAGUAAAUGGAUUUUACUCGCAAUUUUUAUGUGUAAUGAUUCUAUGUAUCCAAGUACUUUUCAUCAUUAAUGCUCAAAUCCGCAUUGUACAAAACUUUGUUGACCGACCAUCGGCUUCAACCUCCUCGACCAGUAGCUGGGGAGUAUUUGUCCUACUUUAUAAAGCCGUUAUAAGGGCAAAGUUUUACGGCAAACAAGGCAAUCCGGUCAUACGAUUUAUAAACAAAGGUACACGGAGAGAUAUGUUAUAUUACGUUUCAACGUAAGAAACAUCUUCCAAAGAAAAUAGUCCUGCUAUCAGUUCCUUUCUUUGGGUCAUCAUGCUUAUCAUGAUCAUGAAAACUCACCUCCGAUCAAUGUGGGGGGGGGGGAAUAUUGAGGAUUUAGUUCGGCGAAAGUUCCCAAACUCUAUGGUAUUAAUGAACCAAAAAAUUUACUUCCGCCGUUGCCGACCGAUAUGAUCCUUUAAGAUUGCUAGCUUUUGGCUUCACCCAGUCUGAGGUACUAACUCGGCUGACCCGGUAGUAACAAUCACAGAGGUGCUCCCUUUACCACCUAGCCGAACAAUCGAGAAUGUAGGGGUAAGCACAGGAGCCAGGCAACCCUGCUUGGCCAAAAUCUUAAGUCAAAUUGAUGCAUAUGUAUGGCUUUAUAACGAUGAUUACGGAAGACAGCCUUUGUAUAUUAAAUACAAACGCCGAUGAUAUGUUUAUUUUGACUCCGUUGCGACCGUUUAUCAGUUGAAAGUGGCCCAUUGUCGGCUUCCGCCCCACUGUAGAUGCUACGCAGGGUGUUUUCGCAAUAACAAAACAACCCUUAGCCGAUGUCUCGGUGCCCGAAGGCGGUUGUGUUAGCGGAAACGAGGCAAUCAGAUAUGCGGGCUUUAUAACUUUCACUUAGUCAUAGGAGCUUUAAACUGGGGAAGCUAUCUACGAGCCCCCGGUUAGUGUUCGGUGACAGCCGAGGUCAAGCCGUAAACACUUCGGCCAAUGAUAUGAAUGGCCCGUCAUUUAACAUAGUCAUCGGAUCGCUGACCAGUUUACGCUUAUUGUGACAGUCAGUUUUCGGCUUUCUCCACUGAGGUGCUUAACCAUGCGAGAUGGAAGUACAAUCGUAGUGGUUCUCCCUUUGCACACCUAGCCGAACAAAGCGGAACAUAGGAGGCAAGCACAGGAGCCGGGCAACCCAACUAUUGACCGAAGACACAAUUCGAAACCGAUGCAUAUAUAGAAAUAUCUGAGAAUGUUUUCGCCGAAUCUCUAAAGGUGUCCGGUGUUGCACUGCGAGACUUAUGAGGGAAACACACAAAUAGUUUAAAAGUGCCAUAGGCUUGGAAAACCCAACAAUUUAGUAAAAACUUGACGUCCGAAUUAGAUCAAGUGUUCGGUGCCAAUCCGAAAAUUGGUCAAAAAAGGGUGCUUCUGUCGUGCAUUAAUAUGACACAUCCGAUCUCAAGACCUCAAGCGGGUCAGCCCAUGGCUGUAACCUCCUAUCCCGUAGGCGGAGUACUGCUCGUUAGGCCAGUUUAGCGAACUAAACUCGAACGUCUUUGAGAGAGAGACUAGGCUCCCCGGCUAUUGACCACACACUCGCGUCGAAAAAAGGAGUGAUAGAAAAAGAUUUUGCAAUGACCAAGAAGAAAACAUUUAUUAUAAAAUGGCUCAUACUAAUUUAAGAGCCCCCGAGUGACUUGGGCAAAAGAAUUUUAUGUAUAAUGAUUGUAUGUACGGAAGUACUUAUAUCAUAUCUGUGUUCACCCGAACUUUAAACGCGUCUUAACCGACCGUCGGCUUCUCCCUCUUCGGUAAAGGACCGAAAAGUGUUAUGUACUCCACCUGUCGAGAAUAUCGACGAUGUUUCCGAUAACCAGGCAAUCAGGCCAUAAGGCUGUAACAGACAAAGCGCGCUCAGGGAACUUAUGCUAUAUUACUGACGAAGUGUAAGAAGCAUCUUCGAAGAAAAUAGUACCUCCACCGAUACCUUUCUUCGGUUGCUCAUUGUUACUAUGAGACUUGUGCAAUAGAUUCUUUGUACUCAUGAGUUCCGUUGUGUGCCGAUCAUAAUUGAAAACAAUAAGAGCGCUAGCUUUCGGCUUCACCCAGUCUGAGGUCCGAGCUCGGAUGACCCGGUCGUGACAAUCGCAGAGGUGCUCCCUUUACUCCCUAGCCGAACAAUCGGGAAUGUAGGGGUAAACACAGGAGCAAGGCAACCCAGCUUGCGGAACACUUAAGUCAACAUGGUGCAUAUUGUGGCGCAAUACACGAACAAGGAACGAAGCCAUACAAGUAUAAUCAUAUGCAAGAGGAAAGGCUUCAUAAAGGAAGCCCCCAAGUAAACGGGGUAUUUGAAUUUGUGUGUCACAAACAAAGUUUUGACGAGGAAUUUUUUCACAAACAACCUUUUGCCAACAAAGUAUAAUGCUUGGUCACAAGUUAAAAAUUUAAGACUUCGAGCAUGAAAACGACUUAGCUGGUUGAUGUGUUCGGCAUUGAUGAUGCGGUCCGAGCAUACGGUGGGACAAGGUCCCAGCCCCCAAGCCGGUCCCGAGGUGGCAGAGCGAAGAGCUCGGCACUCUGAAGUGGCGACAUAGCACGACCAAUGCAGGCCCGCAGUGUGACGCCGAAGUCCCCGGCGUGGGUUAAUGAAGUGAUGACGAAGCUCUCGGCCCAGCCGAGGUGACGUGGUACGUCGGUACGCAGAGGUAACAGCGCUGCCCAAUCCGGAUCCUUUAUCUGUGCACAGAAAAUAGUGCAAGCAGAGAUAAUAGGAAUAAUAAUAAAUUUAAAAAAAUGUUGCAUAAUUAAUAAUUUACGCAAAGUGAGUAAUAAAAGACAUAUGGCCUGUGUGCCGAACACUCGAUGAGGUAGAGCUCUCUCAACGAUGCCAAAGUCCCCGAGGCAACCGAACACGUCGGUAUGGCAACACGACCAACAAGGUGAUCACGUGAGCCGAUUUACGCUGAUUGGGACGACGGCGUCGGCUUGUCGAAGAGAUCACGUGACGUAGUCGAAGUCCAUUACCGAACCACCAUGUGACCAUCGUUAAAUGCGGCCACCAUUUGAUAGACCUGCGUACAUAUGAUGGAACAAACCAGAGUAAUAAUUCCUUGGGAAAAAUAAACCCAAACAAGCAAAAAUUAUUAGGAUAAAUAGCACCUGGUUUAUUUGUUGUAGCAAUCCGAAGAAAGGUGACUCCCAAAAUUGGGACUUGAUCCGCACACCCAUUACCUGAUGGGCGAUAAAGCGACGGCAUGGCGAUGCUGGCAAAGGUUGGCUUGCCGAGACAAAGCCCUCGGUCCUGCUAACGUGACGAAGCUGGUCGGCUGGUGACGCCGAAGUCACCGGAGUAUGUUGAUGAAGAAAUAGCCAAGUCCCCGGUCCAGCCGAGGUGACGGAGCAGGUCGGUGAGGAGAAGUUGCAGCUACAAUGUUAGCCGAGGUGUUGAAGCAAGUCGGCGUGAUGGACAUCGGCUUGAAGAAGCAACAGUGCGGCCAUGCUGACGCAGGUCGUGACUUGUGACGCGGUCAAUGCCGGCUUGAUGAAGUGACCAUGCGGCGAUGCCGGUGUGCCUGCUUCGUGUAAUCCGUGGGGCAGCGAUGUUGGUGAUGAUUUAUCCUUCGCGAUGCCGAACUCUUGUUCGGCUUGCCGAGAUGAUGAUCGAAGAAGUUGAGCUUGGCUCAACAAAGCGGCGACGUGUCUAGCGCAGGUCGGCGGCCGUGGAGCAAUAUUGCCGGACUGGUUUGACACCAGCGUGAUGGUGAAGAUUACCUCAGAGGAGGCUUAAAAUUUUAUGGCUACAUGUUUAAAAACAACGCCCAACACCCUAGAAAAAAUUCCUUCAAAAGGGUUGUCCAAUAUUCCGUUCAUGAAGAAACAUGAACUCGGGCCGGAUUCGUAUUCGCACAGAAAACAGAUCCAAAAAUUGGUCCACUCAUCGGAAGGUUCCCGGAGUUUGAACCGUCGGAUCGAGCUGAAAUUUGGAGGGGUGGUAGAUAUGGGAAUUCCACAGCAGAUGAACGGUUGGAGCUUCCAAAGGACCUCCGAGCUGGGAUCUGGAGACCACGCCCUAAACUCGUCCAGAUUCUCGUCCAGAUUUGACAGGGCUUCGGUAUAUCGUAGAUUGCCAGAGAUUCCUCCAUCGGAACUCGACAAAAUUUGGCAUGGGUGUUGUACACUUAAUUCCGCACAAUUCCACUGAAGGAAUCAUCAAAGCGAUGCUUGAGGAGGUGGUGGCAGCGGAUACAAGUUUUUUGUUCGAAAAAAACAGCACGGUCGCCCGAGGGCAAUGUUGACGUUGAGCCCCCGAGCUCCAUGGAUGAUUCUUCCAUGAUCAUGCUAGAGAUCGGAGUUGAUGUUGACGAAGGCCCUCGUCCGAACAUGAUGAUCGGAGGUAGGGCACAGUCCUUGGUUAAGCCAAGGUGGCCAGUCGAGCUGACGACAAAAGAUGCCGACAUCGACCAUAAAGCUCGGCUCCGAUGCGUAGGUCGCGCCGGAGACGAUCCGAAUUCCCAUCGCCCCGUGGCGACCCCCAGCAGGCUCUCAAUGAAAGCACCAAUGUCGGUUCAAUAUCCGGCAUAUCUCGUAGUAGGUGUCCUAAGCUAGGCGUCUGGGAGCGAUGGUAACAUGGACACGGGGUUUUACCCAGCUUCGGGCUCUCUUGAUGAGAUAAUACCCUACAUGUUGCUUUUGAUUGUAUUCAAAUGGGUGUAGUACAGAGUAUAUGUAUCUACCACGAGAUUGUAGUAAUGAAUAUGAGAUUGUCUAUUGACUAGCCUGGCCUAGGUUUAUAUAUGCAUCGUAGGCCUAGGGUUUAGAGGAGUCCUUGUCUUGGGCGCCAAGUCUUGUAGAAUCCUCCUUGUAUGCGGCAUGGGCUGUCCGAACUGGCCCAAUAGUGAACCGCCAUGGGGGUCCUCGACCCGAUCCAGCUGGUCGGGAGACGACGUGGUGAGUAGCCCCUAGUCCAGGACACUGUCAGGAAACCACGUGGACGGGGUUCUCACAGGGCCCCACCGGGCCAUCUGGGCGCAGCCCCCACUCAUCAAAGGAAGGCAUGUGCUCCACGAAUUUCUCCUUGUUCGAGCAGCAGUACAGCAAGCAACUCUUCCCAGGCAUGUCAUCCGGCAACUGAAUGCCCGCCAAGACCCCAAGCACCGUCUGACGCAUCUCAAGAGGGAGCCCGGACUCCUGAAGCCUCAUAUGGUCUUUGCUGUUGAGCAAGGCCCACAUCGAUCGAGAAUGGCGCUGAAGCGGAGCGAUUCGGCGCCUGACGAACUCCUUCACCACCAUAGGCGCAGUCACACCAAGGUCUUUCAGCUUCUUCAGCCUGAGCCAAACGGGGACAAGGCAAGGACUCACGAGCUUCGCAUGGCCCCAGCCGGAGUUGGGGACAGCAGGAGACGACGGAGACGAGAGCAGAGGGUUGAGCACCCCGACGUCAACAAAUACCCACCAUGUCUGGAAUCCGCUCAUGGAUGGAGGAAGCUUGAAGUCGAUCCCCGCGCCCGCCGUCGUAGCCACAGCAUGGAAGCUCAGGCAUCCCGAGCUCUGCGACGAGAAGAAGUGGCGGAGAAGGGCCACGGAAGGGGCAAUGCCCACCAUGGCCUCACACACAAAGGUGAAGACAGCAAGAAGGGUCACGGAUUGGGGAUCAAGAUGCAGCAUGUGGAUCUGGUAAUGUUCAAGCACCGCGUUGAAGAAAGCGGAGAAAGGGGGAACUAGGCCAGCCCACAGAGCGUCGAUGAAGAUUGGGACCUCGGUGGCAGCCCGGUCAAUGCGAGCGUGGGACGCAGGCCAAGCCACCAUCUUCCCCCACUCAUUGAAGCUGGAUGCGAGCAUGGGACGCACCUUGCCCAUGGCCUCGUCGUUGAGUACCAACGAUCUUCCAACCGCGGGCUCAACGGCCGGAGGCGCACUGGUCGAAGACAGAGGUUUCUUCCCCUUAUCCGCUUGUGUCGGCGCCAUGGCAAUGGAGUGAGCAAGGCCCAAGUCAUAUCGGAAAGAGGAGCAGAGUUCAGGGGAAGCAGAGGAAUUGGGGAAGUAUGGCGCAGGCGAUGGAGGAAUAACUGUGUAGGCUAUGGUGACUGCCUAGCCAGGCGGAUUCCAGGGCUGCGUUGGGAAGCGGAGACGCCCACGUCCAAUCAACCGCCACGCGUCGACCAAGGCCAUAGGCUAUUGGGGCCCGCGGCGCUCCGCACUUGACCUUUGGCUUCGCCUCGAAGCCAAGCCCGAGUGCGCCUUGGGCCUGAGGGCUACUAUCGGCGUUCUGGGAAUGGGGGUCCCUAGACUUGCCUGCCUGCGGCCCACGGCGUGGCUCUGCGAGCGGGCCCGCACGGCCCAUCUUCACCAACAAGCACUCAAGACCCUCGCGAGGGGCUAAGCCUCGCGAGGCGGACGACACAAGACCUCCUUAGGAGCGGCCUCACCAGGUUGGCUCACCAGGGGUGGAGAGAUCAAGGCAAGGCAUACCUCGCGAGGUUCUCGUGACGUGAGCCAUGACGACCCGAUCAGGCGGGCUCCAGCGCGCACAGUGUCCUUGUUUCCCCUUUGGUGCUAAGGAGGCAAGCGCAGGCGCGGAGUACCGAGGCGUCAAGCAAAGGUUUCCAUAUUAGUGCAACGAGACCAAGACCAGCGGGACGGCAAGACGGAGGUCACCAUGGAGCCCAAGGCAGCGUCACCACCAAAGCCUUUUGCAGGCGAAGACUACUUUUGUCAGGAUAAGCUGUACUAGUUGUCCCCUUCCAAAUUGGUCGUUGUUGGCGCCCUUCCCGCUCAAUAUUUGGGAAGAGGACCAGGGCCUCUAUAAAUAGGACUAGCCACCACCAUAGAGGGGGGCGGAUCAUUGAGACCACCCUUGCACCCAUCAGCUCUCCGAGCACAAGAACACCUUGCGUCAGGAGGCUGUUCUUCCCUUGUAUUGUUCAUCCAUAGCCCAAGAGGCAAUCCACCACCACACACUGGAGUAGGGUAUUACACCACAAUGGUGGCCCGAACCAGUAUAAAUCCUGUGUCCCUUGUGUUGCGAGUUCGUUGAGUUAGCCCUUGAGAUCAUAGCCAAACUAGGACGUGGAUCGGUAGGGAGGAGAUCUUCGCGCGCACCCCAGUGUUCGAACCUUGAGGGCUUUGCCGGAACCCGUGAUCCGAUAGCGAGUGCUAUAUCAUCCAUAAUUUCUUGAUAUAAGGUAAAAGGAAUAGCACUCACGCUAGCACCCAAGUCACAUAAACCAUCAUAACAAUAAUCUCCUAUUUUGACUGAGACAACAGGCAUGCCAACAACAGGUCUAUGUUUAUCUUUUUCAUCGGGUUUGGCAAUUCUAGCAGCUUCAUCACAAAAGUAAAUAACAUGCCCAUCGAUAUUUUCUACCAAGAGAUCUUUAACCAUAGCAACACUAGGUUGUACUUUGAUUUGUUCCGAAGGUCUAGGUGCUUUGAUAUUACUUUUGCGGACCACAGUUGAAACCUUAGCAUGUUCCUUUAUCCUAAUAGGGAAAGGUGGUUUUUCAAUAUAAGUAGUAGGAACAACUGGAUCAACAUUGUAAAUGAUAGUUUUUUCUUUAGCUAUUACCGGUUCUUUAAUUUCUUCUUUAAUAGGUGGAUGAUACUUAAACCACUUCUCCUUAGGGAGAUCAACAUGAGUAGCAAAUGAUUCACAGAAAGAGGCUACUAUCUCAGAGUCAAGUCCAUAUUUUGUGCUAAACUUGUGAAAAGCAUCGGUAUUCAUAAAAGAUUUAACACAGUCAAACUUAAGCUUAAUACCUAACUAUUUACCUUCGCCGAGUUCCCAAUCUUCAGAGUUACAUUUAAUUAUUUCUAAAAGAUCCCACCUGAAUUCAAUAGUCUUCUUCAUAAGAGAACCAGUACAAGAAGUAUCGAGCAUGGAUUGAUCAUCACGAACAAGCCAAGCAUAAAAAUUCCGAAUGAUAAUUUCUCCUGAGAGCUCAUGGUUGGGGCAUGAAUAUAACAUUGACUUAAGCCUCCCCCAAGCUAGAGCGAUACUUUCUCCAUCACGAGGCCAAAAAUUAUAUAUAUAAUUUCGAUCACGAUGAACUAGAUGCAUAGGAUAUUUUUUGCUGAAAUUCCUAUUUCAAUCGAUUCCAAUUCCAAGAUCCAAUAUCGUCGCAUAGCCUAUUGUGACAGCCUGGAUUUUGCCUUCUCUCUUUUGCCGGACUUGCCUUCUCCCUUUUUCCGGACUUGGUUUUCACCGUGGUUUUUGGCCUGAUUUGAUUUGGGUUUUGAAUCAAUUCAAAUGGACUUGUCACUUGGGAAUAUCCUUGGCUCUCACACAAGUGAUCUAUCGACCUUAUUCCUUCCACAAAUCCCCAAAAUAAUCAAAUGAAUAUUUUUCCUAAAAGAAAAAAAUUCUUUUUUCUCUCCUAAACUCACUUCAGAACCUUGUGCUCCAAAGCAACCUCAUUUUUUCUUGCUUAGAAAAAUCUGAGAUAAUUCCUAAAUAUUCUUAGAACCCUGGCACACCUUCCCAUGCAAAAAUAUUGCAUCAUUUUUUUGUAAUAUUUUUGCUGUAGAAAAUCUUUUCACUUCUGUCCCAGAAAUGCACUUUGUACAGCAAGUGCAUUUUUCCUUUAGCUUUUGGCCUUGAGCUUUCUUGAGCUUAAACACCUUCCUAAGAAACCCUAAACCCCAGGAGAUUAGCCCUAAUAGCCUUCUAGAAGGUGGCCAAACUUGGCAACCAAGUUUCUGACCAGAAACUUGCCAGCUUGGUAGAGUCACGUCUGGUCGGCCUGGGUAUGAUCCAUCACCCCUCCUAGACAUAACACUGCACGGUCGAGCGCGUAGACAAGGUUUGGCCGCUCCUGGCCGUCGUUUUGACCAUGCCAGCAUGGUGACCGCGCGAGGACACGGCGUCUGGCAGCGUCUCGACGCGCUCUGGCUGUUGCCUUGCCCUCUAUUUCGCGCGUGCUCAUUCCAGCGCUCACCUCCGACUGCCGCACCGCACCACAACCCUCGACCCAUCAAGCUUGACACCUCCCUGGAGCUCGCCGACGCCGGAGCCACCACGGCAAGCACGGGCGCGUCGCGUCCAAAACAGCACAGUGCGCGCGUGCGCUUGUCUGCUUCCCCAACCGCCUCCUGUGCGCGUCCGCAAGCGUGGGCAAGCCUCUGAGUCGAAGCAGCAUCUUGCCCCCUCGCGUUGGAGCUUCUCGUCGACGUUUGCUGCGUGUCCAGAACGCUCCGGCGGUGACACGUUCCCCCCCUCCGCUGCGGCUAUAUAUAGCGCCCCCGCCUCACUUGCUAGCCACGCACCACUCCACACCACCUCCACGAACACGUAGACGAACAGAAGCCCGGUCGGGCAGGCCUCUGGCCGUCGCCCCGACCCGAGGACUCCGGCGAUCCCCGUAGUCCAGCCGCCGCGCUCCGGUGCCUCUCGAGCUCAAGCAGCUGCUUGGGCGGGGCAUUGGGGUCUGCUGGUGCUGCCUGGACCCCGCCAAGCCCUCGGAGCUGCCUCUAUCCGCUGUCUUCAACCUCUCAGGUGAACCCCGUCCACCACCGAAGCUUGCAAGCUCGACUACGACCUGCUCUGUCCACCUCUCGCCAAGCCACGGGUACGGGCAGGUGCGCCGCGAGCCCCGCUUCCAAUCUAUCCCUCUAGCUUAGCCCGAAACCCCCUCGUCGCCGGCGUGAGCUCCAGCGAAGCGCCGCCCCUCCUCUGAUCUCGAUCCCCCUCUCUCUCUCCUAACGGGCGGGGCCCAGUGUCAGCCUCACCACUCGUGCCCGAAGCGGUACGAGUGGAGGCGCACUCCCUAUUUACUCCUUCGACGUCACCCCCCAGGAUUUUCUGUUUAUUCAAAUUUAAUUCAGAAAUUUGACUACACUUUGACCAGCCACCAUUUCUAAACCGUAAGUCCAAAUGAAUUGAUUCUUUUUGCAUUGUCUUUGUUACAGAAAGCUCUAGCAGCACACCAAAAGGUGGAUUUUUCCUUGUUGUCUAGAAUUUCUGGUGAUUUUCAAAAUGUGUUUUGACAUUUAUUUUUGUGGUUUUAAAUUAUUUUUCAGAAGGAGAAGCUUGUCUUGAAGCAACCCAAGAGGGGAGUGAUCCUCCUCUACACUAAGGCAAGCCACACCAGCAUUUGGAUGGUGUUAUUUCAAUAUCUAUGAUUUUCUACUUGAAUAUGAGUUCUCAUUUGCAUUAAAAAAAUUGGUAAAUAAUUUUGGUAAAUUACUAGUUACUUUAUUCUGUUAGAAAUGCUUGUUUUAGUUACUGGUUGCAUGCAUGAACUUGUUUGGUUAAGUAGAGUAAGACUUUACACUAUGAAUAUUGCUAUGGAAAUUAAUGGUAGUAAUGUUACUAAGUGAUAUUUUCAUUUAAUUAAAGAACUAAUAAAAAUGUUGCUUGUUGAUAAAAAUGAGUUAUAACCAGAGAGUUUUGAUCCUUAGUGUUGCAAGAUAAUUAUGUGGUUAAGUUUGAUCCAUGAACAUGAGUUGUUUGCUUGGCAUGACGAGUAGUUGCAUGAUUUCUGGUAUUCUGCCAUGUUAGUAAUAAAAGUUUUCUUAUGAGUUAAACUUGGUUAAGUUCAACUUGAAUAUGAUGUUGAUCACAUCAUGGUGCCACUGAAUCGGGUUUCUAAUUCAGUGCGACCACAUUUACCUAAUGGGAAGGUCUUGAUUCGGAUCUUUGUUGUGGCUCUCACCGGUGCCUCCCGCGAGGGAAGGUUGUGGGCGUGCAUACCCUGGCCUGGUAGGCAGACAUAACCUUGUGUGCUCGUUUUUGUUUUUAUGGUACCUUUUCCCCGUUUGGGACCGUUUUGCCACGACGGUGGCCGUUGGUGUCUUUGGUAGAGACGGGGCCACCCAAGGCCUAGCCCUGAGAGGGAGAUGGUCGGAGUGGCCGGGGAGAGUGCAUGACAAAGGGAGGGUUUCGUCGGAAUAUUUUGGUCCACCCAAAUGGGAGUGCGAGGCCAAGUAUUCCGUAGUGUGGGUAAAGUGCGCUACCUCUGCAGAGUGUAAUUAAUCUAUCGAUAGCCGCGCCAUCGGUUAUGGGCCAGACUUUUCUAAUUAAUCUUGCAAACUAAGAAAUUGUUGUGACGCAUUGUUUCGUGGUGAACCUUGAACACUCGAGGUGUUCAUGAGUGAUUGGUUUCAGGUGUGACCCCGGUGUGGUCACCGUUUGGUUACGAGGUAACCGUCUGGUAAGCGAGUCCGUGUGACUCGGUGCGCUGUUUGGCUGCAUUGCAUCUAUAGUAUUUCUUGCAUUGAUUUAACCUGAUUAAUUAUCAUGAUAUUGUCUUUCAUCGUGCUUAUGUUUGUUGUGAGCUUGCAAGUACAUUCAAUGUACUGACCUGGCGUGUUAUGCCAGCUUUCAGGCAAGUCAAUCCGCAUCAGAGCACAUCUCGUGUCUAGGCCGUGUCCACAUCGGUGUCCCUGUGCUAUGGAGUUCCGCUACGUCAUUCUUCCGCUGCCGCGUAGUUUCGUGUGAUCGAGGCCCCAGCCAUGUUCAUUAAAUAAUGUACAUACUGUCCAGCAGCACCGUGUGUGCCGCUUGGCCUCGAAUCUUGAUGUAAUAUCAGACCUAUGUACCCCGCUAGUAUCAAUAAAGCGGUUAUUUCUAUACCAUGUUGUUGUGUAUUGCUAGAAGACUCGAUCUCUGGGCUGGCAAUGCAGGGUAAACCGGUUGCUCUGAGCCGGGGUGCCACAAUGCUUGGUAUCAGAGCCGCGCUGAUUGUAGGACACGCUAGACCGGUAGCACGUUAGUAAAACGGUAGAUAGCUUCGUUUGAGUGCCGGUAGACAUAGAAAUUGGUUGUUGCAUUGCAUGCAUAUUUAAUUGUUGUUAUUACUAACCGUAUGGUUUGUGAGUGUAGAUGGCACCAGUACCGAUCUUGUACCAUCCUGAGCCAGCUCCGUGCACAUCGCCGCACCUGCUUCAGAACGUGUGGCGAUGACUCUAUCCAGAGGGUGCUGAUCCAGAGUAUCGGGUGUAUCGCGAGCAUCUGGCCGGUGCAUUGUAUGAGUAUUAUGCUGAGGUCACUCUACACCACAGUUCCCCAUCCGGCGCUUACACUCGUUCGACUAAGGGUGGUCUUGCUUCUACGCCAUCUCAGGCGGUUCAGUUUGCUGCUAUCGAGGCUCUUGUAGACUUGCGCUACAAUGAGGUACGCAUGCACACCCACCCUUGUCUUUUCUACUACCCAUCUCUGCACGAGAAUGGGCGUAUCCGCUUUCCUUUGAUUAAUCCGGUGUGCGAUCCUCCCACUAGCCACCUUGCACGCUACAUCACCGCUAGUUAUCUCCUUAACUACGAGUUAGCUCGGGAGCUCUCACGCGCUCGCGCCGCUCUCGCUGCUGCUCGUAUAAGGAACCCUCUUCCAGCUGUCAUCUACACUUCUGCUCCUCCCACCUCCAUUCCUCCGACGACCUUGCAGGGAACCAUUAACCCUUUGACGGUGAACCCUUGCAGCGCUCCUGCUGCAUGGUCUUCUCUUGUCGCUACUCCUGCUGCUCCUAUGCUUAGAUCCCAUCCACCGCCUGCAACUGAGGGAGAGCCCUCAAGGCAGCACCAGCGCACCUCUCUUCCCCCGGAGGUCUCUACUAUCAGUUCAGGAUCUGGGUCCGGCUCAGGAGACGAGCCUGCAGCAGCACCAUCCGAGCAGUAGACCGUUAGAGUAUCGUUGUAGUCAUGAGCAUGAUGUAUGGCUGUAAUCGCACUUGUCAUGACGCGUAGUUUUAUGUACGAGGGUAGCAGACCCGUUGUGAUGUUUACUUUCAUGUUGGAUCUAUGUAUAAUUAUGUUGGACUCUUUUAUUCGCCUUGGUUUUCAUUCGCUGUUUUCUUCCGGGAUUUGUCAUUGGUUUUUCCCCCAUUUUGGAAUUUUCUCAUCCUGGUUGCUAUGUGUUGGGAAAAUGAACAAUAGGAUGCCGCAUGGAGGCAGCAGCAGUCAAGCUUGUGAGGAUGUCCCCGUCCGUCGCUCCGCAAGACAGGCAGGACAUUCCCCUGAGCCAUACCAGCCACCUCCGCCACAACCGCCUUCCACCGAGCAAAUCAUGCGAAUGUUUGAAGAAAGAAGGAGUAACGAUCUGCUGGAGGUACUGAAAAGUGUACAAGUUAUGGUCAGGCAGAAUGGAAACCAAAAUGGCCAUCACUCCAAGCUGUCAGAUUUUCAGCGAACCAAUCCUCCCAGCUUCAGCCAAGUAAUUGAUCCAUUGGACGCUGAUGACUGGCUAAGGACCAUUGAGAGGAAACUGGAGAUUGCCCGCACUGAAGAAGGAGACAAGGUCCCUUUCACAUCGCAUUAUCUCGAAGGAGUUGCCGCUAUAUGGUGGGAUAAAGCCAAAGCAAUAUGGCCCGCGGACGAGGAAAUUACUUGGACAAAAUUCAGGGAUCAUUUCCGCAAGUAUCAUAUUCCCACCGGAAUCAUGAAGAUCAAGCAGCGCGAAUUUCUCGCUCUCACUCAAGGUAGCGCGACCGUCGACAAAUAUCUGAACAAAUGCAACCAUUUGGCCCGCUAUUCUCUCCACGAUGUGGCCACAGAAGAGCGGAAGAUCGACCGGUUUCUUGGAGGCCUGAAUCAGCAUCUCAGGUGCACUCUCAGCAUGUUUGAUUUCCUAGACUUCCUGACUCUGGUGAAUAAGGCCCUCAUCACCGAGAGGGAACAUAAGCUCCUGCACGACAACAAGCCAGCUGUUAAUGACCACAAGCGCAAAUUCGAGCCAAAGAAGGAUAUGCAACCAGUGCAAAAGGCUCAUACUUGGCAACAGACUCAGGUGGAGUACAAACCCAAUUGGCAGCAGAAUGUCAACAAGACUACUACACAAGUCAAGAAUGUCGUGACCAGCCCGGUGUGCGACGAUUGUCAGUGCAACAAUUCGUGCUUCAGCUGUGGUCAAACCGGACACUACGCCCGACAGUGUCCCAAGAGCACCAAGAACGUCGCUCCAUUCCAGCCGCAAGUCAACUACAUGGAGCCGUAUUCCGCCCCCGAUAUAAUCCAAGGGCAAGUUCAUCACAUCUCCGCAGACGAAGCCCAAGAAGACCCGGAAGUCGUCAUUGGUAUGUUUCUCGUUAACGACAUACCCAUCGUAAUUUUAUUUGACUCUGGGGCUUCCCACUCUUUUAUUUUGCUGGGUUUUGCUUCCCAAAACAAUUUUCCUUGCUCGAUUUUGGGAAAACACAAGCUGGUACAAUCCCCGAGAUCCCUACUAAGAAGCAAUCUCGUCUGCCAAAAUUUGGAGAUCGACAUCAAGGGCGUCAAGUUUCCAACAUCAUUGAUAAUCAUCGAUUCCAACAAAUUGGAUGUCAUUCUGGGCAUGAAUUGGUUGACCCAAUACCAAGUCUGCAUCAGCUGUGCGACCUGAGAAGUUACCCUGAAAAAUAUGGAAGGUCGCACUACCAGUUUUUAUGCCCGCAAGCGCAUCCCCACGAAGGAUAUGGUUUUCGCAACCGUGGCAGAAGAGGUGGAAUUAAUUCCCGUGGUCAGUGAAUAUCCAGAUGUAUUUCCUGAAGAAUUGCCCGGCAUGCCACCAGACCGAGAAUUGGAGUUUGCCAUUGACCUGGUGCCUGGAACCACUCCGAUACAUAAGAAAUAUUAUCAGAUGCCUUCCUCAGAAUUGGUGGAAUUGAAGAAACAACUGGAUGAGAUGCUAAAGAAAGGAUACAUUCGUCCAAGCUCUUCACCAUGGGGAUCACCCACAAUCUUCGUGGACAAAAAGGAUGGCAGUCUACGAAUGUGCGUAGACUACCGACAGCUGAAUGACGUCACCAUCAAAAACAAGUAUCCACUGCCGAGGAUUGAUGAUCUGUUUGAUCAACUCAGUGGGGCCAAAGUAUUCUCAAAGAUUGAUUUGAGGACGGGAUAUCAUCAACUCAAGAUAAAGAAGGAAGAUAUUCCUAAGACCGCGUUCACCACUCGGUACGGUCUUUAUGAAUACACCGUUAUGUCCUUCGGCCUCACCAACGCUCCUGCAUUCUUUAUGCAUAUGAUGAACAAGGUAUUUAUGGAUUUCUUGGACAAAUUUGUGGUGGUGUUCAUUGAUGACAUACUCAUUUACUCCAAGAGCAAGGACGAACAUAAGGAGCAUCUUCGAGAAGUUCUGCAAAGGCUUCGCGAUCAUCAACUGUAUGCCAAAUUCAGCAAAUGUGAGUUUUGGCUCCAGCAAGUGGGAUUCCUCGGACAUAUCCUCUCAACAGAAGGAAUCUUGGUGGACCCAAGCAAGGUAAAGGACGUACUUGAUUGGUCCGCACCCACCACCGUCUCAGAAAUCCGAAGUUUCCUUGGACUAGCUGGAUAUUAUCAUUGUUUUAUCGAAGGAUUUUCCAAGAUUGCCAAGCCAAUGACGGAGCUCCUCAAGAAGGACUAGAAGUUCGUAUGGACUGAGGACUGCGAACGGAGCUUCAAUGAGUUAAAAACUAGGCUGACAUCGACACCUGUAUUAACUCUUCCAGACAUCUACCUCAGUUUCGAUGUUUACUGCGACGCCUCCAGAAGAGGACUGGGGUGUGUACUCAUGCAAAAUGGCAAAGUGGUAGCCUAUGCAUCUCGCCAACUGCGGCAACAUGAAGGAAACUAUCCUACUCAUGAUUUGGAAUUGGCCGCAGUGGUGCACGCUUUGAAAAUCUGGAGACAUUAUCUGAUUGGAAAGAAGUGCCAGAUAUUCACCGACCAUAAGAGUCUCAAGUAUAUAUUCACUCAUCCUAACUUGAACCUUCGACAGCGAAGAUGGCUCGAGUUGGUUAAGGACUAUGACCUCGGAAUAAAUUAUCACGCGGGCAAAGCUAAUGUGGUGGCUGACGCCCUCAGCCGCAAACCAGCCAACCUUAAUGCUCUAAUGGAUUCCUUACCUCCGGAGCUUUAUGAAGAAAUCAUGCAGCUAAACUUGGUGAUCACCGACGCCCGUCUUACCAAUAUAUUGGAAGUUGCCCCCACUCUCGAAGAGGAAAUCCGCAGUGCUCAGGCGGAUGACAAGGUGUUACAAAUAUAUGUUCAGAAGAUGCACCAAGGGCAUGCACUGGAUUUCUCUAUGGAUCAACAGGGUUCGCUAAGAUUCCGCGGGAGACUCUGCGUACCCAACCACGAAAGUCUGAAGAAGAAAAUAUUGGCAGAAGCGCAUGAAGCACCAUACUCAAUUCACCCCGGUGGUACCAAAAUAUAUGAAGACCUUCGUCAGACAUUUUGGUGGGAGGGAAUGAAGAAAGACAUCGCGUAUUUUGUGGCCUGUUGCGACACAUGCAAUAAGGUAAAGGUGGAACAUCAAAAGCCCGCCAGACUCCUUCAGCCUCUGCCGGUAUCCCAAUGGAAAUGGGAUGAUAUUUGCAUGGAUUUCAUCACCGGAUUGCCAAGGUCUCAUUGAGGCAACGACGCGAUAUGGGUAAUAGUGGACACCUUAACCAAGGUGGCACACUUCCUGCCUAUCCGGACUACAUACCAUGCAAAUCAACUCGCACAGUUGUAUGUAUCAAGAAUCGUCAGUCGACAUGGAGUACCCAAGACUAUCACCUCUGACAGGGGAUCUCUUUUCACCUCCGCAUUUUGGUCCCGACUACAUCAAGCCUUGGGGACCGCUCUAAAGUACAUCACGGCUUAUCAUCCUCAGACAGAUGGACAAACUGAGUGAGUAAAUCAAAUACUCGAGGAUAUGCUCCGGGCAUGUACAUUGGCCCAAGGAACCAAGUGGGAAGACUGUCUGCCCUACGCUGAGUUUUCCUACAACAACAGUUUCCAGGCCAGCUUGAAGAUGUCACCCUAUGAAGCCCUGUAUGGCCGGAAAUGCCGCACCCCAUUGAAUUGGUCUCAAACCGGAGACAGCCGUAUUUUUGGGACUGAUUUAAUACUAGAAGCAGAGAAGCAAGUCAAGGUAAUCCGGGACAGACUACAACUGAACAAAUCCCGACAGAAGAGCUACUAUGAUGCCAAACAUCGUCAGAUCAGCUUCGAACCCGGAGAACACGUAUAUCUCCGAGUCACCCCUAUGAAAGGAGUCAAGAGAUUUCAGACCCGAGGAAAAUUGGCACCCAGAUAUAUCGGUUCAUUCCCCAUCAUGGCCAGAGUCGGAACAGUUGCCUACCAGUUGGAAGUGCCACCAGAAUUAUCAGAAGUACACAACGUGUUUCACAUCUCACAGCUAAGAAGAUGCAUCUCGCCACCGGAGAAAAGGACUAAUAUGUCAGAGAUAGAAUUGGCUAAGGAUUUGACUUAUGAGGAAAGCCAAUCAGAAUAUUGGAUCGGACAGAAAGGUUCACUCGCAGCAAAGAGAUACGGUUUUACAAGGUUCAGUGGGAGCAUCACACCGAAGAAGAAGCAACCUGGGAAAGAGAGGAAUUUUUAAGGACUGCAUACCCAGAAUGGUUUUCCAAAGCAAAUGAAUCUCGAGGACGAGAUUCAUCCUAAGUGGGGGAGGUUUGUGAAAGCCUGGAUUUUGCCUUCUCUCUUUUGCCGGACUUGCCUUCUCCCUUUUUCCGGACUUAGUUUUCACCGUGGUUUUUGCCCUGAUUUGAUUUGGGUUUUGAAUCAAUUCAAAUGGACUUGUCACUUGGGCAUAUCCUUGGCUUUCACCCAAGUGAUCUAUCUACCUUAUUCCUUCCACAAAUCCCCAAAAUAAUCAAAUGAAUAUUUUUCCUAAAAGAAAAAUAUUCAUUUUUCUCUCUUAAACUCACUUUAGAACCUUGUGCUCCAAAGCAACCUCAAUUUUUCUUGCUCAGUAAAAUCUGAGAUAAUUCCUAAAUAUUUUUAGAACCGUGGCACACCUUCCCAUGCAAAAAUAUUGCAUCACUUUUUGUAAUAUUUUUGCUGUAGAAAAUCUUUUCACUUCUGGCCCAGAAAUGCACCUUGUACAGCAAGAGCAUUUUUCCUUUAGCUUUUGGCCUUGAGCUUUCUUGAGCUUAAACACCUUCCUAAGAAACCCUAAACCCCAGAAGAUUAGCCCUAAUGGCCUUCUAGAAGGUGGCCAAACUUGUCGACCAAGUUUCUGACCAGAAACUUGCCAGCUUGGUAGAGUCACGUCUGGUCGGCCUGGGUAUGAUCCAUCACCCCUCCUAGACGUAACACUGCACGGUCGAGCGCAUAGACAAGGUUUGGCCGCUCCUGGCCGUCGUUUUGACCAUGCCAGCAUGGUGACCGCACGAGGAAACGGCGUCUGGCAGCGUCUCGACGCGCUCUGGCUGUUGCCUUGCCCUCUGUUUCGCGCGUGCUCGUUCCAGCGCUCACCUCCGACUGCCGCACCGCGCCACAACCCUCGACCCAUCAAGCUUGACCCCUCCCUGGCGCUCGCCGACGCCGGAGCCGCCACAGCAAGCACGGGCGCGUCGCGUCCAAAAUGGCACAGUGCGCGCGUGCGCUUGUCUGCUUCCCCAACCGCCUCCUGUGCGUGUCCGCAAGCGUGGGCAAGCCCCUGAGUCGAAGCAGCAUCUUGCCCCCUCGCGUUGGAGCUUCUCGUCGACGUUUGCUGCGUGUCCAGAACGCUCCGGCGGCGACACGUCCCCCCCCUCCGCUGCGGCUAUAUAUAGCGCCCCCGCCUCACUUGCUAGCCACGCACCACUCCACACCACCUCCACGAACACAUAGACAAGCAGAAGCCCGGUCGGGCAGGCCUCUGGCCGUCGCCCCGACCCGAGGACUCCGGCGAUCCCCGCAGUCCAGCCGCCGUGCUCCGGUGCCUCUCGAGCUCAAGCAGCUGCUUGGGCGGGGCAUUGGGGUCUGCUGGUGCUGCCUGGACCCCGCCAAGCCCUCGGAGCUGCCUCUAUCCGCCGUCUUCAACCUCUCCGGCGAACCUCGUCCACCACCGAAGCUUGCAAGCUCGACUACGACCUGCUCCGUCCACCUCUCGCCAAGCCACGGGUACGGGCAGGUGCGCCGCGAGCCCCGCUUCCAAUCUACCCCUCUAGCUUAGCCCGAAACCCCCUCGUCGCCGGCGUGAGCUCCAGCGAAGCGCCGCCCCUCCUCUGAUCUCGAUCCCCCUCUCUCUCUCCUAAUGGGCGGGGCCCAGUGUCAGCCUCACCACUCGUGCCCGAAGCGGUACGAGUGGAGGCGCACUCCCUCUUUACUCCUUCGACGUCACCCCCCAGGAUUUUCUGUUUAUUCAAAUUUAAUUCAGAAAUUUGACUAAACUUUGACCAGCCACCAUUUCUAAAACCGUAAGUCCAAAUGAAUUGAUUCUUUUUGCAUUGUCUUUGUUACAGAAAGCUCUAGCAGCACACCAAAAGGUGGAUUUUUCCUUGCUGUCUAGAAUUUCUGGUGAUUUUCAAAAUGUGUUUUGACAUUUAUUUUUGUGGUUUUAAAUUAUUUUUCAGAAGGAGAAGCUUGUCUUGAAGCAACCCAAGAGGGGAGUGAUCCUCCUCUACACUAAGGCAAGCCACACCAGCAUUUGGAUGGUGUUAUUUCAAUAUCUAUGAUUUUCUACUUGAAUAUGAGUUCUCAUUUGCAUUAAAAAAAUUGGUAAAUAAUUUUGGUAAAUUACUAGUUACUUUAUUCUGUUAGAAAUGCUUGUUUUAGUUACUGGUUGCAUGCAUGAACUUGUUUGGUUAAGUAGAGUAAGACUUUACACUAUGAAUAUUGCUAUGGAAAUUAAUGGUAGUAAUGUUACUAAGUGAUAUUUUCAUUUAAUUAAAGAACUAAUAAAAAUGUUGCUUGUUGAUAAAAAUGAGUUAUAACCAGAGAGUUUUGAUCCUUAGUGUUGCAAGAUAAUUAUGUGGUUAAGUUUGAUCCAUGAACAUGAGUUGUUUGCUUGGCAUGACGAGUAGUUGCAUGAUUUCUGGUAUUCUGCCAUGUUAGUAAUAAAAGUUUUCUUAAGAGUUAAACUUGAUUAAGUUCAACUUGAAUAUGAUGUUGAUCACAUCAUGGUGCCACUGAAUAAGGUUUCUAAUUCAGUGCGACCACAUUUACCUAAUGGGAAGGUCUUGAUUCGGUCCUUUGUUGUGGCUCUCACCAGUGCCUCCCGCGAGGGAAGGUUGUGGGCGUGCAUACCCUAGCCCGGUAGGCAGAUAUAACCUUGUGUGCUCGUUUUUGUUUUUAUGGUACCUUGUCCCCGUUUGGGACCGUUUUGCCACGACGGUGGCCGUUGGUGUCUUUGGUAGACACGGGGCCACCCAAGACCUAGCCCUGAGAGGGAGAUGGUCGGAGUGGCCGGGGAGAGUGCAUGACAAAGGGAGGGUUUCGUCGAAAUAUUUUGGUCCACCCGAAUGGGAGUACGAGGCCAAGUAUUACGUAGUGUGGGUAAAGUGCGCUACCUCUGCAGAGUGUAAUUAAUCUAUCGAUAGCCGCGCCCUCGGUUAUGGGCAAGACUCGGGAGUAAGUCACACCAUGGAUCAACUUUUCUAAUUAAUCUUGCAAACUAAGAAAUUGUUGUGACGCAUUGUUUCGUGGUGAACCUUGAACACUCGAGGUGUUCAUGAGUGAUUGGUUUCAGGUGUGACCCCGGUGUGGUCACCGUUUGGUUACGAGGUAACCGUCUGGUAAGCGAGUCCGUGUGACUCGGUGCGCUGUUUGGCUGCAUUGCAUCUAUAGUAUUUCUUGCAUUGAUUUAACCCGAUUAAUUAUCAUGAUAUUGUCUGUCAUCGUGCUUAUGUUUGUUGUGAGCUUGCAAGUACAUUCAAUGUACUGACCUAGCGUGUUAUGCCAGCUUUCAGGCAAGUCGAUCCGCAUCGGAGCGCAUCUCGUGUCUAGGCCGUGCCCACAUUGGUGUCCCUGUGCUAUGGAGUUCCGCUACGUCGUUCUUCUGCUGCCGCGUAGUUUCGUGUUAUCGAGGCCCCAGCCAUGUUCAUUAAAUAAUGUACAUACUGUCCAGCAGCACCGUGUGUGCCGCUUGGCCUCGAAUCUCGAUGUAAUAUCAGACCUAUGUACCCCGCUAGUAUCAAUAAAGCGGUUAUUUCUGUACCAUGUUGUUGUGUAUUGCCAGAAGACUCGAUCUCUGGGCUGGCAAUGCAGGGUAAACCGGUUGCUCUGAGCCGGGGUGCCACACCUAUACCAUGCCAAUGCUUUUCCCUUCAAAGAUAAAAGGAAAACCUUCUUCUUAGCUUCAUCUCGUGGUAAACCUGCAAGCUUAAAUAAUCCACAAAUUUCAUCCACAUAUAUCAAGUGCAUAGCAGGAUGUUCAGUUCCAUCUCCUGCAUAAGGAUUAGCUAGCAGUUGUUCAAUCAUACCUGAAGAAAUUCUAUAACCAAUAUGUUCAGUAGGUGCACUAGGUUGAGGGGCAACUGAUUGUGGUUCCGGUCGAGGUGAAGAUACCCCGAACAAACCCCUCAAAGGAUUGUUCUCCAUAGUAACAAGUGACAAUAAAUUUCAGCACGCAGUAAUAAUUUUCCCUUACCAAUUUCCACUUACCAAGAGCGCUUCACUCCCCAGCAGCGGCGUCAGGAAAGAGCCUUGAUGACCCACAAGUAUAGGGGAUCGAUCAUAGUCCUUUCGAUAAGUAAGAGUGUUGAACCCAACGAGGAGCAGAAGGAAAUGACAAGUGAUUUUCAGCAAGGUAAUUUUCUGCAAGCACUGAAAUUGUCGGUAACAAAUCGUUUGAUAGUAAGAUAUUUUGUAACGAGCAAGCAACGGUAACGGUAAAUAAAGUGCAGCAAGGUUGCCCAAUCCUUUUGUGGCAAAGGACUGGCCAAAACGGUUUCUUAUAAUGAGAAAAGCGUUCUUGAGGGUACACGGGAAUUUUAUCCAGUCACUUUCAUCAUGUUGAUUCGAUUCGUGUUCGCUACUUUGAUAAUUUGUUAUGUGGGUGGACCGGUGUUUAGGUCCUGUUCUUACUUGAACAAACCUCCUACUUAUGAUUAACCCCCUCGCAGGCAUCCGCAACUACGAGAAAAGUAUUAAGAUAAAAUCUAACCGUAGCAUUAAACUUCUGGAUCCAAAUCGGUCCCUUACGAAGUAGCGCAUAAACUAGGGUUUAAGCUUCUGUCACUCUAGCAACCCAUCAUCUAAUAACUACUCCACAUUGCAUUCCCUUAGGCCCAAAUAUGGUGAAGUGCCAUGUACUCGACGUUCAUAUGACACCACUAAGGGAAUCACAACAUACAUAUCAUCAAAAUAUCAAACACAUAUCAAGUUCACAUGAUUACUUGCAACAAGCAAAGUAACUACUCACAAAUGAUAAUCAUGCUCAAGAUCAGAGGGGUAUGAAAUAGCAUAAUGGAUCUGAACAUAUAAUCUUCCACCAAAUAAACCAUAUAGUAAUUAACUACAAGAUGUAAUCAACACUACUAGUCACCCACAGGUACCAAUCUAAGGUUCCGGUACAAAGAUUGAACACAAGAGAAGAACUAGGGUUUGAGAGGAGAUGGUGCUGUUGAAGAUGUUGAUGGAGAUUGCCCUCCCAAAGAUGAGAGGGUUGUUGGUGAUGAUGAUGACAAUGAUUUCCCCCUCCGGGAGGGAAGUUUCCCUCGACGGAAUCGCUCCGCCAGAGAGCAAAAGUGCUCCUGCCCAAGUUCUGCCUCCAGACGGUAGCACUCCAUCCCGAAAGUCCUCUCCUUUUUUUUCUAGGUCAAAAUGACUUAUAUACCAGAAGAGGGGCAUCGGAGGUGGGCCGAGGAGGGCGCUCCUGGGCUCCCUGGCGCACCCAGGUGGGUUGUGCCCACCUGGUGGGCCCCCUCUGGUAGUUAUUUGCUCCAAUAUUCUUAAUAUAUUCCAAAACAAUUCUUUGCAAAUUUUCUGCUCAUUUGAAGUUGUGCAGAAUAGGUAACUCUGACGUAGCUUUUUCAGGUCCAGAAUUCCAGCUACCGACAUUCUCCCUCCUUGUAUAAACCUUGCAUAUUAUGAGAGAAAAGGCAUUAGAAUUACUCCAAAAAGCAUUAUUAUGCAUAAAAACAUAGUAAAUAACAGUAGGUAAACAUGAUGCAAAAUGGACGUACCAGGACUACAUGCACUUUCAACUCGUGAGGGCAAUAUCUCGCUUGGUCGUCAGCGUGACAAACAAAAGCGGUUCGGGCAUGAUCUGCUCCAUAUUAAUGUCGUUGAUCCAUCUAUCCUACUAGAAAAGAAGGUGUCAGCCACCGCAAUUCAUGCACCUACUAGCCACCAAGAAUAGAGCCUCUGAUUUCGGAGGAAUCGACAUGGGGAGCUCCGCCUAAGGGCGAUCACCUAUGUUCUUGUUGAGGCACACGCCAACGAAUGUGCGACGCAAAAUUGAAGAAGCUGGAGGUUGUGGACACCGAGCCCUCCGAGGUGCUUAGGGGUGCAAACAUUAUACCAGUUGACAAGGCAAUUUGUGCCGUUCACUUCUUCAUGUCCACACCAAAGAAACCAAGUCGUAGCUCGUCGAUGGACUUUAGGAACCACGACAGGAGCUCGAGGGCACGCAUGUGGUAAACCGUCGUGCCCGUGAAGGCGGAGAGCUUGUGUAUGGCAUCAUGCCAGAUAGCUGAUAGGAAAAACACCAUCUACCAUUACUAUAUAUGUUCGGAUAAUUCAAAGCACACAUCGAUCCGUCAAGGACAAGCAAAUCACACAAGCACGAGCACGACACAAAAAUUUGUUAAGGAGGUUGUCCAACAUAGCUACAUGCCUGGAGCAUGACUACGGGCGCUCCUCCCCGUGUACCAAAUCACAUGAUACAGACGACGAUAAGCCCGCCCAGGCCGUCAGACAGCGCUCUGACCGCCGCGCCACGACCGGUCUGGCCACUCAUGCCAGGGGCGCCCGGAUCAUCCCUCUCGUGUGUCUUAGCCUACAACUUAUGUCUAGUCUAUUUGGCUACCCCGGUGUCUAUAUAUAAUAGGUCCUAUUCGACUCAAAACACCUAACCCACUACUAAUUACAAGUCCACCUGUAGCCUAACUCGCACACAUACUCGACAGAUAUCUCUACCUUGCCACAUAUAUGCUUGCCAUCCUAAAGUCACCAUCCGCGAACCUCCAUGUACCUUGGACUUGAACCAUUAAUCAUGAGCUUCGAUGCUACUCCCUUGACUUCACAUGACUCCACCUGCAACCAUAGCCCCUUAUUUUCUCCAUGUUAGUCAAAGCUCCUAUGAAAAUUAAGUCCGCCUGCACUCUUGUUUUGUGUUCCCAACCUCCCAGAGUAUCCGUCCAACACCGUCACACAUCGAUCAUAAAGUCACCAUAUCUGACAACACCGUUGUAUCAUCACCAUGUUAGCUUCUUUUCCUUAUCUGCCUGAGAGUGAACAACUCGCAUAUUGGAUGCCACAUAAAAGAAUUUCUUAAUUCACCAUUAUCGCUAUUGUUGAAUGCAUGUAUGAACUGGAAAUAAUUUUUUUUGUUGCCUUUAGUCAUCUCAGUCAAAAACACGGUUGCCUCAUCCUUUUUUGGAUAGUCCUUUACAUGCUCCAUAGCUAUAUCACUCCACCUACUUCUGCAUUUGUUAUCCGCACUUUGCGAUGUGCACUAAACACCAGAAAAUACACAUCCAUGUGCUCUCCAAGCUUUUGACAUUUAGGCUUUUUGUCACCUCGCAGAUUCUCCAUGGUCAAUUCUCAUCCAUCUGUCGCUUCAAACUCGAUAGAUCUAGUACCAAAUUGAACCUGGUACUUGUCAACACUGCUUCAACACCAUCUUUAGACUUUGUUUGACCACAUGCUUGACCACCAGUGUAUUGGUAUGUCAUCGCGUCCCGUGCUUACCGCACACCUCGCUGCUAUUAUCGCGUCGAGCAUCUCCUGUCCUGGUCGAGUAUCCUAGAAGAAAAUUUCAAGAUACUGGACAAAAAAGAGAUGGAUAAUGAGCUCAUAUCUUUUAAAUUAGACUUUGCUAAGAUGUGUGUAAGAAGGAGGAGUCACUUUCCCAGUUGGACAGUACAAAAUUGGCUCUUACUGAAUUGAAAGUAGAGCUAGAGAAGAAGAAUUUGGCGGAUCAUGAACGCAUCCACCAACAUACAUCAACAGCUUAGGGAAAUGAAUAUAUUGUUCUCAUAUUGUGCUUGGCAUACUUUGUGCUUAUGAAGGUGAACUAGCUAUAUGGUGUACUGUGCUGUGGUGAUGUAGCUAUCAACACUGUGAUGUUAAAAUGUAUUGUAUGUUUGAUAUGAAAAAGUGGUAAACAUCAGUUCGGUACAAAAUGUGAAUUUUCUUAAUACUAGGACUGUUAAUAGUAAACUAAUAAACCUACUAAAUGGAUCAUGGAACUUUACAAACAUUUCCAGCAGGAAAAGCGUGUGUGAUGGAUAGCCCUGUGUCAUAAAAUUUUCUUCGCCGAUCUCACAUGGCUUAACUAAGGCAAAAGCGUUUGUAACGUAAACACUUAACUAAGGCAAAAGCAUUUGUAAUGGCUCCCCCUAUCACAGACAAGUUUAUACAGAAAGAUGUGUGUGAUGCACUCUGCUAACACAAAUGUUUGUUUCAAACUUAUUGUGUGGGAUGCUAAGCCCAUCUCACAUGGCUUGUCUGGUGCGAUAGCUCUCACGAUCGACCACAAAUUUCAUCCUUUGCUUGGGCAUCCAUCUGAACGAGUUUUUUCUCUCGUGGACUAAGAUAUCCUAGGGUGUCGAUCAUGUAGCCGUGUUGCACAAUAUGGUAGAUAUCAUCAUCGAUAGACCUAAGACGAAUCUACAUCUUAUCCUUCCAGAAGGGAUAUAGUCUGUCCCAUUGAAGAGGGGGAUCUUCAUAUUCGACAUGUAGCUCACCGAAGAGAUAUACUUAAACUCCAAGUUUGUUAGACAUAAAUAAGCAGAAACAAGGAGUAACUUGCUCUGAACCAAUAGUAGGAAUGACGUAUGUCUACCAGAGGGAAUGGGUGAAUGGGAGAUUUAAGAUUUCUUCCAAGAAACUUCAAAACCCUUAGUACACAACAACGGAAUAAACAGAACAAAUACAAGUCAAUGAUAGAAAACUAUCGAAACAAAUCAAGUCUAGGCACCGAACUAAAAUCUCAUGGUCGAAACUUAACCAACGAUAAAUACAACCGAAUAUAGAGCAGGGUUAAGAGGUGACCAGUGGUGCUCGAUGGUGACAGGGAUUUGUUUGACCAGUUCAAUCUUUUGCAAAAGAGCUACGUCUGCUGGAGGGACUUGUGAUUCAACACAGAAGAUAAACUCUCUUCGUCCUAUUCUCCUCGAGAACUAGUUCAUCAACUAGUGUCGAUCACUCAGGGUAGAUGCUUCAGGCGACCUCCAUAACCUUCACAGACUUUCUCAUCGUGAACCACAAUUACUCUUGGCCACUGAAGAACUUGACACCUAACCAUCUAGAGUUGGCAGCUCUCAAGAGUUAUAGGCAGAGCGUACUAGACUUAAAUUCCAGUGGUGCUAAACCACUAUCUAUUUUUUGGUUCUGGGAUUUUUCUCUUAGUGGAUUUUAAACUCAAAUCUUUCGGGAGAUAGGGUGCUCAGACAACUUGUCAGAAACACACAUAACUGCCAACGGAAAAUGUUGGAGCGGGGUGGCUCUUUAUAGCCGCAGCCUUCCCGAGGUGGAAAAACCAUUUUGGACAUGACAUCUAGCCAAUGAGCAACCGACAUGUUUCUGAUGGUCGGAUUUGAAAUGAACCCGACAACUUUACUUGAGGAACAAGCAAGCCGACUCUUUGGUCCGAAUCAAUUCUCUCACGAUGAAGAAGUACCGCAUCUCUGACUGGCGAGUAUUGUUUCGGGACACAAAUAGAUUUCUCUCAACUCACAUUGGUUUCGGUUUAGCAUCUGAGAAACAUAAGUUUCAAACACUAUACCCCUGUUGAUAGUACGGUGGUCCUAUGACUCAAGAAAGAAAAUUGAACUAUGAAAGAAAUUAUUACGUCUCUUCUCCACCUUCAUUCUUCUCGACUCUAGUCAAUUUCUUCGUACCAUUUACCGAAGCAUAUGCUUCACUUCAUAAAUUUUUUGGGGUCAAUUUCUUCAUGCAUAAUCUUCGAUGAUGAUCUUCACUACUAUGCAGGUGAUUGUCUUUGGAGUUUGUACCAAACACCUCUUGACUCCAGGGAUCUGUAAUCUUUGCGUGCACUAGCAAACACAUUAGUACCUCACUAUUUACGAAAAAAAUCUCCAAAACACAAGGAGGCAAACUAUUGCACCAACACAUAUGGAUAUGUCUAAAUAUGAUCAUAAUAAUUGAAAAAUUGUAUAUCAAACUCAUAUAGUUGAUAAUAAUUCAAACAUAAUAAAUCCGAUAAAUCAUGAGUGUAGACUUAAACAAAUGGUUUGAACAUGAAGAUCAAACAUGCGAUAUAUGGUCCAUGAAAAGAAGGACACGAGAAAAGCAAAAAUAUGAAGAUCACUCGUAGAUCGUCACGGGUGACUUCCAUCACGAUAGCCACUCCCAAAACCAAGUCCACUACCACCUCCACCCAUCUUCGAUGCUAAAAUUUGUGACUUCAUGAUGUGCAAGUAUUGCAACACUUCUGGGUCAAGUCUUGCAGUGUUUGUGAACACGAUCUUGUACUCUUACUCCAUCUUUUUUGUUUGCACUUCCUCUUGAAAGGAUCUCAAUUUCUCCUCUUCGAUUGCCACUAUGCGCUCCUCCAUUGCCUUUAGCUCUGCCCACCUCAUGUUCUUCUCCAAUUUUUUUGCUUCCCCUUACUUUUUUUUGCUAUGAUCUCUUCCACAUAACUCCUGAACAGACCUGCACCACCUCCAUUCUUUAGUUUAUAUUUCUCUCCUUCCUUCCGGGUGGCUUUUUGUCAAGGAUGACACGAGAAGUAGUUGUAUUUGACUGUUCUUGAACAUCAUCACCAUCACCAUCGCUAUCUUGUGAAUUCAUUUUAGCCUUUUUUGGGAUGAAGCGGCUCAUUAUCCAUGUUCUUCUACUUAUCAUUGUUCUUGAGAAAAGCUCAACAAUGAUAGAACAGAAAAUACCUUCCUUUUGGAUCCCUCAGCUUGUACAUAUCAUUUAUGUAGUUCAACUGUCAAGUUAGAAACACCAUAUUAGGAAUUUGUUAGUACACAUUCGAAGAACACUAUGGGCAACAAAUACUCACCAACAUGCCCUCUAUAAUUCCACUUGGUUUGACAUGAUCAACAUUGUUAACACAACAUGCCAACGACUACAAGAUUCCUGAUGAAGGCCCAUUGACCCUUGAGUGAUUUGAUGGAGUGCACAGCAGAAGUAGUGACAUUGCGAUGAUAGUGUUCUGAAAUGCAUUUCCAAUAGGGUUUCAAGUUUUGACCAGUCCCUAUAAUCGGAUCAAGACUGACACUCUCCCAUGCUAGGACCAACGCUUUGUCCUCCUCAUUGUUGAAGUUGCUUUUCUCUUAUUUGCUUUGGAGCCCAAAUCAUCGUCAUCCUCAACCGGAGUGGACAAAGACAUAUCAUCUAUGCCUACAACAUCGUUCAUCAUAUCCACAUACGAUUGUUGACUACAAUAUUACAAUGUUGAACAAAUAAUCAGUACCAAAAAUUCACGUGUAAUAUUAGUUCAUAAUCUAUUUACCUCACAAAAUCAUCAUUGUAGACAUCGUUCAAGUUUGACAUGUGGAACUCGUCAUCGUUGUUCAUGUAAGGCAACGACAUCUCCGUGUACAUGGCCGUAAAGCUUUGCGGAAACGGCAUAGCUUGGUCACGGCGGCGGGUAAGGGAAGAGAGGGAAGAAAGAAGGGAAAACUGGGGACGAUGUGGCGGCGGCCCCGGUCGUGGCUCACCGGUGAUGGAGCGAUGGAGUUGGUGGUGGCAGCGGGUUGGCGGGAGGAGUUCCAGGCGGUGGCACGGACGGUUGAGGGCUCGGUUAGAAAAUGAACAGAGAAGGGUAGGUUUAUAUGCAUGUGUGCGUGGGUUGUUCGGUCAGCGCCGAUUAAGCUUUGACUCGGUCAAAACCAGUCGACCAACCCAAAAAUGAGACCAGGGUUGUCCUUUGAAUUUUAUGGUAAGUUGAGGGUGCAAUACGACCGGCUUCGAAGAUGAGGUUGUAAAUCGAACCGAGUAAUUAGUUUAGGCGGUCCAUGCAGACUUUUCUCGCUCUCUAAUUGUAACGACCCGAAUCUGAUAAGAUUCGAUGUCUCUGUGCUGCACACACAGUACAUGAUGUAAUAUCAAGAAUAAACCACAUGUUAUAAUAUUACAUCAUAGAUCCAGAAUUUAAUAUAAUACAUACAUGCAUAGCUCCGGCUAGCAUACAAUCAAAAUACAGCGGAAAAGCAAAUAAAAUCUGCAUGGAAUCCAUCAACACCAUAGGCAAAUGUCGAGUAUAGACAUCGUAACCCUACAUCAUAUCACUCACUCGUCGUACAAAUCUGCAACAUGAAACAUUGCAGCCACGAAGGGUCAAUACUUUGAAUGUAUUGGCAAGUCACACAAGGAAUGGUAUAACAGACCUACAACUAUAUGCAAGGUAUAUCAAGAGGAUAAUGUAGUGGUUGUUUUGUAGAAAAGCUAAUUUUUCCCUGAUAACUACAUAAUAUAAUAGUCAAAUUUUAAUUAUGUCUUGCUACAGUUAAAUACAUAUGGUUCAAUUGGGCAAUCCAAUACCAGUCUAUCCCAAUUAUUAAGUUUCCCAUGCAAUUUUUAUUAAAGUAUCAUCUGUCAAGAUCAUCCAACAACUGUAAUGGUCUAGCUGCUCAAAUUUGUCCAUAACCAGGGACACGGAUAAUCAUGAUUAGUUUUUACACUCUGCAGAGGUUUGCACACUUUACCCACUAGACCAAAACUGAAGAUUGAAAUGAAGUCUUUCAGAAGUAGUCACCUCCACCCACAGGCAGCCGGUACACCUACUCAUAUCUACAUCUGCUAGCUUUGCCUGCGCGAGGAUCCCACAACCUAAUCAACUAAGCCAGAGCCCAUUUAGCUAGUGGUUGCACAUGGAAGCUACUAGUCACUAAGUCUGUCUGAUCUUUUUGAGCCUGGACGACACCCACUUAGAGGAUCUCCAGCCGUUCGGCCCCCCAGGGCGCCGAAAAAGAGUGGCCUGGGGGCAAGUCGGCGCUAGAAUGGCCCCUGGGGGCGACCUAGCUCCCAGCCACGCCCCCAGGCGCCGCCACCCAAGCCGCGGCAAAUUCAAACGUAGUCUUCCUGCUCACAAAAUAACACCACAAAUCCGGCAAUCACAGCGGCCAAGUUCGGCGAUCAUCACCUCGCCACAGUUCGGCGAUCUAAUGAAAAGUUCGACGUACAAAAAAGAAAGGACGCGCGUGCAACGCAUCACACGGCGAGGUCGGCCUCCGGCGUCGGCGGAGUCGGUGUGCGCGGGCUUGGCGGUGUCGGAGCUUCUUCUGUGCUGGGCGGCGUCGGCGCGGCUUCUGUGCUGCUGGGCGGCGUGGAGGCAUCAUCACUCAGGCUUGGCGGCAUCGUCGGCGUGGGCGUGGGAGUUGGCGGCGCCGUCGACGGCAGCUGGUUCAGGAUGAGGCCGCGCUCUGCCAUGUACCACGCCUUGACCUGCUCGUGAUUGCUCUGGAGCAUGUCCGCCCCGUCAAGCAGGAAAGCCAGGUCGGUGUUCCUCUUCUUCGCGGUGACGCUGGUCUGGAGUAGGUCGAGCUUGACGGCGCUGCUCGUCAUCAACGCCGACCAGCGCGCCUCGGUCUUCUCUUCACGUAGGGCGGCCUGGGCCUGUGCGUCGGCGAGGCAAUGCUUGAUGGACUCCUGCACGCGCGCGUGUUUGCCCUUCUUGGCCCCUUCGUUGCCUUCGGGGCACCCGUCGCCCACGCCCGGCGUCGGCGCCUUCGGCUUGUAGGUCUCCUUGGCCUUGGCGAGGGUGCGCCGGACAUCCACCCACUUCUCGCACUUCUCGAUCCGCUUGAACACGUGGAGGUACUUGAAGUCUUGGUCGCUGCUGUCCUGGCGAUACAUGGCGAAUAUCCGCACCAGCUGCACCGAGGAACAAACAGUUGGUGGGCGCGCACGGCGAAAUGAAGUGGGAAACCGGCGUACCAUACCUGAUCCUUAAUGCUGGCGCCGCUCUCUAGGUGAGCCGCGAUCUCCUCGGCGAUCCCAUGCCAUUUUUUGCACGCGCACUGGAUGAGCCCCCAAUGGUUCGCCAUUGCCUUCAACCCACCCUGCAUGUAGACGCCUUUGAAGUAGGGGUCGACGAGCUUGCGCUCGUCGAACUCGGCCUUGAUGCGCGCCCAAUACGUCUCGAUGCUCUGGUUCGUGCCGGUGAUCGGGUCGAAGCAGACGACUUUCCACGCCUCGGCGAGAUAUUCCUGCUCCUUGGACGCCCACUUGAUGUGCGGCUCGCCUGUCCUGGCCGCCCCCUUUUUCUUCUUGCAUCUCCUCGCCAGAACCGGCGCUGGCUCCUCCUCCUCCUCCCCGUCCUCCUCCUCCUGCUCGUCCAGCUCCUCCUCGCCAUAGUCGAGCUCGCCGUCCAUAUCGCUGUCGAGGUCCACCGUCUCGUCCUGUGUAGCAAACUCGGGGGAUGCGGCGACGGCGGCCGAGCCUGCCGUGAUGAUGUCUUCCAUGUCGGCUUCGGUCGCGUCGGUGUCGCCGAGGUGCGGCAUGGACGCUUGUGAGAAGGGCAACGCGCCACGGCGGAAAGGCGGCGUCGGGGAGGACGCGUAGGCCGGCGGUGAGUAGUUGUAUGACGGUAUGGCGGCCGGCUGAGAGGGGAGGAGGAGGAAUAUUGGCGGGAGGAAUGGAGCGAAUGAGAGGGAAGCCGGGGGGAAAGCGGGAAGAAACGGCGGGAAAAGGCUCUCAACUCGCCGACAGAGCGGCCCCACACCUUUUUGCUUGUGCUGGCGCCCCCAGGUGCCCCCCAGCGCGCCGAGUUCCGCUCGGGUGCGCCGGCUGUUAUUUCUGCCCAACCCGGCGAAAAACGGACUCAUGGGAGCGCGACUGGGGCGAUUUUCACCCGCCGGCGCUAAAAAAAGCCUGGGAGGGGCCUCUUGGGGGCGCGGCUGGAGAUGCUCUUACAUUCAGAGGGUAUAAACUAUGAUGUUCUUGAAACCACCCAACAAUACCGUUCGGGCGCACUUAGCCAUGGUCCAUGCCCAUAGAAAGGAACAAGACACCAUGAUGCAACCCUGUCCGUCCAGAGGUGAAUUAUAUAUUAUGUUUUUACUCAAGUUAUAUUAUAUAUAGUCCUCACAUAAUCUUGAUGCAUACACAAACCAAUCCCCGUCUACGUGUAAGAUUAUUGAAUUCUUCCACAGANNNNNNNNNNNNNNNNNNNNNNNNNNNNNNNNNNNNNNNNNNNNNNNNNNNNNNNNNNNNNNNNNNNNNNNNNNNNNNNNNNNNNNNNNNNNNNNNNNNNNNNNNNNNNNNNNNNNNNNNNNNNNNNNNNNNNNNNNNNNNNNNNNNNNNNNNNNNNNNNNNNNNNNNNNNNNNNNNNNNNNNNNNNNNNNNNNNNNNNNNNNNNNNNNNNNNNNNNNNNNNNNNNNNNNNNNNNNNNNNNNNNNNNNNNNNNNNNNNNNNNNNNNNNNNNNNNNNNNNNNNNNNNNNNNNNNNNNNNNNNNNNNNNNNNNNNNNNNNNNNNNNNNNNNNNNNNNNNNNNNNNNNNNNNNNNNNNNNNNNNNNNNNNNNNNNNNNNNNNNNNNNNNNNNNNNNNNNNNNNNNNNNNNNNNNNNNNNNNNNNNNNNNNNNNNNNNNNNNNNNNNNNNNNNNNNNNNNNNNNNNNNNNNNNNNNNNNNNNNNNNNNNNNNNNNNNNNNNNNNNNNNNNNNNNNNNNNNNNNNNNNNNNNNNNNNNNNNNNNNNNNNNNNNNNNNNNNNNNNNNNNNNNNNNNNNNNNNNNNNCAUAUACUAGUAUCAUGCAUAUGAUACUACUGUAUGAUACUACCUCCCUAAUGCAUAGUAUCAUAUAUUAGUAUCAUGUAGUAUUUUAUUUAUUGUCAUGCAUGACACAUACUAGUAUAACAUUUAUUAUGAUCCAGUAUCAUGCUACGAUACUAAACCUCUCUUUCUUCAUUUAAUUCUAUGACACCUUAUCAAAUUUGCCUAGUUGACAUGCAUGAUACUAGCUAUGAUACUUCAAUUACAACCAGCCUAAUCUCAUGUAAAAAUGGAGGUACCUCUCUGGCUCUCUCUCCGAGGAGUACGAGGGUAGAGUAAUAUAAAAAACAAUUAUUCCACCCGAAACUAGCAUGUACUACAUGUGUGGUGCACAUUAUCCGGCGAAGGAUACGGUGAGAGCGCGCGUGAGUUACUGCAGCUACUAGCCGCUGCUGCUUUGCUACUACGAGCCUAGCUAGAGGCGUGCUGUAUUAAACGCAACAUUUCUGUGAGACAAGGAAAAGGGGGGAAGAAAAAAGAACAGAAAAGGGAAGAAGGGACUGGAGUCGUUCGAUUUGAAGCGGGAAGCGGAGAGGCGUAGGGCGGGAAACCCAGAAGCGAUGGAAGAAGACGACGAGAAAUUUAGCGUGGCGAGUAAUAGCCCACGGACAUUCGGCCUGCCUGCGAACCAUUUUCCUGCUGGGCACACAAAGCUGUGUGUGUGUGUGAGCGCGUCGACGUCUUGCUUCCAGCGACAAGGAUGUUCGCCUUGCCUUAAGAAAGCCUUUGUAAAGUGCUUGCUCAUUAAUUGGUACCCUUGCUAGUUACUUGGUAAAUUUGCUUUGUUCCAUUUUCCCUUCUUUUUCUAAUAUUCUUUAUAUUUCGAAAUAUUCUAUAUAUACUGUAUAUCGUAAAUUAUUUUCCUUAAAUCUUUAACAACCUACAUUACAUAUUAAUUUUUUAAGUAAACAUGGAAAUUAUUCGUAAUUUUUAAAAAUAUGGUCAUGACAUUUUUAAAGAUAAUUCAUGGUAUUUUUUGACUUGUCAACAUAGUUGAACCAUUCAAUACAUUGUUUGUAUCAUUUUAAAAAUGACAUAAUUUUUGUAAAAUAUUCAUAAAAUCUAAAAAAUUGUUUGCGCAAUGUUUGAAAAAUGUAUAUAACAUAAAAAAAAUAAUGCUUGCGUCAUUUAUAAAAAUAUUCAUAAAUACUUACCAAAAUGUCGCACAAUUUACAAAAAACAUUCAUGACAUUAGAAAAAAUGUUGAAAGUAUGUUUAAAUUUUUUAAUUGUGUAUUAGAAAAUGUUCAAUGUGAAUUUCACAAAUGUUCAACAUGUAUUUGGAUAAAUAGCCAUCGUGUAUUGAAAACUAUUCAACGUGUAUCUGGAAAUGUUCAAACUAUAUACAAAACAAUUCAACGUAUAUUUGAAUAAGGAAUAAAAAAUAAUGUGAAAAUAAAAAUGAAAAUAUGUUGAAAACUGAUAAAGAAAAAUACAGGAAAAAAGACCAUGUGGAACCUUCCCGAAAAUGGAAGGAAGUUCCUAAAACCGGUCUGAUCCACAAAAGCUUCCGAAACAGCUCGAGCACAUCUACUAUUGGGCCAGCCCACUCGGGCGAAAUCUAUGUGUCAGGGCUAUUACCAUCUAGCAGUAAGCAGUGCAUUUGCCCAAAAAGAAAAGUAAGCGGUGCAUAAAAUUUGGGAAAACCCUAUGCGCCGCUCAAUGCGNNNNNNNNNNNNNNNNNNNNNNNNNNNNNNNNNNNNNNNNNNNNNNNNNNNNNNNNNNNNNNNNNNNNNNNNNNNNNNNNNNNNNNNNNNNNNNNNNNNNNNNNNNNNNNNNNNNNNNNNNNNNNNNNNNNNNNNNNNNNNNNNNNNNNNNNNNNNNNNNNNNNNNNNNNNNNNNNNNNNNNNNNNNNNNNNNNNNGUGUUGGGCCGGCCCUUUUCACUUUUUUUUUACUAUUUUCGCAAAAAAAUGAUUCAGAGCUGGGACUCGAACCUCCACCGUGCAUGACCAGGGGAUGAUGGGAUAACCACCUGACAACACCAGUUAGUGUGAUUAUGGAUAUGUUUUCCCCUUAUUUCUUCUUUCUUCCCUUUCUAUUAUUUUAUUUUUUAUUUUUUUCUCUGUCAUUUUUUCUCUCUUUUUUGAAAUUCACAAAGUUUUUCUUUCAGAUAGAUGAACUUUUUUCAACUUUAUGAACAUUUUUCAAAUUCCAUGAACAUUCCUUUUAAAUCGAUGAACCUUUUCAAAUUCGAUGAACUUUAUUCAAAAUUGAUCAACUUUUUUUCCUAUUUGAUGAACAUUUUUCGAAUUUGAUGAACUUUUUUUCAAAAUCAAUGAACUUUAUUUCAAAUUCAAUGAACUUUAUUUCACUGUUUUGGAAUCUUUUUUCGAAAUCGAUGAAUUUUUUUCAAAAAUCAUUAUCUUCUGAAAAUUGAUGAACUUUUUUUUCAAAUUCGUGAACUAUUUUCAAAGUUGAUGAACUGUUUUCGAAAUCAGUGAACUUUUUUUAAAAUUGAUGAACCUUUUUCAAAUAUGUGAACUUUUCUCUCAAGAUUUGUGAACUAUUUUUCAAACGGAUGUUCCUUUUUCAAAAUCGAUUAGUGUAAUAUUCACAUGUGUAAUAAAUUGCACGGCUAGAAAUGUAUUUAAUUAGUUCACUCUGCAACUGGUCAGUAGCACGUCGUAGGUUAGCUGGUUAGCAGUUCUCAUUCCUUGUUGUCAAACCGCGAGGUCGAUCCUUGAGGCGAACAAGUUUUUGUUAUUUUUCGCUUAUUGGCGCUACACAUGAAACAACCUGUGUCCAUUGAAUUUUUGCUGGACCGGCCCAGUCGCAUCGCCCUCCGGGCGCCCAUACGAGGCGGUUAGGAGCUCCCCCGUAGUCGGCGCUAACAGCGCCGAUUAGAGAAGCUGGCGCUCGCAGGAGCGCGUAACGGGCCGGCCCAUUUGUUUUUUACUUUCUGUUAGAAACUGCAAAAAGAAAUGCGCGGGUAGCAAAAUUCGAACACAGGACCUCACGAACCACGGGAAUGUAUCUGGUGCACCGGGGCAAUUGGUGCUACUGGUGCACCGGACUCCGUUGCACACUAAAAAAUGUUCGAAAAAAUCCGAAAAAAAAUUAGUGCAUUGACACAACAUCAAUGUAAGUUGUCACAAAAAAUUGAAUCAAAAUUCAAAACAUUGCUCAAGAUACAAAAAUGACAAAUUUGGCAUCAAUGUGCUAAUGGGCCAAAACUGAAGCCCAACCUGUGUUAUGUAUUCAGUGUCAAAUUUAUCAUUUUUAUAUCUCGAGCAAUGUUUCGAAUUUUGGUUUGAUUUUUUAUGACAACAUACAUUGAUGUGGUGCCAAUGUGGUAAAAAAUUUACAGCGGUGCACCAGAUACAUUCCCCACGAACGACUUGCGCCAUGGGACGUCCUAUUCUUAGAAUCUUCGUGAGCUCCCUUUUAUUCUGACUGCAGCUCGCGAAGCCCCAGACCAUUCUGCAAAUCGUUUUUUCUUUUCUUUAACGGUUUUGUUCGCCUUUUUUCUUUUCUUUUUUGCUAAAUACGUGCAAUUUUCAAAAGAAAAUCAAAGAAGCUUUUUUUCAAAAUGCAUGAGCUUUUUAAAAAUUUGAAAAAAAGUCAUUGGUUUUUUGAAAGUUCAUAAAGUUUAAACAAAGUUCAUCGAAUCUAUUAGUUCAUCAGAAAAUUGGAAAAGGUUCAUCGAAUCUGAGAAAAAUUCAUUAUAAUUAGAAAAAGUUCAUCGAAUCAGAAAAAAAGUUCACCGGUUUUGAAAAAAGUUCAUCAAAUUUUAAAAAAUAGUUCAUCAGAUUUGCAAAAAGUUCGUCGAAUUUGAAAAAAAAGUUCAUCAGAUUUGUAAAAAAAGUACACCACAUUCUAAAAAAGUUCAUCGAAUUUGAGGAAAGUUCAUCAAAUUCAGAAAUAGUUCAUCAAAUUUGAAAAAAGUUCACCAAAUUAAAAAAAUCAUCUAAUUUGGAAGAAGUUCAUCGAUUUUUUUAAAAAAAAUUAACGCUUCUGUAAAAAUUUCAUCGAAUAUGAGACAAAGUGCAUCAAUUUAGAAGAAAAGGUUUUAUGAAUNNNNNNNNNNNNNNNNNNNNNNNNNNNNNNNNNNNNNNNNNNNNNNNNNNNNNNNNNNNNNNNNNNNNNNNNNNNNNNNNNNNNNNNNNNNNNNNNNNNNNNNNNNNNNNNNNNNNNNNNNNNNNNNNNNNNNNNNNNNNNNNNNNNNNNNNNNNNNNNNNNNNNNNNNNNNNNNNNNNNNNNNNNNNNNNNNNNNNNNNNNNNNNNNNNNNNNNNNNNNNNNNNNNNNNNNNNNNNNNNNNNNNNNNNNNNNNNNNNNNNNNNNNNNNNNNNNNNNNNNNNNNNNNNNNNNNNNNNNNNNNNNNNNNNNNNNNNNNNNNNNNNNNNNNNNNNCUAUAACGGCCGCCUGCAGCGCCAAAUAGGGUUUGCCGUCAAAUUGUCGACAUAACGGACAGGCGAUACCCCGCAUCGCUAGCAAUGGGCCAGCCCAUUAUACGAGAGCUAAGCAGUCGGUUUUGGAGACCUUCUAGAAGGUUCCUUGAACCGUUUUUUUUCUUUUUUGACCGAUUUUGCAUUUUCUUCUUUGUUUAUUUUUCGUUUUUUGUUUUUUGUUUUUUAUUAUUCUUUUUUCCCUUUUUCUCUUUCCUUUUCUUCUAUCUUUUCCUUUUUUUCUGUUUUCUGUUUGUUUUUUCAUUUUUUCGUUUCUUUUGAAAAUUGGUUCAGAAAUUUCAAAAAUUGUUCGUGUUUCUACAAAACGUUCAAAAUUACAAAAAAUGUUCGUGUUUAAAAAAUAUUCGAAAUUCAUAUAAUGCUCGCUUUUUUCAAAAUUGUUCGGGCAUUUCAAAAAAUGUUCUUGUUUUACAAAAAAUUGUUUGGAAUGUUUUUUUCAAAAUUUUAGCAAUUUUUCAAAACUGUUCCUGUUUACAAAAAUUGUUCAUGUUUUUAUUUUUCAGGAGUUUCAAAACUUGUUCACAAGUUUUUAUAAAUCGUGUUUGAAAAUUUGUUCUGGAAUUUUAAAAUAUGUUCACGUUUCCAAAUUUUGUUUUGAAAUUUGAAAAAAGUUCUCCUUUCAAAAAAAUUGUUCAAGUUUUUCAAAAAAUGUUCGUGUUUUUCAGAAAUGUUAUACUUUUUAAAUUAGUUCGAAAAUUUUGAAAGUGUUUGUGUUUCACAGAACAUUCCGUUUUUUGAAAGUGUUUGUGUUUCACAGAACAUUCCGUGUUUGGUUCUUUAAGUUUGGUGCUACUCUUUAUUCAGCUACAAGUCCUAGAUCGGCUGGUACGAUGUCGUCGUUUAUAUCAGUGCAUCAUUUGUUCGAAUCCUUGCAAGUGCAUAUAGUUUUUUUUAGCUACAGUGCUCGUUCGAUUUCAGUUGCUGUAUUCAUGGGCUGGCCCAGUCGAAGCCCCGCCUGUGCGAAACGGCAGCAACUUGACGUAGAGAGCGUCACAUAGGAGGUCCCUAAAAUUUCGGCUCUGCGUACCGAGAGGUCCUGUUCGACGCCCGCGAGCGUCGAAAUGAGGUCCUUUCGCUGAUAGAAGUUUUUUGCGGGCUGGCUUCUUCGUGGCCCGCUAACGUAGUUCACGUGUCUGUUUCCUGAAUGUUUCAGGAAUGUGAACGUUGUUGUCUCCUGAACCAAAUUGUGGCCGUUUCGUGACUGUUUCCUGAACCAAAACGCUCUUGUUUCUACCACUUAACAUGCAGACUUUUGUAGAGAAGGAAUCAGCAAUUUUUAGUACUAUAAAUUGUAGUAAAAAGUGACUGUUUGUACCAUUGUUUGCUGACUGUUUCAGGUGUUGUCUUGUUCUGAAUUUGUUAAAUAUUUGUACGAAAUUGACUUCUUCUGAAUUUCCAACAAGAUAUUUUGUAGUAUACUGAAGAGAAAUUUGAAUCUGUAAAAACAUAUUGUUCAAUGUAUACGACAGUAGGUUAAUGUACCACUAAAGUUGUUGAAGUUCCAAGGCAAAAAAUUCCUUCUUGAGAUUCACUUUAAUAUGCGGAAUCCCUGAUGAACAUGAAGAAAAUAAAUAAAUUUAGGCCCCAAAAUCAUAACAGACAGGAAAAAUAGUAUAAUAAAACUAGAAAGGGAUUUGUUGGUACAGGGUAAAAAAAUUGGGCUAAGAGGAAAUAAAUAUACAUUAUUGAACAUUUUUGUAAAUAUAUGUUGAACGAUAUAUAAAUACACAUUGAACAUUUUUGUGAUAUACGCUGAGCAAUAUUUGAAUACAUAUUGAACUUUUUUGUUAUACGAUGAACAAUAUUAAAUACGCAUUAAACAUUUUUGUGAUGUACGCUGAACAAUGUUAAAAUACACAUUGAACAUUUUUGUGAUAUACGCUGAACAAUUUUUAAAUACAUACUAAACAUUUUUUUAUAUAUGGUGAACAAUUUUAAAUACACAAUGAACAUUUAAUAAAAAUGCGUUGGUCAUUUCCUUAAAUAUACGGUGAACAUUUUCUUAAAUGUGAGAUGAACAUUUUUGUAAAUACACGGAGUGAGCUCUUGUAUAACACACAAAAAGAAAAAAAAUGAAAGAAAUAAACAAAUCUGAAAAAAGAGAAAUAAAAAACCUGAAACAAAAACCAGAAGAAACCAAGCCUGGAAGAGAAAAUAAAACACACACACACAAAAGGAAAAACUAAAUAAAAAAAGGAAGAAAACCCAACCAGGAAACAAAAGAAAAAGGCAGAAAAAAAAACGCAGCAUCCCAGCGUACGAAACAGAAGUGAGCUACCCAACGUGAAACCCAGUGAAGAAAAAAGAAUCGAGCUUUGCUAAAAAAACGAAAAAGAAUCGAGCGACCGGAAGUGGGGGAAGGCAGCGAACCCGAAGUGGGUCGGCCCAAUCUGGACCGCACGUGAGCGUAGUGCUCUCUUUUUGACGCCUGCGGGCGUCAAAUAGGAUCCACCAUGCGUACCAGCCGAAACUUAUUUGAUGCACACCGCCUAAAAAUAGCUAGAUAAUCGGCACGCGAACCAACCUGUGGUUGAAAUGGUUAAGUGGACAGUGGUAUCUCCAGCCCAUCAGUGUUCAAGUCCUGAUGCUCGCAUUUAUCCUAGAAUUAUUUCAGGAUUUUCGGCGAUACGCUUUCAGUGGGAGGAGACGUCCCCGUCGACUACGAGGCGCCUACGGUGACUUCGUAAAAUCUCAAGAUUAUAUGCUGGCUCAGUCUCUCGAAGGUGCUCAUAGAGGUAGGGUGUGCGUAUGUGCAUUCAUAGGGGUGAGCGUAUGUGCGUUUAUAUGAGCGCUUGCGUAAAAAGCUAGAUAAUCGGCACGGGGCAUGCACACCAAGGCUAGCCCAUUGUUAUUUUUCCCGAUGUUUUUUCGAUCGUUUUUGGGAGUUCUUCAGGUUUAGCGUUGGUUUCUUUGAUUUCUAUAUUGGGUUUCUUCAUUUUCUAACUGCGCUUUUAAGUUUUCUUCCGUAUUUUUUUCAUUUAAUAAUAAUAAUUUUUUGUUGGGAAACGUUACAUGGAAAACAAAAAAUUGUGCGCACACGUAAGAUCUAUCUAUGGAGAUGCAUAACAACGAGAGGGGAGAGUAUGUCUACGCACCCGCGUAGACCAUAAGCGAAAGCGUUUGAUAACACGGUUGGUGUUGUCGAAUUUCUCCGCAAUCCAACUGAUCAAGUACCGAAUAUACGGCACCUCCGCGUUCAGCACACGUUCAGCUCGAUGACGUCCUCGCCUUCUUGAUCCAGCAAGAUGGGCGAAUUAGUAGAUGAGUUCUGGCAGCACAACGGCGUGAUGACGGUGAUGGUGAUGCUAUCUUCGCAGCGCUUCGCCUAAGCACUAUGAAAAUAUGACCAAGGGACAAAACUGUGGAGAGGGGCGCCGCACACGGCUAAGACAAUGUUGGGUCCCUUGUGUGGCGCCCCUCCCACACAUAUAUAUAGGUGGGGGGAGAGGGGAGGCAGCCAGGCGCACCACAAAGGUGGCCGGCCAGCCCUAGGGCUCCUGCCCUGGCCUGCGUCGCCCUGCCAUAAUUCCCCGAAGGGGGAAGGAAAGAGGAGCUGAUGGAAGGAAGGAGGAGGCCUACUCCCCUCUUUCCUUCUCUCCCCUAGGGCCGGCUGACAUAGAGGGGUGCACCAGCCCCUUGUGGGCUGACGUGCUCCCUUCUCUUGGCCCAUAUGGCCCAUAUACCUCCUGGGGCUUACCGGAACCCCUUCCGGUGACACGAUGACUAUCCGGUACACCCCGAAACUCUUCAGGUGUCCGAAUAGUAUCGUUCUAUAUAUCAAUCUUUAUCUCCGGACCAUCCCGGAGCUUCUCGUCAUGUCUGUGAUCUCAUCCUGGACUCCGAACAACAUUCCGUCACCAAAUCACAUAACUCAUAUAACACUAUAUCGUCAACGAGCGUUAAGCGUGCGGACCCUAUGGGUUCGAGAACUAUGUAGACAUGACCGAGAUACCUCUCUGGUCAAUAACAAAUAGCGAAACCUGGAUGCCCAUAUUGGCUCCUACAUAUUCUACGAAGAUCUUUAUCGGUUGAACCUUAUGACAACGUAAGUAAUUCCCUUUGUCUGUCGUUAUCUUACUUGCCCGAGAUUCGAUCGUCGGUAUCUUCAUACCUAGUUCAAUCUCGUUACCGGCAAGUGUCUUUACUCGUUCCAUAAUACAUCAUCCUGCAACUAACUCUUUAUUCACUUUGCUUGCAAGGCUUCUUAUGAUGUGUAUUAUCGAGAGGGCCCAGAGAUACGUCUCCGAUACUCGGAGUGACAAAUCCUGAUCUCGAUCUAUGCCAACUCAACAAACACCUUCGGAGAUACCUGUAGAGCAUCUUUAUGAUCACCCAGUUAUGUUGUGACGUUUGAUAGCACACAAGGUAUUCCUCCGGUAUCCGGGAGUUGCAUAAUCUCAUAGUCGAAGGAAUAUGUAUUUGACAUUAAGAAAGCAAUAGCAAUAAACUGAACGAUCAAUAUGCUAAUCUAACGGAUGGGUUGUGUCCAUCACAUCAUUCUCCUAAUGAUGUGAUCCCGUUAUCAAAUGACAACUCAUGUCUAUGGUUAGAAAACCUUAACCAUCUUUGAUCAACGAGCUAGUCUAGUAGAGACUCACCAGGGACACGGUAUUUGUUUACGUAUCCAUACAUGUAUUUAAGUUUCCGGUCAAUACAAUUCUAGCAUGAAUAAUAAACCUUUAUCAUGAUUUAGGAAAUAUAAUAAUAACCUAUUUUAUUAUUGCCUCUAGGGCAUAUUUCCAUCAUUAUUGUGUAUACAUGAAGAUCUUUUAAAGUAUAUGAUGAUCAUUUUCUAAAUACAUGUUCUGCCCAUUUUUCAUACGAUUUUUUAAUCAUUAAACUUGUUUCAACAUGUGCAUGUGCUAUUUAACAUCGCGAGCCCCAAAGAACACUCGUUUGGUAUAUAUGCCGAGUAACCGUACUGACGUGACACGUGAGCAGGAAAAAAAAAUGAAGCGAAAACGAGUGGAGUGUCACUUUUGUUUUCAUAUUUUUUUACUGGAAGCGGAAAUAAAUAUAAAUUCAGAAAAAUAUAUGCAAAGGUAACUGCCAGAAAAAAAAUACAGUUAAGAUAGUGGUCACACAUAUACGAAACAAAAGUUCGUCAGAACCCAAUAACAUCUUGAAUCAUAAAGAAAAGCAUAGAAAAUUCUGCAAUACAAUUUCUAAGGUGGCUACAAAUAUUAUGAUAUAUCAUGGAUAUGUAAUAAGAUAUUUUAUUGUGCAUUGGUUUUCAAUUCUGGCCACAUAAUAAAGGUAAACUAUAGCGGGAUGACGAGGGCCAUAGGAGUACUGAAAAGGAUUAUAUUUCUCGGUGGUAGAUCCAGUUGGGUUAGAACCGUGUGUACUCUCUCCGCCUGAAAAUACUUGUCGGAGAAAUGGAUAAAAAUGAUGUAUUUAGAACUAAACCACAUCUAUAUACAUCCAUUUCUCCAACAAGUAUUUCUGGACGAAGGAAGUACUAUACUAACUGUUUUUUUUUCACAUUUUGUGGAUUUGGAAAUCAUGUUACCAUUAUUUUUCCUCCAGAAAACAACGUUUGUUUCCGCAAGAAAUUUUCUGUUUCACUUCCAUUGUAAAUUCCUGUCUCCAUUUCUAGUGUGCACUUUAUUUCCGCAUUCUUCCAGAACGGAAAGAAAUUUCAUGUCAUACCAUGUGUUUGUGAAAGGACAUCAUUGCUCCUAAUGAGAAUUUGGUGUUAACGACAUUUGGUUAGCUGACUAGUUUCUAAGUGCUUGGAUAGUGUACCAAUCUUGAGAUGGAACAAAAGGGUGGUCGGUGAACCCCAAGCAAAAAGGUUCAAGAAGACGACACAUUAAUUUCGACCUAAGAUUUCUUGUUUAGAGUGCUAAGCAUGUCGUACUAUAAAGGAAGUGGUCGUAGUGCAUGUACGUUGUGGGAAUCGGAAAACUUCAUACGUGCCAAAAGAACACACACACCAUGUGAGAAAGAACCCCAAAAAUAUGCCAUAAUGCAUUUCUACUAUUGUGCCUCGGAGUUAUCUUGGAGCCUCCAAGGUGGCUCUAGGAGGUAGAGAAGUUUUGUUCUAACUCGGUCUUAGCUCAGAGGAACCCCAAAGACAGGGGUGGACAAAAAGCCUAUACCUUGAGAGCUUAAUGAGCGCUCGAUAGUUUGACUCGUUAAGGUCAUAUCCCACUCUAUAAUGAAGCAAGCCAAUCACUUGAGCUCGAGCUUAAUGAAUGAGCUUACGAGUUUCACAAGCAGCUCGUCGAUAGUUUGACUCGCUAAGGUCAUAUCUCACUCCUUAAUGAAGCAAGCCAAUCACUUGAGCUCGAGCUUAAUGAAUGAGCUUACGAGUUUCACAAGCAGCUCGUUAAUGUAGAAUACCACAUAUUCUUAUCUUAAGUGACAAUGUUUUAUGGCAGCCUGACCCAUCUAUUCGAUCCAAUCGACCAUAAUAUGGUUAGUUCCAAAUUGUAGCAUUUAACUUUGUGAGAAAAAUGUUGAAUAAUUUGGAUGCCUACUUGAUGUUUGUGGUAAUGUCUAUUAACUAGCACUCACAAGGUGCUCAUGAGCUUAACGAGCUAUAAAGGAACCGAGUUAUACAAGUUUUUUGCUUGUUAAGUUUGAACGAGCUUAGUGAACCUGAGCUUGGUUAAUCCACCCCUACCUGGAGCCUCUGAACCACGAGAACUUCCGACGCGCCCUAGAGCCUCUGAGCCAUACAGAACAGAGCAUGACAUGCACAUAUUUUGGAGGACCUAUUUAAGGUCCCUUCUUCGCCACGAAGAAGGGGUGACUCGUACUCUCUUUCCACCUUUGAUGAACACGAGAAAGCUUUAUAUCUCACUCCCGGCCAUAUAGAUCUCGAUGUAAGUUUCCAUCUAAGGAAAACUAGAGUUCAUUGAUUCCUCAUGGGAUCAUUUGUAAAUCUUGUUAAUCUUGGGUUUGUGGGGAAUCCUAGACGGUUGGUAUUACCUAAGAGAUUCCAUGUCGUGUGCUUGUGCUUCCGCUCAUUUGUGAGAGUUUGGAGCUCGCUUGAAGAGUUAGUUCUAGUGACAGUGUGCUUAGACAUUUGUUGGCCAAGGCACUCACAGACUUAGUGUUGGUGCAAUAUCUUACCCCCUUGGGUUUUGAAGAUUGUUGUCAAAAACAGUAAGAGACUGAUAUGUUUGUAGUGCACACAGAAGGAAAUAGUCCCCAUCAUAUCGAGAAGAAUGCUACAUUCUGACAAGAAUUUUGUGAUAAACUUCACCGAGAAGUAUCUGCGUUGGAGAGAAGCGAUAUAUGUUUUGAGAAGAAACUACAUCGAGAAGAUUGUGUAACGGAGUUGACCCCCAGAAAUAUUUCUGAAGUAAAGAAAUUAGAUUUUGGCGUGUUCGAGAAGAAAUGGAUGUAGUUGAUAAGAUUGAAGGCGAAGCGAAAACGUAGCAUUUAUUCCAUUAUCCUUCUUUCUCCUAUUCUGUUGUGAUGCUUAACCCAAACCUAUGAGAGUUGAGAAAAAUCUCUCUGUGUUCCGAAACAUUACUUGCCAGCCAGAGACAUUGUUCUCCUGGGCAGCGGGAGACAUGGUUCGGACCGAAGAGUCAGCUUUACUUGUUCCUCAAGUAAAGUUGCGUUGUGCUCAAAAUUCGACCGUUAAAAAUGCGUCGAAUGGCCAUUGGCUGGACCGCGUGUCCCAAAUGGUCAUUUCCCUUCUGGGAAGGUUGCGGCUAUAAGCAGUGGCGGACCCAGGAUUGGCUCUCGCCCCAGGCGAGAAACUAAGGGUUAAAAACUACCCAGAAAAUACUCGAGUUUCAAGGCAUACAAAAGCCAAUCUAUGUUGCAUAAUAACUAAUAAGAAACCAAACAUAGUAUUCAAUUGCAGCAUUUGUUCCAUGAUGGGUCAACUAUGUAACAUCCCAAAUUUUCAGUUUGGAAUGUUAUACAUUAGAGCAUCAUUGCAUAUCAUAUUUUAUUUGCAUUUUGGUCUGAUCCUAGAAAUUCUACACAACUCAAGGACCCACGGAGAGAGUUGGGGAUUUCGUUAUUUUUCAUAUUUGAGUUUUCUCGAAUUUUGAAAAUAGGAUCAUUUGAUUUUAUUUAUUUUAUCUUCAAUUAUUUUAUUUAUAAAAAUAAGAGAGAGGGAAUAAAAUGACUUUCCCAAAAAUAAGAAAUAUUGAGGAUUUAAUAAAAAAUCAAUUAUUUGAUUUUAUUUGGAGUUUUGGCUAUUUUAUUUGAAUUUAGGAAAAAUUGCACGUUUUUCAAAAUUGCAUUUUAGGGCCAAGAAAAUGUUCAUUUCGUUCCAAAUAUUUUAUUUAGACGGUAAAAAUUUAUUUUGGUAUUUUUAGAAUUUUAUUUUAUUAUUUUUUUGUUUUUUAGUUUCGGCGGAAUUGUUUAAAAAAACGCGCCCGNNNNNNNNNNNNNNNNNNNNNNNNNNNNNNNNNNNNNNNNNNNNNNNNNNNNNNNNNNNNNNNNNNNNNNNNNNNNNNNNNNNNNNNNNNNNNNNNNNNNNNNNNNNNNNNNNNNNNNNNNNNNNNNNNNNNNNNNNNNNNNNNNNNNNNNNNNNNNNNNNNNNNNNNNNNNNNNNNNNNNNNNNNNNNNNNNNNNNNNNNNNNNNNNNNNNNNNNNNNNNNNNNNNNNNNNNNNNNNNNNNNNNNNNNNNNNNNNNNNNNNNNNNNNNNNNNNNNNNNNNNNNNNNNNNNNNNNNNNNNNNNNNNNNNNNNNNNNNNNNNNNNNNNNNNNNNNNNNNNNNNNNNNNNNNNNNNNNNNNNNNNNNNNNNNNNNNNNNNNNNNNNNNNNNNNNNNNNNNNNNNNNNNNNNNNNNNNNNNNNNNNNNNNNNNNNNNNNNNNNNNNNNNNNNNNNNNNNNNNNNNNNNNNNNNNNNNNNNNNNNNNNNNNNNNNNNNNNGCCGCAGCCCCGCCACCCCACGCCGUCCCGCCGCCGCGCCGGAACCCCGCCGGAGCCCCGCCAGAGCCGAGCCGAGGUAGCCGCCCCGGUUUUUCUAAAGAAACCGAUCCGGAUUUUUUUUGUAAACCCUACGUUUUUUUAGAUCAGAUUCGUUUUGUUUCGGUUUUCUUAUUUAGCGAGCGUUCGCUCGUUCGUUCGUUUUAACGAACGCGUUCUUCGUUUAGUUACAGUUAAUGAACGUCCGUUCGUUAAACUGUUCGUCAGUUUUCUUUUUCUCGGAUUUUCCGCGAUUAUUCCAGAUCGCGAUUUCCGAUCUGUUUUUCGUUUUCGUUUUUCUUUUCGCUCGUUUAUCAGAAUCAGGCGAUUCAAGCGCCUAGAGUUUCGUCUCGAAGCCCUCUUUCCGUUUAACCAACUCAAACAAAUUUUUUGCUUCGAUAAAAUUUGACUAGGUCCAGAAUAGUAAACGAAGCUUGUUUCUUUCGCCGUUUGAUUUUUGUUGCUUCGUUUGAUUUGAUUCUUUUUGCAAACCGGAGUUCUUAAGUUGAACUUUCUGGUUAAAUCUCUUAUUUGAGUUUUACCUGUGCAUUAGAUGAGUACUUAUUAUAUGCUUGUUUGUUUGCGAUAGAGUACCCGGAGUGCGCCGGUUGCUACUUCGAAUCGCUAGGUUUCCCGGAUCAUCAGCAAGGCAAGUAACACUUUGAUCAUACCUCUUUUAUUACCCAGUUUUAUUGCAUUAGAUCAACCCUCAAACAUUGCAUGAUUAGGAUCUAAUUAAAUUGUGGGUUCUGGGAAGUAGAUGAGGUAGUACCUAUUGCCCUGUUUAUUAUCAAACCCUUGGGAGUUACUUCUACGUUUGCUUAUAUUGUUAUGCUAUGCUAGUAGACGUGGAUUGGGUUUGAGUGUUACCAUGACAGAUGUGAGAUUGUUAAUUAAUGGUUAAACUUAAGGUGGCAACUAAAACACACAUCUGGGUGGAUUGAGGUACCUGGGUAUUCCAGGAUUGCCUGUUUUUCUUUUGGACCGCCACCCAGGCUCAAAGGGAUCAUGAGAUUAUUCAUGCUAGAAACUUCCGUAUGCAGCCACAAGCUAUUAUGGGUUCUAGCAUAGUUGAGUAGGUUGUGUGAGCUCUUGAAGAGGUAGACUAGCAGAUGUAGGGGAUGUAGGUGGUACUAUAUACCCGGAGUAGAGAGUUAACGCUUCUGAAAGACUGUGUCUCGGUCAUCCGUUUCUCAAACACCUUGAAGUGUGAGAAUCCCAAUGGAGGAGAUCGAGUCUUGUGGGGAAAAAUGCGCAAACCUCUGCAGAGUGUACAAUCUAAUCAUGGUUAGCCGUGUCCCCGGUUAUGGACAACUUGAGUAUCUAGUAUCUGGAUUUUCAUGUGAAUCUCAUCAUGUUACUUUAAUUAAUUUUGUUGGGUUUUGAUGAUGAUACUUAAUUGGGAUUGAGAAUGCUGUCAACCAUUCUCAAUGUUUAAUAACCACCAUGAUAGUUAAAUAAAAUUUAUUCCUUUGCAGUAGGGAAAAAUUGGCUUUUCGCAAAACUGUAACCAUAGAGCCUUCUACCAGCCAUAUAUGCAUGUAGUAUAGCAUUAUUCUAUUCAUUACUCUCUAUGUGUUACAUUGCCAGCAUAUUCCAUGUGCUGACCCGUUUUCGGGCUGCAACGUUUCAUGUUGCAGACUUUUCAGACGACGAGUAAGGUGCCUUAGGUCGUGGUUCUAUACUCAGUGAUGCCGUUGGAGUUGAUGGACUCACUUAUCUUCCAAGCCUUCCGCUGUUAUCGUUAUUAGAUGGCCUUAAGCCAUAUUUAUUGUAAUAAGUUCUCUUUUGGAGACAUUCGAUGUAAUAAGUGUGUGAUUGCUACUCUGUUAUAAAUCCUUCGAGUACUGUGCGUGUCAGCAUUACUGAUCCAGGGAUGACACUGAUGCACAGAGACUUGACCAUCUGAGGUCUGGUCGCUACAAACUAAUAAAGCAAGACAAAUCAAAAGACAAUAUGUAGCAUAGAUAGAUGAUACAAAAGAUUGAUUCAAAUCAAAGGAUUGGAUGAUCUGAGCCUCCCAUGACUACAUGUUCAAUAGCAGAAGAAGCUAAACCUUCAAUCAUCAAUUUUAAAAUGCAUAUCAGUGCAUAAUAGCAGGUAAAACUAAUUAAUAAUAGAUGCAAAAUGUGAAAACUUAUGUCUAGGACGAGGCAAACCUUUACGUGUGUGAUAACCUUGAAAUCGGUCGACGGUCUUUGAUUCUUCAAUACUAACAAAUACAUCUCACUCAAUGUAACAUAUCAUUCUAUGAUUUAUCGAACCAUCACCCAUUUUGUUCCUCACUCUAGUCUUGAUAAUGCUCAUUGAUGAGAAUGCCCUUUCCACUAUUGCGGUUGCAACAUGUAAAUCAAUUCUAACUCAACAAGACGGUAAAUCAAGGGAAAAGUUGUGUGGAUAUUACUUUUAACCAUAUUCAUGGCAAGAUGACCAAGAUCAUUGCAAUUCAUCAAAUGUAGAUUAGCUCUUGCUUCUCGAAUGAAUGAGUCUAGUUGGUUUCUAAGGACAAAAGUAACUUCAUAGGUAGAGAACUCAGCAGCAUACAUAUUAGCAAGAUCUACUAGCUUGUCUUCAUUAUAAUUGGCAAAUGAAUUCUUGGGAUCAAGACAAGCAAUGCAUCUCAACAAUCGAGUAGACCUUUCAGCAAAGCGGUUGUUUAACUCCACAAUAACUUGAUCAUGCAACACAUUGAAUAUUUCAAUUUUGAAAUGAUGGUUGCAAGUUACCAAUUUCCCACCCAAGUACUUGAACGCCCAUUAGCAGUUCAUGUAUCUUCCAUAUUUGGCACUACAAUGAUGUAUUUGACACGAAAGUCUGUUACCUCUUUAAAGAGCUUAUCCCAACCAUUCCGCCUUAUCUCUUGAGUAUCCUCCAAUGUGGUUUUAAUCAAUCCCACAACACAUGCAAUAUGCUGAUUUUUCAAUUGCAAGCAUUGUGACAGAUUGUUAGUCUUGCCCAAUAAUCUAAUCAUAAGAUGCGAUAUGAGAACAAAUUCGAAGGACUCCAUGUGCUUUAUCAACCCCGUGGAUGUAGUUCUUUGGGCAACAUUAUCUGCAUCAUUGUGUAUAUUUUGUAAUACCUUUAGAACUGGUUUCCACAUCUCAACAAGACGGCACAACGUUUUAUGAUGUGACCCCUGCCGUGUAUCACCAGGUCUUGCAAGGUUAGUUAAUUAGUUCUCCCCUCUUCCCUCAAGAAGUUCCCCAACCUCUAUUUGGCGAACUAUUUCAUCAUGUUACUCUUGGGCUAACUAAUCAUGUCUUUUACAAGAAGCAUUAACAAUGUUAACAACCAUGCUUGUGUACUGAAAAAAUCUCUUACUUAUGAACAACACUUGGUAACAACAACAACCACUAAUUGUAACUGAUGAGCAAAACAAUUUAUAUAAUGAGCAUAAGGAUUUUCCUCCAAGAUCAAUCUUUGCAACGCACGAAAUUCCCCUGUCAUGUUUGAAGCCCCAUCAUGACCCUUACUCUCAAAUUAGACAUAGAUAAUCCAAGAGUACCAAACAUACCAUCCAAAGCUACCUUCAGUGAAGUUGCUCUCGUGUCAGGAACAUGCUCAACUGCCGUGAAUCUCUCAAUCACCUCCCCUCAUUUGCCGAGAUACCUACAUAAGCCAAAGGAGCAUGAUUAAUAUAUAAAAACUUUAGGGAAAUACACCUACAUGGCUAUAGUAACACACACAUACAAUACGAGCAAAGGUACUGACCUCAAACACAUAGCCAUUUGCUCCUUCAUAGAUGCUUCUAUCGACUCAUCAACAAGUAAUGCAGAUUUACCAUCUCCAAUCUCCUCAAUAAUGAUAUUGGUGAUCUCUUUUGCACAAGCCUUGCAUAAUUCCAAUUAAAUCUUAUGUGAAGUCAGCUUAUGGUUAUCUCAUGCAUUCCCAAAUAAUUUCGCCACCUUUGGGUCUUUCUUUAUGAACAAGUCCAACAACUAUUUAAAGUUACCCUUAUUAAUUGAGCUAGUAGACUCAUCAUGACCAUAAAAAGCAAGAGCUUGUAGUAUAACUUUUUUGACAAUACCCAAUAUAAUCAAGAGACGACCUUUGUAUUGUUCUUCUUGUUUCUAAGAACCCAUAUCAAACACAUGUGGCAUAUUUUGUCUUUGAUUUUUGAAAUCCUCAUAAUGUUGCCUAGAUUUAUUAUGAGCACUAUCAUGCUUGCCAACAUGCCGAUUAAAAACUUUAGGCCCAUGCUUCCAAGAUUUGAAUCCAUUUUUCAUGAAUGCUUCAAUACCAUAGUUUUCAGCUCUUGGUUGCUAAACAGAAAACAAUAAAAGCAAAAGGCUGAUUUUUUUAAUGCUAUAUUCCAACCAGCCGCGAUGAUCAUUGACUAAUAGUUAUGAAAGCUUAUACCAUUUAUCCGUUCAUAUGUAUGAUUAGUUGGUUGGCAUGGACCCAUACGGAUGUACUCCCUUCUAGCAAGAUCUCUAAUGUCUUCAUCUAAAUCCUCAAUUGGUAUUCUUUUGCCGGGGUCUGAUUCAACAUCACAGGGUUUGAGUUCAGCUCUAACACUAGGGGUAUUAUCAGUUGUUUGAAUUGAAGGACCUAUUUCUGUGGUUCCCGUGGUUCGAAAAAAGAGUCUUGUUUCUUUUACUCAUCUUGCCUUCCUGUAAAAUUUUAUAGAAACAAAAAUUACUCAACAUCUAAAUCGGUUUCUACAUCUAACAAACAGUGGCAUCAAGCAACAACAAUGGCAUCUAGCAACUGUUUUUUAGAAACAGACAUCUAACAACUAAUUAAAAUCAUCAUCAAAUAAAAAACAAUGGUAUCAAGCCAUCAACCUGUACCUUUGCACUGAUUUCUGAGGACCACCUCGCUGGACAGGUCAAAAAGCAGUGGAUGGUCUAUAGCCUCGCGCCAUCGCGAGACAGGGCAGCAGCCGACAGCGGUGCUGGAACCAAGGAAUCGGGACGCGCAGCUAGACAGAGUCGAGCGCGCUGCCGGAUGUGCGGUGAGGAUUGCGCCGAUAGUAGACCCUGGCUUAGGGUUCAUCAAGUCGGGGGAACCAGGGAAGAAUGGGGUGGUUGCAGCUGGUUCGCGUGGAUGUGUGGUGAGGGUUGCGGGGCAGUUCGUGCGGUGCGGGGUGGUUGGCCUGGGCGGUGCUACUUCUUGAGCUUGCGUUGGUUUUUUCCUUGAAGAGGAAAGGGUGAUGCAGCAAAGUAGAGAUAAGUAUUUCCCUCAGUUAGAGAACCAAGGUAUCAAUCCAGUAGGAGACAACACACAAAUCACCAAUACCUGCACAAACAAUCAAACAACUUGCACCCAACGCGAUAAAGGGGUUGUCAAUCCCUUCACGGUCAGUUGCAAAAGUGAGAUCUGAUAGAGAUAGAUAAAACUAUACAAAAUAUAAAUUAAAUAUUUUGGGGGUUUUUGGUUUAUAGAUCGGAACGUAAAAGAUUGCAAAAUAGUAGAUCGAAAACUUAUAUGAUGGAAAAUAGACUCGGGGGCCAUAGGUUUCACUAGAGGCUUCUCUCAAAAUAGCAAAUAAUAUGGUGGGUGAACAAAUUACUGUCGAGCAAUUGAUAGAAAAGCGCAAAGUUAUGACGAUAUCUAAGGCAAUGAUUAUGAAAUAUAGGCAUCACGUCCAUGUCAAGUAGAUCGACUCCUGCUUGCAUUUAGAGUAUUAAGUUCAUGAAGAACAGAAUAGUGCUUUAAGUAAGAUGACAUGAUGUAGAGGAAUAAACUCAAGCAAUAUGAUGUAAACCCCAUCUUUUUACCCUCGAUGGCAACAAUACAAUACGUGCCUCGCUGGGUGAGGACACCGCAAGAUUGAACCCAAAGCAAAGCACUUCUCCCGUUGCAAGAAAAACCAAUCUUGUUCGAAGAGAAUUACUAAGAUAUCAAAUCAUGCAUAAAAGAAUUCAGAGAAGAUUCAAAUAAUAUUCAUCGAUAAGCUGAUCAUAAAUCCACAAUUCAUCGGAUCUCGACAAACACACCGCGAAAGAAGAUUACAUCGGAUAGAUCUUCAAGAACAUCAAGGAGAACAUGGUAUUGAGAAUCAAAGAGAGAGAAGAAGCCAUCUAGAUACUAACUAUGGACCCGUAGGUCUGUGGUAAACUACUCACGCUUCAUCGGAAGGGCAAUAGAGUUGAUGCAGAAGCCCUCCGUGAUCGAAUCCCCCUCCGGCAGGAUGCCAAAAAGGCCCCAAGAUGGAAUUUCACGGGAACAGAAGGUUGCAGCGGUGGAAAAGUGUUUUCGUGGAUGCUUCUGGUGGUUUGGGAAUAUAUGUGAAUAUAUAGGCCAAGGGUUAGGUCAGAGGAGUCCUGAGAAGGCGGCAAGGCAGGGGGCGCCCCCCUAGGGCGCGCCCUCCCCCCUUGCCGCCGCCUCGCGGCUCUUCUGACUUGAUCUCCAAGUCCCCGGGGUGUCUUUUGGUCCAAGACAAAUCAUCGUGAAGGUUUUAUUCCGUUUGGACUCCGUUUGGUAUUCCUUUUCUGCGAAGCUCAAAAACAAGGGAAAAAAAGAAAUUGGCAUUGGGCUCCAGGUUAAUAAGUUAGUCCCAAAAUAAUAUAAAAUAGCAUAUUAAUGCAUAUAAAACAUCCAAAACAGAUAAUAUAAUAGCAUGGAACAAUAAAAAAUUAUAGAUACGUUGGAGACGUAUCAGGCAGCUAGGCCAGUUGGCCUGGGCUGCCUGGGCUUGGAAGUGGGCUGUGCCCUAGGCCAAAUGUUUUUUUAAUAUGGGCCAAGAAAAAUCCCACGCCUGAGGCAAUGGCCUGGACUGUCUGGGGCCCAAAUCCGCCCAUGGCUAUAAAUAGCCACCCCGCUCCAAUAUUGAUCAUUGGCUGAUCCGCUUGAGAUUCUAAGAAGAUUGCUCGAGCACCCCUCUAUGAGUGAUUUGAGUUUAAAAUCCACUUAGAGAAAAUCAAGAUCCAAAACUUAGAUAUUGGUUGAGCAUCAUAGUAGAUUUGAGUUGAAAGUUCUUGUGCCUAUUACUCUUGAGAGCUGCUAACUCUCUAGACGGAUAGGUGUCGGCUUGAAUGUCAAAGAGUAAUUGUUUUCACCAAGUCAAAGUCUUCAGCAACAAAGAGUAAUUGUGGUUCGCGAAGCUAGUCUGUUGAAGGUUUGGAUAUCGCUGAUAAUCAUCUACCCGAGUGAAAUCAAGUGAAGUCUGAUCAGCUUCACAUUGAAGGAGAAUAUGACAGAUAGAGGUUUGAUCAUGUGUUCAAUCACAAGUCCCUCCAACUGGACGUACCUCUUUUGCAGAAGAGUGAAUUGGUCUACCAAAUCAUAUGUCGCCAUCAAGCAACACUGGUCAUUUAUACUCUAUUGCAAUUCUUUCAGUAGUUUAUCUUCUAUGCUCUUUGCCCUGAUAGAUAUCUCUCUGAUCUUUUCUAUAUCUCUGUUUGUUAUCUGUUUUGUGACCAUGUUAGUCAGUGUAUUCAUGUUUGUUGUGCUUAACAUAGUUUGCCUAUAUGUUUGUUUAUUGUUUAUUUUGUGUUAUCUCACCGUUCAGUUGAGUCUUACUCUGAUGAAUAUCUCUCAAUAACUUCACAGUUUAUCUUUGGCAUACUACCUAGUGUCCUGUGUUCUUUUGUUCGUCCAUGCUAUUUGCCUUGCUUCCAUUCUGUCUCAUCAUAGUUGUAAUGAAGGUUUUAUGUCACUUUCAUUGAAAGUUUUGUGUAAUUUGUCUGGUUCACCUCCUUUAUGUUCGGUAGAUUGUUUGUGUUUUGUUUCAGUGUGACUGAUCUAGUUCUUUAUCUGAUGUGUUGUGCUGAGACAAUUUAAUUAAAGUUUCAAAAGAAAUCUUAAAUCUUCCAUUCACCCCAUCUGGUCGAUAUACUCUUGAUCCUACACUUAGGUAAUGCAUUUGUUAUUGGGAUCAUUUCUUGCCCCCACCUCUCCAGCGGAGAUUAGCACUCCCUCAAAAGUGUGAACUCCUAAUUACAUCUUCGUCUUCGUCACUUAUUUUUAUCUCUUUCCUAGUUUUACUUGUUGUUAUUACUUGAUUGCUUGUUUUCCUUGUGUUGCUUUGCUAGUUUGUAGUAGCUCAUCAUAUAUGGUGUAUAAAUUAGUUGCAUUUGUAGAGAACUUACAAUUUCGCGGCUACCUAUAAAAUCACCCAAGAAAAGAUUAAAAUUGAUUCGCCUAUUCACCCCCUCUAGCCGACAUACCAAGCAUCUUUCAUCUUUUGAUUUGUAAUCAUAUCACUAUCAAUAUUAAUAAAGACACAAAUUGGAACCAACAAAAACUAUUUAGUUGCAUUUGGAUUAUAUUCGCCACGAAACAAAGAGGCUUGUAUGGUGUGAUAAAUGAGAUAGUCUCCUGGUCAAACACCUUCAUUUUAAUCUGGUAGUACCUUGAGUGUGCAUCCAGAAAGCAGAGGAAGUCAUGCCUAGCCAUAGCAUCAACAAUACGGUCAAUGCGUGGCAAAGGAAAGGAGUCCUUCAGGCAUACCUUGUUGAAGUACUUGAAAUCAAUGCAAAGACGCCACGUCGCAUUCUUCUUUGGCACCAUGACCACGUUCGACAACCAGCCAGGGUGCUUGACUUCAUAGAUGAAACUGGCCUUCGGAGUUUGGCCAGCUCCUUGCCCAUAGCCUUACACUUGGGCUAUGAAAAUCCACGCAAUGACAGUUUAACUGGCUUGGCGCCAGGCAUAAUAUUCAGGUUGUGCUCCGAUAUUUCCCUUGGGAUGCCUGGCAUAUCGGAUGGAUGAGAAGAAAAUAUAUUUCAAUUCUCAUGGAGGAAAUCAUGGAGCACACUUUCCUAUUUGGAAUCCUGGUCGGUCCCCAUGGACUCCUCCUUGAUCGAAUCGUCAGGGUGCACUUGGAACUUUACGAUGUCAUGGUCGGGAUGGAACGACGUUGAUUUCAUGUGCUUGGUGAGGAUGAUGUCAUCCUUUUCGAUCCUUGUCCUCAUGUGGGCGAGCUCCUCGACGGCAAGGGCUUCAGCCUCGGCCUCGACCACCAGGACUAUAAUGGUAUGUUCGGAUUUGAGAGACCACUCCACAUUCUAGCAUAUGGUGAUGACGCCCUUUGGGCCAACAUCUUGAGCUUCAUGUGCGCAUGAUGUGGCAUGGCACCAAAGCGCACGAACAUGGUUCUGCCGAGGAUGGCAUGAUAGUCACUCCUGAAAUGGACUAGGGGUGGGCAUAAAAACCGACCACCGAAUGCCGGACCGAUACCGAAACCAAAUAAACCGAAUUUUCGAUUUUUUGUAUUGCCACAACUAAAUUCGUUUUUACCUUCAAUAACUAAAUUUAAAUCGUUUGGUUCGGUAUUAAACCAAUACUAAAACAAAAAACCGAAGUGCAAUGACUUCCUGACUUCAUGUACGAGCCCCCCUCCGUACGCUUCCGCGCAUAACGCCAAACACUGGCGGCCACGUGCGCACGUCCAGCGGUCCAGGCUACAACCACACAUCAUACGAAGGCCCAUGCAUGCUCUUUGUCCCACAUUCUGACUAGUACUACCUCCGUCCUGGUUUAUUGGUCCCCAUUGUAUUCCGUGUUAAAUUUUGACCAUGAAUUAAACUAACAAAAUGUUCAUGCAUGUCAUAAAAAAAUUAUAUCAUUGAAAACUAUGUUCAAAUAUGAAUGCAACGAUAAUUUUUUUAUUAACAUGCAUUAAUAUUUUGUUAGUUAAAUCUUUGAUUAAAAAUUUGACGCAAACUACAAAGGGGACCUAUAAACCAUGAUGAAGAUAGUACUUUUGUUGACCUGGGCCCGCCACUAACUGCAAGGCCCGACGCAACUAGUACUUCUAGCGGCCGGGUGGAGUGUGCAGUAGAUUUAUUUAGUCCCACAUCGCUUGCGAUACUAAAGGGGGCAAGGCGCUGGGUGAUAUAAGACCGUGAGGUGCUCAUUGCUCAGAAUAGAAGCGCUUGCUGCUACGCUGUUCGCAGUGUUCGAUAAUGAACUGAAAACUAAACUGAAGUAUCGGUUAACCAAAAAUCGGUUAGCAAUCUUGGCCUGCUAUUUUCGGUUUUUAGUUUUCAAAACCGAAUUUAAAAAUAAACCAAAUGGUAUAAACUAAAUUUUCGUUUCUACCGAAUGCCCACCCCUAACAGGGACUAUGUCUGUGCUACCAAACACCACGUCUAGCGUGACCCUUCUAGUACAAUGAGCUUCCAUGCUAGGGAUAAUGCCCUUGAGCUUGUUUUUAGUCGGCUCGAUGCGUGAAGUGCAUCUUUUUUAGUGUCUCUGCAUAGAUGAGGUUUAAGCUAAGGACGAGCACGGUUGUGCCGCCAUGAUGAACACUUGUCGGGUGGUCACAUCGAUCAAAGGUGAUUGGGGAUUGUACUUCAUCUCAGCUGGCUCCACGGCCUAUACCCCGCGAGGGUGCAUUUUCGAUCGUUCUUUGACGUGUGAGAUACAUAAAUCAUAUUCACUUUCUUUAUCUGCAAUUGGUACUGCUUUUGCCUGCCGUUCCACUUACCGGGUUGCAGCUCAUCCUCGUCGUUAUUGUUAUGAGGGUUUGGCUUGUAUGUGUUGCCACUUCUGACAUGCAUGGUCUUCUUGUGGACCCAGUAGUUUUGGUUGGUACGAGUAGCGGGAAAAUCUCCGUUGCUAGGGUGGACGGCACAAGGUCGGUCCAGGAUCUUGUCCAGGGCCGAUGUGCCACCCUCGUCCUUCUUGCCUUGCAACUGCUUCUUCUUUCCACCACCGCCUUGGCGCUGGUUGUUGAAUCCAGUGCCGACCUCACCGUCCUCGAAAUCACUCUUGCUCUGGAGCUUAUUUUUGCGGUUGCGCCAUAACUUUCUAUUUUUGUCCUUCACCGAUGGUAUGGGGUCCCCGCCACAACUUUUUUCUUAGCGAGCCAUGUGUCUUCCACCAGCGCAAAAUUAGGUCAUCAUCUCCAUGAGCUCGAGCAUGGUUCUGGGCUUGUAGUGACCGUGGUCCCUGUCCAGGAACUUGUCCACGGAGCCAUGCUCAAAUGUGGCAAUGGCCACGGUGUUGUUGUAGUUGAUGCUCUCGUUUUUCUUCUUUAGGAAUUAGGUCCAGUAGCUACAUACUGAUUCCUUGCUUCAUAUUGGCUGGGUAACAGGCAUCCGCAGGUUGAAUGCAAGUACCUCAAAAAGUUGCCAUGAAUUAGGCCUGAAGAUCUGCCCAGAUCCUGAUCGAGCGGGGCUUGAGGGUGUGAAGCCAGGACCAAGCUGGUCUUUUCAGCAUGAUGGUUAGGUUCUUCACUGUGUAAGUCAUUUUCAUUCCCCACCUGGAUUGCGAGGAUAUAAUCAGUGAUCUAAAUCGUAAGCUUCGUGGCACCGUCAUACUUGUCACAAUUUGUGAGCUUGAAGUUCGACGGGAAAGGGUGAGUGAUGAUCCAAUCGAAGAAACGGGGCGGAUUCAUCAUAGAUGGACCCGCAGCCAUUGAUCAGAGGGCAUCAAUGGUACAACACACAUCAUUGGGGCCAACAGGUUUAUUGUACUUGGUCAAGGCCAGCUAAUAUAUGUCUUUAGCCUGCUCACACAGGCGAGCUGCUUGCUCGAUAGACGUUUCGUAGUGGUGUGGGGUAUGUCGCCCUUGGCUUGAUAGAUCGUUCAAGGAGCCUCGUCCUCGGGUAGAGUCCGUUACCCACUCCAUGUGAUGGGAGCUCGAUACCCGUAUGCCAGGAAUAUGAGAUGCCUCGGUCACGAGAUAUCACGACAUGGUUCUUCAUUCAGGAGUGAGAAUUUUUGCUAUUGUCUUGUUGCUUCCAGUGCGCCCUUGCCUGCAUCUACCUAUCCGCCGACCUGGGGUCAGUGAGGAGGCUUGUCUCCUACGCCUGCAUGCAGGUUCUUUGCCCACAUGCGGUGAGAAACCGCACUAGGUUCUUGUAACAUCCCAAAAUUCUAAAUUUUGGAAUGUUAUAAUAACAGAUAGAUUGGAUUGAUUGUUUGAUUGAUUGAGUGAAAGUGAGUGGAAUUCGAAAUCUUUUGAAAGUUAAAUGAGAGGGAAUAAAAGGACUUUCCCAAACUUUCAUUUUGCUUUUAUGACCUCUAUGAAUUCAAAUUCUUUUCAUCACAAAACCCUGGAGAGAAGAUGACAUGACUUCUUCCAUUUAUUUAAAUGAAAAGGGGUGUUGAAAAUAUUUGAAUUUCAUUUGAGAAUAUUUCAAUUCUAAAACUUUAUGCAACUCAAUGAUUUUCACGAGCGAAGAUAAAAUGACUUCUUCAAAACAUAUGAAAUAUGAGUUGGGAGUUUCAAAGGAUUUAUUCAAAGUCCCAUUGAAAUUAUUUUUCAAUAUUGGAGUUAUUUGAGUUUUAUUCAAAUUAUUUUUCUCCAAAAAUAAAAUAUAUAGAAAAUAGGGUAACAUGAUUCCCUACAUCAGAAAAUUGGAGAAAAAUAAAUUUGAAAUCAUUUUGGUAUUUUUAAAAUGAUUUUUAUUGGAUUUUAUUAAGGCAGCUGCACUGUUUGAUUUAUUAAAAUUUGUGUGGAUUUUAUUUGACUCUACAAAAAUGUUCACGUUGUAGGAAAUCAUUUUCUGAAAAUUUUGAUAUAUUAUAUGCCUAUAGUAUUUUUUUAUUUAUUUAAGUUUUUUUAUUUUCCUUGCGCUGUUCGACCGACCGGACCGGGCCGGCCCAGUUCGCCAGGCCACGGCCUAGCCGGCCCACCCCGCUCGUCCCCGAGCUCGGGACGGAGUCCCGAGCCGCCACGCCAUCGCCGCCGCCUCCCUGCCGCCGCCGGUCUCCUCUGCCCCCUUCCCCACGUCUCCUCGCCCCCCUUAUAUAGCGCCUCCCUCUCUCUCUCUCUCCCUCCUUCCCCGCGCUCACGCCGCCGCCUCGCUGGAACGGCCACCGCCGCCGAGUCCCUCACCGUCGCCCCGCAACUCCCCGACCCCGUGGCCGCCACCCACCUCACCGCCGUGCCGCGCCGCCCUUCCUAGCUACUCCGCCGCCGCCGCCGUGCCCCGCCACCGCCGAAGCCACUUCGCCCCACCGCCGCCGGAGCCACGACUCGCCGGAGCCUCCGCCGCAGUGGUAAAACCCUAACCGAUCUGCCGCCGGUUUUUUUUUAAAAAAAACCGUUGCCCGGUCCAAUCUGGUUUUCUCGGUUUUGUUUAAAAAAAACGGUUUAGUUUUUUUUAGAGCUAUUCAACGAACGUUCUCUUUUUAGAACUAGUUAGCGAGCGUUCGCUAUUUUGACUUUUCCUUUUAUUUUAGUUUUCUGCCAGGGACCCGUUUGUGAUGAUUUUAUUUAAAGAUUAGCCCCUAAUCUUCAAACGUCUAUAACUUUUUACUCGUUUGUCCAAAUCCAACGAAACCAACGCCCACGUCUUCGUUAUGAUCCCCUCUAUCCAGUAAAAUAACUUAAACAUGUUUUUGAAAGUUUUAAAAUUUGAAUUCAAACAGAUUUAUAUUCAAACUUCUUUUGUUCAUAACUUGAGUUCCGUAACUCCGUUUGAGUUGAUUCUUUUUGCAAAUCGAAGCUCUUGACCUAAACCUUCUGAUAAGGCCAAAUUCACAUAAUUUUGGUACUGUUAGAAAUUGUUUUAUGUUGCAAGAGUUAUUUGCUUUGUUUUGAUGUUUUCCGAAUUGUUUUCUUCAUUCUUUCUCGAUCUUUUGAGUGAUUGCUUAUGUGUGGUUACCAUUGCUUGCUUACGAUAGAUUGACCGGAGUGUGACGAGUAGAUCUAUCAAGAGUUUUGAGUGCGAAUCAUCUUCAUCAACAUUGCAGGGAAGUAACACUUUGAUCAUACCCCGUUCAUACCCAGUUUUUAUUGCAUUAGAUCUAUUCCUUCAAACUCAUUGCAUGAUUAGGAUCUAAUAAACUGUGGGUAUUGGGAAGUAGUUGAGGUAGUACCUAUUACCUGUUUUUCUAUCAAACCCUUGGGAGUUACUUCUACGUUGCUUUUAUUGCUGCCAUGCUAUGCUCGUAGACGUGGAUUGGGUUUGAGUGAAAUUCAUGACAGAUGUGAGAUUGUUAAUUAAUGGUUUACUUAAGGUGGCAACUUAAACUCACAUCUAGGUGGAUUGAGGUACCUGGGUAUUCCAGGAUUGCCUGUUUUUCUUUUGGACCGCCACCCAGGUUCAAAGGGAUCAUGAGAUUAUUCAUGCUAGAAACUUCCGUGUGCAGCCACAAGCUAUUAUGGGCUCUAGCAUAGUUGAUUAAAUCGUGUGAACUCUUACAGUGGUAGACUAGCAGAUGUAGGGGAUGUAGGUGUACCGGUCUACCCAUCGUAAGGUGCAAACGCUUCUGAAAGACUAUGUCUCGGUCAUCCGUUACUCAAACACCAUGUAGUGCGAGUAAUCCAACGGAGGCGAUCGAGUCUUGUGGGAAAAGUGCACAAACCUCUGCAGAGUGUACAAACUGAUCAUGAUUAGCCGUGUCCCCGGUUAUGGACAACUUGAGUAUCUAGUACUUGGAUUAUCAUGUGAAUCUCAUCAUGUUACUUUAAUUAAUAUUGUUGGGUUAAUGAUGAUACUUAAUUGGGAUUGAGAUGCUGUCAACCAUCUCAAUGUUUCACAACCACCAUGAUAGUUAAAUAAAAUUUAUUCCUUUGAAGUAGGGAAAAAUUGGCUUUUCGCAAAAACAUUAUAACCAUAGAGCUUUUCCACCAGCCAUAUAUGCAUGUCGUGAUAGCCUUUGUUCAUCAUUUCUCUAUGGUGUGAAUUUGCCAGCAUAUUCCAUGUGCUGACCCGUUUUCGGGCUGCAACGUUUCAUGUUGCAGGAUUCUUACGACGAGUAAGUGAUACGUUAGGGUUACGAUUUUCUACACUCAACUUUGCCGUUGGUGUUGAUGGGAAUCCACAACCUUGUUACUUCCGCUAUUUGGAUUGAGGUAAUGGUAUUUACGUUAUUUUAUACAUGUGAUUUACCUCUGUUAUAAAUCCUCGAGUACUGUGUGUGUCAGCAUACCGAUCCAGGGAUGACACUUAAGCACAGAGACUUGAUCCAUUUGGGUCGGGUCGCUACAGUUCUGUGGUGUCCUCCCUUACCUGGUCAACUUUUGUACCUUUAGCGCGCUCUUGGUAUCCAUUGGGAUGAGCUUGCUCUUCAAGUUUUCCUCGUAAAGUGUCGUCAAGAUCUUGAGCUUUGUCGGCCAAACCGUUCUGGCUUCUACCCAGCUUGAUCGCUGACGUCUGCAAAUUUUCCUGAUCCUGAUCUUGGCAUGGGCUACUGAUGUCUACUACACAACUUUCUUCUUGUAGACUAUGUUGGGCCUCCAAGCGCAGAGUUUUGUAGGACAGUGGCAAAUUUCUCUCAAGUGGAUGACCUAAGGUUUAUCAAUCUAUGGGAUGCGUAGGAUGAAGAUGGUCUCUCUCAAACAACCCUGCAAUCAAAUACAAGAAAUCUCUUGUGUCCCCAACACACUCAAUACAAUGGUAAAUUGUAUAGGUGCACUAGUUCGGCGAAGAGAUGGUGAUACAAGUGUAGUAUGGAUAGUAGAUAUAGGUUUUUGUAAUCUGAAAAUAUAAAACUAGCAAGGUAGCAAGUGAUAAAACAGAGCACAAAUGGUAUUGCAAUGCUUAGAAACAAGGCCUAGGGUUCAUACUUUCACUAGUGCAAUCUCUCAGCAGUGCUAACAUAAUUGAUUCAUAUAACAAUCCCUCAACGUGCGAUAAAGAGUCACUCCAAAGUUCUUAUCUAGCGGACACCAUAAGAUGAAAUUGUUGUAGCGUAUGAAACCACCUCAAAGUUAUCUUUUCCGAUCAAUCUAUUGAGCCGCCCCUAUAAGUUUCAAAAAUACCCCUAGAGUUUGUACUAAUUAAAGUAACACCAUAUGAUACACAUCAACCAACCCUAAUGUCACUAAGAUACUCCAAUGUCACCACAAGUAUCCGUGAGUUGAUUAUUCAAUAUGCAUCAAACAAUCUCGGUUCAUAAUAUUCAAUCAAACACAAUGAACUUCAAAUAGUGCCCAAAGUUUCUACCAGUGAAAGUAGGGCGAAAACGUGUAUCAACCCAUAUGCAUAGAUUACCCCAAUAUCACGAUAAUCCACAAGUUCAUACCAAAACAUAUCAAGUGAAUCAAUAGAAUACCCCAUUGUCACCACGGGUAUCCACACGCAAGACAUAGAUCAAGUGUUCUCAAAUCCAAAAAGUAUUCAAUCCGAUAAUAGUGAAACCUCAAAGGUAAAAAUUCAAUUCAUCACAACAAGAUAGAGAGGGAAGAACUCAAGGAAAUAUGCCCUAGAGGCAAUAAUAAAGUUGUUAUUUAUAUUUCCUUAUUGAUGAUAAAGGUUUAUUAUUCAUACUAGAAUUGUAUUGGUCGGAAACCUAAAUACAUGUGUGAAUACAUAAACAAAUACCGUGUCCCUAGUAAGCCUCUACUAGACUAGCUCGUUGAUCAAAUAUGGUUAAGGUUUCCUAACCGUAGUGUGUUGUCAUUUGAUAAUGGGAUCACAUCAUUAGGAGAAUGAUGUGAUGGACAAGACCCAUCCGUUAGCUUAGCAUAAUGAUCGUUCAUUUUAUUGAUAUUACUUUCUUCAUGUCAAAUACAUAUUCCUUUGACUAUGAGAUUAUGCAACUCCCGGAUACCAGAGGAAUACCUUGUGUGCUAUCAAACAUCACAACGUAACUGGGUGAACAUAAAGAUGCUCUACAGGUAUCUCCGAAGGUGUUUGUUGAGUUGGCAUAGAUCGAGAUUAGGAUUUGUCACUCCGAGUAUCAUAAGCUUGCAAGCAAACGACUAAGGAGUUAGUCACGAGGUGAUGUAUUACGGAACGAGUAAAGAGACUUGCCGGUAACGAGAUUGAACUAGGUAUGAAGAUACCCACGAUCGAAUCUCGGGCAAGUAACAUACUGAUGGACAAAGGGAAUUACGUAUGUUGUCAUAACCGUUCGAGCGAUAAAGAUGUUCGUAGAAUAUGUAGGAGCCAAUAUGGCAUCUAGGUUCCACUAUUGGUUAUUGACCGGAGAGGUGUCUCGGUCAUGUCUACAUAGUUCUCGAACCCGUAGGGUCCGCACGCUUAACGUUCGAUGACGAUAUUGUAUUAUAUGAAUUAUGUGAUUUGGUGACCGAUGUUGUUCGGAGUCCCUGGUGAGAUCACGGACACGACGAGGAGUCUCGAAAUGGUCGAGACGUAAAGAUUGAUAUAUAGGACGGUAGUAUUCGGACACCGGAAGUGUUUCAGAGUGUAUCGGGUAUUUAUNNNNNNNNNNNNNNNNNNNNNNNNNNNNNNNNNNNNNNNNNNNNNNNNNNNNNNNNNNNNNNNNNNNNNNNNNNNNNNNNNNNNNNNNNNNNNNNNNNNNNNNNNNNNNNNNNNNNNNNNNNNNNNNNNNNNNNNNNNNNNNNNNNNNNNNNNNNNNNNNNNNNNNNNNNNNNNNNNNNNNNNNNNNNNNNNNNNNNNNNNNNNNNNNNNNNNNNNNNNNNNNNNNNNNNNNNNNNNNNNNNNNNNNNNNNNNNNNNNNNNNNNNNNNNNNNNGGCCAUGAGAGGGGAGCACACCAGCCCACAAGGAAUGGCGCGCCCCCUAUGGCAGGAGGCCAAAUUGGGAGAAGGAAAAAUGGGGUUCGGCCCCCCCUUUCCUUUCUCUCUCCCCCCUUCCCUUUCUUCUUUGGUGAAAUAAGGCAGGGGGCGCCACUUGGGGAAACCCCAAGUAGGAUUCGGAUCCUACUUGGGGCGCGCCCUGGCUGCCUCCCCUCUCCCUCCCACCUAUAUAUAUGUGGAGGACGCCCCUAGCACACCCAAGACAAUUGCCUAGCCGUGUGCGGCGCCCCCCCUCCACCGUUUACUCCUACGGUCAUAUCUUCGUAGUGCUUAGGCGAAGCCCUUCGCUGAUCACUUCACCAUCACCGUCACCAUGCCGUCGUGCUGACGGAACUCAUUGAAAGAUCGUGGAUGUCGCCUAGAGGGGGGUGAAUAGGCGCUUUAAAAUAAUUACGGUUUAGGCUUGAACAAAUGUGGAAUAAACCUAGCGGUUAAUUUGACAAGCACAAAACCUACAACAACUAGGCUCACCUAUGUGCACCAACAACUAAUGCUAAGCAAGAUAAACAACUAAGUGAUAGCAAGAUAUAUGACAAGAAACAAUAUGGGUAUCACAAAGUAAAGUGCAUAAGUAAAGGGUUCGGGUAAGAGAUAACCGAGGCACGCGGAGACGACGAUGUAUCCCGAAGUUCACACCCUUGCGGAUGCUAAUCUCCGUUUGGAGCGGUGUGGAGGCACAAUGCUCCCCAAGAAGCCACUAGGGCCACCGUAAUCUCCUCAUGCCCUCGCACAAUGCAAGAUGCCGUGAUUCCACUAAGGGACCCUUGAGGGCGGUCACCGAACCCGUACAAAUGGCAACCCUUGGGGGCGGUCACCGAACCCGUACACUUUGGCAACCCUUGGGGGCGGUCACCGGAACCCGUAAAAUUGCUCGAGGCGAUCUCCACAACCUAAUUGGAGACCCCGACGCUUGCUCGGAGCUUUACACCACAAUGAUUGAGCUCCGAACACCACCAACCGUCUAGGGCGCCCAAGCACCCAAGAGGAACAAGCUCAAGGGUACCAAGCACCCAAGAGUAAUAAGCUUCUCAACUUGUAACUUCCACGUAUCACCGUGGAGAACUCAAACCGAUGCACCAAAUGCAAUGGCAAGGGCACACGGAGUGCCCAAGUCCUUCUCUCUCAAAUCCCACGGAAGCAACUAAUGCUAGGGAGGAAAAAGAGAGGAAGAACAAGGAGAACACCAAGAACUCCAAGAUCUAGAUCCAAGGGGUUCCCCUCACAUAGAGGAGAAAGUGAUUGGUGGAAAUGUGGAUCUAGAUCUCCUCUCUCUUUUCCCUCAAAAACUAGCAAGAAUCCAUGGAGGGAUUGAGAGUUAGUAAGCUCGAAGAAGGUCAACAAUGGGGGAAGAACACGAGCUCAAGAGAUAAGGUAGAAUGGGGAAGAAGACCCCCUUAUAUAGUGGGGGGAACAAUCCAACCGUUACCCCCACACCAGCCCCGCAGAGAGCGGUACUACCGCUUGGCCAGCGGUACUACCGCUUGGCCAGCGGUACUACCGCUCCCCCUCGCGGUACUGCCGCUGGGCCCAUAGCGGUACUACCGCAUACGAGCGGUACUACGGCCCCCACUGCCGCGGCUAGUACCGUAAAACCCGACACGAAAAAGACCCCUCGAAUCGAGGCGGUACUAGCACGAGGCCGCAGCGGUACUACGGCUGGGGGCUACCAGCGGUACUACCGCUCUGGAGCGGUACUACCGCUCUAGAGCAGUACUACCGCUUGUAGCACCCAAGCUGUACUACCGCUCCGGCCCGCGGUACUACCGCUAGGAAACCAAAACUGCCACAACUUCUGCAUAUGAGCUCCGAAUUGAGCAAACUCAAGCUUGUUGGUGUGACGCCCGGAUAAUUAAGCUACAAUAACUUUCUACUAAUGAUGCCACGUCACCUCGAUUACUGUUGCUAAUCUCACGUUAGUUCGAAACUGACUCAAAUUCAAAUUCAAAAUCAAGCAAACAAUAAAAGUUUUCAAAUAUUAAAACUAAAAUGUACGGGGUGAGCCAAAUAAUCCAUACUAAAUAUUGGUGUAGAAACCACACUCCUCUAAAGUAUUUAAAUGCACCAUAGUAAUUAAAACAGCGGCAAAACUGUUAUUUGAUAAAUACUUUUAAAUAAUAAAUAAUUACAAAACUAUUUUAUUUAGGUGCCAAAGUUAAUGUGGCAGUAGUAUAUUUAUAAAUACAAAUUUAGGUGCUAGUGUUAAUUUUUAUAAAACUGAAAUAAAAAGGAACAAAAAUAAAACAGAAAAAAGGAAAAGACUAAACAAAGAAAUAAAGUCAAACAAGAGAAAAGAGAAAAAGCCCACCCCCCGGCCAACUGGGCCAACAGGCCCAGCUGCCCACCCACGCGGCCCAGCUGGCCCACCCCGGCUGGAUAUCCCCACCCGNNNNNNNNNNNNNNNNNNNNNNNNNNNNNNNNNNNNNNNNNNNNNNNNNNNNNNNNNNNNNNNNNNNNNNNNNNNNNNNNNNNNNNNNNNNNNNNNNNNNNNNNNNNNNNNNNNNNNNNNNNNNNNNNNNNNNNNNNNNNNNNNNNNNNNNNNNNNNNNNNNNNNNNNNNNNNNNNNNNNNNNNNNNNNNNNNNNNNNNNNNNNNNNNNNNNNNNNNNNNNNNNNNNNNNNNNNNNNNNNNNNNNNNNNNNNNNNNNNNNNNNNNNNNNNNNNNNNNNNNNNNNNNNNNNNNNNNNNNNNNNNNNNNNNNNNNNNNNNNNNNNNNNNNNNNNNNNNNNNNNNNNNNNNNNNNNNNNNNNNNNNNNNNNNNNNNNNNNNNNNNNNNNNNNNNNNNNNNNNNNNNNNNNNNNNNNNNNNNNNNNNNNNNNNNNNNNNNNNNNNNNNNNNNNNNNNNNNNNNNNNNNNNNNNNNNNNNNNNNNNNNNNNNNNNNNNNNNNNNNNNNNNNNNNNNNNNNNNNNNNNNNNNNNNNNNNNNNNNNNNNNNNNNNNNNNNNNNNNNNNNNNNNNNNNNNNNNNNNNNNNNNNNNNNNNNNNNNNNNNNNNNNNNNNNNNNNNNNNNNNNNNNNNNNNNNNNNNNNNNNNNNNNNNNNNNNNNNNNNNNNNNNNNNNNNNNNNNNNNNNNNNNNNNNNNNNNNNNNNNNNNNNNNNNNNNNNNNNNNNNNNNNNNNNNNNNNNNNNNNNNNNNNNNNNNNNNNNNNNNNNNNNNNNNNNNNNNNNNNNNNNNNNNNNNNNNNNNNNNNNNNNNNNNNNNNNNNNNNNNNNNNNNNNNNNNNNNNNNNNNNNNNNNNNNNNNNNNNNNNNNNNNNNNNNNNNNNNNNNNNNNNUCUGAUCCCUCCUGUCUCUGCUCCACACGCGCUCGGCGGCGCUCCCCUUUCUUCGGGCGCGUGCCCGCUCCCUGCCUCGACGCACUGGUCGCGCCCCCGGCGCGCCCCGCCCCCGUUCUCACGCAACUUCCCCGGCCCCAGCCUCACUCUGCAGCUCCUCCGCUGCCUGGCCACGCCAUGCGCCGGCUCCCCUCGCCCCUGUCCGUGGCCGCCUUGGCCGAGGCCAGUCGCCGCUCGGCUCCCUUCCGCUCCGGCCACUUCGGCCACGGCCUCGCCCAGCUCUCGCAUUGCCGUGCCUCGCCGUCCGCCCCGCUCUGUCGCCCCCUUGCCGCGCUGCUCCGGCUGCCGCCGUGGCCGGCGGCCCCUUGUUGGCCUCGGGCCUCCAAGCGGGCGCACGUUCCGCCCGCGCCCGUAACCGCACCCCAAGUGCCCGUCAAGGCCCCUGGGGCCUAUGACAAAUGGGGCCCACUGCCCAGAACAUUUUUAUAAAAAAAAUUAAAAAAUAUAUAAUAACAACAAUAAAAAUAUUAAUUAAUUAAUUAAAGAAUUAAUUAACUUAAUUAAUCAUAAUUAGAAUAACCUAAUCACUAGUUAACUUAAUUAAACCCUGUUUAGCCUAAUCUGUCAAUGACACGGGGGCCCCACCCCCUGUUGACCAGUCAAACAUUGACUGGUCAACUGGGUCCCCCUGGCCCACAUGUCAGCCCCUGUGUAAACUGCUGUGUACACAGGGCUGGGUACAUUUAGCAAUUUCUCUUUUAUUUUCAAAUUAAAAUAAAUCCUGGAAAUUUAGAAAAUCAUUUAAACUUAUAAAAAUCAUAUAAAAUAAUCCGUAACUCGGAUGAAAAUACUUUGUACAUGAAAGUUGCUCAGAACGACGAGACGAAUCCGAAUACGUAACCUGUUCGCCAGCCACGCGUCCCUAGCAUAGCGAACCUGCAACAUUUCACCUCCGGUUCAUCUGUCCGAAAACGCGAAACACCGGGGAUAUUUUCCCGGAUGUUUCCCCCUUCAUCGGUAUCACCUACUACCGCGUUAGGGCACACCUAGCACCGCGUAUUGUCAUGCCACGCUUUGUGUUGCUUUGAUUGCUCUGUUAUUUAUUGUGUUCCCCCUCCGUUACUUCUUUCCGGUAGACCCCGAGACUACCGGCGACCCCCAGUUCGACUACGGAGUUGACGACCCCUCCUACUUGCCAGAGCAACCAGGCAAGCCCCCCCCUUGAUCACCGGAUAUCGCCUAUUCCUUCUCUAUACUGCUUGCAUUAGAGUAGUGUAGCAUGUUACUGCUUUCGGUUAAUCCUAUACUGAUGCAUAGCAUGUCAUUGUUGCUACAGUUGUUACCCUUACCUGCUAUCCUACUGCUUAGUAUAGGAUGCUAGUGUUCCAUCAGUGGCCCUACACUCUUGUCCGUCUGCCAUGCUAUACUACUGGGCCGUGAUCACUUUGGGAGGUGAUCACGGGUAUAUACUAUAUACAUUAUAUACAUGACACAUGUGGUGACUAAAGUCGGGUCGGCUCGAGGAGUACCCGCAAGUGAUUCUGAUGAGGGGGCUGAAAGGACAGGUGGCUCCACCCCGGUAGAGGUGGGCCUGGGUUCCUGACGGCCCCCGACUGUUACUUUGUGGCGGAGCGACAGGGCAGGUUGAGACCACCUAGGAGAGAGGUGGGCCUGGCCCUGGUCGGCGUUCGCGGAUACUUAACACGCUUAACGAGAUCUUGGUAUUUGAUCCGAGUCUGGCCAUUUGGUCUAUACGCACUAACCAGCUACGCGGGAACAGUUAUGGGCACUCGACGUCGUGGUAUCAGCCGAAGCUCUUCUUGACGUCAGCGACGGAGCGGCGCGUGCCGGAUUGGACUGAAACGCCUGCUAGGCUAGGUCUGCUUCCGGCCGCCCUCGCAACGUGCAGGUGUGCAAUGGGCGAUGGGCCCAGACCCAUGCGCGCAUAGGAUUUAGACCGGCGUGCUGACCUCUCUGUUGAGCCUAGGUGGGGCUGCGACGUGUUGAUCUUCCGAGGCCGGGCAUGACCCAGAAAAGUGUGUCCGGCCAAAUGGGAUCGAGCGUGUUGGGUUAUGUGGUGCACCCCUGCAGGGAAGUUUAUCUAUUCGAAUAGCCGUGUCCCUCGGUAAAAGGACGACCCGGAGUUGUACCUUGACCUUAUGACAACUAGAACCGGAUACUGAAUAAAAUACACCCUUCCAAGUGAUAGAUAAAACCCGGUGAUCGCUCUCUAACAGGGCGACGAGGAGGGGAUCGCCGGGUAGGAUUAUGCUAUGCAAUGCUACUUGGAGGACUUCAAUCUACUCUCUUCUACAUGCUGCAAGAUGGAGAUGGCCAGAAGCGUAGUCUUCGACAGGACUAGCUAUCCCCCUCUUAUUCUGGCAUUCUGCAGUUCAGUCCACCGAUAUGGCCCUUUACACAUAUACCCAUGCAUAUGUAGUGUAGCUCCUUGCUUGCGAGUACUUUGGAUGAGUACUCACGGUUGCUUUUCUCCCUCUUUUCCCUUUCUAUACCUGGUUGUCGCAACCAGAUGCUGGAGCCCAGGAGCCAGACGCCACCGUCGAUGACGACUCCUACUACACUGGAGGUGCCUGCUACUACGUGCAGCCCGCUGACGACGACCAGGAGUUAGUUAGGAGGAUCCCAGGCAGGAGGCCUGCGCCUCGUUCGAUCUGUCUCCCAGUUUGUGCUAGCCUUCUUAAGGCAAUCUUGUUUAACUUAUGUCUGUACUCAGAUAUUGUUGCUUCCGCUGACUCGUCUAUGAUCGAGCACUUGUAUUCGAGCCCUCGAGGCCCCUGGCUUGUAUUAUGAUGCUUGUAUGACUUAUUUUAUUUUUAGAGUUGUGUUGUGAUAUCUUCCCGUGAGUCCCUGAUCUUGAUCGUACAUGUUUGCGUGUAUGAUUAGUGUACGGUCAAAUCGGGGGCGUCACAAGUUGGUAUCAGAGCCGACUGCCUGUAGGAAUACCCCUUCCACACUCCUUGGCCGAAGUCGAGUCUAGACAUUGCAAAACUUUUACUAACAUGGUUGUGCGGCUUAUGGGCCCAUGUCGCCAUUGGGUGGUAUUAGGAUCUUUUACUCCUUGUCUAUACUCUGGGACUCUGAGAUCUCUUCUAUUCGGGUUAAGUGAAUUUUGCUAAAUCUAACAUUAGGAUCUCGUUAUCACUUUCAUCCGGAGAGCCCCUUAUUACUGAUAAUCGUCUGCUGCACGUGAAGACCCUGAAGAUACUCUCCGCUAAUAACCCGAGAACUUGUGUUCAUCACUUUUGCAAUUCCCUUUCAUCGAUAAACUCCUAUGGAUAACCGCGUAUACUCUCCAUUCAUACAAUGUUUCCCAGUUGAUCUUGUUAUUACAAGAUACCCCGAAAUUAUCUCUGUUGUUCCGAGAAUUCUUGAGCUUACUGCCUUGCUGUUCUUUGUCACCUGAAUACCCCUACGGAUAAUUCUCGCACUUACCGAGUAUCCGCUCAUCCCCAGUUGAUUCAAGUAUUCCACAAAAGUGUUCAAAAUACCAUUCGAUCUUCCGAAAAUCUUCAGGAGCCUUUUUGCUCUUGAAAUUCUUGCUUACUUGCAUUAUGAUUAAUCUUAAGUCUCGUAAUCUUAUUGGCAUCCCUUGUCAUUAUCAUUUUGAGUCCGUUGAUUCAAUUUGUUGCGAAUGCUCGCAAUCCUCAAUCAGAUCCUAGAAUUCAUUCUUCCGGCUCAGACGUCAUUUGGAUAUGAGCUGGUUCUUGACCAAUCAAUGCCUUGAUCGGUUGUAUCCCUAAGUCUAUUCAGCUUAUCCAUCCCUAAUCAGAGCAUUGCUUCUGAUCCCUUGAUUUGGAAAUCAUAAUUCCUUUGCAUUUGAGCUUUGAGUUAGCCAGUUGUUUCUAUAAUCUGAUCCCCUUGCAUUCUUUCUUCCUCUAGUUGAGUAUCGAUGCUCACAUCUGAUCCCUUGUGGACCACCAAAUCCUUUGUUAGAUUAUUAUCCGACAGUGCCCUCAUAUUUAAUCACCUUGUGAGUUCUUUCCCUGAUACAUAAUGCCUUUAGUAAAUUGUAUCCUCUCGUUUUGACACCUGCUCUACUAUCGAGCUUGAGUUAUUUACUCCUGAAGCUUGUGGUAUAUGUUUCCACGAUGCCCCGAUGGGUUGAACCUAUGCCUUUCAUAAUAUGUGUGAACUCGAAAGUUUUCAUGAGUCAUACUCUUCUGGUAUUUUGCCAGAUAAAAAUUUUCAACACUGCAACUUCAUCAAAUGCGAGAAGUGAAUGAAAGGUUAUGCAUUGAAGAAGUGGGAGUCGACCUUGAACUUUGCGUUCAUGCCCAUGGACACGAUGUAGAUCUUAUCAUUAAAGCUUUUCUUAAAUUAAUUAUUCCCUUGGUAUAAGUUCAUCUUAUAUCUGGGAUCUGGCCUUUUGCAAUCGUUGUUCCGACCAUGUAAUCCUUUAAACACCAUUUCUCGUACAAGUUAGGCACUUGUCUUCUGCAGAGCAAUACCCCAGUCCAACCUCUACUUUGGUUUGUCGUCGAGUAUUACCCCCCUGGUAUCUCGAGAUUAUCACGGAACUGCAUAACUUAUUAUGAGUUCUCCAUCAAGUGCUACAUUCUCAUUGAUUCCAAUUUUUCACGGGCUUCGAGUUUUUAAACACUCAAAACCACCGAUAGCUGAAUCGAGUCCGCACUGCGAUUAAACAACUCUUAGUAAUCUUCUUUACUUAUGAGUUUGUACCCGAUCACGUCAUUCCUAGCCUGAUUGGCUACAUCAAUAUCGUUCAACUUUUCAACUGUGUGCUACCUGGUCCUUAAUCCCGAAGCAUGACUUUCGACGAUGAGCUAAGCUUACGUUGAUCUUUCUCGUCAUAUCAUUUCACCUGAACAACAAGCUUGAUUUCGAGUUUGUGUCGUACCCAUGGUUCCAAUAACCUUUCGCUUUCAUCAUUCCUUUGACUUGAUGUCAUCGUCGAUCAAUUUCAUCUUCUUGAAAACCUCUCGACAAAUUUGCCGUGAUCAUUGUCAACAAUUUGACUUCUUCCAAGUUGCGUGUCGAAAUUCAGGAUGAGAAAUACCAUCCUUGCCCCUCGAUGAAUUGUGUUAUCAUCGACAACAUUCUUUCCUUCCCCCCAACACAAACUUGUUCAUAUUUUGUGUUGUAUCUUGACUUCCCUGCUAUCCAACCUAUGUUAUGUUCUACCGUGGAGUAUUACCAUCUUUGAUGUCAAGAAUGUCGUGAGCAUUACUCCACCUCUUAAGAAUUCUUGGUACAGUGAUACUUCUCCCCAUCACCAUUCUUUCUUGGUCCCCGUGUUGUUUCUAAAAGGAAUACCGACAAAUGGUCUGUGAUGUGUAAAUUCUAAACUUCUAGCAACCCUAUUGCUUUGAAGUUAUUGGUCUAUAGUUUCAUUCUACGUCUAUGGCUUAAUGAAUCAUCAUUCGAACAUUGAUUGUGCUACCUAGCCCAUAUUUUGGGUGCACAUUUCAACCAAUGUUUAACUGUGUAUGUUUUCCUCGAGCAUACAUCAUUAAGUCAUUCGAUCUAGCUAAUGUUAUCUCCUUGUUCACAUAGUGGUGGAAAUCCAUCUUUUGGAAAUCUCAAUGGAUUGUCGCUGAGUCAAUCAGUCACCUCCUCACCUCUCCUUGAUGUAAUGAUUAACCCUUGUUCGGAACUCGCUUCCAUAGUUCAUCUCCCGAGAAUCUUCGAUGUCGUUUCGACAAUUUGUGUUGCACCUUUCUUCUCAGGCAUCCUGAGUCUGAGUUAUCUUGACACCAAUCAGAUCUGAAUCUCAGUCAGAUAUGAUGGUUGGAACAUAUUUCCAAGAGUUAUAACAUUGGCCUAUUUAUGACCCGGUAAGGUGAUGACAUGCCAAACACACCUGGCCGGAGGACCUAUUGUUAUAAGAUUUCCUUUUAGCAAGGUUAGCUAUUCUUUCAUGAGGAAAUUGUAAGACUUAUUCUACAAGUUGUUCGUGAUGGAUCCUUCCUGUAUCCAAAGUCUGACCUUUGCUUGAAGACCAUGUCAAUGCUAUCCCGAAGCAUGUCUGUGGUACUCCGAUUUUCGACAAGAACAUUUGAAGCCCAAUGCUAAAUGUUUUCUUGCUCAAUUAUCCAAACACCGUUGUAUGGGUAAUGUCAUGAAAUUUCUCUCCCCUUACCUAAAGAGUUUUCUACAUUAUAUCCUGUCAUGGAUAUCAUGCUCUGCUUGUCCUUGGGAAGGAUAUACCCUUGAAAUAUGUGUUUAAACACAUUUUCCUUUCCAUUGUUCUGUUUAAUCUGAUAAUCUUAUUUUCCUUUCCAGUGGUUGGUUUAACGUUUCUGGUGAUCAUUAUGAUCUAAGCAGUAUUAAUCCCCUGCUUGUGCAAACACCUCGGUGUACAACUCUGUCAGUAAGACCCUGUUACUAUUGUUGGUGGCAUUCCGGUAACCACCGAUGGAUGAGAACUUUGCCUAUUGGUCCGCCUCGUUUCAACGAGCAGGAAAAUGGUUCUCUUCGUCCCUCGCCCUUGGUACCAACGUUGUUGCCAACAUAACUGACAGGCUACCCUCUGACAUGUCUUGCUAUCAUGACCGUGUAAGAUGCCAACGACCUUCCUACUUUUAACCACAUGGUGGGCCAAUAACCCAUAGUUCCACAGGAUCGAAACCUGACUCUCCUGUACCCCCAUGUUGCCAAAGUUAUUCCUCGCGCUUGAUUUCGUAUAUAAUCAUGGGUCAUCUUCCUAGUAAUAUACUUUGGUAUCAGACGCAAUAAUUCUCGUUGAUCUGGACCCCUUUCACACUUUGUUCGGGCAUCGAACGAUUGCCGACCCGCUUAAACUUCUCAUAGUACCUUCUUACUUUGCUCUCGAAAUUUUCUUAAGUUCCAGUUCGAGAGUUACUUUCCGCCACCUUCCCCUGAUGUUAGCUACCAGGUAGUCAACCUUGCAGAGGUCCGUUCUUCCGGAAUAACCACCCUUUAUUCUUUCGUAAGUACGAUGGAGUUCCCGAAGAAAGGAUGACGACUUGAUCAUGGUGACUUGAAGCAGAGAAAUGAAGACAUCAACCUAAUGGAUCAACCUCUUCGAGAAGAGCAACCAAGACCGAGAAGAAUCGUUAGAAUUUCGUAACCUAUUCUUCCCCCUUACUCCCCUCUUAAAUCUCGGGACGAGAUUUCUUGUAGUGGAGGAGAAUUGUGACGCCCGGAUAAUUAAGCUACAGUAACUUUCUACUAAUGAUGCCACGUCACCUCGAUUACUGUUGCUAAUCUCACGUUAGUUCGAAACUGACUCAAAUUCAAAUUCAAAAUCAAGCAAACAAUAAAAGUUUUCAAAUAUUAAAACUAAAAUGUACGGGGUGAGCCAAAUAAUCCAUACUAAAUAUUGGUGUAGAAACCACACUCCUCUAAAGUAUUUAAAUGCACCAUAGUAAUUAAAACAGCGGCAAAACUGUUAUUUGAUAAAUACUUUUAAAUAAUAAAUAAUUACAAAACUAUUUUAUUUAGGUGCCAAAGUUAAUGUGGCAGUAGUAUAUUUAUAAAUACAAAUUUAGGUGCUAGUGUUAAUUUUUAUAAAACUGAAAUAAAAAGGAACAAAAAUAAAACAGAAAAAAAGGAAAAGACUAAACAAAGAAAUAAAGUCAAACAAGAGAAAAGAGAAAAAGCCCACCCCCCGGCCAACUGGNNNNNNNNNNNNNNNNNNNNNNNNNNNNNNNNNNNNNNNNNNNNNNNNNNNNNNNNNNNNNNNNNNNNNNNNNNNNNNNNNNNNNNNNNNNNNNNNNNNNNNNNNNNNNNNNNNNNNNNNNNNNNNNNNNNNNNNNNNNNNNNNNNNNNNNNNNNNNNNNNNNNNNNNNNNNNNNNNNNNNNNNNNNNNNNNNNNNNNNNNNNNNNNNNNNNNNNNNNNNNNNNNNNNNNNNNNNNNNNNNNNNNNNNNNNNNNNNNNNNNNNNNNNNNNNNNNNNNNNNNNNNNNNNNNNNNNNNNNNNNNNNNNNNNNNNNNNNNNNNNNNNNNNNNNNNNNNNNNNNNNNNNNNNNNNNNNNNNNNNNNNNNNNNNNNNNNNNNNNNNNNNNNNNNNNNNNNNNNNNNNNNNNNNNNNNNNNNNNNNNNNNNNNNNNNNNNNNNNNNNNNNNNNNNNNNNNNNNNNNNNNNNNNNNNNNNNNNNNNNNNNNNNNNNNNNNNNNNNNNNNNNNNNNNNNNNNNNNNNNNNNNNNNNNNNNNNNNNNNNNNNNNNNNNNNNNNNNNNNNNNNNNNNNNNNNNNNNNNNNNNNNNNNNNNNNNNNNNNNNNNNNNNNNNNNNNNNNNNNNNNNNNNNNNNNNNNNNNNNNNNNNNNNNNNNNNNNNNNNNNNNNNNNNNNNNNNNNNNNNNNNNNNNNNNNNNNNNNNNCUCGACGCACUGGUCGCGCCCCCGGCGCGCCCCCGGCGCGCCCCGCCCCCGUUCUCACGCAACUUCCCCGGCCCCGGCCUCACUCUGCAGCUCCUCCGCUGCCUGGCCACGCCCGGCGCCGGCUCCCCUCGCCCCUGUCCAUGACCGCCUUGGCCGAGGCCAGCCGCCGCUCGGCUCCCUUCCGCUCCGGCCACUUCGGCCACGGCAUCGCCCAGCUCUGGCAUCGUCGUGCCUCGCUGUCCGCCCCGCUCUGUCGCCCCCUUGCCGCGCUGCUCCGGCUGCCGCCGUGGCCGGCGGCCCCUUGUUAGCCUCGGGCCUCCAAGCGGGCGCACGUUCCACCCGCGCCCGUAACCGCACCCCCAGUGCCCGUCAAGGCCCCUGGGGCCUAUGACAAACGGGGCCCACUGCCCAGAACAUUUUUAUAAAAAAAAUUAAAAAAAUUAAAAAAUAUAUAAUAACAACAAUAAAAAUAUUAAUUAAUUAAUUAAUUAAAGAAUUAAUUAACUUAAUUAAUCAUAAUUAGAAUAACCUAAUCACUAGUUAACUUAAUUAAACCCUGUUUAGCCUAAUCUGUCAAUGACACGGGGGCCCCACCCCCUGUUGACCAGUCAAACAUUGACUGGUCAACUGGGUCCCCCUGGCCCACAUGUCAGCCCCUGUGUAAACUGCUGUGUACACAGGGCUGGGUACAUUUAGCAAUUUCUCUUUUAUUUUCAAAUUAAAAUAAAUCCUGGAAAUUUAGAAAAUCAUUUAAACUUAUAAAAAUCAUAUAAAAUAAUCCGUAACUCGGAUGAAAAUACUUUGUACAUGAAAGUUGCUUAGAACGACGAGACGAAUCCGAAUACGCAACCUGUUCGCCAGCCACGCGUCCCUAGCAUAGCGAACCUGCAACAUUUCACCUCCGGUUCAUCUGUCCGAAAACGCGAAACACCAGGGAUAUUUUCCCGGAUGUUUCCCCCUUCGUCGGUAUCACCUACUACCGCGUUAGGGCACACCUAGCACCGCGUAUUGUCAUGUCACGCUUUGUGUUGCUUUGAUUGCUCUGUUAUUUAUUGUGUUCCCCCUCCGUUACUUCUUUCCGGUAGACCCCGAGACUACCGGCGACCCCCAGUUCGACUACGGAGUUGACGACCCCUCCUACUUGCCAGAGCAACCAGGCAAGCCCCCCCCUUGAUCACCGGAUAUCGCCUAUUCCUUCUCUAUACUGCUUGCAUUAGAGUAGUGUAGCAUGUUACUGCUUUCGGUUAAUCCUAUACUGAUGCAUAGCAUGUCAUUGUUGCUACAAUUGUUACCCUUACCUGCUAUCCUACUGCUUAGUAUAGGAUGCUAGUGUUCCAUCAGUGGCCCUACACUCUUGUCCGUCUGCCAUGCUAUACUACUGGGCCGUGAUCACUUCGGGAGGUGAUCACGGGUUUAUAUUAUAUACAUUAUAUACAUGACACAUGUGGUGACUAAAGUCGGGUCGGCUCGAGGAGUACCCGCAAGUGAUUCUGAUGAGGGGGCUGAAAGGACAGGUGGCUCCACCCCGGUAGAGGUGGGCCUGGGUUCCUGACGGCCCCCGACUGUUACUUUGUGGCGGAGCGACAGGGCAGGUUGAGACCACCUAGGAGAGAGGUGGGCCUGGCCCUGGUCGGCGUUCACAGAUACUUAACACGCUUAACGAGAUCUUGGUAUUUGAUCUGAGUCUGGCCAUUUGGUCUAUAUGAACUAACCAGCUACGCGGGAACAGUUAUGGGCACUCGACGUCGUGGUAUCAGCCGAAGCUCUUCUUGACGUCAGCGACGGAGCGGCGCGCGCCGAAUUGGACUGGAACGCCUGCUAGGCUAGGUCUGCUUCCGGCCGCCCUCGCAACGUGCAGGUGUGCAAUGGGCGAUGGGCCCAGACCCCUGCGUGCAUAGGAUUUAGACCGGCGUGCUGACCUCUCUAUUGAGCCUAGGUGGGGUUGCGACGUGUUGAUCUUCCGAGGCCGGGCAUGACCCAGAAAAGUGUGUCCGGCCAAAUGGGAUCGAGCGUGUUGGGUUAUGUGGUGCACCCCUGUAGGGAAGUUUAUCUAUUCGAAUAGCCGUGUCCCUCGGUAAAAGGACGACCCGGAGUUGUACCUUGACCUUAUGACAACUAGAACCGGAUACUGAAUAAAAUACACCCUUCCAAGUGAUAGAUACAACCCGGUGAUCGCUCUCUAACAGGGCGACGAGGAGGGGAUCGCCGGGUAGGAUUAUGCUAUGCGAUGCUACUUGGAGGACUUCAAUCUACUCUCCUCUACAUCCUGCAAGAUGGAGAUGGCCAGAAGCGUAGUCUUCGACAGGACUAGCUAUCCCCCUCUUAUUCUGGCAUUCUGCAGUUCAGUCCACCGAUAUGGCCCUUUACACAUAUACCCAUGCAUAUGUAGUGUAGCUCCUUGCUUGCGAGUACUUUGGAUGAGUACUCACGGUUGCUUUUCUCCCUCUUUUCCCCUUUCUAUACCUGGUUGUCGCAACCAGAUGCUGGAGCCCAGGAGCCAGACGCCACCGUCGACGACGACUCGUACUACACUGGAGGUGCCUGCUACUACGUGCAGCCCGCUGACGACGACCAGGAGUUAGUUAGGAGGAUCCCAGGCAGGAGGCCUGCGCCUUGUUCGAUCUGUCUCCCAGUUUGUGCUAGCCUUCUUAAGGCAAUCCUGUUUAACUUAUGUCUGUACUCAGAUAUUGUUGCUUCCGCUGACUCGUCUAUGAUCGAGAACUUGUAUUCGAGCCCUCGAGGCCCCUGGCUUGUAUUAUGAUGCUUGUAUGACUUAUUUUAUUUUUUGAGUUGUGUUGUGAUAUCUUCCCGUGAGUCCCUGAUCUUGAUCGUACACGUUUGCGUGUAUGAUUAGUGUACGGUCAAAUCGGGGGCGUCACAGUUGGAUAGAGGAAGACGAGUAGCAUCAAAACAACGUCUGGUUAUAGUAAGAAGAGGCAGGGGAGGUAUGCCAACAAAUAGAGGAGUGAAACCUCCAACCGAGAAGAACCGGCAUAACCUCCAACAUCGAAAACAUCAUAGAAGAUGCGAGUGAACUCCGUUUUCGAUGAACUCGAGCUUGUCAUCAAGAUGACCAUAAGCUCCAAAACUCACAAAGAGAAGAACCAAUAAAGAUGAUGCAAGGAUGCAAUGGUUUGAGCUCUCUAUGAACGAUACGAUCAAGCUACUCAUCGAGAGCCCCCCUUGAUAGUACGGCAAUCGAUCCUAUAACCCGGUCUCCCAACUACCAUCUUGAGACCGGUAAAAUAGAAAACCUAUCAAGAGCAAACCUUUGCCUUGCACAUGGUCCAGUUGAGCUAGAUGAUGACGAUCUUGACUCCCUCAAGUUGGACCACCUUUCUUGGUUGCGUUGGCUCGAUGAAGACUAGUUGAUUGCUCCCCCAGCUCCUGAAGGAAAUAUGCCCUAGAGGCAAUAAUAAAGUAUUAUUUAUUUCCUUAUAUCAUGAUAAAUGUUUAUUAUUCAUGCUAGAAUUGUAUUAACCGGAAACAUAAUACAUGUGUGAAUACAUAGACAAACAGUGUGUCACUAGUAUGCCUCUACUUGACUAGCUCGUUAAUCAAAGAUGGUUAUGUUUCCUAGCCAUAGACAUGAGUUGUCAUUUGAUUAACGAGAUCACCUCAUUAGGAGAAUGACGUGAUUGACUUGACCCAUUCAGUUAGCUUAGCACCCGAUCGUUUAGUAUGUUGCUAUUGCUUUCUUCAUGACUUAUACAUGUUCCUAUGACUAUGAGAUUAUGCAACUCCCGUUUACCGGAGGAACACUUUGUGUGCUACCAAACGUCACAACGUAAAUGGGUGAUUAUAAAGGUGCUCUACAGGUGUCUCCAAAGGUACUUGUUGGGUUGGCGUAUUUCGAGAUUAGGAUUUGUCACUCCGAUUGUCGGAGAGGUAUCUCUGGGCCCACUCGGUAAUGCAUAUCACUAUAAGCCUUGCAAGCAUUGUGACUAAUGAGUUAGUUGCGGGAUGAUGUAUUACGGAACGAGUAAAGAGACUUGCCGGUAACGAGAUUGAACUAGGUAUCGAGAUACCGACGAUCGAAUCUCGGGCAAGUAACAUACCGAUGACAAAGGGAACAACGUAUGUUGUUAUGCGGUUUGACCGAUAAAGAUCUUCGUAGAAUAUGUGGGAGCCAAUAUGAGCAUCCAGGUUCCGCAAUUGGUUAUUGACCGGAGAGGUGUCUCGGUCAUGUCUACAUAGUUCUCGAACCCGUAGGGUCCGCACGCUUAACGUUACGAUGGCAGUUUUAUUAUGAGUUUAUGUAUGUUGAUGUACCGAAGGAGUUCGGAGUCCCGGAUGAGAUCGGGGACAUGACGAGGAGUCUCAAAAUGGUCGAGACGUAAAGAUCAAUAUAUUGGACGACUAUAUUCGGACUUCGGAAAGGUUCCGAGUGAUUCGGGUAUUUUUCGGAGUACCGGAGAGUUACGGGAAUUCGUAUUGGGCCUUAAUGGGCCAUACGGGAAAGGAGAGAAAGACCCCAAAGGGUGGCCGCACCCCUCCCCAUGGGCUAAUCCGAAUUGGACUAGGGAGGUGGGGCGCCCCCUUCCUUCUUUCUCCUUCCCCCUUCCCUUCUCCUACUCCCACAAGGAAAGGAGGAGUCCUACUCCCGGUGGGAGUAGGACUCCCCCCUUGGGCGCGCCACCUCCCCUUAGCCGGCCCUCUCCUCCUUGCUCCUUUAUAUACGGGGGCAGGGGGGCACCCCAAGGACACACAAUUGAUGUACGAUAUUUUAGCCGUGUGCAGUGCCCCCCUCCACCAUAUUACACCUUGAUAAUAUCGUUGCGGAGCUUAGGCGAAGCCCUGCGUCGGUAGAACAUCAUCAUCGUCACCACGCCGUCGUGCUGACAAAACUCUCCCUCAACACUCGGCUAGAUCGGAGUUCGAGGGACGUCAUCGAGCUGAACGUGUGCUGAUCUCGGAGGUGCCGUGCGUUCGGUACUUGAUCGGUCGGAUCGUGAAGACGUACGACUACAUCAACCGCGUUGUGAUAACGCUUCCGCUGUCGGUCUACGAGGGUACGUGGACAACACUCUCCCCUCUUGUUGCUAUGCAUCACCAUGAUCUUGCGUGUUCGUAGGAAAUUUUUUGAAAUUACUACGUUCCCCAACAGUGGCAUCCGAGCCUGGUUUUCUGCGUUGAUGCUAUGCACGAGUAGAACACAAGUGAGUUGUGGGCGAUAUAAGUCAUACUGCUUACCAGCAUGCCAUAAUUUGGUUCAGCGGUAUUGUGAGAUGAAGCGGCCCGGACCGACAUUACGCGUACGCUUACGCGAGACUGGUUUCACCGUUGGGAGCACUCGUUGCUUAAAGGUGACUGGCGGGUGUCUGUCUCUCUCACUUUAGUUGAACCGAGUGUGGCUACGCCCGGUCGUUGCGAAGGUUAAAACAACACCAACUUGACAAACUAUCGUUGUGGUUUUGAUGCGUAGGUAAGAACGGUUCUUGCUAAGCCCGUAGCAGCCACGUAAAACUUGCAACAACAAAGUAGAGGACGUCUAACUUGUUUUUGCAGGGCAUGUUGUGAUCUGAUAUGGUCAAGACAUGAUGCUAUAUUUUAUUGUAUGAGAUGAUCAUGUUUUGUAACCGAGUUAUCGGCAACUGGCAGGAGCCAUAUGGUUGUCGCUUUAUUGUAUGAAAUGCAAUCGCCAUGUAAUAGUUUUACUUUAUCACUAAGCGGUAGCGAUAGUCGUAAAAGCAUUAAGUUGGCGAGACGACAACGAUACUACGAUGGAGAUCAAGGUGUCGCGCCGGUGACGAUGGUAAUCAUGACGGUGCUUCGGAGAUGGAGAUCACAAGCACGGUGCUACGGAGAUGGAGAUCACAAGCACAAGAUGAUGGCCAUAUCAUAUCACUUAUAUUGAUUGCAUGUGAUGUUAAUCUUUUAUGCAUCUUAUCUUGCUUUGAUUGACGGUAGCAUUAUAAGAUGAUCUCUCACUAAAAUUUCAAGAUAAAAGUGUUCUCCCUAAGUAUGCACCGUUGCGAAAGUUCUUCGUGCUGAGACACCACGUGACGAUCGGGUGUGAUAGGCUCUACGUUCAAAUACAACGGGUGCAAAACAGUUGCACACGCGGAAUACUCAGGUUAAACUUGACGAGCCUAGCAUAUGCAGAUAUGGCCUCGGAACACGGAGACCGAAAGGUCGAGCGUGAAUCAUAUAGUAGAUAUGAUCAACAUAGUGAUGUUCACCAUUGAAACUACUCCAUCUCACGUGAUGAUCGGACAUGGUUUAGUUGAUAUGGAUCACGUGAUCACUUAGAGGAUUAGAGGGAUGUCUAUCUAAGUGGGAGUUCUUAAGUAAUAUGAUUAACUGAACUUAAAUUUAUCAUGAACUUAGUCCUGAUAGUAUUUUGCAAAUUAUGUUGUAGAUCAAUAGCUCGCGUUGUUGCUUCCCUGUGUUUAUUUUUGAUAUGUUCCUAGAGAAAAAUUAUGUUGAAAGAUGUUAGUAGCAAAGAUGCGGAUUGGAUCCGUGAUCUGAGGAUUAUCCUCAUUGCUGCACAGAAAAAUUAUGUCCUUGAUGCACCGCUAGGUGACAGACCUAUUGCAGGAGCAGAUGCAGACGUUAUGAACGUUUGGCUAGCUCAAUAUGAUGACUACUUGAUAGUUUAGUGCACCAUGCUUAAACGGCUUAGAAUCGGGACUUCAAAGACGUUUUGAACGUCAUGGACCAUAUAAGAUGUUCCAGGAGUUGAAGUUAAUAUUUCAAGCAAAUACCCGAGUUGAGAGAUAUGAAGUCUCCAACAAGUUCUAUAGCUAAAAGAUGGAGGAGAAUCGCUCAACUAGUGAGCAUGUGCUCAGAUUGUCUGGGUACUACAAUCGCUUGAAUCAAGUGGGAGUUAAUCUUCUAGAUAAAAUAGUGAUUGACAGAAUUCUCUAGUCACCAUCACCAAGUUAGUAGAACUUCGUGAUGAACUAUAGUAUGCAAGGGAUGAUGAAAGUAAUUCCCGAGCUCUUCGUGAUGCUGAAAUCGACGAAGGUAGAAAUCAAGAAAAACAUCAAGUGUUGAUGGUUGACGAGACCACUAGUUUCAAGAAAAGGGCAAAGGGAAGAAGGGGAACUUCAAGAAGAACGGCAAGCAAGUUGCUGCUCAAGUGAAGAAGCCUAAGUCUGGUCCUAAGCCUGAGACUAAGUGCUUCUACUGCAAAGGGACUGGUCACUGGAAGCGGAACUACCCCAACUAUUUGGUGGAUAAGAAGGAUGGCAAAGUGAACAAAGGUAUAUUGGAUAUACAUGUUAUUGAUGUGUACUUUACUAGUGUUUAUAGCAACCCCUCGGUAUUUGAUACUGGUUCAGUUGCUAAGAGUAGUAACUCGAAACGGGAGUUGCAGAAUAAACAGAGACUAGUAAAAGGCGAGGUGACGAUGUGUGUUGGAAGUAGUUCCAAGAUUGAUAGGAUCAUCAUCGCACACUCCCUGUACUUUCGGGAUUAGUGUUGAAACUAAAUAAGUGUUAUUUGGUGUUUGUGUUGAGCAUGAAUAUGAUUUGAUCAUGUUUUUUGCAAUACGGUUAUUCAUUUAAGUUAGAGAACAAUUGUUGUUCUGUUUACAUGAAUAAAAACCUUCUAUGGUCAUACACACCAACGAAAAUGGUUUGUUGGAUCUCGAUCGUAGUGAUACACAUAAUCAUAAUAUUGAAGCCAAAAGAUGCAAAGUUAAUAAUGAUAGUGCAACUUAUUUGUGGCACUGCCGUUUAGGUCAUAUUGGUGUAAAGCGCAUGAAGAAACUCCAUACUGAUGGGAUUUUGGAAUCACUUGAUUAUGAAACACUUGAUGCUUGCGAUCCGUGCCUCAUGGGCAAGAUGACUAAAACGCCAUUCUCCGGAACUAUGGAGAGAGCAACAGAUUUGUUGGAAAUCAUACAUACAGAUGUAUGUGGCCCGAUGAAUAUUGAGGCUCGUAGCAGGUAUCAUUAUUUUCUGACCUUCACAGAUGAUUUGAGCAGAUAUGGGUAUAUCUACUUAAUGAAACAGAAGUCUGAAACAUUUGAAAAGUUCAUAUAAUUUCAGAGUGAAGUAGAAAAUCAUCGUAACAAGAAAAUAAAGUUUCUACGAUCUGAUCGCGGAGACAAAUAUUUGAGUUACGAGUUUGGUGUUCAAUUAAAACAAUGUGGAAAUAGUUUCACAAAUUCGUGCCACCUGGAACACCAUAGCAUAAUGGUGUGUCCGAACGUCAUAACCGUACUUUAUUGGAUAUAGUGCAAUCUAUGAUGUCUCUUACUAAUUUACCACUAUCGUUUUGGGAUUAUGCAUUAGAGACAUCUACAUUCACGUUAAAUAGGGCACCAUCAAAAUCCGUUGAGACGACGCCUUAUGAACUGAGGUUUGGCAAGAAACCAAAGUUGUCGUUUCUUAGAGUUUGGGGUUGCAAUGCUUGUGUGAAAAAGUUUCAUCCUGAUAAAGCUCAAACCCAAAUCGGAGAAAUGUGUCUUCAUAGGAUACCCAAAGGAGACAGUUGGGUACACCUUCUAUCACAGAUCCGAAGGCAAGACAUUCGUUGCUUAGUAUGGAUCCUUUCUAGAGAAGGAGUUUCUCUCGAAAGAAGUGAGUGGGAGGAAAGUAGAACUUGAUGAGGUAACUGUACCUGCUCCCUUAUUGGAAAGUAGUUCAUCACAGAAAUCUGUUCCUGUGACUCCUACACCAAUUAGUGAGGAAGUUAAUGAUGAUGAUCAUGUAACUUCAGAUCAAGUUACUACCAAACCUCGUAGGUAAACCAGAGUGAGAUCCACACCAGAGUGGUACGGUAAUCCUGUUCUGGAGGUCAUGUUAUUUGACCAUGACGAACCUACGAACUAUGAGGAAGCGAUGAUGAGCCCAGAUUCCGCAAAAUGGCUUGAGGCCAUGAAAUCUGAGAUGAGAUCCAUGUAUGAGAACAAAGUAUGGACUUUGAUUGACUUGCCCAAUGAUAGGCGAGCCAUUGAGAUUAAAUGGAUCUUCAAGAGGAGGACAGACGCUGAUAGUAGUGUUACUAUCUACAAAGCUAGAAUUGUCGCAAAAGGUUUUUCGACAAGUUCAAGGUGUUGACUACGAUGAGAGAGUUUCUCACUCGUAUCUAUGCUUAAAGUCGGUCUGAAUCAUGUCAGCAAUUGCCGCAUUUUAUGAAAUCUGGCAAAUGGAUAAACAAAACUACAUUCCUUAAUGGAUUUAUUAAAGAAGAGUUGUAUAUGAUGCAACCAGGAGGUUUUGUCAAUCCUAAAAGUGCUAACAAAAUAUGCAAGCUCCAGCGAUCCAUCUAUGGACUGGUGCAAGCAUCUCGGAGUUGGAAUAUACGCUUUGAUAAGUUGAUCAAAGGAUAUAGUUUUAUACAGACUUGCGGUGAAGCCUGUAUUUACAAGAAAGUGAGUGGGAGCACUACAACAUUUCUGAUAAGUAUAUGUGAAUGACAUAUUGUUAAUCAGAAAUAAUGUAGAAUUAUUCUGCAAAGCAUAAAGGAGUGUUUGAAAGGAGUUUUUCAAAGAUAGACCUCGGUGAAGCUGCUUACAUAUUGAGCAUCAAGAUCUAUAGAGAUAGAUGAAGACGCUUGAUAAGUUUUUCAAUGAGUACAUACCUUAACAAGAUUUUGAAGUAGUUCAAAAUAGAACAGACAAAGAAAGAGUUCUUGCCUGUGUUACAAGGUGUGAAAUUGAGUAAAGACUCAAAGCCCGACCACGGCAAAAGAUAGAAAGAGAAUGAAAAUCAUUCCCUAUGCCUUGGCCAUAGGUUCUAUAAAGUAUGCCAUGUUGUGUACCAGAUCUAUUGUAUACCCUACACUGAUUUUGGCAAGGGAGUACAAUAGUGAUCUAGGAGUAGAUCACUGGACAGCGGUCAAAAUUAUCCUUAGUGGAAUAAGGAUAUGUUUCUCGAUUAUGGAAGUGACAAAAGGUUCGUCGUAAAGGGUUACGUCGAUGCAAGUUUUGACACUAAAUCUAGAUGACUCUAAGUCUCGGUCUAGAUACAUAUUGAAAGUGGGAGCAAUUAGCUAGAGUAGCUCCGUGCAAAGCAUUGUAGACAUAGAAAUUUACAAAAUACUUACGGAUCUGAAUGUGACAGACCCGUUGACUAAAAUUAUCUCACAAUCAAAACAUGAUCACACCUUAGUACUCUUUGGGUGUUAAUCACAUAGCAAUGUGAACUAGAUUAUUGACUCUAGUAAACCCUUUGAGUGUUGGUCACAUAGAGAUGUGAACUAUGGGUGUGAAUCACAUGGUGAUGUGAAUUAUUAAUGUUAAAUCACAUGGCGAUGUGAACUAAAUUAUUGACUCUAGUGCAAGUGGGAGACUGAAGGAAAUAUGCCCUAGAGGCAAUAAUAAAGUAUUAUUUAUUUCCUUAUAUCAUGAUAAAUGUUUAUUAUUCAUGCUAGAAUUGUAUUAACCGGAAACAUAAUACAUGUGUGAAUACAUAGACAAACAGUGUGUCACUAGUAUGCCUCUACUUGACUAGCUCGUUAAUCAAAGAUGGUUAUGUUUCCUAGCCAUAGACAUGAGUUGUCAUUUGAUUAACGAGAUCACCUCAUUAGGAGAAUGACGUGAUUGACUUGACCCAUUCAGUUAGCUUAGCACCCGAUCGUUUAGUAUGUUGCUAUUGCUUUCUUCAUGACUUAUACAUGUUCCUAUGACUAUGAGAUUAUGCAACUCCCGUUUACCGGAGGAACACUUUGUGUGCUACCAAACGUCACAACGUAAAUGGGUGAUUAUAAAGGUGCUCUACAGGUGUCUCCAAAGGUACUUGUUGGGUUGGCGUAUUUCGAGAUUAGGAUUUGUCACUCCGAUUGUCGGAGAGGUAUCUCUGGGCCCACUCGGUAAUGCACAUCACUAUAAGCCUUGCAAGCAUUGUGACUAAUGAGUUAGUUGCGGGAUGAUGUAUUACGGAACGAGUAAAGAGACUUGCCGGUAACGAGAUUGAACUAGGUAUCGAGAUACCGACGGUCGAAUCUCGGGCAAGUAACAUACCGAUGACAAAGGGAACAACGUAUGUUGUUAUGCAGUUUGACCGAUAAAGAUCUUCGUAGAAUAUGUGGGAGCCAAUAUGAGCAUCCAGGUUCCGCAAUUGGUUAUUGACUGGAGAGGUGUCUCGGUCAUGUCUACAUAGUUCUCGAACCCGUAGGGUCCGCACGCUUAACGUUACGAUGACAGUUUUAUUAUGAGUUUAUGUAUGUUGAUGUACCGAAGGAGUUAGGAGUCCCGGAUGAGAUCGGGGACAUGAUGAGGAGUCUCGAAAUGGUCGAGACGUAAAGAUCGAUAUAUUGGACGACUAUAUUCGGACUUCGGAAAGGUUCCGAGUGAUUCGGGUAUUUUUCGGAGUACCGGAGAGUUACGGGAAUUCGUAUUGGGCCUUAAUGGGCCAUACGGGAAAGGAGAGAAAGACCCCAAAGGGUGGCCGCACCCCUCCCGAAUUGGACUAGGGAGGGGGCGCGCCCCCUUCCUUCUUUCUCCUUCCCCCUUCCCUUCUCCUACUCCCACAAGGAAAGGAGGAGUCCUACUCCCGGUGGGAGUAGGACUCCCCCCUUGGGCGCGCCACCUCCCCUUGGCCGGCCCUCUCCUCCUUGCUCCUUUAUAUACGGGGGCAGGGGGGCACCCCAAGGACACACAAUUGAUAUACGAUAUUUUAGCCGUGUGCGGUGCCCCCCUCCACCAUAUUACACCUCAAUAAUAUAGUUGCGGAGCUUAGGCGAAGCCCUGCGUCGGUAGAACAUCAUCAUCGUCACCACGUCGUCGUGCUGACGAAACUCUCCCUCAACACUCGGCUGGAUCGGAGUUCGAGGGACGUCAUCGAGCUGAACGUGUGCUGAACUCGAAGGUGCCGUGCGUUCGGUACUUGAUCGGUCGGAUCGUGAAGACGUACGACUACAUCAACCGCGUUGUGAUAACGCUUCCGCUGUCGGUCUACGAGGGUACGUGGACAACACUCUCCCCUCUUGUUGCUAUGCAUCACCAUGAUCUUGCGUGUUCGUAGGAAAUUUUUUGAAAUUACUACGUUCCCCAACAGCUCCACUAUGGGUGAGCCACUCUUCCGCACAUCUUCACAAGUCCAUCGUCACCACAAUGGACGGCAAGCUUCAAGCAUUUGAUCUCUUCAUGAUGCUUCACUUGAACUUGCACACCGCAACAUCUUCACAAGUCCAUUGUCACCACAAUGGACGGCAAGCUUCAAGCAUUUGGUCUCUUCAUGAUGCUUCACUUGAACUUGCACACCGCAACCUAACCCCACAAAGAACUCUCACGAAGAUCAUGGGUUAGUACACAAAGCGUAAUUGACAAUGCUUACCACACCAUGGGAUCGCUUGAUCCCUCUCGGUACAUUUUCUGCGCUUUGUGAGUUGAUCAAGUUGAUUCACUCUUGACUUAGUCUUGAUCAACCAUGAAUCUUUCCAACUCUCUUCAUUUGGAUGAUGUCUUGAAGAUAUACAUGAAUGAUCACACAAUCUUCUUCUCCAAGACAUGCUUGCAAUAAGCUCAACUCUCACAUGACCAAUCUUUGGAUAAUUCCUUAAUAACACCUUGGUCACCACAUAAACUCCUUGAAACCAACACAUGAACUUCAAGAAAUGCCUAUGGACAAAUCCUUCAAAUAUAACUCAGGGCAACCAUUAGUCCAUAGAGAUUGUCAUCAAUUACCAAAACCAAACAUGGGGGCACCGCAUGUUCUUUCACUCAUCUACUACCUUGACAACUUCCAGGAUCAAGAAGGUGAGGGACGUCACCGAGCUGAACAUGUGCAGAACUCGGAGGUGUCGUACGUUCGGCACUUGAUCGGUCGGAGCUAGAAGAAGUUUGACUACAUCAACCGCAUCGCCAAACGCUUCCGCUUACGGUCUACGAGGGUACGUAGACACACUCUCCCCCUCAUUGCUAUGCAUCUCCAUGGAUAGAUCAUUCCGUGUGCGUAGAAUUUUUUUUGUUUUCCAUGCAACGUUUCCCAACAAGAACACCAUAUGAUCCAACUAUAUUAACAAAGCUCGCAGUACAUCAAAAUCAUGCCACACGAGAAGAGAUCAAACAUAUAGCUACUGGUACAUACCCUCAGCCCCGAGGGUGAACUACUCCCUCCUCAUCAUGGAGACCGCUGGGAUGAUGAAGAUGGCCUCCGGUGAUGAUUUCCCCCUCUGGCAGGGUGUCGGAAUAGGGCUCCGGAUGAGAUCUCUUCGGUACAGAGGCUUGCGGCGGCGGAUUCGAAGUUCUAGGUUUCUUUCUGGGCCUUUUUGUAUUUAUAGGAAUUUUUGGCGUAGGUUUCACAUCAGGGGGGCCCAUAAGGAAGCGACAAGCUCGGUCGCCCCUCCCUAGGGGGGAGGACGCGCCAUGUGAGCUUGUCUUGUCCUCGUGGGUCUUCUGGUCCUCCCACGAACCUUUGGGGGUCUCUUUUGGUCCAUAAAAAAUCACCGUAAAUUUUCAGCCCAUUCGAGAACUUCUAUUUCUGCACAAAAAACUAUAACAUGGUAGUUCUGCUGAAAACAACGUCAGUCCGGGUUAGUUCCAUUUAAAUCAUAUAAAUGUACACCAAAACCAUAUAAAAUUGUUGUAAACAUGGCAUGAAUACUUCAUAAAUUAUAGAUACGUUGGAGACAUAUCAGCUACCAAACUCUUCCUCUAGCUUGGAAAUCUUGAUCACCAAACUAACUAGGGGGUCCAUAUUCCCUCUCUUCAGACACCUCUUCCUCUCUUGGAUUAUAAUCGAGAUCGUCUUCGUCAGUGUUAUCAACUGAGCCCUGGCUUUCUCGGUUCGAGUCGGUCGAGGGACUCGCAUGGGCGCAAAGGCAUCGGGACCGGCUGUCCAUAGACUCGCCGGUCUCCUUUUCCAUGUCUUCCGCUUCCUCGGUGGCACCCUCGAGGAUAUGUAUGAGAUCUUCGACGUUGGAAAUGAGAUGGGUGGUGGGUGGGUCAAAACAAAUCAACUUCUUCCUGCAGCUCCAAGAUCCGAUCCAACAUCAAAAUUGGGAGGACUAGCUCCUACUGCUCCUGGAUCCAGCGAGAUACCAAAUCCUAGAAGAUCAUCUCUCCACAGCUGCCUGUGGGGUACCCCAUAUUGUUGAAUCUAACGAUCUAGCCUUGAGAAAAAAAUCUCGACCUGGGCGAGGUGGCCGGUCAAGUCAGCGAAGAACAUGGUGACGCUAAAGACGAACAUCUGCCUCGACAUAUAGGUCACGUCGGAACCGAUCUGGGCAUUGAUCCAAACUCCCAUCAAGUUGCAACGUUUGCCUAGCAGGACCUGUAUGGGCCACCACUGCCGGAGCUAAAUCCGGCAGAUCCCUUAGUAAGAUUCCUAGCCAGGCCACUUGGCUGGAUGGUAACAAGAAGUAAACAUUUACCCAGGUUCAGGCUCUCAUGGAGGAGAUAAUACCCUACUCCUGCUAUGGUAUAAAAGGUCUUAUAAAAGUUUACACAGGAAGUAUAUGAGACGAUGAUAAAGCAUGAGUGUUAGGGCAUUUUCACCCUCACGGUGAUUAUAAUUCUUCCACAUCUUUAGUGUUAAUUGAAUAGAGAAGGAAAAACAAUUGUGUGGGUGUAGUUUAUUCAAGUUUAAACUACAUUAAUAAAAACAUUUCAAGAAGAUGGUCUGAGACAUAGCGCAAGUAGCAGGAAAGGAGAAAAUGUCCUGAGUGAAACUUAACAAAAUUUUGCAAACCCAAUCUAAACUAAAGAUGUAUGUUUAGUCUACAUACCACAUAAAAAUAAGCAAGUGUGAUAUGGGCGAAUAAACAUGCUUCCCAGGAAGAAGGUGAAAAUAACAUUUGGAUAUUUCUGACAAGAAUUGAGGACCCGUUGUUAUUUGUUUGGUUAAAAAUGAACAAUUUACCACAUAGAAUCAUGAUACAUUCACUGAUGAAUUAAGUAGCAAGGUGAGGAAGCCUUCAUGAUCACUCUAAUGGUGAAGAUGCUCUAGUGCUCGUCGCGGUCAUUUAUCUUUUGUGAGUUGAGAUUGUUUGUAAUGGACUCAUGCCUCUACAUUUAUCGACACCUCAUAAACUCUAUGACCUUGUUCUUACAAGUUGUGGUACUUGCUCAUGGAAGAGCAAGGGUUAAGGUUGGGGGAAUUGAUGAGUCCAUAUUUUGCGUUAUUUUUAUCUUUUGUCUUGCAUCUUAGUUGUAGGGCUUAUGGGAUUUUACCAUGUUUGCGCACUUUUUUUGUUCAUUUUGCCUAGUUUUCAUCUACGAAUGUCUUUCGAGGCAUAAGGGGAAAAUACCAGGAUUAUGGUGUGAAAAUCAUGUAAAUAUCAUGAUGGAAGACUACCAUAAAAGGGAGUAAUAUAUUUAAAAAGGAACCAGUCACCACAAGGGCUCCAGAGCAAUCGACGAUGUCAGGUACAACCACGCGCACUCGUACUACCGGUUGUACCAGUUAUCGUCGACUCUGCAUGGUCAAGUAUAUUAACCUCUUGCGAUCGGGCCGAGGAUGAGACGCCCACAAUCACCAGAAACCUCUCUAGACAAAGAACCCUAUUCUCUAGAAGGGAUCCAGAGGGGAAAUCGACAAUGAGGACAUCACCAUCACCAACACCUUGUACAAGGGGACUCUGGCAUCAAUGAUCUCCGUCAUCCUCUUCACUGCCAUCCAUCUCCAUUCCAUUAUAAUACCAAACCCUAGAGGAUUCCUAUGUGUAUCACUUUGAUCUAUUAGUCAUGUUUUUCACCGCCAUUCAUAUGAUGCUAGCUAUAUCCAUGUGUGAGUAGUCCCCUUAGUUCUUAGGGAUACGAAUGAUACCUUGUAUGCAUAGGUGUCUGAACUCUUAUAGGGAUAUGAUAUCCUCUGUUUAAUUUUUGAUUUAAUAGCCUCCAUGAAUGUUGUGAAGAGGCCCGGCUCAGCAUUUUGCCUUUUACGGCUAUGGAGCAUAUUAUUGUCGUUGUAAAGAUAGCGAUAUGCGGAUAAAGAGGUGACAGUAAUAUCUUCGUUACCCCACCUUUGUAAUUCAUAGGUAAUUAACCAAGAACCCUUAUGCAACGCCGUCCACAGGUAAACCCUUAAUUACCGUUGUGAGAACAUGAGUAGGGAAAUUACGAUGGUGGCAUGCGCGAUACGAAGACUACACAGUAGCUUGUAUACUGUACCGAUUCCGCUAAACUACAGACAUAAAGAGUGGCUCGAGUAUCCAACCUAGAACUAUGCAAUCACAUACUCCCUCCGUCCAAAAAAGCUUGUCCCUCAAAUAGAUGUAUCUAGCAUCAAGUUAGUGCUAAACACAUCCAUUUGAAGGACAAGCUUGGGACAAGCUUUUUCGUAUGGAGGGAGUAUGUUACAUUAGACACAUAUUAAUGAGGAAUCUGGACUCACUGAGAACUCCUUAAUCCUAUUGUUAGUUUUAUCACUUUAUUUAUUCCGCGCUGUAUUUUACUUCUUUUUGCAUGAAUUACUUCUGAUCAUACUUCACUCAAAAUAUUAUCAAUUUUUGCCUUCAUUUUGCUUUUCAUCUACAACUAACUUGCAUGCACAAUUCCAUAAGUCUCUACAAGAGUCGGAGUCCAAUUCUUGUGCUCCCCGUGGGAUCGAUACUCUUACUUUGAGAAGGCCUUGCCCCCCCCCCCUCUAAAUGGCUAAAGCUCUGAAAUGCUCAAUGUGUUGAGCAAGAUCAUCACUUACAUUGCAUGUUACAUAUUGCAAACAAAUGAAAGACAUAUAAAUGAAAGCAACAUGAAAUUUAGGAUUAAUGUCAUAAAAACAAAUUAAGAAUCAAAUCCAUCCCAAAGUCAUAUAAAUUUAAAAAUACAUAAAACAUUGCACAACAACACAUGCAGCCCCAAUAUUACAAACAAAACUAGAGCUAACUAUGCAUCACCACACUUAUACAAAAAAAAAUUGACACAAGGAUUUAUUGCACUUACCACAUACCUUGAGCACCCCCGUCCAACACCACAGUGGACCGACCGGGACAAUCAUCACUAGGGGGUGGGGGCAAGGGCCGCUUGGUCUACAACAAGAAGGGCAAGCCAUAGCCUCAAGAAUAGAAAAGGAGAUAGAUUACCAAACUAGAAAAUGCAGGUCCUCUGAUUUUUUUUACAAAGAACUAAUUCAAUAAACAUGCAUUGAUCAAAUUGAAAGCUAUCAGUUGAUAGAUUUGAAAGCCCCACCUAUUAUUACCCCCUAAAACUCCCCCUCCUAGAAAUAUAAUGGGAAACAGAAAGUGAGAUACACAGAUGGAGGCAACAAACAAACCAACCGCGAUGCGAGGGAACAAACGAAGACGAUGGUCGACGCAAAGCAAGGGAGACGGUUGCAGUCGUGGGAGGACGUGAGUGGUGGCGACGGUGGCGCUAGGGACAUGAAAAGGUAGGUUAAGAAACAUAAAAGGUUUAGGGAGUAAAGUGAAAAGGGGGGAACCGAAAACCGGGAAAACAGACAUGGUCGCCUCUCCUUGCACCACUUGUUGAGCGGGCAGCGUAGCUGGAAAUCCCCUCGAGAUGCGACGUUGGGCCACUUGUCAUCUAGGGUAGUGUUGUACGAUGCCCUCCACGGGUUACCCCUUAUCUUUAAGUGAUCUUGCGAGUUUUAUUUAAAAAAAGAAAAGAAAUACGAUGUGCUGCAGAAUGGCCGACCCAUAGAAUUUUCGUCGGCCCACCUAAGGAAGGGUACCCCCUAAGGCCAGUAGAGACAAGAGCUCCUCCUAAGCGCUUCACGCGCUCGGAGAGCCAACUCGCACUCGUGUCCCUCGCAGUGAUAGGCCAUCCCGUCAAACAGCGGCGUGGUCGGUCACCAGGGCGCACCCACCUGCUUUGUUCGCUCGGUCAAUGGUUGACCAGUCACUUAGUAAAUCGUUGAAUUUUGGAAAAAAUGCCAAAAAUCUAAAAAAAUUGUGAAUUCAAAAAUGUUCACGGGUUCAAAAAGGUUAAUGGAUUUGAAAAAGAAGUUUGCAACUUAAAAAAAUCAUGAAUUCAAAAAAGAUAAAAAAUUUGAAGAAAAAAAAUCAUGGAUUUUGAAGAAAAAAACUUUGUAAAUUUGGAAAAAGCUUGUGGAUUUGAAUAUAUUCAUGCAUUUGAGAAAAAGUUCGCAGAUUCCAAAAAAAUCAAGAAUUUGAAAAAAAAGAUCACAUGUUUGGAGAAAAGGUUCACGAAUUUUAAAAAAGUUCUCGCAUUUAAAAAAAUGGAAAAAGAAAAGCAAAAACUGAAUAAAAGUAGUCCAAAAACCCCAAAAAGGAAAAGAAAAACCCGGCCAGAAGCUCCUAGAAGCUUCCCAAAGCCGUCCAGAAGCUUCUAGAAGCUUCACAAAACUGAUUGGGUCGCUUCCAAAAAAAGGAAACAAUGUCGAUGUGAAGUGGAAGGAAAAAAAAGUAACAUGGGCCGAGCCCAUGUGGAGGAGGUGGUGUGUGCCGGUUUGCAAUUUGCACUGUAACCGACGCUUGAAGCACCAAAUAGGAUUUGAGAGUAGAGACCAUGGCUUGUACUCCCUCCGUCCCAAAAUAAGUGACUCAACUUUAUACUAACUUUAGUAGUAAAUUGUUGUUGAUUCACAAGAAGAAAAUAAUGCAGUAAAUUGUCCAGGGCCAGAAAAAUAGGCGUUCGGUAAAUUAUUUAGGGUCAAACCGAAUAAUCUACUGUAUAAUUUUGUUCCUUGCUGCCCACAAGGUCUGUAAAGGAUCUUCACCCAAUAAUCACUCUGCGUCGGCGAAUGUUUAUCAUUGCAUUGCUAUAAACUGUGUAGAGCCCCUGCAGUUUUGUCUUGGCUGUUACUCCCACCGAUGGCUGUUGGUGUUGCAAAUCGGUUGGAUGUUACUCCCUCCGUUUUUGUAAAUAUAAAUCUUUUUAGAGAUUUCAUUCAAUACGGACUACAUUCGGAUGUAUAUAGACCUAUUUUUUAGUGGAGAUUCACACAUUUUACUUUGUAUGCAAUUCAUAUUGGAAUUUCUAAAAGGACUUAUAUUUAGGAACAGAGGGAGCAGUUCAUAUCCUAACCUAGUAGUGGCUACGCUGAUCAAUUUAAGUUGUCCACGGUUUCAACAAUUUCAAUUCUGUUUCAGCAAUGCAGUUUGGAUUGUCAGCUCUUCUCUUGAAAAGAGAAGAGAAGAAAAAAAGCCUGCAGUAGGGCCUAACAUUCGUGGGCGUGGGUACCGGCAAAAUGAUUGACGAAGGUAAAUAUAGGAUGGUAAGGUAGUUCCAAUAAUAAGUAGGCAAAAAACCACAAGUUGGAAGAAUACCCUCACAGCCAGCCUCUCAGCUGUGGUUCAAAUGGAACAACCAACCAAAGCAGAGAGACAGUAACAUCAAUCUUCCAGUCGUCCAAUCCCAGGUUCCCUCCCUGAUCAGAAAGACAUCUACCCAGUUAAGCCAAGACUAGUGUCUCGUCUCUCCAUGAAGCCAAGUGCACGGCAACAAAAAAGGGCACAAAUAGGCUCAGCCAGUAGCAGCAGCAGUAAGGCCAAGGCAACAACACAAGUCACCAGCACAUCCAAGCAAAACACAGCCACUUGCUCUACUCUGGUUCUACCUUCUACGGCGAUGGGAUAUACAGGUUUUUCUCCAAUGCAGGUAAAUGUUUCGCUACAGGGAAACCGCAGCACCUACGGGCCAAAGCUACAGCAGCUCACUUCUUGCCCCGGCCCUUGGACUUCUUGGACUUCUUCUUGCUCUUCUGCUUCUGCACUCCCUUUUUGGAAGUCGAGGCCGCAGCUUCUCCCGUGUCUGGUUUAUCAUCGUCAUCUGAGCAUCCGUCGGCGUCAGCGUGCAUGUCUACAGCAGCCGUUGCAGCGUCGUUGCUCCUGUCAUUCAUGCCUUGAAAUGUCGCUUGAUUUUCAAUCCUGCUUAGCCUUGCAGCAGUCACCAUGCGGAAGAUCAUCGGCAGUUUGUUCUCACCCUUCCACAGCUUCUCCACAGCAAGACAAGCAUUUCUCUGCGCCCUGUGGUGACACAACCAAUUUUGACACGCAAGUGGUAAAUUUUCACAAGACAUGGGGAUAAGUGAUAACCUAGUCAUGUCUUACGCUAGACUUGAAGGUACAUAUCAUGCAGAAAGAUGUCACUCUACAUGCCUAUCAAUUGCAAUGUGGCAUUUGUACUUCCUUUUAUGAAAUUUAUAGUUGGCCCUGAAUUAACAUUUGCUUACCUGGCAGAACCAUUUUCGAACUCACUGCAGAUGCGCCUGACGUCUUCCAGCAAUCGUUUAUCAAUCGCUGCUAGAAGGCCACCUUCUUCCAGCCAUGGAAGGGCACUUAUAAGGUAUUCAAUAACACGCCUUGGAUCUUUCUGCAGAAGUUAGCUUGUUUAGAAUAACUUGGAAGCUGGGAACAGUGGGACAAACUGGAUGAGGAUAACAAAACAAGCAUUAUAACAUAUAUGAAACUCACCAGGCCAUCUUUGUCGGCUUUUAGAAUCUCAAGCUUCUCAUAGAGUAUCUCAAUAAUAUCUAUCUUACUCCUAUGCUCCAUCUCAUUAUCUGGUACAGCCUUAGGAAUGUUUCCAGAAAUAACAUUGCCAGACUUAUCACCAUCAGAUUUUUCAGACAACGGAGUCUCUUGGUCAGAACUUGGUUCUUCAGGACACAGAAGAGCCAUUAUCUUCGGAACAUCAUGCAAAUCCUCUUUGCUAAUCAUAUAAGCAUUUAAGUUUCGACAGAUUACUGGGCCCUUGGGUGAACCAAUAACUACCAUAUUAUCUCCAAUUGCGGCGAGUGCAUCAGCAAGCACUCUUGUGAAGUUGCUCGGUGUGCGGGACUUCAUUUGCAAAGCAUGUACAAUCUUCUGAGAGAACUCCACAGGUAAAUCCUUAAACACUUCAUUCCUCAGAAGGUUAUGUGUGACCUCAUAGCAAUUCCCCAGAGAAAGAGUAAGGAUCAGAGGAUAAAGUGUAACAACUAGUCUCAGGAGGACUGAUUUGUAUGAAGUACUAGAAGGACUUGAAGUCUUAUGUACCCAUUCCUGGAGCAUAUGCUUGGUCGUCAAGAUAGUAAUAAUUGUCUGAUAUAUGAAACGGCCUGAUGAGUAUGCCAAACGAUCAAGAUCUGAAUCUGGGCUCAAUUUAGAUACCAGGCAGGUGCCAAUGUAAGCCUUGCUGGUACGGCACUCCAGCAUAUUGACCAACAGAGAUUUCGUGCAGCAUAUAAAAUCAUUCUGUAUCAAGUAUGAUGAAGCCAUAAAACCAAGGCAUUCCAUAAGACCCACAUAGCAUAUUGGGGAUAUGUAGUCUAGUUCAUCCUUCCACUUUACAUUGAAGGUAAAGUCAAGAGCAAGCUUAAAGUUCAAGAUCAAGGAGGAUCUAUCACCACCGCUGUCAAGAAAUCUCUUGAAAUAUCGAAAAAAUUCUGCCCACUCAGAAUUAUUGUCCAGGUACUGCAGUAGUCUUGAAAGUAGCUCUUCGUCCAAUUGUGCUGCGUGAAGCAGGAGCAUGGUUGUUCUCCCAAGAUGCCCAUGAGUCAAAUUUUUAUUUGCUGGGCGAAGAUUUGCACUAAGAGAAUCAGCAAUCAAUCCAUAUGCAGCUGGUGAGUCAAGUAGAUGCAAGAGGCUCCUUGUUGUCCCAUCUCUCCACACAAGGAAAACUAACUCAAAGAAGCGACGCUCGCAGAGAACAAAAAAGCUUCUUAACUUCGUGUUUUUUGGCAUACUGAACUGUGGUUCUUCCAAAAACUUUGCUAUCUCAUUUAUGAUAAGGAUAGUUCUCACCAGGGUAUAAGAAGAUGAUGGCUUUGGAGAAAUUUGAACAAUGGACUCCAACUUCUUAAGUACACUGAAACCAACAGAAGACAGCUCAUUCAUCCAGAAACACUGAGCACAUGAAUGGCACUGCAGGGCACCCAAGAAACAUCUGUUGCCAUCUUGCUGCAAAGAAUUUCUGCCAGCAGUAGAGAGCCAACUUGCAUUCACGUUAAGCACUACAUAUCUGUCAACUUCACCAUCCUUCCUCAAUCCAAAGUACUUGGCACAAAGAUCUUCAUACAUAACUGCAUAAUCAUUUAAUUCUAGACCAUCGGUGUGGCGAAGAUGAGAUAGUACUUUGAUUAUGAUCGAUUUCCAGUGAUUCCAGACAUAAAACAGAGUUUGGGGUGACAUCUGGUUAGAUGCAAGCAUGUUACUACAACUAUUUUCAUCUUCAGAUCCUGGCCCUAAUUCUAUAUUGUAUCCAGAGGCUCGAGACUGAAGAUGAACAUCAAGAAUCAAACGGGAAGCAACAACUUCAACUAACAAGUUUGCACAUUUUCUGCCCUCAACCAAAGUGCAAUUUAAACUGGGAAGAGACUUGUUCACAUCUGACAGUGCAUCAGCUUCCACGCAAACAAAGCAGUAGAAGCACUCAGAUACCUUUUCCGCCAUCUCUUUGGCUCUUGAAAGCAAUUGUUCCUUCUCUGCGUAUCUUUUGGGAGGCCACCCUCUGCUAUUUGAGGACCAGAAGGAAUCCACAAUGAUAUGGAGGAGGAGAAGCCGUGUCGCAUCCUCAAACAAGCCUGCCUUCUCGAGCAUGUCUACCUCCAGUAAGACAUCUCCAUUAUGCUUUGCUAUUCCUGCAGCUUCUAGAAAAUUACCCAUCUCCAUCUCCAAACUCCACAGUUCAUCAACAAGAUUCCUAGAAUUUAGGAAUGCCCGUACAUGAUCCAUAGAGCUGAAAGCUUUAACAAAAGGCAUCAUCUGCUUUAUGUCACCACGCUCAAAAUAAUGUUGAGCACAAUUAUCCAGAUAGUUUGUUCUAAUUGCAGAAACCUCCAAGGAUUUUGAAUUCUCAAGCGAAUGUUCCUCUUCUAACUGUUGCAGAAACUGCAAGCCCAGAUUGAACAAAUUUUUCCCUUUCGAGCACAUGGAGAAACACUUCGAGUAACAUUUAGCUUUCAAGAACACUUCAGCUGCCUCCGACCAGCAUUCAGCCAUAGCAAAACAAUCACCAGCAUCCACAAGUUUAGAAGUACCACAUUUUUGCAUAUAGACCAUACCUAUGGCAAGGAACACAAUGUUUAGUCAGACAGCUUCGUGGAGUGUGAGGUAAAAUUAUCCAUAUGAAAGCUAAAAAAAACAUGCCCAAUUUAUGUAGGGAUAUCAUUUCGAAUUUUUUUGCUUUUUGAAAUUGAUGACAUUUUCUUACACAGCAGCCCUUUAAGAAUGUAAAAUAUUAUGGAAUGAUGAAAUCUCAAAGUACGCAUACAGCUUGGAAAUUAUGGAGAGUUGACAGACCUGCUUUUUUGUAGUCUCCUAAUUUGAUAUAGCAUGUAGCAGCUUUCUCAUGCAUGCCUAUGGACUCGUAAAUCUCUGAUGCUGUUUGCAACGAAGCCUUGCCCAACUCCAAAUUUGUUGAGAUGACACGGUUAGCAGUCGCUACAAGUCCAGCAGCUCUUGCCAACUUCUCUCUGUGUGCAUCACCGGCCUUUUCGAAGCACAUAGUAGCCAUCUCGAAUUGCCCCUCAUUGAAUAACUAUAAAAAGAGAGAGAACUUGUGACAUGGAACAACAAGGGUAAAACUGUAAGUAGAUACAUGCCAUGACCUGCCUAACAAAGAAUUUGUGUGCAUAGAACAAUUGUGAGACAAAAAAAGCAUGAAUUUCACAAGAUAAAGAACACACACAAAAUAACUCAAUACGCAACAUAAUGCUUGGUAAACUAAAAUUGGCUUUCCAGACUAAACAAGUAAAGAUCACCAACCUUGGUUCCCCGUAUCCUCCAAUCAUCACUGCUGCUCCCUGUCUGCAUUGCCUGAAUGAGGGAAGAAUCUAAUAAUCUAACUUCUACAAGGCACAACUUCUUCCAGUAGUCAAACAUUGGUCGACAGUAAUUCUCUGUAUUUUCACAUAUCCAGAGUCUUUGCCUAGUGCGUGUAAGUGCAACAUAUAGUUGCUUCAGCUCUGAACAGAGAAGAUAAUGCUUGCUUCUGUCGAAACCAGGAUGAGAGAUCUCCUCAGAGUGUGCUAUAAUAUUUUUAUCUUUCAUGUAGCCAUAGAGAACUCUCCAUUUGUUUCUUAAAGGCGACGAACCAAAAAAGUUGUACAACAGCACAUCCUACACAAAUAUCUCUGAAGUAAGUAUACAUUUUGAAACAAUGUGUUUAGCAAUUAAAAUAUUUUGAGAAAUGAACACAGAUAAAACUGAAUUUAUAGACCCAUACCUGAAACUCAAGGCCCUUACAUUCAACAAUAGUCAAAACAAGAGCUUGUUUACCAACAAGAUCAAUAAUUUGUUUUUUGGCAGCAUCAUCACGAACUAAUAUGACUUGCUCAGCACCAAACCCACGCAGGUUACCAUGUGAAGUUUUUCUUUCUCCAAAAAUAGUCAUAAUUGCAUUUUCAUCGUUAUCAGACUCCAGCAGCACAGGAGCUUCUCCAUAUACAAGUCCAGUCUCUGGAUUCAGCUUGUCAACACUUGACGGGAAAAAGAAGUACAGAAGGCUCAUGAUACUUUGUGCCAUACGGAGGAUGCCACAAUGUGUGCGGAAAUUCUGAGACAGUUGGAACAUAUCAGAGAGAUGGACUUUUUUCCCAUGUUUAAGUCCUUGCUUAGAUGCUUCAGUUUCGGCGAGGAAUGCAGUAUAAAACAGUGAGCGGAUAUCUUCAAACCUGAAAUCGAUACCCCUUGCUAUAGUCUGUGCAGUAUCACCAGCAAAAAGGAAGCCUUCCUUGAUGUUCAUACAGACAUACUUAAGAAGUGCUAUUUGUGUCAUGGUGAGAUCCUGUACCUCAUCUAUGUAAACAAAAUCCACCAUAUCGCCAUGGUAGCCCUCAGAUACAAGACUGCUGUGAAGACUAUUGACGAAAUCUGACAAAUCAAACUCCUUGGCAGUACAUUUCAUACUCUCAUAUUCAAGGAAUAUAUCAUAAAUUCUAUCUCUCUUCUCAUUGUUCAAAGAUGAAAAUCUUUUAUCUGAAAGCAUCACAUAAUCCUCUCUUCCCAGUUUGCCAACAUAAGGCCUGCUUGUUUGAUAUGCACCCUUUAUAUGAGAAAUUAUUUCAGUGAAGACAGUGGAUGCAGCAAAUUUCUUUGUUAGGUCUGCAUUAAAACGAGGCCAGUAGAAAGUAGCAAAUUUUUCAUAGGUAACUUCCUUCAAUUCAAUAAAAGUUUGCACCGCACGCGAUCUUGAGUGGCCUCUCUCAAAGCUUGUCUUCAUUUCACCAUAAAACGCAUCGAAAAAUGAUGUCCGGCAUGUUCCAUCAAGCAUCAUCAAAAACUUACGAUAUGUUAUAGUAAGAGGAUAGUGUUCAUGAGGUAGAUCACAAAAAUUGUCAGGAAUUUCUGUAAACUCUUCCAGGUCAUCCAUGAUGUCAUGCAUGUGAAGAAUGCUAGACUGGUCAGAGACAUCACCGGUGCCAAAUCUACAAAGGGUUGAAGUAAAUUGGUAUUAAAAGGAUUAAUGUUGGUACAAAUCAUAAAAGAAGGAAAGCGAAUAUCUUUCAAAGAAAUCAUUGGACCAGCUUGCAAUGUAUAUAUACUAAUUUCAAAACAGAGCACCGAGCGUGCCUUGGUUAGCUAGUCAUGUGAGUGGCUGAGGGCACGCCAAGCCCAUCCGCAUUCAGGGCCUGGCCUGCAAAGUGGUCCUCAUGAUUUGUCUUUCUCUUUUAUAAAAAGCCACUGGGUAGUUCCAAUAUAUGCAGUUUUUUAUAUAAUUUCAAUAAUAAUACUUUGAAGAGAAAAUGCACCUCAUAUGGAUAAAAGAUUGACCCUUCAAAAGGGUGUGACAAAGGGCUAAAGAAAAUGAGGUUAGAAAUGCAGCAGAAUGGAGUACAGUGGGGGGAAAAAGAGCCAACUCGUGCACACAUUUCUGUCCACUUUAAAUAGUUGUAUGAAAAUCAUUUCCAAAAUGGUGCGAACAUGUACUCGCAAAAAAAAAUGGUGCGAACAUGUACAAACUUCUAAGUAUGGCUCUAGUUCAACAGGCUUACCUUUUAAGUCCAGAAAUGUGGUUUUUUAUGGCUGAACACAACUUUGGGCUUACAGUGAUAAACACUUGUUUCACAAAACUUUCUCCUCCGUCCUUCAGUGGCAUAAUAUUUUUGUGAUCCAGCCCUGAUAAAUCAUCCCCAUCCAAAUGUAGACCUUGGGAUGCAAUCAGUGACUGUUGCUCUUUUUGAAUCAGCUUCAUUGUUAAUACAGUGGUUUUUCCGGUGCCUGACCUCCCAAGUAUAAAACUAGUGAGCGGGAAUUGGAUUAUAAUCUGCUCUUCAUCAGUCAGUUCAAAGGGAAUGUCGAUUUCAGACCCAUCAGUAGCUGUCAGCAAAUGCUUUGCCAUACCAGAUGAUAAAGAGUAGAAUUUCAUCAGCAAGAAGCUUUCACUGACUUUUGAAUUCUCCAUGGCAUAUGAUGUAUCCACGACAUCAUGCUCUUCAUGAGCAACAACUUUGCAAUCCUUGUUAUAGCGGAUAAUAUCAUGCUCAAUAUGCCAAACCAUAGGAACCUCAAGUUUCCUGUUAUAGACAACAAAGGAGGGCAAAAAUUAGAAGAAUGUCCACAGACAGUUAAUUUGUAGGCAUGACUAUUCACAAACAGUUCAAUUCUCUAAGUAUCAUAAGCAUAAAAAAAUCCAAGGAAGCAGAGAGACCCGUGACACUUAGAUUCUUUUCAGGGAACUUAAUUAGCCACAAUACCCAUUGUUUACAAAACUGCAGAAUUAGAUCAUUAAAAUAAUUAAGAAAACCAAUCAAACACCAUGAAGCAUAAGCCAUAUACACAUAUGCAAUUAACAAAAAAGGGAAAUUAGAAAUAUUAUGAUGAUGAUCUAUAGCAUUAAAAGCAGUUUUGAAUCCACUAACAUAUAUAAAAACUGCACAGAAAUGGAUCUUCGUGCAGGAUGGCUUGUUGAGGUUAAGUGGAUCUCCGUGCACAGGAUACAAGUGUGCACCUACAUGCAUGCACAGAAUAUAAGUGUGCACCUACAUACAUGCAAGGUUUUGGUUACCGAAUGAGUCAAUUUUACCGAGGGGAACUGGUAUACGUGGUUACCACGGUUACCGAGAAAUACCAAGAAUAUUUCGAACGAAAUUUAUAGUUGAAUUUUGAAUUCAAAUAAGUGAAUGAAUGAACAUUCAAACUAGAGACCUCUCAAAACAGGAACUAGGUUGCUACCAACACGUCAGAACCAACUCUUAUGGAAUUAAUUAGAUCCUACGUACUUUACUAUAAAAUCGAGCAUUUGUAUUCAAAAAUUCAAAAAAAUGGUAUUUUUUGCUCGGUAUGGGGAUUUACCGAGGGGCACGGAAAUACGCAGUAACCAUGGGAAAUCUUGAAAUUUCGACCGGUAACCAAAACCUUGCAUACAUGCAUUCAUCCCAUGUUCCCGUUAUUCAUGUACUUGGGGGUUCAAAAUAAGUUUGCCUAAAAAUAAAUUCUCGCUGGAAGGGCAACUGUACAGAACCAGGCAUUACUUCCACAACUGUUUUUUUCUUCCAAGGAACACUAGCAUGGACACAAGAUAAGUGACCUCAUUUAUAUCUUGAAUUUAGUUUCAGUCAAGGCACUAGGUCGGUAAAAGUAACAACACAUUCAAAGGACUACAACUAGAUAUACGAGUCAAACGCAAUCAUAUUUUCAUGCAGAAAAACACAAUCGUAUUUUUAUAGUACUAUGAUAUAUGAGUCAAACAAAUCCAUGCUCCAAGUGUCCAUACCACUCUCCAAGUAAAUCAUGAGUAUAAAGGAUUUUAUGCUGCAAGCAGUAUGUGUGUAGCAUGAAAAUAUUGAUGAUUUAUACGAAAAUGUUGCAUAGAUGUUAGUAUUAAAAAUUAUGUUUAAAAAAUGGUUUUCUUGUUUUAUGUGUGAAGCUGCAUUGUCAAAAACUCAACAUUCAUCAAAAAAUGCCAAUAGUACCGAUGUCAUGUAAAUGUCAGUACAACCUAAGGACCACGAUCAGUAUCAUGCGCACACAGGUGAGCAAUGGGAAGAAAAUUGACAUGUGGAUGGCAAGCUAGACAACUUUUCUACCCAGAGAAUUAGGUCAUUAUAUAUUUUGCAUAUUAAAUAUGGACAGGAGCCAAUUCCACCCUUUGUUCUACGAUCCUAAAACACACACUCAUCUUCACAUGAUCCUUUGCCUCUCAGAUCCAUGACAACAAGGCACUGAGGAGUACAACAAGAUUGACAACAACAGGCAAUGGUGUUUCCACCCAAUAUACACAGCCAAAAAGGAGAGCAAGUAUUAGAAGAAUGUCUACAUGCAGUUCGUUUGUUGGCUGACUAUUAACAAACAGUUCAUCUCUCUAAGUAUCAUAGGUAUAAAAAUCCACGGAACCGGACUAUAGCCCAUUAACAAUAAAAGAAACACAUACCCCUGUGUCUGCACUCUCCUGCAAUGAUCCAGGUAAUCAUCCGUGUACAUGGAAAACAGAUUCUCAAGACGUUGAACAGUUCUUGCAACAUUUUGUUGUGACAGCAAGUCCCAAACCCUUAUUAUCUGAAAAUACCGUCCUUCGGUUUUCUCCACAUCAGUACUCCAAACAAGAUACAGGUUCCAGACCUUGUAUACCUUUGCAAGAUGAGAAACACCAGGUAUAUCAAGGUUCUUAACUGUUGUCCUCCAACCAUCUCCAAGUCUGAUAAGCUUUUGGAGUACUUCCUUCCUGAGCUGUGGUGAUUUUAGUUUGGUGAAGGACUUUCUAAACUCGUCGCUAAGAAUGACCUGUCGAAUAUAUGAAUACCAAAAAUGGAACAUGAGAAGAAGUGUAUACGAGAAAAAUGAUAGAACAGUGUGUUUUUCAAGAAAACUAGGAGGUUCACAAGAUGAUAUGUCCUGAAAACUAGAAAAGACCCACAUAAUUGGCAUAGCAUGGUACAAAUUACCACAUGUCCUGAAAAUCUUAAUUACACAAACCUCUCACAAUCCAAUUACAGAGGAAACAGCCUAGCAGAGACAAGCGAACCACAUACAUGAUUCCAAAAAGUAAAAGACAAAUCAACUCAUGAACACAAACAAAAUCACACUAUAAAAAGGAAGUGUAUAUUCAGUAAACCCGAUCUCCCUGAUAACAGCAUGAGUCUCAUAAGACAUGUAUAUACAUGUGGUCUGCAUUCUGGGUAAUUAAGUGCAGCGACAUAUUAGAAAACAUGAAAGAAUGUUAAAAGUCAAUGUAGCUGAAACCAUGGUACUUACUUUCCAUCUGGUGUUGCUGAAAACCACUGAAUCAGCAUUAAGAAGAUCGUCAAGUUCAUCAAGCUCUUGCUUUACUUGCAGAACUAACUUACAGAUGGUUGCGUCAUUAGUGGCACUGAAAACACAUUUACGUCUCUCUGCAUCAGCAACAAGUUCUGUCCAUUCGGUCCCACUUUUAUACAGCGUAUGAGCAUUCCCAACAAUCCAAAGACAGUGCCUGCAUGAAUAAAGCAUCCAUCAGAUAAUGUAUAUCAUCAGUUGACGUACUUUGAACAGCAAUAAACAAUGGACCAGAAAAAAAAUUGAUGCGCACCUUGCUCUAGUAAGAGCAACAUUUGUUCUUCGGUUAUCAGCAAGAAAUCCAACAACUCCUCUCCCAUUGGAUCUAACAGUUGAUAGUAUUAUUAUAUCAUCCUCUUCUCCUUGGAAACCAUCGGUGGAUUUUACCCGCACAUGAAAGCCAUCACACGUAUCAUAUUUUUCUCCAAGUCGACUUUUAAUUGCAUCAACUUGAGCUUUAUAUGGAGAGACCACGCCGAUGCUGAGCCCUUGGUUUCUGUUUUUCCAAGCUGCAGAGAAAACAUAAAUAGUAUGCUUACUGAUCCUUAGGGAUACAUUUUUGCAGAAGGCUACUGAAAGAAUUUUCUUCAGCAAAUUUAAGUUGAUUCUGUAUCACCAAAUCAUUGACAUAUCAUUGCUUUUCCACUACAAAGUCUGAAGAUGAUAGAAAUGACUAAAGCGGGUCCAUGCAUUGGCCAACAACUCUACUAGAGCAUAAUGUUUCAACUUUCAUGUCAUCUACUUACUGCUCUCCUUUUUCUAAAUAAAAAUAUAACAUUGUCUACCAAACAGGGCAGUAGAAUUGAAAUUUCAUAGAGCCGGAUUGAUGCGAUUAGCGAAUUAUCGUAUCACGAGAUGCACAUAGAAACUGGACUCUCAAACGUACACUAUUGUAGCGAACACCUUUCUACCAAUGAUUGUUAUGCAGUAUGUAGUACAAGAAUGGAAGACCAUGUAAGCUUCCAAAGAUCCCAUGUUAUAUUAGCCAGGUAGCUUUAAAAAAACUAGAAAGGAGAACAUUAAGGUUAAAGAAAGGACAGAGCUGAGCUUAGACAUACAUUUAAAGAUGGUAUGGAUUAGGUGCAAAACAACAGCAACUUCAACCAUGUUUCUGUGACUGUUUCCUUUGCCCUCUUUGUCCUCCCUUCCAUCAGUAACAUUUAUAAACGUGUAGCUGCCAAAAGGGAGGCAUGUGUAAUCCUUAUUAUAACUAGGAGACAGGACAUUGGAACCAUCUAAAAUCUUCCUCUCAUAAAAUUGAGCAUUUGGAAAUAAGCUGAUACAAGGAUUCAUGCGAUACUGUAUAUUCAGCAAAUGUUUAUCAAAUUUGAGCAUAACCAAUCUCCCAAACAGACUUGUCUCAAAUCCAGCUUCUUUGCAUACCUAGAGAUAAACAAUGAAAGGUGAGAAUUAAGAUCACCAAAAACAGAUCAAUAACAAUGGAACAUGAAAGAAAGAUAGGGCCGUUACAUUUAUUUCAAGAAAAAAAAAGUAUUUCAGUAUCAGAAGUUUAUCUCGUUGAUAAAUGCUCCAAUAACUAAUAAAUGAAACAAGACAUUAUAAAGAGGAUGAGGCAAAAGCUUACUUUGCUUUUAACCAUUGCACUCAGCUGACAGUCAUCUCCUACCAAAACAACAUGUUUUAACCAAUGCAGACGUAGUGGGAUCACCAAUUCACACUCCCGCACUUGAGCAGCCUCAUCAACAAUUAAUACAUCGAGUGGUGCAAUAUCCAUGUGAUGUAACCGAUAAGAGCUAGAGGUGGUACAGAAAAGAAGUGUAGCAUUACGUAUGCAGUAGCUCUGGACCCAGUCUUUGCCUACUCCAGUGGGUAAAUUAAGCGAGUGUAGCAGAUCUUUAAGCAAUUUAAGGCAUGAAGACCUUGCUCCGUCCAGUUCCUUCUCAAUAGAAGAUACAGGCUGUGCACAAACAGAGUUUUCAGUUAACGGACAACAAAGGCCCCUUUUCAAACCCUCAUCAGUCCAGUCUACGUCGCACAGAAGGGUGCCAAAUUUUUCCAGCAUAUUAAGCAAUGAGGAUAUAUUUAUGACACUAUCACGAGAAAAGCAGCUUCCAGGAAGGUGAACCCACAAAUUCAUUAUGCAUCUUUUCAGAGCUAUUGCUGUUGCAUCAAAUUGUUUCUUUAUGAAGUCCAGAAAGCACACUGGAUCAAUUUUGCCAUCAUCCUCGAGAAGCAUAUCAUAGCGUGAAGCACAGUCUUCAAAAAAGGAUAUCAUUGAAGCUAUUCUGUAGUUCCAUCCAGACAACGAUGAAAAGCACUCCACGAGUUCAUCGACACGGAAGUCCAAGAAAACUUCCUGAAGAUCCUCGGUGAUGUCCAUGUUAGACCUGCUUCCAAAUAGCAAGAUAUCUCCAAGAGAUGAAGGUAGACAAAUGUUGUCAAUGUGCUCAUUGAAAUCCUUCAAGGUUUGAAGGAAACGGGUGCAAACUCCAACAACAGCAACAUUUGUGGGAGCACAAGUAAGAGUUCUGCAUUUCAAACUCGCCAAAAGCCACAGUAAAGUGCUAACCGUCUUGGUCUUCCCAGUACCUGGUGGACCCCAUAUAAGCUUCACGAGGUUCACAUGCCCACAUUGUACAGCUGAGAUGACAGAUUCAAUAGCAUCCACUUGCGAUCGAUUAAGCUUAACUGACAGUAGUUGCUCUGUGAAAGAAGCUAAACAGCCCCCAUCCUGAUUAACACAGAUACGGCAAACAUCCUCACCCUGCAACAGAGCCAACAAAGAGGAGCUCAAAAAGUUAGGCCCGAUACCAAUUUAUAAUGGUGAUGAAAAUAACAAGUAAAACUGAAACACGAGAAUUAUUCAUGUCAUAUUACCAGAUUUGUGGGGGCUAGGAGCGACUUGAUUACUGUGAAAUUGUCAUUCAUGUGCGUAUCAAAGAUAAGUGCUUUCCAUAUCCGUAUGUUGGUCGUGAUAUUAUUGAGAAAUAUUGCAUGUUUGAGUUUGUUUAAGUCUUCUUCUUCCGGACCAAUAUUCUUUGCAACUUUGACCCUGAAGCCCUUAUGGUAUUCAUCAUCCAUAGAAACCUCAGUGAUCAUUGCCAAGCAAUAUGUCACACCAUAGCGGUUUAAGUCUUCUGCAGCUUCAGGUUUUAUGCUCGACAAAAUAAAUAUGUCACCAUUCCUCGCAGAAUAAGCCCCGGUAGAAAAACCAGCAUCAUUGUCCCAAAAGUUCACAUCCAUAAAGUAUGAUCCUGGUUUUCCUGCUGCCUCCAUGGACAGUAUUUUCGAUGAGGGUGCUUCACUGAUGAGUUCAAGGCAUGAGCACAGAUCUGACCUUGUUUCUUCAAUCACAGGCACACGAUAAGACGUGAGAUAGUGAUCAAGUGACUUGAAGUUGCAGGGAAUAGUCUCAACCUAAACACAAAAGAAGACAUAGAUGAAAUAUGGUUAUAGGUAGCAAAAAGAUUCUCCAACAGUUCCUUGAGCACACAAAUGGCAUGUAAUUAAUGCUAACAAAAUAGCUAUCUGGUCAAUAUCAUUUACUGCAUGAACAAACAAGGUUCAAUACAGGACUUAAGCUGCUCAUAUCAUAGUUUUCAUAGCAAAACAAUUUAUAGUUUCUGCCCACCAGAUUGUACAGCAUCACGAGAUGCAUGUAUCUCUCUCAUCAGGAUAGAUAUAUGACUUACACAGCUACUCAUUAGGAUAUAACAUGUAUCAGCACAUAUAGCACCAACAGCACAAUGCAAUUUCCUGAAAUACCAUGUGCCACCAAGAGCGCAACAAUUAUAUAUGUUGCCAUCAGGCAGUCCAGAAACGACGCUCAGCACAUGCCACUUGCAUAUCCAUGAUACGUGGUCAGAAAACCCCUCUAAACCCUAGCGUACGGAUCACAAACAGAGAGAGAGUACCAUCCUUUAAUUGGAGCAUGGAACUGACCCAACUAAGAUUGCACAUAAAAAGCAGCAGAUCACAGCGCGCUAAAUGCGAUUAAUCAAAAAAAAUCACCAGGAUUUAAGCACGACCAGAAACCUAGCUGCAUAUGCAUGCAUACGCUUCACCGGUCUGAGGUCCAUUCAUACACACAGAUUCGGAGAUUAAUAAAAAGGCUCAAGCUUGCAAAAAAAGACUUGAAGUUGCAGGGAAUAGUCUCAACCUGAACAUGAAUGAGGUCAUAAAUGAAAUAUGAUUAUAGGUAGCAAAAGGUUCACCAAAAAAUCUUUGAACACACAAAUGGGCAUGUAAUUGAUGCUAACAGAAGAGCUAUCUGGUCAAUUUCAUCUACUGUGCAAGAACAAACAAGGAUCAAAACAGGGCUUAAUCUGUUCAUGUCACAAGGAAGGAGUUUACCCAUGCUAAAUCGUAGACAUAAUAUUUCCAUAGCAAAACAAUUUUAUAAUUUCUGCCACCAAAUUGUGUACAUGUAUCUCUCUCAUCAGGAUACAUAACUCCUCUGCUAAGCUUUGCCUGCAGCUGCUCUGCCCGCCCGCCCCGCCAAAUCGACAGCCACAGCCCUAGAAAUUCGGCCGGCGCCGGCUAAAUCAGCAGCCGCACAGGUGUGGCCGCCUGCCGGCGCACCGGUUCCCCUAGCCACCGACCACGCCGCCGCCUCUCGCCGGCCGGCCUUACACCCCAGAUUCAAGAAGGGGGGGAAGGGCACGGGACGGGAGCGCGGUGGCCCCCUCAUGGACGACUAGAACAUGGACUCCUUGCUCCCGGCCUCCCUCCUCGACGGCAGACGGCCUCCCUGGCAGCCUGGCACCGGCCUCCUCCUCCCGGCGGCGCCUGAGUUCUUUUUUUUUUUGGUGAGGGAAGAGGACCGCGCCUGAGUUUAGCGUCCAUGGACUGCGUUUAGAUGGGCCAGGAAGCGAGCGUGCUAGGCCUCCGAAAAGAAUGGGCGCGAUGGGCCAGCCAGAUUCGAUCACUCUUUCCCCUCAAAAAAAACUCCGCUCAAUCAAUUACUAACAUUUUGGUCAAAUUUUUUUACUAACAACAUAAGAAGAAUCACGAAUUUCUGAAAAAAAGAAGAAUCACGAAAUUCCACUCAGAAAAACAAAGAAGAAUCGCGAAUAACAUCUCCUACUGUCUAUUGGUGUAUUUUCUUUUGCGGGAAAAACAUGUCUUUUUCUUUUUGCUAAUGGACAGAACCCCCUCUAAAGCCUAGCGCACAUCUGGAUUGGGCUCCAAAAACCAAAACAAAUCACCGGAUUUAAUUUAAGCGCAAGUAAAAGGCUCCUAGAGCGCGCAUGCACUCAUCGCCGGGGCGGAGUCCGUACGACGGUCGCGCAGAUUCGAAUGGAAAGAGAGAGGAAAAAAGGGCGGCCGAGCGGCUUGCGAAACCGAGCGGCCGGCCGGAGAGAUGGAAUCAUCAUCGGGACGGACGGAAGGAUGGUUGGCGCAGGUGCGUAUACCUUGUCCCUGUAGAGGUCGUCGUCGGCGAUCUCCUGCGCCGACCAGGAGAGCACCACGUCCUCCAACUCCAUCUCCCCCAUGUCGCCGCCGCGCUCCCGUCUCGCGCCGCCCUGGCCGCUCCGUCACGCGCGAGAGAGAGCACCCGAGCGAGCAGGCGGCAUUCGCGAGGAGGAGGAGGUGGAGGAAAGGGGGUUGGUCUGCGGUGGUCUUGGCCGUCCGGAGGAGGAGGAGGUGGAGGAAGGGGUUGGUGUGUGCUGGUCUUGGCCGUCCGGAGGAGGAGGACGAGAGGCUUCGGGACGGUCAAGGCGGCAGUGGUGGUGGUUGCGCUUGCGCAGCGCUGCGUGGAGAUAUAAAGCAAAGCAGCAGGAGGAGCGAUGAAUGGGAGAGGGGGAGGGGAGGGCUGGCUCUGUUGUGUAGCAAAGCUCGUGGAGAAGGGGAGACGUAGCAAAGCUGGUCGAGAAAAGCAAAGCAGGAGCUGAUCAGACGAUCGGUGCAGCGUACAUACUGUCCAGAAAUCUUUUGCUUGCGGGGGAGGGGGAGGGAGGGCAAAUUUGACAAAUUUGACCUAUGGACGAAAUCAAAUCAUAAAAUGAACUGCUCGUGAAACUAUUUCACGCGGCUGCCCUUUUUGUGUGACGCCCGACACGAAGGCGCCACACUACACUGUGCAACGCCUCACAGAUAGGCACUACACGCCUGGCCAGCAUUGCACCCCAGACUGCCUAAAAAUUGCUAAGUCAUUGUGCAGAGCCUAAGAGCUAGGUGCUGCACUGUAUAGUGUGGCGCCUAGCUCUCAGGAAGCAACCACUAGUGCAACGCGUAGAAGCUAGGCGCUACACUGUAUAGUGUGGCGCCUAGCUCUCAGGCGCUGCACACUGACUUAGUAAUUUUCGGAUCACACGGGUGCGACGCUGGCCAGGCGUGUAGUGCCUAUCUGCGAGGCGUUGCACAGUGUAGUGUGGCGCCUUCGUGUCGGGCGUCACACAAAAAGGUCAGCCGCAUGAAAUAGUUUCACGGACAGUUCAUUCUGUGAUUUGAUUUCAUCCAUAGGUCAAAUUUGUCAAUUUUGCUGAGAGGAAGAAGGGAGGGUGGUGCCCCUGAGCAUGCUGCUCUCUCCUCCAACCUGCAGUCAUCUAGUUCGGCUAAUGCUAAAGAUGUUCACAUGACUCAAGUGCAACAGCGUGGGCUAGCGAGCGUUGUUUCUCCCACCUCCCACGCUGCUAAUGGUGAGCUUGCAAGCAGGCUCACAUGCUCGGGUGCACACACCAACGUUGGUGUUCUGCAUGGUAAUGCAUGCAUGGACGAUUUGACGCUGGGUCAGCUUGCUCCUUCGGGUGACUUGGCAGACUCCGCGGCCACCGCGAUCGCGGACAUUUGGACAACUCGGCGACUGCUACCACUGAAGUAGUGGUUUCCUCGGCGACCGCGGAUCCCUCGUCGACGACUACAAUGGACAUUGCGGACCCCUCCGAGCCCGUGACCGCGGACAUGGCGGAUCCCUUGGCGGCCACGGCGGCACACUCGGCGUCCGCGGCUCCUUCUUCACCGACAGCGGUGUCUUCACGCAUGACUCCAUCUGAGAGUGUCGAGAAGGGGAUUGCUACUCCACCCUCAUCCCCUCCUCCGGCAACGAAUUUUGUGCGACUACCUUCAUCGGGUGUGACACCUACCCGACGAAGUAAUCGGCAUAAGGUUGCCGACGACGGGAGGAUGGAUACUGAUGAGGACUCCUUGGCCAAGGCUAUGCGGCGUAAAUAAGCGCAUAAUCUAGACAGCCAAGGUAUUAUGUCGUCACCCAAAUCCUUUUUAUCUUUUUAGCUACAAUCAUCGUUUCUAAGUUGAAUAAUGUUGGUGUUAGCCUAGGAAGUAAUGAGAAGGAUAUUUCUAUUUCGGCAAACGCUUUGAGACAUGUGGAAUACGACCUUUUAAUGCUUACUCCACGAGUUCCUAGCAAGUCUUUUGUCUCACAUCUAGAUGAGGAGGAGCUGCAUGCCACAUCAGAUGGUCAGCUACUCUCUCAUUUAGUUGGACAGGUUUCGGAUGUGGGCCUAGAUGAACCCGGACUUAGUUCAUUGAUUGAGCUUAUAGCUUCCGGACGUAAAUCAAAGGCCUCCCGUUCCAAAAAAGGCCGCAAACCCUCAAAGAGGGCUAAGUUUUCUAAAUCUCCUAUUGUUUCCUCAUGAAUGGCAUGUUCUUUAAUAGCAGAGGUCUUGGUGACUUGGCUAAACAUCUAUUCAUUGCGGAAUGUAAUAGGGAAUACAAUUUAGACUUUUUGGCUAUCUCUGAAACGGGGAGACGUGAUUUCUCAGUAAGUCUGCUUAACCGUCUUUCUGGCGGGAUAGACUUCACUUGGAUUUCACGACCGCCUAGAGGUCGUUCUGGGGGCAUUUUACUUGCGUAAACAUAGGGACUAUGGAUGUUUUGGCUAGUUCGGAUGGUGAGUUUCAUAUUAAACUCCAUAUUCACAACAAGGCCGACAACUUCACAUUGACUCUCGUCGCCGUGUAUGGUGCAGCCCAGGAUGAGUUCAAGGCCGAGUUCCUCCAUGAAUUGGUUAAUCUGGCAAAAGAUAAUCCAUAUCCCAUUCUUAUUGGUGGUGAUUUCAAUUUGCUUCGAUUUCCAAAUGAGAAAAGCCGUGGCAGGUUUGAUGAUCAUUGGCCUUUCCUUUUCAACGCUGUCAUCGACAGUCUAGAUCUGCGAGAGGUUUCCAUGAUUGGAAGACAGUUCACUUGGGUGAAUAGUCUUCCGGAACCGACAUAUGAGAAACUAGAUCGCGUUUUAAUGGAUACCGACUGGGAAUCUAAAUUUUCUAUGGUGUCUGUUCGUGCUCUACCUCGUAUCGAGGCUAUAUCAGACCACGCACCCAUUCUCCUAACUACGGGUUUGCCACGACCACAACAUAGACGCAAGUUCAAGAUUGAACUUGGGUGGUUGCUUCGGGAUGGCUUCCAUGACAUGGUCAAGGAGGUGUGGGAGAAACCGGUGGCCGGGCCUACCCCAAUUCACAAAUGGAAUAACAAAAUGCGUGCAUUACGUAAAUUCCUUGGUGGUUGGGCUAGGCAUACGGUGGGUAUCCUCAGAAAGGAGAAGCUUCGCCUUUCAUCUAUCAUUGAUGAAUUAGAAGCUUUGGCAGAGGUUAGACCUCUAUCUGAGCAUGAAAUCGAGAUCAAGAGUCAUUCGAAUGCACAGAUAGCUAGCAUGCUGCGUGAAGAGGAACUGAAAUGGUAUCAACAUUCUAACUCUCAGUUUAUCCUGAAAGGUGACGCGAAUACUAGAUAUUUCCAUGGAGUCGCCAAUGGCAGACUCCGGAAGAAAAUUAUUCAUUCCCUACAAUAGGAUGAGGGCACAAUUGAGGGGCAUGAGCAACUUAAAUCUUAUAUCACUAAUUAUUAUAAAAAUUUGUUCGGAGCCCCAGAGGAAGGAAACUUCUCGAUGGAUGAGUCCCGAACAAAUGACAGGAAAACAGCCUUCUAACAGCCCCAUACUCUGAGGAGGAAGUUAGAAAGGCGGGUUUUCCUAAUGGAGCACAACAAAGCCCCGGGUCCGGAUGGUUUUCCCGUUGAGUUCUAUCAGCACUUUUGGGAAGUCAUCAAACUGGAUCUCCUACUUUUGUUUAGCGACUUACAUGCUGGCCAACUAGAAUUGUUUCGCUUAAACUUCGGUGAGAUUAUUUUAUUACCUAAGGUUAAUGAGGCUGAAAGGAUACAACAAUAUAGACCUAUUUGCCUUCUUAAUGUUAGUUUUAAAAUAUUCACGAAGGUUGCGACUAUUAGGCUAAAUUCGGUUGCUGAACAUGUGGUCUGUCCUUCAUAGACAGCUUUUAUGCAAGGCAGACACAUCCUUGAUGGUGUUGUUAUCCUUCAUGAAACAGUCCAUGAAUUACACCGAAAAAAGUUGAAUGGGGUGGUUCUCAAAAUAGACUUUGAAAAGGCUUAUGACAAAGUCAAGUGGCCCUUUCUUCAACAGACUCUCAGAAUGAAAGGAUUUUCUGCAGAGUGGCGUGCUAUGUCCAUAGUUUCGUUUCUGGAGGUAGUGUUGCCAUUAAGGUUAAUGAUGACAUUGGACACUAUUUCAAACGAAGAAGGGUUUGCGACAAGGUGACUCGGUAUCGCCCAUGCUAUUCAAUAUAGUGGCGGAUAUGCUUGCGAUCAUGAUUGAGCGUGCCAAGGUUGAUGGCCAAAUUGAAGGGGUAGUAAAUCAUCUAGUUGAUGGUGGUCUCUCUAUACUUCAAUAUGCCGAUGAUACGAUUCUCUUCAUGGAUCAUGACCUCGAGAAAGCGAGAAAUCUGAAACUAAUUCUAUCAGCAUUCGAGCAACUCUCGGGUCUUAAGAUCAAUUUUCAUAAAAGUGAAUUGUUUUGCUUUGGCGAGGCUCAAGACGAGGCCCACCUGUAUGCUGAACUGUUUGGAUGCGGGUUGGGACAGUUUCCGAUCACAUAUUUGGGGAUACCGAUACAUUAUCGGAGACUCACAAAUGCUGAAUGGAAACACGUCGAGGAGAGACUUCAGAAAAGACUUAGUAGUUGGAAAGGUAAACUGUUGUCUCUAGGUGGAAGAUUGGUCCUCAUAAAUUCAGUACUUAGUAAUAUGGUACUAUAUAUGAUUUCCUUCUUCCAAUUGCCGAAAGGAGUUUUACAUAGAUUGGAUUAUUUCCGAUCAAGAUUCUUUUGGCAAGGAGAUAGCGAGAGAAAGAAAUAUCGACUGGCCAAAUGGAGUGUGGUUUGCCGUCCCAAAGACCAAGGCGGGUUGGGUAUUCAUGACCUUGAGGUUAAGCAUAGGGCCCUCCUCGGCAAAUGGUUGUUUAAAUUUCUGACGGAAGAAGGUGUAUGGCAAACCCUCCUAAGGAGGAAAUAUGUGGGCUCCAAGGCGGUAUCCCAAGUAUACUGGAAGCCUGGGGAUUCCCACUUUUGGGCGGGUCUAAUGGCUACGAAGAAAUAUUUCUUCUGCUAUGGAUCCUUCUCAAUUAAGGACGGCUCGGAAAUUAGAUUCCGGGAGGACAGAUGGCUAGGGAAUGCCACACUCCGGGAACAAUAUCCAGCUCUAUACAACAUUGUGCGCCACAAGGGUGAUACUAUCGCCAAGGUAAUGGAAUCAUUUCCGCCAAAUGUGACGUUCAGAAGAGAUUUAAUUAGACCUAGACUCCAAUCGUGGAACAUCCUGCUCCAGCGGUUGUCCACGGUGCACCUAUCACAUGGGUCUGAUGUAUUUCGAUGGAACCUUCAUGGGAAUGGAAAAUUCUCAGUGGAUCCAAUGUAUAGAGCGCUAAUCCAGUCUGAUGUGCCAGUUGAUAAUAAUAAGAAGAUCUGGAAGAUGAAGUUACCUCUUAAGAAUAAAAUCGUUGCAUGAUAUCUUCGUCGCGGAGUCAUUCUUACUAAAGAUAACCUUAUUAAGAGGAAUUGGCAUGGAAGUCCGCAAUGUGUCUUUUGUCACCAUGAUGAGACAAUAAAACAUUUAUUCUUCCAAUGCAAAUUGGCUCGUUCUAUAUGGUCAGUCAUCCAAAUAGCUUCUGGCUUGUAUCCUCCUUGUAGUGUUGCUAAUGUAUUUGGCAACUGGUUACACGGGAUUGAUCACAUGUUUAGAACUUUUCUCAGGGUGGGAGCGCUUGUCGUUAUUUGGUCGCUUUGGCUAUGUAGAAAUGAUAAGGUUUUUAACGAUAAAAGUACUUCCCUGAUGCAGGUUUUCUACAGAUGUACCGGGACUCUUCAUUUAUGGUCCUCUCUACAACGCGUGGAGAAUCGAGACCUGUUUACGGAGGUGUGUACACUAUUGGAGGCUACGGCGAGGGAUACUUUUACCCAGCAUGGGUGGCAACAUGAUCUUAGGAUUGACCCCCCUCCGCUUUAGGCGUUAUACGGACUCUUCAUGUUUUUGUAUUUCGCCUUUUUAUUAUUCAUUUGUGUGAGAAGACAUUUUUUGACUGUGUGCAUCUUACUAAUGCAGAGGCCGGGUGUAAUGCUUAAAUCUUUUAAGUAAUAAAGCGUCCCUUUUCGAAAAAAAAAGGUAAAGGAGGAGGGAGGGAGGGUGGCAGCCGCGGUGGGCAGUGCCGGGGAGCGCCGGAGCGGUUACAGUAAAAAUGGCCAACGUGGUCUCUCUCUCUCUGGGUUUGGUGGUCGUGGACAGUCUUUUCUUUCUUUUUUUCUCUUUCUGUUACUCCCUUUUGCAAAGCCUGUUUAGAUUAGAAGGUUGUGUUAGGUGGACACAAAUAUGCUCGGGGCGGAGCUGUUUUGUUUCACCACGGAAUAUCCUCCUCCUGUACGUGAAAACGGAGGCACAUCUCUCCCUCUCUCUCUCUCCGAGGGGCAUGAGCUAGCUAGAGCCUAUCAGGGUGGAGUCAAAACAGGCGAAAGUUGCUCGCCAUCCUAACCCGAAACUCGCCUGGUGCCUGUGCCUGUGCGCUGUUGCUGCUGCUACUGCGAGCCUAGCCAGUUCAUUCCGGACGUGAUGUAGUUAUUAAACACAGCUUUUUUUGUGAGACAAGGGAUAAGGGAGGGGGAAAACCGAACAGAAAAAGGGAGGAAGGGGGUGGCUCGUUUUGAAGCGGGAAGCGGAGAGGCCAAGGGCGGGAAACCCAAAAUCGAUGGAAGCGGAGGACGGGACUUUGUCGCCGCGUGCGAUAGCCCAUGACACAUUCGGCCUGCCUGGGAAUACGGACAAGUGGGAUCGCUCCGCAAGCCCACCAGAAAGCCCUGUGACUUUUUCUUGUUUGAACUGACUGACUGGGAGCAACAAGUUGGCGCUACCCACUGCUCAAAUAAACAAUUGGGGUUAGGCACGACCCCAAAUGGUCCGGCCGUGUCUGCUUAAGGGUAAACGGACACAAAACGCGGCCCAGCGCGCAGGAGUAAACGGACAAAUGUCCAUUUUUUGUCCGGUUUCAACCCAUUCCCGGCUCAAUUUUGGGCCGCGUUUGCGUCGAGAUGGACAGCACGUGGACAGGCAAGGCGCGCGCCCUUGUCCUCCACUGGCACGCCCGUCGGUGGCACAUACGCCCCUUUUCUCUUUUCCUACCCCUUCCUCCGCCCCCUCCCCCGCCAUCACUGUCGCCACCUAUCAGUGCCCAUUUUCCCGACCCCCUUCCUCGCUUUCCUGCCAGGCCGCCCAAACCACGACCACGCGAUGCCAUAGCCAGCCACACGCCCGCAUUUUGGAGGAGUUUUUUGUCGGCGUUCGUGGCUCUUUGUUGUUGCAACCGGUGGGAGAGAAGCUACGGCCGCCGCCAGCGCCGCCCAUCGACCCCAUGUAGCGACCAGACCUCAAACAGUCUGUGCUGCUGUGCACCAGUGUCAUCCCUGGAUCAGUAAUGCUGACACGCACAGUACAAAUGGAGGAUUUAUAACAGAGUAGCAAUCACACACUUAUUACAACGAAUAUCUCAAAAGAGAAUAAGUAUGAUAAAUAUGGCUUAAGGCCAUCUAAUACGAUAACAGUGGAAGACUUGGAAGAAUAGUGAGUCCAUCAACUCCAAUGGCAUCACUGAGUAUAAGACCACGACCUAAGGCACCUUACUCGUCGUCUGAAAAGUCUGCAACAUGAAACGUUGCAGCCCGGAAACGGGUCAGCACAUGGAAUAUGCUGGCAAUGUAACACAUAGAGAAUAAUGAACAUAAUAAUGCUAUACUACAUGCAUAUAUGGCUGGUAGAAAGCUCUAUGGUUACAGUUUUGCGAAAAGCCAGUUUUUCCCUACUGCAAAGGAAUAAAUUUUAUUUAACUAUCAUGGUGGUUGUUAAACGUUGAGAUGGUUGACAGCAUCUCAAUCCCAAUUAAGUAUCAUCAUUAACCCAACAAGAUUAAUUAAAGUAACAUGAUGAGAUUCACAUGAUAAUCCAAGUACUAGAUACUCAAGAUGUCCAUAACCGGGGACACGGCUAACCAUGAUUAGAUUGUACACUCUGCAGAGGUUUGCGCACUUUUCCCCACAAGACUCGAUCGCCUCCGCUUGAUUCUCGCACUACAUGAUGUUUGAGAAACGGAUGACCGAGACACAGUCUUUCAGAAGCGUUAGCACCUUACGAUGGGUAGACCGGUACACCUACAUCCCCUACAUCUGCUAGUCUACCACUGUAAGAGUUCACACAACUUAAUCAACUAUGCUAGAGCCCAUAAUAGCUUGUGGCUGCACACGGAAGUUUCUAGCAUGAAUAAUCUCAUGAUCCCUUUGAACCUGGGUGGCGGUCCAAAAAGAAAAAAACAGGCAAUCCUGGAAUACCCAGGUACCUCAAUCCACCUAGAUGUGAGUUUUAGUUGCCACCUUAAGUAAACCAUUAAUUAACAAUCUCACAUCUGUCGUGAAUAUCUCUCAAACCCAAUCCACGUCUACAAGCAUAGCAUAGCAAUAUAAGCAAACGUAGAAGUAACUCCCAAAGGUUUGAUAAUGAAACAGGUGAUAGGUACUACCUCUUCUACUUCCCAAUACCCACAAAUUAAUUAGGUCCUAAUCAUGCAAUGUUUGAGGAUUGAUCUAAUGCAAUAAAACUGGGUAGUAAAAGGGGUAUGAUCAAAGUGUUACUUGCCUUGCUGAUGAUCCGCGAAACCUAGCGAUUCGAAGUAGCAAGCGACGCACUCCGGGUACUCUAUCGUAAACAAACAAGCAAACAAUAAGUACUCAUCUAAUGCACGGGUAAAACUCAAAUAAGAGAACUAACCAGAAAGUUCAACUUAAGAACUCCGGUUUGCAAAAAGAAAUCAAAUCGAACGAAAGUCAAACAGCGAAAGAAACAAACUUCGUUUACUAAUCUGGACCUAGGUCAAAUUUUACAGAAACAGAAAACUUGUUUGAGUUGGUUAAAUGGAAAGAGAAUUUCGAGACGAAACUCUAGGUGCUUGAAUCGCCUGAUUCCGAUAAACGAGCGAAAAGUUAUACUAGUUUGAAAAUCUGAUCAGAAAUCGCGAUCAGAAAAAUCACAGAAUAAAUCCGAGAAAAGAAAAACGUCGAACAGAUUAACGAACGAACGUUCGUUAACUGGAUCUAAACGCCGAACGCGUUCAAUAGAACGAACGACCGAGCGAACGCUCGCUAAUUAACCUAAACAAAAAAACGAUCUAAAAAACGGAUAAAAAAACCGACGAAAAACCGCGGAAAAACCGAACGGUUUUUCGCGAGAAAACCGGCGGCUACCUCCGGCUCCGGCGAGGCGGCGGCUCGGGCGGCGAGGUCGGGCGGCGGCGGCGGGACGGCGAGGGGCGGCGGCGGCGAGGNNNNNNNNNNNNNNNNNNNNNNNNNNNNNNNNNNNNNNNNNNNNNNNNNNNNNNNNNNNNNNNNNNNNNNNNNNNNNNNNNNNNNNNNNNNNNNNNNNNNNNNNNNNNNNNNNNNNNNNNNNNNNNNNNNNNNNNNNNNNNNNNNNNNNNNNNNNNNNNNNNNNNNNNNNNNNNNNNNNNNNNNNNNNNNNNNNNNNNNNNNNNNNNNNNNNNNNNNNNNNNNNNNNNNNNNNNNNNNNNNNNNNNNNNNNNNNNNNNNNNNNNNNNNNNNNNNNNNNNNNNNNNNNNNNNNNNNNNNNNNNNNNCUAGGGCUCGGCGCUAUAUAAAGCCCCGGUCAGGCGGAGUCCUGACUGGUUACGGCCCAUAGUCGGUUUCGUUUUUUUUAAUAAUUACGCGCAGAAAAACGAUUAAAAGAAAUACCAAACGGACUCCAAAAAUCCCGAAAUAAAAUUUCCCCGGCUUCUAAAAUCAAGCCGGACAUGAUGAACAUUUAUUUGGGGCCUAAAUGCAAUUUUGAAAAACGCACAUUUUUCCUAAAUUCAAAUAAAAUAUCCGAAAACUCCGAAAUAAAAUCUUAUUUGAUUUUUUAUUAAAUCUUCAAUAUUCCUAUAUUUUGGGAAAUUCAUUUUAUUCCCUCUCUCAUAUUUUUAUAAUUGGAAUAAUUGAGGAUAAAAUAAAUAAAACCAAAUGAUCCUAUUUUCAAAAUUUGAUAAAUCUCAAAUACGAAAAUAACAAAAUCCCCAACUCUCUCCGUGGGUCCUUGAGUUGCAUAGAAUUUAUAGGAUCAAACCAAAAUGCAAUAAAAUAUGAUAUGCAAUGAUGAUCUAAUGUAUAACAUUCCAAAUUGAAAAUUUAGGAUGUUAUCUGCACGGAGAGCCCCGAACCUGGGUAAGAUUCGCCAGCGUGCAUGUCUUCGCCUCAUCCCGUUUCCAGGCACCGGCGAUGUCUUACUGGCUCCCACAAUGAUAAGCCACCCGUUGGCAUAUGUCGCACCUACCACCCGACAUUUGGCGCCCAUCGUGGGGCCAGGCGCACCGUCGUCCGGAGACCUGCUCUGGACGGGAACCCUUUUCCUCCCCAGCGAGCGUAGCCAGCCCGGCACGCCCGAUGGCGCUUGCCCCGAUGCGCUGCACGGCCUCGACAACGCCUGCGCGGCGAGCUGCCUCGCCGAUGUCCUUGGCGAAGCUCGCAUCUCCAAUGAGCCUGCGUCCGACGCAGGCACAGACUGCCCCGAGAGCCGCCUCGUCAGCCUCCUCGACCAGUUUCACGUCUCCAGCGAGCCUGCUGCGGACUUGGAGUCGGUCGGCUCCAUCGACCCGAUGCUUGUCGACUCCGACACGGCAUCACUUGACGCCUUCCCCACCAAUGUGGUGAUCAUCGACGACCCUCUUCCUCGAGCCGUCAGUGGCGGCAGCACCGUCACUGAGGUGCUGGUCACCAACCAUGGCGCCGCCUCUGGCGAAAACGCCCACGACACCCUGCAGGCAGCACUACACGACCUGUCCGCCCCCAUCCCGGCUGACGCCGACGCCGAAACACUGGAAGCACGCCACCUCACCCUCAUCACGGAGGGCCAGAAGAUAGCAUCCAUGAGGCGCCUCAUUGAGGCUCACCAACGCGAAGUCGACCGCGCCGCCUUUGGCACGCCGCCUCCUGGCGGGCCGAGCCGGAUCGGUGUUGUCAAGAAGGGCGGCGCAGCCAUCGCCAGCAUGCUGGGAGCAGACCGCCCAGUCUACGCCACACCACUCGAGAACCUACAUGCCGCCCAGGCGGCCGUAGACGAGCUGAACGGACCGGAGGCCGACGAGCUCCCCUACAUGACUAGACGCAUCCAGCAGCUGAUCGAUGCGGCUGCAGAGCGGCACAAAGCCAGCGCCCCGCGCUGAGAGUCCUCCCCCACGCCGAGAGCACGGCGCGACAUCCCGGACGCCGACUGCAGAUGGCGCCCGCGCAAGAAAAGACAAGGAGCCGGCUGCUAGCCGCAGUCGGACUCGCCUCACCACCGAGCGCGAUGCAGAGGGCCGCCCUCGAGCUGUGGAACGAUGAGGCAAUCCGCCUCCUCCUCCGCCUCGUGGGGAGAGAUAUCCCACCCCGCCGCCUGUUGCACAUCCGACUCUCAGCGGCCGACUCGGCCGCCGCGAAGGAGUCGGCGAGACUGACGCCCGCCACCGGAUCGACCGCCUAGCGCGAUCCCUGGCACUAGAAGAAGAAGAAGAUGUCGGCCCACCUUGCUUCGGUCCCCGCAUCCGCGACGAGCCCUUCCCCAAAGGGUUCUCGCUCCCAAGAGACACACCAAAAUACAACGGCUCGGUGAAGCCGAAAGACUGGUUGAUCGAUUACUCCACUGCAGUCCGCAUAGCAAACGGCAACAGGCGCGUCGCCGUGAAGUACGUCCCUCUCAUGCUUCAAGGCACGGCACGCAUCUGGCUGAACAACAUCAAGCCCUACAGCAUCAACAGCUGGCUAGCCUUCACGGAAGUCUUCAACCGCAACUUCACCAGCACAUACAAGCGGCCUCCCAAGCCCCGCCAGCUCCCACCGGCAAAUAGAACAGAGGAGCGGAUAAGAACAAGAUGGCAAUCGAAGUCUACUAAGAAGUUCCAAGCCGCCUGCUCAGCAGCCGACUCGGAACUCGGGGACUACACCCAGUGGGUGUGCUGACGCGCCCCCACGGAAGAAUUCAUAAACAAGAAGCAAAAAAGCGGGAAGACUCACCCGAAUGGCUGUCCGCGUCGCGAGGAAUCCUGGGUAUACUGCUUCAACACAGUGGCCUGAGACUGAAGCCCGUUCCGGACUUCUUGCGCCGCCACGUUCAGCACGGCCGUCCCACGACCCGGCGUCCACCUCGGCGAGCUAGCGCUUGCCGUCUCCAGAUCCUGGGCCGACGAGCUGGAGCCCGCGGCCUUCUGCGGACUCGGCGCCGAGGUCGCCUUCCCGGCGCGCUGGCGGGCCGGAGACCGGACCACAAGGUCCGCCCUCGCAGCCGGCUCGCUUCCAGCCAGCUGCACAGAUGGCGCGUUGGGCUGGCCGCCUUGGUCCGCCCUGGCCGGCGAUGGCGGGGCCGCCUCCCUCUCCAAGACGACGACAUCGCCCUCCUCCCUCUCCAUCACCGGCUGGUCGCCGUCGGCUCCCACCGGCGGGACCACCGGGAUCUCAGGCGCCACCGCGCGGAGGGGAAUGACGAGCUGCGGAGGCUGGUUACGAAGGGCCUCCGCCGCCUGCUCCGUGGCUACAGCCUCCGCCUGAGCCUUGCCUGCUGCAUCGGCCUGUGCCUUCGCCGACUCCUCCGUCGCCUCCUGCGCCGCCUUGGCAGCGGCCGCCCUCUGCUCCUCCGCCUCCCGCUCCUCCCGCGCGUUCCGCUCCGUCGCCGCCUGAAGCUCGGCGCGGGGGUCCAUGCGGUGAGUGCUCGCAGCCCCUCCCGCCGAUCCGACCAUGGAGGCGGCAGCAGUCCGCUCAAGAGAGAGCGGAGCCCUGUUUUCAAGUCAAGACAAGACCUCAGAGGAAUAUCAACAAGAAAGAAGAAAGGAAUGCGUAAGAGAAUUGACACUUACGCCGAAACCAUUUGCGGUUGCUUCACCGCCUUGCGGAAGCGGGCAGCCUUCGCGGCUGCCUCAUCCCGCUUGGUCGCCGCCGCCGCGCUCUUGGGUUUCUUCGGCCGACUGCCGAAAAGGAUCGGUGCGGCCCAACGCUUCUACGCGCCGCCUCGGGCAGCCGGCGCGGCGGAUGAGCCCGCGCCCUGAUGAUCGGACGCCGGCUGACGGCGCGGGACGACCUCAGCCUCGUCGUCAUCCGGCCAGUCCUCGAAGCCGGCUCCGAAUUCGGAGCCGCCUGCCUCGCCGCUCCCCCCCACCUCGUCGUCGUCCAGGGCGGCCGCCCCCAAGUCGGGGUCAUCCAAGUCGUCCGUCGCGCUGUCGGGGUGGUACUGGCACUCUAACCCCGCAGCGCCGGCAGCCGGCCGGAGAAGGGGGUUCUGUUAGACAAGCAGACUGGUCAAAAUCGGCCAGGAAGAGCUCGGCAACAAGGAAAGAGAGAAGAAAAAAGAACUUAUCGAAGGCGGAGGAUUGGCACGGGAGUACGACUCCUUGCCAAACUACCACUCCUCGGUGAGCUUGCAGUUGGCAAUGUAGUUCACCAUGUGAGCUACCUCGGCGUGAGGCAUCUCCUUGGUGCACAGCCGGCUUGGAUCGAGGUGCCCGCUCAUCUGAUAGAUCAUAUGAGGGCGGCCCUGAAGCGGAAGCACCCGGCGUGCCACGAAGGCGGCCAGCAGGUCGGGCCCGGUCAGGCCCUCAGACUGGACCAACACCCGGAGCCGCGCGACGGCGGCGGCCCCAGCAGGAGACAGCGUCUUGGCUCGAUAGGACCAUUGGGGCCGCCUCCCAGCUGGCGGGCCGGCUACAUAAGCCGGCAAGUUGACCCAGUCACCCUGCGGGGCGAUGUUCUUCACGUAGAAGUAGGACUUCUGCCACAGCUUCACCGACUGGAUCAGCGUGACAGAAGGAAACGAAUUGUCGCUUGUCGGCCUCCGCACCGCGAUGAAGGCGCCGCAUUGAGCCGGCAUGCCCUUGGCGACAGUGCCGAGCUUGGAUUGGAAGAACUCCCCCCAGAUCUCGAUGGUGGGGAGGACGCAAAGGAAGCCUUCGCACAGGGCGACGAAGGCGGAUAGCAGCACCACCGUGUUAGGAGUGAGGUGGUGCGGCUGAAGUUGGUAGAACUCGAGGAAGGAGCGGAAGAAGCCGCUCGCCGGCAUGCCGAUGCCGCGCAGGCAGUGCGAGCAGAAGAUGACCCGCUCGCCCUCCUCCGGCACCGGCGAAAUCUCCCCCUCCGGCGCAAGACGAACCCGCACAUAAUCUUCGCCGGGCAUCCGCCGUGUCUUGCGAAGGAAAUCGACGUGGUCCUCAUGGACGUUGGAGCCGUCCCAGGAUCCGACGCGCGCCAUGAGAACGAAAGGUCGCCGGAGAAAGCGCGGUGGUGGAGAGAGCGCGACCCCGCAGCAGCGAAGCUACGGCGUAGUAAGAAGACUGGUGGAACGGCGGGGCGAUGGGCAGCAGCGGGGACGGAGAGGAGGAAGAGAAGAAGGAAAUGGCGGAGCAGGGGCGAGCGUGCGAGCAUCUGCCGCUCGCCCUCCUCCCCCUACUUAUAGCCCAGGUGCGGCGAAGCCGAGGAGGCAAGACGUGGGGGGACAUGGGAUUAACUGCGCCCACUCCCCCACGCCCCGCAAUUAUUACGCCCUAACAACGUGCAGUAACUGCCGUUGGAAGGCAAACCGCCCGUUUGGGCCAUAGAAGAUCCACACAUGGGCCGAGGCGUGGAAGUGGCGGGCCCCGGCCUGCAGCGACGUCCCAUCGCGCGCGUGGGCUGACAGGCUCUUCCAGCUGAAGGGUACCACGCGGCGCGCAGGUGGCGAGCGGCCGGCCCGCAACCCGGCGCGCGCGCCAGCUGGUCCCCGCCUUCGGGCUUCAAGCCCUCCCAAGACGGUGCGUCCAUUCAAGGCCGACUCCUAGCUCUUGGCUCUUCAAGAUAGGAAGCUGUUUGAGCUUCUCGUCCUCCCUUCAGCCGCGAAGCCCAACCAGCUCCGGGGACUACUGUCGGAGUAAAUGACCACGGGUAGCCCAACCGGCUCCCCCUGGUUCUUCAAAAAAUAUCGGGCCGAUUGAGCCCUCAAGCGUCCAAGACACAUGGCCGCCUUCCUCGGGCCGGCUGGCCCACCGGCCGGCUUCCGGAGGGCGGCAAGGCUCUGACGGUUCUCGCGAAGGGGGCCGACUCCAAGCAGCCGUCCAUGAGAAGGCCGGCUCCUAGCAGGCGGUCCCGCGUACCCCAUCAGAGUCUGCACCCACCUAACGGUGAUGAGACAGGGCGUGGCUACAGUGAAGCCUGCCACCCCCGAAUCCCGGAGCACGCAUGGCCACAGUGCGCCGUACAGGGCGGCCAUCCCCCGUCCGGCGCGGCACUGUUGCCAUGUCGACCAUGAUGCCACCCACGACAGGCUGUCAGUACGGCCCGCAGGUGGCGGGCCCCUUCAGCCAGAGAGACACAGAAGGCGGCCGAGCCUCCCAUAGCCGGCCCUGGAGGUAGCCGGCCCCCAACAGUCGGCUUACCCUCGCCCACGAGGUACAUGCCCAUUAAGAAGACAAGAUGGGGUAAGGCUACAGUGAAAGCCCGCCAGGCGGUGGCACUGUAGCCAUGCUUACCUCGACAAAGCCCUCGUCAUCAAGGGCGAGGCUACAGUAACCAGUCGCCGACAAGACCCCCAGGCGGUGGGGCCGGCCUGUCGGCCGAGGAGCCGGCAGCCGGUGGGACCCACCAGUCGGCGGGCCCCAGUAGCCAGCGGAGAAGCCGGCGAUUACAGACACUGACGGCGAGGACCCACGUUCGGCCGGAUUACCAUUGUACCCCUGGGGGGUAGGCUUAUAUAAAGCCCCCAGAGCACCCAUGCAAAGGGUUGAUCUCUUAGAGUUUCCCACACCACAUAGAGAGGAGAGGAGAGUUUGUCGUGCCCUUCUUCUUCCUCUCGCCAAACAGCUCAAGGAGCCUCUUGUAGCCACUUGUGUUGAUCUAGUGAUCAUGCGGAGACCCCGCAGAGCAGGACUAGGGGUGUUAUCUCCACGGAGAGCCCCGAACCUGGGUAAGAUUCGCCGGCGUGCAUGUCUUUGCCUCAUCCCGUUUCCAGGCACCGACGAUGUCUUACUGGCUCCCACAAUGAUAAGCCACCCGUUGACAUAUGUCGCACCUACCACCUGACACCUACGUCAAGAUUCCUCACCAGAGCGACGAAGGGGCUGAGGAGUAAAAAGAAUUCCUACUCUCCGGUAUAACUAGCUCCGAAAACAGUUUUCUUCUAGACUCGACAACGGCCAACUACGAACAAUCAAGGGGGCUCCUAUGGUCGGUCGAGGCUCUGAUACCAACUUGUCACACCCAAUAUGCGACCCCAUCCGAGAGGAACUCGAAGGUCCCACCAAGGAUAGACCCGCAUAUUGAAACUGUUUUGCAAGGUGGAUAUCAUUAAAUCAACAUUACAUAAUAGAUGGGGGUACAUACAAAAGGCACAAACGCCCCAAGAAUACAUCAAUACAUCAUACAUAAGAUCAACAUCCGACUACGGAUGAAACACAAACAGAAGCUCAAACGACAUCCACCCUGCUAGCCUAGGCUGCCGACCUAGAACCUAUCCCCUGAUCGAAGAAGAAGCAGAAGAAGAACGCCAAAACAAGUAACAUCGCUCUCGCGUCAUGAUCAUCGCAAUACCUGUACCUGCAACUGUUGUUGUAGUAAUCUGUGAGCCACGAGGACUCAGCAAUCCCAUUACCAUGGGUAUCAAGACUAGCAAAGCUUAAUGGGUAAGGAAGGGGUAAAGUGGUGAGGUUGCAGCAGCGGCUAAGCAAAGUAUGGUGGCUAACUUACGAAACAAGAGCGAGAAGAGGAGCUUAACAAGCGGUCGUCAACUAGUAAUGAUCAAGAAGUGAUCUUGAACUCCUACCUACGUCAAGCAUAACCCAAAAACCGUGUUCCCCUCUCGAACAACCCCGAAAAGAGACAAUCACGGUUACGCACGCGGUUGGUGUAUUUUAGAAGAGUUUACUUCAAGUCUACUACAACCGGAUAUUAACAAAUUCCCAUCUGCCACAUAACCGCGGGCACGGCUUUUGAAAGUUCAAACCCUGCAGGGGUGUCCCAACUUAGCCCAUCACAAGCUCUCACGGUCAACGAAGGAUAUUCCUUCUCCCGGGAAGACCCGAUCAGGCUCGGAAUCCUGGUUUACAAGACAUUUCGAUAAUGGUAAAACAAGACCAGCAAAGCCGCCCGAUGUGCCGACAAAUCCCGAUAGGAGCUGCACAUAUCUCGUUCUCAGGGCACACCGAAUGAGCCAGACGUCGGGUUGGCAUAGACCCUGGUUGCCCAGGGGGCGCCGGACAUCGCUCGGGUUUGGACCAACACUCGAAGGAGCACUGGCUCGGGGGGUAAAUAAAGAUGACCCUCAGGCUCCAGAAACCCAAGGGAAAAAGGCUUAGGUGAGGCAAAUGUAAAACCAAGGUUGGCCUUGCUGGAGGAGUUUUAUUCAAGGCGAACUGUCAAGGGGUCCCCAUAACACCCAACCGCGUUAGGAACGCAAAAUCAAGGAACAUAACACCGGUAUGACAGAAACUAGGGCGGCAAGAGUGGAACAAAACACCAGGCAUAAGGCCGAGCCUUCCACCCUUUACCAAGUAUAUAGAUGCAUUAAUUAAAUAAGAGAUAUUGUGAUAUCCCAACAUAAACAUGAUAUCCGUGUUCCAACAUGGAACAAACUUCAUCUUCACCUGCAACUAGCAACGCUAUAAGAGGGGCUGAGCAAAAGCGGUAACAUAGCCAAACAACGGUUUGCUAGGAAGGGUGAAAAAGGUUAGAGGCUGACAUGGCAAUGUGGGAGGAUUGAAGAGCAAGUGAUAGGUAGCGCAGCAUAGCGAUAGAAUGAAGCAACUAGCAUAGCAAUGAUAGUAAUGAGAUCCAAGGUGACGGUCAUCUUGCCUUAUCCUGCUAGGAAGAAGAACGGGUCCAUGAAGAAGAUGAAGCCACGAAGACGAACCAAGCGUAGUCGAACGGAUCCUCACGAUCGCAACGAAACAGGAAGUAACGAGAAGGAGCGCAACCGGAAAGAAGCAAACAACAAGGUAAACACACAACACAUAAACAUGACAUGAUGCACAACCAAGCAUGAUGCAUGACAAGGCUAUAUGAUGCUUUUCAUGGCAAGAGAUGAAGCAUACAAGAAUAACACAUCAAAGCAAGUUUAAAUGAGGCCGGAAACAACAUAUAACAAAUCCGGUAAGUCCUCAUAUGCAAAUUUCGAAAUUAGACCAGAUCUGAACAAACAUUAAGUUGAAAUUGUUAAACAGCAAGUUAAAGAGCACCAUGAUGAUCUACACGAAAUUCUAGUCAAGUUACAUAUAAAGUUCAUUUAGUUCGGACCUACGGCCUAGAAGAUAUGAGUAAAACAAGUUAAGCAUGACAUUGAUACAAAAUGCAUUCAAACAUCAAGAAAACACUCUCAAAACAUUUAUGCAACAUGGCAUGGUGAAACUACAUGCAAUUCUAAGCAAGUUUCAUAUAGAGCAUGCUUAAAACGGAGCAACGGUGCAACACAUACACUCCAAACAAGAUAUAACAACAAACUGUCCAAAACAGCAACUAGGCAUCUUGCAAGCAUCAAAGCAAUAUGCUACAACACCUCAACAUGAAAACACAAGGCAUGGAUGUGAUGUAUAGGUAAAGCAUUACAAAACAUGAACACUGGGCUAUCUCUAGACACCACUAGAACAUGCUCAAAAGGACAUGACAAGAUUGCAAAUAAUAACAGUUUCAGACUUCGCAGGAAUUCACUGGACAUGACAGAAAUAACAUCAGGUUGCAAUGUUCAGAGCUAUCAAACAACAAGUUACAGCAAGCUAUCAUGGCAAACUUAAGCAUGGUAUACUAGUACUAAAAGCACUUAUCAAAACUUCCUUACUGAACUUAUUCCAAAGAUCAACAGAAACAUGGUAGCAUCAAUGCAAAUAUGGUAAGUAAUAUGACAGAUUCAGACAGUGAAAAUAACAGUUCAUGGCAGAAACAACGAUAAGUAGGCAUGUUGGUGAGCUUGUACCACUCACCACUGAGCAUUUCAUGGCAUGUGAAGUCAACCAACAGUAAGCAGACAAACUGACAGAGCUAAACAUGGCAAUAGCAUAGUCAUAGGGUGCAUGGAUCACUAGAAAAACACAUGGCAAAACUGAACUUAAUGUUAACAGACUGACAGCAACAUUAUUUAGCAAGUUUGGAGCAUGAUAACAACAAUCUACAGCAAGCUAUAAUUUCAACCAAGGGCAUGGAAUGAUAGAGUACAACAUGUAGAACAAAACAUCCUUAUUGAACAUCUCCAGAUUAUGCAUAGAACUCAUAGUAGCAGCAGGUUUACAUGGCAUCACAAUGUAACAGAACAAGAUUGGCAGAAAUGACCGUCACAGAAAUCAGCAACAUCACGGAGGCUAUUUUGCAAGCUUGUACUAGUUACCACAUAGAUCACAAAAAUACAAGACAAGAACCCCUGUAAAUAUGGAAUGAUGUAGUUCAAAACUCAUGUAGACAUCAAGCUCAUAGGAUGCACACACAAAAUGUAACGAAAAAGAAAAAUCACCAAGUUAUAAUAGUCUCAGCAGGUUAACAUCAUAUAGCACUCUUGCAACGAGGAUUAGGGCAUCAAGAUGAACUCAAACAAGGAUGGCACAGUGGAAUAAAAUUAAGAGCAUCUCACAAUGAACAUUUUGACAUACUGUACAUGCAAAACGGAGCUACAUGCAUGAAGUUAUGGCACGUAGAACUGGGCACCAGAAUAUGCAAAUUUACAGGACUUGGCCGUUUUUCCGGAGAACAAAAAACAGAACGGGCGCCAAGUAAUAAAACGCGCACGAGGCGGGGUUUAGGCGGGCUGCUCACCUAGCGGGCUCGGCCCAGGGUGGGGGAAGAGGCCAGGCAGGCCGGCGCGGAGCUGGGCUGGGCCUUGGAGGCGCGGGGCCCACGUGAGGAGGAGCUCGACCUCCUCCUCGAUCCCGCCUGGAUCGGAGGAGCAGGGGUGGCGGCGCUACUCUGGCAAGGGCGGGGCUACUCCGGCGGUGGAGCGACCGGUGGACGGCGGGGAUGGGCGUGGGGCGCGGAUCCAAGUGCGGCGGCGGCCGGGGACGUCGGGGUCGCGGCGGGAGGUCGUCGGCGGGAGCGGACGGGCGGAUCCGGCGGCUCCUUGCCGGAUCCGGCCGGAGGCGAAGCACGGCGCAGGGAGGCGCGGGGAGNNNNNNNNNNNNNNNNNNNNNNNNNNNNNNNNNNNNNNNNNNNNNNNNNNNNNNNNNNNNNNNNNNNNNNNNNNNNNNNNNNNNNNNNNNNNNNNNNNNNNNNNNNNNNNNNNNNNNNNNNNNNNNNNNNNNNNNNNNNNNNNNNNNNNNNNNNNNNNNNNNNNNNNNNNNNNNNNNNNNNNNNNNNNNNNNNNNNNNNNNNNNNNNNNNNNNNNNNNNNNNNNNNNNNNNNNNNNNNNNNNNNNNNNNNNNNNNNNNNNNNNNNNNNNNNNNNNNNNNNNNNNNNNNNNNNNNNNNNNNNNNNNNNNNNNNNNNNNNNNNNNNNNNNNNNNNNNNNNNNNNNNNNNNNNNNNNNNNNNNNNNNNNNNNNNNNNNNNNNNNNNNNNNNNNNNNNNNNNNNNNNNNNNNNNNNNNNNNNNNNNNNNNNNNNNNNNNNNNNNNNNNNNNNNNNNNNNNNNNNNNNNNNNNNNNNNNNNNNNNNNNNNNNNNNNNNNNNNNNNNNNNNNNNNNNNNNNNNNNNNNNNNNNNNNNNNNNNNNNNNNNNNNNNNNNNNNNNNNNNNNNNNNNNNNGGCGGGCCGGAUCUGGGCCCCGGGCAGCGGCGGCGAUGUGGGCGCGGGGAGGCGACGUGGCGCGUCCCGAUUGGACGAGGGCGGCGGCGGGCUGACGUGUCGCCACCCGAUUGGACGGGGCGACGCGUCCUGCGGCGGAGAGGGGAAAAUGCUAGGGUUUGGACUGCGAUUUGGGCGGGGGAGGGCAUAUUUAUAGGUAGAGGGAGCUAGGAGAGUCCAAAUGAGGUGUGGUUUUCGCCCACACGAUCACGAUCCAACGACCGAGAGCAUGGAGGGGGUUUGGAUGGGCUAGGUGGGCUGUGUGAAGGGGUGCUGGGCUGCAAGAGAAAAGGGGGUUUCGGUUAGCUCGGUUAACCGUUGGGGCAUCAAACGUCCUCCAAAUGGGACGAAAUUUGACAGGCGGUCUACCGGUGAUAUACCAAGGCCUCUUGACAAAUCUCGACCCAUUCCGAGCACAUUUUUCGGCGGGUCAUAAAACAAGGUCUGAGAGGGGCGACGGGUGCGUGCGAGUGUGGUUGGGCUCAGAACGGACAACGGAAAGAACUGGGAGGACCCGAACGGAUGCAAGUUUUGAAAAACAUGCAGAUGAAAUGCAGAUGAUGACAUGGCAAAAUGCAACACGCAAGCAAAAGACAUGGCAACAACGGCGAAUAACUGGAAGACACCUGGCGCAUCGGAUCCGGGGCGUUACAUAGGGUCACACGCUUAAGGGUCAUCUAUCUGCUGAAUACUAGACAGGGAGUCUGAGAGAAAAUCACCGAAAAAGUUUCGGACACCGAAAAGUUUCGGACAGCGGAAAAGUUCUGCAGAGAGAGGUCACCGGAUGAGUUUCGGUGAAACCGAAAAAGUUGUUUCGGGGUAUGCCAUUAAGUCAAAAUGGUUUCGGCACAUGCCUGAUAAUUCUUGGAGGGUGCCAGAAUCAUUCUGGAAACUUUUUGGAAUUUUCAGAAAUAAAAACCGGAAAUGUUCCAGAGCUGCAGGAACCGGUUCAGAUGCUUUUCGCAGAUGAAAAUCACUAAACUGGAAUUGUUCCAGAAUGCGUUGAAAAUUAUUAUGAUGGGUACUGGAAAUGUUUUAAGCCCACAUAAAUAUUUUCAGUUCGAACGGACGCUGAAAAAUGUCGUCGUGAAUAGUGAAAGUGCUUUUUGGGUUACUUUUUGGAAAGCCACCUUUUGGGGCUUUACUCAAAAGAUCUAGGGAUGACAUGGAUGGAUUGGGAGGCCCUCAUGGGCCCCCCCAAGGGGUGUGGCCGGCCACACUUGGGGCUCCACCUUGGAGCCCCUCUUGUUCCUUGGUUUCACUCUUAUGCCCUUGAGGAAGGACUUCAUUCAUGUGCAUUUUGGGUUUUUGUGUUAAACUACCCUAUCCCUUGGGAUUUCCUAUAAAUAGAGGUGGAGGGGCAGCCCUCCACACUCACUCUUUCUCACGUACAAGUGCCAUGCAUGAUCUGGCUUCUCUCUCCCUCCCAGCGAAAUAGUUUCGUAGAGCCAAAAGGAUGUCUGGGUUCCGGCAGGAACUAGUUCUGGACGGCGAAGCCCUGCCGGAUAGAUGACACCGUAUGUGUGCAACUCUAUAGAGAGGCCGUAGUUUCGAUCUUAGUGCCCGAGGGGCUGUUUGAGAGUGCCUGCCGAAGGGCUGUCCGAGUGACCGUUCGAGUUUCGAAGGUCCUCCCGAAGGGCUGUCCGCGACACCGUUCGGGGGACUGUUCGACCGCCUCCCGGAGGGAGGGAGUACAUCCUCGCGGUUGGGAGGUUGUAAAUCCUAGCUGCGGGGAUCUGCACCGACGAUCGUCAUCGACUCUACUUCCGCUGCGCUACGAGUCGGUAACAAAAAUGAUCAAACCUUGUAUGCAGUCUUCAUAGUGGUCCUGGGCUGGUGCGUAAGUCGGAAUUUUUUUGUUUUCUGUUGCAUUACCCAACAGUGGCAUCAUGAGCCGUGCUAUGCGUAGAUGCAGGUUGCGAUCUAGAAUACAUGGAGAUGUAUGGGUGUUGCACAAUAUAAUUAGGUAGAUGAGUUCUAUUACUGAAAAUUAUUUGUGCGGGUAGCAGAUGAAAUCUGUUACCCGAUGUUCUUGUUGCUUCCCUUAAAAUUGCGUAGUCCUGAUCUUCACAGCAUUGUGGAAUCUGACAAAGUUCUGGCAAUCCGCAAUCCUUUCAUGCUGCUCCUGAGCAUGCUGAUUGACAGAUCAAGGAAGUGCUAACAGUUCUUUGGGUUCCACUUUAGUCAAAGAAAGAUGGAUGUUUCGCAGACUAAAGGGCAAUGCAGAUAUGAUCUGCACGGGGGUCAUGCAUAUGACGAAGUUCAGUGUGGGGCUCGAGAUUUUAUUAUCUCAUGUUUCAUACACCCUGAUAAGUUAAUCUAGCGCUUGAAUUAUCAUACUUGAUGAUGGACGUUGGUAGCUUCGGUUUGUUUCGAAACCUUAGAAGCCACGUAAAACAAGUUUUUGCAUGAACCGAUUAGAGACGUCUAACAUUGUUUUGCAGGAGGGUUUGCAUGUGCAUAUGAUGUGGUAUAGCAGUGCUCAUAAUAAUUUGAUUAUGUAUGAGAUAACUAUAUGUUGUAAAUUGAUUAACAUGACCUGCGUGUCAUGAUUCGGCAUGAUGGCUGGAGCCAUAUGAUUGUCACUUUAAUGACCUGCGUGUCAACCUUAAGUAAUGCACUUAUUUUAUUAGCUAUAGAGAUAGCAAUAUUAUCCGGUGCAUCGACAAGGUGGUGGAAAUCUUAGCGAAGGUGAACGCCGACGCAAAUGCCGAAGACGAAGAAAUGGAAGACUUCUCCGUCAGAAAGGGCUAUACCAUAUCAUGCUAUUAUGAAUUGCCUGAGAUGUUUAUCCCUUAUGAUGCACCCUUCUUGAUUGCGCGAUAGUCGCUUUUUAUUAGGGUGAUCUCUCACAAAAAUAUCAAAGUAGUUAGUGUUCUCCCAAGUGUAGCACCAUUACGGCACCUAUCUUUUCGGGGUGCGCCGUGUCACACGGGUACGGACGAUUAGAGAAGUGUGAGGUGGGUGAGUUGAGACCUCACAGCGAGAUCACUUGGUUGUCUUGACGUUCAGGCAUGACCAUUAUGAGCUCGGAACACACGCAUCGAAAGAUGAACAAGAGUCACAUAAAGAUGUGAUUGGCAAGUUGGCCUACCGGUUGAGAUUUUUUUUCAUCAGUGGUGUUACAUCAAUGGCGUUGAAUCGAAAUGUGGGUCUUGUAUCACUCAUAAUCAAUUUUGAGAGAUAUUGAUUUAAGUGGGAGCGCACUAUUGAAUUAACAUGUUUAAUUCUCAGUGCAAUUAAUUAUGAACACUGUCUAAGUGUUUCUUGCAAAAUAGUUGUAGAAUAAUGGCUUGCGUUUCGACCUUCCCUGAUAAAAUUGAAUAAGCUGUUAAAUAUCUGGUUAAAACUUUACGAUUGGUAACGUAAUGUGAGGAUUGUCCUCAAAAGUGUCGAGAAGGACUCUGUCCUAUCGCAUGCUUUUCGUAUCCUCCCGCUAAUGCUAUGGAUCAUGUGACUCUCGUCCUUUGAUCCAAAAGCUAGAAUUCUGUUACGGUCAAGUGGAAUAUGUUUGCUUCCAUGAAACCCAAACUUUGAAAGUUGGGAUAGUUAUAUGAUAUUCAUGGAACUGAAAAUUAUUUUCAGAUACAAACAAAGCAAUGUUUGUUUGCAAGUAUUAGUAAAAGUGUUUACUAUGCAUUUGACUGUUGGGAAAGGGAUCCAGAAGAACGCCUGUCAUAUAAUGAAAGGUGAAUAAAACAACAACUUAAAGAGAAAGGAAGUGUCCAAAGGGUGUUAGUAUGACUUACACGCCUAGGAAGUCCGGGGCUAACACCACUCUUAAGUUGGGUGCUUCUUUUGCGAGUAGGAGAAAUACUAAAAGUUAAACUUUUAGAAGUAUAAAGGCAGAAAGAAAGAUGACUGGAAUAUCCAGCUCAUGUAUGAAUGUCAUACAAGUUUUUGAUGUAUAGAAGGCUGGUCAAAAGAUAUAGUUCUUGGGAAUUAUGGUUAAACAUGUUAAUCACUAAUUCUUGGGUAUUGUGAGUUAAUCACAAAGAUACCCGCUCGAUUGCAUUAUGUUGCGAAUCGAUGUAAGAGCUACUAUGGCCUAAAAAGACUAGCCAGGAAUGAGGUUUUAAUACGUGUUGGGAACAUAGUAAAAGUUACUAUACCUUCCAUCGGUGUAUUACCUAUGUAUUUUAUUUCAUAAUUCAUUUUAGAGUUUCUUACACUCUAGCCCUUUGCACAAGGUAUCUUGCAAGAAGGUUGUUCAUAAGAGAACUUUUGAUGUUCAGUAUUAUGAAUAAACAUAAGGGCCAUACUUUCAUUGUGAAUGAGAUGUAUGUUAUGAAUAAUGAUAUUAAUAUAUUACCUCUGUGUUUACUUUCAUAAUUCAUUUUAGAGUUUCUUACACUCUAGCCCAUUACACAAUGUUUAUUGCAAAACAGUUGUUCAUAAAAGAACAAUUGUUGUUCAGUAUUAUGAAUAACAUGAAGGGCCAUGCUUCCAUCCAAGAUGGGAUGUAUGUUAUGAAUAUUGAUGGUAAAAUGAUACAUCCAUAACGCUGACGCUAAAUCUCGCAAGACUAUGAGAAUACCACACAUGUGUGGCACUGCAUUUGGUCACAUUGGAGAAACCUGCAUGGAAAAAUUCCAUUAUGAUGGAUUUUGAAGUCGUUUGAUUUUGAAUCAUCUGACACUUGCAACUUUCCUCCGAAAAGUGAAGUGACUGAAAUACCGUCACAGGCCAUAAGGAAUGAGCAACAAACUUAUUGGUGAUCAUACAUUUUGAUGUGUGUAGUCCAAUAAAUGUUGUUGCAAGUGGUGGAUUUAUUUAUCUUCAGAAAUGACUCAAGUAGAUAUAUGGAUAUUUACUUGAUGAGACAUAAGUUUGGAUCUUUUGAAAUCAUUCGAAAGGUUUUCAAAAAUGAAGUAGAAGUUAUUGUAACAAGAAAAUUAUGUUUCGGCAAUUUGAUUGCACAAAGGAAUAUUUGAAAUACAUGUUUAGCGAAUGUCUGAUGAGUUGUGAAAGGGGUUUCAUAACUUGCACCUCCCGGAACACCACUGCAAGUGGAAAGUCCAUGGAGAUGUAAUCUAACCAUUUAUGACAUGGUAAGGUCAAAAAUGACAUAAAUAAAAUUUUGCCAUUAUCCCUUUUAAAGUGAUGCUUUAGAGACUGCGGCUUUUACACUGAAAAGAGAUACAUCGGGUCUAUUGAAAUGAAGCCAUGGUAUGGUAUGCCCAACCAUGUUAUAUCUUUUCUUAACAUUUGGAAUAUGGGGCUUGUGUAAAAGGUUACAAACCUAUUCCAAAUCAGACAAGUGCUACUUUGUAGGUUGUACCAAAAUGUUGGGUAUUCCUCCCUCACUAUACCGAGGCAAAUAAUUUUGCCGCGAAAUGGUGUGCUUUUAAAGAGAAUGGUUCUUUCAAAAAGGUGAGUGGGAGAAUAGUGCAACUCGAUGAGAUAAACAGUAUCUUCGUCAUCAGAUCAAAGGAAAGAGACCUUGGAAGUAAUUCCAGAGUUUCCUACUGCAACUGAUAUGGAAGUCUCUACAAUAAAAUGUAUGAACUUCGGUCGAACUUGCAGCUGAACCACGUAGGCAAGGCUCGUGCAAACCUCUCAGGUGCGCAAACGAGAUAUUGUUGUUAGACAACAUUAUACCUAUGAUACACAAGGAAGCGUUGAUGGGCCCUGACUCCGGAAUUGGCUAAAUGCCAAUACAACCCGAGUUAGUUUCCAUAUAAGUGAUUCAAGAUUAAAACCUUGAUACACCUUUUGGAAGACUUAGAGUCUAACGAAUAUUUAUGGAACUUAAAAUUGAUAUGGAUAAAAAUGUUUUAUCCAUAAAGCUCGACUUGUUGAAAUAACAAGUUCAAGAGUUGACUACGAUGAGGUUGUUUUCAUCGUAGCGAUGCUUAAAGUCGGUUCAGGUUGAACUAGCAAUUAAUACAUAUUUCAAUCAUGAGAUAUGAAACAUGGAUGACAAUAGGAUUUCCAUCUGAUAGAAAUGAAACCAAGGACUUGCAUGUGUUACAGUCCAAGGCAUUUUGUCUAUCCAGAGGAUGCUAGUAAGGGUGCAAACUUCAGAGUUCCAGCGAUGGACAGAAGAGAGCAAAAUGGAGUUGGAAUCUUCGUGCUUUGAUGAAAUGGUCAAAGGGGUUUGACUUCAUCAAUGGGUAACGAAGAUGCUUGUAAUUCAAGAAAGUAAGUGGGAGCAUAAUAAUAUUUCUAAAAACCUUGUGUGCUUGACACAUUGUUAAUUGGAAAUAAAUUUCUUGACAAGAAUUAGGACUUCAUUUGAAAAUGGUUUUUUGAUGAAGUGCUUAGGCUAAAUAGCCUCAAUAUUAGGCAUAAUGAUCUAUGGAGAUAGAUUUACCUAAUAGGGCUAAGCAAUGAAUACAUAUUGACAAGGUGCUAAAACCUUUUAGCAUUUAAAACCGCCAAGGAGUGAUUCUUGCUGGAGACACAUGGAAGAGUUUUAUGCAAGACUCGGUGUCCCAAAACACUGAUGAGCAAAAUACAUGAUCCCACACACUUUUGUGUUUGGAUUAAUUGUUGGGGAUCGUUGCAGAAUUUUAAAAUUUUCUACGCAUCACCAAGAUCCAUCUAUGGAGUUUACUAGCAACGAGGGGAAAGGAGUGCACCUACAUACCCUUGUAGAUCACGAGCGGAAGCGUUCAAGUGAACGGGGUUGAUGGAGUCGUACUCGUCGUGAUCCAAAUCACCGAUGACCGAGUGCCGAACGGACGACACCUCCGUGUUCAACACACGUACGGAUCAGCGACGUCUCCUCCUUGAUCCAGCAAGGGGGAAGGAGAGGUUGAUGGAGAUCCAGCAGCACGACGGCGUGGUGGUGGAAGUAGCGGGGAUCCCGGCAGGGCUUCGCCAAGCGCAAGCGGGAGAGAGAGGUGUCACGGGAGGGAGAGGGAGGCGCCAGGGGCUAGGGUACAGCAGCCCUCCCUCCCCCCCUUUAUAUAGGCCCCCUGGGGGGGGCGCCGGCCCCUGGGAUCCCAUCUACAGGGGGGCGGCGGCCAAGGGGGGGAAACUCCCCCCCCCCCAAGUCAGGUGGGGCGCCCCCCACCCCCAGGGUUUCCAACCCUAGGCGCAGGGGGAGGCCCAUGGGGGGCGCACCAGCCCACCAGGGGCUGGUUCCCCUCCCACUUCAGCCCAUGGGGCCCUCCGGGAUAGGUGGCCCCACCCGGUGGACCCCCGGGACCCUUCCGGUGGUCCCGGUACAAUACCGAUAACCCCCGAAACUUUCCCGGUGGCCGAAACUGGACUUCCUAUAUAUAAUUCUUCACCUCCGGACCAUUCCGGAACUCCUCGUGACGUCCGGGAUCUCAUCUGGGACUCCGAACAACUUUCGGGUUUCCGCAUACUAAUAUCUCUACAACCCUAGCGUCACCGAACCUUAAGUGUGUAGACCCUACGGGUUCGGGAGACAUGCAGACAUGACCGAGACACCUCUCCGGUCAAUAACCAACAGCGGGAUCUGGAUACCCAUGUUGGCUCCCACAUGUUCCAUGAUGAUCUCAUCGGAUGAACCACGAUGUCGAGGAUUCAAUCAAUCCCGUAUACAAUUCCCUUUGUCAAUCGGUACGUUACUUGCCCGAGAUUCGAUCGUCGGUAUCCCAAUACCUUGUUCAAUCUCGUUACCGGCAAGUCACUUUACUCGUACAGUAAUGCAUGAUCCCGUGACUAACUCCUUAGUCACAUUGAGCUCAUUAUGAUGAUGGAUUACCGAGUGGGCCCAGAGAUACCUCUCCGUCAUACGGAGUGACAAAUCCCAGUCUCGAUCCGUGCCAACCCAACAGACACUUUCGGAGAUACCCGUAGUGCACCUUUAUAGUCACCCAGUUACGUUGUGACGUUUGGCACGCCCAAAGCACUCCUACGGCAUCCGGGAGUUGCACGAUCUCAUGGUCUAAGGAAAUGAUACUUGACAUUGAAAAAGCUCUAGCAAAUGAACUACACGAUCUUUGUGCUAUGCUUAGGAGUGGGUCUUGUCCAUCACAUCAUUCUCCUAAUGAUGUGAUCCCGUUAUCAAUGACAUCCAAUGUCCAUAGUCAGGAAACCAUGACUAUCCGUUGAUCAACGAGCUAGUCAACUAGAGGCUCACUAGGGACAUGUUGUGGUCUAUGUAUUCACACAUGUAUUACGAUUUCUGGAUAACACAAUUAUAGCAUGAAUAAUAGACAAUUAUCAUCAACAAGGAAAUAUAAUAAUAACCAUUUUAUUAUUGCCUCUAGGGCAUAUUUCCAACAGUCUCCCACUUGCACUAGAGUCAAUAAUCUAGUUACAUUGUGAUGAAUCGAACACCCAUAGAGUUCUGGUGUUGAUCAUGUUUUGCUCUAGGGAGAGGUUUAGUCAACGGAUCUGCUACAUUCAGGUCCGUAUGUACUUUACAAAUAUCUAUGUCUCCAUUCUGAACACUUCCACGAAUGGAGUUGAAGCGACGCUUGAUAUGCCUGGUCUUCCUGUGAAACCUGGGCUCCUUGGCAAGGGCAAUAGCUCCAGUGUUGUCACAGAAGAGAGUCAUCGGGCCCGACGCAUUGGGAAUCACCCCUAGGUCGGUAAUGAACUCCUUCAUCCAGAUUGCUUCUUGCGCUGCCUCUGAGGCUGCCAUGUACUCCGCUUCACAUGUAGAUCCCGCCACGACGCUUUGCUUGCAACUGCACCAGCUUACUGCCCCUCCAUUCAAAAUAUACACGUAUCCGGUUUGUGACUUCGAGUCAUCCAGAUCUGUGUCGAAGCUAGCGUCGACGUAACCCUUUACGACGAGCUCUUCGUCACCUCCAUAAACGAGAAACAUAUCCUUAGUCCUCUUCAGGUACUUAGGAUAUUCUUGACCGCUGUCCAGUGUUCCAUGCCGGGAUUACUUUGGUACCUUCCUACCAAACUUACGGCAAGGUUUACAUCAGGUCUGGUACCCAACAUGGCAUACAUAAUAGACCCUAUGGCCAAGGCAUAGGGGAUGACACUCAUCUUUUCUCUAUCUUCUGCCGUGGUCGGGCAUUGAGCCGUGCUCAAUUGCACACCUUGCAAUAUAGGCAAGAACCCCUUCUUGGACUGAUCCAUAUUGAACUUCUUCAAUAUCUUGUCAAGGUACGUACUCUGUGAAAGACCAAUGAGGCGUCUUGAUCUAUCUCUAUAGAUCUUGAUGCCUAAUAUAUAAGCAGCUUCUCCAAGGUCCUUCAUUGAAAAACACUUAUUCAAGUAGGCCUUUAUACUUUCCAAGAAUUCUAUAUCAUUUCCCAUCAAUAGUAUGUCAUCCACAUAUAAUAAGAGAAAUGCUACAGAGCUCCCACUCACUUUCUUGUAAACACAUGCUUCUCCAUAAGUCUGUGUAAACCCAAACGUUUUGAUCAUCUCAUCAAAACGAAUGUUCCAACUCCGAGAUGCUUGCACCAGCCCAUAGAUGGAGCGCUGGAGCUUGCAUACCUUGUUAGUAUUCUUAGGAUCAACAAAACCUUCCGUCUGCAUCAUAUACAAUUCUUCCUUAAGAAAGCCGUUAAGGAAUGCCGUUUUGACGUCCAUUUGCCAUAUCUCAUAAUCAUAGAAUGCGGCAAUUGCUAACAUGAUUUGGACGGACUUCAGCUUCGCUACGGGUGAGAAAGUCUCAUCGUAGUCAACCCCUUGAACUUGUCGAUAACCCUUAGCGACAAGUCGAGCCUUAUAGAUGGUCACAUUACCAUCCGCGUCUGUCUUCUUCUUAAAGAUCCAUUUAUUUUCUAUGGCUCGCCGAUCAUCGGGCAAGUCAGUCAAAGUCCAGACUUCGUUUUCAUACAUGGAUCCUAUCUCGGAUUUCAUGGCUUCUAGCCAUUUGUCAGAAUCCGGGCCCGCCAUCGCUUCUUCAUAGUUCGAAGGUUCACCGUUGUCUAACAACAUGAUAUCCAGGACAGGGUUGCCGUACCACUCUGGUGCGGAACGUGUCCUUGUGGACCUUCGAAGUUCAGAAGUAACUUGAUCCGAAGCUUCAUGAUCAUCAUCAUUAACUUCCUCCCCAGUCGGUGUAGGCACCACAGGAACAUCUUCCCGCACUACGCUACUUUCCGGUUCGGAAGGGGCGACUAUCACCUCAUCAAGUUCCACUUUCCUCCCACUUAAUUCUUUCGAGAGAAACUCUUUCUCCAGAAAGGACCCGUUCUUGGCAACAAAGAUCUUGCCUUCGGAUCUGAGGUAGAAGGUAUACCCAAUGGUUUCCUUAGGGUAUCCUAUGAAGACACAUUUUUCCGACUUGGGUUCGAGCUUUUCAGGUUGAAGUUUCUUGACAUAAGCAUCGCAUCCCCAAACUUUUAGAAACGACAACUUAGGUUUCUUCCCAAACCAUAAUUCAUACGGUGUCGUCUCAACGGAUUUCGACGGAGCCCUAUUUAAAGUGAAUGCGGCAGUCUCUACAGCAUAGCCCCAAAAUGAGAGCGGUAGAUCGGUAAGAGACAUCAUAGAUCGCACCAUAUCCAAUAGAGUGCGAUUACGACGUUCAGACACACCAUUUCGCUGAGGUAUUCCAGGCGGCGUGAGUUGUGAAACGAUUCCACAUUUCCUUAAGUGUGUGCCAAAUUCGUGACUUAAAUAUUCCCCUCCACGAUCUGAUCGCAUGAACUUUAUUUUCCUGUCACGUUGAUUCUCAACCUCACUCUGAAAUUCCUUGAACUUUUCAAAGGUUUCAGACUUGUAUUUCAUUAGGUAGACAUACCCAUAUCUACUUAAAUCAUCAGUGAGAGUGAGAACAUAACGAUAGCCACCGCGGGCCUCAACACUCAUUGGACCGCACACAUCAGUAUGUAUGAUUUCCAAUAAGUUGGUUGCUCGCUCCAUUGUUCCGGAGAACGGAGUCUUGGUCAUCUUACCCAUGAGGCAUGGUUCGCACGUGUCAAAUGAUUCGUAAUCAAGAGACUCCAAAAGUCCAUCUGCAUGGAGCUUCUUCAUGCGUUUGACACCAAUGUGACCAAGGCGGCAGUGCCACAAGUAUGUGGGACUAUCGUUAUCAACUUUACAUCUUUUGGUAUUCACACUAUGAAUAUGUGUAACAUCACGUUCGAGAUUCAUCAAGAAUAAACCAUUGACCAGUGGGGCAUGACCAUAAAACAUAUCUCUCAUAUAAAUAGAACAACCAUUAUUCUCGGAUUUAAAUGAGUAGCCAUCUCGAAUUAAACGAGAUCCAGAUACAAUGUUCAUGCUCAAAGCUGGCACUAAAUAACAAUUAUUGAGGUUUAAAACUAAUCCCGUAGGUAAAUGCAGAGGUAGCAUGCCGACGACGAUCACAUCGACCUUGGAACCAUUCCCGACGCGCAUCGUCACCUCGUCCUUCGCCAGUCUCCGCAUAUUCCGUAGCUCCUGUUUUGAGUUACAAAUAUGAGCAACCGCACCGGUAUCAAAUACCCAGGAGCUACUACGAGUACUGGUAAGGUACACAUCAAUUACAUGUAUAUCACAUAUACCUUUGGCGUUGCCGGCCUUCUUGUCCGCUAAGUAUUUGGGGCAGUUCUGCUUCCAGUGACCACUUCCCUUGCAAUAAAAGCACUCAGUCUCAGGCUUGGGUCCAUUCUUUGACUUCUUCCCGGCAACUGGCUUACCUGGCGCGGCAACUCCCUUGCCGUCCUUCUUGAAGUUCUUCUUGCCCUUGCCUUUCUUGAACUUAGUGGUUUUAUUCACCAUCAACACCUGAUGUUCCUUUUUGAUCUCCACCUCCGCUGAUUUCAGCAUUGAAUAUACCUCAGGAAUGGUCUUUUCCAUCCCCUGCAUAUUGAAGUUCAUCACAAAGCUCUUGUAGCUUGGUGGAAGCGACUGAAGGAUUCUGUCAAUGACCGCGUCAUCCGGGAGAUUAACUCCACGUCAUCCGAGAGAUUAACUCCAUCCCCUGCAUAUUGAAGUUCAUUUUAUAAGGCUGUCUGGGUUCCGGCAGGAACUAGUUCUGGACGGCGAAGCCCUGCCGGAUAGAUGACACCGUAUGUGUGCAACUCUGUAGAGAGGUCGUAGUUUCGAUCCUAGUGCCCGAGGGGCUGUUCGAGAGUGCCUCCCGAAUGGCUGUCCGAGUGACCGUCCGAGUUUCGAAGGUCCUCCCGAAGGGCUGUCCGCGACACCGUCCGGGGGAAUGUUCGACCGCCUCCCGGAGGGCUGUCUGAGGGACAGAUGAGGGAGUACAUCCUCGCGAUUGGGAGGUUGUAAAUCCUAGCUGCGGGGAUCUGCACCGACGAUCGCAUCGACUCUACUUCCGUUGCGCUACGAGUCGGUAACGAAAAUGAUCAAACCUUGUAUGCAGUCUCCAUAGUGGUCCUGGGCUGGUGCUUAGGUCGGAGAAUUUUUGUUUUAUGCUGCGUUACCCAACAGUCUGUCUCUCCCUAGGCCCAUUAAGCCCAUAUAGCUUGUCGGGGAUUGCCCGGAACCCCUUCCGGUGACCCGAUACGUACCCAGUACCCCUGGAACACUUCCGGUGUCCAAAUACUAUCGUCCUAUAUAUAUGAAUCUUUACCUCUCGACCAUUCGAGACUCCUCGUCAUGUCCGUGAUCUCAUCCAGGACUCCGAAAAAUAUUCGGUCACCAAAUCACAUAACUCAUAUAAUACAAAAUCGUCAUCGGACGUUAAGCGUGCGGACCCUACGGGUUCGAGAACUAUGUAGAGUUGUAGACAUGACCGAGACACCUCUCCGGUCAAUAGCUAACAACGGAACCUGGAUGCUCAUAGUGGUUCCUACAUAUCCUACGAAGAUCUUUAUCGGUCAAACCGUAAUGACAACAUAUGUUAUUCCUUUUGUCAUCGGUAUGUUACUUGCCCGAGAUUCGAUCGUCGGUAUCUUCAUACCUAGUUGAAUCUCGUUUCCGGCAAGUGUCUUUACUCGUUCCGUAAUGCAUCGUCCCGCAACUAACUCAUUAGCAAGGUUAUCAGAAUCGCGAUCUUGUUAUACGAUUCUACGACUUUACGAUCCAAACUAACCCCUAUGAUUCUACGAUUUUAGUUCAUAGAAUCUACGUUUCUACGAUCCUGAUAGUGAAGAUUCUACGAUUUGCGAUCCUACCAUCGGAGCUCCGAUCCGAUUCAAAAUCGCGAUUCUAACAACCUUGCUCAUUAGUCACAUUGCUUGCAAGGCUUAUUAUGAUGUGCAUUACCGAGAGGGCCGAGAGAUACCUCUCCGAUACUCGGAGUGACAAAUCCUAAUCUCGAUCUAUGCCAACCCAACAAACACCUUCGGAGAUACCUGUAGAGCAUCUUUAUAAUCACCCACUUACAUUGUGACGUUUGAUAGCACACAAAGUAUUCCUCCGAUAUUCGGGAGUUGCAUAAUCUCAUAGUCAAAGGAAUAUGUAUAUGACAUGAAGAAAGCAAUAGCAAUAAAAUUGAACGAUCAAUAUGCUAAACUAACGGAUGGGUCUUGUCCAUCACAUCAUUCUCCUAAUGAUGUGAUCUCGUUCAUCAAAUGACAACACAUGUCUAUGGCUAGGAAACUUAACCAUCUUUGAUUAACGACCUAGUCUAGUAGAGGCUUACUAGGGACACUGUGUUUUGUCUAUGUAUCCACACAUGUAUCAAGUUUCCGGUUAAUACAAUUCUAGCAUGAAUAAUAAACAUUUAUCAUGAUAUAAGGAAAUAUAAAAUAACAACUUUAUUAUUGCCUCUAGGGCAUAUUUCCUUCAGGCUUAGGUGUUGGGGUUGUGUCAGACCCCAAUAUGCGUAGAUGUCAGGGCAUAAUAGUAUACCUGCCUGGAUAAAGAUCGAACAAGGAGGGAGCAGGCAAAGUAAUAAUCUCACGAGUACCCUAACUAAAUACCAAGUUGUAAAGGAGUCGCUUGUGCUUACCUUUAUCAAUAAAGUGAUGCACUACCAUAUUAGCAUAGUCUAAAUAUUUAGUGGGUAACAGCAUCUCCUCCUCCUCCUCAUGUCUAAUAGGAUUCUCAAAAUGUGCAGCGAGGCGGGAGGCAUAGAUACCACCGUAAAUAGUACCCUUCAAACUGUUUGUGUGCAACCACCGAGCAACCAUAGCGCCCAAACUAAAUGUUCUAUCAGCAUAUAAAGCAUGGCGCAAAAUAGCAAGGUCGGGUGCACUGAGCGAUCCACUCUCCCACCGACCAAUCAAACAUCCCCCGGCAAAUAAUGCAUGGUAACGUAAAAUGGGAAAAUGUAAACUAGCCACUCUCGCUUCUGACACUCCUCUCUCCUCUCACAUGAUAGUUUCAAAGAUGAAAUCUUCCAUGUCUCUAGGACAUGGAUCACUGGGACUGCCCUCAUAAGAUAAUUUGCAAACAUUGCAAAAAUUAUAUAAUGUCAUUUCCUUAAGCACAUCAUACAAGUUAAAUUCUACCAUGGGUGGUUCCUUCCUAGGAUAAAAGCGAAAGUUUUGCACGAAGGUAUUAGUGAGUAGGAGGUAUUGGUCACACUUAUCUUCGAGGAAGGAGGUGAUGUCGGCAUUGUUUGCCAAAUAAUAGACAUCCUCCUAUAUUCCUGCCUCCUUCAAGAAUGUGUCACUCAGCUACUCACACGGUCGAACCUCCGCUGAAUGCGAAAGAUGGUACUUGGGCUUUUCCUUCGGAGUUCCUCCGAAUCCUGGCUAGACGAGCACCUUGACCACCUCCUCAUGGUUCUCCCCUUCCCUAAAAAUUUCUGAAAUUUUUAAUAACUCAAAAAAAAGGUGAACGAAACACAACAAAAUUGAUAGCAACUACUCCCACUAGUUUCUAGGGCCAUAUCAAGCAAAAAAAACUACUUUGAACCUUAUAAAUUUGCCAUGCAAGCUCAAGAACAUGGUCACCACAGCGGCAAUAUUUUGCAAAGUAUAAACCACUAGAACAAAAACUAAUUGGAUCAAGGGAGGAGUCACAUACCGUUGAGCAAUCCACCAAAAUAGUUUUGCAAAUGGAGCUACGAGCAAGGAGAUCGAAAAUUGCAGCAAGGGGAGUAAGAACACGGGUUUGAACAAGCAAGUGAUUUUUUCCGGAGGAAGAAGAAGAGCAUGGGUGGCAGCAAUAAGUGAGGGGGCCUACAUGGGCCCCAUAAGCUUGCUGGGCGCGCCCAGGGGGUGGGUGCGCCCUGUGAGCUUGUGGCAGGCAGAUGCACCCCCUGGGGUGUGUUGAGUGCCAAAAAUUCUCAAAUAUUACAGAAAAAUCAUAUAAAAUUUUCAAGGCAUUUGGGGAACUAUUAUUUUCGGGACAUUUUUAUUGCACGAAAAAUUCAGAAAACAGUAAAAUAAUAGCAUUUCUACUUUAUUAAUUCUACAUAACAUAAAGUAAUAGGUAGGUAAAGAAAGUUGUGUUUACUAAAUUCAUCGACCACAUGCCCGUCAAAAGGAAUCCAUUAAUAAGGUUGAGCAAGUCUUAUUAGCAAACUUCUUCCGAAUGACAUGAAACCAGAGAAUUUUUUAAUAACACUAGGUUACCUCAAUGGGGAUAUAUAUGCAUGUCCCCAACAAUAAGAAUUUCAUUUUUUUUUGAAAGUAGGAAUAGGGAAUUUAAAACCUCCAAUAGUAAUUGUUGAAAUUUCUCCAAUAGAAUUGAUACUAUUCACUUGAGGUUGUUUCUUUGGAAAGUGUACCGUAUGGUCAUUACCAUUGAUAUGAAAGAUGGCAUUGCCUUUGUUGCAAUCAAUAACAGCCCCUGUUGUAUUCAAAAAGGGUCCACCAAGGAUGAUCGACAUACUGUCGUCCUCGGGUAUAUCAAGAAUAACAAAGUCCAUUAAGAUAGUAACAUUUGCAACUACGACAAACACAUCCUCACAAACACCGAUGAGUAUAGAAGUUGAUUAUCAGCCAUUUGCAAAGAGAUUUCAGUUGAUGUCAACUUAUUCAAAUCAAGUCUACGAUACAAAGAGAAAGGCAUAACACUAACACCGACUCCAAGAUCACAUAAAGCAGUUUUAACAUAGUUUCUUUUAAUGAAGCAUGGUAUAGUUGGUAUUCCUGGGUCUCCUAGUUUCUUUGGUAUUCCACCCUUAAAUGAAUAGUUUGCAAGCAUGGUGGAAAUUUUAGCUUCCGGUAUCUUUCUUUCAUUUGUAACAAUAUCUUUCAUGUUCUUAGCAUAAGGGGACAUUUUUAGAAUGUCAUUCAAACAAAGGCGCAAAAAGACUGGUCUAAGCAUUUCAACAAAGCGCUCAAAUUCUUCAUAAUCCUUACUCUUUGAGGCUUUAGGAAGAAAAGGCAUGGGUUUCUGAACCUGUGGUUCUCUUUCUUUACCAUGUUUCCUAGCAAUGAAGUCUCUCUUAUCAUAUCUUUUAUUCUUAGAUUGUGGGUUAUCAAGAUCAACAGCAGGUUCUAUUUCCACCUCAUUAUCAUUAUUAGGUUGAGCAUCAUCAUGAACAUUAUCAUUAUCAUUAUUACUAGGUUCAUGUUCAUCACCAGAUUGUGUCUCAACAUUAGAGAUAGAAAUAUCAUUUGGAUUCUCAGGUGUGUCUAUAGUAAGUUCACUAGAAGCAUGCAAAGUCCUAUCAUCUUUCUCUUUAUUUUUAGAAGGACUAGGUGCAUCAGUAUUAAUUCUCUGAUAAUCUUGUUCACUUCUCUUAGGGUUACCUUUAGGAUACAAAGGUUCCUGAGUCAUUUUACCACCUCUAGUCAUAACUCUAACGGCAUGAUCAUUCAUCUUGUUGUUCAUCUCACUUAACAAAUCAUUUUGCAACUUGACGAUUUUUUCUACUUGGGUUUUUAUCAUAGAAGCAUGUUUGCUCACACCCUUAACAUCAUUAACAGGUCUAAACAUAUAAUCACUCAAGUGUUCAAUCAUAUAAGCAUUUCGUUUCAUCUUUCCACUAACAUUGCAUUAAAAAUUUCUUGUUUAACAAUGAAGUUAUCCAAUUCAUCCAAGCAUCGACUGGCAGAUUUUGUGUAAGGAAUAUCACCUUCAUAAAAUCUACAGAGAGAAUUUACCUCUACUACCUGUGUCGGGGUAUUGGGACCAUGUAUUUCUUCAACAGGUGGUAAAUUCUUAACAUCUUCAGCUUUAAUACCUUUUUAUUUCAUAGAUUUGUUUGCGUCUUGCAUAUCUUCAGGGUUGAGAAAUAGAAUGCAUCUAUUCUUUGGAGUUGGCUUGGGUGGUGGUUCAGGGAGAUUCCAAUCAUUAUCAUUCCUCAAUAUAUUAUUCAAUAAUUCUUCAUCUUGUUCAACAGUUCGUUCCCUGAAAACACAACCAGCACAACUAUCUAGGUAGUCCCUAGAAGCAUUGGUUAUUCCAUUAUAAAAGAUAUCAAGUAUUUCACUUUUCUUAAGAGGGUGUUCAGGCAAAGCAUUAAGUAAUUGGAGAAGCCUCCCCCAAUCUUGUGGGAGACUCUCUUCUUCAAUUUGCACAAAGUUAAAUAUUUCCUGUAAAGCAGCUUGUUUCUAUGGGCAGGAAAAUAUUUUUCAGAGAAGUUAUAUAUCAUAUCCUAGGGACUACGCACACAACCAGGAGUAAGAGAAUUAAACCAUAUCUUGGCAUCACCCUUUAAUGAGAAAGGAAACAACUUAAGAAAUAUAGUAGUAGCGAAUUUUUUCCUCAUGAGCAAAUAGGGUGGCUAUAUCAUUCAGUUUAGUAAGAUGUGCCACAACUGUUUCAGAUUCAUAACCAUGGAAAGGAUCAGAUUCAACCAAAGUAAUUAAAUCAAGAUCGACAAAGAAUUCAUAAUCAUUAUCAGUAACAAAGAUGGGAGACAUGGCAAACUGGGGAUCAUAUUUCAUUCUAGCAUUCAGAGAUUUUUCUUUCAGCUUACUAAGUAACUUCUUAAGAUCAUCUCUAUCAUUACAAGCAAGGAAUUCCCUAGCUAUCUCCUAAUGCAUACCAAAUCCCUCAGGUAUCUUAGGCAAUUCAUAUCUAGGAUAAUCAGGUCUAAUAGGUGAAUCAUAAUCUUUAGUUUCAAUAAUUUCAUCAGUUUCAGCAUUCUCAAUUUCUUUAGCUCUAGCAAGUUGUUCAUCAAGAAAUUCACCUAGUGGCACAGUCUUAUCAAGCAAAGUACCACUACUAGGGAAAAGCCUAGUAGUAGCACGGGUUAAAUAGCUAGUAGUAGCGCGGGCACCCACGCUACUACUACGGCGCUACAGCUAACUUGUAGUAGUAGCGCGGGUGCGCCCGCGCUACUACUACGUCUGUUAGUAGUAGCGUGGGUGCCACCCGCACUACUACUAUUAAUUUCAAAAAAAAUCUCGAUCCCGUGCGUGCUGUCAAUGGCAGCAAUGCUUUGAUCCAGCGAUGCUAGGGGUCGCCAGAGCUGCGGAAGGGCAAAGGCAGACAAGAUCCAGCGCCGGCUGCUGCAGAGGGACCGGAUCCAUGGCUGAGCAAGGCGGCGGCGUGCGGCUCCUCUUCGCAACCAAUGCAGCAAGCUCCUGGUCGUCCAUGGCGAUGACCUGCACGGGCAAGGACAUGGGAGGGUGAGUGAAAUCAAAGGGCAGAGGGAAAAAGAGAAAGAAGGGAGAGAGGAAGGAGACGGAGGGAGCACCGGGGCUAGUCGUUGGUGGUGAGGUGCUCCGGUGUGGUGGCGGGAGGCGAGGAGGAAGACCGGCGAGCUCCUAGAUGCCAGCGGCGUGAGGCGACGACCUCGUUGGGCGCCAUGGAGGAGGAGGCGCGCAUGGGCAGGAGCGCCAUGGGAGAGCCUAUGGAGAGAGAGGGGAGGAGAGGGACGGGGGAGAGGAGUGAUUUGGACGAGGAGAUGGGGAUUUUAGGGCUGUUAAAAAACCCAGUACUUAGUAGUAGCGCGGGUUUUUACCCCUCGCUACUACUAUGGCAUGUUCCGGAGGGGCACGGUAGGGACCGCUUAGUAGUAGCGAGGGUAAAAACCCGCGCUACUACUAUAGUAGUAGCGCAGUUUUAUAACCCUCGCUACUACUAUGGCAUGUCCCGGGGGGGCACGGUAGAGACCGCUUAGUAGUAGCGAGGGUUAAAAACCCGCGCUACUACUAUCAACUUAGUAGUAGCGAGGGGUAAAAACACGCGCUACUAGUAAGUAGUAGUAGCGAGGGGUAUAAACCCGCGCUGCUAGUAAGCGUCUGUGUAUAAGCUUUUCCCUAGUAGUGUACUAGCAUCAUCAUAAGCAUCGUUCAUAGUAGAAGUAGCAUCAUCAAUACUUGCGACAUAUCAGGAUUAAUAGCAGGUGGUGGUGUCGCAAGCUUACUCAAAACAGAAGGCGAAUCAAGUGUAGAGCUAGAUGGUAGUUCCUUACCUCACCUCGAAUUAGAGGGAACGAUCUUGGUUCUAUCAAUCUUAAGAUUCUUAAUAGUAAUCAGCAGAUAUAUAUCCCAAGUGAAUCAGCAAAUAUAGAUAUGCUCUGCGGCAACGGUGCCAGAAAAAGGUCUUGAUAACCCACAAGUAUAGGGGAUCGCAACAGUUUUCGAGGGUAGAGUAUUCAACCCAAAUUUAUUGAUUCGACACAAGGGGAGCCAAAGAAUAUUUGCAAGUAUUAACAGUUGAGUUGUCAAUUCAACCACACCUGAGAGACUUAAUAUCUGCAGCAAGGUAUUUAGUAGCAAAGUAGUAUGAUAGUAACGGUAAUGGUAGCAAAAGUAACGAUAGCAAUUUUGUAGCGAUUGUAAUAGCAGCAACAACGAAACUAAUUUAGCAGAGAUCAAUAUGUGAAAAGCUCGUAGGCAUUGGAUCAGUGAUGGAUAAUUGUGUUGGAUGGCAUUCAUCAUGCAACAGUCAUAGCCUAGGGCGACACAUAACUAGCUCCAAUUCAUCAGUGUAAUGUAGGCAUGUAUUCCAUAUAUAGCCAUACGUGCUUAUGGAAAAGAACUUGCAUGACAUCUUUUAUCCUACCCUCUUGUGGCAGCGGAGUGCAUAAGGAAACUAAGGGAUAUUAAGGCUUCCUUUUAAUAGAGAACCGGAACAAAGCAUUAGCACUUAGUGAAUACAUGAACUCCUUAAACUACGGUAAUCACCGGAAAGAAUCCCAAUUAUUGUCACCUUGGGGUAUGCGGAUCAUAACUCGUAAUAGGUGCAUUGCAAGAUAGGAUCAAGAACACAUAUAUACUCAUGAAAACAUAAUAGGUUUAGAUCUAAAAUCAUGGUACUCGGGCCCUUGACAAGCAUUAAGCAUAGCAAAGUCAUAGCAACAUCAAUCUCAGAACAUAGUUGAUACUAGGGAUCAAGCCCUAACAAAACUAACUCGAUUACAUGAUAAAUCUCAUCCAACCUAUCACUGUCUAGCGAGCCUGCGAUGGAAUUACUCACUCCCGGCGGCGAGCGUCAUGAAAUUGGUGAUGGAGGAAGGUUGAUGAUGACGACGACGUCGAUUUUCACCCUCCGUAGCCCUGAACGGAUUCCAGAUCAGCCCUCCCGAUGAAGAAAAGGAGGUGGCGGCGGCUCCGUAUCGUAAAACACGAUGAAUCAUUCUCUCUGGGUUUUUUCUUGGCGAAUAGGAAUAUAUUGGAGUCAGAGCUAGGGUUGCCGGAGGUCCAGGGAGCCCACAAACUCACAGAGCGCGCCCUGGGGGAUGGGAGCACCCCCUGAGCUUGUGGUUCCUGGGUGGCCCCCCUCUGGUACAUUUUUCACCAGUAUUUUUUAUAUUUUCCACAAAUAUUCUUUGUAAAUUUUCAGGUCAAUCCGAGAACUUUGAUUUCUGCACAAAAACAACACCAUGGCAAUUCUGCUGAAAACAACGUCAGUCCGGGUUAGUUUCAUUCAAAUCAUGCAAAUUAGAGUACAAAACAAGAGCAAAAGUGUUUGCAAAAGUAAAUACUAUGGAGACGUAUCAACUUCCCCAAGCUUAACUCAUUGCUUGUCCUCAAGCAAUUUAGUUGACAAACUGAAAGUGACAAUGAAAUUUUUUUACAAACUCUGUUUGAUCUUGUUGUUGUAAAUAUGUCUAGCCAAUGUUCAGGUUUUCAGCAAAGAUUAUGAAGUAAUCAUAUUGACAAUAAUAUUUAGAUAACUCGGAAAAGAUUAUGAAGUAAUCAUACUCACAAUAACCAACUAGCAAGCAAUAAUAAUAUAUCUCGAAUGACAACACUUUUUCAAAAUAAUCAUGAUAUAAUAUGACAUGAUGGUAUCUUGUUAGCCCUUUCUGAGAUCGCAAAACAUAAAUGCAGAGCACCUCCGGAGAUCAAGCACUAACUAGACAUUGUAAUUCAUGAUAAAAUAGAUCCAGUCACACUCAUACUCAACAUCGACAUUACACACGCACACGGGUUUGAAGCAUUUGUGGUGUUACCGUCAAUCGCACACGCAUGUGGAACGAAAACAUGUGUGGUAUUGCACAUGCAUAUGAGAUGGGACUAUGUGUCGUGCCGCUGAGAAUCGCACAUGUUAUCCGUCAAAGAAUAGUGUGUACUAUUCAUCGCACACGUUAUUUUCUUUCUAACCGUACCCUAAUUUAUUCCCUGCUAUUUAUUAUUUUUUUGACAAUUUAUUAUUCAAAUUUGAAAUUUUGAAUUAUGAAGUGUGGAAUUCAAAUAUUUCACACCAUCAUACAUACCCUAUUUACAAUGGUUCAACAAUUAAUGCAUAAAUCAAAUUCUCAAUACAAUAUGUUCAAUAAUUACAGAAUUAAUUAACUAUGAUGAGCCACAAUAUAUAGAACUAGAGGCGGUAAAGCUGAAGACAGAAGUGUAAAUCAUUUUGACUGCCGAUGGUGUUGAAGAAGCGGAAUGCCCAUAAUGUGCCUCCUCCAUGCAAAAGACGCAUCACAACUUUUUUCCAACCCCUUGUGAUGACCGCCGGCCCAUCCUUCAUUAUCUUUAGGAAGACUUCUAAACCAUUUUCAUGGUAGUAUGAAUUAUAUAUUUUGACCUUCGUUGCCUCCAUUGCUGUCAUGAAGUUUGCACGGCGGUCAUGAGUAAAUUGCUUCGGAAACCACUGAAAAGAGAAAACUUUCAGAUAUUCAUGUCUAAUACAGUAACUCUUUGUGGGCAGGAAAAAAUGCAAAAGAUUACUUACCAUUCUAAAGUUCACUGUUGUAUGAAAUCGUUUGCGAUAAAAACUGAAUUUUGGAAACCUGGUCUCAAAUAGUACAUGAUAAUUUGCAUAGUGUUCAAAUAUUUACCACAAAAUACUGAGGUCAUAUCAUGACAUCAUGCCAGGUAUCAUUUUUUAGGCAUGUUUUUUUAUUUUUCUAGAGUUAAAAAACCAACAAAUGACACGUUGAACCGGUUUAAAAAUAGAGAAGGAAUUGAACCGGAUAGGACGGGAAGAUGGAGCCUAUGUAUGGAAACAUGGACGGAAUGAAGUAUUACUAGAAGAUAUAAUAAGGGUUUAUCUAGUUAUUGCACAUCUAAGCGACACAAACAAGUAUAAAAAGGAAAGAAAAAGAAUUAAAAAAUACCCCGUGUAAGAUCAAUGACAUAGGAAUUAAAUAUGCAAUACUUUUUUUAACACAUAUGUGUAAUACUUAUGACACAUCUAGAUUUUCUUUUAGAAAAGGAUGACACAUCUAGAUGUGCUUUAGCAAAACUGAUAUAAUAAACAUAUAUAUGAUAUCGUAUUGACAGGGUUUGGAAUUUCCAUCUCUUUUUCCGUGUUUCCGAAUCACGACGCAGCUCAACCGCUCUAGACAGAUGCGCAGGUGCGUGCCCCCACGAAUUUUCACAAAUGAAUCCUAAAAAAGAAUGUGUGUUAUAAUCCUACGAAUCAAACAACUCGUGUAGUAAAAAAAUCGUAAGGAUUAGAAUCAUCCAAAAUUCAUCUAUAAAUCAUCUGAAUCAAAGAUGGUUAGUGAUGCUCUUAGGUGGUGCAAGACGAAAUAAAUUGCACGAAGGUGCGUCACGUGUCGUCAAAGUCUGGUUACAUAUUUAUUACUGACUAGGCAAAAGAGAUAGUACAGCUGGUCGAGCAAGACGAAAAACAGUUAUGUAGCUGAUACAGAUCAUGAGCAUGAGUCAUACAGUACAUAACUAUAGCGCAUUGGGAGCAAAACUUCUCUCAAACAACCCGUGUGGGCGUUCCGUCACCCUCUGCAUCACUCAUCGUCAGCGAAAAAGAAGUCUGAGUCAUAGUCGUCAAGCUUCAAAUCCGGCAAGCCCUGGUAAAACUCAGCCUCGACAGAAUCCUCCACUGCCUGUGGUGCUUGUGGCACGAUAGCAGCAGCACCCUGAGCAGCCGCAUCUUGGAGUGGAAGCAGAGCCGGCUGGGCAGGCGGAGCAGGCGGAGCGUCGAGCAUGGCGUUGAUUAAGGCAAUGCUCCCGUGGCGGCGUCUGGUUCUCGGCCUCCGUACGGCGAGGGAGUUCACACCACUGGUCUCGCCCUUCGUGAACAGCCUCUCCAGCCCUUUUUGCCUGAUGAUCCAUUCAUCAAAGUGGAUCCACGGGUCGGAAGCAAUCAUGUCACUCUGAUUUGGGUAACUGAAGCGAGCUGCAGACAGAAAAUGCAUCAAACAGUACAAAUUAAGGACACUGGAGAAUGCAUUAAACACCACUUGGAAAUAUGUAAAAACUCCACCAACAGGCCAUGAAGCAGGUACGUUUUUUCACCAUGUGCUUUGAAGAUAAAAUCUUACAUACAAAUAUAGUGUACACAUGAUUUGGCAGCGUUUAUAUAUGAAACUGCAAUCGCUCUGACAUUUUCCAUAUGCGAGGCAUAAGCUCAAGAUAUACUUUCCUUUAGUGGUUGUCUUCUAAUAAGUGUGCACACAACUAGUACUAGUUCUUUUGUUGAUUGAUAUAUACAGUUUACAUUUUCAGUAACAUGGCAAUCGCCACGGCAUCGGCAUUGACAAUUUCAGUCAGCUAAGACAAUUUCUGAGUUUAGGCCAACCAAAAUCCUUACAUUGAUCUUACCGAGGUUUCAGGACAUGGUGUAAGAGCACUUGCACUAACUGAAGGUAGCCUACAAACUAGUAUUGUUAUUUCUUAUACCUGUGUAUGUAAACUUGUUAUCCUGUCAUUAUAAUUUUGAUCAAUGGUUAAGUAAAAUUGACAACUUACGUAAUUUAGCAAGGAAGAACAAUCACCAAAACACUAAUCGACUUACGUAAUUUAGCAAGUAAGAUGUAAUGCCUAACUUCAAAUAGCAAUCGCCACGGCAUCGGCGUUGACACUUUUCAGUCAGUCAAGACAAUUUCUGAAUUUAGGACAAAAUUCUUACAUUGAUCUUAUAUACUGAGGUUUCACGUCAUGGUGUAAGAACACUUGCACUAACUGUAGGUAGCCUGCAAAGUACUACGUAUUCUUGUCUCUUUUACAUGUGUAUAUGAACUAGUUAUCCUGUCACUACAGUUUUAAUCAAUUGACAAGUAAGAUUGACAACUUUUACUCACGUAAUUUAGCAAGGAAGAACAAUCACCAAAACACUAGUACACGAUUUCUUAUAUAGAGAGAACGGCCCUCACAAAUUGAAUAUACUAAUUUGUUAGUACUCCCUCUGUCCGAAAAAGUUUGUCCCUUAAAUAAAUGUAUUUAGCACCAAGUUAGUGCUAUAUACAUCUAUUUGAGGGACAAACUUGGGACAAGUUUUUUCGGACGAAGGGAGUAGUAAAUAGUGUGUACAGUUCAAAAGUUGAGCUUGUAGGCAGAAGCAUGCAGUUGGACUUGUAAGUUUAGGAUAUGGCCGUAAACACUUGCACAGUUGAGCUCGCAAUGUGACACUGGUGUUUUGGUAAAUAGCCGCAAAUAUGCUCAUGCCGGACGUGCGCCGCUGGCUCACAUUGGCACCACCCAAACUUGCACAGGUGAUAAAACAACUCAACUGUAACCGCAACCAUAAGUAACAAGGGGAAUAUAUCACCAAAACACUUGGACCGGGAACUAAGACUGCACGUUUCUGCUUGCAAUCCGAGCAGAAUAUUAAAUAAGAUCGUUUGAUGUCCAGGGGUCGUCGCGCACCCAGAUUCGAAUCACGUACGGAGCAGAUGGAAAGGAAGAAGACGCUCAGGCACACCAAUUUUACCUUGAGAUGGGCUCCCGCCGAAGGACCCUUCAUCGAGGUGGACGUAGCGUCCCCUGCAAAUUUUGCGGGUACGACGGCAAAUCAGGCAAGUCCACGCAGUUUCCGCAAUCCAAAUCGCAAAAAAAAAAGACAGAAAAACACGGAGGAUCUCCCGAACACCACCACCUUCUCUGCGCUUCGUACUCGCUGCGCCGUGCGACCGCCUCGCGCCGCUGCCUGCGCUGGACCACACGAGCCCUCACCUCGCCCUCGCUCUCUGAAUCGCUCCAGUUCUCGCCGCCGCUGCUCAUGGUGCUCUCCAAGGAGAAGGUUUUGGGACGGUGGGGUUUUGGUCCCUCUCCCUCGACUCUUGCUCUGUAUAAGCCUCGGAUGCGCUUCACCUUUAGACAACUGGAGGAGCGUAUAGACUCGGUCUAUGGGUUCACCAAAAAGGAGCCAUGCGUCAGCGUACAGAGUCACACGCAGACCCCGGCCUUCCUUUCCUUCCUCCUCAUCCCCCGUCUUCACCUGUUCCUCAACUCACCGUCUUUUAUGUUUACUUUAGACCCUGAUUUGAAAUUCGUAUUUUUCUUGCGAUAUAAGAGCAACUCCAAUGAGAAAACCCAUUUCGUCGCCGCCGUCCGUUUGGGUCGGCGCGGACACAAAAGGCGGCCCAACUCGCCGACCCAAACAGACGCGUGUCCACUUGGCGUCCGCAUGGCGACCCAUUCCCGGCCCAUUUUUGAGCCGGAUUUGCGUCCGCGCGGACACGAGACGGACGCGCGCGCGCCUCUACUCCUCUCCCCGGACCCGCCGGUCGGUGGCAGCCACCAUCAUUUCCCCCAUUUUCCCCAAAAACACUCCCGCCCGCGCGCUCGCUCCCGCCCCAACCAGCCAUGGACGACGCCAUCGACCUCGACGCCGCCGCCGGCCUCGCCUCCCUCGCCUCGUCCGGCGCCGCCGCCCCUGCCGGUAAAGGCAAGCCUCGUGCCCCGCGCAAGACGGCCGCCACAGCCAAGCCAAAGAAGACACUGACGCCCGAACAGCGCGCACGCGAGUCGGCCAAGAGGAAGGGCCGGAGGCACGCCGCGGACGCGAGGGAUGAGGCCGCCGCUCAGGCCGCCGUCUUCGCCGCCGCUCAGCAGGAGGUCACCAACGCCCGCGUCGCGGCGGCAACGAAGGAGGCGCUCUACAUGCUAGGGUUAACCUAGCCAGCACGGCCUCGUCCAAGCCGCCGUCGCCGCGGCCAGCACCGGCUCGUCGGUGUUUCCUCGGAUGGUGCUGCCCGACUCGCCCCGCGCGUCGGCUUGCAACCCGAUCCCCGGCUUCCACGUCUGCCCGCAGGCCUCCCGCCUCUCCGGGGAGUGCUCGCCCGAAGUGAGCGUGAUCGCGCCUUUCACGCCCGCGCCCGUGCCCAUCGACCUCAACUCCACCCCGGCGGCCGGUGGCUCGUCAUCCGGCAGCGCGAGGAAAUGCGCGCGGCAGACGCCGGCUGGCGUGCUCCCGGACGCCCGCAACCUGUUCGACGAAAUGCCGUCCGCUGCCGACGAGGACUACAUGCAGAACCUCAUCUUAGAGGGCGGUGCGCCGGCCGCUGGCUACGAUCCCGACGAGACACAAUGCCAGGACGGCCGCGGGGCGUUCACGCCGGCCGCUGGCUAUGAUCCCGACCAGGCGGCCUUCAUGCGUGAUCAGGUCGGCAUCGACCUGGACGGCUUCCCCCUCGACCACGAGUUUCCGGACGACUACGGGCUAGAGGAAGAGGACGAGUGCGACAUCGACGUGGAGCCUUUGUUCGAGGACGAGCUCGCCAACCAAGCCGCCGGUCCUAAGCCGAAGCGCAAGAGCAAGCGUACGAAGGCGUACACGGCGGCCGAGGACAAGCUUCUUUGCGAGUGUUGGCGAGACAUUGGACAAGACCCCAAGAUGGGCGCCGAGCAAAAGCAUUCAACCUUUUGGAUUCGUGUCCACCGAGAUUUUCAUGAGCGCAAGAAGUUUCCGCCUUACCAAUUUGUGAGCACGCGCGGGUGGGUCUCCAUUUUCAAGCGGUGGAGGGUGAUCCAACAAGAGUGCAACAAGUUUUGCGCCACUCUUGAGAGCGUCAAGGCCCGCCCCAUGAGCGGCAUCGGCAUGCAAGACAUGGUAUGCUAGCAAGCCGCCCUCUUUUGUGUCAUCAAGUUCAUCCUUUGCAUGUUCAUUUGCAUAUCACUUGCCCAUAUGCUUGCAUGGAAACAUUUUUGUAGGCAUUUCAAGCUUUGGGGGCAUUCAAGGUUCAACACAAUGGCAAGUGCUUCAACCUCUCCCAUUGCUAUCGGGUCAUCAAGGACGAGGAGAAGUUCAAGGCGCAAUAUGACGCACUCAAGUCGCGUGGGGGGAAGAAAGCCGUGGAGGAUGUUGGGGAGGGCGAGCCGACACAGCCGCGGGGGAAGACCAACUCCAAGAAGGAGGACAAGCGAGAUGCGGCCACCAACGCUUUGAUCGCAAGCGUGGACAGCAUGAUGAAUAAGAAGGACUCAAGGGAGGAGGAGCGCCGGCAUUUCAAGGCGGAUCAAAUGGAUGCUUUCAUGGAGAUCCAAAGGAGGAGGCUUGACCUGGACGCCGAGAAGCAAGCCAAGAUGUUCGGGUUAGAGGCGGAGAAGCAAGCCAAGAUGCUAGAGAUCGAGGCCGCCAACGCCAAGACCAAGGCGAAAGAAGUGGCUCUCGCGAGCAUGAUGACCGGGGUGGAGAUCAUGAAGGUGGAUCUCAACACCGUGUCGCCAAGGAAGAGGCCAUGGUUCGAGAAGAUGCAGGCCGAUAUGCUCAAGUUCAACGACGAGUGAUCUAUGGCGGCGAGCGCCAUCUUUUUUGUAUGCCGGCAGGUGUGCCGGCAUGACCACGGGAGCCGCGAUGGCGUGAUCGAACUCAAGUCCCACCCUUUUUUGUGUGCUGACAUGUGUGCCGGCCGGCUGGCGAGUGCGCCGGCAUGAACUGUGGUGAUAUUUUCUGAAGCCGGCAUUGUAUGCCGGCACUGGCAUGGUGCCGGCAUGAGACAUGGCUGCUGGCAUGAUCGUCCGCCGGCCUUUUUUUAAAAGUUGAAUGCGGACAUGAAAUGGGUCGGCGCGUUGGGCGCACUGCCGACCCAAAUGCAAAACUGGACGGACGCGGGCAGGCGGCCGACCCAAACGGACAAAAAGCGGACAAAUGCGCCGUCCGUUUGGGUCGGACCAUUGGAGUUGCUCUAAUACCUUUAAAUACGAUUGUAACAAGCUUAAGUGAAGGAUCUUUUUUUUUGAACAGUUUGUUCAUCCAAUUCUGUGAUAAUCAAACAGUGUGUUCUCAAUCUUUAUUCAUUUUCAUAUCUUUUUUUUCAGAUAUAUACUAGCAGCACAUGUUAUAUAGUAAAAUGAACCUUAGCAAAAAAAAUGCUCAGCUCUGAUUAGGGUUCUAUCUAAAUUAAUCUUCAAAUACUUGCUUUCCAUGUUAUAGUCCAGCAAGUCUAUUAGGCAAAAACUACAUUUGUAACUUCACAAGAUGAUCAAAUGCUCAAAACCAAAAGACAAGUUGAUUUGAAGCACUCCCGACAGUAAGCAAUGAUGCUCAACACUAUAGCACAACAAGAAAUCCGUGCAAGACAUCAGGGAUUGAAACAAGAGAAACAUUUUAUUCUCAGGAUUAAGCAAGUGCUCCUCCACACAAAGCAAACAGACUUAAUCCAAUGCGGAACCCCAGGAUUACAACAAGAAAUCCAUGCAAAAACCUCAGGGAUUCAAACAGUAGAAACAUUUCAUUCUCAG
Molecule: long non-coding RNA, 475337 nt
Filed under: Triticum aestivum (bread wheat)
Lineage: Eukaryota; Viridiplantae; Streptophyta; Magnoliopsida; Poales; Poaceae
Description: long non-coding RNA (TAES_LNC024602)
Rfam family: MIR1120/MIR1122 microRNA precursor family (bases 229869-229993)
Source: RNAcentral